RNAcentral lists this long non-coding RNA (426368 nucleotides) under Vigna radiata. RNAcentral describes it as "long non-coding RNA (VRAD_LNC010600)". The stretch from base 242223 to 242304 matches the Rfam family "tRNA". Lineage: Eukaryota; Viridiplantae; Streptophyta; Magnoliopsida; Fabales; Fabaceae. The record is from RNAcentral.
GUUGCUGUAUUAGGGGCGUCAGGGCUCCACCAGGGGCAUUGGGGCGCCAUAUCAGUUGACAGCAACUAUGAAAAUUGGCUUUUAAUGCACUUGGACCCUAUUCUAAUGACUAAAGGGGUUCUUUACACAUUUGUAUUGAUGGGAAAACACGUUUGUAAGUUAAAACUAAUAUCCAUUUCAUCACUAGAUCCAAGGCUAGGUGUAUCAAACCACUUUUGACACUUUAUAAACCCAAUUUCAUUAACCUAGAGGUCUAAAAUUGAAUUUACCACUUAGAAUGUGUUUUUAGCAAAUUUAGCACUUCUAACAAGUCUCAAAUGACUCAAUCAAAUUGUCUCCACUGCCCACUUACACCCUAGACCUCAGUUACUAAAAAACACCUCUCACUUCCUCUAAACUCACUCAAAACACUAGUUUUCCUCAACCUAAGGACUUAACUCCACUUCUGCCAUUUAGAACCUCAUUUUAACCAAUUUUAUAGUCCUAAUAAGUUAAAUUAACUUGUCUAAGCUGCCUCUACCAUUCAAAUAUGUCAAAGACCCCUAACUUUAAAAUUCCUUAUCUCACUUCCUCCAAAAUACCCUAAAGCACUACCAAACCAUCAUGCUUUCUAUUUAAACUAUGUUAUAACAGAUUUCACACCCCCAAUUACUCCCAACCCAGCCAAUUACAGCAAACUAAACCCACCCCACUCAGUUCAUAACAUCAUGGCACAGUUUCACAGAUUUCACAUCUCAACUUUCAAAGCAUACAUGUCUCAAAUCCACACAAACAUCAAUUCAAAUAGCAAUAUACACUAAAAGAAAACAGUUCUACAUGCAUCAUCACAUAAUCAUCACAAAUUCUAAUUUACACCUAUGAAAAUUCUACAAAAUCAGAAAUAACCCAGCUUCCCUUACCUCUUAAUUGAACAACCAAGUUCCCAAAGACCCUAACCACACGCUUGCACCUCCCAAAAUGCUAGAAUUUCCUAUAGAUCAUCAUUUAAUGAUAGAAUACAGAUUUUAGAAUCUAAUAGAAGCUAGAAAUUGAAGGAAAGUGCAAUGGGCCACAUGCAACCAGAUUUGUUGCAUGAUCAAAGCCCUAAUGAACUGAAAAGAGGAAAACACUUACCAGAGGAAAAAUGCUAAAUUGAUCGGUGGGAUUUCAAGCUCUCAGCGCCAGGAAUCCUUACGUGCUUCUUGAUUGUUGAGAAGACGGUUCAGUGAGAAGAAGUGGUAGAGAGAAAGUAGAGCUGAGUUUUAGAGAGAAAGCAGAAAUAGGCUAAUGAACCAGGUUAUUCUAAAGAGAUUCUGUUUAUACUAUUAAAAGUUGGUUCUAUUAACCCAAUACACUAAUUCCCUCUUUUAACCCAUUUUUCAGGUUCUCACAAUAAAAAUAUAGAGAAGAGGAAAAAUGACACCUAUUUUAAAAAUAAAUUAUAAAAUUAAAGACAAUAAAAAAUUCAUAUAAAUUUUAUAAAUUAUCUAAAAAUUAUAUAUGUUUUAAUAAUUUAAAACAGGAUGAAUAAAAAGAUCGAAUAUAUAAUGUAGAAUAUACAUAUAUAUAAUUCUUUAUUAAGAUUUAUAAAGAAUGCUAGAAUUAUUUAUUAAGAUUGGAACAUGAUGAGAAAAUGCAAUUUUAUAAUUCAUAGUACUUGGUAUGGAACUGCAUUAGACUAUGUAGCUAAUGUGGCAGAAAAUAAAUUGUUUUUUAAUACGUUAAGGAUGAUUUAUAGUUAAAAUGAUAAAUUGAUAGUUUAAAUUGUUAAUUCCUUGCAUAAUUUAGAAAAAUUACUAUUCAAUUUUUGUGAAUUGUAUUUUGAUUUCUAUUUUUCAUUAAAAUUUUCAAUUAUUUUCUAUAAAGGUCGACAGGGGAUUAUUAUUUAGUCAUUUUUAAUUACAAAUCAAACAUGUACAAAUACAUAAUUGUUGGUAUCGGAGGGGUUAAUUUUUAAAAGAGUUUAACGCAGCGGAUUAAAAUACAGAGAGCGUACAGCGUAUCAAGUCACAGUUGAAACAAUUUUGUCUUUUUUAAUUUUAAACAAUUUUCUUUCAGAAAAUUUACCAAGCAGAUAACGUGCGUAAAUAAUAAAAUGAGUAUAGGGCAAAAGAAAAUCACACAGGNAUUUUUAUACUGGUUCGAUUCAACAGAAUCUACGUCCAGUCGUUAAUCACUACAAAGAGUGAUUAACAGUUCCACUAAAAAUUUGUUUAACAGAUUACAAGAUAAUAAACAGUAAUAGAACGAAAGAGAUAAUUCUACCAACUUGAAGAGAACCUGCACUGGCAAUCGACACACGAUUCACGUGCUUCUCCUUACACAAGACCAGGUAGAGAGCCCUACCAACUUGAAGAGAGUCCACUUCUUGUAUCAGCACACGAUACGUAAGCCUCUCCUUCCACAAGAUCAGGCAAGGGAACACAGUAAACAAAAAAGCUUUCUCAAGAACGUUCCUUUGACUACUCAGUGUUCUGGCUUUUCUCAAUUUACAAAAAGUGUUACUUCUGAUGCUUUCAAAACUCAUUUAAAUAGCCAAACANNNUGAAUGCCAAAGGUCAGCUCACAACUGCCAUGAAUAAUCGAUUAUUGUAAGUGAUAAUCGAUUAUUCAAGUCUGUUAUAGAAAUUUUGAAAAGAGAUAAUCGAUUANGCUUCAUGAUAAUCGAUUAUUGUAGUUCAAAAGCAUAUGAUAAUCGAUUACAGCAUGUCCAUAAUCGAUUAUAUCAGUAGAAAUUACAAUAUUAAUUAUUUUCCUACUACAUUCAAGAUACUACAAGUUGCUUUUAAAUAUUCUCCUAUUACAAACAAAAAUUACAAUUCUGCAACAUCAUCAAAACUUGUCUUCAGGUUUUACCAAUACUCCUUUAUUGAUAACAAUAAUAACCCUCUUAUCCAUUACUACAACGAUAUACAUAAGACAAAGAAUAACCAUGCAAUUAAUUUAGAAAAAAAAUAGAAGAAAAAUAAUAAUUUAAAGCAUGGACAAAAACCUAUGACAAAUGUAAUUGUCUCAGACGUAAAACCACUAUGCUCCACAACUUGAACACUACAUCACACGUGUCUUAUCCUUAUCGUCUUUGUAUUCGAAAAACAUUUCACAGAAUUUAACACCUACACAUGUGUUUAAAGAGAACUUUCUCUAUGUACUUAACAAGUAUAAAAAAAUAAAAUAAACGUUUUCAAAGAUUAAAAUUUAUUUAUAAAAGUUUUCUCAUGUAAUUUUUUAAAAUAUUACUACGAAAUACUUAUUACUCUAUAAUAUAUAUAUAUAUAUAUAUAUAUAUAUAUAUAUAUAUAUAUAUAUAUAUAUAUAUAUAUAUAUAUAUAUAUGGGUUUGUUAAUGUACGUAUGUUUGUUAUUCAGUUUGUACAUUUUAAUAAUGUGUACCGGAUUAUAGUAGACAAAAAUAUCCUCAUAUAUUAUAGAUUCUAAGUUUUAAAGUAAAGGAUAUUUAAAUAAUUUUCAUUCUCAAAACUAAAAAAAAAAACUUAAAAAAAAAAAGAAACCUCCAAACCCUUACUCACCUUCCUCAUUCCUCUUAACUAUUCCUCUUUCAUCUCUCUCACUCCAACAUUUUAUCUAUCAUUCUAUGGUAGAUCCAACUAAAAAAAUUAGAAAUACUCAUCGUUAAACCUUUGUAAAGAGUUGAGUCAUUGGCAUAUUCGUCUUCAGAGAAAGGUUCAUUCAAGAUCUCUUCAAUUUCAUCAUUUUCAUUAACCUCUCUAAUUUCAUUAUCUGCAGAUGUUGAAUCAUCAUCUCUUAAAAACCUUAAGGCUAAUUACCAAUUCCUUCUGAUGUCAUUAUGCUUGUGAAAAUUAGAUAAGACAAACAUUAUAAAAUGAAAACUCAAUAUAAAAUCAUUUUUUUUUGUAAGAAAUUGUUUAAUAACAAGUGUUUCUGAUUUUUUCCAGGCGAAUUACUAAUUCCUUCAUAUGUUUAACAGCUAGUGUUUUUUAUUUUUUUUUUGGUUAAAUAUGUUUUUGGUCCCUUAAUUUUCAGUGAAAAUUGGAAUUAGUCCUUGCUCAAAACUUUAGUUUAAUUUAGUUCCCCAACUAUAAAAAUAUAUGAAUUUAGUCCUUUUAACUAAAUUUUGUUAGGUUUAUUUGAUGUUUCAAGCACGUUUUAUGAUAGUAUUUGGGUUGUUUACACUAUUUGAUACAUUCUCGCUUCAAUCUUAAUUGACAAACUCAUUUGAAACAUCAAAUAAAGUUAAUAAAUUUUGGUUAGAAUGACUAAAUUCAUACAUUUCUAAAGUUGGGGACUAAAUUAGACCAAAGUUUUGAAGAGGGACUAAUUCUAAUUUUCAUUGAAAGUUAAGAGAUCAACAACAUAUUUAACCUCUUUUUUUUUUUUUAAUUAGAGCUACAGUAGAGAUGGCAGAGAAGAAAGGUCGGAGUGAGAGAGAUGAAAGAAAGAGGAUUGAGAGAAAUGAGAGAGGUGAGAAUGAAAAUUAUUUAAAUAUCUUUGACUUUAAAACUUAGAAUCCAUAAUAUAUGAGAGUAUUUUAGUCUACUAUAACCCGAUACACAUUGUUAAAACGUAUCAACUGAAAAACAGGCAUACGCGUGUUAACAAAUCCCAUAUAUAUAUAUAUAUAUAUAUAUAUAUAUAUAUAUAUAUAUAUAUAUAUAUAUAUAUAUAUAUAUAUAUAUAUAUAUAUAUAUAUUUUCAUUUUUCUAAUUGUUUGUAUUUUCGGUACCAACUUGAAGCAAUUCUUAUUAACAUUAAGCAUUUUUUUUUUUAAUAUUUAGGUAAAUAAUUUGUAUAAUAAGUACUGGUGUAUUCUAUUUAUAGUAUAAUAAAAUAAUAAUAUUUAUAAUGUAAAAUUUUUAAUUUCAAAAAUUUUGUUUGAAUUUUACUGAUGAUUAAAAUAAUUAAAUACAUAUUAAUUUUUUUAAUAAUUAUUAUUUAUUUUGAUCGAAAGAAAAAUUAACCUUAUAAUGUAAUUAUUUUAAAGAAAUAACUAAAAGUUUUAAAUUAAUAACUUCAUAUUAAUAUUAUAUUUUUAAUAAAUAUACGUGCUAAUUAAUAUAUAUUAAAUAUCUGUUCAAAUAUCUCAAGUAUAAAAUUUAAAUAAAAUAGAAAUCUUAAAAUGAAAACUACUAUUUUUGUUUUAUUAAAAGUAAAAUAUAUAGAUAUAGAAUAAAUUGAUAAUUUAUUUAAUUAUAUAUAUAUAUACAUAUAUAUUUAUUUAUAUUGUCUCAUUAAUCACUUUAAAAUGAUAUAAUUUCUUUAUUUAUUUUGUUCUUGAAACAGACCUAAGCUAUAGGUUUGUGUGAGUUGUAUAUGGAAUUCGGAUACACAUAUACUGUUUUGAUGUUUUGAUAUUUCAUUUUGGCAUUUUGGCACUGCCAAAUAGAAUUGGCAGAAGGAAUUUAGAUGUUUUGUGUCGGUUUGGACAGAUAGUUAAAGAAUCGUGAUGGAAAGAAUCCAUAUGAAAUAAUAUUGAUUUUAUAUUAAAUAUAUAAAAUUAAAAUUUGUGUUAUUUUUUCAAAUUUUGAUAUAUUUUUAUUUUAAAUUUUUAAAAAUGAUAGAUAUAACUUUUAUAUUACGUAAAACUCUUUUGACAGUUUAAACUGCAUUUUAAUUUGCUUUUGUAUUAUUUAUAUUAUUUAACACUAAAAAAAGAUUUUAAAAUACUAUUUAACAAAAAAAUUAAAUAUCAAAUUAAAAAAUGAUAUCUAUUUAUUUUUUAAAUUUGAAAUUAAAAUAUAUUAAAAUUUAAAAUAAAAGUCGAAUCAAUUUCAAAGUUUAACCCAUAAAAAAUGUCUCAAUACAUAAACAAAAAUAUAAGAAAGAAAAAGAAAAUUGUCGGUCCGCGUCCUUCCAAUUGAUCCUCUCGGAUUUCAAUAAAAUAAACUAAAUUCAAAAUUCAAAAAGAGAAAAAAAAAACUUAAUUAUUACAAUAUUUAUGAUUAUAUUAUACAAAUAAAAUUUAUUUUAAACUUAACUGAUUUCAUAUCCUUAAUAAAUUUGAGUUUGAGUCAUGAUUAAACUUUUUUGUCAGUUUAGCGAUUUUUUAAUAUUUUAACAUUUUUAAUUAAGUAUGUAUUUAUUUUUUCAUAUGAAUAAUUUUAUUGAAUUAUCUUUAUAUGUUAAAAAGAUGCGAGGUUUUGUAAUUAAUAUAAAACAAUAGAUAAAAAUAAGAGUUUUAUUAUGAUAAUAAAAGUAAUCCAUUGAUAAUUUUCGAUCAUAACAAAAUUGUUAUGUUUUUAAUUACUUUUAUAUUAUUCAGUCUUGCACACUAAUUAGAUUAAUUUUCAAAAAUAUUAUCUUAAAAAAUAUAUGAAAACAAGUUUUGAUUGAUUUUUUAUAUCGAUAGUAUAUGUAUAUUAAAUUGUUAAUUGUAUUAAUCUGAAAAUAAUUUAAUAAUCCUAUAUCUUAAAAAUAAUUUUGCGUAUAUUUGAAAAACAAAUUAUAAGUUAUAUUUCAUGUCAUACUAAUUUCCUUCACCUUAGUUUAAUUAAAAAUAAUAUCUAAAAUUAUGAAGUAAAACUUCAUUUAUGCUAUUAUAAAUCUCGGUUUGGUUGAGGUAAAAAUCACAUUUGCUUUAAAACUAAAAGUAUAUUAUUUCCAAUCUUAAAAGACGAACGUUAGAAUAUAAAGAAUACAUUAAUAUUAUAAAAAAAGUACUAUUUAUAAAAUAUAUUACACAUACUAAUUGAAGCAGAAAGUUUUAUCACGAGUGGAAAAAUACUGUUUAACGUCGAUUAUUUUGAGUUUUUAACGUCUAAUUCACAACCGACGUCAAAACCGGUGAUGUCAAUGGGACGUCACACAUCCUACACAACAGACGUCUAUACAGGCGUCAUUUAGUUCCAUGUCAGACGUCACUACACGUCGGUACAAGCGUAAUCCGAUGGCUAAAGGCAAUAUAUAGACAUCGGAUGUUGCAAUACCCGACGUCUAAGAGCACAUAAAGACUUCGAACAUGUCACUGACCGCCGUCUAAUGUCACUGUUAGACGUCGGUGUAUGCAUUAACCGAUGUCUAAUAUAGACGUUAUGUUUUAGUGCAGUUUUGUUCUUGUCUUUGGACAACCCAGUAGCACAUUCUUUCUUUGCUAGUUUCCCAAAAAAAAAACUUGCCUCUUUUGAAUAUCUCAUGGCAUUUCAACCAAAAACCGAACCUGGGUCUUUACUUAGUUCCAUUUUCAACCACAAGAGGGAAAAAUUACGCUGAAACAAUAACUAGGCAACGACCUAGGGUCGUUUUUGGAUCGAAACACCACGAGAAAUCCAAAAGACACCACUUUUUCUGGGAGGCAGCUAGCAAAGGAAUGAUGUGGUACUGUGUUACCCCAAGAGAGGAACAAAACUGCACUAAAACACAACACAAGGAAAACAAAUUUUAAUCAGUUAAACCAGAAGAUAAUCGAUGAAAGACUAAACAAUGUUUAAACGGUAACCAUAAAAAAACACGCACUUGGGAUGCAAUGCAGCAAGAGAGAAAAAGGAGAGGAGGAAGACGAUGCAUGAUGUUAUCAGAAACAAUAAUGCAAUGCCGCAAGAGAGAAAGAGGAGAGGAGCCGCAAGAGAGAAAAAGGAGAGGAGGAAGACGAUGAUAUCAGAAACUGCAAUGCCGUGAAGAGUUUGUGGUUUAUUUAACAUGAAAUGGGGCGUCGUUUGCUCCAAAGACCAAUGUCUAUAGUCACCUAGAAGUCGAUUAUCUAACUAAUUUGACGUCUAGGAUAACAUCAAAUUGACUUUUUGAAUGCCCAUUAGACGUCAGCCCCGGCCACCAGGGGAGCCGACGUCUAGGGUGUUGAACCGAUUGACGUUUCAUUUCCUGUCAGGGACGUAGACGACAAUUUUGAAGGGGCGUCGACGUCUAUAAUAAUAUAAAUGUCAGGUUUCUGCUGUUGGACGUCGAAGUGCCUCGGAGUUUGAUGCACAUAAUUAAUUACAGGCACAUAGACGUCGCGCACCCAAAAAUGCAACAUCUAUUUUGCAGAAAUUUUUGUCUUCCCACCUUCCGGACAAGCCAUAGACGUCGGUUUUUGACUACCUGACGUCUAAUCACCUGGGAAUCAAAUGACUAGCAUUAUUAUAGCCAAGUAGACGUCGGCCCCCAUCACAACCGACGUCAAAUGUGCAGGAGAAGUCUGUCUUCUCGCCUACCUCAUUACAUUGGACGUCGGCUUACGACAGAGCUGACGUGUACUACAUAAUAGACGUCUCAUUACUUUGAAGCCGACGUCUAGGUUACCAUCUUAUUUACGAUAAUGCUACCGAUCAUCAUAAGACAUUGGUGAAGCGCUAACAGACGUCUAUGAGUUGACGUUAAACAACAUUUUCUACUCGUGUAUUAAUAGAUUAAUUUAUAACAAUAUUGAUUUUAUUUUUUUAUUAAAGUACGUGUAUCCUUAUAUUUUUCUAUGCAUUAUAUAUAUAUAUAUAUAUAUAUAUAUAUAUAUAUAUAUAUAUAUAUAUAUAUAUAUAUAUUUAUAUAUAAAAGGUUUUAUUUUAAAUCAAUUUUUUUAAAAUUAAAGAUGGUAAAACAAGUCAAUCCAAUUCAUUUAAUUUUUUUUUUGAUAUUGGUAUUUUAAAAAUUGAUUAGGUUAAACUAAUUUGUCAAUUAAAAACGGAUUGAAAUUCAAGUGAUCCGUUAUUGAGUUGACGGACUAGUCUGUUUGUUUUUUCUUUUCUGUCAUCAAAAAGUUUAAUAUAACAUAAAAACGGGUUAUUUUUUCUUUUUAAUAAAAGUGGAUUGAUCACAGGUUACACACUGAUUCAGGCUUAAAAUGCCUGUUGUCCGAGUUAUUUCAUAUAUUAACCGAGUUAUAUCAUAUAUCAAUGAUUAUUAAAUUCUAAUUUUUUUAAUAAAGUUGAAUUAUCAAAUUUGACCAUUUUAUCAUCUUAAAAUCGAUUUGUAAAAUCGAACUGUAAAGUGAAAUUUACAUUUUAUAUAUAUAUAUAUAUAUAUAUAUAUAUAUAUAUAUAUAUAUAUAUAUAUAUAUAUAUAUAUAUAUAUGGGGUUUGUUAAUACGCGUAAGUCCGNNNNNNNNNNNNNNNNNNNNNNNNNNNNNNNNNNNNNNNNNNNNNCGUUUUAACAAUGUGUACCGGAUUAUAGUAGACAAAAAUAUCCUCAUUUAUCAUGGAUUCUAAGUUUUAAGGUCAAGGAUAUUUAAAUAAUUUUCAUUCUCAACACUAAAAAAAAACCCAAACCCUUACUCCCCUCUCUCAUUCCUCUCAACCCUUUCCCUUUCAUCUCUCUCACUCCAACAUUUUCUCUGUCAUCCCUACUGUUGCCCCAAUUGAAAAACAAAAUCAGAAACCCUUGCCUAACCCUAAUCCACCUUCCUCACUUAUCCAAUUUGUUUCUCUUGUCUCCAUACUCUCCCUCAGCCACACAGAACAACCCGUGACAUCGUAAUUUUUUGUUCUUGCUCUGUUCGUUCAUUUGGAGGAUGUGUUAUAUAUUUUUCCUUCUUAUUAUUAUUAAAUUUCAUUUUUAAAUUAAAUCAUGUAAAUAAAACCUUCAUAAAUCAAUUAAAUUUUCAUACAUUAUUUACACAUCUACACUACAUUUCAUUAUAUUUUUAAAGAACAAGAUAUUUCCCUUUAUUGUCCUUUUCCCUUUACAUAAAUUGUUUCUUUUUCCUUUCUCUAUUGGUAUGGGAUACAUGAUAUAAGAUUACAACCUAGAAUUGAAAGAAAGAAGGGAGCUCUUCUAUAUCUAUUUCUUUAAUUUUCUUAUGUCCAUUUUUUAUCACUGUAUCAACUUCUAUUUAGAAUAAACUUUAACCACUGUGCAAGAUAAAAAAUAGUAAAAUCAUUUUUUACCUUUGGAAAAUCAUUUUUUAUUAUUGAGAUUUGGAAAGAGUAACCUAACGUGACAAAGUUUAUAUUCAUUUUAUACACAUUAAUAAAUAUAAAAUGAUUAUAAAAGAGUAAACUUUUUCAAUUUUUAAAAAAUAUCUCUGAUUCAAAUUACCACCACCAUCUUCAAUUGGGUUGAGAUGAGANAAAAAAUGUUGGAGUGAUGACAGAGAAAAUGUUGAGAUGAGAGAGAAAAUAUCUCUGAUGACAAAGGGUUUCUGAUUUUUUUUUUCAAUUAGGGCAACAGUAGGGAUGACAAAGAAAAUGUUGGAGGGGUUUCUGAUUUGUUUUUUUUUUUCAAUUGGGGCAACAGUAUGCAUGACAGAGAAAAUGUUGGAGUGAGAGAGAUUACAGAGAAAUGUUAGAGUGAGAGAUGAAAAAGAAAGGGUUGAGAGGAAUGAGAAAGGUGAGUAAGGGUUUGGGAGUUUCGUUUUUUUUUUAGGGGUUUGUUAACACGCGUACGCCUGUUUUUCAGUUGGUACGUUUUAACAAUGUGUACCGAAUUAUAAUAGACAAAAAUAUCCUCAUUUAUCAUGUAUUCUAAAUUUUAAGGUAAAGGAUAUUUAAAUAAUUUUCAUUCUCAAAACUAAAAAAAAAAAAAAAAACCAAACCCUUACUCACCUCCCUCAUUCCUCUCAACCCUUUCUCUCUCAUCUCUCUCACUCCAACAUUUUCUUUGUCAUCUCUCUCACUCUAACAUUUUCUCUGUCAUUCCUACUGUUGCCCCAAUUGAAAAAAAAAAUCAGAAACCCUUUGUCAUCAGAGAUAUUUUCUCUCUCAUCUCAACAUUUUCUCUGUCAUCAUUCCAACAUUUUUUCUCUCAUCUCAACCCAAUUGAAGAUGGUGGUAGAUAUUUUAAUCAGAGAUAUUUUUUAAAAAUUGAAAAAGUUUNNNNNNNNNNNNNNNNNNNNNNNNNNNNNNNNNNNNNNNNNNNNNNNNNNNNNNNNNNNNNNNNNNNNNNNNNNNNNNNNNNNNNNNNNNNNNNNNNNNNNNNNNNNNNNNNNNNNNNNNNNNNNNNNNNNNNNNNNNNNNNNNNNNNNNNNNNNNNNNNNNNNNNNNNNNNNNNNNNNNNNNNNNNNNNNNNNNNNNNNNNNNNNNNNNNNNNNNNNNNNNNNNNNNNNNNNNNNNNNNNNNNNNNNNNNNNNNNNNNNNNNNNNNNNNNNNNNNNNNNNNNNNNNNNNNNNNNNNNNNNNNNNNNNNNNNNNNNNNNNNNNNNNNNNNNNNNNNNNNNNNNNNNNNNNNNNNNNNNNNNNNNNNNNNNNNNNNNNNNNNNNNNNNNNNNNNNNNNNNNNNNNNNNNNNNNNNNNNNNNNNNNNNNNNNNNNNNNNNNNNNNNNNNNNNNNNNNNNNNNNNNNNNNNNNNNNNNNNNNNNNNNNNNNNNNNNNNNNNNNNNNNNNNNNNNNNNNNNNNNNNNNNNNNNNNNNNNNNNNNNNNNNCCCUAUAUAUAUAUAUAUAUAUAUAUAUAUAUAUAUAUAUAUAUAUAUAUAUAUAUAUAUAUAUAUAUAUAUAUAUAUAUAUAUAUAUAUAUAUGAGACCUUUAAUAUUAAUAAUAUUAUUAGUUUAUUUUUAUAGAGAAAAGUUAUAUUAUUAAAUUCUAUUUUUAUUCUACGAAUUGAAAGGUAAUUAAUUAAAACUUUAAUGUUUUUUUGACUAAACUGAGCAAAUAAUUUAUUUUCUGACGAUGAGUUUAUGAUAAACGUAAUUAUAGUUGUUUAAUUAAUUAAUGUAAUUAAAUAUAUCUGAUGAAUUGAUAGCUGUGAAUGUCAAAAUAUAACUGCUAUAAUUAAUACAUAUGCUUAGAAAAGUAAAUUUAAAAUAUACACGUUACACUAUAAAUACGUUGUAAAUAAACUCACUUCACAGCUAUGCAUUUUGGUGUAGCAGUAGAGUAAUAUUGUGAGAACCAGCUAUGCAUUUUGAUUAGAAAAAUAAUACUUUAAAAAUAUAUUUUUACAACAUUUUAAUAUUAUUUAUUUAUCAUUAUUUUAAUAGUCAAAAAUUACAGUUAAUAAUAAUUAAUAAUAAUUAUAAACACUGACAUAAAUUAAUCACCUAAUAAUAUAUAUAUAUAUAUAUAUAUAUAUAUAUAUAUAUAUAUAUAUAUAUUAUCAAAUGUCAUCAUAUUAUCAUUAUCUUUGUGAUUUUUAUUAAAGACGAUAAUAUUUUAAUAAUAUUUUUUAACAACAAUAUUAUUAUUUUAUUAAUUUAUUUAAAUUUAUAUUUAAAAAAAUAUUUAAAAUAUACUAAUCACAAACUAUUAUAGCGUAAAAAAAUUGUUAAAAAGUAUCUUAAAAAAUAAUCUUCCUUUUACUAGUACUAACCAGAUGAGAAUGAAAUUGUUACCUUGCAUGUUAGCCACGUGGAAGAUGAAACAUAGAUAGCUGUUACUACUUUUAGGUUCCAAUAUUUGCAGUUCCACCUCUUCAAACACUGUUUCUCUCUCUCUGCCAUGGAAUCCCUCAAACUUUCCCUCUUUCUUCUUCCUCUUCUCUUUGCUUUCAUAGCCUUUUCUAAUUCAGUGCUCUCUGAUGGUAACUACCUUCUCUCCUAAUCUCUCUCAUUUCAUUACCAUAUUCUCACAACAUCCAUCUUUUUUAUUGCAUUUUUUUUAUCGGUACAUAUUACUUGUUUGUAUUUUUGUUUUCCGAUUCUCUUCAAGCUUGUAACUCCAACCUUAAAAAUCGACAUUUUAUAAAAUAAACGGUGUUGUCUUUCGUUUUAUUGAUGAAACUUAGUUAUUAGAAUGUUUUGUUUGAUUAGAUAAGGAGGAGAGUGUGUUGAAUGGAAUCAACAGCUACAGGCAGACGAAAAAGCUGACACCCCUGGUCGAAGUUUCUAAGGCGAAAUGUUUGGCCGGUGAAGUUGCAGAAGAAAUAGAGAAAACAGCAUGUGAAAAUGUGAAUCGAUUCUACCCAACUGUUUCUGGUGGUGGCAACAUCCCCAACUUGAAGAAGCACAUUGAAAAAUGUAAGAUUAACAUGACUACCACCACAGAUGGAGUCAUUCUCCCAGUUUGUGUCCGGAAAUUGGAACCCACCAUUGUUCUCUCUAAUUACACUCAUUCAGAUCGUUAUGCACAGUUUCUCAACAAUUCCAAAUACACAGGAGCUGGCCUUGGUUCUGAGGAUGAUUGGAUGGUCCUUGUUCUUACCACCAACACUGCCACUGGGAGUUUCUCUGCUUCUGCUUCUUCAACUUGUGUUAAUUCUAAUAAUGUUGUUUCUGUCGGGCUUUUGCUCUUUGCUUUGCUGCUUCUGCUCACCAACUUCUUUCAUUGAGCACUUUUAAGCUUUCUUUUUAGCUUCAUUUUCUGGGAUGUGGACCCUUUAAUAUCACUUCUGUUGUGUAAUGUCAAAUUUAUGAAUUAACUUGUGUGUUGCUGUUAUUUACUUAACUCUUUAAUACUUUCUCAUGAUCAGCAGCGUAUUUUAUUAUGAUAUUUUUAAAAAUAUAAAUUUAUGUAUUUGUAUGUAUUUUAUCUUAUUGUAAUAUCUAUAACCAACGAGGAUGAACGUGUUAAGUGGAAGAUGAAACAUCGAUACCUGCUACUACUUAGGCACCGUUCCACCUUUAAGAUCAGUCUAAUUGAAAAAAUACCAGUUCGUAUGGAUAUAUCGGAACUACACUAUUAAUCUUGGAAAAAUAUUCACUUGAUCAAAAUUCUAAAUUUGUUACCUUAUAUGAUGUUGAUUUUAUUUAUUUUUUCUGUAAACUUUGAUUGAAACACCUGAGGUUUUUCCUUCUUUACUCUGCGUUUUUUUUUUUCUAAAAUUGAUAUUAUCUUGGAUUGGUGUUCAUUUAUCAGACAUGGAUGUUGUAACGACGGGCAACUUAGACUGUUCCCACACAUCAAUACAAGUUUUUCAAUGCUUUGUUUUUGUUCUUACUCGCACACUUUUUGAGAAAACUUUUUAGAAGGUCAUUUAUUCCAAAUUAUUCUAGGCUAAACACAUUUAAUCAUAUAGUUCUUAUGGGUCAAAUUAGUUGAUAUAAGUAGCCAAAUCAAUUUUUGAAAGUUAUUCUUCAACUGUAUAGUCCCGUAUCUAUACAUUCUAUAUAUCUCUUUCAUUUUUGUGUAUGUUCGAUUCGUCUAUGUGUCCCUUCCACGGGAAACUUGUUAGGAACCACUCCUUAUCUAUAUCUCUUACAUUCCAUGUCUCUUGCACAGAUGAUCACUCUCCACCCUCGUCAAAUGUCACAUAUGUUCGUUUAGCAUAAAUAAAUGUUCGUUUAUCAAGUAUGGUUGAUUUUCUUGAAUGCAUCCAAGAAUUAAUCCCACAAUCCUCCGACAAUAGAGACCCUCAUUCAUCAAAAUCUUAUUCUUGCGGUACAAACUCAGAGAGAACAGAUUUUUCACGUUAAGAAAAAAAUAUACUAUCAUGGCAUAAAGCUUUCUCAAGAAUAUACUUUGAGCUGCGUUCUGAGAGGGUUAAGACAAGACAUUCAAAUAUUAGUUCGUAUGUUACAACCAACAACCUUGAAAAAGGCUCUUAUGUUAGCAAAGAUGUAUGAAACAGCUAAUUUGGAAUUUACGGAAAGUGAAGAAAUCUUAAGUCCUAAAUCCUUUCUCUUUGCUUUGUUAGCCUUCUCUGUUACAGUGCUGCGUAAUGGUAAGUGUACUUUCUCUCCUCGUCUGUUUCAUUUAAUUAAUUGUGUUCAUUUUAUGCAUCUCUUGUAUGAUUUUUUCACUUCAAUAAUAUCAUUUAUACUGCAUUAUUAGUUCUAACCAUGAAAUUUGUCUCUGAUAUUUAAAAUUAAAGGCACAAAUUUGUGUGGUGUUCAGUACCAUAUUUGUAACGUAUAACUGUUUCCAUGAUACAAAAACUUGUGUUUUGUUGGAUUACACUUUAAUAUUAGAAAAAUAAUACUUUGACCACAUAAAUUUUUUAUAGUUGAUACUAUUUUUUCUUAUUUUUUAUUUUUUUGAAAAAAUACAAAAAAUUAUAUUCUUAUGACUUGUGUUGCCUAAAUGUAACAUUUAAAUUUUUAUUUUUUUUAAUUGAAACUUCAAUUGACUACAUGUGAUGAAUACGUGAGUAAAAAUUGAGUCGAUUACAAAUACAGUUUGGAAACGAGAGGAAUAAUGGAUUACAUAAAAAGUAUUUAUGAUUAGGAAAAUGAUAUUUUAACACCAUUUUUUUGACAUCAUUUUGACACUGCAUACAUGUCAAAAUAUGAUUGAACGAUUUCAAAUUAAAAAAGUUGAGGCAGGGGUAUAUUUGGAAGAGAAAAAUCAAAGUUUGUUUUUUUAAUUUGAAAUCGUCCAACCACAUUUUGACACGUGUGCAGUGUCAAAAUGGUAAAAAAAUGGUGUUAAAAUAUCAUUUUCCUUAUGAUUAUGAGUUUGAACUGAAAAUAAUGUAUGACAAUAGAGAGAGAGAGCGUCCCCUCACCGUUAGAUGCUGUGUGAAAUUUGGUAUGAAAAGUUUUCCUUGUUUGCCACCAAUCUUCAUUUUUCUUUUUCGACUGUGGUUUUAGUCAAAAAGUAGAAAAGAGGACGGGCCCAAAGAGGCCCGAUAGAAUAGCAAAAAUUCCAGAUGGGUCGUUUCUUCCUACCCUUCAUAAUUGCAGCUUGUAUUUUCAUCAAUUUUUGUAUAUUUCGAAUAUAUAAUCUACAACAAAAUAAUUAUAUUCUACAUUAUAAUACUCUAAUUUUAUAUUACAAAAUACAAUAAUUACAUUAUUUAAGAUAAAAUACAAUUUUUAUAUUCUAAAUUAUACAUGAUGUACAUACCCUACCCAAACGUGCUAAGUGGCACCACCCAAUAAAGUUCAUUAUUAAAUUUUAACAAUUUUAUUAUAUUUUUAAUAGUCAUUAAAAAUUUAAUAGUCAUCAAAUACUUUUUAAUGAAAAGUUUUUGCUAAAUAUAUUCUCUAUUUAAAUAUAUUCUCUAUUUAAAUCUGGCAUAGAGUCUCAAAAUCCUACAAAUACACUUGAUAUUUCAUCAUCAGUCAGGAAAGACAUUGAAACUUAUUCGUUAUUUUAUACAUAAAAAUCAAACACUCUCAAGUCUUUUAGGUGUGGAUCUUCCUCCACUUUUCAACCUUCAAGAGCAUUGAUUCUCCAAUCAAAUUAAAUUUUGCCACCUGUCUGACCAACAUGAAGAGUGAAAAAAUCACCUACCCAAAAUCGACAUGAUUCCCACCCAGAGGGCCCUUAAUUCUUGAUUAAAGCAUAGUUUUCCAACUUAACGAGGUUUCCAUGAAAGCCGAAGUUGAUCUCCUCAAUGUCAAGCUCAAAGGAAGUACAACCUGCUAGUUUGACGAGGUUUGCAUGAAAAUCGAGGUCGAUCUCCUAAAUGCCACGAAGGGACAAGAGGUACAGGUUAACCCGACAUUGAAUGAGAGAAAGUUGAGGACAACCCCGCCAAUCUACACGAGAGAAAGCUGAGUAAAAGUAAAUAUCAUGCUGAGUGAAGGUGUUCUCAGCCUUUAGCGCCUCUAUCUCCUCCAUGUUCUUUGUCUUUAGCGCAUCGAACUCUAACCUCCAUUCCACAAUCAUGUUCAUCCGUUCUCUUGGUUUUCUUCCUUUUGACAUGGUACCAUUUCAACCCUAUCAUAUUUUUCUUUCACACCCAUAACCUUAUUGAAUAUUAUCCAUUUUUUUAACUCUUGGCAUUUAUAUAAUUUUGUCUUGCACUCCAUUUUUAUGGUUUUGGGCAUUUUUAUACUUUUGUCUUGCACUCCAAUUUUACGGUUCAUACCAUUUGUGUAUACUUCUUUUGUAUUGUUGAACGUAAUUUAGUCCCACAUUAUUUAGCAUUGUAAGAUGUUAUCUGUUUAACUAUAUGAGCAAUCCGAUAUAAAGUUUCAAAGAACUUUUGUGUCCACACUUGUCCAAGAUUUAUCUCAAAGUUAUAAGGAAAUAAGUGAAUAUUAAUUUAUGAAUUUGAAUUUGAACAUUUGAGUUUCUAUUCAGAUUUCAAUAUUUUAAGUUCUACAUAUUUUGCAUUAAACAUUUUUUAUUUGUUCAAUUAUAAGAGAAAUGGAAGAUAAGUUUAGAGAUGGAAGCAAGACUAAAUUCAAAGAUGGAAAGCAUUUUCAGGGAUUAUUCCCAAACACUUAUGACACAUGAUAAAUUGGCGCGUGAGGUUAAUCUUAGCAUGAAAGACACAAGGAACAAGAUCAAACAACUUGUUGCUGAAUUUGAAGCCAUCAAUAAAGGCUUAAAAAUGAAUUUUCCAUACCUUUGCACGGAAGUUAUGCUACAAUUGCUGCUGAAGCUACAACAAAAGGAUUUCGUAGAAGUUUACUAAAACUAGUUUGUUGACAUCAUUAAACUUUUAAGUCUCCUUGAAGAUUACCUUUUAAGUUGUUUUAUUGGAGGUUUAAAGAGAAAUAUUCAAAUAUCAGUUCAAAUGUUUCAACCAAAAACAAUAUACAAAGCUUACAUGUUAGCAAACAUACAUGAAAAGACUAAUUUGGAAUGCAGGACAUAGAACUCAAGAAGAGGGAGUGGAAUAAUUUAGGUUUUACAUAUCUUGAAAUUCUUCUCUUUACUGUUCUUAUGUUUUUUUCCAUAACCUUUUAUAUUCGACAUUGAGUAAAAAAUAGGGUCCCGAUAUUUUGACAACAAAAAUUCGACACACUUUUAACAACGUCACGUGUCACCAUGCCAUUGGUUGUUUUUUUUUUUUAAAAAAAAAAACUUAAAACCUAACGUCGCCAUUGAGGAAGAAUUCAGAAAUUUUGGAUUCCAUAUAUGCCCCUUGCCCUGUUUCAUCUUUCUCCAUUCUCUCAUAUUUCCCUCAUUUUCCCUCUCUUCAGUUUUCGUUCUCUCUCUUUUCGUUUUCGUUCUCCCUCCAUUUUCAUUCUUGAAACUUUGUUCAAGAUCCUUUUUUUUUGUUGAUAGUGACCAUGGUCCUUCGAGCAAGGUAAAUGAGUUUAUCCAUUUUAUUGAUUGCGUUUUCGAUUUGUAUUUGGGUUUUCGAUUUUUUUGAUUGCGUUUUUGAUUGGCAUGUGGUUUCUUGUUUGAGUUUUGUAUGUUAUGAUAUAUUCAGUGAUCUUUGAUGAGAAUAUGAAUGGUUGUAUACUAUGAUAUAUAUUGUUAAAUUUCAGGUUGAUGAUACUUCAAGCAAAGAAACUGUUUUUUUUUCUUCUGUGAAGACACCAGCUACUAAAGUUAGAGAGGAUAAAAAGGAAAGAAUAAAAAGGAGGACCAACCAACACCAAAAACCAUACAAAAAAGAAAACGCAGAGAAAUUUUUAUGCGUGCUUUAGUGGAUCAUAAAAACGUUAUAAGAGCAUAGUGCUUAGGACUCUAUACACUGGAAAUAGAGCACUUAGAAUCCGACAUGAGUGAUUUUUGUAUUGAUUUGUCAUAGAAAGUCAUACAACAUUGUACAUAGAUGAACAAAUAAGUGUAAUGUACCCAAUUUUGUUCAAUUUUAUAAAAGAUGCAUCUUUGCUUCCGUUAAUUAUUGUUAAUGUUAACUGAAUUGUUAUUCCCUUCAUUAUUGUCAUUGUGAAAUGAGGUGUUGUUUGGAAUGUGAAUGAAGAAAGUGAUCAAUUUGAUUGAGUAGUCAUGUUUGUGAUGGAGGAAAGAAACAAUGUUUGUGGUGCAGGCAAAAAACACACUGGUAAACGAUUACAACUUGCUCGUAAAUGAUUACGCGAGUAAAAAGUGGGUUUUUUCAUUUGAACAAGUUAGUUGAAGUCCUGCAAGGUCUGGAGCAAAUGAAAAAAAUUGUUUCUUAUCUUGAACAUGGGUGUCCAAACUUGAUUUCCCACACUAAAAUCACAUUUAAACAAUAAAAUCACAUAAAAACCAUUGCAUUUAUGCAAAAAAUACAAAAAUUUAGACUAUGGCCCCCUAGGUUACCAGAAUUGGCUCCUACAGUACAACUUUCUGUACAAAUCUAAGAUUUUGUUCGUGUAAAUUCCACAACAACUAGUUUUUAAAUUCCAACUUUGUAAAUUCCACAAUCAUGUUAAUUUGUUCCUUUGGUUUUCUUCCUUUCGAUAUUCUUUCAAUCCUAUAAUAUUUCUCUUUCAUACCAUAGAACCCAGUUUAUUAUCCAUUUUUACAAUUCUUGGCAUUUCAAUACUUCUCUCUUGCACUCCACAUCUAUGAUUCUUGGCAUUUCUAUACUUUUGUCUUGCAUUCCUUUUUUACAAUUUGUGUGCUCUUUAUAAUAAGUGUUAUAUUUUGUCUUUUGUGUUAAUGACUUACUAAUUUAAAAUAUAGUGGUUAAAAAUGCAAUAAAUUCGCAAGUGACAUAAGCACCAAAUAUGAAGAUAACUUAUUUUUCUUAUUAUUAUUUAGAUUAGAUCUUUCGAUUUGAAAAUUCAAAAAUAAGAGAUUUCAAAUUGAAAAAAUAAGAUUGGGUUGCGCCAUACAUAGAAAAGACUAUACAAUAAUGAUGUAUUUGACAAAUCAAAUACCAUCGUUUAAUUUAAUAAUAACAUAACGAACCUUUGGGAUUAAUGGAUAAUAUUAGUUGAUUUUUGUAAUAGAUUUCAUAACUCCUAAGUCAUAACAAGUAGACCUUAUUGUUUCAAGAAUUCUUAAUUCAUUAGUUGUAGGGAGGGAUUUAUGUCACCACAAACAGAGACUAAAGCAAGUGUUGGGUUNAAAGCUGGUGUUAAAGAUUAUAAAUUGACUUAUUAUACUCCUGACUAUUAAAUCAAAGAUACUAAUAUCUUGGCAGCAUUCUGAUGAAGAUCCACUUUGGAGGACAGAGUAGGAUAUGAUGUAUCUGAGUAAAGUACCACUACAAGUGCAGAACCUGCUAAGAGUUUGAUAUUCAUAUGUUUAUUUGAAUGGGUUGAGUUUAUGAUGAUUAAUCAUUAAUUAUGGUAUGUUUAUUGUAUUAUUAAGUAAUUUGAAUUAUAAGUUAGAAAUCAUGUUAUUAAUUUAAAUAUACCAUGUUAUUUUUGUUGCAUUAGCUCACCCUUGUUUUAUCUGUUGUUUAGUUGUUAUUGUUGUGUUGUGUGUUUUCUCUCGACGAUGAUCAUCUGGUGGGUGUGAGCAGAAGGUGGUGAGAUGCCGGUGGAACAGGUGUUAGAUGGAGGAUCGACUAGUGUUUAACUUAUAUGGACGAGAUCCUUGUUUCUAAUCGUUGUAAGUUUGAAAUGUAUUAAGUUUAAAAAAGAUGAAUGAUAGUUUGUAUAAAAUUGAGAAAAACUUUUAUUCCUCGUUUCUAUGAUUGUUCUAUCAUAUCAAGGAUGUAAUAACUAUAUUAUAGUUCAAUACUAUAAUUAUUGAGAUGUUACACAUGAGGUUAAUCUUAGCAAGAAAAACACAAGGAACGAGAUCGAACAACUUGUUACUUAAUUUAAAGCCAGCGCAAAAAUGAAUUUUCCAUACCUAUGCACAAAAGCUAUGCUACAAUUUCUGAAGCUGCAAUAAAAGGAUUCCGUAAAAGUUUACUAUAACUAGUUUGUUGACAUCAUUAAACUUUUAAGUCUCCCUGAAGAUUACCUUUGAAGUUGUUUUAUUGGAAGUUUAAAGAGAAAUAUUCAAAUAUCAGUUCAAAUGUUUCAACCAAAAAUGGUACACAAAGCUUACAUGUUAGCAAAUAUACGUGAAAUGACUAAUUUGGAAUGCAGGACUGAGAACUCAAGAAGAGGGAGUGGAAGAAUUUUAGGUUUUACAUAUCUUGAAAUUAUUCUCUUUAUUGUUCUUAUGUUUUUUCCAUAACCCUUUAUAUUUGUAAAAAAUAUCAUGUUGAGUAAAGGUACUGUGAAAGACUUUUGUGAUGUUAUUACCAUCGUUCAACUUGUUUUCUUAGUGGGCGUUCCCAGCCUUCAACGCCUCUAAUUCCCCGUGUUCUUUGUCUUUAGUGUCUCGAACUCUAGCCUCAAUUCCACAAUCAUGUUCAUCUGUUCCCCUGGUUUUUUUCCUUUCGACGUGGUACUUGUCCUUUCGAUCCUGUCAUAUUUCUCUUUCAUAUUGUCACAAUCGGGAUCAGGAUAGGAUGGUGAACCGAAAACAAACGGGUUUAAGAAAAAGAUUUUGGGAGUCACCACCAUAAUUUAUUCUGGAAAAACUAUGAAAAACCAUAAAAUAAGACAUGGUCUAUGAAAACUAGAUUUUAGGUUCGAGAAUCAAUUACACGUAAGGAAGGUAUUAGCACCUUACUACGCUUGUCAAAAAGCAGUACCUUUAAUUAAAUGUAUAAAGUUGAUGUGGUUUUUCCAAAUAUUUAAUUUUUCCUAAAAAUAAUAAUAUAAAGAAACUAUUAAGAAACAAAAAAAUAUUUUUUUGUUUUAUGAGUCCGACAAGGAUUGACUUUGCUCUUACGUAUAUCCAUUUAUAAUUGAAAAUCAAGGAUCACGUAGUUCUUUAUCUAGAAAAAAGGUUUGUAAAUUUGUUUGAAAAUUAUUGUGGAUUGUUAUAGAUUUUUGAAAAUUGAACCUGUCAAGGAUUGAAACUGGUCAUAGGCCAACAUGUAUUUAUACCCUUUAUUGUAUGAUUUUUUUAAAAAUGUUAUUUGUGUGUAGUAAAAAAUAAUAUCUUUAGAAAAAAAACUUCAAAGUACAGUAAAAAGAGAAAACGAAGAAUGUAGAAGUGAGUACCUUUUUAGCUUUGGAUAUUGUCCUAGUUUUUAAAAUCAUAUUUUUUUUCUCUUUUUUGUUUAAAAAGAAACUGACGCAACAAAUUAUAGUAUAAUAUCAAUAUAUUAUUUUUAAUUAUUGCUUAUAAUUAUUGGUAUAAUAUUGAUUCAAAUUAUUACCAUAUUAAACAUUCCUUUAUCUAAAAACCAAUAUUUAAAAAAUAUUUUCUAGUGAUGUGUCCUAUAUUAAACUCUUGGACUCCUUGGCUAAAUUAAAGUUUGAAAAUUAUUUACAUUCUUUUAAGGAAAAUUAUUUUAUUUUUCCCUCCUUUUUCUUUUUACUCACCAUUAAUUAUUAUUCUUUUAUUUUGUUUAUUUUUAUUUUUAUUCUUUAUUUCUUCUUUAUUGAUUUAUCUAGACAAAAUUGAGUGUUAACACAUAUCAUAGAGCCCAGUUGACUCUCCAUUCUUACAAUUCUUGGCAUUCAAUACUUCUCUCUUACACUCCACAUCUAUGGCUCUCCGACAUUUCUAUACUUUUGUCUUGCACUCCUUUUUUACAAUUCGGGGCAUUUUCACACUCCAAUUUUAUGGUUCUUGACAUUCUAUUAGUAUUGUUUAGCUUAAUUUAGUCUCAUAUCAUUUAGUAUUGUGAGAUGUUCUCUAUUUAGAUAUAAAGCUUAAUAGAUACACCAAAAUAAAUAUACUUCCUAGUGUAUUGUGAACGAAGAUGUACAAUAUUCAAACAUGUUAUCAAUAUGAUGAUGAUAAGAAUAAAAAAAUAACGGUUCUUACAAUGAUAUGUUUAAUUUGAACAAGAGUUUGGUAAAACUUUUUGUCUACACAUUUGUCUAAGUUACAUGAAAAUAACUGCAUAUUAGCUUAUGAAUUUGAAUUUGAACAUUUGAGUUUUCAAGUUCUACAUAUUUUGCAUUGGACUCUUUUAUUUGUUCAAUUAUCUAAGAAAUGGAAGAUAAGUUUAGAUAUGGAAGCAAGACUAACUUGAUGGAAAGAAUUGUCAGGGACUAUUUCCAAAUGCUUAUGAGACAUGAUGAUAAAUUGGCGCAAGAGGUUAAUCUUAGCAUGAAAGACAUAAGGAAUGUGAUCAAAGAACUUAGCAACAGAAUUUGAUUUUCCCUAUUUUUCAGUGAGACAUUGCAUAUAUGAUGUCGUAAGUUUAGGAGAGCGUUAUUACAACUUAAGGAUUAUGUUGCCAUACUUUGCUCUGCAACGUUGUUUAAGCCUCCACAAGUUGUCGAUUUAUCUACUAGUGGCUUCAAUCGAACUUGUAAGAUCUCCUUCACAAUACAUGGGUUAACCUGACUUUUUGUUGGUGAGUUUUUUUUUUUUUUUAAUUUAAAUUUAUUGAUUUGAUUCGAAAUAUUGUUAUUGGACUGCUAACUUAAAUGUUGGGUUAAGUUUAUAUGGUUUGAGUUUUUAAUUAGGAUUUGAGUUUUCAAAUAUUAGUGAGGUCAUUAAUAAUUUAAAAUGCACAAUUUGUGUGUAUGCUCUUUAUAAUGAGUGUUACAUUUUUUCUUUUGUGUUAAUCACUUACUAAUUUAAAAUAUAGUGGUUAAAAAUGCAAUAAAUUUGCAAGUGACAUAAGCAUCAAAUAUGAAGAUAACUUCUUUUUCUAAUCAUUUUAAAUUAAAAUUGUUACUAUAUUUUAAUUUUAUAUAUUUAUGUAGAAAUUAAUUAAUAUCUAGGAAGAAAUUUUAAAGAUAAAAAGAUAGAAGAAUACAUAUUUACUUUCAAAAAUACUAUUUUUAAAUGAAAAAAAUUAUGUCUAAUGAUUCAUAUCGUACACAUAAAAAUAAAUAUUAAUAUUUUCUAUGUAGUAGUAUAGAAGUUGAUUUAAUUUUGUAGUUCUAUAACUUUUAUUAGGGUGAAUUCAUACAAAUGCAAAUGUGCUUGAAAAUAAUCCAAAUAACCAUAAGGUAGGUUUAUGGAUCACAUAAUGCUUUAUUUGUGAUGUGUUUAAGAUUAUAAUUAAAAUAAGAAUACACUUGUGCUUUGUUUCUUCACCAUAUUCAAGUGACACCUUCAUUUCAUGUCAAUUUUGUCAUAAACUUUUCCAUGACCUUUGCAUCAAAUUGUGCAUGUCAAAUCUCUUUAUAUAGUUGUGUCUUACUUUUACUGUAUAAAAGUUUUUUUUCCCUAUUUUUUCCAUCCAAUACAUCUCUUCUAUUCUCCACUUUAUAUAUAUAUAUAUAUAUAUAUAUAUAUAUAUAUAUAUAUAUAUAUAUAUAUAUAUAUAUAUAUAUAUAUAUUUCACCGAAGUUUACUUAUCAUUUAAAACUUUUACUGGAAAAAAUAACAAUACAAUACAGGGUUAUUAUUUUAUACAAUUUUAUAAAAAUUACUAUGAAAUGGAAAAUAAAAAACAUCUUCAACUAAACUAAUCUGUGCUUGAUUUUCUUAGCUAAGUUUUUUUUAUCCUCUUCUCGAUUCCCUGAAAGAAAACCUUAACCCAAAACGUUCCCAAUUAAAAAUUUAAUCUUUCAUUUCAAAGUUUCUCGAUAUCACAUUUCAAAUUUCACGAGCAAAAGUAAUUUUUAUAUUUUUAUUUUAAUAAUAUAGGUUCUCAGUAUUUAUCUACCUAUUCUUUUACUUUUCUUCCAUCUUUUAAGAGUAAAUGUUUAAUAUAAUAUUUUAAUUAUGGCUAUUGAAAAGUUCUGGUCAUGAAAAAAACAUAAUUGUAGAUGGAAAAGUAACAUGGAAGAUUACAUGGAAAAAAAUGAAAAAGAGAGAAAAAUAUUUGACCAUAACACCAAUGAGUUGUAGAAAAAGAAAAAUACACAGUAAGUGAAUCACUUAUAUAUUAAGCCAUACAUAGUAAAAUGUUAUGAAUCCAAAAAUUCAUUAUGUUAUGAUUUAGCCUGAAUGAUUAAUAUUAAGAUGGUUUUUAUUGUUUGAACACCAGACUUUUAUGUUAGUCAAAAUGUUGGAAUUUAAGAGUAUUAGAGACAGUAAGAGAUACAAUUAUUCAUGAAGAGUUAUAAAGAGUUACAAUUAUUCAUGAAGAGUUACAACCAUUCAUGAAGAGUUACAAUCAUUCAUGAAGAAAUGUAACUAAUCAGAAUCUGGUAUUUCUUGGAUUUUAAAGAUGUCUGAUCAACAUCAAUAUAAAGGGAUCAUGUGUUCUAUUGAAAGCAAAGACUUUAGAGACCUUUUCUCUAUAUUCGGUCAUCUUCUUAAUUCAAAAAUCAAUUCAUAAAAUCAAUUCAUGAAAAUCAUAUUCUUGUUUAACGUUAAUACUAAGAGUGAAUAUUAUUAUUGUAUUUCUUCUUUGUAUCUCAAAAGCGGAUUUCGUGAUCCCCUUCACUCUUAUAAGAGAUGAAAUAUUUCUUUUAGAAAAGUGUGUAUUUGCAUCUAAAAGAAUAUAUAAAGUCUACAUUGUUGUUCAUAUUGUUUUCCUAAGUUCUUGGAAAAUUGUUCCAACAGUCUAAAAGCAAUAUUUUCUCUAUGACAACAAUUCGUGAGAUGUCUGCAAACUUUCACAAAUUAGACAAAUUUGAAAGUGUUGGUUUCCGACAAUGGCAAAAGAAGAUAUAUUUCCUUCUCUCGGCUCUAAACGUGGCAUAUGUUCUAAUUUCUCCCCAACCCAAAGUAAGUGAAACCGAGACAUUGGAGGAACAACAGAAAAGGAACAAAUGGGAGAAUGAUGAUUAUGUCUAUCGUGGUCACAUUUUGAACGAUAUGUCUGAUCCUUUAUUUUAACAUUUCUAUCAUCUUAUUUCUCUAUGAAGGAUAUGGGCGAAACAAAUUUAUAUUAGGUAUAAAGAUUAAGAAAGAAAAUGAGAAAUUAAUUUUGUCUCAGUCUCAUUACAUUGAGAAAGUAUUCAAGAAAUUCAACAAUUAUGAAUGCUCUCUUGUUUCAACAACCCCUAUGGACCCUAGUUUAAAGAUAUUACCUAAUGGUGGUAAAACAGUUUCACAACUAGAAUAUGCAAGGGUAAUAGGAUGUUUAAUGUAUGCAAUGACAAGUACAAGGCCAGAUAUUGCUUUUGCGGUAAGCAAAUUGAGUAGAUAUAUUAGUAACCCCAGUAUGUCACAUUGGCAAGCAGUACGUCGAGUACUUAAGUAUUUAAAGAAAAUUAUUAAUUAUGGAUUAACAUAUAGUGGUUAUCCUUUAGUUUUGGAAGGAUAUUCUGAUGCAAGUUGGAUUACAAAUGUAGAAGAUCACUCUUUAACUAGUGGUUGGAUUUUCCUCCUUGGGGAAGGUGCAAUUUCUUGGUCUUCCAAGAAACAAACUUGCAUUACAGAUUUCACUAUGGCUUCAAAGUUUAUAGCUCUAGCCUCGGCAAGAAAGGAAGUCGAAUGGUUGAGGAAUCUCAUGUUCGAAAUACCAUUGUUACCAAAACCAAUAGCAAUACAUUGUGACAAUGCUGCAACAUUGGAAAAGGCUUAUAGUUAAGUAUAAAAUGGCAAAUCAAGACAUAUUGGAGUGAGACAUAGUUAUGUCCAAGAACACAUCAAAGAUGGAAUUAUUACAAUAGAUUCCAUACGAACAAAGUUUAAUUUGGCUGAUGGAUUUACUAAGACAUUGGUUAAAGAUUCCAUUUUCAGAAUGACAAUUGGAAUAGGAAUGGAGCCCACGGUUAAUCACAAGUAAGGGAAUCUUAACUUAACGCUUAAUAUGACAUUGAGUCUUAAGUUCAAUAAGAUUAAAUCUCUUAUUUGAUAAUUGAAAGCACAAAUAAUUAUUUCAAGAGUGCUUUAGAUCUGUGAUGAUUAGGAGAUUGACUAAUUCUUAAUUGAUUUAUUGAAUUUAUGUUUUGCCACAGAAACAUGUUUACCUAAAAAAUCAACUUAUGUAAGUGCAAAGUUUGGUCGCUUCAAGAAGUCAAGGGAACAUGACUGUGUUGCACUUAUGAAUAGAUAUGGACGCAUGGCCCUAUUGUGUCAAGUAUAACAAAAAUAUGUAAUUUAUCUUAUAUGUAGAAUAUCUUCAAGACUUCAUUAUGUAUUAUGUUGGUUCAAUCGUUUCGACACCAAUAAAAUACGAAUUCCUGAAAUGUGUAUUCUACUAAGUGAAAGUUCAAGUCUAUGUACACUUUCAUUUAUGUGUAAGAUUGCAAUUAUUAAAUUGAUGUUUGUGUUAAGUAAUUAUGCAAUACUCUCAAAUGGUGGAGGAUUGUUGGAAUUUAAGAGUAUUAGAGACAGAUUUUAGAUUCAUAAAGAGUUACAAUUAUUCAUAAAGAGUUACAAUUAUUCAUAAAGAGUUACCAUUCAUGAAAAGUUACAAUCAUUCAUGAAGAAACGUAACUAAUCAGAAUCUGGUAUCUCUUGGAAUUGAAAUAUGCCUGAUCAACAUCUAUAUAAAGGGAUCAUGUGCUCUAUUGAAAGCAGAGACUUUAGAGACCUUUUCUGUAUAUUCGGUCAUUCUCUUAACACACAAAUCAAUUCAUGAGAAUCAUAUUAACUUUAAUAUUAAGAGUGAGUAUUAUCGUUGUAUUUCUUCUUUGUAUCUCAAAAGCUGAUUUUGUGAUCUCCUUCACUCUUAUAAGGGAUGAAAUAUUGUUUUUAUUAGGAAAGUGUGUAUUCACGCAUAAAAGAAUAUAUCACGUCUACAUUGUUAUUCAUAUUAUUUCUCUAUAAAAUAAAUAAUUUAGUGUUUAAAGAAGAUAAUACCAAUAUAAAUAAAUAUAAGAAGCUUGAACAAUUUUAUCAAUAUUUUCAUUCCGCUUCUAAUAGAAGAUACACAUAAAUAAACAGAAAGAAAAUUCUACAGAAAUAAUUUAUUACUGAAAACUAUUAAUACAACAGAUUUGAAAUAGCUAUUUUAAAAAAUAAAAUAAAAAUAAUAAUGGUUUCCAGCAAGUACUCUUUUAAGUUCAUUCCUAUAGUGUCUGUCCUACAUGACAGCAAAACUUUUCUUUUGUCAUAAACUGAAAAUAUAGAUACAUGUCUAGUAGAGAUUAACCUGGACUAUACACAAUCCAAAACCACAGUAACUUUUCCUUGUAUCAACAUAGGAUACACCUACCUGUUGUGCAAGGGGUCUGGAGAAGAGGGAACUACUCUAUUAACUGUAGCAUAAGACCCUUCAUUUGUUUCAUUUGCUUCAUACUUGUUCUGCACAGCUUCCAUUUCUUCCUUUACAUACCGAGCAUCCAAUACUUGACAAUUCAAAACUGAAAUACUUAGUAGUACCAGCAAGAGACACCCCACUUGAGACCUUGAAAUUGACAUCACUUCACUGCAACUAAUCAUCACCAAAUUCUUCAGGCAUGUUCAAGAAAGGAAAUUAAACUAGAAAGAUGUUCAAGAAUAGGUGUGUGUGGCAAGUAGAGAAAGGAAAAUGAUUCUCCUCAAUAUAAGUGUGGAGGGAAAUGAAGAUUAAGAAUAAUGAGUUCUGACUCUUUUAGUAUGCUAAGUUUGAAACGAGUUACUUUGUUUAGGGUGUGGAUCAAGUCUUCUAAUUCCACUUGUUGGUUUAUAAUUGGUAGCUCCCAAAUCCAAAUCCUAGUCAUCACAAAUAGGUGGAAGGUGUAGGUACACAUUACAUUUUUGUAAAGAAAGAGACAGGAGAAAUGUAGGGAAAAAAUUUCCAAGCUCGUGUUUCAAUUAAUCUAACGAAAAACCUUUUUAACAACACUUUUUUAAUAAUUUUUUGACAACACAUACGUGACAGUUUUUGAUUGAUCUUUUAAAUAUUUUUUAAAUGUAAAUUCAAAUAGAUCAAUAAAGUGAUGACACGUGUCCUGUUGUAAAAAAAAUUGUUAAAAAGUGUUGUCAAAAUAUCAUUAUCCUUAAUUUAAUUAGGAAUAAUAAUAUGAGUUCCAAUACAGAUGAAGUCAGAGGUAAUAAUGUUUGACCAUGUUUUCAUGUGUGGUACUUCAUAAUCAAUGUCCAUUUCAUUAAACCUGACCCGACAUGCAAUAUAAGGACGUUUCAGAAACUAGAAAUUCCAGAGUUUGUGCAUUGAUGGUGAAAUAUGUACACUGUUGUCUAUUGGAUACUAACCAACCAUUCCUUUAUCAACUAUUAAACAUUUAUGGCCAUGGAAUAUUGUUGUUUAAGUCGAUUAAUAAACUCCUUAUACUUCCAAAAUCACCCUAACCUUGUUAAUUGCAGAACCCCAAUUUCAGGAUCAGAACUUAACUCUUAACACUAGUUUAUUUUAUUUUAGCAUUUUUUUUCCACCUUAAAAGUUCAAAUUAUGUUAGAAUUCCCACGUCGACUAAAGAUAUGGUCAAUUUAUAGUAUAUAAAUGGAUGCAAACCUUAUUUUACAAAUCCCACGUCGACUAAAGAUAUGGUCAAUUUAUAGUAUAUAAAUGGAUGCAAACCUUAUUUUACAAGUUGAUUUUGUAGGGUUGAAUUAGACUUAAAGUCCACCGGUAACAAAUUGUGUGGGUGGUCAAUGCUAUUUUCUAGGUCUAGUGUGACUUUUGUUUCCUCUUCCCAUGGUCUGUUCAUGUUUGAGAUUUACUUGGUCGAUGAGGGAGUAAGAGAUUUCAGUGAACUGUAAAAGGUAUCUUUUAGCUCAUGUUAUCUGUCUGGCUUAAUGUUUAUAGAGUAGUGUAUUCUAGUGGGGUUUGUUUCUUUCUUUGGACUAGUUUGUGGGAGCUUUCAGAUUCUAUAAUCUAUUUCAUAUCAAAUUUUGGGAAUCGUCAUUUUCAACCUUAGCACUCGUUCUUGUGUCAGAUGUUCUUGUGAACACAAAUUUCUUUCCAAUUAAUCUAUCACUUCAAAACAUGUGUUUUGGUCGGUUAUCUUCUCUAACUCUAGUUGGCACUGCCUAAAAAUUGAAUUAGGUCAAAUUAGUACUAGUAAUAACGAAAGUUUGGCGUAAACAAUAAGCUUGUUCAAAGACUUCUAAGGGAUUGUGUUGACUUUAUAGUAGCAAUUCUUAUUGGGAUAAAUCCGAAUGGUGGACAUAGUGCUAUUGGGGUCAAAUUCUGGUGUGUUAAUUUGAUAGACUAAGGACAGAUAUGAUUAUUGCCUAUGGAAAUUAUUGAAGCAAACAAAUAGUCAUCGCGUGGUUCGCGUUGAUGCAGCGCGUUGCCAUUGUCUAUUUUUUGCCUAAUAUCUUAUUCCCUUACUAAAGGCUAUUUUCAGUGCGAAAUCAUGUUCAAACAGUGGCCAAAAUUGAAUUUAUUCUACUUUCAUUAAAAUAUUCUACACUUGUGUGCCGGUGGAUUCGCUUAAUCCCUGUAGUUUGACUUUCUUCAGGGCCAUAUCAUGUCCAAGCUGUGCUAAAGUUGAAAAUGUUACAAGCACUCAAGCAUAGUUACAUAGUCCAAGUUUGAUCAUUUUCGUUUUAAACUUCUUACACUGAUAUGUCGGUAGAUUAUUCAAAAAAGGUAGAGUUAGUAAAAUGUACAAAUUUGACCUGAUUCAAGAAACCUACUUUUACCUUCAUUAGACAAGGGAAAAAAUACAUUAUAAUUGAGUCUUCAGAUAGGUUAAGAAAUCCUGAGAUAAAAUCCUAUUGGAUGACAUCAAAACCAAUUUUAAUUGUCAGUUUUCGGAGUCCAAUAUGUAUAUGUUGGAUAUCGAGAUAGUAUUGACAAAAUUGGCAGAUAUUUGAGUCUUUUAAAUGUCUUAUGAGGGUUCAAUUUUUGGCCACACGAAUGAAUACGUUGUUAGAAAGAACAAACCCUACUUCAACAAUAUUAAUAUCUAAAGAUACCUGAGAUACAAAUAAAAUGUGUGUAUACUUUCUGUACGUGUGUAUGCUUGGUUCGCAUCUCGUGGUAAAGUGAGUCGGGGAUAUGCGAAUCUAAGGAAAAUAGAAGGAUAUGAUUUUUUAGAAGGAAAAUGAGGCGAUUCCAAUCACUCAUCAUCUCAAACAUUUUGGAUUCCUGUUAAAACAAUCCAAAGUUCAGCAAUAAAAACAUUUUAGAUUUCAUUCAACUAUGAAUUGUCAUAUUGAUUUCAUUCAACUCAGGUUUAUCCAAUUAUUACGUUCAGCAAGGGACGGCAAAGGGCUGGUCAUAGGACUGAGUAACAAAUUUUUUAUGCUCUGUAGUGAUGAAAACUUUUUAGCCAUCCAAUUAGAGAUCUGCACGGUUAAUGCGAAAAGAGAGAGUUUAUGUAUAAUAUAUCCUUACCUAUUUGGAUACCAUUUUGGAAAUCAGGGUUUCUAUGAAUGUUGCUGUUCGUUUUCCGUUGGAGCACCCUGAAUAUACUUUCUGAAAAUAAUAAUUUUGUUUCUGCCAACCUGGACGGAGGUAAUUUUGGAGGGAGUUUUAAAGGUAUCCAAUACAUUCAUUUCAAAGAUAGCAAUGAACCGUAUAGUCCGAACUUCGAUUAGUAAAAACUCUUCAAAACUCAAACAUGACAAGAUAUCACAGAAGUACGUGUAAUAAAUUGUCAAAGACAAGAGCUUUAGUUAUGAUAAUCACAAGUUAUCGCCUCUAUAUUGCCACAAAUGAAUGAAUACAUGAUUACUUAAUCUUUGGAUUGUGUUUCAGCUACAUAUUCUAAAAUGCCAAAAAGCUAUACCUUCGUUCUAUAUAUUUCACUCAUGAUGUCCAGUUUCCUCUUAUACUGAUACUGUAAAGAGGUAAACUUUUAGUACAACGGCUAGAGCCAGCUGCAACAGAAAAAUGCCAGCAACAAUCAAGAACCACCUUUCACCUGCUGAUUUGAUAUGUGCCCGGAGGUUAAGUGCCACAAAUGUCGCUGACAUGAAGCCAGCCACACCUGCAACCACCCAUCUAAAUAUAUCCAGUGGCACAAUGGACAUACACUGCAUAAAACAAGGGUUUGACUGUUGAUAAGACAAUACAAAUCAAUGUCGUAUUUCAUGUUUCCUUAAAGGUAGAAAAAGGAAGAACUUACCAGUGCCGGAAUAAAGACAAACAGGGAAUACCCAUAUAGACAGAAUAGUUGCACAAGGCCAGCAGGUGCAGAGAAGUAUUUGAGGAUUACAUACAGGCAAAGAGGAACUAUUGUAACGUAGCCAUAAAACAAACCAGCAGACCAAGUCACCAGAUUUAUGUCAUAAUCCCAUUCCUUGCUCUUCAGCUUGUGUGCUACAUAUGUCACAAAGGUGCCAAUAGAUGCUGCUACAAAUAUUAAGGUAGUGCAAAUCCAGAAUGGACCAUACCUGCAUAUAUUUAUGUGAACUAAAAAUUACAUGCACAAAACUCACUCCUUUUACGACAAAGUUAUAGAAGUCCUGUUCUCCAAGAACAAAAAAAAGGUAAACAUCAUCUUGUCCACACAGCAGUAUUUAAGUAACAAGAUAUUAGGCCACAGAAGAUACUUUAAUAAAUUUUCACAUAAAAAUGAAACACAACAAACAGAUCAUUAAACGCGUGAGUGUUUAGCUUGGAAGAUAUUAGCAUAUUAAAACUGGCCACAACAACACAGAUACACCACUUCUCCAUAAAAACUAUAUUUAACAAUGUGCAUAACAUAAUUUCAAAACGUCAGCAAUCAAAACCGAAAAUUGGUAGUAGUAUGCUCAGUCAAUGACAUGAGAAAAAGACAGUCCACUCACAAAUCAGGGUUGGUAGCAGUUUUUUCAUUAAAAGAUCCUCUAAAUGGAAAUAGCGAGUCUACAAUUCUCUCAAGAACAUCUGAAGUGUCAACAUCAAAGUACGGUUUGUAAGCGGCAACUGUAAAAGUCCGAAACCAACCACCCUGCUGGGGUUCAUCAGAACCAGAUAUAGGUUUUGAAAAUGAAUCUGCAUAAAAAUGAACGAAACAAUUCAACACAAACAUAUCAAAUAGAUACCCAAUAGAAAUAAGUUAAAAUAACAACUCCAACCAUGAAAUUUCCCAAUGUACAAGAGAAGGCAAUAACAUAAGUAAUAUGCAUCAAUCACCCUCCCUCUAGAGUAAAAGAAACAAGAACAAGAUCGGACCAAACACAACAGCAGAAAAUAAUACUAAUGUUUUAUGGGCUGGCAUGGACUAUAUAGUAGGUAAUAACAGUAUCUUUGUUACAAUUAUACAUAGUAGGUUAAUAGGCGUCACCAUUACAUCACAUCCAUCCAAGUUACCAGCACAGUUUCCACCAAAGUCCAUAGAUAUCAAUAUGGAACAGCAACACAUUGCAAGACAAGCCCCCAAAUACCAUAGUGAAAUCUUCAAAAUUUAUAUUGCAUAUUUUAUAGUAUACAUAUGGAUAGGGGAGACAAAGUAAGUCAACCUGACUCACUUUUUUGCAAUCUAUAAAGUUUGUAACUCAGACUCAACCCACCUAAGGUUGUUGGGUUAAAUGGACAAAGUGAGUUGGCUCAUUUAAGCAUAUUUUGUUUUUCCAACUUGUUUCGUACAUUCAUUCUAGUACAAUCAAAGUGCAUUGACUCAAUCCACCUAUUUAUAAUAGUAAAAUUAGGACGUCCACCUAUUUCACUGAACACUAACCUCAAUUAGGAAGUGAUAUUAUAAAGAUAAUUAUCAAAAAUAAAAAAUGUUAACUUAUAUAAUUGGCUAAACAAAUAAAUUAAGCAUCCAAACCAUUCAAAUGCUAUUAGAUAACAUUCUAAUAUUAAAAAAAAAAAGUGUCAACCUACAAAAUUAAAAGUAGUAAAUAAUUAUAAUGAAAAAAAUUAUAAAGGAGUGUUGGUGGUGGGUUACUGGUCAACCCACAUUCAACCAGACUCAAACAAGUUUAACCCACUAAUUAAGUUAGUUGGCUUCAAUUUAGUCCACAUUUAAAAAAUAAAGAAUAAAGAAUAAAAAAAAACUAUUACUUUCCAACCAUAGCCAGCACACACUCAUGGGUUUGAACCCAUUUUGACACCCCUACAUAUAGUCCUUACUGCCAACACUGUUUUUUGUUUUAUUCCUUUGCAUAAAAAGAUCCUACAUUUGCAUGCCUGUAUGAAAAAACUUUUCCGAAUUAGUCACUACCAUCGAUCAAAGUUAUGAUAUUAAAUUUGUUCUUUAUACUUGACAUCAUUUUUGUACAAAUAUCUACUCUACACAGUAAAAGAAAUUAAAAAUUACUUUAACUCUCCCUGUAAAAAACUCCACAUAUUUGGUAUCUACACAUGAUGUAUAUUUUAUGGUCUCGGUCCUUACAAGAAAAAUUCUUUACCAUCACUUCAAUAAAUGAUUGGGAUCAAUCGGUAAUUUUUUAUGUGAACCAAAAUGUAAUAAUUUUCAUAUAGGUACUAAAAAAAAUAAAAAGAAAAUAAAGACAGGUUUAAAAACAAUUAAAAAAAAUAUCAAUUCCAUGAGGUAAGAGGAAAGUGGGAUGACCUGUAUUUUAAAUACUAUACAGACUAAAUAAUUUAUACUGCUCAUAUAAAUAAUCAAACCAAAGGAAAAAUUAAAGAAAUUCAUAAAAAAUAAAAACUCAAGACUAUUUUCAGACAUGGUCAAUCUAGGGGCAAUAUGAACAUAGUAAUGAAAUCAGAAAAAUUAAAGAUGAUAGUGAAAUCAGUGGAAAAUAAGAAACAUAACAAAUUAUAUAAAAAAUAGCAUAAUAUGAACUAGGAGUCUUGAAGGAAGAAGAAAGAAUGAAACACGCAAAAAAAAAAGUCCUGAAAACAGUUAAGAAACUAAGGGCCAAGCACAGGUAAUUUUCUGUAAAACAUUCGAGGAAGAAGGGUUAUUCCUAUUGUUUCUGUGGCAUAAAAUGCAAUAGAAAAUAAAGAAAAAUCACAAUUUUACCCAAAAAAGGUUCUAAACAUUGUAUUAGAGUAACAAUGGGUUUGGAAGCCUAAGGCAUGGUAGCACCGCAAUGGCAUGCAAAAAGCCACAAUUGAAAACCACAUUGCUUUCUGAAUGCCAUAGCAACAUAAGAGCGCACUAUUCCCUACUAAUCAAAGUCAUGAUGCAGUCAUAAUUAACGUUAAAAACAUCAUGGGUCGUUAAUGAAACAUACAAGCAAAAACAAAAAAUUGACUUUGGUUACAUCAAUAAUUUUCAAACUAUUCCAUUUGUGAAAGACCACCAAUGAGAACAGGAAUGGGUGUCUGCCAGAAAUACUGCUGGAGGACCGAGGCUGCUGGUUGCACUGCAGAGAGAAGCAUGGACCAAGGUUCUUAAACUCAGGAUUCUAACUAGAAUCACAAGAGGAUGAAAAUUCAUGACUGGCGAUAGUAAAUCAGAAUCGUAGAUUGGAUCGAAAGAUCCUACACUCAAACAAAAAUUAUACUUAUAUCAUAUGUAAUACAUACAUACAUACAUACAUACAUACAUACAUAUAUAUAUAUAUAUAUAUAUAUAUAUAUUAACUUUUUUAUGCCUAAUUAAUAUAAUAGGACCUAAAAAUAACAAAUAAAGAAAAUAACCUCUAUAUUACAACCUUAAACAAACUUAAAUUGAAAUUUCAUAACCAUGAUAAUAUAUUAUAAAUCAAAGAAUAACUAUAAUAUAUUAUUAUGAUUAUUAAUAGUUAAGAAAAAGGGGGAGCAGUUAGGCUAAUAAAAAUAGGAUAACUAUAUAUUAUAAAAAGUUUUAUUGAAAAGCUGUAUUGUAUUCAUUAUAUGAAUAUUUAUAAUUAUAUGUUAUACGCUUAGGCUCACUAAUAACUCAAAAUACACAGGCACCAUCCAAAAAAUCUUGGCAAAUCAAAAAAAGACACGAUAACAAAAUGAAUGGAAAACGAAAUUUAGUUUGCAAAAGAGAGUAUAUAGAAAAAAAAAAUCAGAGAAGCAACCUGGCAUGAAAAGAAAAAAAGUUUAGUUCACAAAACAUAUUUUUCAAACAGAGGAGCAAUCAGCAGUGGCCCAGGGUAGAAAUGGUGAUGAAGGAAUAAAGGUAUGGCAGUAGCAAAUACUGAAGGAGAAGCAGCCAGCAAACAAGAGCAGAUUGCAAAUGGGAAUGAAUGAGAAAAACGAUUGGAACAAAGUGAUUCUAGGAUUUUCAAAACUGGUCAUUUGGCCAACUUCUGACUUUGAGAUCAACCAUCCCACGUGGAAGAUUCUAUACCCCUUCCCAAACGAUCCAGGUGACAGUUCAGCACAGACAAGGCUGCUUGGCACCUAGGAUUACGCGAUUUCACAAUGUGAAUUACGAUUUUAACAACUAUUCCAAGGGGGAACCACAUCUAAUUAUGGUUUUUUGAAAUUCUGACUAGGGAAGGGAAAUCUCAACCCCACCUCUCUCAGACAACGCAGUUUCAAGGUCAAAUAGGAUUUUUAAGAUGUGUCAUUGUAGUGCCGCUAUAGUGCUGUAACAGGCUGCUACUUUGGCAACAAUAUCAGCUAUGACAGCCACCGUUCAAAAGGGUACUGUCGCGCAAACUCCGUAGCAGCCCAUAGCUGCUGCACUACUGAUAACUAUAGUUCCCUCUUCCACGCACACCUUCUAACAAUCCCAUCAGACAAAUCAACGCAUAAUUUAAUACUAUAAACAGCACACACACAAGAUAAACAUCAUAAAAAGCAUAAGAAUAGACAAUUUCACGAAAUAUAAAGCUAGAUCAGGGGAAUAUUAUUAAAGCAAGAAUUGAAAACCUUUCGAGUAUCAUCACCACCAUCUGUAAACCCAAGUUCCUAUGAUGUCAUCUCAUCUCUUUAUUACGCUGUCAACUUAAUAAUUCAAGCGAAGUCCUAACUAAGUCACAGCGUCUAAUACACUACUAAUCACAGAACUUCCAUCAUGGAUCAUAAAAUAAUCAAUCACUGGGAAAGGAAAGCUAUUAAUUAACCUAUUUUUCUAUAAGAUAUUAAAAAAAACGAAGAGAGUGUAGUUAUAACACACCAUCGGCAUCUCGAGGAGGACCAGAAGCAGCGGUAAUCUUGCCCUGCGUUCCAGAAGGAGGAAAUGUCUGAAGAUUUGAAUCUAAAAUGCAAACAAAUUACAAAUCUGUGAUCAGAUCCAGCAUAGGAGAAUGAGAGAAAGAGAGAGGAAAGAGUUGAACCUGCGAAAUUGACAGUGACCUGUCGUGAAUCUGGAACAGCCUGAAAGAAAUGAAAGAGAGAAGUGAGAAAUUGAAGAGUUAACAACGGAACAAAAGAUUCGGAUAGAGAACACUGACAGGAACAGAUCCCUGAACUUGCUGCGCGUCAAUGGAGGUAUAUUUUCCCGACAUCAUCUUGACUUGAUCUUCUUCUUUUCCCUUUUCCUUCUUCUUCUCCUUCUCUCAGAUCUCUCUUCUCUUCUCAGUCGCUCCGAAAGCUUCCACUCUUCGUUUUGUAUUUAAAUAAUUAAAUAAUUCUAUUAAAAAAUAUUUACCAAAUGUAAUUAAAAUAUUUCUUUUAUUCUUUCAUUAUCAUUUUUCUUUUAUUCUUUUUUUAAUUUUUACUAUUUUUCCUACAUCAGUCUCUUCAUCUUUAUUAAGUUACCUCUUCUAAGCACUGAGAAAAAAAAAUAUUUUUAAAAAAGUUAAAAUUGAUUUAUGUAUAAAUUAACAAUACCAAAUUAUAUUUGUCCACGCAUAAAAAUAUUUCUCUCAUAUAUGCUUGAGAGUAGUGAAAGUAUAUCUUUGGAUUAUUUUACUUUUAAAUUAUGCUCUGCCCAUUGUUUCAUUACAGUGAAAAAGGUAAAUUCUGCGUGUAAACGGGCUUAUUCAUGCAGAGUGAGAUGUUUGAAUAAAAUUUUACAAAAGAAAAACUAAAUAAUUUUUAUCAUAAAUUAAAAUUAAUUUAUAUAAAAAUAAAUAAAAUAAAACAUAAAAGGGAAUUUAUACCAUAUACAAGUUAAUUUUAGUUUCAAAAUAAGUUUAUAAAUAGUUUUAAUAAUGUUAAUCAAGAUAUUUCUGGGGAUUUCAAAUAUAAGUUUCUCUUUAAGUGUACGACUAAAAGAUUUUAAAAUAUUAAUUGAUAUCCAUUUUAUUAGUUCUAAAAUAAAUAAAUAAAUUAUAUGCAUUCAUUGGAUGAAAUUAAAAUGAUGUUACUUUAACGAGCUCUAAAUUAAAAAUAACUUUUAUAUUUAAAAUACUUAUCAUUUUAAUUUUUUGAAUAGAACUCUUAUUUUAAGGCUUUUUAUAUGAAUUUGGAAUUUGUAUUUAAGUUUUUAAGUUCUUGAGAUUGUAAUAAAAUGGUCGGUAUUAAUGAAAUGACAAAAUGUUCUUUGAAAAUGUACACCAUCAAUUACUUUAGUUUUGAAAAUUAUAAUGCAAAGUCAAAAAUCGAUUUCAAAAAUAAAUAAAAUGCUGAAAUCAUCUUUAAAAGUAUGAAUUGUCAAUUCAUCUAAUCUUCAAAAUUUGUAAUAGUAAAACACAUUAGUCCCAAAUUAUAAAUAUUUAAUUUUUUAAACAUUUCUAAUUCCCUAGUCAAACAUAAGCAUACAUUUAAGAGAAAAAAAAAUGUAAUUAAGUAUUUAUAAUUAAGGUUCAACUUGCUUUACUGUUACAACUUUAAAGAGUAAAUUGAUGAAUGAUUUGUAAUUUUAAGAACAUACUUUCCAUUUUUUUAUUGCAAGGUUAUAUUAUCCGUAACAAUUUGAAUAACUAAAAGUAUUGAUGAUGUGCGAUUUUAGACAACAUGUUCUUCUUCUUUUCUUUUGCAUUUUAUUCAUUUCAAGGAUCAUUUAUAUGAAUUAUUGCAAUUUCAAACAAUAAAUUAUAGUUUUAAUUUAUUUAAAAAUUAAAUAAUGUGUACCUUAUCCAAAUUCUAAAUUAUACAAAAAUACAAAUGUGCAAAUUUUCACAUUAUAAGUAAUAUUGAAGACUAUAAAUUUAAAAUAGAUGACAAAAUGGGUAUGGCAUGUUGUUGAUAAGUUAAAAGAUUAAUGAUAUUUAGACAACAUUUUUUUGACAACAUUUGAACAUUGAUUACGUAUCAAUAUGUGAUUUGUUAAAAAUUACUCCACAAUAUUAUUUAAGAUUAUUAUACGUAAUCAAUGUUCAAAUGUUGUCAAAAAAAUGUUGUCUAACUAUUAUUAUCGAAGUUAAAAACAGGUUUGGACUAAUCCGUCAAACAGAAACGGAUUAUUAAUGACAAUCCGUCCCGCACAUGAUGGGCUGACAUAUCGGGUAAAACUAACUUGUUAUUUUUUAUAUAUUAUAAUUUAGUUAAAUAUUUAAAAAUAAAAUCUCUAACAUAUUUUCAUACUCAUAUUGAACGUGGAUAAUUUAAUUAACAUCAAUCAUUAUAUUAUUCAGUAUCUUUUAAUUUAAACAAAAAAUCUUUAAAUCCCACUGUUAGAUUAAAUGUUUUGAAUUUUUUUCACACUUUUGUGUUGUAAACAGCUUCGAUUUGAAUCUCAUUUAGUUCAUAUAAAUCACAGGUGUUAUUGGAUCGCUCCCCUUGUAGACAUGGAAAGAACACUCAAUGAAAUUGAUGCAAGUAACAUUAGGUAUCAGAAUUCCAACAAUAAAAAUGUCAAAAGCAAAUUGAAAGAGCUUAUGAGUGAGUUGGGAGAGUGUCUCCAUAGGAGAAGAUUGUGCUAGGUAUACAUUCAAAAACACCAAUUAUAUCGUAUGCUUAAAACCUAACAUAACCAUCACAGAAUUGAUAGCUGAAGCUGAUACGAGAUUCCUAUCCCUAUUAUCUGAUGUAUUUUAAAAACAUCCGUGAUGUGAAGUUCUUAACACCUUCUCCCAUGAUAAGUGAACAUCUCAACAUAAAACUAAAUAAUUACAGAUGGACAUGUAACAAUCUGAUAGCAUUCCUAUUGUAUAUUGCUUCUUAAUCAUAUUUUUGAAACUACGAUAUUGUAAAAUAGAAUGAAUAUCCGACAACACCAAUAAAUCAUCUUUGAAACUACAAUAUUUCUUUGAAAUUACAAUAUGAAUAAUUCAUUACUAGUCUUAGUAAUCCAUUGACAGAAAAACGUAUGAUUACAAGAUAUUCCUCCUACCCCGUGCCUGUAACAACUUAACAACUCGAAUAUUCUAAAUCUGACAGAUUCUCCCACCAUAAAAAUCUCAAUACUGCUUACUCUAGUUUUAAUAUACUAAUCUUCAUCUGAACUACUAUUUUCAGAAGUCCUUCCAAAGUCAUCUGAUACGUUUUUAUCCUGUAGAUAUGCAAAGUUAUGAGUGGAUGGUAACUGUGCAACAUAAAAGGAACUUGCUAUAACUUCAAAUGAUACUUACAGGCAUUUUAUCCCAAUCCUUUAGCCUUGAACUUGUCAUCAUAUGAUUAUCUCGUAAUGGAGCCCAAGCAGGCUGUUGGUCUUCUACCUUGCCCGUGCCUUCAUUGAUCUGCAUAUAAAAAAUCUACAGUUUGAUAAUUAAGCAAAAGAAAGAACCUAUCUCAUCAAGAUAGGUUUGCUACAGUUUAUUGGGAAAAAAGAGAAAUUUUAGACAAGGCACUGAGGCACUGGUUUAAACAUAUCAAACCUAGUUCAACCAGUUUGACAGUUGCACCAGACAGACCAGAUAAAAUAUAAAAUUUAAAAAAUGGAACACCAAAUAAUAUGUUUAACAUUAAUGGUUAAAUCCUCAUCNGAAAUAGUAUUACUAAAAUUUUUCCACAUUCAGGAUUUCCCUGCUAAACUUCAAUAAAAUUUAAAGUGGUAAAAUUGAGACCAGACACUCUGACCACUUUUAAAUCACUAAUCAAAAUUAUCGAGUUGUUAGCUAAAUUGACCUAAUCAAAUAUUGACACCAAAAAAAAGAAUGAGCAGUUAAAAAUCACCUUUGUUGAGGUGCCAGUUGAAGGCAAUGACGGUUUCCCUAACUCUGAAAAGAAGGCUUGUUUGGCCCGUUUUCGUAUCUCUGCCAGCAUACACAUUGGAUAAUUAGAAUUAUACACUCAUCACCAAGAUUGAACAUGUUAAGAUCCAAGAAAAUAGAACACGUAGGAAUAAACAGAGAAUCAAGAGUAAAGUACUGUAGUUCUAUAAUAAGAAUAAAAAGGAAAUACAGCAUCAAACAACUAACCUUUUGCAUCCUUAUUCCUAGAGGGGUUCAACCCUUUUUGAGCAGUUUGUGCCUUAUUGACCUGCAACAGAUGUGAACAAAAUCUCUGGCUUAAUUAUGAUAGAGAUACAAACCAUCACAGAGACACAUACAAAAAUCUAUGAAGAAACCAAAUUUUGGUUAAACUUUAAGUGAAAACUUACAGCAUUGAAUAACUUGACCACUGAAAGUAAUCCAAUUUGAUGCAUGGUCACAACAAAAGUCCACAUCAAUAACAAGAAAAUGCAAGUCGUCAAACAAAUUAAAACAGCUAUAGGCUUUUAUUUAAGAAAUUCAACUCAUUUACCUCCUUUUGUUGCAACACUUAUCAGAAACUUUUCAUGUGAGUCCAAGUAUGUAGCAGGUUUGACAUGUCCCUUUUCUGCUAACUGUAAAAAGCAAUAAGAUUACAACCUAAGACAGGGAAACUUUUGGGAGAUAAAAACUGAGCAUACGAAUAAACUGUAACGGUCUUUGGAAAACAAUAAAAUCUGUCAAAAUAAAAUUUAAGAUUACCAUCUGCUUUUCCUUUUUGGCCUCUCCCUUGAUAUUGCGUUCUGCUUGCUCUUCUCCUAGUUUUUCUAUAACAAGUUUCUUGUGUGCUGACAAUAUUGGACCCUGCAGAUUAUCCAAGUCUUAAAAAAACUAGUCUCCCUAUGUUCUGUAAAAUCAUAAUCUUCUGUAUUCAAAUAACUUACCAACAUAUCAUCGGGAACACUCUUCUUCAUAAUAUUCCUAAAUGCCAUCUUGAAUGCUCGGCAUCCUUCAGUGAAUUUUGUAAUUCCUGGCUGAAUUUCAUUAUCAUCAUCUCCUUCAUCAUCAGAACUGUGAUCAUUCGUAUCAGUAGCAUUUUUGUUCGAUGAUUUUAGUGGUGCUGCAGCUCCUUCAUCUUCAGACUGAUUGUCCCCACUUUCCAUGCCAUCCUUCUCAUUAUUUUUAUUGGUGACAGAUGCCAAACGUCUAGUCUCCGAGGCAGCAGUGACAAUGGCCUCAUCUUCUUCAUCAUCAGAGUUAUACUCCCGUGCUCGCUUGCGGAAAAGUUUCUUCAUUUUUUUGUCUAUUUUAACUUUCUUCUGUCCAUGUGGUGAUGGCAUCACUUUUGCUUUCUUACCUGACUUCUUACGGCCUUGAGUUUUAACAAAUUUCCUCCUAGCUCUCCCAGAUUCUACCAUUGCAAUUUCUUCAGCCAUUGACGGUUUUAUAACCCAACUCCAACCUGUAUAAGUAUAUACCAGUAAUAAAAAAAGUUAUAAAAAAAAAAAAAAAACAACUGAAGCACUCAGCAUCCACCCAAAAAUAAAGGGUGCAACAUAGGUACCACACAAGAAUGAACGUGACACUAGUCAUAAAUAGAAGAAAAACAAAGUAAGCACCAAUAGCAACCCUAAAUAAUUCCCAACUCACAGUCUGAAUUCAAAUUUCAAGUUAUCACCUCACAAGCAGAACAACCAAAGAAAACCUAAUCCACAAAUUCAUUUGUCCUUAAACUUGAAAAAAUAUCAAACAAAAAAUCAAUCAGAAUGACAAACCUUUGACUGAACAUAGAUUGGUUUGCGCUUAAUCAUGAAAAGACGAGAACUACAGAAUACAUUGAAGUUCAAUUUCUAAAAUAAAGAAUAAAUUAGCGAACAGAAUAGAGUGAUAGGUCGUACUCGAAUUGACGAUGUCUGCGAAGGAAGAAUUUGCAGUGGCCGCCGGAGUGGGAACGUUAGGGUGAUGGAUCCAUAUUUAAACCUAUUUAUUUUCUCUUCUAAAAACUUCAAAAGUGUUUGCUUAUUAUUUAUCUAUUUAUUUCACAUCAUUUACACUGGCUAAAAUCUUAUUUUUCCAUCUCUAAUAUAAUAUAAUAUUUUAGGUUUAUCUUUAAUAGAUUUUUAAAUAUAUAAGAAAAAAUUAUUUGUAGAUACAAAAUUGAAAGUCAAAAUAUAUUAAAUUUAAAUUUCUUUAAUUAUACUAUUGAAUUACUUAUCAUAGUUAUUAGCCUCGGUGAAAAUAAAAGUAAUAAAAUAAUUAUUAGGAUAAAAUUAUUUGUUAAAUUCCGAAUACAAAAAAUAGUAAAAAAAAUGGAAAUAUUUUAAUGGAAAAUAUUGAAAUAAAACUUUGUAAAAGUAAUACUGAAAUAUUAAAAAUUGUGAAUGUAUAAACAUAUUACAUUGUUAUAAAUUUUCAAAUCCAUCAUUUUCAUAAUUAGAUUAGAUUACAUUAUUAUAUGAUUUUGUAUCAAAAAGGUUAGACCUGAGGUGAGAUGCUAGCUAGAAAGAAAAGAGCAAAUUGAAAUAUUUAUUUUUGACAAAAGAAAUAUCGGAGUGAAAAGUUUAUUUAUUUAUCAAAUUAUAACAUUCAUUAUGUGAAAAAAUAAGUAAUUGUGUUAUAUAUACUUAAAAAUAUCUAAAUCAAACACGUUUCAUCAGUAUUUUCUUUACAAUUAUAGAUUAAAUAACAUAACUUUUAUUAGUUAAUUUAUAUUUCAAAUUAUCAGUAAAUAUAUACUAAUUUCUUCUCGUAUUAUAAAUACGAUUAUUUCAGUCUUAUUGUAUAUGUAUGACUAUUUUAGUCCUUCCCAUCAUAUACAUAUACAUAUAUAUAUAUAUAUAUAUAUAUAUAUAUAUAUAUAUAUAUAUAUAUAUAUAUAUAUAUAUAUAUAUAUANNNNNNNNNNNNNNNNNNNNNNNNNNNNNNNNNNNNNNNNNNNNNNNNNNNNNNNNNNNNNNNNNNNNNNNNNNNNNNNNNNNNNNNNNNNNNNNNNNNNNNNNNNNNNNNNNNNNNNNNNNNNNNNNNNNNNNNNNNNNNNNNNNNNNNNNNNNNNNNNNNNNNNNNNNNNNNNNNNNNNNNNNNNNNNNNNNNNNNNAUGUUUUCUUUCACUUGUUCAGAAAUUUCUUCAUCCAAACUGAAAUCUUGAACAUUCCUUGUUGAGCAGAAGCUAAUUAAGUGUCUCAAUCUCCAAGAAUUUCGAUUUCAGCUGAUCAAUCCUUCCUCUUUCUAAUUGGUAAGUAAAUUCUCAAUUCUGCAUAGCCAUCAGGGCCAUGAUCAUGCAAUAUAUAUAUAUAUAUUUGCAUGUGAUUCAUUUUGUUUUCCCCAAAUUUCUUGUUUAAUUUAGACCUAAAAUCUACCUUCAAUUUUCCAACGUUUGAUCUUUAGGCAAACUCUGAAAAUUCUAACGGUGCCAAAUUCCAUAAAAUAGUUCGAGUCUGAGUCGUGAUCACUGUCCAGGUAAGGGGAGCUAGUUCUUAUUUUGUUUUGGGUUGUGUGAUGUGAAUGCAUGAUAAUUUUCGAAAUGGUAUGUGGAUUGGAAACAUGAUUUUGAUUUUGGUUAACUUGAAAUGCAUGGAUGGAGGUGUUUAAUAUGCAAUUUGGUGGGUGGUGAUUGUAUGCUGUUUUUGAAUGAUUUAGAUUGUUGAAUUAUGUAUGUUGGAGUUGUUGUGGUAUAGAAAUUCUAUUGUGGUGAUGCUAGAAAGGAAAUUAAGUGCCUUAGGGUUACUUUUUGGUCAUUUUAGAGGAAGUGAGGUAGUGAUUUUGAAAAAAUGAGGUUUGUCACGUUUUUGGGCUGUUGGGACAGUUUCACCCACUGUAUUGUGACUUGUUUGAGUCACUAAAUUGGUCAAGAUAGGUGCAAAGUGGUAAGAUUGAGUUUUGGGUCCCUAAGUUGGGUAAAUUGGUGUUUUAGAGUUAGAAAGGAAGUGUGGUGGUCAAUUUUAGAGUUAGGCAUUCUUGGUGAUCCUAGUCAGUUUAGGUAACUUAGGUAGGUCAUGUGUGACUUAGUAGGCGUGUUUAAAUGGUUAAAAAUCAACUCCAAGUUGUAGAAUUGAAUUUAGACCUCUAGGUUGAUAAAAUUGAAGUUGUAGAACCUAAAUCAAUGCAUAAACACUUUAUAAUAAUGUUAGAAAGGAUUAGAAUUGUUUAGGUAAGUUUAUUUUAGCAUGAAAGUUGACUUAUGGGUUGUAGAAGUUCACCAAAAGGAUUAGAAUUGGUAAAAGGGGGUAGAAUUGCUCAAUUAUGCAGAAAAAUUUGCAUAAUUCUCGCUUGGGUGCUUGGGCGCCAUUUUCUGCUGUCGUGUUUGUUGUUGAUAGUUUAUGGGGUUCCGGACGUCCGUUUUGGACGUUCUUUAGGUCGUUCUGGGGGUUUUUGACCCUUCCGGAAUCAUUGGUGAGGGUCUCCAAGCUGUUUGAAUUACUUAAGUAUAGGUAAUUAUAGUUGAUAAAGAAAUUGGUAUUAAUAAAUGAUGUUUCUGUGAAGAUAUGUAAUGUAUGAGCUAUAUAUGUUUAUUUUGCUUCUGAAUGAGAUUGUAUGAUUAAUUGGAUGAGGUUGGUGAGGUGAAACAAGAUUGGUGAUAUAGAUUAUGAACUUUGAGAAUUAUUCAAAGAUCUCUAGGUGAGAUCACUUUAGUGUAUUAAUGAAUAUUGAGGCUCCUUCAAGGGAGGUUAUCCCUAAUACUCUGACGGUCUUUCAUUCUCAAAUAGAGAGGAUCGACAUGGGUGGUGAGUAGGGAUGGCAUAAAAAUCCGUACCCGCGGGUAUCCGCGGAUAAAAUCCGCCACGGGUAGUUAGUACCCACGGGUAAAAGGUACCCGCGGGUGGCGGGUAGCGGGUUUUUUAAUACCCGCUUGUUAACGGAUCGGGUUCAGAUAUCACACUAUCUGUAUCCGCGGGUACCCGCAACCCGUCUUACCCCUUUAAAUUAUUUUCUAAGAUAUCCUGUCGUCAAACCCUAGUUUCAAUUUCAUUACAUUUUUUCUCUUUCUCCUUCGUUUUCUCUCCACCGCGGACGACCUAAUGUUGGGGCAAGGAUGAUCUGCGUCUUAAGCAGAGACUUCUCUGCCACGGACUCCGACUGUGCUCGUCGGCGAAUGGCACCAGACUCAGAGUCCGACGAGAGGCUUGCUGUUGGAAGUAGAGAAGCACGAAUCCGAUGAAGAAGAAGGUGGUGAAGAGGAUGAGGAAGACGUAGGCAACGCUCGAAGUGAACACCGGAGGAUUGGACACUUUCAGAGGGCUUCCUAAGGACAUUUGCGGCGAGGAAGCGUUUCGUGUUUGGCGUGAGGAAGAGGAGGCAUGGACAUGGAGAGGUGGCAGCUUGGAGGCGGUGAGGCACGGCGGUGGCAGCUUGGAGGGGGUGAGACGCUGGAUCUGCGGUUCGGCGAGGCGCGAUGGUGGCAGCUUGGAGGCGGUGAUGCGCGACGUUGAUANCUUGGAGGGGGUNAGACGCUNGAGAUCUGCGUUCCGUUUAUGGAGGCGGCGNCGCACAAGCAGUGGGAAGGAAAAUGAACUCCUAACUUGAGAAAGAAACCCUAAUGUGAAGGGUUUGGGCUUGGCCCAUACUAAAGGUUAUUAAAACAACCUAAAAAAAGUUUUGUACUUGUCCAUUUUAAAAAAACAAACAAAUAAAAUAUUAUUUUUUUAAAGUAUUAUUGGGUUGAAACGGGUAUCCAACGGGUAUCUGCGGGUUGAAAAAAAUCCGCGGAUUUUUUUUAUGCGGGUACCCGACGGGUAGCGGGGCGGGUAACGGGCACACUUUAUAUAUGCGGGUCGGGUUCGGGUAUCAUACUAUCCGGCCUGAACCCGACCCGUUGCCAUCCCUAGUGGUGAGAGUAGUGGGAAGUCCUAGGGUAAACGCUUUCACUGGAGGUCUAUUCCGCGGUAACGGACUAGCCUUGUGUGUGGUUGGGUGAAACCCCUCGGCAAUGGCUUUGCAAAGCAGUAGAGUCCACCACAAGUGCAUAACCUGCUCAAGAUCAAUAUUCAUUCCUAGUCCGGACGAGUCUAGGUCUAGGAUUUAUUUAUGUUUGAUUGGUUGUUGCUUGUAUGCUUUGUUUCUUGAAAAUGCAUUGAUUAUGUUUAUGUUUUAAAUACUAGCUNACCCUUGCAAUGUAUGUGUGUAUUUUGCAUGUUUCUGGUCUUCCCUUCUUGCGAUGAUCAUCCUACUUUUGGAUGUGAGCAGAACCAGUAGAUGACACGCCUUUGGAGCAAGCUCUGGACAGUGGAGAUGUAGCUCUCACCUCUUAGAUUUACUUUCAGUUUCUUUAUCUUAUUCCAUUUUGAAAGACUUUAUAUAUGUAAAGCUUUUAACUUGUCUUUAUUUUGGAUGACUGUAUAACUAUAUACUAGCAUCAUAUCACUCCUACUGCUUUAUAGUAUUACAGUUGUUGUUUUCCAUGUCUAUAUACUUGUUAUAUAAUUUUGAGAUGUUACAUUAUUUUUACAACUUUCAUUCCUAUAAAAAAAUAUAAAUAAUUAUACUUUUCAUCCUGUAAUAUAGGAUGAAUCUCAUUUAGAUUCUUUAAAUAUUGAAGAAAGAUUAUUUCAAUUUCUCAAAUUUGAAAAAGAUGUUUUAAGUACUUUUAUAUUAAAAGCAACACUAAAUAUUUAAUUAAAUCUAUAACUUAGUACAACAACUUUUGUACUAGUUCUACACGAAUAAUUUUUACAUUAUAUAACAUAAUUAUUACGGGCAAAAUAAGUUACUUCGCUGGUAAAUUAGGUUAAUUCGUGGGUCAAUUCAGUUCAUAAUUUAUUUAAGUUGGAUUGUAUUUAAAAAAAAUAUAAUUUUUUAUAUAAGUUAGUUUUCAAUUUUGUUUAUCAAUUUUUAGUUUUCAAUUUUGUUUAUCAAUUUACCUAAUUUAAUUUAAUUAUUUAUUAUUUUGUAUUUCAAUAUUAUUAGUUAGUAUUUUUUUAUCAUAGUGUUGACGACGAUAAAGAAGAAAUGUUUCAUGAGAGAAAAAUAUUAUAGAUUUAUCUAUUCAAGACUCUAAUCUUAUAAGGGAACAAGUGAUACUAAAAUUUUAUUCGUCUUUUGUACAUAUUUUUGGAUUAUGUUGAGGUUGUAUGAUACUUUUUUUUUAAUUGUCUUAAAAAAAUUGUUUUUUUUAUUUUAAAAAAACUUAUAAUUAAAUGAGAUAAUGAGUCAAUCAAUUUUAACCCACAAACCCGUAGUGGGUCGGUCCAGAUUUAUAUUUUUCAGCUCGCUAAUAAUUGAGUCGGGUUGGGUUGAUUUACUAAGUAACCAAUCCAUGGUGAGUCGAGUCACGUCGAGUUGGAUUACCCGUUUUGACAACUCUAAUUUAAAUUAAUUUUAAAAAUAUUAUUUUCAAUAACCUAAUACAGUUGUUUAUAAUUUCACAUAGUUAAUAUAAUUACAUUAUCACAUUCAGUAGUAGAGUUACAAGUUGAGUCAUAUCUUAGGGUUAGGGGUAUUUUUUUGAAAUAAAAUUCAGAACAAGCACAUAUUCUAAACAGUUCUAUCAAGUUUCUCACAGUACUUGAGAAAUAAUUCUGUUGUGACAAAGAGUUUGAAUUCCAGAUUAAACAAAAACUCUAUCUCCAUCCUAUUCAUCUCCUCUGUGCUAACUCCUCCCACUUUGGCAAAGUAAGCAUUGCUGUAGUACCUGUACAAAAAUGGAAAGAACUUAAUUGUACUUCAUUCCAUAAUUAUAACAUUUUCAACUCUCUAUGGUAGAAUAUAAUUAAAUUAGAUUCAAAAUUAAGUUUUUAAGAUACUUUUAUGAUUAUUUUAAAAAAAUAAUUAUAAUAACAAUUUUUAUUUACUAUAUCUAAUUAAACACAAAACAAAUAUGUAUCAAAUUAAUGUAAAAAAAAAAUUGUAUCAAAUUAUUAUUAUCUUAAUAUAUAUUAAAAUCAGAAAUAAUGGUAUGGUGACAAUAAAAAAGUGAAUUGAAUUUGUAAAAGAAAAGAAAGAGAAAAAAAUAAUAAAAGUAAUGUAAACGCAUAUAAAAAAUUUGUGUGUAAAAAUAUUGUUACUCUAAAAUAAGUGUAUAUGAAGAUAGAUCUACGAGAAACAAAUUUGGUUUAAAUUUUUUUUUAGUCCUUAAAUUAUAAGUUUAUGUUCAGUUUAGUUUCCGUUUUUUAUAAUAUCAAUCUUUGAUUUUUAAGUUAUGAAAAAUAUAUCAAAUCAGUUCGAGCCGAAAUCAAUAAAAUAUCUAUCAUAAAGAAAGAUUUAAACCAAACUAAAAAUAGAAAGAGAAUGGAAAGUGUGUUUUUGUGAAGUACUUACUUAUCAUCAAGAAACUUAGCAGCUACCAUAAUGCUUGUGAUUAGGAGGCGAUGAGCAUUGAAAGAAGUAAGAUAACCACCGUUUUUGUGAAAGAACCUUUCCAUGUAUAUGUGUGCAAUGAAGAAACAAGAAGGGCUGCAAUUAGAGUACUUGAAAAUGCGAUCCAUGUAUUGUGUAACACUCAUGUUUGGUGCUUUCGACCCAUGAAAGAUGGUAACAGGAUCAUACUUUCCUCCUGAGAGCAACAGUUUCUCAUUCUUCAAAAUGGAUCUCUCCAAAAUCGAACACAAUUUCAGCACUGGAGUUUCUGCGACAUCACCCAUUUCUAAUUAUUUAAAGACCUCUGAUCUUAUGAUAGCCAUGGCUUUAUUAGAUGUUGUUGGUGGUGUUUGUUUUCUCUAUUUAAGUACUACACCAUCAUUAGGCAUGCCUUAAUCACAGUAUUAGCAGUUUAAUUUGUUCUGGAUUGGUAGAGAAGUUUUGCUUUUGGUUCUUUCUGGCAGAAUAUUUACAAAAGUGUAUUCUUUCCUUUGGGUUUCAGGUAUGAAUAAUGACACCACAAAGAAUAUUGCCUAUAUGUUUUGACAAAAAAUGGAACCAAUUCCAUUUCAUUGGACCAAUUUGGGCAUAACACUGUAUAUUCCAAAACUUAGUAAAGCUUUAGUUUUCUGAGUGAUUCAUCUUACACUUCGAACUCUUUCAUUCUACCUCCAAUUUCUAGAAAUGCCUUCUAAUUAAUGAAAGGUUUAAAUAUUUUUUUGUCCCUUAAGUUAAGUUUUGAUGUUCAGUUUAGUCUCCGUUUUUUUAAAUGUCAACAUUUAGUUCCUAUGAUAUAAAAAAUGUAUCAAAUCAGUCCUCAUGACAGCACUUAAUGAACAAUAAAUCACAAGUUUUCAUAACUAGGUAUCCAAUAUUUUGUGAUUUGUUAACGGAAGAUGUUAUGAACAACCAAUCACUUAAUGAAAAACUUGUGAUUUGUUAAUGAAUAGGACUGAUUUGAUACAUUUUUCAUAUCAUAAGGACUAAAUGUUGACAUUUUUAAAAGCAGAGACUAAACUGAACAGUAGAAACCAAAAAAGGAUUUAAACCUUAAUGAAAUUACACUUUUAACCUUUCCAUUUGCACCUUUAAUUUUCAGAAAUGUUGUCUAAUUAACGAGGUCUCCAACUUUUUCACAACUUUUUCACCCAACACCUCCAAUUUUCAAAAUAUCCUCAUUAAUGUUAAAUAUAUAUAUUAAGAUAUUUAUUUAUUUUUAAUAACUAUAAUAGUGUAUAUAUAGUAAAUAGUUAAUUAUUAAAACCACUGUUUUGUUAUAAUUAUUUAAUUUUGUUAAUAUAAAAAAUACAUUUUAAAUGUUUAAUUUUUAUUAUAUAAAAAAUGCAUAUUUCUAAUUAUUUAAAUUAUUUUUAAUUUUAUUAUAUUAUUUAUAGAUGUUUAAUUUCUUUUAUUGGUUUUUUGUUUUGUUAAAAUUUAAACAUACAAUUUUUUCCAAAAACACAAAAAGUAAAUACUCAAAAAUCAAAUUAAAAUCUCAAAACAUUUAAAAAUAAUAUUUUUAUAAAAUAAAAAAAUAAAAAAAAAAUGUAUCGUCGAAACACGAUCGAAUGUGGAUAUCCGACGAAGUCUGUAUCGUUUUUUGACAUCCGAUGAAGGCUAUAUCGGUUUUUGAUAUCCGACCUAUUCACGUUUCAAAUCCGUUACUGUUCUUGUUAAAGAUGAAAAAAAACGAAAUAUGACACAGAAGAAAUUGUACCUGCGAAAGAAAGAGAGUGAAGAAGAAAUCAAAUCCUAAAUGAGGAAGAUGGAGGUUUAUGCUGGAAAAGAAAGAGAUCAAAAAAGAAAUCAAAUUACAAAUAAAAAGAGAGAGCAAAUGAGGAAGAAGGAGAUUAUGUAAUGGCAGCAAAAGAAGAAGGCACAAAAACCUAACAAAACUGAAAGUUUAAAACUCUAAACUGUUUUAGAAUUUGAGUAAGAUUUUUUUGUUUUCAAAUGAUUAAAAGUGUUUUUAAUUAGGGAUAAAAUAGGUAUUUAAUUAAAUUUUGGAGGUCCAGAUAAAGAUUGAAAAUAUAAGAUGAAACACUUUAAUUUUUCUGUCUACAUUUUUAACUAUGAGAUAUAUUAAUUGAGUGGUAAACUAUAAUUAAGUGUGAUUCUAAGUAUCAUAUUAUAUUCAAAAAAUAAAAUAAAGAUAAAAAAUUUAUUAAUUUAUUAUCUUUAAGGUUUUGAAUAAAAAGGAAGAUAAUGAUAUUUAGACAACAUUUUUUUGACAACAUUUGAACAUUGAUUACGUGUUAAUAUGUGAUUGGUAAAAAAUUAUUCCACAAUAAUGUUUAUGAUUAUUAUUAUUAUUGAUUGUGGAGUAACUUUUGACCAAUGACUGACACGUAAUCAAUGUUUAAAUAUUGUCAAAAAAAUGUUGUCUAAAUAUCAUUAUCCUAAAAAGUAAUAUCAAUUUUUUUAUGUGUAAUGAUUAUAUCUUUUUAGUGAAUCUAGUGUUGAAAGAUUCAAAAAUAUUUUAACUUUUUUUACAUAGUAAAAGAUCAUCAUUCUUUGAAUGAACUGAGAUCUAGAAAAAAUAUUUGUUAGUGUUUUUUUAAAGUUUUAUUACUUUUUUAAUUUUAAAUAUAAUUAAUUUUUGUGAAUAACUUUUAACCUUGUAAUUAGUCAUUUGAUACUUCAAAUUAAAUAAAUUGAAAGGAAUAGAAUAUAUAUAUAUAUAUAUAUAUAUAUAUAUAUAUAUAUAUAUAUAUAUAUAUUAAUUUACAAUGCAAUUAUAUUAUUUUUCAAAAAGAACGUACUAUAAAAACUUUAAUAAUUAAAAUUAGUUAUUUUAUUUUGUUGGUCUCUGCCGUGCAACUAUUUGACAAUUUUUAUUUUUCUGGAAAUUAAGUUAUAACCUUAAUUUUGAUACUAAUAAUUAUUGAAUCAAAUAAUUACCACUAAUAAAAGUUAUAAUCGAUAAUUAAGAUAUAACUACUAACUAGUUUUACUUUUGUUUCUGUAAAUCCCAAAAUGUAAGGUUUAUUAAAUUUUAAAAUCCGAUUAUAAUUUUUACAAGACUUUGAAAUUUAAUUUCGAAAUUUAAUUAAAUGUCUUGGGUUAUAUAAUUUAGACUAGUUAAUGGCUAAAUAUUUUGAAUGUAAACUAAGAUUUUGAUUACAUAGAAUAGGUAUAUAUUUAAAAAUUUCUUGGAUCCAAUCAUCUCUAUCAUUCGUAAAAAAGCCAGACUUCCAAAUAUGAUAAUAAUAUCGUAUUAACUUUAUAGUAGUGAUAUUUUAACAACUCUUUUUAAUAAUUUUUUGACAGUAAGAUAUGUAUCACUAUUUUAUAGAUAUGUUUGAAUUUAUUCUAAAAAAAUAUUUAAAACAGAUCAAUCACAAUAUGCUACAUAUACAUUUUUAAAAAGUUGUAAAAAAAAAAAGUUGUUAAAAGAGAUUUUUUACUUAACUUUAUCAUUCUAAAUACUUGUGAGGGUGAUGUGUACGUAAUAACUGUGUUUAAUGUUAUGACUAAAAUAGACAUUAGAAAUUGCAUAACGUUGAUGGUGUGUCUAUAUUUUAGGUUGUGUUUAAGUUGACAUGUAUGAGAUGUCACCCUCUUAUAUUUUUUUUCUUCCACACAAGGAUCUAAAUAAACUGCCAUCAGAAAUUUAUUUAUUUUUUAAUUUCAACAACAACCAUAAAAUACUAUUAUAAAGAAUAAUUUGUUAUAAAUAAGAGAGUUCCCUUUAACAAUUUAGAACAGAAAAACAACACAUUUUAUAACAUUCGUUAUUAAUAAAAUUUUAUUAAGUCAUAAAGUUUUAUAAUUCUUAUUUUUCAUUCUUAAUUUUAUAAUUUUCAAUAAAUAUAAUAAAAUAAAAUUAUAAGUCAUUUAUACACUCAAUUGUUACUAUGAAGAAUAGUUUUAUUAUUCGAUGUUCUGCAGCUAACCCUGGGGCAAAACAUCUAAAUUCUGCUUACUGUUAAUACUUUUUUACAUAAAUUUUGAGUUUUCAUUCUUUAAUUUUACUUGUUAUAUUAAUUUACGUGUCUUUUAUUUCGUAAAACUUGUCAGAUUUAGACAGGGUCGGAAAAGAAAUAAAUAAAUAAAAACUAAUAUCUGACAAAUAAUAAAAAUAUCCCUAAUUUAAAUUAUGCAAAUGACUUUUUAGUCUAUGGAUUUAUAUAUAGGUAUUCUUAUGUCUUUUUUAUUUGUUUUUUUUAUCAACUUAAAAUUAUUAAAAUAAACUUAAAUUUAUUAAAUACUUUUUUAUAAUUUAUAUUUGGAUCAUCGUCGUAAUUAUUUUCUGUUAUGAAAAAAAUAAAUACGUGGAUAGAAAAAAUACGAUGAGAAAAUGGAUAAGGAUGAAGAACAUUGAAACAUUGUGAUUCAUUGUUAGGAGAAACAUUGUUAUUCAAAUGACUAUUAUUCCUACUGUUUUCAAAUUCUUUUUCACAACUCACACGUUCUUACCAUUAAUAUACUCAAAACUUUUAUUUAAUUCUUAAUUUCUUCAUUCACAUAAGCUCCUAAAUUCUUCUAACUAUGGGAUGAAAUAUGCAUGGUGCCAAGGGAAUGAUGAAAGGGACUUGUUAUGUUAAUUUUUUAUGAUAAUUUUUCAUAUUUUAAUAAAAUAAUUCACACAUGUGAAAAAUGAAAAAGAGGAUAAAUAAGUGAAAUAUUUUUAUUUUUAGUUUUUUUUUAUUAGAAACAAAAUUACAAUUAGAACAAUUUUUCUUAUACUUUCUAAUUUUUGUCCUACAUCUCUAAAAUAUCAUAAAUAUUCAUCGAUGUUUGAAAGCGGAACACCAAUCAAGAAAUUUAUUUAAAAGUAUAAAAUAAGUAUAAUAUUUUAUAUUUUUAAUAAACUAUAAAAAAUAAAAAAUGUAUUAGAAAAUUUCUAUGAAUUAAUAUAGUAUUACUAAUUGUGAUCCGCCAUAUCAUAUAUAGGCAAAAAAAAAAUAUAGGAUAAAAGUUUUAUAUACACAUAUAUCACAAUAAAACUAUUACACAGCAAUCAAAUUUAUAUAUUAAAGUAAUUAUUAAUUAAAUUAGAGGCAUUUUAUGAAAUAAAAAUUAUUGAUAUGUUUUACAACUAUAUAUAAUAAUGUUUUAUAAUAAUUUGAUUAUAUAAAAAGGGCAUAAAAUGUUUUAUGAAAGUAAACUUGUUGAGUAUAAAGAGAAAUGAUUAUUUGAUACAUCUAAAUUUUUUAUAUUUAUUUGAUACUAUUUUUAUUUACUUUUUACUCUCUUCUUUCUUAAAAAAUUACAAAAUUUUACAUUUUUAGAUCAUUUUACACACUUGUAUUAUGUGUCAAAUGAACAGAAAAGUAUGAUUGAUCGAGUAUAAAUAAGCCUCUUUUGAAAGGAAACCUUUUGUCAUACACUCAUCAAUAUCAAAACCACAGUCACCAAACUGAAGGAGAAGAAAAAUGGUUUCUAUAAAGUCGUUUACUUCGAGAUCUCAUCAUUCAAGGCCAAAACGUUUUGUCAUUUGUAUCUUACUUAUGUCCCUACCCUUCAUGGUAUUCAUAGUUUUAGAGAAGCACAACAGGAUGAUGAACAAAACAACUGAGGUGGAUCCGAAGUUAAGACCAACUUGGUUUGAUGUGAUAGCAAAAGGUCUCAAUAAGAAGAAAGUUAAGGUAGGUGUUGUUAACAUUGAUGCUAGAGAUGAAGAAUUGUUGUCACUUGAGGGUGAAAUGGAGAGUGUGUUUGUAGAUUUUGAUCAUGUUGAUGGGAAGUUGAAAUGGGAGGAGAUUUUUCCAGCAUGGAUUGAUGAAAAUGGGAAGUGCCCAAACAUUCCAAUGCCAAAGUUGGAGAAUUUUGAAGAUCUGAAUGCUGUGGUGGCAAAGGUUCCAUGUGGGGUUAGAGAUGUGUUUAGGUUGCAGGUGAAUUUGGUGGUGGCAAAUUUGGCUGUCAGAAGUGGAUGGGUGAACAAGAUGGAGAAUCAUCAUAGGAAUGUGUAUGUUGUGUUUCUUGGUUCUUGUGGUCCCAUGGAAGAGAUUUUCAGUUGUCACAACCUUUUGUCGCAUCAACAACAAUAUUGGGUCUACAAACCUGAUUUAUGGAGCCUAAAACAGAAAACACUUAUGCCUGUUGGUUCAUGUCAAAUUGCUCCUGGUUAUGCAAAAACAGGUACACCUCAAUCCUUCCAAUGUGAAAUUCUUUUUUCAUUUCACUUAUUUCAAAGAUAUUUUAAUUUCAUUAUUUUUAUGAAAGUAUAUAUAUAAAGACCAUAUAGAUAUAUAAUUUAAUUUAUCGAUGAAAUACAAUUUUUAAAAAUAGUAUAAGGAAAAAAAAAGCUUAUUUUUAAACUCAUUUUAAUAUUGUUUAAUUAUUUCUAAUUAGUUUUACCCUUUUUUAACAUGUUUUUUGAAUUUGAAAAGAAGAAAUCAAAAUACUACAUUUUAAAGAAAAAGAAGUAUUAAUAAAUUAUUUAAUCAACGGAUAUUGUUCUUUUGAUGCGAUAAUGAUGUAAGUAAUAUAAAUGCUUGGCACGGUUAAGGAAUGUUGUAAUUUACGAUCUUAACUCGUCAAAAUUUCCAAAUUCAUAAACAUUCUUUCGUAUACCCAAUCUCUUAACCAUAAUAUAUAUGUGCAUGUCGUGUAGCUUUUCAUAUAUACUUUCUUUUGUUUUCAUAUAAGUGACGACAUGGAGUGUCUAAAUAUCACUUCAGAUAAAUGAAGUAUCUACAAAUCAUCAUGUAUAAAUUAAUUAAUUCUGAUUUUUGUAAGUGUUAUUUUGUAUAAAGUUUUUAAAGAUUUGUUUUUGACACCACUCCAAAAAAUCUUAUUAACGAAGUUAUCUAUAUAUAUAUAAAUCCACGUCCAAUCCUUCUUUUAGUCAAUUUGAGACUUUAUUUGUAUCCCAACACCGAGUGUCAAUAUUUUUCCAAGUACUAACGAGUUUUUAAAAGAAGUUUGAAGAAUUGGUUUAUUGGUAUAAAUCAUGUAUUUUUAAUCAUUGUUUUUUAUAAUUCUUUUAUAUCUUCUUAUGCAACAACUUAUGAUUGAUUCGUUUCAUAUACACGAACUAAUAAAAUAAUAACAUAUAAUUUGUUGUAAAAAAAUUAUUGAAAAGAGUUGUUAAAAUAUCACAGUGCAAAGCAAAGCAAAAUUAGUGUGUAUAUAAGUGAGAUGUAUACCAAUGCAUGUAGCAUUGUUUUACACUGUCACAACACAUCAUUGAAUAUAAAUGAUAAAUUUAUUGAGUUUAUGAUGAUAUUGUAUAAUGGUUUUGCAGGUAAAGAGGUGUGGAGAAAUUUCUUUAGUCCAAAGGUAGCCUACGUAUCUGUUCUUCAUUCUUCAGAAGCUUAUGUUUGUGGUGCAAUAGCACUUGCUCAAAGCAUUCUUCGAGCAAAUACCAAUUUUCCAAACGAUCUUCUACUCCUGGUUGAUAAAUCCAUUGGUCCAAAAUCCAUAACUGGUCUAAAAGCUGCAGGCUGGAAGAUCCAACGCAUCAAACGCAUCUUGAGCCCCUUUGCCAAAAGGGGUGCAUACAACAGGUGGAACUACAGCAAAUUACGAAUAUGGCAACUCACCGAGUACGACAAAAUCAUCUUCAUAGACUCCGACCUCGUACUCCUCAAAAACCUGGACCAUUUAUUCGUGUACCCUCAGUUGUCAGCAGCACCUAACCACAAAGUCUUGUUCAACUCGGGCUUGAUGGUGAUCGAGCCAUCCCAGUGCAUGUUCCAACAGAUGAUGAACAAAACCGACAAGGUACGUUCCUACAACGGGGGUGACCAAGGUUUUCUGAAUGAGAUCUUCACGUGGUGGCACCGUUUGCCAACGAAGGUUAAUCUGCUGAAAGGUUUUCAAAACGAUGAGGACGAGAAUCAUGAAGUCCCUUAUGCCAUACACUACUUGGGUUUGAAGCCAUGGAUGUGUUAUAGGGAUUAUGAUUGCAACUGGGACACGCAGUAUCGUCAUAUUUUUGCAAGUGAUUCUGCUCACAGAAGGUGGUGGCAGGUUUAUGAUGCUAUGCCUGAAGAAUUGCAAUCUUACUGUGGACUUACACAGAAGAUGAAUGAAAGGAUCGUGAAGUGGAGAAGGAUAGCAAGAAAUUCCAGUUUGUCUGAUGGCCAUUGGAAGAUCAAGGUGAAAGAUCCAAGAAAGGGUACUUAUCAUUCAGAUUAGAACAUUCUAUGCAUAAAAGGUUUGGAUUUAUAUUGGAAUUUUAUGAUUCAUGUGAGAAUUUUAGAUAUUAUUUAAAUUAAUUAGUUUAAUAUAUAUUUCUUAAUAUAAAUUAUGCAGUAUAAAUAUUUACUAAUUAUAUUUAAUAAAAUAUAUCAGUUUUUCUUUCAUUCUUUUAUAUCCUAUACGUUAAAAUCCAACCAUUUAACCUUCAGUAUUCUUACUGAUAUUGACUUCAUAGACUUAGAACAUUUUUCUUCCUGUUACUUUGAUACAGACCAUAUUAACAAAAUUAUAGGUUCACUUUGUUUGCAUUUUGAAAUUAUGAUGAUAUUCAUUUGGUUUUAUAUUACAAUUUUUUUUUUUCAAAUAACAUGAGAUUGAAUCAUCAAACAAUUUAAUGCAAGCAUCUAAAAUUAAUGAUAAAAUAAUAAUCCAUUUUAAAAUUAACAUAUUAAAAAGUACACGUAACAAAUAAAAUAUUUUCGACGAGAGAUUCUUACAAAGAAAAAUUAUCUUAUAAUUAUUUUUUAACCAUUUAACAACGCAAUUUUAAAGAUAAUUACAAAAUAUAUAUAAUCUACCUGCUAAUUAGAAUAUAUAUAUAUAUAUAUAUAUAUAUAUAUAUUAUAUUAUAAACCAGCUAAUUAAAAAAUAUAAACUUAAAAUAUGUAUGUUUUGAAAUCCAGUAAAAUUAAGGAUAAAAGUUGACGUGACGUAACAAGUGUUACAAAUCGUGUAAUGAUAUUUUCACAUUUUUCAUAUUUAAUAUUUUUUAUAAUUAUUUAAUAUAUAAUAUUUUUAUUUUUUAUUUAUAAUUAUAAAAAAAUUAUUUUUUUAGUAAUCAUGUUAUCCUUCAAAGUAGUUUGUUAAGCAUUUGUUAAAUUAAAAAAAAUCUAAUAAAUGAUAGUUUUUAAUAUGAUAAUGAUAUUUUAAUACCGUAAUAAAUAAUUAAAUUACAAUUAAAAAGUAAUACUAUGAUAACUAAAAACCCACUUCAUAAUUAUAUUAUAAUAAUAUAAAUGGACUCUGCUUUACUAAAAUAGAAUUCCCAUUUAGUUUUUAUUAUAGGAAUUCGCUUACACCUAUAUAUCUCACAUGAUAUUUUUUAUUUUAAUAAUAUAUGCAUUUUCAAUCCGAGAUGUCCAAAUAUGAUGUUAUCUAUUAAUUAGUUUAAUUUAUCAAACAAAACUAGAAAACAUAAUUACUUUAAAUAUUGAGUUUGGAUGGACCGGACUUAGCCAAGUUGAACUAAGAUAGAUUUAGCUUUAUGUUUACAUAAGAAAAACAAAAACAAAAACAUAACAUCAAGUCUAAAAUGUAUUAAACAAAAGUUUAAAAAUAAGUCGUCAAUUCAUUGAUAUGGGUGGAAGGAAAAUAAGACUGAGAUGAUCAAUAACUUUGGUAUUAGUUUUCAAACCACAAAUAACAAUUUUAAUUUUAAAAAUAAUUUUGCUAAAUUAAAUUUAUAUUUAUUUUCAAACUAACAAUGUUUUUAAUUUGUAGGCUUUUAAUAGGUUAAAAUAUUAAAUCUAACCCACAUAUUUAAAGAUCAAACAACCCUUUCACCUUAAAACUUUAAAAGUGUAUGUUUAUGUUAUUUUAUUUUAUAUGUUACUCAAAUUUCUUAUUUUUAUUUUUUUAAAUGUGGAACUUAAAGUCAAUUUGGAUUCCAAUACUUAUGAUUUAUAAAAUUAUUUAGAAAAUGAUUUAGUAAUUGAGUAUAUUUUAUUAAAUACAUCAGUGCAAUUGUAAUUAUUUUUUAUAUAAAUAUCAAUUAUUUAUUAACCAAACAACUUAUAUGUAUUCACCCUUUAAAUAUCCAAUAUAAUGAUAUUAAAUAUUUAUCUAUUUGGUAAACAUUUUCUUGAAUUUCAUAAUAAUUCAUAUUUUUCAUUAUAAUGUAUUAAAGUGUGAUUUUUCAAACACAAAUAUUUAUAUUGUACUACAUAUAUUCAAGAUUAUCUCGGGUAAUAACUUCUCAUACUAUAAUCUAUCUAGUAUUAUCUUAGAUUAUACUUAUAUGACCAUUACAUUGCGAAAAAAAUCCUAUUAGUUAAAACAUGUUACCACGACAUUAGACAAAUUAAUUAAGGUGAUUAUAUCUAUGGAUCAUGUUCAACUAGGUAAAAAUUCAUAAACAUGAUAUAAAUAACAUGAUUCACAAGCUAAAAUAAUUACAUGAUUAUUAUUAUAACAUUUAUUAUCAAUUGACGCACAUCCCUAACUUUUUUUUACGCCCCGACAACUUACAGGGACUGUUGANUGCCCCCACACAUCACCACGAGACUUUCCAGUGUGCUUUGUCCUCACUCGCACACUUUCUGGGAAAACUUCUCGGAAGGUCACCCAUCUCAGAAUUACUCCAGGGUAAGCACACUUAACCAUGGAGUUCUUAAGGGUUAGGCUACAGAAAAGUAAAUGCAUUUUGGUGAUAUGGGUAGCCAAAUCAAUUCCUUUAAGCUAUCUUUCAACUGUAUAGUCCCAUACCUAUACAGUCUCCAGAUCCCUCUCAUUCCGGUGUAUGUUCGAUUCGUCCAUGUGCCCCUUCCACUCGAAGCCUGCCAGGAGUCGCUCCUUGUCUGUGCCCCCUACACCAUGCCUCUUGCACCGGCGAUCACUCCCCGUCCUCGUCAAUGCCCGGGUGUCACAUGCCCACCAGCUUCCGUCUAGUUCGUCCUCGAACCACACCGUACUGGAGAGGCUAGGCUCUGAUAUCAUUUGUAACGCCCCGACAACUUACAGGGAGUGUUGACUGCCCCCACACAUCACCACGAGACUUUCCAGUGUGCUUUGUCUUCACUCGCACACUUUCCGGAAAAACUUCCUGGAAGGUCACCCAUCCCAGAAUUACUCCAUGGUUAAGCAUGAGAUUAUUUUACAAGCACACUUUUUAUCGACUUAAAACAAUAUAUAAACCCAUAAAUAUCUCGACUUAAAGGUUAAAGAAUGAAGAUAAAAGCUUCUUAUGGAAUCUUUGCAAUGUAUUCUUAAACUUGCAAAAACAAAAACAAAACAACCUUAUAUACUAAAGUGUUUUGAUUCUUUUCUCAUCACAAAUGCUACAAUCAAUUAUGUAGAAUCACUAAUUCCAACAACCACAAAUUUCACAACCAAAUCAUACAUAAUUUCAAUAUUUCACAAACCAAAUCAACGAUUCAUCUUAUAAAUUCAUAAAAAAUCUCUCACUCAUAUUUAUUUCACGUAACCAUUUCAGUCACACAAAAAAUAAUAAAUAAUAAGUAACUAUUUUCAAAAGAUUAAGUAACAAGCUAUAAAUUUGGAUCAAUCUAAUAAAAACGUAUCUAUUAUACAAUUUUUUAUCAUAAUUAAAACAAACACAAAUUGAUUAAUUGGACAAACUUAAGCUAAUUUAAUAAAUUUGAUAAAGAUCAUUAUGGUGAUUGAAUAAAUUUGAUGUUAUGGAGACUUUCAUAAUUCCUUAACACUGCAAUUCCCAAGAAGGUGAAAUAAAAACUUGUAAGUGGAGUAAUUACUUUUGUUAUUUUAUAUUGAAGAAAUGUACAACAAAAUAUAUCAUUUUUCAACACAUUUGGUGGAAUAUAAAAUAUAAUUUUUUUUUCUUAAAUAAUGUAAAAAUAUCUAUCUCUUCGCUCUUCAUAUGAAUUAACUUAUCACCAAUUAAAAAUAAGUUAGUUCAACCUAAUUUAUUUUUGUAAAUUAAAAAUUUUAUAAUCUGUUCAACUUGUCAUAUAUUGUUAAAUUAGGUGACUUAACUCACUUAAAAAUAUUUUAUUCUUCUAAUUCAUUUUAUAUAUUUAAUGUAACAUGGUUUCAUCACACUUUAUAUAUAUAUAUAUAUAAUUAAAGUAUUUAUUUAUUUCAUCAAAUAUUAUAAUUAAAAAUUGAGAUGUCAACUUAUAUAAAUAUAAAUAGACAAAUAAAUAAACUAACUGUAUUCAAAUAUUAUUGAGUAAUAUUUUAAUCUUUAAGAAUAUCAAGUAAUAAAUAGUUCUAAUGAAAAAAAUUAUGAAAGAAUGGUAAGAAAAUAAUAAAAAGUUGUUGUCAAAGGAUAAUGAAUAAAAAUGCCUUCAACUUGUUUUAAAUCAUUUGAUUUAACCCGUGAGUUAAGUGAUUUAGAUCAUAUUUGAUCAACAUUUAAAGAAUUGUUUUUUUUUUAAUUCAAUCCAAUCAAACUCAUGAUAAAUUGAGUUGUCUCAAUUUGAACCAAUUUUAAUAUCUCUUAUUAAAUCAUAAAUAAUAAAAAAAAGAUAAAUUAUAAAUUAGAAAGUAUUUUGGAUAACGUUCUUUAUAAUUCAUAAAUUGAAUUUUUAAAUAAAUUACUUCAAAAUAUAUUACAAAAAUAUUUUUAUACAGUUGGAAUUGGGUUGUAAUGUGUACUAGGGACCACCGUCCGGCAAGAAUAUAGCCGGACGACCAGUUAAGAGAUCAACUCACUGAAGACUCCCAGCGAGGCGGACGGUUACCUCGUGAGACGGUGGAUAGGCUUGAAUAGCGAGGUCCGGACGGUAGCAAACGAACAGUCUCCAUGGUCAAGGUAAGUUCAGAAUGAUUUGUAUAAUCACGUGUUUAAGGUGAUUGGGCUGCAAUUGGGCCUUAAUUAGGACAACCUUAAUACCAGGCCCAUGUCCAACACUAUAAAUACAGGUCAAAGGUCCCAGGUAGAUGGGUUCAUUUAUUACGCAUUUAUCUUUGAAUCUAAAAGCCCGAUCGGAUAACUUAACUAACUUAAGCAUCGGAGUACCUUUGGCAGGUACCCUCCGAACACAGGGAGCACAAGGAAGAACUGGUAGAGUGAGCUAGCAGAUGAUUCGAGGACAAGAAAUUGUGUAGGUUGGGAACUCGGUCUCAUACCAGAACAUAAUGUUAUUAGAAAGUUCAGUGGUUUUUUUUUUUUUAUCAUUAUGUAAUUUUUACUAAAUUGAGGUAACAUGUAAAAGAAUUUUGAAAUUGAGUUAGUCGUGUCAAUUUUACGAUUUCNNNNNNNNNNNNNNNNNNNNNNNNNNNNNNNNNNNNNNNNNNNNNNNNNNNNNNNNNNNNNNNNNNNNNNNNNNNNNNNNNNNNNNNNNNNNNNNNNNNNNNNNNNNNNNNNNNNNNNNNNNNNNNNNNNNNNNNNNNNNNNNNNNNNNNNNNNNNNNNNNNNNNNNNNNNNNNNNNNNNNNNNNNNNNNNNNNNNNNNNNNNNNNNNNNNNNNNNNNNNNNNNNNNNNNNNNNNNNNNNNNNNNNNNNNNNNNNNNNNNNNNNNNNNNNNNNNNNNNNNNNNNNNNNNNNNNNNNNNNNNNNNNNNNNNNNNNNNNNNNNNNNNNNNNNGGAACUCGGCCUCAUACCAGAACAUAAUGUUAUUAGAAAGUUCAGUGGUUUUUUUUUUUUAUCAUUAUGUAAUUUUUACUAAAUUGAGGUAACAUGUAAAAGAAUUUUGAAAUUGAGUUAGUCCGUUCAAUUUUACGAUUUCAUAAAAAAGAAUUAAAACGAUUUUAUUUUAACUGUGAAAUGAAAUGAUAUUAAAUCAAUAUGACUUAAAACAAAUAAAGUUGUCACAAUUUAAACGACUACAGUACAUUUUAUGAAAAAACGAAAGACGAUUUCAAUAUAUUUCAUAAAAGAAUCUGAAAUUAUCAUAAAAAAUCGUCUCAAAUUAUAAAUACUUUUAUUUUUAAUUGUCUUCACUUAACAUGAUUUUAUUUAUAUGAUUUCAUUUCAAUUAAAACAAAAUCGUUUGAACAUAUCACAACAUUUUUGUUAUAAAGUCGUGCCACCACUUGCUCGAAUUCAAAAUUUUCUUAAAAAUUAUCUCAUUUUCAUGAUGAAAUUAAACAUGGUAUACAAAGAAUUUAGUAAUAAUCACGACUAUCCUAGAUAAUCUAAUAAAAAAUACUUUUUGACAUACUUAAAUUUUUUAUAUUUAUUUAAUAUUAUUUUUUCUUAUUUUUUAUUUUUCUUUUAAAAAAAUACAAAAUAUUUAAAUUUUUAUAUCUAUUUUAUUUUUAUAAAAUAUAUUAAAUAAAUGUAAAAAUAUAUCGUAAUAUUAAGUUACUUUUUCGUAUCUUAUAUCUUUUUUCUCUUUUUCAACCCAAAUUUUGGAAAAAAACAAUUUAACGUAUGUCAUCACCUGGAAGGAGCAAAACCCACGUGUCUAACGCAAAGAUAAAACGAGUGUUUUUCUGUUCCUUUUGAACAAGAGCAGUGAAGAAGAAGCUUCUCCGGCGAUCUAAGGUUUCGGUGAUGGCGGAGCAACACCGUAAGAGAACGCUGGAUUCAGGGUGGCUCGCAGCAAGGUCCACUGAGGUGCAAUUCACCGGAACCCAGCUCACCACUACGCACCCUCCAACUGGCCCCACUUCACCAUGGAUGGAAGCUCUCGUUCCAGCAACGUAAUCACAAUUUUUUCAUCUCCAUUUCUGUUAUUUUACUUUCAUACAAUGUUGACUUGAUUCCACACAAUGUGACAUAACAUCAUAACAGUGUUCUGGCGACCUUGGUGAAGAACAAAGUUGUGCCCGAUCCUUUUUAUGGACUGCAAAAUGAACAUAUCAUUGACAUUGCUGAUUCUGGAAGAGACUAUUACACCUUCUGGUUCUUUACAACCUUUAACUGCAAACUUGUACGUGUUGUGAUUGUUCUCUUGUACAUUUUACAGAUUUGGAUUUUCAAGUGGUGCCCUUUGACUUUAAUUUCAUACUCCUUUUUUUUUGGCUUAUGCUGAUAUUUUUGUUUUUUCAAGUUUGUGAGAUUAGUUUUCCAAUAGUAGACCAGUAUAGUAUACAGUGUGUAAGGUUUUAAAGUGUGGUUGGUCACAGACUUACAGUUGUGGUUUAGUUACGAUCUGGGAUAUUUCUAAAGUUUGUUGACAGAUGUGGCUGAUGUAGCUUGAAUUUGCAGUUGUGGAGAGUCCAUUUUUAAAACCUUUCUAGUAUCUCAACAUUAAUCUUCUUUUGAAUAUACGAUGGUGGUUUCUUAUUUUGAUGGAAGGGGACAUCACUAAUUACUUAACUCCUUUUCAUUUGCAGUCAAACAACGAACACUGUGAUCUGAAUUUCCGUGGAAUCAAUUACUCUGCUGAUGUGUAUUUGAAUGGCCACCAAAUCGUCCUACCAAAAGGGAUGUUUCGGAGGCAUUCCAUUCAUGUCACCGAUAUUCUUCAUGCUGAUGGCACAAACCUGCUUGCUGUUCUUGUUCAUCCUCCAGAUCAUCCUGGGAGAAUUCCUCCCAAGGGGGGACAAGGUGGUGAUCACGAGGUUGGAAAUUAAAUUCACACUUCUAAUCAAUUAAUUUUAUUCUUUUCAACUACUUAACCUUUCUGUUACCUGUAACCUUUAGAUAUAAAUUUCAAGUGUUUCCUAAUUUCUGGAAUCAAUUAGGACUACGGUGAAAGAGGAAGAGGAACAAUGCUUGUUGUUGCGUACUGGAUAUAUAAUUAAUUUUGUUCCGGGUUAUUUUGUAGAUAGGAAAAGAUGUGGCCACACAAUAUGUUGAAGGUUGGGAUUGGAUGGCUCCUAUAAGGUGACAUUGCUAAUACUUGUACAGAUGUAUUGAUUUGUGGUCAUUGGCUUUUUGAUCCAAAAAUAAAUAUUGACUUUUUCUUUGUUUUUUGAACUAAAACAUUAACUCUUUUUCUACAGCAAUUUUAGCAUUAGAUAUUGAGUUCAAACUUUGGAGAGUUGGAAGAGAAGCCAUGUAAAGCAAAGUGCAUCUAUGACUAAUGCGAGUUUUUAAUAUGAUUGCAGAGAUAGGAAUACUGGAAUAUGGGAUGAAGUUUCUAUUUCUGUUACUGGGGUGAGUAGCAUUAAUUAUUUAAUUACAUCCCGAAGUCUUCACCAUUGGUCUUUUAAUCAAUUUAAGAUUUGCCACUUGGACCAAUUUCGGAGGCCUUUCAUUUUCCUUCCCGACUCUUCUGCAUUGCAUUUUUGCUAUAACUAGUUUUUUUUUUUUUUGUAUUUCAUAGCAAAUAUUGAUGAACUUCAAGUCCAAUCAUAGGCUGGCUUCAUAAAAUAUUGUCUGAGAGUCCUCGAGAUGUUUGGAAAACUAAACCAGGAAAUUGCGGAGGCAUAGAAUUGCUAUGCUCUUUUUAGCUUUUAGUACAGUCCAUAAAUAAACAAACCCGAUUAAAUAUUCUAGAGUUUUUAUUGUCUUUCUUUAUUAUAGACAAUGGUGCUUGUAGUUGUUCCUUGGAUGAAUAAUUUCAUUGUCUGUGUUUGGUGCAGCCAGUAAAAAUAAUUGAUCCGCACUUGGUUUCAACAUUUUCUGAUGACUAUAAGAAGGCGUAUCUACAUACAACGAUUGAAUUGCAAAACAGAAGCUCCUGGACUGCUGAGUGUUCUCUGAGUGUCCAAGUGACUAUAGAACCUGAGGAUAGCAUUUUCUUGGUAGAGCAUCUUCAAUCUCAAAAUCUUUCUAUACCCGCAAACACACGGGUGCAAUAUACAUUUCCUGAGGUUAGUGAUUGUAUUCAUUAUGCUUGUGACAAAGUUUGUUUCACUGUGCGUACGCCUUUGGUACAUUUGAAGAACAACUUUAUCAAUGAAUUUGGUUAUUUUAAGUAAUUUGUUCAAUUUCACACCCUAUUCUCUUGGUUCUUAGACAUCAUUGGUAUAUGUUUAUGCAUAUGGCUUACGUCAUGUGUCUGUGGUAUAUAAGUUUGUCUAACUUUUAGAUAACUCUAAGUUACUGUAAUUAUAAUUGAAGAGUACUAUCAUUUCUUGAGCUUGUAAUGUAACCAGACAAUCUUUACUACACUGCUAAUUGUGUUUAGGUUAAAUGGAUCUCUUAUAUUUCCUUACCUAUCAAAGGAACAAAGGUUCAGAUAUGAUUGGAUAAAUUUGAUGAAUAUAUAUUAGAAAUUGUCAAGACAUUGGCUUCCAUAAUUUGUAAAUCUUUACCGUUUAUGCUUGAUGUGUAUGAUCUGGAGUAACAAAGCUGAUGGCAAAAUAUUUAGAUAAGCCAACUGAUCACAAAGUAGCCAAGUUAUCAUAGGGAAACCCCUGCCACCUUUUUUACAUCGAACGUAUGCAAUCCUGGAUAGAUAUAACAAUAAAGCAUAUAGAAACAUUUAAACCAACCCAAGUGAUCAUAGGGACAACGCUAUUUCUGUUUUUGGCAUUGCACACAUGCAAGCCUGUUAUUUUUCACAUGUUGGGGCUUUAGUUUUAACGUUUCUUUUCAAGUGCUAAUGAUGCAAAUUAACAGCUUAUCUUCUCCAAGCCGUAUUUAUGGUGGCCGAAUGGAAUGGGAAAGCAAUCUUUGUAUGAUGUUGUUAUUAACAUUGAUGUUAAAGGAUUUGGUGAAUCUGAUUCAUGGAGCCAUCACUUUGGAUUCCGCAAAAUUGAGAGCCAUAUAGAUGAAGCUACUGGUGGAAGGUAAGGUGAUUUCUCAAAUUUAAUCAAUGUUGUAUUUAUCUACCUUUUACUUGGUAGAAUUGAUUCAAUUUUUAAAUUGUUUCUGUAUAUGUUUUGUUGUGUGCAUUGAAUAUCAUAGAUUAUUCAAAGUCAAUGGAGAACCAAUUUUUAUUCGAGGGGGUAACUGGAUAUUGUCUGAUGGACUACUGCGGUUAUCAAAGAAGCGGUAUAGUUCAGAUAUUAAAUUUCAUGCAGAUAUGAAUUUUAACAUGAUUCGAUGCUGGGGAGGUGGGCUGGCUGAAAGACCCGAGUUUUAUCAUUACUGUGAUUAUUAUGGCCUUCUGGUAAGUUAAAACUGCUACCAGAUCCUUAUUUUUGCUUAUAUAUGCAUGCCAACAAGUUAACAUCCAAAUUGCAAGGCCACUUUAGAAGGGUAGAAAGAAAUGAUUUACAUUAACGUGAUAGAAUCCCCUGAAUGUUUCUAUGCACAGCUGAGUAACAUAUAUGCAUGUAUGGUUUGUCAUGUUCUCUCAUUUAUGGGUACUUUUGUGUGGAUAUAGCAGUGAGUUGAAUGACUCAAACACCCUGCUAAGGGCAGGUUUUUAUAGUUCACCUGGUUAUUUAAUACAUUUUAUUAUUCCUCAAAUUUUUUAGUCUUAUGUUGUUUAAGUGGAGAUUUGAUUCUAAUCUUCUUUUUCUAAGACGCAUUAUUUUGUCUGGGUUUCUUGAUAGUGAUUUUAAGUGAAUGGUUGUUAUGUGGUGAUUAUGAUGUUGGGGAUACCCAGAUUGUGUUUCUGAAAAGUGACGCUACUCCUGCUACAGCUAGACCAGGUGGUAUCUGGUUUGAAGCUUAGACAAACUUUUACCAUAUAAUCCUUGGUCCUGUCCAAUAGCUUGUAUUCAUGUUUAUACUACAUUAGUAGCGGUGUUGGUUUAGAAAAUUUAUCUAGUUGCUGGCUGAGUUGUGUAGGUGUGGCAAGAGUUUUGGAUUACUGGGGAUGUUGAUGGACGUGGUGACCCAGUAUCUAAUCCAGAUGGUCCUCUGGACCAUGAUCUUUUCUUGUUUUGUGCACGAGACACAGUUAAGCUUCUAAGAAAUCAUCCUAGUCUUGCCCUAUGGGUGGGGGGAAAUGAGCAAAUUCCACCAGCUGAUAUAAACGCUGCUCUAAAAUAUGAUCUAAGGCUUCAUCCUUAUUUUGAAAGUAAGGAUGAAAGCAGCAAACCCGUAGGAGAUUUGUCCCCAACUCCGUCAGAUCCUAGUCAGUACCUUGAUGGCACACGGAUUUACAUACAAGGUUCAAUGUGGGAUGGGUUUGCUGAUGGGAUGGGGAACUUCACUGAUGGUCCUUAUGAAAUUCAAAAUCCUGAAGAUUUCUUUAAGGACGACUACUAUAAGUAUGGGUUCAAUCCAGAGGUUGGUUCUGUGGGAAUACCAGUUGCAGCUACCAUACGAGCAACAAUGCCUCCAGAAGGUUGGAAGAUACCAUUGUUUAAGAAACUUCCCAAUGGUUAUGUUGAAGAAGUUCCAAAUGCCAUAUGGGAAUACCAUAAAUAUAUUCCUUAUUCAAAACCAAACAAGGUUCAUGAUCAGAUUCAACUUUAUGGUGAUGCAAAAGAUCUUGAUGAUUUUUGUUUGAAGGUAAGAAGAGAGUAGAAACCUUAUCCUGUUGGCCAUUGGUGAUGAAUAUUUUAUCAUCCUAUUUCUCUUGAUCUUUGUUUUUUUUUUUGCUUAAUUGAUGUUUAAUUUAGAUGCUAUAAUCUCCUCAGGCUCAACUUGUUAACUACAUUCAAUACAGAGCUCUUCUUGAGGGAUGGACUUCUCGCAUGUGGAGCAAAUAUACAGGUGUAUUGAUAUGGAAGACACAAAAUCCUUGGACUGGUCUGAGAGGUCAAUUUUACGACCAUCUACUUGAUCAAACAGCAGGUUUCUAUGGCUGUCGGUGUGCCGCAGAACCGAUUCAUGUACAGCUUAAUCUUGCUACAUAUUUGAUAGAGGUAAGUAUCGAAAUGAAGUUCUAGUUCUAUGAGUAGGUCAUAUAAGUAAGAUGUUAUUUUACCGAUUUGAUAAUAUAUUUUUAAAAUUUAAAAUUGAGAUUGGAAGUCAAAAGUGGCCAGUUAAAAAGAUUUGAAGGAUAAUGAAAUUGUGGAAAAUUGUUUGAUUUACAAUUUUCUUUUCAAUUUAUGCACGAUUUACUAAUAAAAGAGUAACUCUUUAAAGGCUGUGUAUUUCUUUAUCUUCCUCCCCAAAACAGGUUGUUAAUACUACAUCAAAAGAGUUGUCUAAUGUUGCCAUUGAAACUUCCGUGUGGGACCUUGAAGGAACACGCCCGUACUACAGCCUUAAUGAAAAUCUCUCUUUUCUGCCAAAAAAAGUAGCACCUAUUAUUGAGAUGAAGUAUCCAAAGUCAAAAGAUCCAAAGCCUGUCUACUUUCUUCUUCUCAAACUCUAUAACAUGUCAGAUAAAAGUGUUAUAUCCAGAAACUUUUAUUGGUUGCAUCUUUCUGGUGGAGAUUACAAGCUAUUGGAGCCAUAUAGGGAGAAGAAAAUACCUCUCAAGAUAACAUCGAAGGUUUCAAUUGAAGAAUCCGUUUAUAAUAUCCAAAUGCAUGUGACAAACUCAUCUGAAAGACCAGAGUCAAGAAGCUCAACAGUUAGGCCAAGUGAUGGUUUUUGUGGCACACAAUCACUGGAAACUCCACAUUGUAGUGUUGGAAAAGAACAAGAAACUGUUUUGUUUAAGGAGAUACACGGAUGUUUUUCUGGGAAAAGUGACGGUCUGAAAGUUACAGAGAUAAAGGGAUCUGAUGCAGGCGUUGCUUUCUUUCUUCAAAUUUCUGUUCAUACUUCAAAGAAGAACAGCAAGGAAGGGGAAGACACAAGAAUUCUUCCUGUUCAUUACUCUGAUAACUACUUUUCACUGGUCCCUGGAGAGACCAUGCCUAUAAAUAUAUCCUUUGAGGCUCCCCAGGGUGUCACUCCUCAAGUACUUCUUCAUGGCUGGAAUUACAAUGGAGGUGAACUCAUUUAUGAAGUUGUAUGACAAUCCCCUGAAAUUAUCAGGGAUUGUUGUUCUGGUAUAUCUUGCCAUUAAUAAAUGCAUCAUAAAGAGAGACCUUCAUGAUUUCAUUUUUUUUUUGUUGGUUUACUAUACCUUAAAAGGCUAAUAUAUCCAAUGGUAAAGUGUUGGAGGUGUAGUUGCAAGUUCUUAAAUUCUGACAAUUUCAACGCAGAGAAUAACUUUGUGAUAACAUUUUUUUUACAAACAUGAUAAUGGACAUUAAUUAGAUUUUAGGGACCCAAUGAAAAAGAAAAAUAAAAAAAAAGAAAAUCCUACAUCCAAAAUAUAUAAAAAUUAUGAAAAUGAUUAAACCUUUUAAUUUAGUUUUUAUUAAAAAAAAUAUUGAUACUUAAAAUUUUAUAUUUUUAUUUAAAUUGUUUAUUUUUUCUUGAACAUUGUGAUGUAAGUAUUAUGUUAUCCAGACAUUUUGCUUAACAAUGUACACUUUUUAAUAUGAGGUAAUGUAGUUAAUAUAAAAAAUGAUAUUGUGUUUAUUAAUAAUAAGCGAAUUUUACUAUUUUUGUUCAAAAUAUGUUGAAUAAUAAAUUCCAUAAUUAUAUCUAUUUCAUAAUUAUAUUUAUAUAUUUAUCUUGAAAACAUAUUGGAUAAUGAAAUUUAUAAUCACAUUUUUUAAAAAUAUUUUAGGAUAUCAAAAAUAUUUUAAGUAUAUAUAAAUUUGAGAAGAAAAAAAAAACUAUAUAUAUAUAUAUAUAUAUAUAUAUGACCUUAAUUCAAGCUAAAAAGAGAUAUAGAGAAUGUCUUACUACAAACUGAGUGAGGUGUUUUCUGCAGUUAAAGUGUUCGAUGUUUUGUCUUUUAAUACUUUCACUUUGGUCUGUAGCAAAACAUCCAAAGCAUUGUGGAUUUUGCUUUCAAUUUAGUUCGAAUACAACUUCGAGAAGGUAUCGAUGCUUUGACUUUGUCAGACUCUCACUCUAUCUCCCAUUAAGAGUGUUCCAAAAUAUGACAACUGUCUAACUUUGUCUUAUAAAUAAUUGUCUCAACUGCUCCAUAAAUGUAAAAAGAAGACAUUAUACUAUGAUUUAUAAUGUAAAGUAUAAUAUAAUCUAAUCUAAAGAUUACACAUUUACCAGUUCUAUGAACUCCCAAAAUACCAAAACACAGAAUGUAAUAGUUGUAGCUACUAAUUACUACAUGAUUCUGCAGCUCUCAACAUUCUCAUCACUGAAAGUAUGAGUAAUAGGAUCAGCCAUUGGGUGAGAGGGCAUAGGAGGUGGUGCCAUGUAGUUCAUAGAUGGAUAUGGCCUACCAUACAUCAUGUUUGUUGGAUACAUGCUGUUCAUAUUUGUUUCAUGUUGAUAAUGAUGCUGAUGCUGAUGUUGAGGUUGGUUCAUCAUCAUAGCCAUGUAUUGCUGCUGCUGAAGGUUAUUAUAUGGAACAUGCUGCAUCUGCAUUCCUUGAUGUCCCAUUGCAUCACCCUGCAAUGCCUGAUACCCUUUUUGGCUUGGAUCCAUCUGACCUACUUUGCCAUUUUUAUGAAGAAGAGGAGUCUUGUCAUAAUCAAGAAAAUCAAAAUCAUUUUUACCAUUGCUAUGCUCCUUCAUUUUUCCUUCCUUUUCUUUCUUAUUUCCACUUUCAUUGCUUUGGUUCUUGCUGUUACUGCUAUAAGUUACUUCUUCUAAUCCAACCUUUUUGCUCUUUCUCCCAAAGCUUAGAAACCUACCUAGCAAUCCACCAUCCUUUUUCUUAAUCUCGUCUUUCUUCUUCUUUUUACCUUUUUGGCUACUUUUCUUCCCUUCAUUAUCAUCAUCUUUGGCUUCAUUGUAAUUCCCACCUUUGCCCUUGAUUAGCAUUGCUUGAUCAAUGUCACCACCUUUCUUAUCACUUCCAUUAUUGUUCCUACUCCCACCAGCAUUGUCUUUAUGGCCAUUAUUAGUAGCAGGCCCAUUCAUUACACCAGCAGGCCCAUGAGGCCCACCUCCAUCUCCCAUCUUUGGCAUCAUCUUGUUAUGAUGCAUUGGAUUGCCAUGCCCAUGCCCAUGCCCAUGGCCUAUUACUUCCUCUUCCUCUUCCUCUUCAUCAUCAUAGUCAUCUAAACUGUCCUCAUAUUCAUCAAAACCAUCAUCACUAGCUUCAAACUCCUUCUCUGGUAAGUUGAACCUAACAGAUUUUUGUUCCUUGACAGGUUCCUUGAGAUCUUGAACCCCUUUCAUGUUUGUGAAGUGUGCCAUUUGACCUUUACCUCCUCCACCACCAUCACCACCUUUCUGACCCUUCUGGUUUUGGGACUUAAUGUCCCUUCCCACUUUGUUGUUAUCAACUUGCAAGUUCUGGAAUUUAGGGUUGAUUUGAUGGUUCCCAUUCUGGCCACCCCAUAUCUCAGCAUGUUUCCCUCCCAUCUUUAUCUUUUUCACCAGUUUCUCUGGAUCCACAUCCCCUGCCACUACCACUUUCCCUCCACCUGCAUCUAUUUUCACAGAAUACACACCUGCACAACAACAAUAACAAUUUCUUUUACAGUCAAAUGAAUCUAAUCUAAUAAUGAAGAUUAGACCAAGUAAACUUGAAGAACCCAGAUAAUAUCAAAACAUGUUAACAUGAAAACAAAAAAAGAAGUGUGCUAAGAUUAAUGUACCAUCGAUUUUCUGCAGGAUUUUCUUAACUUUGUGUGCACAGCCAUCACAGUCGAUAUUAACCUUGAGAACACAGGUCUAAAAGGAGACAAAAAAACAGCAAAAACGGUUCAGAAUUAACAUUCCAUGGGCCCAAAAACAAGACACAGAAAGACAACUGUAACAAAAACAGUACUAGAGAAUACCUGAAUUUUCAGCAAGUCUUGUUUACUCAUUGUUAACAGAGAGCAAAAGAAAAAGAAAAAAGUAGUGUGAAAGAUAAGGAAGAAGAUAGUAGUAAUGAGUAUGGUGAAGUUUGUAUAGAGUGUGCAGACAGUGAGAAUUGCAGAAAACAGUUCCUUUAUUUAUAGAAAAUAGAAGGAAGGCGGUGAUAGACAUGAAAUAAACAAAAAGGGGAACAAUGAGUUGUCUUUCACAUACAAGGCGGUGGUGGAAGCUUCAUUCUCAAACCUGCAUUAAGCAAAAACAGAAAUAUCAUUCUUCAAUAAUCAACCUCUCUUACUACCUUUUUUUUCUUUAGUUAUUCUACCAUAUGAUACACUGAUAUAUACCACCCAAGUUCAUUGCCGACACGGGAUAAUCCAUUAGUAGCCAACGCCAUUAAAGGCUCAUUCAUUAAUAUAUUAAUUGUCAUUAAUAAAUGGUUAACUCACAUCUUAACGUAAUGCUGCUGAAUUAAUAGAUUUUAUUAUUAUAAAUUUUAUAAUAAAGUUUGGAUGAUAUUUUAAUAAUUUUUUAACAAUUGAACACAUAUUACUAUUUUAUAGAUUUUGUUAAAUUUAUUUUAAAAAAAAUAUUUAAAAUUGAUCAAUCAUGGAUCAUUUUAUUGUAAAGGAAAUUAUUAAAAAGACUUUUUCUUUUAUUAUAUUUUAAACUUUCUUAAGAGAAAUAUCUAAUUUAAUAUCUAAAUGUUUUCUACGUACCAAAAUACUUAUUAAUGAAAUUAAAAAAGUUAUUCUUUGACGUAUCUAUUAUUUUAUAUUUAUUUAAUACUAUUUUUUUUAUCUUUUAUUUUUUAUUUUUUGAAAAAAUAUAAGAAUUUAUACUUAUAAUCAUUUUACCUUUAUUUAUAUCAAAUAAAUGUAAAAAUAUAUAAUACCAUUAAUCAUAAAACUAACUAUCGAAAGAGUUAUUAUUAAAACUAACUUGAAACUUUGAAGGAAUGUUUAAUGUUCUUCCUACCAUAUUUAAUACUUUUAUAUGAUUUAAGAGUAGAAGUCAAAUCCAGUUUAUAUUUUUUUUUCUAUUUUUUUAAGACGUUUUUUAAAAAUAAAUGGUUCUAAUUUCUUCUAAAAUAUUUAUUGAGUGUCUUGCCUUCGUACAAUUUUGUUAAGGAAAUACACUUGACAUUUAAUAUAAUGUAAAUUAUGUUAAAUUAUAAUUUGAUUAGAGCAAAUUUUAUCCUUUAAAAUAAUAAAAAACUUGAAAAUUAAUUAAAAGUGACUUUAAUUAAAAUUUUGAUGUGAUAAACGGAUAUGAAUUUAAAUUAAAAUGUAUGUUGUAGUAUAUACUCUGUAUUGAGACAGUGUUGGUGAAGAAUGUGCAGUUGCAAUGGGUACGAUGGUUGGUACAGUGGGUGACAUAUGUUCUUUAGGAAUACAGAUAAUAGGAAAACGACAAAACCUCAUUUUAGUGAUCCUUGUGUUUUAAGUUAUCCAUAAUUUCCAUGUGGGUCUGUGUUCAAUCACACAUGAAUUUGUGUUCUGAAUUCUAUAUUUUAUGAGAUUUUUUUGGAAGUAAAAAAAUACUUUUAAAUUAUAUUAUUUAGAAAAAAAAACUUUUAGAUUAUGAAUUAAAAAAAUACUUUGGAUUAUAAAAUCUAAAAUUCUUUUAAUAGAGAAGUAAAUUUUGAAUUAUCUUAUAAGAAUGUUUUUUAAUAUAAAAUUUGACUUUUUAAUUACACAAUUUAGAAAUAAAGAAAAAUUGAGUUAUAUAAUUUGAAACUUAAAAAUACUUUUUCAAAAAGUUUGUUUUUUUAUGUAAAAAUAACUUUUACCUGGUAUAAUGUAAAUGUAAAAAAAAUGACUUUUAGAUACAAAUUGGAAAUAAAAAGAAAAUCGGAUUAUAUAAUUUAAAAGUUCAAAAAUCUUUUAAAUUGCAUAAUCUAAAAUCUAAAAUUUCAUACUUUAGAUUAUGGUUAAAAGCUUUUUUCGGUCUCAAUUUUGGUUCAAAAAAUUCGUUUUGGUCCCUGAGUUGAAUUUGUGUUCAAUUUCGUCCCAAAGAACGAAUUUAAUGUUCAAUUUGGUCCUUUUCAUUAACACCGUUAAAAUUGUUAACGACAAGGUGUCCAGCUCUGCAACUGCUAUGUGAGGUGUCAGUUUUUUGCUGACUAGGAAACCUUUUCAGUUGGAAUUAGAAUUUUUUUAAAAAUUUAGAAGGGAAAAGUGGGAAAAAAAAGACUUUCUUCUUCCUCUAAAACCCUAAUUCCUUUUUAACAUUGACCAGCUUUGACUAGAUGGACGUGCCAAUGGGGUCUUGACACGUGUCUGCCUCUUUCCCAUCCAAAAUUAGGGUUUGCUUGGGGAAAAGGAAAAGGUUUCCUCCUUCACCGUCAAGAGCGUAGACGCGAGAGGGUUUUCUGAUACCAUUGGGUUUAUUGUGUUCUGUGGUUGUUUCUGGUUUGCCAAUUUUUUGCUUACAGGUCGCGAAUGGAGAAGAGUAACGGAGGGGCUUGUAGCGGCUCUCGUGAUGUUGGCAUCGCAGCGGCAAUGAAGGCUCACGACGACAAGGAGGUCGUGCUUUAGUGUGGUGACGCAAAAACGAUUUGGGAUGGUGCUGCGAUGAGGUUGACGACGGCCUACUGAGGUGAUGAUGAUGGCUGCACGAUGGUGGAGGUUAUGGUGGCCUCUGAGUUUCUGGGUUUUCCUCUACAGGUCUGGUUUUGGUGGAUGAUGGUCGUCUCUCGCCGAAAGAGAUUGUGCGGUUCUGUGAGGAUGGUAGCACUGUUGAAAGGUUGAAAACGCUUUGACGGUGGCAUCCUUGCGGCGAGCUCCUGGUGGCCGGUGAGGUGAUGUUGACGAUUAUGAAUGGUGGUGUGUGAGAACGCAAUGUUGACUACAGUCUUGGGUUGCACGGUGAUCAUGCAUGGAGAUUGCGCUGUUGGUGACGACGGGACUGUUGGGUGGUGGUCACUGGCGGCGUGGUGGUUGCCAUGGAGGUGGUAGCUUAAGGGUGGCUGACGGCUAAGGUUUCUGAAUUGGGAAUUAGGAUUUUAGUAGGUGGAAGAUGAUUUUCCCACUUUGCCCUUCUAAAUUUUUUAAAAAAUUCUAAUUCCAACUGAAAAGGUUUCCUAGUCAGCAAAAAAUUGACACCUCACAUAGCAGUUGCAGAGCUGGACACCUUGUCGUUAACAAUUUUAACGGUGUUAAUGAAAAGGACCAAAUUGAACAUUAAAUUCGUUCUUUGGGACGAGAUUGAACACAAAUUCAACUCAGGGACCAAAACGAAUUUUCUAAACCAAAAUUUGGACAAAAAAAAAACUUUUAACCUUAGAUUAUUUAAUCUAACAUUCUUUAAAAAAAGUAGUUUUUGGAUUUCAUGAAGACUUUUAGGAUUAUAUAUUUCAGAUUAUAAGAUUGAAAAGCUUAAUGUUUAAAAUAAUUUUUAGAAUAAAAAAAUGGAUCAUAUAAUUUAAAAGUCUAAAAGUCUUUUAAAUCGUAUAAUCUACGAUUUAAAGCAAUUUCUGAAUUACAUAGUUCAAAAAUUAUGUUUUAAUAUUAAGUAUGAAAUUUCAUAUUUACGGAGGUGAUGAAAAGAAAAAAUAUUGGUGUGCAAAAGAAAUCCUCCGAAAGGAACCUGUUUUGGUUUUUGCAAUUCUGAGUUCAAAGUUGAUAACAAGCAUGCUUCAAUUCUUACAAAGUGGACGGCACAAAAUUAUGUUUAUUUUAUUUUAGGUUUAAUUAAUAUUUUAGUUUUUUUAUUUAUGUUUUUAUUUUGUUUUAAUUUUUAUAAUUUUUAUUUGAUUUGGUCUAUAUUUUUAUAAAUAAAACUCAAUAUGACCAUUUUUUAAAAAAUUGAACUAAUUUUGUUUAGAGAUUUUACAUUUCAAAAUCUCAGUAUGUUAUAUGUUAAAGUUGGAAUCAUUUUUUAUUUAGAAUGCUUCACACGUGUUAAAAUUAAAGAGAUUAUGUAUAUACUUAGUCCAAUCAGGCCUAUUUAGUUUUAGUGAUUUAAAAUAGUUGAAACUGAUAUAUAUUUGUUGGUAUAAAUAUUCGUGUGUAUAUAUAUAUAUAUAUAUAUAUAUAUAAUAUAAAUUUUGAUAUUUUGACUCUGUUAUGAUAUUUCUUAAUAUCUAUAUUUACAUGAUAUUUGGAAUAUCAGAUAAGGUAUUACAUUAUUGUUAUAUUCAACUAAUUAUCAUAUAUACAAUAAAUUAUUAUAUUUGUUAAUAUUAUCAACAAACCUCAUGAGACCCAUAAAUCCUAUAAAUACACAUGGUAUUUCAUUAGGAAAUACACACGCAUUUCUCUCAUACUUUCUCUUUUAUUCAUAAAGAUCCAAAACAUUAUUACUAACAUGAGUAUCGAAGAGUCUUUUGUAGAUGAAUUUUUCCUUUUUAAAUAAUAAAGGAUUCAAUUCCAGUCAUCAGGAACAUUCAAGUCAUUGUUAAGAUUUUGUCACUUGUCCAAAGGUUCACACAUUGAAUCUCGAUAAGAACAUUUGACACUCAACUUGCAACCCAAGUAAAACUUCCUUCUACUUCCCUAUUUUAUUCCAUCUUUAUGCAAGAUGAUAAGUCAUUUCUAAGAGGGAUUGUAAAAAUAGUUCAUGUGCUAUUAUAUCUCUUAAUACAUAAGUUAUGAGAAGGGUGAAUAGCUUGCCUAUUAAAAUUAUUAUAACAAUGAAUAACAAUAAUAUACUUUACAAGUUCAAAAUGUGAUAGUCUCCUCCUAAAGCCAGGUUGGACCAAAGCAAUAAGAUGAAACUAUGAAAGUGGAAGUGGGGCAAAAGAUGGAGAUGGAAGUGGUGGAAUUAAGGUUGUUGACGGUUCUCUUGAGAGGUUGAGUCAACUCUAGAGAAGGUUGGCUAGAGGAGACCACAUGGGAUGCUUUAGCCUUAAACAAGUUUUGAAUAGCCCAAAAUUUAGGAACGUUUCAUUACAAAUCUCAAAAUGGGUUUGUAGGGGGAUACACCUCUAUUUAUAGAUGAAUAUGUUUCUAAAAUAGACCAAAAUCCUAAAAUGUUAUCUUGCACUAAACCCUAAAAUUCUUAUCUUGGUGAAUGAGAGCUUGACAUGUGACACUCUAACUUUUGGAAAAAUUCUUCACUCCUAGAGUGCCAUGUGGAAAGUCAGUUUAGCAAAAGUUUCUCCAGUAGGAAAAUGACACAAGGUUACUACCUUUGUAAGAAAACUCUCCAUUAAGAGUUUGCCUUAUGGAAACCACUUUAGCAAAAGUUCUCCACUAAGAAAAUGACACAUGGUCACUACUUUCGUAAGAAAACUCUUUACUAAGAUCUUUCCAUGUGGCCACCAUGUCUCAUGUUGAACAACCUCCACUAAGCUAGGGUUACAAAACUAAUCACCAAAGAUUAACUUGAGCUAGGCACAAAUAUUGCCCUACUAUUUAAGUAAGAUUGUUCAAAAAUCCUACACUACUUGGUCCUUAAUACAAGGCUUAAAAAGAAAUCUUACACUACUUGACACUUAAUACAAGAUCUAAAAAUACUCCAUGAUGAUCCAAGAGAAAGAGUUUUGUUUCACCUUACAUAAAUAACUUUAGCUUUUCUUGAAUAUGCUUUAGUGAUGACUAGAGAAUAUACCAUUAACGUGUUUCUUAUAAUAGUGUUCAAUACACUGUGGUUCCACACAAUUCCAUGCAUUAAUGAAAAGCACUCACCUAUCCAAAUAGGUCAUAGGCCCUAACAUUUCACAUUUUUAUGAAAUUGACCAAGUAAAAAACACAUAAAGUGGCUUUGAUUCAUUAUGACUCGUUAUGGUAAACGGAAAUGUGCAAUGAAAUAUGAAACUUGACAUAAGUUUAUAAUAGUGGUUGGUAUAGGCACGAGUUGUCUUUGCUGGACAGGUGAUGCAGAGUUAAUAGAAUUGGUAUUUAUUCCGUUUAAGGGAACGAUUGAGGGGUAUUUUGAUGGUUGUUAUAGUCUGGUUGUGCACAGAUUCUGGCUGUGCAUAAAUGAUUAAUGAAUGUGUUAGAAUUGUGAUAAAGACUUUGCAACUGUAAUAAAACUGUUAUAUCAAUGAUUUGAUGUAUAUUUUGUUAGGUUACCCUUACAUUUUCUUUUGGUUAUGUUUUCUCAUCUGCGAUGAUCAUAUGAUUUAUGUUAUUUUACGAGAAUAGAUAAUAUUACAUAUAGUCAUAUGAAUGUUUAAAGCGUCAAAGAUACGGAAAGACUUGAAAAUUUCUAUUUAUUUCUGUUAUUUUUUUAAUAUGAUUGGCUUUUAUUUAAUUGUCUAAUGUUUUAUUUUUAUUGUAAACAAAUUGUUUCGAGUUUUUACUAGUUUUUAAUUAAGGAUAUUUGAAAGAUUCAAAUUAUUAUUUACUAAUUAUUUAAUAACAAUUAUUUAUUUAUAAUUUAAGAUUAUUUUCUCGUAAAAUCUUAAUUGUUUAAUAAUUAUUAUUUAUUUAUACAUUUAACAUCCUUAAUUGUUUAAUAAUUAUUAUUUAUUUAUACAUUUAAGAUUAUUUUCUCAUCACAUCCUCAAUUGGAACGUUAUAAUUAAUAUCAAUUUAAUGCAAUAAUUACAUUAAUUUUUUUUACAAAAAGUAAGAAUUCAAUUAAAUAAAAUAUAAAGAAUAAAUUAUUGAUUAAACAUUUAUUUUUUUAUCAAUGUGUCCAAGAAAGAUACCAUAGCAAGUAUGUUUUCUUUUUGUUAGUUCCGUAGGUUUAAAAAUUAUUUAGUUACCACACAGGAUUUCUUAUACAAUAUUCACUUGUUAUAGACUUUAAGCAUUUUCAGUUUAUUUAAUCAGUAUACGUAUUUUUUACUUUCCAAAAUUUAAAGGCAAAAUCUUAUUAAAAAAAAAAUUGUUCAAACUAUAAGCUUCUAAUAUUACACGGAAACUAAACAUUCAUAGUAUAUCAUUUUAUGUUGAUGGAAAAAAUAGUCUAAAGUUGGAAUUACAAUGAAAGGAUUUUGAUGCUAAGAAUAAUAGAUGAUAUAUCAAAUCCUGUAUAAAAAAACUGACCAUUUAUCAUAUUAAAAUUCUUGACCAAGGAUUUUAGCAUUUAUAUGUAAAUUUAAAUAUAAAUCUAUAUACUAAGCUUCGAAUUUUUGGAUUGGAAAAUUUAUAAAUAGUUCAUUUUUUUUUUCAUAGACAAGGUUUAGAUAUUAGUUGAAUUGAUAGAUAUUUAUAAAGUUUUUUUUGAAGAGGAAAUUUUUUUCUUGAUCGAGUUUUUAUUUUAAUGAUUAGAAAUCAAUUAGUCACUUCAUUUUAUUUUCAAUGUUUUUUUAUAUUCUCUCAACGUUAAACAUUUCCGUAAACAAAUCAUUAAAAAAUAUAACACUAAAAAAAUAUAAGUCUAAUCCACAUAUUAACAUAUACUCAAUUUAAAUUUUUAAGAAAUAUUUCUUUUAUUUACCUUUAUAUAAUAUGAAAUUUAAAGUCAGUAUUAUCAACAAUUAUACAUUAUCAUACAUCUCCUCACUCUCAGACAAUACCUUAAGCACACUAAAAAUAUUAUAAGAUAAUAAAAAUGGGUUUAGGUAAUAGAAAUUCAUAAAAUUACUUAAACUAUUUCAAAAUGGAAGAUUAUAUCAAAUUAAUAAAGAGAAAUGAUUUUUUGAUACAUCUAAACUUUUUACAUUCAUUUGACACUAUCCUUACUUACUUUUUACUCUCUUUUUUUCUUGAAAAACUGCAAAAUUUUACAUUUUUUAAACCAUUUUAUCCUUGUAUUCUGUAUCAAAUGAAUGUAAAAGUGUGUCAAAAUAUUAUUACUAGUUAGUAAAUGGUUGCACGAGCGAUCCAACCAAAGUUGUUAAAUUUUAGUUUGGUCGAGUGCAAUGAUAAAGAGAUGAAAAGUUAAAGGUUGAAUUGACAGUAAAGUCAAAGGAAUAUAGUAUUCAUAUUGUGUGUACAUUCAAAAACCAAUCACCAAAAUUCUUAGUAAAAAGCUAUUGGCAUAGUUCAAUUUAGAGCACAAAAUAAGGGAAUGUGAUUCUUGCAGACAAAGAAUAAAUUCACUUUUUGGAAUACUUUUUGUUGUGUGUCUUUCUCAAACGCGUUUAUCACGAACACGCCAACUCACACCAAUGUGGGAAAAGCUUAAAAAACCAAAUAUGUAGACAAAUAGAAUCUCUCCUUCUUUAACCACUUAAGAGAGAGAAAUAAGUGCGAAAACGAAAAAAAAAAAAAGAAGAAGUUAAUUUAGUGUAUAUUUUUUCUUUUCUAAAUUUCCAAUGUUUUCAAGAAACUCCAUUUGAAAAACAAAAGAAUUUCUUGAUGCGAGUGUAGCAGAGUCGAGAAAAAUGAUAUUGUCUUGAAUUUCAAGACAAAAAUGGAAGGGAAAAGUAUAAGAGAUCUACGUAGAGAUGAAAAUUUUCUAAUAAUAUAAUAUAACAUAAAUUAUAUAUGAAAUUGUUAUUAUUAAUUUUAUUUUUUUUACAAAAUAUAGAGAUUGUUUUGGUGUGAAGUCGAGUUAUUUCAUAUAUUUGUAUAAUUUUUUCUUAAAUGUCGUCUGGUAACUAAAUCAGGUUUUGUUUUUAUUCCACUGUCUCAAGAGGUAUUUGUCAAAGAUUCUAUGAUGUUAAGUAAGUUGUCGAUAUAAUGUGGUAAUAAAUGCACAGUAUAUGUGAUAACCUACUUCUUACCUUUGACCGUUUUCAACAUGAUCUUAAGACUUAUAAAACCUUAAUUUAGGCUUAAUCUCAUUCCAAUAUCUUUAAUUAUCAUUUACUUUAAUUCUUGUAAAAAAACUUGUUCAUCAGCUAUGGCCGAUCAUCCUAUUCUUGGUCGUUCGACCUUAUCAAUUAGUUUAUGUCACAUUCAUUCACUACUUAAUUGAUUCCUUUUUCCUAUGAUCGUUUUGUUUGUUUGGUAUAAAGUUUUAGGUGGUUCUAAUCACUAAUUUAUUUGUUGGCUUAGAAGGAAAGAUAAAAAAAAACAUAAAUUGGUUCAAUUUUAUAUCCUAAGCUCUUUAGACAAAUUUAUUUUUUAAGAAAUAAUGAUACUUUUUCCUUAAUAUUUAUUUAAUGUUAUUAUUGUUAUUUUAAUCUCCUAGUUUGUCACUGCCUUUUCUUACGCGGAAAGCUAACAUGUACCCAUUAUAGGCGACAAUCUUAUUUAAGGAUCCAAAAAUUUAAUUGAGUAUUUCUCUCACUCUAAUCAUGUUAUUUAUAGGUUUAAUCAUUCAGGAAGUCCUUAUUUUUGCGUGAAAUCUCAAUUUUGUCCCUUUCUUUUUAAAAUUCUCAAUCGGGUCCCAAAUUUAUGAAAAUUGAAACAAUUGGAUCCUUUCCGUUAAAUUGCCUUUAACGGUGUUAGUGGGAAUUUGAUGUGGCACGCUACAGUGAAUUUGUUAACUGACGUGGCUGAACAACUGCAGCACGUGGAUAAUUUAUUUUUUAAAUCAAUUUUUUAAAUAAAAAGAAAAUGAAAGUUAUAAACCUGAAUUGGGAAUUUGAUUUUAUGGAAUUAAGGAUUGGGAUUCUUCUGACUUCUUCUAGAGUUCGUUCAAAGAUCAAGUCAUUUCACAAAUUAGGGUAUCAGUUUGAGAAUUUAGGGUUUAAUCCAACUUGAGUAAUCUCGAGUGGUCAGGUCUUGAGUAGAUGGUGAUGGUGAACUUCUGGUCACUCUGGUGGUCCUUGAACAACAGAUCUACAAAAAACAAACAAAAGCAAUUACAAGAUUCGUCAAAAAUCAUCAUAAGUUUUUGACGGUCGGAAAAGAAUCUCUCGCCCCCCCAAAUCCGAAUUCGGAACUCAAGAAGACAUAGAGUGAGAGAGAGGGAAAGACAGUACCCCUAGCCUUCUUGCCGAUAUCAAAGUAGAGAUCGGGACCCUUGGCCAUGGCUUUGAUUCGGAGAAAAUGGGGAUCUUGAGAAAUUUUGUGGAUGAAGAACGCAGAGUGUUUUGUCUGUCUGUGAAAUUCAAACACUAUCUUUUGCCAAUUAAAUAAAUACCUCAAAACCCUAAUUUUCAGCUUCUUUUCCAAGACUUAUUUUCUUGAAAUCUUGAAGUCUACUCCACCAUUUGAUCUCAAAACCCAAACACUGUGUGGACAAGCAGUGGGUGUAGGCAAGUUCCUACAGCUGUUUGCCUACGCCUUCAAUUUUCCGGUCGCCAAGUUCCUGCAGACACGCAUAGCAAGGUCAUCGUCAUCGUUGCGAUAUCAUCACUGCACCUGUUGUUGAGUUGGUUACUCAUUAUGAAGGUGAACUGGUGGACUGGAGCUAAAUGGGUUGUGGUGGUUCAUAGUAGUGGCUCAUUUGGCGUAUGUGCUCAGUGGUGGUUCUGGAAGGGGUUUUUUUAUUUUAUCUUUAUUUAUUUAUUCAUAAAUAAUAAAUAUACCAAAAUCUAAAAAAAAUGAAUUAUCCACGUGUUGCAGCUAGUCAGAACAAACUGACUACAGCGUGUCAUCAAAUUCCCACUAACGCUGUUAGAGGUAAUUUAACGGAAAUGAUCCAAUUGUUUCAAUUUUUAUAAAUUUGGAACCCAAUUGAGAAUUUUAAAAAGAAAGGGACGAAAUUGAAAUUCCAUGCGAAAAUAAGGACUUCCUGAAUGAUUAAACCUUAUUUAUAUGACUCUCUUUUUGAUGAAAAAUUAUUAUUUUUUAAUAAAGUUUCUUUAUUUUUAAAUAAUGCAUUAAUUUUUUUUGUUCUAAAACGUGUUUAGUUGAUUAACAUUUUGAAUCAAGUAACAAUUUUUUUGUACGCUAAUUUAAUUUAACAACAAAAGUGUAUAUAUGGCACAAAUACUUCUUUAAAUACGAUACAUAUAAAUUCAGAAAAAAAAAAGUCAGACUUAAAUGCUUACUUGGUCACUACGUUAAGUGGGUUUUUUCAGUUUAGUACCCAAUUUUAAAAAUGUAUAGAUUAGGUCCCAAAGUUAUAAAAAUUGCACGAAUCCAGUCUUGUCCGUUAAAUUGACACUAACGACGUUAAUUGUGUGCUGAUGUGACAUAUUUCUUCUCUUCUCUCCUUUGCUCCUUUGUUGUCCAUCUUCUCUCGUUUGCUGUCCAACUUUUUCUUUCUCUUCCAUAUUAGUAGUUUCCAAUUUUUUUUUCUAAAUCAAAUCCCUUCAUUUUUGGGAGCUAAUUCUCCAAUGUUCCACCUCGCAUUAACCCCUCAAGGCAAAUAAGGGUUUAUGCAGAUGAGGCAUUUUGUUCCCUCCACCACCAACGCUCCUUACAGCGGUUCUACCGGGUACCGUCUCUCCUCCGACACCUCCAUUGCCAGUUGCACCUUCCUCACCUAUCUCCGCGACAUACAUAAGAACUUUCUAGAAAAAAGUGACAUUGGACCAAAAAUAAAAUGGGAAAGCAAAAAAAAAAAAAAUAUCAACCUCAAACCUGUAUUUUCCAGGAAUAACAUUUGAAAACUGAAAUUUACUAUACUCUUAGUGGUCAAGCUAAGAACACCAGCAAUCGCUCCUAAAUUCUGCUUACACAACUCAUUGGGGCAAGGCGAUUUGCUUUUGCUCUCUUUCUCUUCACUAUUAGAAGGAGCCAGAGAAGGAGGUGUCAACUUCACGACAUUCGUCGUCGGGUUCAUCAAACUCAUCGUCGGUGGAGGCGAUGGGGCCGCCCCUAUCGCAACAUCAAAAGAAGAAUGAAAACUUCACCACUCUAUUUUGUGAAUCUCUAUGCUACCCUGCAUUGAACCUGAGAACCCCACAUACAAACAAUCACUCAAAUACUUAUCCAAUUCGAGGCUCGUCGACAAAACGGGAUCUUUCGGUUUCAAAUUGGAAUACGAAACCCACACGUGUCAGCUUCUCAAUCCUUUUACUGCAUCAAAUCCAGCGGCAUCAUCGUCAUAGGCACUUCUUUUAACGCUAAGGUUUGCCAUUUCGGCACCGUGCAGCUCUAUGGCGAAAUCGACCUCGAAAACGAACAAUUAGGAGAAAUCAGUGAGAUAGGAGAGAAAUUUCCGCCGUUCCCAGUGAGAUCCAGGCAAUUUAAAGGUGUGCAGGGGUACAUGACACCGGAAUUUUAAGCCUCCAGCGUUGCGACUCAAAGGUCUGAUAUAUACACUUUCAAAGUGGUGACGUUGGAGCUCCUGUCCAGGGAGGAGCCACUGAAGUUUAAAUAUGACAAGAACAUAGGCAGAUUUUUUAGGACGUAGGUGAUCAAGAUGACGAGAGACGUGGUUGACGACGAUGGUGGCAUAUAGUGGAAGCUGAGGGAAGUGGAUGUAGGAGAAGCUUACACAUGUGGCAUUUGAGUGAAUUUGACUGGUAGAGAAAAGAAAAAAAAAUGAAAAUUGGAAACCAUUAAUACGGAAGACACAAAAAAAGCUGCAAAGCACAAGAGAGAGAGCAGAGAUAAGCACGGAGUUAACGUUGUUAGUGUCCAUUUAACGGACAAGACUUGAUUCGUGCAAUUUUUAUAACUUUGAGACCUAAUCUAUACAUUUUAAAACUGAGUACUAAAGUGAAAAAACUCACUUAAACAUAAAGAUCAAGUAAGCAUUUAAGAAAAAAAGAGUUAUUAAUUAAUUUAUCAUGUUUAAAUAAGUUUUUGAAAGUAUAAAUUAGUUGAAAGUGUUUAGUUCGGUGAAAUAUUUUUCGAAACAAUUGACGUUGAUAAUGUUUUUUUUAUCACUGUAAAAUCUAAUCUUAACUAAAUAGCUAAAUCUUGUGAUAUGUCAAAUUUACCACAAAUCAACACACUAAACUACCUUAUUAAUAACACCCCCCCUUUACAAUUUUUUGCAGCCAAAAUGAAAUAUUGAAGAAAAAAUAAAUAAAAAAUAGAAAAGUUACAUGGCCAAACUCCGCCGGUUAAACCGGUGGCCGAGCCGAGUCAACGGCCGUCGGCGGCAUAAUCGGCGCGGUGGAUGACGACGACAUUCUAUCAACAUCGUUGUUCCGUACCCUGGGAGACCUAAUAGACAGCGCCCUAGCGAAAAACGGCGCAGCUACUGAGAAAAUCCAUCGGUCCGAUUUGAAACUCCGGUCCAACCGCCUCGAUUGUUUCCCCCGACUACUCCCUUCUCCUCCGGUUCGGUAACCCCGCCUCGAACUACCUUCCCUCGGUAACACGAUCAAGCUACUUGCUCGAUGCAAUUGCCGGUUUAUUAGUUGCUUGCGAACCUCCAAAGGAAGUAUCAGAGUGAACCGGUCCGUAUUUUCUCCCGGUUGGACAAUCGAGUGCCCAGUCGAGUGCGACUUCGAGAAUCGGCGCGGCCGGUUCGACCGCGAUCCACGCGUGCGGUUCCGGUUCAGCGUUUUCUCCAGAGAAAGAACUUCCGGUUCAGUCAAGAAACGGUCAGAGUCCGCGUGUUGCUGCUCUGGUGCGGCUUCUACGACGUCGUUUUGCGCUUCAAGGUCCGUCGUUAACAUUUGGGGAUCGGGAACAGCGGCAACACCGUUGUUGGCGUCAGAUUCCUGUGAUUCUGUCGGUACAAGGUUGGCGCGGCACACGGGACACGUGGUAUGGGAGCUCAACCACUCGUCUAUGCACUCGGGGUGGAAAACGUGGUCGCACUUGGGGAUCAAACGCAGCGUUUCGGUGUCUUCAAACUCGCACAAACACACCGCGCAUUCCAAGGGUUCUUUUCCGAUCUUGUGGAUCUUGACCUCGGAGUAUUCGAGGAUGGGGAAGGUUUGGAUGACGGCGGGAUCAAGGCCACGCGCAGCUCUUCUGGAGCGUGCGGACGUGAGAGGCCUAACGCUGUUGGAAGGCGUAUCGGCGCAGUGGCGUACGUAGACGGAGAAAACGGCCAUGACGAAAAGCGCCGCCACUAAUAUGACGAUUAUUGCGGCUAGAGAGGGGUUGAAACUGUUUAGUCUUGGGUCGGUGAAUUCACUGGGCGACGGCUGGGACUGCGCGACGGCGAUUGGAAUUGACGCCGCCGCCACCACCAGGAGGAGGAGGAAUAGGGCUGCGUGAUGAUGGUGUUUCAUCAUCUUGUCGAAUGAAGAGAGUGAGACAAAGGGUCUGUUAUUUAAAAGAGAGUGUUGUUGUUGGUCAUAGUUUCUGCAAACGCGCGCUACAGCUGCCUGUGGAACCUUCCACAGAAAAUUGAGAAAAUAUUGCUUGCUUUAACACAAAUUCUACUGAAUUUCAGUGCUUUAACAUAAAUAUUGUUUUUUGUAUUUUUUGUCCAUUUAAAUAAAAAAACAAUAUGGUUAUUAAAUACAAAUUGACUGAAUCAGCAGUAAUGGAAAAUGCAUGCUCAAUUAACUUAAUAAAAAAAUAAUUACUUACGGUAACUUCAUGUUUUUUUUUUAAAAAAUAAUUUAAGUGGAACAAGAGUUUACAAGGAAAAUUAAAAUAAUUUUUAAUCCAAAUAAAGUCUCCGAUUCAGCCCAAUUCGUGAGGAAUAAAAAGGUCCGAUAAAGCCCAAUAAAUAAAAAAAUACAAAAGCAAGCCGUGAAGUUUGACCAAAUGUAUUAGAAGUUUGUUAACCGUAGAAUCCAGUAUCAAUUUGCAUUAAUUAAUAUACGCCAUAUUAUUAGGGACUAUAAUUUCCUUUACACGGUUUCGGAAUCAAUAAACAUAAAACUUAGUUAAUUUUUGUUGACUUAAGCAAAAUGGAUCACUCCAUCAACUCUUGAGCUUCGACAACACCGAGUUUUGUUUUGUUUUUUUAUUAUUAUCAAAUUUAAAAAGAAUAUAAAAAAUGGAACAUAUUAAUAUUUUAAAAGCAAAAAAACUAAAGUUUGACUAGUUCUUGCAGUUGAGUGCGGAAGCAAAGUAGGGUGAAAGUCAACGUUCUUGAAGCUAUAGUCAAGAGUUAAACUAUUAGUCAACCUUCAUUUUCAAAGAAAUUUUCCUUGCCAUAACUAUGGUUACUUGUACAACAUCGUUGACUAAUAUUGGUUACUCACCACAUUUUUUUUUUGUUUUCUCUAUUUCGUUUUUUCUCUUCGGUAGCAAAUAAGAAAAAUUGAAAAUUAAAGGAAAAAAAAGAAGAAAGACAUAUUGAAUAAAUAAGAAGUGUGUUUAUUGGUUUGAGAAGAAAUUAAAGAAAACUUAUUUUAAAAUAACUAAAUAAAUUAAUUAAAUUUCUUAAUUGUAUCAUUACAAAUUUAUUUAUAUGUUUCCGUCUCAAUUAGUUUAAUUAAUAUUGGGUUUAUAAUUGUAUUUAGUUUUGAUUUUUAAGUGAUGUGAGACUAACAAUAUCAUGUUUCAAUACAUUUCAAUAGUUUCAUAUAGUUUAAGAGUUAAGGUUAAAGAUAAUUUAAAUAUAUUUUUUUUCUCUAACUUUUAAAGUAUCUUUUAAGAACAAAAUUGUGACAAGUUUAAUUUUUAAAGUAAACAAUACCAUACGAUAAUUAAUACUAAUAAUAUUAUGACAUAGUUUGUUGUUUGUUGAGGACAUCAAGAAAAUAAACCAAUUGAAUCUCAAUAGUUCAAAAUAACUAAAGAAACAAUGUCAAAGACAAUUUAAAUACAUUUUUCUUCUUUAACUUUUAAGAUGUCUUUUAGGAACAAAAUUGUGAUAGAAAUUUUAGUUUUUAAAAUAGACAAUACCUUAUACAUAACUAAGACUAAUAAUAUUAUGACAUUAUUUAUAACUUCUUGAAGACAUUGAGGAAAUAAACCAAUAAAAAAAAUCAACAAAACACAUUUUCAUGCAAAAGGAGAGAAAAAGGACACGUCAAGUGGGGUAAAAAGAAAAUUCAAACAAAAAACAUUGAAAGGAUUUUGACUACAAUAAAAGACGUCAAAGAAGACUAAUCAAAAUGGAGAAAAGCAUUGAUAGAAAAGUAAUUGAAACCAUGAUUGAAAGCCAAUUUGAAAAGGGAGUUAUAUACAAUAGCUACUAAAAAAUGUGAAUGUGAAGUAAAUAAGAAUAUUUUGUAUGAUGUAAGUAGUUUUAGGAUAGUUACUCCAAUUUAUGUAUUUUUUUUUUCUUUUAAUUUAUCAUGUCAAGUAAUGCCAAAAUUAGAGUUAUCAAAAUGAGUCACAACUCGCGGGUCAACCCGGUCUACACGGGUUUGAGUCGGGUUGGGUUUGGAAAAAUUGUAUUUUUUUAUGCGGAUCAGAUUUCAACCCGACUCAUUUAAACCCGGCUCAUGCGGGUUGAACCCGUGGUGGGCCGGGUUGGCCCACCAACCUACCUACCUAAUUUUAUUUUAUUAAAUUUUAAUUUUAUAAAAAAAAAUUAUUAUUAUUUUUUACUUGAAAAAAUUAUUUAGUUUCUCUAUUUUCGAGUGAAAUUUGUUUAGGUUUGAAUUAUAGAAAGUUUGUAUUUUUUUUUAUUUAAAAAAAAUUGUAAUUAAGUGGGUUAAUGAGCCAAUCCGUUUACCCACCAAUCCGUGGUGGGUCGGGUCAGGUUCAAAUUUUUCUGGCUCGCUAAUAAACGAAUCGGGUUGAGUUGACUCACUAAGUGACCAACCCGUAGUGGACCGGGCCGGGUCGAGCCGAGUUACCCGUUUCGACUGCUUAGCAAAAAUAAAGAAAAAAAAUAUAAAUUGAGAUAUCUAAACAAAAGGUAAUCAAUUAUGGGUACAAUUUCAAACAAAUACCAUCAAUGUCUCGAAUAGAAAGAAAUGACAAAAUUAAUGUUGAGUGUAAUAAUUUGAGUUAUAAAUUUCUUUUAUUUCCUUUAAUAGUUCUUAUUUUACUUUUGAUAAUUUAUUUACCAUUAUCUUCUUCAUCUAUAUUUCUAUCAUUGUUAUUUUGAUUCCUCUGUCGUUCUAUUUUUAAAAUAUAUAUAUAUAUAUAUAUAUAUAUAUAUAUAUAUAUAUAUAUAUAUAUAUAUAAGAAAUAUGAUAAAAAAAUGUUUGAAUUGUUAAUUGAAGGUAUCAAACAAAAGUUUAAUGGUUUAAAAAUUUUCAUGACUUUAAUCUAAAUAACUUGUAAAUUUAUUUUAACAAUAGAUUUAUAAACACUUAUAUAUUUAAAAAAUGAAAUUUAAAAACAUUAAAUAUUAGAAACAAAUAUACAUAAAAUAAAUUUGAUUUAUUGAAAGACAUUGUUCACGUAUGAAUCCAAAUCCUCAACAAACACCUAUACAUAAAAACAAAAAGUCGUUUCCUUCAUAGACACAAAUUUAUCUAUAAAAUAAUGUGUCUUUUUCUUGUAAGUUCUUGUUAAAGACUUUGUCCUAAAAAAAAACUAUUGGUUUUGUCGAGCUUCGAAUGUUGGAGAGGGUGUGAUGUUUACGUUAGAUAAGUUCUGAUGGCUUAGACUUUCAUGUUUGAACUUUGAAUGUUUCUUUUAAUAAAAAAUCUCAGAAAGUUUGAAUAAAAGGAUGGAGAUAAAAUAAUUUCAUAAAUUCUAGAAGGAUAUUGAAUUCGGAUUACAAUAAAGAAUGCGUUCUUAAUGUUUUAACUAACUACGUCUUCAGUUCGAUGCAACCUAAAUUUAACUAGCUUGGAAAAGGUCAAUUUUUUUUUCCUAAUAAUUAGAUGUUGUUAGUAAAAUGUUGUAAUAUAUUACUUUUAUUAUUAUAAAACAAAAUUUAAUUACUUCUGAAUGUCGGGAUAGUUUGAGUCACUCGCAUUUCUUCUGCCUUGAUUAUUCAGUUGUUUCUGAGAUGACAAUCAAUAGGAUGUAGUAGAGUGUGAGUAAAGCGUACCUAUCUUGUGACUUGAAUUCUCUAUUUAUAAUUUGUCCCAUGUGAGCCCAAUAAAAUAUACACAGACAAACUUACCUAAAAAUCUGUUUAGUUGUUUAUAACCUGUUUAUCAAUAUUUUUAAUUAGAUAUAUUUGAUUAUCUUUUGGUUAUUUUAUCUUCUACUUAUCAAUAUCUUUAAUCAGAUAUCCUUGAUUAUUUUAUAUGAUAUCUCGUAAUCGCUCGACUUUGAUAUCAUAUUAUACAUUAGGUGUUGUCUUUAAAGAUUUAGCUUAUUUCUUGAUCCUUUUAUUAUGACGACAAAAUAAUGAUCAAUUAUACUUCAAUGACAUUGAAAAUAUAAGAAUGAAACCAUAAUUUCAAAAUUGAGUAAUGCAUUGAUAUGUAUAAGUUUGUAAGAUAUUGAACAUUUUUUUACCUCGUUUAGACUUUAAAAUAAAGAGUAUAUAAAUAUUAAAACAGACAAAUUAUUAGGUUUAAUACAUCUUUUGGUCCCAUCUUUUGGGGCUUUUGUUCAAAAUGAUCCCACCUUUGGAAAAAAAUCACUUUGGUCCCAUAUUUCAUUAAAUGUUGUUCAAAAUGGUCCCUAUGACAGACGACGUUAAAUUUUUAACGGUGAAGUUACUAGCGUGGCAAACGUCUAUCCACCUGUGCCCAAUUUAUAUGACGUGGCUGUGUGGACUGUAGUAAGUUGACAUAAAUGGCUUAUAAUUGGGGUUAUUAAAAGGGGUGGGUUAGAGUUAGUUGAAGUUAGGGUUCUUUGGUUCUUUGCUGUUCUUUAAAUUUUGGAACAGAGGUUGCGAUAGGUUUAGGGUUCGUUGAAGUCAAAAUGGCUUCUUCUCAAGCAUGUUCGUCUUGUUCCAAAACUGGGUGGGAAAGAAAUUCACAAUCCGCAAAUGAUGGGGGCUGGAGGGGAGGUGGGAUAAUCCCUCAUUGCAAGUAUGGUGAUGCUGCUGUGUCCAAAGUGGCGAGAACUCCCCAGAAUGUUGGGCAAAAAUUUUGGGGAUGUCGGCAUUACAAGGUUUUUUUAUUUCCAUUUUGACUUUAUUUGGUAUAUAUUUGAUGAGGAAAUUUCAAUUUUGGUGGCUUAUUUGUUGCAUAUCAGGGUGGAUCUUCAAGAGGGAUUUACUGCAACUUUUUCAAAUGGUGUGCUGAAGAAAAUAAUGAGGAAAGAGAUGAUGAAAGUGUUAGACAAAGGAGGAGGAUUUCUGAUUUGGAAAUUUUAGUCCAAAACUUGCAGAGAAGGAUGAAAUUGUUACUUGGAGCUAUGUGUGUUGUUUUUGUAGUUAACAUUGUCAUUUUAAAGGUCUGUUUAGGUUGAUCUUAGUAUGUGGCUGCAUGUUUUGGUUUCGUAAUGUCAAGGUGAAGGUGAAGGUGAAUGUUAAGGUUCAUGCAAUGUCAAGGUUUUUAUGUAAUGUGAAGGUUUAUGUAAUAUGAAGGCGUUAAUGUGAAAUGUUAAAUAUAGUAUCUGGUUUCAUUUUAAAAUGUCCAAUUUGGUCCCCAAUUAUAUUUAAAUUAGUUUAGUUUUGGUCCCAAAUGGAUAUGAAGACAAGUGUUUGUCAUCCCAUAAUAAACUCACACAAGUGCUUCUCAUCACAUACUAAACUAACACAACUGCUUCUCAUGAUAUAAUAAUCAAAGUGCACAUAAAAGUGGACAUAAUAAUACUUCAUUAAAUGAUAAUGACCAUACAUCAAAAAACUUGGUCACAAAAUACAUCCAAACUGUGUUCAAAAUACAUCAAAAAACUGUGUUCAAAGUACAUCAAAAAACUGUGUUCAAAGUACAUGCACCAUCUUCAUAAUACACAACAACUGUGUUCAAAAUACAUCCAAAGUUCAUAAUAAUGACUUCACAACACAUCUAAUUGAUUCUUCUUUUGAAAGGAAACUUCUUCCUCAUGAUUGGUGGAGUUGAAUAUGCACUGGACUCCUGAGUAGGUUGUGGUGGCUGCGGGGAUUGAGGAUUGGGUUGCUGUGAAUUCCAAUAUCUAGAUAGGUUUGAUUCCUUGAUAAGCCUGGUGUUUAUCUUUGGACAGAUAGUGAAUUCCAUAGCUGCGACCUUGGUUCUGUUGGUGGCCCAACGUUUCAUAAGAUAAAGCCUUAUCUCCUCCAGCAUUGUGAUUAUUGGCUUGCCUCUGGCAAGCACAAUAACACUGUUGAAGGCUUCACAUAUAUUGUUGUCAAGAGAAUCACAUGCAGCUUCAUAUGUGAAACGAGACCAUGACCAGUACCUGCCAUGAGCAUUGAGUAAAUCAACAUUAAGGCUUAUAUAAUUUUUAAUUAAGCAAGUAUAAUUCAGCACAUAAUCAUGUAUUCUUCUAAUAUAUUUGUAACCAAAGAUGGAUAGUAGAGUAGAAUGAAAUAUAUUUGUUCUACUAAUAUAAAAAAUGAAUAAUGGAGAUCUUGAAUGUUUAUAGAACGCAAAUGGAGUUGCUGAAUUUCAUGCAAGAGAAGAAAAACAAACAGCCAUCUCAACUUUAAAAAUUCUGCUGCAGGAAAUAAUUCAAACCCGAAAGUGCUGAAAAGAGAUGAGUGAAUUUGAACCAGCAAAUUUGUUUGCUGAAUAGCUUUGAACCAGCAAGAUUGUUUGUUGAAUACAAACUGUUUUCACUGAGUUGUGUUGACAAAUUCAAGCCUUAGCAAAUUUUACCAUGUUCAGUUCAUUUUGCAUUCCAUCAAACAACUCUAAUACUCAAAUUUUGAAUUAGCACUUAAAACAAACUUGUAGAGAUGACUUAGCACUUCUAUUAUUUUUAACUAUCAGCUAUUGUUAAAAGUAUUAUAAAAAAGUUAACAAGUCCUUAGAAUGAAAAUUUUAAAGUAUUGCUCAUAUUAAAAAAAGUAAAACAUAACAGAGAAAAGAUAUAAAAUAUGAGAAGUCAGGAUCCUGGGCAUUAGAUCGUUUAUAAAUUUAUGAGAUAUGUUUUGGCUUGUAAGAACAUAAAAGAAAACAAUUUUCAUGAACUAAAAUUAAAAUUGACUAACAUUUAAACAAAACUUAAAUUUACUAACUUCUUACAGUAAGAAACUAAAUACAUCCAAAAAAUAAGACAGGAAAUUCGAAUAUUAUAUUAAUGAUGGUUAAUGUAUAAUAAAACAGGGACAAAAAACAUUUCAACAAGGGGUGAUAGCAAUUUGUCGUAGUCAUAAUCGAUGCACCAAAAGUAUAAUUAACUAAAUGCAGCUUAAAAAACAUUUGUGAAUCAAAUUAAAUAUAUAUUUUCAUGCAUUAAUAUAUUCAACUGAAUUUCAAGUUAUCAAAUUUUAAAAAUUAAAAAACCUUAAUAGUGAUUAUAUAUUGAAAUGAAUCUGACACCAGGAAUGAAUCACUGCAGAAUAUGUUCUGAGGAAACUGGUGUCUAUGAACGCCAUGACCUAUCAAAGGAACAUGGUCACGGCUUUAUCAAAGCAAUUUCAGGCUUUAUAGCAUUCAUUCUGGACUUAGUUCAACAGAAGCUUUAGACACAUUCACCAAUAGUAUUUUAAUCCAAAAACAGCCAAUGAAACACUAAAUUCAGAAAAUCUGCAGCGUCAACCCUAACCCCCCAAAAACAAACAUAAACAACAGCAUAGCCUUAGAAAUUGAACCCUUACCUCACCCCCGUACAAUGUUGAACUACCACCUUCAAGCAAUCACCACUGAUGUGAUCUCCAAUGGCGACAAAUGAACAGCAGAUGAACCCAGAGCUUUCUCUCCAAUCGCGACAAUUGAAAAACAAUUAGGGUUGGGUUUUUUAAUUACCCUAAUUUUCUAAUUUGAUUUUAAUUAGGGGUUUUUUAAUUACCCUUAAAUGUUUUCAACAAGCCACGUCAUAUAAAUUAGGCACAGGUGGAUAGAAGUUUGCCAUGCUAGCAACUUCACCGUUAAAAAUUUAACGCCGUUUGCCAUAGGGACCAUUUUGAACAACAUUUAAUGAAAUAUGGGACCAAAGUGAUUUUUUUCCAAAGGUGAGAUCAUUUUGAACAAAAGCCCCAAAAGAUGGGACCAAAAGAUGUAUUAAACCAAAUUAUUAUUAGCAAUAACAAUAUUAUUUAAUGAAAUUAAGAAUUAAUAAAAAAAAUCUAAAUUUCCCCUCAACAGUUACAAUAAUACAUAGAAUUACCAACGACCAAAAUCUGUCGAAAAUGUCCAAAAUCCGUCGAUAACGACAUUUUUCCGACGGAUUACCGACAAUCAUAACUCCGUCGGUAAUAACAUUGUCGGUAAUAUGUACAAAACUCUACAUAUAUUCUUUCCUCUUCCUUUCACUCUUUUUUUUCAAGUUCAUAAUGUUUCACAUUGUUUUUUAUUUUACUGAACAUUUGACACAACUAUUCUCAUUAAUAUUAUUUGAGAUUCUUGAUUUAUUCUAAAAUAAUUAAAUUAUUAUAUUGAUGUUGUUCUAGGCUUAAAUAAGAAUUAAAAAUGGUUUAGAAAGAUUAUAGAACCAAGUUCUCGAGGUUCGUUGCUAUUGUUAAAAAUUACAUAUGUCAAAAUUUUAAUAAUUGAUUUCAGAAAUUCCAUAAAUUAGAAAUAUCAUAAUAGAAAUUGAACUUGUUCGGAAAUGCAGAAAAAAAAAUAUAUUUUUAAAAAAUAAAAUAUAAAAAAUAUUUAUACAAAAGGGAAAAAUGUGUAUAAAGUUUAAUAUAAAGUGUAAUAAAAUCUAAAGUUUGUAGUGAAAAAAUUAUAAAAUAGAUUUAUUCAAUCUUAAAUAUUUUCGACUUUAAACCAUAGAAAGAUCAUAUUUAUAUACCCUUAACCUUUUUUAUGUCUAACUGUUGGCGUAGUUGUGGUAUUGAAUAUGCAGAGAUUCAGAAUAUGAAUAUUAGAGAGUAAGAGAAGAGAUGAAAACUGAAAACUAUAUUGUAUUAUUAUUUUUUCACUUAUGAAUGAUACAAAGUGGGGUAUAUAACAUGUGCAGAAUACAAUGGUUGACCUUAAGAAAGUCAGUUGGUAGUUAUGAUUAUAACAACAUGCCCUCCUAAACAUAACUAGCUACAGCUUUUACACCCAACAAAUCUCUUAGUUGAUGAAACCUGAAUGGUCUAAGUGCUUUAGUGAAAAUGUCAACCUUUUGAACUUCAAUUGAGCAGUGCAGGAACUCAAUCUUACCUUGACUCACUAAAUCUCUUAGAAAAUGAAACUUAGUAUCAAUGUGUUUACUCCUGCCGUGAAACACAGGAUUUUUAGAUAAGCUUAUUGCAUAUUUGUUGUCUACCAUCAACUGUAUGGGUUUUCUACAGUUAAGCUUCAAAUCUCCAAGGAGUGAUUCUAGCCAAAUGUAGUGACAAGUUGUCUCUGUGGAUGAUAUGUAUUCAGCUUCACAUGUUGAUGGGGCCACCACACUUUGCUUCUUGGAGCACCAUGAGAUAGGCGCCCCAGCAUAUUGAAGGAAAUAGUCGUAUGUGCUUCUUCUAUCCAAUGAGUCUCCACUCCAAUCCGAGCCACACCAAACCUCUAAUACUCCUUAUGAUCUGUUAGUAGCUCUAGGAAAUAAAAGGCCAAAAUUUACUGUUCCCUUCAAGUACCUUAAGACGUGUUUCGCUGCUGUCAAGUGUGACACCCUUGGUUCAUGCAUGAAUUUGCUCAACAAACCAACACCAUAACUAAUGUCAGGUCUACUAUUACAGAUAUACCUCAAGUAGCCCACUAUUUGUUUGUAAAAAGAGGCAUCUACACGUUCUUCUUCGUGUUGUUCCGUAAGCUUGAGAUUAGCAAUUACAGGAGUGGGAGUAUAGUUACAAUUGCUCAUGUUGAAGCGUUUCAGGACCUCGCUGAUGUACUUUGCUUGGUGUAGAAUGAUUCCAUUUGCAGUCUCAACAAAUUCAAGCCCGAGAAAAUAACCUAAAUCGCCUAGGUCGGACAUUUCAUAUUCUUCUUUCAUUUUCCUUUUAAACAAAUCGAUUUCCUUUUCAGAGUCUCCAGUCACAAGGAGAUCAUCUACGUACAAACAUACUAGAACCUUGUUCUGUGAUCCAGCACUUCUCACGUACACACCAAAUUCAAUAGAACUCUUUUGAAAUCCCAGUUUGAUCAAUAAAGCAUUGAUGUGAUUGUUCCAAGCUCGUGGCACUUGUUUGAGUUUGUAUAAUGCCUUAUUCAGCCUAUACACCUUGUGCUCUUUACCUUGUAUCUCGAAUUCGGGUGGUUGCAUCACAUAAACUUCCUCUUUCAAAGGACCAUUGAGGAAAGCAGAUUUCACAUCUAACUGUUGAAUUCUCCAAUUAUUCCAGCUAGCCAUUGCUAUCACGAGCCUCAUAGCCUCAAUCCUCGCGACGAGUCUGGCCUUCAAUUUUGCUAUCUCACCUCCUAAUUUAUAUUUAGUCUUGAAAAUCCAUUUUACCUCAAUUGUUCGCUUAUGCUGAGGUAGUUCAACCAUGUCCCAGGUUUUGUUUCUUUCGAUAGAUCUUAACUCUUCAAUCAUGGCUUCCUUCCACUCCUUCAUGUCAAUAGCUUGCCUCCAAGUGAUAGGCUCUGCAUCUGCCAGAAACGCAACGUGAACCAAGUUCCUAGAGUCUGCUAUGUCACUAUCUGCGAACACCUCGUGGUCUGCUAGUCUGGUGGAGGGAAACCUUACUCUUUGAGAUCUCCUACUGCUGCCUUCAUCAUUAACAACAUUCUGUCUCGUAUCAUAUUCUUCCAGCCAACCAGAACCUAAUUCUGGUUUGUCAUCUGCCUUCUGCCAAGCAUAAACAACCCCUUCAUCCACUGUUAUGUCUCUACUGAUGAUCACCUGUUUCUUUUCUAAGCUGAACAAUCUGUAUGCUCAUGUCGAGUGAUAGCCCACAAGAAUCAAUGUUUCACUCCUGUCAUCAAACUUUCUCCUCUUUUCUUCUGAAACAUGUUUGUAAUAAACAGACCCGAAAACCCGCAGAUGAUUAACAUAUGAUACCACUUUUGGCGCAACUGUGGUAUUGAAUAUGCAGAGAUGCAGAGUAUGAAUAUCAGAGAGUAAGAGAAGAGAUGAAAACUGAAAAAUGUAUUGUAUUAUUAUUUUUUCACUUAUGAAUGAUACAAAGUGGGGUACAUAACAUGUGCAUAAUACAAUAGUUGACCAUAAGAAAGUCAGUUGGUAAUUCUGUUUAUAACAACACUAACAUCUUAAACCUAUGUCCAAAUAUUUUUUUUUUAGCUUAAUUGUUUUCACUCCUUAAAAUAACUAAGACACUACUAUGCUUAAGUUGUAGUAAUUUGAAAUAAAAAUACUAGUUUUUUAUAAACUUCCUUUCCAAUCUCAAUAAUUUUAAGGAAAUAUUGAUUUUUUUUAAAAUUUAUUUAAAGAAAACUUGAAAUAUUCCUUUUAAGAGGGAGGUUUUUUUUUAAAAAACAUAGGAAAAAAGUUAUUUAAAAUGUAGGAAAAGAUUGUUCGUUUUUUAACCUCCAAAUAAUAAAACGAUGUUUAAAAAUCAUUCAAAUCAUAUUUAAUCUAAUACUGAAUUAUGUUUUAAGCGUUCUUAUCAUACUUAAUUGUGUCGAAAUCAAGAUUAAAGACAAUUUAAAUACAUUUUAUUCUUUAUUUUAUCUUUUAAGAUGUUUUUUCAGAGAAGAAUAUUAACAAAUUUUAUGUUUCAAAACAAACAAAAUCUUAAAUACACGAUGAUUCACUCUAACAAUAUUAUUCGACAUAUUUAAAAUAGGCAAAAAAAACUUAUAUCUAUAAAUGACAUAUCUCUCUUACACAUUAUUUUAUUAUUUCAAGAUAUAUAAGAAUAAAAAUAUAACUUUGUAAAUAAUGAUACAAAUAUUUUGUCACAAACAAAAUAAAUGGCUUAAAAUGAUUUUUCUAAGUCAUGCGAGACUUUCUUUUCCAAACCUUUAUUUAUGUUUUAGAUUGUCCUUUCCUAUAUUUUUGUAUAUUGGUCAAAAUGGGACUCAUAGUUUAAAUUGAAGUUUAAUUAAGUGUCUUCAAAAUCCUAUUAAUUUCAAAUAAACAUAUACAUUAAUAGAAAUUUUGCAAGGCUUAAAAAAAUUAAAUUCUUAUAAUUCUAAUAUUUAAAAUAAUAAAGUUUUCUUCUUUAAAAUUUUAUCUUUUUCCAUAGUCUUUGCUAUAAAUCUUUAAUUAGAUAGUUUCUAUCGAGUUUUAUUGUAGAAAAAACUAAAACUAACACAAAAUAUGAAUAUUUAGAAAAAAAAAUGUAUUUAAAUAUGUAUAAACUAAAUACAAAAGAAUGUCUUUACAAGUAAAAUAAAGCCAAAUCUUUCAAUAAAAAAACAAAAUAUAUAUCUAUGAUAUAAAUUCAUUUUGGUUAAAGUAAAAUAAAGCCAAAUCUUUCAAUAAAUAGACGUUAUUGGAUGCUACUAUAUCACAAAAGGAGUUAAUUUCCGUAGUGGAUCCAUUAAAUUAAGUUUAUAUUUUUUAAUUGUUUUUCAUUCCUCCAAAUUAUGAAGAUAUAUUACAUCCUUUUUAGUUUCAAUAUUUUUUCUUCUUUUAAUUUCAAGAAAAAAUAAAUAAUUUAUACGCUUUAAUAUUUAUUAUUUUAAAAAUGAAGAAAAUAUUAGUUUUUUACUAUAUAUUUGUUUAUUAAUAUUUUAUUUCAACAAUUUAAUUAGUUUAGAAUUACAUUUUAACUCUCUUAAAUAAACUAUUUUUAUCAUAAUAUUAAAAUACUAUCACUAUAUAUAUUUUUAAAUGAACUUUGAAUUUAAAAGAUAAAUACUUUAAGAUAAUGAUAAUACAAAAUUUAUAUUCUGAAAUACAAAAUUUACAUCUCAGAAUACAAAAAAUCUAUGAGAGGACAUGUGGAAAUUUAUGGAAGAGCAGAAACUGCUGAGAUGAACUCUUGAGUUGAUCCAAACUACUGGGCUUUGGCCAACCUAUGUCCAUGAAAAAUCUUAAAUAUUAUAAGAGAUAUCUUUUUACACCCCAUGGUUUCCUCCUGCACCUCAUAAGUGUGUAAAUAGCAAAAUUAACCCUAAACACCCACCCUCUAUGUCUCGGUUGUUCUCUCAUUUAAUUUUAAUGAUUACAGACAUUUCCCACAUUUUAAAAUUUAAAAGUGUUUUUCUAACAAAUAAAUUUUAGAUUAUAUAAUAUAAAAGUCUCAUAAACCUAUUUCAAAUUACACAAACCUUUCUACAAAGUAUAGUUUUAACACAAAUGCAAGAUGGAAAAUGAUAUUUUAACACCAUUUUUUGACACCAUUUUGACACUGCACACGUGUCAAAAUAUGAUUGGACAAUUUCAAAUUAAAAAAGUUAAGACAGGGGUAUAUUUGAAAGAGAAAAACCAAAGUUUGUUUUUUUAAUUUGAAAUCGUCCAAUCACAUUUUGACACGUGUACAAUAUUAAAAUGGUGUAAAAAACAGGUGUUAAAAUAUCAUUUUUCAUGCAAAAUAGAUAGCACGAUAAUAUGGAUAAAAAUCCCAAUAUUUUAUGAGAUAAAUUAUGUGACCAUGGCCCAUUUUUUUCGUGUAUAUUUUAAUUGAAAUUGAUGUUUUUCCUUAACUUAAAUUAGCUAGGGAAACCCUAGUUUAUCCAUAAGCCAAAAAAAAAAAGGUUUUGAAUGUCAAUUUUAUUAUGGGACCCAAAAAAUGAAGCAUGCAAGAUAAUGAAUAUGAAAAAGUAUAUCCUAUAGACCACUUUUAUUUAGGUAGCUUCUAUGUAAUUUGGAAUUUAGUUUAGAUUCAAAGCAACAAUUAUCAUCUUAAUCAUCAUAAUGCUAAUCCGAAAUUAGUAAAAUGGAAAUGACUCAAUCCUAUCCCUUUCACUCAUUUUCUUUAGAAGAUACCCACGUAGAAAAUUUGUGAUUAGCAUAAUAUAUAACACUACUUGUUAUUCAACUCUUCCUUCGUUAUAGUAUCAUUAAUUGGUUAAGUAAGGGUGAAUGAUUUUUAAUAUUUCUAAGUUCUUAAGUUAUUAUAACUUUAUAUGUCACCGUUAAUCAUAUCAUACCACCAUACUUUCACUAAUAAUUCAUCAUAUUCAGUGUCAAACUUCUCAUUAAAUACAUCUCAUCGAUCACCUUAAAAAAAAAAAAUCUAGUGUUUGCAAUUAUAAAUUAAUUUAAACAAAUUAAGACUUGAAAAGCAAUGUUUUGUUAUGGAUAUACGUCUGUAAGAAUGCAAUUAAAAUUAAUUACAAUUUCAAUUCAACCGACACAAUAACAUACUCAUACAAUUAAACGAAAAUUAUAUAUAUUUAAAAUUUAAGACAUUAUUAAAAUUUCUUACAGUCUGACAAAACCAAUUUAUUUAUGUUUAACAGUGUUAAUUGUUUAAAUUAUAACUUCAGAACCGAUCCUUUUUAAAUACUUAAUGGUAAUUUUAAACUUGUUAAUACGAAAGGGUUGUGUUAAUAUUUGAAAAUAUAUUAGCUUCAAUAUUCUUAAAUACGUGCCGCAUGUCAUUUAAUAUAUAGAUUAAACUAAUUCUUAUUUCAAAACUAAUGAUAGUUUUGUUUAAUUAGUAUUUUUAUAGUUCUAUCAUGGAAGUUAGUCAAAUAAGUUAAAAAGAAAUAACAACGAACGGCUUAAGCUAUAACACAGUUUUGUUUUACUUUAAAUUUCUAUAAAAAUAUAACAAAAUUUAUAAAUUCACUAUUGAAAAUCACUUCAAAUAGUAUGAAUUCGAGGAAAAUUUAAGUUGAAUUACAUUCUUCGUCACUAAACUAAGUUGAAUUAAAUUAAAUUUUUGCCAAUUCAAUUAGAAUUAAACGGAUAAUAAAUUUCUUUUCUUAAACUUUAAAUAAAUAACUAAAUAAUAUAUAUAUAUAUAUAUAUAUAUAUAUAUAUAUAUAUAUAUAUAUAUAUAUAUAUAUAAACUUGUGUUGAAAGUUUCACAUCGACUAGAGACAAGACCAAUUUAUAAUAUAUAAGUGGCAUAGAGACCUCACCUUACAAGCCAACUUUGUGGGGUUGAGUUAGGCUUAAAAGCCACUUCUAACAUGGUAUUAUCUUAGCGAUAUUUGUUGGACAUUUUGUUCCACCACCCGCUAUUGGACUGUUAUAGGACCACCUAUUUAGUCUCACGCUCAAGAUAGAUAUACCUGAGUGUGAGGGAGUGUCAUGGAAAUCUAAUAUCGAAUAGACAUCAAGUCAGUCUAAUGAAGUUUUGUUUGUUGAAACACUUUCUAUGUAUAGUAUCCGGUUGGAUAUUUUGAUAAUCGGGCAUGGUAUGGUUCUGAUUUAAGGUUCUGAAACAAGCAUGUCUGUCUGUGGAGGGUGAAUGAGACUGUGAAACUUGUGUGGAAAGUGUUGAUUAACAUGUUUGUUUGUUUGUCUUCUUGUUUGGAAACCGCUUUCAAGUUUUGGGGAAGUGGUUUUUCAUCGCAAGCCGUUGUUUUGAGGGUUUGGGACACUGUAGUUUGAUGUGUGGUGACAUGAGUAGAGACACGUGUACGACUGAGAUGACUCCACACAUUUUGGUGCCAUUCCAAACACAUGAUGACAAACUCCUUUACGUCCAAUCCAAAUCACUUCAACCCAUCUUUCUCCUCAAUAAAUCCAAUCAUACACGUAUGCAUGUAAUGGAUCAUUCUUCCUACGCCUUCUAGGGUUUUCCUUUUCAUCUUAAUGUCACGUUGUAUGGUGAGAGCAACAAAUCUACUUUUUUUUUUUAAUAUAAGAUCAUAGAAUUAUAUGUUCUAACUCGGGUGUAUAUAAAAUGUGACUAGAUAGAAGAAUAUAGGAAUGUAAAUAAAUAAGUUUUAAAAUUUGGUCUAUGAAAAAUUAGGGUUUAUAGAAGAGUGUUUCACCUGGAGAAGAUCGGGAAAAAGGGUAUUGAGAAGGGUUUGAUUGGAGGUGAAUCGAACUUUCACUGUGAGAAUCAUAAUAAUUAUGCAAAGGUACUUUGGAUAGUGACGUAAAGAAGGGUAGGUGAGGAUUGUGGGCGCUACAAGAACAACAAAAAUGCAAUUUGAUUUUGCCUCUACAUUAGGGUUUACAUUUUUGGAACAACAUUUUAACCUUUUUCUUCUUCAUUUUCUCACCUUUUCUUACACUUCAUUUAUGUGCUUAUUGUGUUUGUCAAAUUCUGGAUUCAAUAGUAAACCAUAACUAUUCAUUGUCAAGACCCACAACGAGGUUUCUUCUCACAAGAUGAAAGAGGAUCAAAAUUGAAAAUAGUUCACUUUGUUAAAUGCUUUUUUGCUUAGUGAAGAUACAACAAACAACAAGCCAAUGGAUUAAUUAUAUUAUAUAAAGCUUUAUACCUUUAUAUUAAUUGCUUUGUAUAUAUAUUUUUUCACACUAAGGAAAAGGGAAGUUUGUUUUGAUUAACUAAUUCAGGAUGGGACGGAAUGUUCAAAGAAUAAUGAUAUUAUGACAAAUUUUUACAUUUAUUUGAUACAGAGAAUAUAAGAGUAAAAUAUCAUAAAAAUAUAAAAUUUUAUAUUUUUUUAAGAAAGAAGAAAGUAAAAUAUAAGAAAGGAUAGUGUCAAAUUAAUAUAAAAAAGUUAGAUAUGUUAAAGAAUAUUUUUCUUGUUCAAAUUAUGAUAACAAUACAAGGCAUGCCCUUGCUUUGUUUCUAUGUGUUCACUAAUGCUAUCAUUAUUUUAAAAUUCGUUAUAUUAAUUAUAUUUCUAAAGUUUUUUUUCAAAUAGUAUAAUAAUUAUUAGUUUAUUAUUUCUUAUAUAUUUUUUCACGUAAAAAGUUUCUAAAGAUUUAAUUGUUUUAAAUUUUAGAGAAAUGUAGUUUAAAUAUCCCGCCCCCCAAGAUAGAAUAAUACUAUAUAUUAUGGUCCAAUGACAACAUCGUUUCAACUAGAUCCUAAACUCUUGGAACAUUUAAUAUACGCAAGCUUGGUCAUAGCAGUUAAUUAAUUAGAAAAAAAAAAAAGAACUUGCAAUUUUAUUCAAUUUGUCAAUUACUAACUUUCUGAAAAUUUAAGGCAAGGACUUUUUUUAAUCAGUAAGACUCAACUUGUUAUUAUUUAAUUAUAAAGCUUUUUUGCAUCCUCUCCCAUAAAAAAGGGAGUUUCUUAUUAUAGGAAAGAUUAGUUAAUGACUUUAAUCGGCCAUUAAUUAUAAUAAACCAACGUCGUAUAAUUAAUGUCUGUUUAGGUAUACACAUUUAACCCUACAUGUCUGUCAAGCUUUUCGUUGAUGUGUAUAGUAAACGAAAGAUUGAUUAAAAUGACUUGAAACUGUUAUUAUAUAAACCAACCCAAAUAAAAUAUUUAGUUAUUAAACAGGUUGAACCCUACAUGUAAAGAUUUUCUUGGAUGAUAAUACUAGUUAAUACGAUUAAACUCACAUGAAAUGUGGAGAUUCUUGAGAGUGAGCUGUUAUACACUUGGAUAAACUUAUGCAGAUAAUGAUUCAUGAACAUGCAUGUUAUAUAGGAUGUGAUAUUCAUAAGGGACAAGGCUCAUACUAGACCUGGUGAGGCUGCGUUUGUUUCGUCUAGGCAACAACAAAAUCUAAAUCCUUGAAAUUAAAUGUUUCCGUCCCAGUUACGUAGCCUGAUACAGACAACCUUUUUCUUUGUCCUUAGCGGUGUAAAAUUAACGACUCUUGCAUGUACAUAUACGUUGUUAUAACCAAACGCUGAAAACUAACACUCUUUUCAUAAUCUAACGUAAACCUCGGAGAUGCGGAGAAUGGAUUUCAAAUAUUGUCAGUCAGAAUUUACAUUACUGAUACCAGUUGUUCGAAGUGGUACGUCUACUAGAGAUAAGAUCAAUUUAUAAUAGAUAAGUGAGGUAUAAAUCUCACCUUACAAGCCGGUUUUGUAGAGAUGAGUUAGGUCUAAACCCACUUUCUAAUAUGGUAUCAGAGCCAUGAUUAAAGUCUAUCCUAGCGAGUUUUAAGUGGACAUUUCUGGUAUCAGAGUCAUGAUUAGAGUCUAUCCUAACGAGUUCUAAGUGUGCAUUUUUGUUUCCACCCGAUGUGUUAGAAGUUUCACAUCUACUAGAGAUAAGACCAAUUUAUAAUAUAUAAGUGAGGUGCAAAUCUCACCUUAUAAGCCGGUUUUGUGGGGAUGAAUUAGGUCUAAACCCACUUUCUAAUACCAGUUUUGAUUAAACUCUCCAGCUGUGUUUUGAUUAAACAGAGAAUUUACAUUUCAUCAAGAGUAUGACAAAAACGUGUGUAUGUACGUACGUAAACCCAACUGGAUGGCACUGUAAUUUCAUGGUGAAGGAACACAGUUGAUAUAUUGUCGUAAAAGUUGAGGUGAGUGAUUGGAUAGGAUUGGUUAGUGGUGAGAGUUGAGAAAUUUUGAAGUUGAAAAAUUUGCGAAGCUGUGUAUCCCGUGAUGGAAUCAAUUGACAGGACUUGCAAAUAAAAACAUGGCACAAUCUGUGAAAUGGAUGAUCCUUCAAGUUGGUGAUGAGUGCACGGAUACAUGGUUGGCCCCAUUGUUCACAUAACAUUAUAUAUGUCUCCCAGGGUUUACCUCUUUUCCUACACUCACGCUGGUUGUUUUCCACCAUAUACGUACCUUUGAAAGUACUUGCAGGGUACAGAGAUUUGGGUUAUAUGCUGAGACAUCUUGGCUUAUAUUGCAGGGGAUUUUGGUUUUAUACAUUUUCUGCUUAUUUAGAGUCAUUUUGUUACCAUAAUGUAUGAAGCUAUUACUCUUUUAGGGUGAAAAAAGAAGCAUUUUUUAAUACAUUAUAUAUUGUGAGUUGACUUUGGGUUUCUGAGAUAAACCAGCCGGCCUAAUACCUAAACAAUGGCGUAGCCCUAACCACGUCCACUCCUAAUUAAUUAUUAAUUAGUGAGUACUAUUCUGAUUAUAAUUAAUUUGUGUGACUUUAAUUUCCUACUUCAUAUCUCAGGUGAACUUUGCUGUGGGUUUCACCUCACAGCGGUUUGACAUUGGCCAAGAAAAUGUUUAGUUUUUGGAGAGUCUUAGAGUUGGAAAAGUGUAACUUCGUGUUUGUUUUGUUUUUUUUUUUGAAAUAUGUUUCUCAGAAAAAAAGGUUUCUAAGACUUUCACAAAAAAGGGAGAAUCUAACCUUUUUCAAGUAAAAUUAAAAAUGUAUUGAAAGAAAACUAUGUUACUCUUUAAAUUAUCUAACUUUUGAUGAUCUCUCAGUUAAGCGUGAAGAUGAAAAAUGGAAGAGUUGGUGGGUUUACAAACAAGAAUGCUGAUAUUUUGACAAUUGUUUUUAACAAUUUUUUGACAACAGGAUACAUAUCAUUAUUUAGUUGGUCUCUUUGAAUUUAUGUUUAAAAAGAAUAUUUGAAAUGGAUCAAUCAUAGACUGUUACGUAUUUGUUGUCAAAAAAUUAUCAAAAAAGAAUUGUUAAAGAAAUUUUUUCCGACAAACAAAUAGUAAGGAAUUUAGUCCGUUUUUGAAAGCUGGAAGGAAGAAAUUUGGUCCAGAGGCAUAUGAGAGUCACAUGCAACUUUUGAUUUAAGCUAGAAAGAACUUAAUUAGCUAGCAUGCAUAGGAGGUGGAAGAUAUAAACAAAGUAAAAAUCAGUCCUGAGUUGAUUAUGUGCACCAAAAUUUGUACAUUUUGACCCAAAUUAAUGUAAAACUAUACUUGAUUGCAUUUUGUCAAUGAUGAUCGUUGCACUGAAAGUCCAAGAUUUGCAAAAUGUAGAUCUUGAUUAGUCAUGCUAAUUACUGGCGAUAGGAAGAAAGUUCAAAGAACAAUGAAUUGGUAUGAUGAGGGACCAAAAAGUUCGGAAGACCAAUUUUAUUUGAGAGAUAGAGUCAACUGAUUACCCAAUGUGACGAUGAAGAACAAGAUCAUUAAAGUCAGAGCAUGCUUUUAUUUGCUAUAAAUAAAAUCAAAAUAUAUCCUAAUAAGGUUAGGUAGGUUUAUCAAGUUAUCGUAGGGACGACGAUACUUUGACAACACUUUUUUGACAACUUUUUUAUAACGGGACACGUGUCAUCACUUUAUUGGUCUCUUUAAACUUAUGUUUAAAAAAAUAUUUAAAACAGACCAAUCACAAACUGUCACAUAUGCGUUGUCAAAAAGUUAUUAAAAAAAAUAUUGUGAAAAGGACACUUUUUUAACAACUUUUUGACAACACAUACGUGACAGCUUGUGAUUGGUCCGUUUUAAAUACUUUUUUAAACAUAAAUUCAAAGAGACCAAUAGAAUGAUGACAUGUGUCCCGUUAUAAAAAAUGUUGUCAAAAAGUAUUGUCAAAGGAUCGUCAUCUUAUCAUAUUAGUGUUACACCGUCCCGAAAUCCCUGGCUCGAUAAAAUGUUUAGAUAUUUGGGAUGAAAAAAAUGUAUCUUCAAUCCUAUUUAAGGAUGAGAAUGGUUGGAUUGAGUACCAAAACGGUACAAUUUUUUUUACUGAGGACAUUGUUCAAAAUGACAUUGUUCGUGUUUGAGUACAUUGAUUACAUUUGUGUAUUUAAUGAAUUUUAUUUUAUUUUAUUUUUCUUGCUUUUUUUUAUGAUGAGAAAUACCACGACAAUGUACUGAUUGAGUUCUAAUUGAUGUUGUUAAUUAUAUCCACCAAUUAAUAGGAAUUAACACAAGUGCAAUUAUUGAAAAGUAAUAAAGAGGUCCCACUUAAGUGACGAAUACUACAUGUGUUGCGAAAUUUCUUAUUGGCUACAGCAUCCUUUGUUAGAAGCAUCUUCAACAUUAUCAAUAUAAUUAUGAUAAUCCACACAUCUGACAAGAUGCUUAACACAUGAUUAAUGUUAAAUUAUUGAUGUAAUAGUAAUUAUAAUAGUCAAUGUUUUGGACUAUUCCUUUAGUUUAUCUUACAAAUUUAGUUGUUGAUGAAAAGGGUUCUGUACAACAAACUUAUAUUAUGUAAUAGUAAUUUUGAACCAUUCAAUCUAUAAUGAGUACGUGGCAGUAGGGUCUACAAUUUUCAUAUUGGUUCUAUAUGAUGAUGAUCACCAUUAAUUAUAGCCUGAUUAAUUAAUUAUCUAUUCCAUUUUGAAUGACGCGUUUUAGUAACAAAAACUGGUUUUAUAUCUGUAAUUAUUUUUAAUGUUAAUGUGUUUAACUGGGGUUGGAUUGGGCAGGAAAUGGAAAGAGAAGAAGAAAAAAAACGAAAAGCGAGUCAAAAAUAAAAUUAUCUACACUAUAAAAAAUGAAAAAUAAGUAGUAAUUAAGGGAAAGUUUUUAUUAGAUUUUAUUGAUGUAACAAAUUUUGUUAAUUAAUUAUAUACAAUAAUAAAUUAAAAACAUAUUUUUAAUAAAGUUGAGUAUUAAUUAAUAUUUAAUAUAAUUAAUUUAUAAAAUUGAAAGUGUGUAUUAUAUAUGUUCGAUAGAAGUGAGUGACUAAUCGGUCGAGGACGAAGGUGGAAUAUGUGGUCGGGAGAGGUGGUUGAUUGAUCGGUUAGAACGAAGACCGAAGGGGGCGACCAGUCAUGGGAGGAGUGUAGACGGCGUCAAAGGAUGAUUAGUAACAUUAAUAAGCGAGUAUUGUGGAAAAAGAAACAUACACGUUGUGACGAUUACAAUAAGGGGCGAAUCUUAUUGAAUAAGGUGUAACGGUUACAAGAAGUUAAUGUCCAUUAUUAGGCCUAAUGUCUAUAAAUAGAUACAUGUUAAACCAGAUAUUUACAUUUGAUCAAAUCUUACAUACUUUACUCUAAUUGUGGCCCUGCUGACUUGAGAAAGAGAUUUUGGAAGAGAGUCAGCUUGAAGAGUGUUUGGUCUCGGAUCCCCUACUAAAACAUAUAAUAUUUAAUUUAAUUUUAUUAAUAACUAUGAAUGAUAAUUAAGUUGCUCAUUAUACUUUUAUUAUAUUUUAACUAGAAUUAUUUUUGGUUACUGAUUUAAUAAUAGACUGAAAGUUUAUCGUGUAUAAAUAAAUAUAAACUUUAUUUGAUAAGACGAUUUUUGUGUUAAGUUAAAUUUAAAAUUUAUUUUAUAAUAUAAUAUCAAUGUCAUUCAAAAUUUAUUUUAAAAAAUUUAUUAUUUAUUGAAUUUAUAAUAUUGCUUGCUAUUAUUAAAUCAAUAUAAAUCUGCUUACAAAUAUUUAAUUUUAUAUUUAAGAUGGAAAUGUUUGAUGUAAAAGUUCCUUUGAGUAUGCAAAACCUUUUCUUGUACAAAUUGAUUAAAUAAGAUUGAAUUGAUUUAAAUUCAUUUCUUAAUAAAAUAAAAAAUGACUUUUACUUUGAUAAAUUUAAAUAAUAUAAAAACUUUGCUAAAAAGACAUUUAAUAUAAUAAGUUAAUAGAAUUAUUUGACGGAAAGUACAAAGACUAACAAAAGUGUAGUGUGACACAAUUUUCACUAAUAUAAUUUUUGAAAGAUCACAAAUUUGGAAUUUAGAAAAAAAAUGAAACCGAUUAUGAAAAAAAGAAAGAAAACAUGCAACAAUAAACAUGCAAAAUAAAGAUUUGAAAUGUAAAUAGAAUUUAAAUAUGAUGUAAAAAUUAAAGACAUAUUGAAUCUUGAAAAGUAAAAGGAUAAUUAAAAAAUUUGCAAAACAACAAGUUGUAAAAUAAAAAUAUAAACCAAAAAACGAUGCAUCACUAUAAAUAAAAGUUAUUUAAAAAGAAGUAUAAUAGAAAACAAUACAUUCUCUUUAAAUAAACUUCAUAAAAAUUAGUGAUUGGUCCAAAGGGUAAUGAUACAUAAACAACAUUUUUCUGACAAUAUUUGAACAUCAUCAUAUGUGUCAUUGUGUGAUUGGUCCAAAUGACACAAUGACACCACCAUGGACCAAUCACACAAUGACACGUAUGAUGAUGUUCAAAUGUUGUCAAAAAAAUGUUGUCUAAGUAUCUUUAUCCUAAAAAUUAACAUAUUUUAUAUUUUAGAUUUUGUUUGUUUAAUCUAUGAAGUUUCUUUAUAGUCCUUUCUUUAAAAUAAUUAAAAUUAUUGUUAUUACUAUAAUUAUUUAGAGGAUGAAAAUUAUAACAGAUUUAAAAUUCCGAUUGUUUUUAUUUUUGUUGUUUUUCAAAUUAAAGAUUUAGUGUAAAUAAAUGAUAAUAAAUAUAAAAAGCACAUGACUAAUAAUAUCUGACUUUUUUGUACUAAAGAAUUUUAAUAUUUAAAAAUAGUGAGGGUAUUUUAGUUUCAUAUACGAGUGUAAUGUGGUGAGUUUUAAACAUGUUAAUUGGGUUAAGAUAAAUACUAAUUGUAUAGUUAUAAGUUGUCUAGUUUAAUUACAUCCGAUAUUUUAGAUGAAGUUUGAAUGAAUAUAGGAAUAGUUUUUCAGUUUUUUAAGGACGUAGGCUUGUAUUUAUGUCGAGUUCACUCUCGAUUAUUUAUGUUUUGUAGCAUGUUUGAAAGUAAGUCUUUUAAAAACCAAAGAUAAACAGAUUCUUUUAAGUUUUAUGGGAUAAUUUAAAUUUUCUUGUAAUUUGUGUGAGAAAAAAUAUUUAUUUGAUAAGUUAGUUAAUUUCAUUUUUAUUCAUAAAAAUGAUUAAAAGUGAUUUAAUGUUUUACUUUUAUAUAUUUAUUUAUAUUUUUUAUAAUAGGUAUAAUUUAUUUAUAUUUGAAAAAGUAUAAUUUUUAUCUUAUAUUCAGUGUAGUUAUAUAUUUUUAAAAAAGAAAUUAUAUAAUAAUAAGUAAUGGAUGAAAUUCAAAAUCUGAGCAUAGUUCAUUUGUUAAAAGUUGGUAAGAAUGUCUUUAUUUAAAAAUAAUGAAUGAUAUAGACAUUCAAUAUAAUUAUGACUUAUUAAAAUAUUAUAUUAUAUUAGUGCAAAUGUUUCAACCAAAUAUAUUAAGUUUUAAAACUAGUGUAUUCUUACCCUUAGAAAUUGUCUUAACCCAUUAUUGAAUAUAGCUUGCCUUCUACAAUCUUUUCAAUAUACCAUUAUGCUCAGUCAAUCUAUAAAACUACCUUUGUCAUUUCUCAACCAUCACAUUCACGAAGUUUUAACUUUAAAACCUUCAGAAAAAGAAAACAAUCUAACUGGUACAAUAAAAAACAGAGCAUAACUUGGAUCAAAAGAAUGACUAAUAAUACUGUUACAUUGUAGUACUAUAAAGCAAGGUGACAUUAGUGUCCUGAAAAAGAAAAAAUAUACAUUCAUAAUUAAAUGUCUGUUUUUUAACUUGAAAUCUGUAGCAACAGUAUAAAUAUAGGACCAUGAGAAUUUUUUUUAACAAUUUUUUAACAAUAGGACACGUGUCAUCAUUUUAUUAGUUUGAUCUGUUUAAAUUUAGGAAAAUGAUAUUUUGACAUCAAUUUUUGACACUAUUUUGACACUGCACACGUGUCAAAACGUGGUUGGACGAUUUCAAAUUAAAAAAGCUGAAAUAAGGGCAUAUUUGGAAGAAAAAAACCAUUUUUUUUUAAUUUGAAAUCGUCCAACCAUAUUUUGACACGUGUGCAGUGUCAAAAUGAUGUCAAAAAAUUGGUGUCAAAAUAUCAUUUUCCUUAAAUUUAUGUUUAAAAAAAGAAAAAUUAUUCUGACACACUUAAAUAUUUUACAUUCAUUUGACAUUAUCUUUACUUACUUUUUAUUCUUUUCUAAAAUUACAAAAUUUUACACUUUUUUGGAUCAUUUUAUCCUUGUAUUCUGUGUCAAAUGAAUGUAAAAAUAUGUCAUAAUAUUAUUAUUCUUAAAGAAAUAUUUGAAAUGAAUCCAUCACAAACUAUUAUGUAUGCGUUGUCAAAAAAUAAUUGUUAAAAGAUUUUUUUUUUUAAUGGGCAAAUGUUGAGUCUGAAUUUUGCUGAAAUGAGUUUGCAAAUGGAAUCCCUUUGGUAUUUUGGAAAAUUUGUUUGUUCACGUUAGUUUUGAAGCACAUGGAUUCUCUGCAAGUUUCUGACGGUGAAAGUGUGGACAAAGUUCUUAACCCUUUUUCUCUCAGCUUUGCAAUGCAAGAAUCUCUCUCUGACUGCAUCAGCUUUUCUUUUCUUCUUUGCAUUUUCGCGUUUGUGCUCUGUUUCUCCUAUUUCCGACCGUCUUAUUACCAAAUCACGAACUCCUUUCUCUUUUUGUCUUUCAAAUUUCUUCACGCUCCUCUGCUUUACGUGUCUCACACUUCUCCGAAUUUGAGGCUCUCAACUCUCCUUGGCCCCCACGCGCACCCUUUAUCCUCUUCAAUCGUUUUUCGAUUUUGGUGGGUUGUUGGAACAUUGUAGUGAAGGAUACCCAUCAGAGCAAGGUAAAAUUAAAAUCUUUAUUUUAGCAAGGGAUAUUCACGUGCCAUUUUUAUUUUCUUUCAUUUAUUUUAAUUAAUUUAAUAAAUUUUUCAAUUACUUGAAAAGCUAAAUUUUUAAAUUAUACCACAGAAUGUUAUUUUAUUUUUAACCAGUACCUUGUACUUGUUUACUAAUUCACUACAAACAAUUUCUUAUUUGUCUCUUUCUCUCACAUUAAUGGUUUAAUGUUAAAUGAAAAUAAAGCAUCCACCUAACAUUUUUAUUAAUAUAGUAUACACAUUAUUGAUAAUAAUAAGUUUGGUUGAACAUUGAAAAUUCAAAUGUCUUAAGGAUUUAUUCCCUUCCCUCAUCGAGGAGAUGUAUUGAGAGUUAAUGAUUUAAUUAUAAUUAAAUUGUGAUUAAGAAAGUAUUAUAAAAAUAAAUCAAUUAUAAACAGCUUUACAAUAUUAAAAUAAAAUAAAAAAUAAAUAAAAGUUGUACAAUUCUUAACAUUUUAUGUACACAUUUUAAAAGAUAUUUAAAAUGUACAUAAAACUUCGAAUCAAACUAAUUAUAUUGUUAGGUUAUGUUUUAAAAAAUAUACCAUAUAGCUAGCUAAUAACAACAAUGUUAUAUGUAAAAUAAAGGAGAGAAUGAUAAAAUAAUUCAACUUAAAAUAAAAAAUAUAAGUUAUAAGUUAAUAUAAAAAACUAACCUAUAUGUUUUAUAAGAUACAAAAUUGAUAAUAUUAAUGAAAUAAUCUAUACUUGUAUGCGUUUCUAGUUAAAUGUGUGUUUUAUUUUAUCUUACAACAUUUUAAUUUUAAGUUUAAAAUAAAACAUGAAAUUUUGAUAAAAUCCUUUCAAACUUGGUUUACACUGUAUCCUUUAUCUUGAUUGAAGUUCACUUAUUCUAAAAUGGUCCUUUAAAAAAAAUAACAAAUUAAUUAGUCCUCGAUGUAAUGCAGAAAAUAGUAUAAACACUAACUAAUGAAAAUACACCUGCUAAAUUAAUCAAUAUUUUCUUUUAUAUUUUCUUUUAUUUAAACGUGUGUACAUAUAUAUUAAUAAUACAAAUAAUCUUUCACUCAUUAUCAAUCACUUGAUUAGUAUAUUUAAUAAGGUCAAAUAUAUUAUAUAAUUUCUUUAGAUUUCCUAUUUUUUUUUUUAAAUUUGAUUUUCCCCAUAAAGCAACUAUCUGUGUCUGAACUGUUGGAGAGUCAAUGCAGUGAAUAGUAACUAUAAGGCUUUCUUGUGAUCAGUUUUCUUGAUUGGAUUCCAAAUGCUAAUUAAGACUAAGACACCUGAGCUAUUCUAAUUAUAAUUUAGUUUUUUUUACGUAGACAUGCAUAAUUAAUUAAACUUUUACUAAUAUUUUAAUAUUUAUUUUAAAAUAUCUUUAUCAUAAAUCUUGUAAUAAGAUAAAAAAUAAAAAUGUAUUGUUCACCUAACAAGUAUUACACGUACAAACGUGAUUACAUGCUACAAUUUUACAGAUAAAAGUUAAACAUUAAUUAAAUUUAAGAUAUUUAAAAAAAAUAUCAUUAAAUAAUCUAAAAAGAGUUAAACAUUUUACUUAUAUUUUUAUAUCUUUUCUCAGCAUGGAGUAUUGUUUUAAGACUUUUUUUUUAUUUGCUGUUAUUUUUGACAAAAAUAGCAUUUGUAUUGUUAUUUUAUAAUAUCAAUAAGAUAUUUAAUAAUUUUUUAUUAUAUCUUUAAAAAUUUAUUGUAAGUAAUAAAAUAAAAAAUACAAAUGAAAAAAGUAUAAUUAAUAUGAAUAGUUAGAGAUAUCAAGAAAUAAAUAAAAAAUCAUGAAUCUUAAUAUUUAAAUCUACCACCUCUGUAAAAUUAUUGAAUGCAAACAUUACAAUGGCAUGAAAUAUAUUGAAGUUUAGAAAUUAUGGGAUGUUUUGUAGGAGAGUUUACAAGUAAUGAUUUUUAUAACAAUUUUGCAUAAAAAGUUAAGAAAAUUAUUAGAAUAAUGAGAGGAGAUAAAGAUUAAUCUGUCAUCUGUAUUGAGUUCAUUUAUAUAAGAUAACUUACAAUCCAAACAUAUGCUUUUAAUCUCAUCCAUCUUUAUUUAAUGUUAAACACAUAACUUUACACUCAAUUUUCUAUAUAAAUUAAUUUAGAUUUUAAAAAUUUAUUCUUUUUAAAAUUUUAUCAAAAAGCUUUGGUUAAUGAUGUAUUUCUAUAUAUAUAUAUAUAUAUAUAUAUAUAUAUAUGAUUAUUUUCUGUAUAGUCUUCACCUUAUAAGAGGAAGUUUCUGAAAAAUAAUAUCAAAGUUUUGUACUCUCUGAAGUCUAAACUCUAAUCCUUAUUGUUGCAUGCUGUCCAAAAAAAUUCUUUAUUGUUCCUAUUCUUAUUCAAAUUUGUGUUGGCUUCUAUAUAUAUGAUACACAAAGGUAUUUAUUGUUUGUACUUCAACCCCAAAGAAUACACAUUAUUUAAAUACAUCAUUUUAAAUUUUUCUCUGUCAUUGUCUCUAAAAUAUAUUAAAAACUUAAAUUUUAUUUAACAUUUUAAGUGUAUAGUUUAUAAUUAAUUGUAUAAUAAAAUAUGCAUGAGAAAAUAGGAGUGUCUGCUCCUAUUUUGUUCUUGUUUUUGGCUACUGUAAAGUCCUAAGACAUAGGUGUUCUCUCUAUUUCACGUGCAAAGCACUGUCCAUUUUGUGUCUUGAGGCCUUUAAAAGCUCAAAAACACUUCUCAAUAGCAUGCAACUUGCUAUUUUCCAUCUCCAUCUUCUUCAUCUUGUUCUUCUUUCAGGGCACCCACAUCAAAAUUUUGUGCAUGUGUUUAUCUGAGGGAGAGAGAGGCAUGGCUCUAGAAGCAGUAGUGUAUCCCCAACCCCAGGAUCCGUUUGGCUGUGCAAUCAAAGACCUAUACAGCUACAACAACAUGUUAGAAGCUGCUGCAGCAAACUGGGGUUAUGGAGAUUUCACCCUUGAAAAAGAAGACCAAGCUUCUGUCACUUUUCUUGACAACCAAACAGAGAAUUACUCCCAUGGAGAAUGGAACUCUUCUCCUCCCUCUUUGUUGCCUCACACCAUGAAUGCAUCAAAUCCUCCUUCUUCAGAAACCAGCAACACGCAGAACAACUUAGAUACUUCAGUUUCCACCCCAGCUCGCCCCAAACGGCGCAGAACCAAAAGCAGGAAGAAUAAGGAAGAGAUUGAGAACCAGAGAAUGACCCACAUUGCUGUAGAACGCAACAGAAGGAAGCAGAUGAACGAGUACCUCUCUGUUCUUCGCGCUCUAAUGCCUGAAUCUUACGUCCAAAGGGUACCAAAAAAUGCUUCUGCUUUUCACUUUCUUCAAAGGGAAAUCUUCAAUUUAAUGUCUUUAAGUUUGUUUUGAAGUUGCUUCUGCUUUUCACUUCAUCCUAAACAUCACUGCUAGUUUGCGUUGUUUUUUACUUGUUUAAAAUGGUUAAAGUGUUUCUGUUUUGAUUCGAUUGAUUGGGAAUGCAGGGUGAUCAAGCAUCUAUUAUUGGGGGUGCUAUAAACUUUGUGAAGGAGCUUGAGCAGAGGCUGCAAUUUCUUGGUGCUCAGAAAGAGAAAGAGGGGAAACCUGAUGUACCAUUUUCUGAGUUUUUCUCAUUUCCUCAGUACUCAACAAGUGCCAGUGGUGGCUGUGAUAACUCUGCAGCCAUGAGCGACCAAAAGGGCGAGGUUCAGUCUGGCAUUGCUGACAUAGAAGUGACAAUGGUAGAGAGCCAUGCAAAUCUCAAAAUAAGAUCCAAGAAACGACCAAAGCAGCUCUUGAAAAUAGUAUCUAGUUUGCAUGGCAUGCGUCUCACAAUCUUGCACCUAAACGUUACCACAACUGGGGAAAUCGUCCUCUAUUCUCUCAACGUCAAGGUUUGUGCUACCUUUCAAAGUGAAAACAAUGUUGUAAAAAACAUUAUGUCUCUUUAAGUGCUGAUGUUUUGAAAAUGUUGUUGAAGGUUGAAGAAGAUUGCAAGCUUGGAUCAGUGGACGAGAUAGCUGCAUCUGUAUACGAAAUGCUGAACAGAAUCCAACAAGAGUGAAAGGGUGAAUUAAGAUCUGAAGUUGAGCUAAUUUAGCCCAAUUUUUUUUAACCUGAUAAAGACCUUAUCAUAUUUGUUUCUUCUUUGCUUUAUUUUUUGUUUUGUUUUGAAGUUGUAUCUAAUUAUUGCAACGGCUGUUCAACUGUUGUUAAGCUACUGAAGCACCUUGAUCGAUGUGGGGUCCUUGGAGGAAGUUUUUGGUUUAUUCCUUCUCACAUUGUAGCUACUUCUAUUUUUUGAUCCUUUUCUCUGUACUUUGGGUGGGGAAGAUCGUAGUGUAUUCUGCUUCAGACACAUUUAAGUGCUCAGUCAAUUCAACUACCUUGCUUUAAUAGCUGUAGGCCCAUCUUAAUCUCAUUCACAACCCAAUUUGUCAAGUUCAAUUUCAGAAUAUCUCUUCGCAACUUUGAAUAAAAAAAGAGAUAGCCAAAGAUUUUACCAUUUGCUUGUCACAUCCGAUUUCUCAUAUCUAAACAUAAAACAGAUUCAUCUUUCAAAUCUAUUAUGGUAAUAUUUGUUAUGUAGUUAUAUAAAAAUGCCCAAAUCCAAAGUAGAUUCAUUGAUCCCUCUUACAGAACGAAGAACAAUGUUUCAUCCUUAUCAUCACUAAACUCAACCCACCAAUCUACAGAUAAAUUGAUGUCUUAUGUUGCAUUAUUGUAAUUAAAAUAUUAAAUGAUAUCAAUUCCAUUGUUUAUUCCUCAAUUUUUUUUUUUCAGUCUUCUUUUUCGUGUCUUUAUAAUGUUAUCCAACUUAAAAGAGAAACUUUUGUACCUUUUACUUUUGUCACAAUCCAACCAUUUUCCUUUUAUCAUAUUAAAUAGACACUUUUGUCAUAAUCCAAAUAUUUUCCUUUUAUUGAUUUAAACUAGUUAUGUUUCAAAACUAUUCAUAAGUUAUUUUAUUUCUUUUUACAUUACUCUUUAAGUUUAGAAACAUUAUACUCUUUAACAAGGGACACCAAUAUAAUAUAAUACUAAAAAAGUAUAAAUACAAUUGAAGAAAAUCCCAUAAUUUAUUUACUUUUACAUCCUUAAAACAUUACUCAUCACAUAUUUCUACUUUCUUUUCUUCACUUUGUAAAAAUUUAAUACACAAAUCUUUUUGUUUGUUCUAUUGUCGCAAGGAAUUGUUUUUGAAAAAUGGCACUUUGACAUAAUUUUCAGAAACAGAGCAUGAUGAUGACAGCUGUUGACUGGAGAAGAAGAGAGAGUGAGAAAAGGAAAAAGAAAUAGAAAUAAGAGAGUGGAAGUGAUUGAUUAAUGGUGGCUGUUACAGAAAAGUAGCUGAGUUAUUAUAGGGAUCAUUCUUCAUGCACUCUUUUUUCACUUUCUGGCUCUAUAAUUUUUUUAAUAACUAUUGAAAAUAUGCAAAUGAUUAGAGCAUUGAAGGUAAAAAAACAAUGGCCCCAUCAAGUUGUACUAUAUUCGUAGUCGAAUUCCUAGGUGAAAAACAUAAAUAAAAAGAAAGUUGUGUUGUGGUGGGGUCAUCGAAUAACUCAAAUGGUAAAGUUACAAACAUAGUUUGAACUAUUGUUGAAAAGUGAGCAUAAAACCUUUUUGUGGUUAAUCUUUUCUUUCAUUCUGGGUGAUUUGUGUGUUAGCAAUUGCUAAUGUGAUCAUUUCAGUCAACAAAAACAGUAUAAUGUUUGGGUAAAAUAAAACCCUUUUCCCUUCCUUCAUUCACUUAAAAAUCUUAUGUGCAAUGUGUUUCAGAUUCUUUUAUGUGCAAUGAGUUUUUGUUUUAUUGAUGAUAUGUCACGAGUGAAUGUUUUUCGAAAGAUGCAUCAUUUUUCUAAUGUUAUAAGAGCAUGUUCUAGAUCAAGUAUGGGUCAAGAAGCCAUCAUCAUGGUGACUGCAUUGCAUAAACUCAUGAUGAUAGCUACGUUCCACAGACUCAAUUAGCAUCAUAACAAGAGUACAAAAACUAUAAAGUUUUCAACACAAUUGACAACUUACAUGCUUACAUAUAAAGGGUGAUUUUUUUUUAAUUUUUUUUUUACCCCAGAAGGAAAAUCAAUAGAAUUUUCAAAAGGGUUGUUAGAAGUGAUACUGAAAUAAUCAAAGCAUGCAUAAACUGUUCUUGAUGUUUCUAAAUUGAAGCGUAAUAAUACAGAGAGUUCUCGGUAGCUUCUUCUGUAAUGAGUCUCAUAAAAUGGAAGAAUCUUGAGCAUGAUAUUUUGAUAGGAUCUAGAUGUAGUGAUCACAUGAAGUCUAAUUCAUUCACAUUUGAACUUUGUGCAUAAAGUAGUGUCAGAAGAAAAUGAGUAUUAUUAUUGAUAGGAAGAUUAAAGAAAAAAGAGUGGAAAGCACAGGAUAAGAGGGUAAAAGAUAAGAUGAUGAUAGUGCGAUUGAUGUCCUUUGCAGAUUUUACUGUCCUUUGCAAUAUAUGUUAGGUCCAGUCUCCUAUUUUUAAAUGUCAGAUUCUAAAUCAAUGGUACCAACGAGGCUCUUUGUAAACUCCACCAAAAUAUACAUAUUAUAAUAACAAUUCAUUGGUUGUUCAUGAAACUCUCCAGGCUUGUCUUUUGGAAGAUUCCAACUCUAACACCUAUUUGUCUUCUUCUUCCUGUUCUCUUCCUCCCCAACAUUCACUACAUAUAUUCCAACCCAUUAAACAUCAAAUUUUAAUCUUUUCGAAAUUAAACCACUACCAACAUCUCACAAAACAUAGUCAUUUUGUUCCUUUCCACUCUGUCUGUCUUAAACUUCACAAAAUGUUAUUUUGGAGACCAAUUAACUUGAGAAAAUGCAGGUUUACAAGUCCUAAAGUUUUUGAAUGGAAAAAGUGGUGUUAAGAACCGUUUAUACAAAGACAGAGAGAAUAGGGUUGGGUUGCAGCUUUGAGGAAAAUGGGAAAGAAACAAAAAGAGUUGCAAGUGUUUGAUUUGCAGCGUAUACUCAUACUGAGAGUGAGAGAGAGAGAGUUAUAGAGAAGUAGCAGAGAGACAGAAGAUAGUGACUUUCUUUCUUUUGUUUGUGUGAUAGAAAAUACAAUAGAAUAAAGUAAAAAGACAUAAAGCUAUUUAUUAGAACGAUGACAAUCACCCCAUAACUGGAAAUGACAUAAAAGUGGAGAAAGACUCUAAUAAUUGAAGUGAAUGCUAUUAUGCACUGAAUUGGUCCACAUCAAACUUCCUCUUUUCUUAUUAAUCAAUGUGUCUCCACUUCUUAACAAACAACCAUACCAGAUAAAAAGUACCAUAUACUCCUUUUCUUUCAAACACAAGCAAUGUCUGUUGAGAAUUUAAGAGUGAGUUUAAGUCUCAUAUCAAAUAGAAAUGAGAAUGAGAAAGUAAAACACGGUAUAAAAUUAAAGAUACAUUAAUCUAUCGUUUUAACAUAUUAUCUGUUUUAGACUAAAUUUUGAAGGUUUGCUUUUGGUAUUAUUUUAAAAAACUUUUUAUCAAUGAAGGUAUUUAUAUAUGGAUAAACUCUUGUCCAACUCUACUUUUAUUCAAUGUGGAACUUUGUUUGCACUCCAACAAUAUCUUCAUAUAUUAUUAGUUAAUGUCUCUAGUUUUGAGUGAUAGAUGCAUGAGAUGGUUGGUAUAUUCUGAUCUCAUUUGAAUGAAUGUUCAUCACAAUCAGCCAAAAGAGAAUAAAAAUAGUUGAGGCUGGCCCAAACAUAUUCUUUCUUGCUGUGUAAUAAUGAGGCUUUUCAGAAAAGUUCAAUUAUUGUAGCCCAAACUCUGUUGGGCCCGAAGCUCCAAUUCCAUGACGCGACAGCAUUAUCAAAUCCACGAAAAAUACUCAAAUUCUUUCUAUUUCCAUUGCUUUAUCAGUGUUUUGUUGAUAAAUUAAACUUGCACAUAUUUUCUAACAUUUGUUUGAGUUAAAAAUUUAACUCUCAGUUUAAGUCUUAUAUUUAUAAAUAUAUUGUAAUUUGUCUAAUAAAUGAAGAAGUUUAAAACAAGACAUAACUUAAUUUUGGUUCAAAAAUUCAAUAUUUUAACAAGUUAUGUUUUUACAAAAUUCACUUAUGUCGAAUUUAAAGUACUUUAUGAAUAACUUGUUUGAUUUAAUUUAAACUCAUUCUUCUUGCUCUCAUAAAUUAAAGCUGCCAUGCUUAUAGAUUCUUAUUCCUUUCAUUUUGAUCUUUGUACUAUCUGCAGGCAAUACAGAUAGAGUGCAAUGUCUUUAUACUUUUGUUUUAGAAAUCCAUGUAUUUUUUUCCUACAUUCUUUAUCAAUUAUUAUUCUAAUUACUUGACAAGAAUUUAAAAUAAAAACACCUAAUAUUAUAUUAUUCUUUUCAUUUUUUAAAAUGUUAUUUAAAGAUAAAAUCGUAAUAGAAAAAACUUCAAAAUUCAUAAUACUUUACAAUUUAAAUAAUUCAUCUUCCGACACAUAUGUUAUUAUAAUUUUCUUAUUUCUUUAAUAAUUAUUAUUUGGACACUUGUAAAUAGAAUAGCUCCAAAAAUAUCUUUUAAACAAAUUAAUGAUACAUGCAUGAUCCAUUAUUUUUCAUAGACUCUAUUUUAGGUUUCAUCUGAAAUAUUUUGAAAUUUUAACUUAAUCUAUUAAUCUACCUAAAAACAUCUUUCAAAAUUAGAGUGUUUAUAUAGGUUUAAUUAAUGAAAUGAUAGGUCAAGAAGAAAGAACUUUAAUAAAAGUAAACCAAAAUACAUACAAGUAUUAAAUAAGGGUACCGGUACAAUGAUACGUACACAUGUCGAUUAUACUCAAAUGACAAUGUUUUUUUUUUCUUUUAAAACUACCAUCACUCGUUACAAAACAGUGUUAUUUGAAUGUAAUUGACACGAAUGCGUGUCAUUGUAUCAACACCCUUUACAAUAAUUGUUUGUAAAAAUGGAAUUUUUUUUUUUAUGAUAUUAGUCUACUUUUAAAAUUCUUAACACAAAUGUCUAUUUCUAAAGUCAAAUCUAAUCUUUUUUUAUAACUUAUUUAAAUACACGUUUGCAAUAAUACAUUCAAAUAUAAUAAAAAAAGUUAUCUUCUUUACUGACUUUCUUUCUUUUCAUGUACGUUAAUAUAUAUUCACAUGUAAUUAGUUUUUUUAAAGAAUUCUUUAUUGUUGUAGGGAGUGGUAACCAAUAGUUUGGAAAGCUAAUAUAAUAUAUUCAAAAUAUACGUAUUACUAUUAUCAUUAAUAAAGAAUAUAAUUUAAUAUAAUUAUAAUUAUGAAUAAAUUACUCGUAUUUAUUUAAAUUAUUGUAAUUCCUUCUUUUAAUUUAUUGAUAAUUAAAUUAAAACUAAAAUUUUCAAAUAUGUAAUUAUUAAAAUCAAAAUCAAUAAAAAAAUAGAAUAGAAUAUUUUCUUUCAUGUUUAUUUAUGUUAUUUAAAAAAAUUAUACAUACAUUUCUAAAAAAAAUAAAAAUUAGAACACUUGAAUUAGUUAGAUUAUCAAAAUUUGAAAAGAAAAUUAAGAUAUACCUAUUCAAAUUUUUAUAUUUCAAACAUUGCAUAUAAAAAAUAUUCAUGAGAAAAAAAUAAAAGGUCGUAUAUAGCAAAUAUCAUACUAUAAAACUGACAUUUAAUUGUGACCUGAGUCUGAAAAGAGUUACUUUGUUUUUUUCUUUUUCAAAAGUGGAAUACAAUAAGUAAUAAAUAAGUAGAAAUAAUAAGUUUGUUUUUACUUUUUUUUUUCCUUUAAAAAUAAAAUGAAAAAAAUAAGAUAUGUGAAAAAACAAACUUAGGCUCAAUGCAAAGGAUCCAUCCAAGUGUCAUAUAUAAUCACUGUUUAUAAGGUAUGUCAUGUCAUUAGAAUAAUUUAUUACAACUUUAUUAUUUAGUGUUAGGAAUUAAAUUUGAGAUGAAAAAAGUAUACCAAUAUAUCAUUUUCAAUUUCUUAUAUGUAUAAUCUAGUCUCUACUUUUCUUAUUAGUAUCUAUACUUUUAAUACAUUUAAUAAAAAAAUAGUUAAAUAAUUCCACUUUUUAUAUUUUUUAAUGUCUUAAAGACAUUGUUCAUCUAAGUAUAUUUAAAUAAAAAGUCUUGUUAUCGAAUAGGCAAUAGCCUUUCCAAUUACAUAAAAGAUAGAAUAAACUAAUAAAAUAGAUCAGUUACUAAUCAAACUAUCUUGUUAACAAUAAGGAUCCCCACAAUUUUAUGUUUAUCAUAAUUUACAAGUAAUAAGAAGAGAACUCGUCAAAAUUCACCCAAUUCUAUAACUUCAUUUCAAAAGCUUUUCACCACAAAUUGAUUAUUUCUUUUAUACUAAUACUACUACUAAUAAUAAUAAUACAAAAAAAAUUAAUGAAGUACAAUAAAUAACGUUUUGCUUAAAACAAUAUUUUUGUGUCUAUUCUGAGUCCAAUGAAAUGUGUAUAAAAAAAAAAAUCAUAUUUUAACACCAAUUUUUGACACUAUUUUGACACUGCACACGUGUCAAAAUGUGGUUGGAUGAUUUCAAAUUAAAAAAAACUGAGACAAGAACAUAUUUGAAAGAGAAAAACCAAAGUUUUUUUUUUUAAUUUGAAAUCGUCCAACCACAUUUUGACACGUGUGCAACGUCAAAAUUGUGUUAAAAAAUUGGUGUUAAAAUAUCAUUUUCUAUACAAAAAAAACUUGUUUCAUAAAUCAUAUGCUAAAAUUAAAUUAUGUACAAGUUAAUUUGAAUUUAUGAAAGAUUUUUCUUUUCACAUGAACUUCCUUAAAAAUAAAUUUUAAUAUAUAAAGACUUAUUUUAUUUAUUAAUAUUGAUUCAACUCAGUCAAUUUUGAAUUCAUAAUCAAUUCUACAAGUGAAAUCGAACUUCCUAUCAUUUAGCUAAAACCAUGUUGACUAGUCAAUGAUUAAGAAAAAGUUAACUCGAAACCAAACUCAACCUUAACAAGCUCUAAUGGAACAACGAACUUUUUAAUUCCCUCCAAAGAAAAAAAGAGUUUGUUUUUUGCUAAUUUAUUGAAUACCAGAAAAGCCAUUUUUUUUUUCUGAGGGGAAAAUGCUUCCAUAUAUGUAGCUUUUCGCAAUGUGCAGCAGCAUUUUCCUGUCGCUUACAACUGCAAUCUACAAGAGAUGAAGAGAAAAAAGGGAUUAUGAAAAAUUUUAAGACCAAAAAAGUCUAAAUUUUUUUUAAGAUAACGAUACUUUCGUAAUAUUUUUUGACAAUAUUUUAACAUCAUUUACGUAUCAUUGUCUGAUUAGUUUAUGGUGAUGUUUAUGAUUAUUAUUAUUAAUUGUAGAAUAAUUUUAAAACAAUCAGAAAAUAAUACGUAGAUAAUAUUAAAAUGUUAUCAAAGUAUUAUUAUUCUUUUUCUUUUAAGAGAAAAGGAGGAAAAGAUGCUAAACCUUUUCAAGUCUUAACAUAGUUUGGUAUAGGUAUACCAGACCCUUCUGUCAACUUUUUAUAUGCAGCCUGCAAUCUUCUAGUGAUUGCUCCAACUUCUCCAUUGCCAAUUAUGCGACCAUCAACCUUCACAACCUAAAGAAAAAUCCAAUAAAUUUUAAUCUCAUUCCAUAGAACUCAUUCUGCCAAAGUUAAAUAUGUUUUUAGUCUCCAAACUUUCAUACGUCUUCAAAUUUUAAAAUUAAAUAAAUAUAAUCUUUUUAACUCAAUUAUUUUAACUUUUAACACGUAUCAUUGCAUUAAAAAGACAUGUACAUUCAGUUUUAAAAUUUAAAGAAUAAAAUGUAUCAAAGUUUAGACAAAUUCUGAUUUCAUACUAAGAUUUAAAGACUAAGAACAUAUUUAAUCCUUAAAUGUAUGGUCAGAUUCAAUUGAAAAGGUAUAUAACUGGAACUUACUGGGCUCAGUUCUCCCAUUGUUCCAGUUGUCCAGACCUGCAAGAUAGUCUUCUAGCUAUAUAACUCAACAUAAUAUAUAUGUAUAAUCGUACAAUUUUUGCAGAAAUAAUUUAUAUGUUAAAAAUAAUACAUUAAUAUAAAAUUAUCAAAUAAGAAAAUGAUUAGAACAGUAUAAGAUACUUAUAACAGUAGAAGUUGAGAGUUGAAUAUUAAUGAACUGAGUAUAUAUUUUCUAAUUUAAAAUAGUUACUGUGAAGGAAAUAAACUUACCAUGGUAGUUUAUGACUAGAUGAUGGAGUAAAACUAUUUAUAGUGUCAGUGUAUGGUCUUUUUAUUUUCAUAAGUUAAUCCUUAAUAUUUUAUAGCAAUUUUUGUUUAGAAAUGUAUUUUGAAAUUGUAUACGGGAACCUCAUCUGCAGUAUGAACUUCUGACAAGCUGAUUCUGCGCUCCUCUAAGAUUAACUGUUCUUUCACAACAAGGUCCAUCACCUAAAAUUGCAAACCAGAACAGUCCAAUCAAUGCCAAAGUACACUUCAUUGAUAAGCAUAACUUAGAAUGAAUUACAAACCUAAACUUUUCUAGUGUUCUACUCCAUUUCCUACCAAAAACAAGUUAUUAUUUGCCAACACAAUGGCACUCUGAUAAACAAAAUCAGAUGCUGAAUAAAAGCACUUCUUGUAGCUGAAACUGGUAUCAGGUGUCAUCUGAUACUUCACUCCCAACAUAAAUGUUACAAUGUAUACAGAAAUUGGUUUAAAAACAACAGGAUGAUUGUACACAGCUUACAGUUGCACGAGUAAUGCCAGGAAGACAGUAAUCGGCAUGAGGUGUCAAAACACGGCCUUUUUUAACCACGAACUGCAGACAGAAGAACAAUAAAUGAGUUGAAGUGUUCCAGAAAUUAGAUCCUGUACUAUCUAUGUUGCAAAUAAACCUUGUUGCAAAAACAAAACCCUGUGAUCCUUCUCAAAAAGGGGGUCUUGAACAGGAUUUUGUUUCCCUGAACACUGCAAGGUGAUGACAAACCAACAACGUAUCUGCUGCAUCUCACAUCAUAAAAGGAUGUGAUUUCACAUCUUACGAGCCAUACACUGAGUUUACUAAAUUUUCAUUGGCACAAGUCAAAGUUAUCCAUGCUCACUCUUUUUAAAACAAUAUAGUUUUGUGUAGAUUAGUAGUCCAAAGCUUUGACUCCAAGAAAUAUCUGUGUUGGUUGCUACCUAGUACAAUGAAAAUAAAGAGUUCUUUGACAGUAAGGGUAAAUUUGAGGACAUACAAUGUUAGUUGCAUUGGUUUCUGACAAAUAACCAUCUUGGUCAAGCAUGAUUGCGUCAUCUGCUUUUGCAUUAUUGCCUUCAAUCUGCACUAGGCCAAGAAUAAUAUUUUAGUAAUGAAGUAAGAUAUAUCACUAAGACAGGAUAUUAGUAAGACAAGAUGCUAGAAAUAAGGAUAUUAGUAAAUAAACAUAACUCAUUUUCGUUUUAUGAUACAACAUUAUCCAAAAUACUCCAUAAUAAUGAUAAUAAAACAAGGAUUACCAUGUUAAACUAACUUAACAACCAUAAUUGUUACAACUAGAAAUCAUCUACUACUAAUAACAGUAAUUAGCGCAUUUUGGUUGAACGCUACUUUUAAACAAUCUUGAGAAGAACAGGAAAAUACCUUUGCAAGUAUGUUAUUGAGAAGAUUAUUGUGAUGAAUCUUUGAAUCCAAGUUCUGGUAAAAAAAAUAAAAAUAAAGAAAAGGGGAUGGAACAAAGUCAAUUGAUUAAACUAAGGUUUAGAUCAAACAGAACAUUAAAGGUUGAAUGGAUCUCAUUCUUUUAUAUGACAGUAUAAAGCUACCCAUAAUAAUAAUAAUUACAAUGGCAUUAAGCUCUUCAACUAAAUAGCAUUAAAUAUUUUGUAGGUCUUUCUUUGCCAGCACAAACCAGGAAUAGGUAAUGUAUUUAGUGAUAACACCACAACACAUCUUUAUAUUUUCUACUUAUUUUGUCCUUCUUUCAUCCUGUUUAUGCACUUGUCAAAAUUUCCAUAUGAUUAUAGCUUUUGUUAAGCACCUCUCUUUUUUUCUAUCUAUAUUAUCCAAUGCUUAUAUUUUUUGGGGGGAAAGAAUAAAACUCUCUGAUGGAAAACCAAGUCAUUCAAAUGUUCUCCAAUGUAUAAAAUGAAAGAAAACCAUGAUAAUAAAUAAGUAUACAAGCAGAAACUUACAUUUGGUGAAUUACGGCGUGUUGUAGCAGUUACAAGAGCUAUACCACGGGUAUUAUCAUACACUGGGGGUUUCCAUUCAGCAAGCACUGCAUAUAUUAAAAAGAACCAAUAUAGUAUAAAAUGAUUAACCAUUUCAAAAAGCAGUGAUAGACAAGGUAAACUAUACAUGGAAACACACUAAAAUGUCCUUUUGUAUUCUCCAUAAAUGAACCACAAUGUUUUCAUAUUUUAUAGGGUAAACAACACCAUGGAAGUAAAAUGCAUGUUGGAGACAUAACAAAUAUAAAACUCACCUAUGCAAGCUCUUUUUUCCCUUCUUUAAUUUUUGUAUUGACCAGUCACUUUAAGAUUGUGUUCGAUCUGCUAUUAGUAGUCUAAUAUUUUCAUUAUUCAUUUCAUUCUUUUUGUCAGUUUUCUAUUCUCUAUCAUGUUUUUCUUACUUCUGUACUUUUAACUUAGAGCACCUCAUGGGGAAAUACUUGACUUGAUCCCCUUCUAAAAUCCCUUUUAACAUUACAAAAAUCAUAUACAAACUGUCAUAGGUCAAUUUGAAAACUUCAAUUCGCUCAAUAAUGCAGAAAUUGGUAUAUAAAAACUGUUCAGGAGUAUAAUAAUGUUACUUAUUUGGCAAAGGGAUAGGAAGUUACCAAUUAAUGUACAGCCAUAAAGAUUGAAUGCUGGGCUCAUCCCAGAAGAAACCUGGGUAAACAGAAUAUUCUUUCUACUUUAGUUAAAACAAGAAUGCUCCAUAGAAAGGAACUUUAAUACAAUUUAUCUCAUCUUUGUUCAUAUACUAAUAUAUUAUUAAAAUUAUGAACCUGCUCCCAUAUAAUGCUGAGCACUGCCAUGUGAAUGGUGAUGAAACAAAAUUUGACGAAUUAUUAUCUUUAAGAAAUUAUUUAGCUCGCUGAAAUGAUAAGUGAGAGAUAGUAAAACCUUUUUCCCUCGUGUUAGGGAAAGCCGUAUGUGUGAAUUGUCAAACAUGCCAUUCCUAAUCAAAGUUCUGAAAAUUGCUUCCUUUAUCUGCAAUUUUUUGAACAUUCAUCAUGAUGAUAACUGAAAAAAUAGCAAUUAGCACAUAGCUUUUAAAAGAAAAACAGAAUCAUCUGACAAAAAGCCUAUCGGGAUAACUAGCAAAGAGUGUUUCAACUGACACAUGCUAGAUAGAUGAACUGAAUGCAUGUAAGACUCACCUCAUCCCGAUUAGGAACAUUUUCAAAAGCUAAAGCCUUUGCUGAAUCAAAUAACCUAUAAGAAACAAGAAAUGCAAGAUGACAUAUCAUGAGUAUUUCAAUUAUUGCAUUACCUAUAAUCAUUCAAUUUAUUGCAUUACUAUUGAGUUAUGUAAUCAACUGAUCAGAUAGAACAUUAUUGGAAUAAUGUUAUAGCAUAACAUAUAAACUAUUCAAUUUCUUAGUUUUGUGACAUCACCUGUCUAGAUGCUCCUCAAGCUUAAAUAUCUUUCCAUUAUACACCCGAAGUCCCUCCCAAACCGAGUCACCUCCUUGGACUACUGAAUCAAAUACAGAAACCUGAUAGAUCACAGGGUAAUAUUUUCAAACCCUGAGAAUCUGUACAUCAAUCACAUAAAUCUGAACCUUUUAAUUGCCAUACAACUAAUUACCUUAGCACUAUCACGAGGUACAAUCUCGUCACCAACCCAAGCAAGCAAUUUCUCAUUUGCAGGAACAGGAAGAUCGGGAGUAGGUAAAGGAGAGCUCAGAAGAGAUGAUUUUUUCUUCACAUGACGCCGAAGCAUCUUAUACAGGGGUAGACUUUGUUCCAACAAAUUGUACAGAGAAAAAGGAAAUGGCUGAAAAGAAGUUUAAACUUUACAGCUUAACUAUAGUCAUGGUUUUUGUCACCUAUGCCAGUCAAGGUACCUCACCCCUUUACACUUGAAAAAUAACCUUGUCUUAAAUUUUGUAUCCUCCAAAAUUUUUAUGGGAAAAGCAAGAACAAACAUAAGUUCAUAAUGAGCACCCAAUUUCAAAUCUAAUCUCUGUUAUUAGGUAAAAAAAUGGCAAUUAGCAAUGGAGCAAACAACAUCCAAAUACUAAUAAUAACUCAAACAAAAUAACAUCAUGGAUUCUCCAUAAAAGACUAAUAGAACAUGAUAAAAACAACCAAAUACCUCUGGAUACUUUCUAGGUUUCUCAAAACCAGUAGAUUUAUGCACAGUCUUGUACCACCAAGGGGCCCACAAGCCAUCUAUUUCCUUUGGACCUGCUUCCCACCUAGAAUGUAUUGUUGCAGAAUAAGAAUAACUGCAAUAUUGUUUUGUUUGAACGCUAAAUGGCAACUUGAUCAAUGCCUUAACAAAAGUUUCCAGUUUCCAAAGAAAAAUGACCAAAACUCCAAUGAACAUAAUUUAAAAGGAAUUCAUAAAGUAGCACGGCCUAUUUUUUGGGUGCAUUAAUGUAGCUUUAGUGAUAAACUCAUCCCCCUUGACUUCCUCUCAGUGAUUUUAACUUUGUUGGGGGAAUUUAUGUAAAGGGUAAAAGAAAUCUACAUACUUGAGCAUAGCAGGUUGAAAGGGAAUCUCCAGAUCAUCACAGAGACCACGUAGGGUAGCCUGCAAAUCAACAAGAUCAUGAGACUAAUGCAAGAUAAUUACAAAAUAAUAUUUAAAGCCAUAUUUGAAGUUAGUUUGUAAAUAUUAUUAUCUAGUCUUCCAACUAAACAAAAACCAAUCAAGCAUGUUCAGAAAGCUCAGAUAAUACCUCAGGAUCUUGUUGAAGUUCUGCAGCAUCAAUAACAGGUGGUGCCUUUCCAGUCUCACGAAGUUCAUUGUAUAUACAAACCAGCUCUGCCAAACCCAACUCAUAGAAAGAUGGAGGGACAACCUUAUCAAAGGAUGGCUGAACAUACACAAUUGAGUGAAGCACACAAGAACUAUCACGCAGUAGCCAUAGACAUAAAUAACCACAAAAUACCAUAAAAUUUGAUAAAAUAUUUGCAACACCCUGUAUGCAUUAUUAAUGAAACACAAAGCUCAUAGGCUUUUUCACAAGCCAACUCUUUUUAAAGUAGAUUUAUGAUAGAUCUUUAUGCUUUUGGACCAACACUACAUAUGCAUAUGACAAGAACAUGCAGAACUGGCUAUUAUUUUAGUGACAAACAAGUAAUAAAUGAAAGACAUUUUACCAAUAUAUCAAGAGGAUUUCUUAUCAGAAUGAAGUGCUUUCCUUUCUUCAUUAGAUCACCAGUCAAACCUUGUAAGCGUUGCUUUGAUAUAUGCUGAAAACAGCAAAAGAUAAAUAAUGAAGUAGAAGAAAACAAACUUGGUUUUGAUAACACAGCUAAGGCUCAACAUAAACUAAUUAUUAUGGGUAUUUUCAUCUGGAUCAAUGAAUCAGCUUCCUUCCACCUCCUCAAACAGACUCGUGUUGAUUUAUUUGGACACAUGCCAGUUGUGGGACCUUCCUAGACCAAAACCAAUUCCUAGCCAACUAAACUACUUGCAUAAUUUAGAGCAUAACAGCAAAAGAUGUAGACUUUUUGUAACAAUUGAAGCUUCUGCUUCAGUUUCUUUGACUUUGUGCAGAGUUACCCCAUCACAAAAUUAGAAUGAGACACAGGAAUAUAAAGUUAAUAGUACAAUACCUCCUGUCAUUGAAGUAAAUGGUCAUAAUGUUCUUCUAUUUAUACAUUUUUUUAGAAAAUGCGUAUCUCAAAAGAUACAUUGUUUACCUUGCAGAAUCUAUAUUUCUUCCUUCCUGGACCAAAAAUUAUGUCAGUAGUGACCUUAUUUCCAUCAGAUUCCUGUUACAUUUGAAACACCAACAAUUUUCAAUAUGAAGCAUGGGAAGAGGACACUACAAGAGACACACAGGAUAAUUAUAAUAAAUGAUAGCUGAAGAAGCAUUGCAAGUUAAUUUUAGAGUUCAGUAUGUAGAGCUUGCUGAAGGCAGAAUCUUCAGAACUCAAUUAAGAAAAAAUGACCAUAAAGAACUUGAAGCUACUUUUAUACUUCCACUCUAGAUCAGAGAUGCUUAUAUUUUUCAGAAUUCUCACAUUCUACGAAACACCCUCUACAUUUAAUAAAGCAUCAUUUUCCCCACCAAACAAACAAAAAAAUUGUUUAUCAUCACUAUAGACAGUCAUUUUAAAUAUACCAGGCUGACAGAACAAUGAUUGAGUGAACAGAGAUAAGUUAAAGUGCUGAGAAUAAUUUAAUAAAAGCAUAAUCAAAUCAACCUAGUUCUCAGCACCAACUACAAGACGAUUAGAGGAGAGGUAAUGAAGGAGGGCAUUUUGUGACAGAUAUACCAUUUUUGAGAGUAGCUCCUCUCUAUACGGUCUAUCAAGACCUGUUACUCUAAGGAAAUUUGCAUAGAGAGGCUCAUCAAGCACUUCUAUGUCAUCCCUCUGCGUAGCACAAAUGAAAACACCUUAAUCAGGAACAGGAUUCUCGAGUAAUCAUCAAUAACAAAGCACGAUUUCAAUCAAUUAAUGGAAUCAUUAAUCUAUCAGCAGAAUACUAGGUACACAUUUGUUGAAACUGACAAAAUCAAAAGAAUAAUAACAAGAACUUGUCAUCACCGUCAUCAUCAAAAGAAAACAUCAUCAAACUACAACAUCGUUUUCUUAUCAUAUAAAGUCUGCUACAACCACUGGACAAAUCAUGAUGAAAAAUUUAAACAAAAAAAAAGGUAAAAUUAUGCAAUAUGUUAAUUCCUUGUUUGCACCCAACAAAAUACAUUGGCAAGAAAAAAGGUGAGAGUGAGAGAGAGACACCUGAGCAAAAGAAUACAUGAGACUGGUACUGAGGGAUCUUGGAGCAGACCAUGAGUGAAUCACCUCCACUUCACUCUCCGCCAUCUCUGAUUUCACCAUGCAAAGCUAAGCCUUUCUUUCUGAUUCAACUUGAUUAGAAUAUUAUCAGUAACAGUGAUGAUGGAAUCCACUGGAUUGCCACUUUUCUUUAUGAGAAUCACAACACAACAGAAUAUAAAAAGAUGGGUCCAAAUCUCGGAACAGGAACCAACAAAUUCCGAGGAAUCUCAAAGGAGUUAAGAUAAAUUUUGAGAUGACUUUAGAGGCAAAAGAAACAUGGUAAUUAGGAAAGUACUAUGGUCUGGUAGUAAUUAAUUUUUACUAGUUAGUAGAUGAGGUUGACACAUGAGAGAUGCAUUUUGUUUGGCUUUUUGUCUUUUACUGCCAUUGUUGCUAAAAUUUGGAAUUGCAUAGAGAAGAUGAAAAGUGUUUAGAUUUUGAUUAGAAUGCCAUAUAAAGUAACGCCUAGAUUUUGAACAAGAGAGACUAAAAAGAGUUUAUUACUAAUUAUUAUCUGUACUACCCUUUUUAGAUAUACAACUAUUUCAUAAUCUUAAUAUAAUCCACCCCCAUAAAAUGAAAUGAAUAGAAAAUUAUUUACAUUCCAUUCAUAUGAAAAACAAAGAUUAAAGUUUAUACCUUUUAACCAAAAGAAGAAAAAUUUUCCACUGAUUAGGGGUUUUCUGAAAUUUGAAGUAAUCAAAGAUCAGAGCUUGCAAUUACUUUUUGCUACCAAACAAUAAAAUUUGGUUGUCACAACUUUUCGACAAGCAAUGAUAAUUCCUUUUCACAAAAUCAUUGCUUGUCAACAAAAGCACAUCACUUAAUUCGUUGCGCAGACGUGUUAUCCACUGUAUUGUCCGAUAUCAUCCCCCAAACAUGUCCUUACCUAGUUUUUAUUUUAUUUUAAUAAACAAUUAUCACAUUCAAAUAUCCUUUAUCUUCUUAAUCCAAGAUAAAGACCAUGAAAAAAUAUUUAAAAAAAUAAGGCUCUCAUUAAAUGUGCAUGAAAAAAAUAUGAAAAAAUAAUGUAAUUUCUUUUAUUCAUUUCCCAUUCUAUUAAGGCUUUAAUUUAUAAAAUCUUAUUUAAUAAUAUAAAAUUGUUAAAUAAAAUAUUAUAAAAUUUAUGAAACAAAAUAAAAUAUAUAAAUGAACCAAGCUAACAAAAAGAAUUAAAAACAAUCAAACUCUUAUAAAAGAUAAUUACUGAAAGCUAAGAAAUCAAUAUGUAGUAUCUUCGUCAUGAAUAUCAUCGUUUAACUUUUAUUUUACUGGUAUAGUAAAAAAGAUAAAACAUAAAAAAACACACAGCACGAUAAAAUAUUGUACAAAAAGAGUUAUUCUUAAACAAUUAAUUCAUAUCAAAUAUAAAUUUGUUUAAAAAGAAACAAAAAUAAUCUCUCAAUAGCAUGGUUAAUUUAAACGUGAGUUUAGUAAAACUUUGUGUAUCCAAAAUUACCUAAGAUUUAUGUCAAAGUUACGUCACAAUGACUACGUAUUAAUUUAUGAAUUUAAAUUUAAAAUUUCUAGUAUGUGUUAUUCAGAUUUCAAUAUUUUAAGUUUGGCCUAUUUUGCUUUGACUUUUUUAUUUGUUCAAUUAUUAUAGAGAUAAGUUUAAAGAGAUGGAAGCAAGAAGACGGAAUUCAGUGAUGGAAAAUAUUGUUAAAGAAUAUUUCCAAAAACUUAUGAAACAUGAUGAAAAAUUGAUUAGUAUAAUUAAUUUUAGUAUAACGCUAUCAAACAACUUAUUGUUCAAUUUAAUGUCAAUAAUAAAGUUUAAAAAUGGAUUUUCCAAAUCAUUAGGGCAAUGCUAAUAUUGCUCAAACUGCAGCAAAAGGAAUUUGUAAAAAUACACUAUAAUCAAUUUCUUGACAUCAUCCAACUUUUAAAUUUUUUGGAAGAUUUUCUUUUAAGUUGUUUUAUCCGUCUAAAAAGAGAUAUCAAUUCGGAUGUUUCAACCAAAAACAAUAUAUAUAGCUUAAAUAUUAGCAAACAUUUAUAAAAUGGCUAAUUUGGAAUGCAUGAUAGAGAAUUUAACGAGAGGAAAUAAUUUUAGAUUGGAUAAUGAUAAUUAGAUAAUUUUUUUUGACAACAUUUGAACACUAUAUCUCCACAAUCAAUAAUAAUAAUCAUAAACACUACUAUGCAUCGAUCAAUCACAUAAUAAAACAAAAAUAGGUUUAAUAGGUUCGAAGGUCCCUAUAUUUGGAGGUUUGUUUCAAUUGGGUCCUCCAAUUUUUGAAGUGAUCAAUUAGGUCCCUAAUUUUAUCAAUUUGAAUCAGUAAAAGCAUUUCUGUUAAAUGCAGUUAACGCCGUGAAGUUUUUGAAUAUGUAGCACGCUGACGCUUCCAGGUGACAUCAUUUCAAGUGCAUAGGUAGAUUAUAAAAUGGUGAAAUCUUUUUUAAUUUAGGGAUUUCACCUUCAAAUACACCCUUUUAAUUUAGGGAUUUCACCCUUUUAUAAUCCAUCUAUGCACUUGUGCCACCUGGAAGCGUCAGCGUGCCACAUGUUUAAAAACUUCACGGCAUUAACUGCAUUUAACGACUUUUAUUGAUUCAAAUUGACAAAAUUAGGGACCUAAUUGAUCACUUUGAAAAUUGGAGGACCCAAUUGAAACAAACCCCAAGUAUAGGGACCUCCGAACCUAUUAAACCAAAAAAAUAUACAGUUCAAAUGUUGUCAAAAAAAUAUUAUCUAAGUGUCAUUAUCAGAUUUUACAUAUCUUGAAUUUUUUUUUCUACAGUCUUUUUAUUUUCGAUGGUGAAUAAAAGUAUAUUUGUAAAAGACUGACUUCUACGUUGCUCUUAUUUGUUUUUCAUUGGACAAUUGUAAAUGAUAUUAUUUUUUUCUAGAAUAAUAACUUUUUGAUUUUGUACUCUUAAGAUAAUUAGGAAGAGUUCCAAAAGUAACUCAUACUCAUACAUAUACUUAUGUUUGUUUUGACACUGCAGACUUUACACACAACAAUAAAUUGCAUAUGAAACAAUAUUAAUAUUAUAUUAAAUAGAGUGUUUCAAAGAUAUAUUUUGAUUUAAAUUUUUAAAAUAAUAAAUAUAUGAAACUUUUAGUAUAUUUUAAACUGUAUUUUAAUUUACUUUUCAAUUUUUUAUUCUAUUUAACAUUUUUUAAUUAAAAAAAAUACUAUGUAACAUAUAAAAAAAGAAAAAAAUGUAGAUUAAAAAAAUUAUAUCUAUUUGUUUUUUUAAGUUUAAAUUAAAAUAUACGAAAGUUUAUAACAAAUAUCAAAUCUAAUUCAACUUUUAAAAACUAAAACAUACUAACCCAUAAAAAAAUUGUCUCAAUACAUAAACAGAAUAAAAAAAAAAACAAAACAAUUAUCCCAUCCAAUUGAUCCUCUCCAAUUUCAAGAAAAUAAACUAAAUUCAAAAGAAAAAAAAACUUAAUUAUUACAAUAUUUAUAAUCAUAUCAUACAAUAAAAUUUAUUUUAGACUUAAUUAAUUUCGUAUCCUUAAUAAAUUUGAAUUUGAGUUAUGAUUAAACUUUUUUUGUCAGCAAAACCAUUUUUUAAUAUUUUAACCAUUUUUAAUUAAGAGUGUGUUGAUUUUUUUAUAUAUGAAUAAUUUUACUGAAAUAUCUUUAUAUACUAAGAUGUGAAGUUUUGUAAUUAAUAUAAAAAUAUAAAACAAUAAACUAUUUCUAUUGUUAGAUAAAAAUAAUAGUGUGUGCUGAUAAUAAAAGUAAUUCAUUGAUAUUUUCGAUGAAAACAAAAUUGUUAUGUUUUUAAUUACUUUUAAAUUAUUCAGUCUUGCACAUACUUUUAUAUUAUUUAGUCUUGUACAAUAAAUAAUAUAUAACAACAUUCAUAAUAAGUGUAUCAUAUAUUAUAUAGUCUUGCACACUAAUUAGAUUAAUUUUAAAAAAUAUGAUUUUAAUAAUUAUAUCAAAACAAGUUUUGAUUCAGUUUUUAUAAAUAUGUAUAUCAAAUUUUAUAAUUAAUUGUAUUAAUCUGAAACUAAUUUAAUAAUUCUAUAUCUUAAAAAUGAGAUUGCGAAUAUUCUGAAAACAAAUUAUAAGUUAUAUCUCAUGUCAUACUAUUCUUCACUUUGUGUUAUUAUAAAUAUCUUUUGGUUAAGGUAAAAAUCUCAUUUACUUCAAAACUAAAAGUAUAUUAUUUCUAAUUAUGAAUAUUAUUUCCAUGAAAUGGCGAAGGUUAGAAUAUAAAGAAUACAUUGUUAAUAUCAUAAGAAAGUAUUAAUAAUAAAAUACGCACAUACUAAUUGAAGUGGAAGAUUUUAUUUAUAAAUUAAUUUAUAACAAUAUUGAUUUUAAUGUUAAUAUGUUAACUUAUCUGAAAAAUAAAAUAAAUUGUUUGUUUAUCUUAUUUUAAUAUUUUAAAAAAUAAAAACUCACCUAUUUAUACAAACUUAUAUUUUGGUUUAUAAAAUUUAUUUUAUUUCAAAAUUUUAAUGUAACAUCCCAAUAAAACAAAACUGAUUUGAGGAAAGAUCCAUAAUUUGUUAUACAGAAAUAUACUACAUUGAACCAAAAAUAUAGUAUAGACUUUAUAAAACAAAGAGGUUAUUCUAAGUUUCAGCUUUGCCACCAUCUAUCUCUUACUCACGAGAUACACAUCUUGAGCUCACACCAUUAAAAUGAUCAUUACACAAAAAAAGCAAGCACACACACAAACAAAUAAAGACAAUAUAGUAAGCUAAAAUAGCAAAAAAACAUUCAUGCAUUUUAACACGAUAAUAUUACAUUCAUAAUAUAAAUCAAAUAAUACAAAAAUAAUCAUAUCAACUUUAAACUGCGACCAUUCGGAUACAUGUAUCAAACUCGAGGCCUACCCCGUGUUUGGUGAAACAACUUGUCUAAAUCAUACUAGUACUUCAUCAAACUACCACACACCAAGGUUAAUUUGUCAAACAUUUAUGACCAUUAGACUAAAGACCUCAUAGUAUUUUUCACGACAUAUCAAACACAACACCAAAAUAUUCCCCGUGCAAUUCCUUUUCAUAUCAUACUUAAUUUCCACUCUCCAUUUCAUUUGAAUAUCAUCAUAAAGGUAACACAUUAAAUCCAUACACACAUCCAUGCUUAACAUCCAUAAAACAUUCAUUAAUUCCACACAAGUAAUUAUGCAUAGAUAAUUACAAGAAAUUAGUAACCUAAUCAGAUUAAAACAAUUAAUUCAAUCAUAAUUUCAAGAAAUUAAUAAUCUAAUUACAUAAAAAUAAUUAUGCAAUCAUAGAAGUAUAAUUUCUAAUUCAUUCUAUCAAAUAAUAUAAGACUAUUUUUAACUAAUGACGUUUAAAAAUAUAUAUUAGUAAUAAAGAAUGACAAAGUACAAAACAAUGUACAAUUAAGAAAAAAAGAAGUAUAUAUUAAAAGAGGGAUGAAAAAAAUGUUGAAGAAGUGAAAAUGUAUUUUAAUUUAUAAAUAUAGUAGUACAGAGAACGAAAUUCAUGAUACGUAUUUUUAGAAUAAAUAAUUUAAUACAACUCAAAACAAACUCCCUGAAACUUAAUCAUAGGUUUGAGAUACUUUAAAAUUAAAAUAUGUUGAAUUUAAAUUGUUUUUAAUUUAUAUUUUUAAUAUUUUACUUAAAUAAAACAACUUAAAUUUAUUGAAUUUAAAAAAAAAUUAUUUAAAUAAAUAUUCCAGUUACUACUGAAUACAAGUUCAUUUUAGUAUUAAAUAUUUAAUUUAAUAGUCACUAUUUUUUAGUUAAGAUUAUUUUUCAAUUAAAUUAUUUUAUAUAAUGUCCAUAAAGUUUUUUUCUGAAUUAAUAAUUAAAAAUAAGUUAUUUUUUUUAUUGAUAUCAAUCUCAAUUAUUUGAAUUGAUUCCUAUCAAAAUUAUUAUUUAAAUUUUGUUAAAGAGGAUUGUUUUGUAAUCAAUCUAUGUCUUCCUUAAUAUUAAUAAAAAUAAUUUUAAUUAAAAUUGAUUAAAAUUUCUCCCAAUAGACACUAGAAAAACAAUAAUCAAUGUUAAUCUAGAAAUUAUUAAUUAUUAUCGAUAGGAUACAUUCUAAUACUAUUUUUAAAAUUAAACUUUAAUUCUAAUCUAAUUCUACACUGCUGAAGAUAAAAUUUUUACUCACCUAUAUGUUAUAAAUCUAUUAACUUAAAUUAUCAUUAUCAUCUAAAACUAUAUUCAUAUCCAAAUCCACUAUAAAGUAUAAUUUGAUACCAUCAAGUUUUCUAUCUAUAGCAAGUCUCUCACAAACUACUUAUGCCUAGGCAUAUAUUUGUUUGUCACUUCACCAUGUUUUAAGGAUAAUGAUAUUUAAACAACAUUUUUUUGACAAUAUUUGAAUAUCAUCUACGUGUCAUUAUGUGAUUAAUCCAAAAUUACUUCACAAUCAAUAAUAAUCAUAAAUACCACCAUAGAUCAAUCACAGAAUGACACGUAGAUGAUGUUAAAAUGUUGUCAAAAAAAAUGUUGUCUAACUAUUAUUAUCCUUUAAGAACUUACAAGUAGAAAAGAAAAGAAAGGAAAACAUAACAUGUGAAAGUCAAAUAAUGGUUACUGCAUAUUACUAGAAGUGAUACGUAAUAGUCUUACACUGGCUUGAUUGUAUGAUUGCAUGAAGCAGAGGAGAUUUAAUGGCUUCAAUGAAUCAGUAAGAUCCACAAUAUCAAGGUUACCCUGUGUCCCUAAGGUCAGAAAAUAGUUGAAAGUUUCAAUGUUCCUGAUAACAUAUGCAAUAUAAGCCACCGGUGCUUCCUUUGACAUGCUGCUACUACCAUCAUUAUAUAUUGCUUUGCAUCUACCAUCACAUAUUUCAAUAUCAUUUUCAUGUCUUGCUUCACCAUUUCCAAGUUUAAUGUUCGGAGAGAGGUUCUUGCAACUUGAAUGUUGUCUGCAGAAACUGGAAUUCAUCUGAUUUAAAAGAAUGGCAAGUACUCGAACAAGAUGUGGUAAACAAGCUGGAUCAUAUAUUACAUCUGCACCCAAACUGAAAUAGUAAUAUAUUAAGGAAUGACAUUUGAAUUCUGAACAAAUUUAAAGAAACAGUAUGAGAAAUUAAGUUCAGUAAUUGAGUAGAAACUUCAGUUGAACUCUUACACAAGAUCUGGCAUAAUUUCUUGAAGUUGACUUUCUGAUGCAGAUUCCCAGGGCAGAUACAAGCAUUUUACCUGAGUGAGGUGCAUGGAUCAGUUCAUAAUACAGAAACUUGGUAACAUAUACAACAAUACAGUUUAUAUUCUCUUCUAUCUCACACUUGCUAAAAUCCAUUACUUGAGAAAAAGGUUUUCAAAAGAAUGCAGAUCUAGACAAUUUUGGUUUUAGCUUUUAUUACAAUUUAUCAACACAGAAUAGACUGCAACAAAAAGGACAAAAUAAAACUUCAAAAAGAAAUUUUAUAGAUUAAUCUUCUAUGGACAAACAUAUUAGAACCAUACACUAAAAAUGUAUGAAACUCAAGAUAAGCACAUCAACACUCUGCAAGUAGAAAGUCCAUACAUACCAAUACUGAAAAUUGAUAUGUAUAUUUCAGUUUAGCAAAUAGCUCAAUAUCAUAUGCAUAUCUAUAGAAUCUUCCUAAUUAGAGAAAAUAUGUAUAUGAUCUUGUAGAUUAUUUGUUUCCUUAUUUCCCUUUUCUUGAAGAUUAGAUUGCUAUAAAUAGAGGUAAGGAGAAUGUAAUUACUAUGAAUGAAAAUAAUAAAAUCAUUCUCUUUUUCAAGUAACCUGAGAGAAGAUGUUGUGAGGAUAAAAUUUUCUAUACACGAAAAGAAAAGUACAAUGCACAGUCUAUGCAAAUUCAGACUCACCUUGUUUGGAUCUUUGUUUCCUUCUGUCAUAUUAGCCUCAACAUUGAGGUGGUUCAACUCCAAAUUAAACUUCAUGUUAGCUAAAGUUGAUAGGUCACCGUCACUUAAUAUCACCUGUUGAGAGACAAUAACAAGCUUCCAGUUGACUAAAUUCAACUACAAAUAUCACCUAAUAUUGCCCAUAUAAUAACUAAACAAAUAGCACCAUUUUAUAGUUUAAAUUUCAGUGUUCUAGCUAAAACAUCAUACUUUGAUAACAAAAAUGUCAUCAUUGAACAUGUUCAUGCAUGAAUCAGCAAGUAUAAUUGGCCAUACCUGGGAAGCUUUCACAUGGGCUAGACAUAAUCCAACUAAGCCAACUCCUGAACCAAUCUAUUCCAAAUUUUUAAAAGAUGCACCAGGGUAAGAACAGAUGAAAGCUAAUCUUAAUGUGACAAAUGAAAUGACAAAAAAGUUAGAAACUAAAACACUUAGAGCACAAUUACAUCUUAGAGCCUCUCUGAUAAGUGAAGGUAAUCACAUAAUUGUCUCAUCAUCAUCACAUGAAUGGAUAAACAUUAUUAUUAUAUUUAACAAACUCAAACAUAGAACUGACCUCAAAGCAUGAUUUAUCAGAAAAUAAUUCUGGAUGAGAAAGUAUUAACUCGGACAAAAACAGACUUGAUGGCCAUAUUGAGCACCUACAUAACCAAACCAAUAUCAAUUUCUAAGAAUUAAUGCUGAUUCCAAAAACAUACACUUGACAUAUGAAUAUUGAUAGAAGAAUUAUGAUAAGUACUAAAUUUUCCAAAAAAAUGAUAUUGCUGAACUCGACAAAAGUUGAAUUAUGAAGCAGAAAGAUCACUGGUUAUCAUUUAAAAGAACUUCUGCAUUGACAAACAUCACAUAAGGGCGUUUAAAUGUUACAUUCUAUAUGCAUAGUCUUUAAUGAUAUGAAAUAUAAGCAUACCCAGUAUCACCUUCAAGCAUGUUUAGAGAACACUGCAACGAAAAAACCACUGUCCUCGAGUGUGGACAACUUAGUAGUUUAGAACAACCUAGUCAUUCCAAUUCACCAGCCCAAGAAAAUCUGAAUGAAACAAAAUCAUAAGAAUAAAUGAAGAAACAUAACCAGAAUCAAGAUUUACCCUCAGGAAAAAGAAAUGAAAUUCUUUUGCAGAUUCUUGCAUCUCUCUUCGCGAAACUAUCAUCCUAGCACAAAAGAAAGAAAAUCAAGAAAAAAAAAAAAAACUCUACAACCAGAACAAAAAAAAUGCUUGCAGAAAGUCAUUGAUGGAAUAAAACCUUAAACGAUGUCAUGUAGUGAGCAUAAAGUUCGUACAAAUUGUCCAACACAUAACCACGGUCUGACUCAACUUGACUAAUAAGUUUCUUGAGAAAAUUCUUCAGGUAGGGAGCAUGAAAAUCACCCUGCAUUUAUCAUUCUAUCAGAUCAAUGAAGCCCAGAGAAGAAAAUUAGUUUGGUGUAGUUAAAUUCUUUUUCACUUCUUGUUUUUUUUUUUUUUUUCUUUUACAAGUGUUAAAGAAAAGUUAAUCUGCCCAAAUAGAAAAAUAAAUAUUACAGGAGCGGAAAGGCAAUGGUCCCAGAUGAAUUGUUGAACUUGUUCCGUGAUUGAGCCUCCGCCACAAGCCCUGCAAAUCUAUUUGUGUCACUGCUAUUUGAAGUCUCACUGAAAUACAAAGGAAAAAGUAGUAAAGAAAAGAGAAACCUGGCAUGGGAGAUUACACAGUGAGAAGGUUCCAUAGCUAGGAUUGAAGAAAGUAAAUGGCGAGAAGAAGGCAGGGAAGGAUCUAAGUCUUCCUCCAUCGCCACUUCCUUCCACUGUUCAGUUCCGCCUCAGACAACCUCCUAUUUUAUUCAAAACAUGUGCUUUUAUAUGUCCAAAACAAACUCCUAAAAUUUAUUUUAUUCUUUGUUUAUGUUUUUUUAACUUCAAUUUUAAUAAAAUAAAAAUUUAUUCCUUCAAAUUACUAAAAAAAAAACUGAUAUUUUUAAUAAAAAUAUGUCCAUUUUCUUUGUUUCAUUCAAAAAUAAGAUACUAAUCAUAAUUUAGUUAAAAAUACGUUUGGUGGAAUUAACCAAAUAUAUUUUAACAAUUUAAAUAAUUUAUAUAUAUAUAUAUAUAUAUAUAUAUAUAUAUCCAAAAAAUACGAUUUAUUCUACUUCAGAAAAAUUAUGUACCUUAAAAUCAAAACACAUUCUAAAAAGUUUAUUUCAGAUAUACAAUAAAAGAAAAGGAGAAUGGUAAGAUGUAGAAAUAAAAACCCUAAAUUGAAUUCAUUAAUUUUGGUAAUUUGAGUAGAUACAUUAUUUUUGUUUCUUUUUUAUAAUUCUCUUAAUCAAUUAGAUGAAUUGAAGAUUAAGGGAGUUUUUAUUUUUACAAGUGUUAAUAUUUGAAUUCAAAUUCGUUCAGAAUUAUCAUUUCAUUCCGUAGAACUCCUGUCACGAGUUAAGAGUUAAGAUGUUUUUGUUUAUAUAUGACGUCAAUAUUUCAAACUCAAGUCUACUCAGAUAAUAUAAUUAGGUUAAUAUUUAGGUAUUUUAUGCUUUGUAUCUAUGGUGUCACAAUUUUGUUUUUAAAAUAUUUAUUAAAAAAUUAAAAGAAUAUUUAAACUAAACAAUAUAAAACUAUUAAAUGUAUUUAAAUUAGUUUCUCUAAAAAUAUUUGAUAGAAUUAAACAUGAGUAUAUUUUAGGAAUUAAAAAUGUGUUUAAGCAUAAAAUUGUUACCAUUUUUAAAUUAUAACUCAAUAUUUGCUUCGGAAUGAAGGAAUUUUUUUUACAAUUUGAAUUAAAUCAACCCAUUUAAUUUAAAGCUAAGCCACUAAUCUAACUCAUCUUACUUAAGCUAUUUAUUAAUGGACAUGUUUCAACCUUUUUGGAAAUUUUAAAUAAAUGUCAAUAUUUUUCAACUAUGUAUUUAAGUUAAUAUAUUUAUAAAUUAAUUUAUGAAAAUAGUAAGACCUAUGAUAAAGUCUUUCAAACUAUAAUGUAGUAAAAACAAUUAUUUAUUGUUAACUAAUAAUUAAAUAUUAGAUUAAAUAUGUUUUUAGUUGAUAAACUUUUGAUACAUUUUAGUCUUUAAAUUUUAAAAAAUAAUUUAAUACAUUUUAAUUUUUAAACUUAAAAUAUACAUACAUACAUACAUAUAUAUAUAUAUAUAUAUAUAUAUAUAUAUAUAUAUAUAUAUAUAUAUAUAUAUAUAUAAAAUGUUUUACAUAUAAAAUAUUUAGGGUUUUUUUUCCCUCGUGACACUAAGGAGUUGUUCUCUCCUUCUUUCUCCCCCACAAAACACAUCAACUUUCCAAACACUCUCUCGGAAACUAACACUCUCUCGGAGACUAACAAAUGAGCAUUCGUUAUAGAAACAAUUUGUUCAUCUUUAACAAUCUUUUUUUCCCAGAAGAACACAAACAUUUCUCAAGGAAACCCUUCUCUUACCCCCCACACUAGUGCAAUAAUUAGGAACAACUUGAGUGAAACCAAACACAGUAAAAAGGUCAACAAUGAACACAGACUGCAACAACCUGCUCUAAUAGAAAUUAUGCAAUUGAACACUACUAUUAAAUUCCUAAAUACCCUUUAGAUAUCAAUUGUCAUUGAUUGACUUCAUUUUCUAAACACUUCCAAACAAAAUAAAAGGUUUAAGUAACAUAUAACAUCACCGCUGAUUUUCUAUGGUACACUGCAUUGGAAGAAGCAAGUGAAUUAUACAAAUACUUUUAGGAUGAAGACGCUAAUUGCUUCAUUUUAGCUUGUAAAAUGACUCGUGUUUCAUCUGCCACGUUUUUUUUUUUGGAUGCAACCUGCAGUGAGAUUUGUAUAAAUUCAUUUUUUUUUUAAAUAAGGUAAAAGGUAAUAUGAGAGUGCUUGGAAAGCUGAUGGGUUUUGUGGAGAAGGAGAGGGAGAGGGGGAGGAAGAAGGAGACGACGACGACAAAGGAAAAAACCCUAAAUUCAGGGUUAGUGGAAGAUGAAGCUGACGUGUCAAUUUUUUUUUUUAAAUUCAAAAUUCACACCUUAUAUUACUCUGUUGUGUCAUGUAUGAGAGAGUUCAGUCUGUACCGUUAAAUAUUUGAUGCCGUAACGAAAAAGGAUUAAUUUGAACUGUUUUUUCAAAAGUUGAAAUCAAUUGUUACGUACAAAAAAAAAGGUAGGACCAUUCUGAACAUAAUCCCCCAAACUAAGGACCAAAAGCAGUAUUAAGCCAUAUUUAAAUUGUUUAUAGAGUGUUCCUCCCUGCACCUCCAAAUUUACCUUAUUACCCUUAAUUCAUUUAAUAAAGUCAAACUAUAAUUAAUGAAUAAACCUUACACACCCACCCCUUCCUAGUCUAGGAGUUUUUCAAGGGCUUUCACUGUUUUAUUGUUUUGGUGAGGUGCAGGGAGCUGCUUCAUUCAUUUCACUUAAAGCUUUCACUUUUAUAUUUUUAGGUUUAAACCUCUUUUUGGUCCCUAAGUUAUAAGUGGAUGUUCAGUUUAGUCCCCGGUUUUAAAAAUGUAAAUUUUUGGUCCCUAAGUUAUAAAAAAUGUAUCAAAUGAGUCCUUUUUUAACUUGAAAUACUGUUUUUGGUUAUUUCUUAACAACUGCUACAUCUUUAGAUUACUUUGAUUUGUUUCUUAAUAAUAACAGCACUUUAGAUUACUCUUUGUACUUUGACCAUGAAAAUAAAAAAAGGACUCAUUUGAUACAUUUUUUAUAACUUAGGAAUCACAUGUUUACAUUUUUAAAAGCGGAGACUAAACUGAACAUCCGCUCAUAACUUAGGGACCAAAAAGAGGUUUAAACCAUAUUUUUAUUGUUAACCUGUGUUUGUGAUUUGUGAUGGUGAUUGUGGUUGCUGCUGAUUGUGGUGUUGUUUGCUACUGUUUUGGACUUUGAACAUAGACGAGAGAGGAAGAAUGAGAGGAAGAAGAAGAGCUCCCCCAUGUUAGUACAUUUUUUAUUUUGCCGCACAUCAAGAUGCGGCAGAGCCAAACUAGUGAUUGAGUUGCAGUUUUGAAGAGACAAAACAACUAAAAAAAUCUAUUAACAAAUAUUGAAUCAAAUAAAAAGAAAUAAAAAAAAUUAAAAUUAAUAAUCAUAUAUAUUAAAAAAAGAAAUAAAAUAACAAAAGUAUCGCUUAUUAUAAUACUUAAAUAAAUACAAAUAAAAAAAAUAUAAUAUUUAACAAAAUAAAAUUUACGCAUAGGGAUAAUAAUAAUUAUUUAAUUAAUAAAUAAUUUAAAAAAUUUCUAAAUUCAUAAACAAAAAAAAAUUAACUAAAAUUAUAUACAUAAAAAAUCAUAUAAAAAAUAUUUAAGAAACAAAUAAACCAAUUUACGAAAAUAUAGUUUAGUGAUAAUAAAAAUUAUUUAAUUCAAUAAAUUAAUAAAUACUUAAUCUAAAUUCAUAAUUAAUACUUAAUCUAAAUUACAUUAAUAAUAAAUAAUAUAUAAAUUUUUAUAAACUUAAAAAAAAUUAAGUAAAAUUAACAAACAAAUUAAAAUUAGAAAAAUAACAACUUGAGAAAAACUUCACAAACAUUGAAAACUCAAAACGCAGUCUGAUAUGCGUUUGCCUCAAUCCGAAGUUUGAACUGCGUUUUAUCCAAGCCGCAUUGCGAUAUGCAUAGAAUGAAGAUGUGCACCCCCAAAACUUUACCAACCGCAUCUCCACCGGCGGUUGCCUUCUGCUGCUGAUCCAGCUACGACACGACUACAUCCGCCGUUCGUACUGCGGAGGCGUCCAUUUGCGGUUCGACAGCACCCCCAAAACCCAUCCGCCAUUCGUACUGCUGGAGAGUUUAACCACAUUACCAUUUGCGGUUUGAUAUGCGGCACCCCAAAACCCAUCCGCACUUCUUACUGCGGCUGUCGUUAACCGUGGUGUGAUUUGCGGUUAACCCUCCUCGCAUCCCAUUCGCUUCAUGUAAACACACACACACACUUUUUGAUACACAGUACAGUUCAUUUACAGAGUUGCAACCACAAAUCACAAAACAUGAUUCUCACACAAGAUCUACGAGAGGAAAAAUAGAUGCCAAAAAAAACUUAAAACACGAUCUGAGAAAAAACGAACAACUGAUACCCAACUACUCCACUCGAACGCAACAAAAAGAUAGCAGCUGCACAGGUUGGAGGGGUGGACAAGAAGACGGGUAAAGAGUAGAAUAAAGAAAGGGGGUGUAAGGUUUUUUUUCGUGUGAGUUGCGGUUAACUUUUUAUAAACCUUUUUAUAAACCCAAUGAAUAGGGUAACAGAAGUAAGGGUAGGGGUACAGUCGGUAUUAAAGGAAAAAUAAGAGGUGCAGGACGAGAUCACGAAAGUAUAGGGAGGAACACUCUUGUUUAUAUUAUUUGACAUAUUCAUUCUUCAAUAUUAAUUAAAAUAACAUGUUUGACACACAAAUUGUAUUUUAAAAACUAUAUUAAUUUAUUUUUAAAAUUUAAUGACUAAAAUAUAUCAAAAUUUUAAAAUUCAAUAACUAAAAUUAUAUUUAACUUUUAAAUAUUUUAUGAAAAGUAAUAGGUUAUAAAUAUUUUAAAAUUUUCAUAGAUAAUAAUUUUUAACUAGUUUCCAAGUUGUGAGAAUGAUUAAAAUUCAUGUUCAAUUAUCAAAUUGUAACGAAAACUUGUUAAUUAAGUCAGGAGUAGUUACUAUACUUUUAAAAGAAAAAAAGAAUUGUUAUGUUUAUCGAGUUAGUAUUUUUUAUCUUUUUCUUAAACCUUAUUAUUUAUUACAUGUUAUGGUGACUGAAACACAACAUAAUGUAUAUAUAAAAACUACUCCUGAAAAAGGAUCACCAAAAAUGAAUUUUGAGAUAUACAAAAAUAUGAACACCAUUAUUAAUUAUAAAAUACACAAACACAAAAUAAUAUACAAAUUAAUGUGUGAAUUAUGUUACAGCCUAUACUUAAAUGUCCAACUCACUCAACAUUUUUAUAAGGGCUGCGGGAAGUAUCUAAUAAGAAAAUAAAGUAUAAUAUAAAAAUAGAAGAAUUAUUCUUAGAUAAUUGAGAAAUAAAAGUAGUCAGUGACAAUCCAAAAGAAAGAAGAGAAAUAGUGUUGAAAAUGUUAAUAUUGAAGUAGAUUAGAUCUAGAGCAUAACCUAAGCCUGAUCUAAAAUCAUUAGUUAUUGCUUCUAAGUAAAAUAAAAAGAAAAAGGAAAAGAUAACGUGAAAUUCAGAUACUAGCUAUUUUUAUUAUUGCCAGUUAUACGCAAUAGUCUUACACUGGCUUGAUUGUAUGAUUGCAUGUAGCAGAGGAGAUUUAGUGGCUUCAAUGAAUCAGUAAGGUCCACAAUAUCAAGAUGAGCCUGUUUUCCCAGGGACAUGAAAUAGUUGAAAGUUUCAAUGUUUCUGAUAACAUAUGAAAUAUACGCCACCGGUGCUUCCUUUGGCAGGCUGUAACUAUCAUCAUUAUGGCUUGCUUUGAAUCUACUGUGAGAUAUGUCAAUAGCAUGUUCAUGAUUAUGUUCACAAUUUUCAUGUUUAAUGUUUGGGGAGAUGCCCUUACAACUUGCAUGCUGUCUGCAAAACUCCAAAUUCAUCGGAUUCAAAAGAAUGGCAAGUACUCGAACAAGAUGUGGUUGAUAAACAGGAUCAUAUAUCACAUCUGCACCCAGACUGAUAAUAAUAUAAUAAGAAUGACAACUGAAUUCCGAAAAAAAUGGAAAGAAGAAUAUACGAAAUUAUGUCUCAAAAGUUGUAUAGUUAAACCCUCACACAACAUCAGCCCUGAUAUCUUGGAGUUGACUAACUGAUGCAGAUUCCCACGGCAGAUACAAGCAUUUUACCUGGGAUACAUGAUCAAUUCAUAAUACCGAGACUUAAUAAGUACAGUUCAGGUUAUAUUCUCCUUUAUAUAGACAAGAAGAAAACCCAUACUUUAAAAAUGAAAAUGUUGUCAAAGGGAUGGAGAAUCCACUAUCAGAUGAACAAAAUUUGAAAACGAAAAUUCAAAGGUUGACUUCCAUGAACAAAUCAACUAUCACAUGUUCAAGCUCUAGAAACUGUUGUAAGGAAUAAGGGGAUGGGGAAAAAUACUGGAAAUUACUAAUUGAACCGGUUUAGCAAAAAGCUCAGAGUAUCUACCAUAUAGUGUGAGGAUAGCAUUUUCUAUAUAUGAAAGCAAAAUCCUGUGACAGUCUAUUCAAAUUGAGACUGACCAUGUUUUGGUCAUUGUUUCUUUGCCGCAUGCCAGCUUCGACAUUCAGGUGGUUCAUCUCCAGAUUAAACUUCAUAUUAACUAAAGUUGAUAGGUCACCAUCACUUAAUAUCACCUGUUCAUAGAUGAUAAUUACAAUUGCUUUUUUAUUAAAUUUAAUUACAAUAAUAUCAUCUAAUAUUACCCAUGUAAUAAUUAGUUGACCAUACCUUAGAAGCCUUCACAUGAGCUAGACAUAAUCCAAUUAAGCCAACUCCUGAACCAACCUACUUAAAAUUUUAAAAAUAGUACACCAAGGUAUAAUAAGAACAACUAAAAGCUAAUUUUAAUGCAACAAACAAAAUGACAAAUUUAUAAACAGAACACAAAUUUCAAACUUUGUAAAGGGAGAAUUAUAUCUCAGCCUCUCCCAUAAGUGAUGAUUAUCACAAAAUUGUUGCAUGCAAAGCUAUUCAUGAUUGGAUAAUACUAACAUUUCUAGUGGAUUAAAAAAAUUCUUAAAUAUGUUACUAACCUCGAAGCAUGUUUUAUUAGAAAAUAAUUCUGGAUGAGAAAGUAUGAACUCAGACAAAAACAGACCCGGUUUCCAUAUUGAGCACCUGCACAACCAAACAAAUACCAUCUUUAAACUUUAAUGCAAGUUCCACAAACAUAUGCAUAUUCAGGGAAGAAUUAUUUGAAGCUGUCCGUAGAUAGAUCCAACUAAUGCCCAAAUUAAUGGUGUUGCUGAAGUCAACACAUGUAUCAAAGAGCAAGAGUACUGACUAUUAUUUAGAAGAACUUUGCAUUGACAAACAACACAUAAAAACCUUGAAAUGUUGCAUUCUAUUUGCAACAGUUUCUUAUGAUAUAAAAUAUGAGCAUACCCCGUACCACCUUCAAGCAUGUUCCGAGAACACUGCAAUGGAAAGACCAGUACCCUAGAGUGCGGACAACUUUGCAGUUCAGAACAACCUAGGCAUAACAGUUUACCAGCCAAAGUAAGGUGGAUGAAACAACAUCAUAAAAAUAAAUGCAGAAACAUCACUCUAAUCACUAUUUACCAUCAGGAAAAAGAAACGAAAUUCUUUUGCUGACUCUGGCAUCUCCCUUCUCUAAACUAUCAUCCUAAAAAAAAGGAAAAAGUAAUAAAAUCCUGAAAAAAUCUCUGUAAGAGCUAAAAAAGGAAGCUUGGAGAAAAUUGUUGAUCUAAGAAAACCUUGCAUGAUGUCAUAUAGAGAGCAUAGAGUUCGUACAAGCUGUCCAAGACAUAGCCAUGGUCGAACUCAAUUUGAGCGAUGAGUUUCUUGAGGAAAUUCUUCAGGUAAGGAACAUGAAAAUCACCCUGUAUUUAGUAUUAAAAUACGAUCAAUGCAACUAUAAGGCAAUUUAAAGAAAAUAAAAAGAGAAAACAAAAAUUACAGGAGAGGAGAGGCAAUGGUGCCAGAUGAAUUGUUGAACUUGCUCUGUGAUUGAGCCUCCACCACACUCCCUACGUACCGAAUUCAGUCACUACUUUUCGAAGUCUUACGUAAUAAAAAGACGAAGGAGCAAUGAAAGAGAAACCUGGCAUGGGAGAUAAGGCAUUCGGAAGGUUCCAUGGCGAGAAUUGCAGAGAGCAGUCGCUGGCUACAUGGGAGAGAGGGAUCCAACUCUUGCUCCAUCGCCACCUCCACACUGCAUCAACCUCCCCCGCCAUUCAAAAAAUGGGCCUUUUCACUGCAAACGCGGGCUUUCAAUGUUACUUCAAAAUUGGGCUGGGCCUCACACGUCUUACUAGACUCUCCCUUCGGUUUUUUCUUUACACACUCCCACAACUUUUGAAAUGGGCUUUUUAUAUUUCGGGAAAGUAACUUUUCUUCUGGAAUGGAACAAGCAUUUUUAAAUGUUCAGAACACGAUUUCUAAAAUAGAAUUUUUAGGAACAACCUUUUCAGAAUAUAUGAAUUGUAUUUUAGAACCAGCUUUCUGAAAUAAAAUUUCCAAGCUUUCAAGAACAUAUAUUUUAGAACAAACUUUCUAAAACAAAUUUUCAAAACAACCUUUUCGAAGCAUUAAAUGUUAGCUUCCAAAAUAACUUUUUGUGAACAAGCUUUCUCUCUUAGUUCUUGUUUACUUGAAUGGAUUUGAGAAAGAGUAAUUGAGAAGAUUUGAUGAUACAUUUUUUUUUGUUAUUUAUUUAAAUAAAUUUGGUAGUAAGUGAGAGUGAAUUUGAAAAUAAAUUUUUUUAAUCUGUCAUAUAAAUUAAAUCCUACCCUAAUUCUCACAAAUUUUACUUUCAAAUCUACCCUCACUUACCUCCAAAUUUAUUCAAAUAAACAACAAAAAAAUUUAUCAUCAAAUUCUCUCAAUUACUCUCCUCCAAAUCUACUCAAGUGAACAAUGCCUUAGUUUUCUUCUUCCUCUCAAAGAGGGUCGCGUCAUCAUUAUACUGCCUUAUUAUGAAGCACUAAUAGAGGUGGGCAAACUGCUCCAUAGUGUACUGCACUAUAAAAAAAUAUAAUUAACUAUAAACUAGUUUUAAAAAACUACACUGAACUAAAAAAUAGUUCAGAAUAACUGAACUGAACUAUUUUUUAGUUCACUUAAUCCAAUGCAGUUCAGUUAACUCUUUUUUAAUUAACUAUAUUUUAUUUGCCCAAUACAAAACCAUAAGAAGUGUCUUCUCAAAGAAGAAAAUGCAUGAUAAACAACUGUGGUAGAGAGAAAAAAUAGAUGAGAACGAGAGGUUUCCAUGAAUGAAGCAAAAUCCUACAGGCAAUAUAACAAAACCGCAAUACAAAUUUCAACCAUCAAACCCCAUCUCUAUUACAUCAAAAGGCAUCUUAAAACAGUGUUAUCCAUAGCUGAAUUAAAUAUAUAUUCUAAGACUUUUUGGGAGAUUUGGUAGGCUUAGAUGAAGAUUUAGGCUCCUUAUAAAUUUUAUCAGACUUCUUGGAAAGCAAAACCAGAUUAAUACCCGUAAGACAGCACAGAGAGGCAAAGGCCACCAACCACGAUGACAAGCCUUCGACGACGACGGACCACGAUGAGCCUUCAAUGGUGAACCACGACCACGAGCCUUCUAUUAAAAGGAUUAAAAAUUCUGAUGUAUUAUUUCAAAGAAUAGAGUACCAUAUAUAUACAUACAAGGAUCCUAUAAUCCUUCAUCUAUUAAAGGNNNNNNNNNNNNNNNNNNNNNNNNNNNNNNNNNNNNNNNNNNNNNNNNNNNNNNNNNNNNNNNNNNNNNNNNNNNNNNNNNNNNNNNNNNNNNNNNNNNNNNNNNNNNNNNNNNNNNNNNNNNNNNNNNNNNNNNNNNNNNNNNNNNNNNNNNNNNNNNNNNNNNNNNNNNNNNNNNNNNNNNNNNNNNNNNNNNNNNNNNNNNNNNNNNNNNNNNNNNNNNNNNNNNNNNNNNNNNNNNNNNNNNNNNNNNNNNNNNNNNNNNNNNNNNNNNNNNNNNNNNNNNNNNNNNNNNNNNNNNNNNNNNNNNNNNNNNNNNNNNNNNNNNNNNNNNNNNNNNNNNNNNNNNNNNNNNNNNNNNNNNNNNNNNNNNNNNNNNNNNNNNNNNNNNNNNNNNNNNNNNNNNNNNNNNNNNNNNNNNNNNNNNNNNNNNNNNNNNNNNNNNNNNNNNNNNNNNNNNNNNNNNNNNNNNNNNNNNNNNNNNNNNNNNNNNNNNNNNNNNNNNNNNNNNNNNNNNNNNNNNNNNNNNNNNNNNNNNNNNNNNNNNNNNNNNNNNNNNNNNNNNNNNNNNNNNNNNNNNNNNNNNNNNNNNNNNNNNNNNNNNNNNNNNNNNNNNNNNNNNNNNNNNNNNNNNNNNNNNNNNNNNNNNNNNNNNNNNNNNNNNNNNNNNNNNNNNNNNNNNNNNNNNNNNNNNNNNNNNNNNNNNNNNNNNNNNNNNNNNNNNNNNNNNNNNNNNNNNNNNNNNNNNNNNNNNNNNNNNNNNNNNNNNNNNNNNNNNNNNNNNNNNNNNNNNNNNNNNNNNNNNNNNNNNNNNNNNNNNNNNNNNNNNNNNNNNNNNNNNNNNNNNNNNNNNNNNNNNNNNNNNNNNNNNNNNNNNNNNNNNNNNNNNNNNNNNNNNNNNNNNNNNNNNNNNNNNNNNNNNNNNNNNNNNNNNNNNNNNNNNNNNNNNNNNNNNNNNNNNNNNNNNNNNNNNNNNNNNNNNNNNNNNNNNNNNNNNNNNNNNNNNNNNNNNNNNNNNNNNNNNNNNNNNNNNNNNNNNNNNNNNNNNNNNNNNNNNNNNNNNNNNNNNNNNNNNNNNNNNNNNNNNNNNNNNNNNNNNNNNNNNNNNNNNNNNNNNNNNNNNNNNNNNNNNNNNNNNNNNNNNNNNNNNNNNNNNNNNNNNNNNNNNNNNNNNNNNNNNNNNNNNNNNNNNNNNNNNNNNNNNNNNNNNNNNNNNNNNNNNNNNNNNNNNNNNNNNNNNNNNNNNNNNNNNNNNNNNNNNNNNNNNNNNNNNNNNNNNNNNNNNNNNNNNNNNNNNNNNNNNNNNNNNNNNNNNNNNNNNNNNNNNNNNNNNNNNNNNNNNNNNNNNNNNNNNNNNNNNNNNNNNNNNNNNNNNNNNNNNNNNNNNNNNNNNNNNNNNNNNNNNNNNNNNNNNNNNNNNNNNNNNNNNNNNNNNNNNNNNNNNNNNNNNNNNNNNNNNNNNNNNNNNNNNNNNNNNNNNNNNNNNNNNNNNNNNNNNNNNNNNNNNNNNNNNNNNNNNNNNNNNNNNNNNNNNNNNNNNNNNNNNNNNNNNNNNNNNNNNNNNNNNNNNNNNNNNNNNNNNNNNNNNNNNNNNNNNNNNNNNNNNNNNNNNNNNNNNNNNNNNNNNNNNNNNNNNNNNNNNNNNNNNNNNNNNNNNNNNNNNNNNNNNNNNNNNNNNNNNNNNNNNNNNNNNNNNNNNNNNNNNNNNNNNNNNNNNNNNNNNNNNNNNNNNNNNNNNNNNNNNNNNNNNNNNNNNNNNNNNNNNNNNNNNNNNNNNNNNNNNNNNNNNNNNNNNNNNNNNNNNNNNNNNNNNNNNNNNNNNNNNNNNNNNNNNNNNNNNNNNNNNNNNNNNNNNNNNNNNNNNNNNNNNNNNNNNNNNNNNNNNNNNNNNNNNNNNNNNNNNNNNNNNNNNNNNNNNNNNNNNNNNNNNNNNNNNNNNNNNNNNNNNNNNNNNNNNNNNNNNNNNNNNNNNNNNNNNNNNNNNNNNNNNNNNNNNNNNNNNNNNNNNNNNNNNNNNNNNNNNNNNNNNNNNNNNNNNNNNNNNNNNNNNNNNNNNNNNNNNNNNNNNNNNNNNNNNNNNNNNNNNNNNNNNNNNNNNNNNNNNNNNNNNNNNNNNNNNNNNNNNNNNNNNNNNNNNNNNNNNNNNNNNNNNNNNNNNNNNNNNNNNNNNNNNNNNNNNNNNNNNNNNNNNNNNNNNNNNNNNNNNNNNNNNNNNNNNNNNNNNNNNNNNNNNNNNNNNNNNNNNNNNNNNNNNNNNNNNNNNNNNNNNNNNNNNNNNNNNNNNNNNNNNNNNNNNNNNNNNNNNNNNNNNNNNNNNNNNNNNNNNNNNNNNNNNNNNNNNNNNNNNNNNNNNNNNNNNNNNNNNNNNNNNNNNNNNNNNNNNNNNNNNNNNNNNNNNNNNNNNNNNNNNNNNNNNNNNNNNNNNNNNNNNNNNNNNNNNNNNNNNNNNNNNNNNNNNNNNNNNNNNNNNNNNNNNNNNNNNNNNNNNNNNNNNNNNNNNNNNNNNNNNNNNNNNNNNNNNNNNNNNNNNNNNNNNNNNNNNNNNNNNNNNNNNNNNNNNNNNNNNNNNNNNNNNNNNNNNNNNNNNNNNNNNNNNNNNNNNNNNNNNNNNNNNNNNNNNNNNNNNNNNNNNNNNNNNNNNNNNNNNNNNNNNNNNNNNNNNNNNNNNNNNNNNNNNNNNNNNNNNNNNNNNNNNNNNNNNNNNNNNNNNNNNNNNNNNNNNNNNNNNNNNNNNNNNNNNNNNNNNNNNNNNNNNNNNNNNNNNNNNNNNNNNNNNNNNNNNNNNNNNNNNNNNNNNNNNNNNNNNNNNNNNNNNNNNNNNNNNNNNNNNNNNNNNNNNNNNNNNNNNNNNNNNNNNNNNNNNNNNNNNNNNNNNNNNNNNNNNNNNNNNNNNNNNNNNNNNNNNNNNNNNNNNNNNNNNNNNNNNNNNNNNNNNNNNNNNNNNNNNNNNNNNNNNNNNNNNNNNNNNNNNNNNNNNNNNNNNNNNNNNNNNNNNNNNNNNNNNNNNNNNNNNNNNNNNNNNNNNNNNNNNNNNNNNNNNNNNNNNNNNNNNNNNNNNNNNNNNNNNNNNNNNNNNNNNNNNNNNNNNNNNNNNNNNNNNNNNNNNNNNNNNNNNNNNNNNNNNNNNNNNNNNNNNNNNNNNNNNNNNNNNNNNNNNNNNNNNNNNNNNNNNNNNNNNNNNNNNNNNNNNNNNNNNNNNNNNNNNNNNNNNNNNNNNNNNNNNNNNNNNNNNNNNNNNNNNNNNNNNNNNNNNNNNNNNNNNNNNNNNNNNNNNNNNNNNNNNNNNNNNNNNNNNNNNNNNNNNNNNNNNNNNNNNNNNNNNNNNNNNNNNNNNNNNNNNNNNNNNNNNNNNNNNNNNNNNNNNNNNNNNNNNNNNNNNNNNNNNNNNNNNNNNNNNNNNNNNNNNNNNNNNNNNNNNNNNNNNNNNNNNNNNNNNNNNNNNNNNNNNNNNNNNNNNNNNNNNNNNNNNNNNNNNNNNNNNNNNNNNNNNNNNNNNNNNNNGUGUUAGGUUCCUUUACUCAAGGAACGUAACAGAUGAACAAUCCACACACACACUCCCAACAGUAAGAAAGAAAGGUAUGAAUAUAAACUGUAUUUAUCUGUAAAAGUAUGGAUGAAUAGUAAACAAAAAGAGUAUUUCCCAAGGAAGCCUCCCUUCCUCCACUGGAAUCACGCUCCAAUCUCUACCUAAAAGGCACCCAAAGAUAAGAUCCCCUCUCCCUAUUCUGAUUCUUAUUUAUUCUCUCUCUCUUCUAACAACUCGUAACCCACCUUGCUCCUAACACGUGUUUGUCUCACCCCUAUGUGUUUGCCUUGCUCCCUACUCUCCUUACACGUGUUUAGCUGACUCCUCUUUUAUUCUUCCUUGUAUAAACCUUUAAUGGUCUAACAUUACCCUCCUCCCCAACAUCAACCUUGUCCUCAAGGUUGAAGUGAGGGAACUGCUGGCGGAUGUAGUGUUCUUCUUCCCAUGUAGCCCCUUCAACAUCAUCCUUCUGCCAUUGUAUUAAGACUUGGGGUAUCACCUUCCCCAGUUCCUGCUGGUUCCUGCGUUGAAGCACUUUCAGAGGAGUGUAAGUGUGUCUAUCCUCCUGCAAAUCAUUUGGCAAAACUUCCUCCACCUUAUGAUCUCCUACCGCUAGUUUCAAUUGAGAAACAUGAAACACAGGAUGUAUUCUUGAAGAUUCUGGUAACUGCAGCCUAAAUGCAACAGAUCCUAUUUGUUUUUCCACCAAAAACGGCCCAUAAUAUCUUGCUGAAAGUUUGGGAUGCAGUGUUGUAGGCAUAGAUGCUCGUCUAUGAGGUCUGAUUUUAAGGAAUACCAAAUCGCCUUCCUUGAUUUUGGUCGCCACCCUCUUCUUAUUAGCAUGAUGAGUCAUCUGAUCCUGAGCCCGUGCCAAGUGAUAUUUCAAUUGCUACAAUGCCUCAUCACGGGUUUGCAAAUCCUGAGCAACUGCAUCCACCACCGUUUCUCCUGGUAUGUAACGUGUCAAUGUAGGAGGAGGUCUUCCAUACACCGUUUCAAAGGGAGUGCAUUUGGUCGCGCCUUGGUACGUGGUGUUAUACCAAUAUUCAGCCCAAGGUAACACCAAGCUCCAACUCUUGGGUUGUUCGGAGCUGAAACAGCGCAGAUAAGUUCCCAACACCCUGUUCAAAACUUCCAUCUAGCCAUCUGUCUCUGGGUGAUAGGCUAUGCUCAUCCUGAGUUGUGUACCCUGUAAACGAAAAAUCUCUUGCCAAAAUACACUCAUUAAAGUCGAAUCUCUAUCACUAAAAAUGGUUACCGGUAUCCCAUGAAGUAUAAUCACUUCCUUCACAAACACCUCCGCUAUGGAUCGAGCUGUAUAAGGGUGUUUAAUUGCAAUAAAAUGUCCAUACUUGCUGAGCCUGUCCACCACCACUAAUAUAGUAUCAAAUCCAUGAGACUUGGGUAGUUUCACUAUAAAAUCCAUACUGAUCUCCUCCCAUAUUGCUUGUGGUAUAGGCAGGGGUUGUAAAAGUCCUUGGGGAUAUGCUGCUAGAUAUUUGUGCUGUUGACAUACUAAACAUGCAGCCACAAAAUCCGUAAUUGUUUUCUUCAUUCCCACCCAGUGUAAUGAUUGCCCCAUUCUUCUGUAGGUUUGGUAGACCCCCGAAUGUCCUCCAGUUACCCCACUAUGAAAGUCAGCUAUAAUCUUUGGUAUCCAAACCGAAUGUGGGGAUAAAACCAGCCGCCCUUUGUAGUGUAAUCUGCCAUGCUCCAGAGUGUAUGCAGGGUGGGACUCUGGAUCUGUUCUUAUAUCUGUUAACACCUUGCUGAGGUUCUCAUCCUUCUCCACCUCUUCCAUGAUCUCUUUAAAAUCAGCCCAGUAUGGCUUGGAUAUCAUCCCUAACAUCUUUUCUUCUUCUUCCCACUCUGCUCCUUUUCGUGAAAGUCCAUCUGCCACACAAUUAGAUGCUCCUGUCCUAUAUUUUAUCUCAAAUUCAUAUCCAAGGAGUUUAGCUAGCCAAUUUUGCUGACUUUGGGUAGUUAUCUGUUGUUCUAGUAAGUGCUUCAAGCUCUUUUGAUCAGUAAAAACCAUAAAUUUUUGGCCCAAUAAGUAUGGCCUCCAAUGUUGUAUAGCAAGCACCAAUGCCAUCAAUUCCUUUUCAUAGAUGGAUUUGGUUAAAGAUGAUUCUGAUAAAGCCUUACUAAAGAAAGCUAUGGGUUUAUUUCUCUGUGACAGCACUGCUCCCACUCCAUUCCCCGAUGCAUCACACUCUACACAAAAUGUUUGAUCAAAGUCAGGCAGAAUCAAAACUGGAGNUGUUGUUACCGCCUCUUUCAGUUUCUUCAUGGCUUCGGAUCCUGCUACCGUCCACUUAAACAUCCCCUUCUUNAGCAAUUCAGUGAGGGGUCUUGCCAUCUUCCCAUAGUCACGGAUAAAUCUUCUGUAAUACCCAGUCAAACCUAAAAAACCUCGUAACUCCUUGAUAGUCUUAGGUUNUGGCCAAUCUAACACUGCUGCAACCUUAUCUCUAUCCAUCUCAACCCCUGCUGCCGAUAUCUUAUGCCCCAGAUAUUUCACCUGUCUUUUGCCAAAUUCACAUUUCUUCUUAUUGGCAUAGAGUUUGUGCUCAUUUAACACCUUUAAGACUUGCACCAAAUGUUGUGAAUGUUCAUCCCAUGUCUUGCUAUAGACAAGAAUGUCAUCAAAGAAUACCAAUACGAAUUUCCUUAGAAAGGAUCUCAAAACCGAGUUCAUNNNNNNNNNNNNNNNNNNNNNNNNNNNNNNNNNNNNNNNNNNNNNNNNNNNNNNNNNNNNNNNNNNNNNNNNNNNNNNNNNNNNNNNNNNNNNNNNNNNNNNNNNNNNNNNNNNNNNNNNNNNNNNNNNNNNNNNNNNNNNNNNNNNNNNNNNNNNNNNNNNNNNNNNNNNNNNNNNNNNNNNNNNNNNNNNNNNNNNNNNNNNNNNNNNNNNNNNNNNNNNNNNNNNNNNNNNNNNNNNNNNNNNNNNNNNNNNNNNNNNNNNNNNNNNNNNNNNNNNNNNNNNNNNNNNNNNNNNNNNNNNNNNNNNNNNNNNNNNNNNNNNNNNNNNNNNNNNNNNNNNNNNNNNNNNNNNNNNNNNNNNNNNNNNNNNNNNNNNNNNNNNNNNNNNNNNNNNNNNNNNNNNNNNNNNNNNNNNNNNNNNNNNNNNNNNNNNNNNNNNNNNNNNNNNNNNNNNNNNNNNNNNNNNNNNNNNNNNNNNNNNNNNNNNNNNNNNNNNNNNNNNNNNNNNNNNNNNNNNNNNNNNNNNNNNNNNNNNNNNNNNNNNNNNNNNNNNNNNNNNNNNNNNNNNNNNNNNNNNNNNNNNNNNNNNNNNNNNNNNNNNNNNNNNNNNNNNNNNNNNNNNNNNNNNNNNNNNNNNNNNNNNNNNNNNNNNNNNNNNNNNNNNNNNNNNNNNNNNNNNNNNNNNNNNNNNNNNNNNNNNNNNNNNNNNNNNNNNNNNNNNNNNNNNNNNNNNNNNNNNNNNNNNNNNNNNNNNNNNNNNNNNNNNNNNNNNNNNNNNNNNNNNNNNNNNNNNNNNNNNNNNNNNNNNNNNNNNNNNNNNNNNNNNNNNNNNNNNNNNNNNNNNNNNNNNNNNNNNNNNNNNNNNNNNNNNNNNNNNNNNNNNNNNNNNNNNNNNNNNNNNNNNNNNNNNNNNNNNNNNNNNNNNNNNNNNNNNNNNNNNNNNNNNNNNNNNNNNNNNNNNNNNNNNNNNNNNNNNNNNNNNNNNNNNNNNNNNNNNNNNNNNNNNNNNNNNNNNNNNNNNNNNNNNNNNNNNNNNNNNNNNNNNNNNNNNNNNNNNNNNNNNNNNNNNNNNNNNNNNNNNNNNNNNNNNNNNNNNNNNNNNNNNNNNNNNNNNNNNNNNNNNNNNNNNNNNNNNNNNNNNNNNNNNNNNNNNNNNNNNNNNNNNNNNNNNNNNNNNNNNNNNNNNNNNNNNNNNNNNNNNNNNNNNNNNNNNNNNNNNNNNNNNNNNNNNNNNNNNNNNNNNNNNNNNNNNNNNNNNNNNNNNNNNNNNNNNNNNNNNNNNNNNNNNNNNNNNNNNNNNNNNNNNNNNNNNNNNNNNNNNNNNNNNNNNNNNNNNNNNNNNNNNNNNNNNNNNNNNNNNNNNNNNNNNNNNNNNNNNNNNNNNNNNNNNNNNNNNNNNNNNNNNNNNNNNNNNNNNNNNNNNNNNNNNNNNNNNNNNNNNNNNNNNNNNNNNNNNNNNNNNNNNNNNNNNNNNNNNNNNNNNNNNNNNNNNNNNNNNNNNNNNNNNNNNNNNNNNNNNNNNNNNNNNNNNNNNNNNNNNNNNNNNNNNNNNNNNNNNNNNNNNNNNNNNNNNNNNNNNNNNNNNNNNNNNNNNNNNNNNNNNNNNNNNNNNNNNNNNNNNNNNNNNNNNNNNNNNNNNNNNNNNNNNNNNNNNNNNNNNNNNNNNNNNNNNNNNNNNNNNNNNNNNNNNNNNNNNNNNNNNNNNNNNNNNNNNNNNNNNNNNNNNNNNNNNNNNNNNNNNNNNNNNNNNNNNNNNNNNNNNNNNNNNNNNNNNNNNNNNNNNNNNNNNNNNNNNNNNNNNNNNNNNNNNNNNNNNNNNNNNNNNNNNNNNNNNNNNNNNNNNNNNNNNNNNNNNNNNNNNNNNNNNNNNNNNNNNNNNNNNNNNNNNNNNNNNNNNNNNNNNNNNNNNNNNNNNNNNNNNNNNNNNNNNNNNNNNNNNNNNNNNNNNNNNNNNNNNNNNNNNNNNNNNNNNNNNNNNNNNNNNNNNNNNNNNNNNNNNNNNNNNNNNNNNNNNNNNNNNNNNNNNNNNNNNNNNNNNNNNNNNNNNNNNNNNNNNNNNNNNNNNNNNNNNNNNNNNNNNNNNNNNNNNNNNNNNNNNNNNNNNNNNNNNNNNNNNNNNNNNNNNNNNNNNNNNNNNNNNNNNNNNNNNNNNNNNNNNNNNNNNNNNNNNNNNNNNNNNNNNNNNNNNNNNNNNNNNNNNNNNNNNNNNNNNNNNNNNNNNNNNNNNNNNNNNNNNNNNNNNNNNNNNNNNNNNNNNNNNNNNNNNNNNNNNNNNNNNNNNNNNNNNNNNNNNNNNNNNNNNNNNNNNNNNNNNNNNNNNNNNNNNNNNNNNNNNNNNNNNNNNNNNNNNNNNNNNNNNNNNNNNNNNNNNNNNNNNNNNNNNNNNNNNNNNNNNNNNNNNNNNNNNNNNNNNNNNNNNNNNNNNNNNNNNNNNNNNNNNNNNNNNNNNNNNNNNNNNNNNNNNNNNNNNNNNNNNNNNNNNNNNNNNNNNNNNNNNNNNNNNNNNNNNNNNNNNNNNNNNNNNNNNNNNNNNNNNNNNNNNNNNNNNNNNNNNNNNNNNNNNNNNNNNNNNNNNNNNNNNNNNNNNNNNNNNNNNNNNNNNNNNNNNNNNNNNNNNNNNNNNNNNNNNNNNNNNNNNNNNNNNNNNNNNNNNNNNNNNNNNNNNNNNNNNNNNNNNNNNNNNNNNNNNNNNNNNNNNNNNNNNNNNNNNNNNNNNNNNNNNNNNNNNNNNNNNNNNNNNNNNNNNNNNNNNNNNNNNNNNNNNNNNNNNNNNNNNNNNNNNNNNNNNNNNNNNNNNNNNNNNNNNNNNNNNNNNNNNNNNNNNNNNNNNNNNNNNNNNNNNNNNNNNNNNNNNNNNNNNNNNNNNNNNNNNNNNNNNNNNNNNNNNNNNNNNNNNNNNNNNNNNNNNNNNNNNNNNNNNNNNNNNNNNNNNNNNNNNNNNNNNNNNNNNNNNNNNNNNNNNNNNNNNNNNNNNNNNNNNNNNNNNNNNNNNNNNNNNNNNNNNNNNNNNNNNNNNNNNNNNNNNNNNNNNNNNNNNNNNNNNNNNNNNNNNNNNNNNNNNNNNNNNNNNNNNNNNNNNNNNNAUUGCCUAAUAUCCUUUAAUAGAAUAUUUGACAUAUCUUAACACCUUCAACGGCAGCAAGCUUUCAACUUCAGAAAGGAAUGUAAUUGGACGUAAGAAACGGGGAGAAAAUUGUGAUAAUGAAUGAGUUAAACCACACAAUUAACAGUUAAUUGUGUUAAGUGUACAGUUAGUUCAAUAAUUUUAAACCGAACUGUUAAAUAGUGCAAUUGGUUUUUAGUAAAUAUAGUUUCAGUUUCUUAAGUACAAAAUAUUAUAGAUAAACUAUAAUUUAUAGUUUUAUCUGAAGUGUGCCCAGCCCUAAGCACUAACCAUGAAUAAAAUUGAAGUUAAAAAAAAAAAAAAAGAGUAGAACAUAUGUGAUAACCCCAAAAGGCCCUCUUUGAUAGUAUACAUAAAAUACAAAUGAACCAUGAAGCUUGAAUGCGUCAUAUACCUAUCCUUGAACAUCACAGACCAUUAAUAAGAGCUUGACUGACAUUUAGAAUUACAAUGAGCUAUUGCUUUGAAGACACGAGCACAUAAAGAAUCAAAUAAUGAUAGCAAUAAAUACAACAGGGUGUCUAGAACUUGAGCUUAAGUAGGAAGGGCAUUUUGUCUGAGAAAGGAGGAUCGGAGUACUUUCCGGUGAGAAUUUGUGAUGCUACAUAUUGAUUAGCAGUCUCAGUGUAAUGAAUCCCAUCCCAGCUUAUGUACUCACUAGAAUCAUUGCAAGCUUGUGCUGUGAUUGUGGUUCCGUUGAAGGUCUUUGUUUCCCCACAGGAAACUCGACUAUCAUAGUUGAGGGGUGGACCUCCGAAUCCACAACAAGCCAUAAUAGGUUGUUCAAACCCUGCAAAGAUGCAAUCAUACAAAUUAACUGCCUUUCCUCCCCACAAAUUAUGUUAUGAUAGAUCAUAGAAUAGAAUGUGACACUGUUAUUAUGACUGAUAAGGGUCCUUAAUGAGCCAAUAAAUUGAACAGGCUUAUAGCCUUUUCUAACUACAUUGAAGUAUAUCUCCUGUAAAUACUAGCCUGAUCCAUGGGGGAAAAGGUAAGUACUAACAAAAGAAAGCAACAAAUCAACAAAAAUAAAUUUCCUGGAAUAGUUAUAUAAUGUUGCAUUUUCAGCAAAAGUGAUAAGUGAUGACAAAGCCAUCUGAGAAAUUUUAGCUACACAUUUUAAAAUCUAAAAUUGAGCUUAAUACUCUUGGAAUUGUAGAACUGAAACGUGGAAAGUAAAUAAAAAUUACUCGGAGAUGCUAACCGUAUCUGGAAAAGUUUGAAAUCAGAUUUGAUUUUAUAGAGAAGAUAUCCACGUAUGUGACAUUCGAGUCUGGAUAUUGGCCCUGCAAUUUAGUACAGAGAGCGUGUAGCUGUAGGUUAAAGAUUUUAGCAGCUUGGUUGUGUGAACUAACACAUCCCAGUUCGUCAAGUUUUGAUGCAUCAGUUCCAAAUUUGGCAAUGUUCUGAGGCAAGCAUCCAAGAGGCCCUGUAUUAUGUAUCCAGAAAUAUCUAGCCCCCUGGUCAUAGAGAUUCUAGUGGACAAUUAAAGAGUUAGAACUCCUUUGUAUUAAUCUCAGUAAAACUGUGCAUAUAGCCUAUGGAUGCAUAAAUUCAAGAAAGUUUUGGAAUAAAAUUUUCCCAAACAUUAAAUGAAAAUAGAAGCAUGUUAUUUGACACCAACCUUUAUUCCCUUUUCAAGCUCUAAAAGAAUUGCCGGAAUUGAGGCAAGUAUUUGGUCCAAAGUUUUUGAAUAAAAUGCUCCAGCAAGAUCAUUCUGGCCAAUGUCAAACAUGUACAAUCCCUUCUCGAAAAUAUUCUCAUCUGGGACGUACUUAUCAAAUUUCCUGCCUGAAACAUUGUGAUGUUUUUUUUUUUUUUUUAACACGAAUGAAUGAGUUAUGAAACUGACAGCAAAUCAGUUGUGCCGCAGAAGUAGUAUAGCAAAAUUCAAUUUUGAAAACAUUACAUAAAUUUAGCAGAGAUAAAACAUGGAAUUUAAUUUCAAUAAUUUGUAUAAGAAAGAUUCUAAUCAAAGAUCAACAUAUAUUACCGAUAAGAAAUUCACUAAAAGUAUUAAGGAACCAUAUGCUAAUCUUGUGCUUUGGCAGAUACCUUUGGCUAUCAAUUCAAGGGCCCUAGCUUUGAAUCGGAGGAACUGAGACACCUGAACCCCAAAGGAAAAGGGGCAGAGGGAAGAUGAAGUGGCUGGGAGGAUAGUUGCAGCUGCUGCAGCAAAGUUGCAUCCUUUCCUAAAAUUUGGCAAACCCAAAGAAUCCAGGUAGGCAUUUAGGAAUGGCAAGUCCAUAGCAUCCACUGCAAUAAAAAACCAACAACACAUGGAACAAUAAGUGAAAGAGUUGUUUAUAGGGAAGAGGGAGACCUAAACUUCUACUUGGGAUCAUGAUGUGAAGGAAGAAAACAGAGGGCAUUGCAAAAAUGAGGUUAUGGAGAUUUAUUACUAAGGAAAUCGAUGAUGAGACGGCCAUCAGAGUAUCUUCCCGAUGGUAUUUGGAAGUAAGUUUGUCCAUUUGGAGGGUAAAGGCUCUCAAAACCAGCGGCAAUAAGAGCACCGGUAUCAGAAUUUGAAUCACCAAAGUUGAAAACUGUUGGAAAAUCCAACUGGAAGGAUAUGGCACAAGGUAUGCAGAUGGCAAUGAGGUAAAGAAUCUGAAGGGUACAAGUGUUGGUUGCCAUAGCUAUUGACUACUAUUGUAAGGAGAGGUUUUUAUCCCUCCCAGCUUUGCUUCAGUUUCAAACUUCUGCCAUUAGUUAGUUUUCCAUCUGAUAUUUGUUUGUUUGGUUGGUGCGUAUAACUUAUAUUGAAAGUAAGUCAUUCUUUUGAAUCAAUAGCAAUAUAAUCAAUCAAUGUACUAAAUUUCAGUGGGUGAUAAAGAUAAACUUUUAUUUAAAGACAUUAAUUUUUAUGUACUCAACCGAUUAAAUAUUUAAAUUAUUUUAUCCUUAGUACUGAAUUGUAUUAUUCGGACUGAGAGAACGCUUGUGUUAACCAACUUUAAUAACUAAAAAUUGAUAUUUGGAUAACAAUACUAUUUAUUAUAAUUAAAAUCAAAAUCAAAUUCCUGUGUAGCAUUUUGAUUUUCAUCAAUAAUUAAUAUAAAAACAUUAUAAUUUUCUCAUAAACUUAAAUCUAAUAAAUAAAAUAAAAUAUUUUGGUCUUUUUUUAUUAUACACACACACACACUUUUUAACAGAAACAAAUUCAGCUUGUUGCACAUGUAACUUUGUAUUGAUAUAUUAUUAAAAAAAAUUAUAUUUCAUAUAAUUAUGAGUUUUAUCAAAUUAUUUCAAUGAUGUAAUAAUACGUUAAAGGAUAAAUUAUUUCAAUGUAAACUAAAUAUAAUAAACCAAAACAAAAAAUUAGUAAAGACAAAAAUCAGAUCGUUUUCAUAAUAUUGACAGCCAACUAAAUAGGAGAAUUGGCAGAAAGCUGAAGAAGAAAGCAAAAGGUUAAGAUGAAUCAAUCUCCUAAAAUUGAUGCUACGUAUUGGGAGGCUAGUUAGUUCGGGGAAAACAAAGAAGCCGGUAACUAUUUAUCGUGUAGCACCUGAGCUUAAUUCUUUUGGCGUAUAAUGUUAUACUAUUUUUUUUCCAUAGUAAUUUAUGUUUCAUGCUUGAAAGCUUUCUGAGUAAUGGUUAUUGCAACAAUUAUAAAUAAUAUAACAUUAAGGUAUAAAUAAAAAUUACUUAGGAAGUCCACUAUGAGACGGCCGUCGCAGAACCUCCCAGAUGGAAUUUUGAAGUAAUCCUGUCCAUUAGGUGGCGCAACCUGAAAGCCCAACCCUGCAGCCAAGUCUCCUGUGUCCGAGUUAGAAUCACCGAAGUUGAAAACUGCUGGGUAUUUGAACUCCGCCGAAUUUGACAUAGCUAAACACAUGGAAACUAAGACAAAAUGAAAAAAUACAUUCUUGGAAGCCAUGGCACGUUUUCACCUGUGUCCAAUGGAACCAACUACCAACUUGAUAAGUUGAUACCAAUUAUAGCGCUGUUACACUGCGAUCAUAGAAAAUGAUUCCGUGCCUUUUAUAUAUGCACGCCCCAUUGGUUGCUUCAAAGAGCUAACGUGAAGUCUUAUCUAAUAAACAAUAAGACCCUUGCUUUAGAUGGUGGAUAAGUAAAUGAAAGCCAAAAGGAAAAUGUUCCUUAUGUUAAAAUUACCAUGCUAUCCUUAUGUUACUACGGUCAACCGCUAUUAUAUUAAGUGAUUAGCGCAAUCCAGUGAGUGCAAUGCAGGUCCUAAAUCGUUCCCUUAAGAGACCUAAACUCAUAUUGGAACUUGGCCCCGAAAAAUAAUUGCCCCAGGGAGGGAAAGAGAACGCUGGGAAAACGAUAGAAAUGGUAACGGAAACUUGGGAAAGCAUUAAUACAAAAGCAAGGAGAUGAUUUUUUCCUUGCGAGGGAUUGCACGCUUGUGGCUUGAAUUGCAUUUCCACGGGAUUGUAUUGCUUCACCUCGUAAUCAUCGGCUACCCACGGAGAACCUUUACAUUUUACACUUCUCAAUAAACAUUCCUAAGCAAGAUUCCUGACGGUCGAUAAUCUGAUAUUGAUAACGGAUAAUGUCAGCUGUUCCCCUUCUGUUGAAAUAAUUCUGCAUUAUAAGGAAGAUUACAGUGCCUGGAUCCACCGCAGUCAAAAUACCUGCAACCAAUGACGUGACGCAACAUAGAACCUUACAUAUACAUUCAUCUAUCCAAGGGCCAAGGCUCAUGCUGCACGUUAUUGAUUGAACUGCUGUGUCUUAUUGUUAGAAAUCCUCUCUAUUGAAAUUUAACAUGAUAUUGAACCCAGCUCGUUCAUCCAUAAUUUUUUUUAAUGAUUCAUCCAUAAUUUUAACACUAGUUUAUAGUAGUAUGCCGUUCAUCCAGAUUACAUAGCAUACUAGAAACCAGUUCAAAAAUCGCAAUCAGGAAAUCCAGUGCCUCCUACCCUUAAGCUGCAUAGCUAUUGUGUUGCUUACGACAGUGUAAAAAUCAAGACGAAUUGAAGCAGUUCAAAUGGUCCAUACUUUUAUUGGCUACUUGUGAAUUUAUGGAUCAACUGUGCUAAAAUGGUUGAAUUCAUAAAGAGAGGUGUCAGGAAACAGCCAUCAAUGGCAAAUUAUUAUUCAUAUAAAACAAUUUUCGGGUUAAACAUAGGCUCACUAACAAUGCUAUCGAUUGUGAUACGAUAUAUGAAUUGGCCAUCAAAUCAUAUAUUAUGCUAUUAGCCAGCCCCCAAAAUGUCCAACAGUAAGUGAAUCAGCAUGUGGCAUCUUUAUUAUUUCUAUGCAUUAUUUUGAUAGUACUUAAAGGCCCCACUGCGGCAAGGCAUCAUAUACGAAUGAGUAGUCACUGCCAGCAUCUUGGAGAAGUGUAACCCGACCAACGAAGAAAGAAAGUCAGGAUACCUGAAAUCAUAUUCUGAAAAAUGGAACUAUUCUCUGCUCCCUUGUAUAAUAGAGAAUCCGUGGAGGCAUCAACUUUGGCCCUGAGAAUGCUAUUCUCCCUUUUAAGCUGUGAAAUUAUAUGUGCGACAAUAAAUAUUAUGUGUUGUUCAUACAGCAUUUUUUAGAAGCUUUUAACUUUACUACAGAUAAACAGGUUUUAACGUACGGUUGGUUGCAGAGUUUCGAAGAAAAAGGGAAAGAUGGUAAAUUUUUAUUUUUAGAGUAAAUGGUAUAAAGUGUUCAUAAAUUUAGGAAAAGACUAAGAAAACAAGUUUAUUACUCUGUCACUUUUUUAUUCCGUUUUCGCAUUUUAACCAAGCCUAGUAUCUGGUAAACAAAAAGUGCCCAAAAGGUUGGAAGUGACCGAAACAGUGCUAUCUGUUGUGAGAAAAAGAUUAUCGCGCAUUUUUGUCUUACCUCGUCAACAGUAGCUGUAAGCUUUUCCAUGGCUGCUUGCAGCAAGGAUAUCACCUGUAAAGUGAGGUCAUCUAUGUCUGACUCCUCUUCAACAGAUGAAAGGUCAAAGAGAAUGCCCUCUUGUAUGAACAAUUCCUCUAGGAACUUCACAUCUUCAACAUUAAAUUUCUCCGUCAACUGUAUUAACAUAAAUUUUAUUACGAAUUCUAAUUAGAAAGGGAUUUUACAACAAUAUUCUCACCUUGUUCAAAACUCUAGCGCUUGAGUCGUCGUCAGGUGGAGAAGCAGUACUAGAACUUGUGUCACUUUUUUCUUCACUGUAAUUCAUUCGAGGCGACGCCUUUAUAUGUUUCGCCCUGCAAUUCGCAUUUUAAAAUAGAAAUUUAAUUGGGUGAAUAUUUAUUUUAACUCUUUUCUUCAUUAAAGAUGGUCGUGAUUGUGUGUAAAGCUUGUCGAAAAAAAAGUUCGUGAGAACUAAACAAGAUUGGAUUUAUUUGAAUUUUUCUUUUGGGAAAAUUUAUCUUCUACCUUAACCAAAUUAUUUCAACAAAAUUCUUAUUAGCUUAGGUAUAAUAUAACUCUCAUAAUGGGUCGGUCUGAUGGACUAGUCCAAAACGUUUCAAGUAAACAUUAAAGAUUUCGUUUUGCACCCCUAUAAUUUCUUUCGGCAUCUCAUAAAUAUGAAAACUUUUAGCUUACAGUUGAGUAAAUGACUUUUGUGUAAUCUAUAAGUUUUUUAAACAAGGAAGGAUCACAACGGUGGAGACUAAGAGCACUUUUGACUUUUACACCCCCUCAAUGAGGUAUAGGAAGAAAUAUCCUAACAUAAUAUUAGACUCAAGAAAUAUAACCUAAAUAUAUUCAGAUUUUUGGCCCAUAUCAUACAAACUAAUGGUCGGCCCACGUGCUUGUAAGUAGACUCAAGUAGUACGUAUAAUAUUUUUGGUCAAAUUCUUACUACACCUCCAUAUUUUUCAUCCUACACAUCCAUGCAUAUUAAAAUUUUAGCUUUGCCAUUUUCUAAUUGUACAGACUGAAAAUUAAAAAUGACUUGUGAUUUAUACAAAAUUAAAAAUAACUUCUGAUUUAUACAAAUUGGAAGUCAAAAUUGACUUCUGAAUAGAUUUUUUGGAGUUCGAUUGAGUGUAUUUCAAAGUUUUUUCAUAAUGAAUUUGUUGUUAUCAUGUUUCAAAAUUUAAUUUAAUGUCUUAUUUGAUAUUUUAUGUUUUGAAACUUUAUUUGAGAAUUAACUUAUAUGUUUGAAUGAAUUUUUGUAUUGAACAAUAAUUGACAAAAAUUGCUAGUUGAACCGAAUAUACAUUAUUUGGUUGGGUAAAAAUCACAGUCCAAUAAAAAAAAAUUGUCUUGCCAUAUUUGACAGUCAUAUUAGUUUUCUCAUUUUGACUGCUUUUUUUUAGGUCUAGAUUAACAAACAUUAGUUGGAUUAAGUUGAAUAAAUUGGAAAAAUAAUACAUUAAAUAAGUUCUUUUAGCCUUUGAAUAACUUUGAAAACAAAAAAUCAUUAAUUUUAUUGCUCAAUAUUUAAUAAAAGUAUUAGUUUGAUUUUGACAAUUAUUUUAUUACUUUUAACAUGUUAACAUUAAUUUUAAUAAUGCUACAAGUUACUAUACCUACAGAUAUAUAUUAAAUACUUAUAUGUCAUUAUUUAAUUCAAGAAUAAUAAAAUUAUGUCAUAGCAACAUUAGUAUAUUUAUUAAAUGUUGAUAUUACAAAUACUAAAUUUUUUUAAUAAAUAUAACAUAUGAUUCAUGUAAAAUUAAUGUAUACCUGACUCAACAUCACCGUCUUUACCAGUAAUAUUAACAUGUUGUUUACGUGUACUAUUGUGAUACAAAAGAAAUUUCGCAUUCCCUUUUUGGAAUAAAAUUAAAAACCAUGUUAUAUCACCUGUAUUUCAUUAUUUAAAGUAUUAAAUAUAGAAGAAAAUAGACACAUUUGUAAAAUAAUUUUGUAGCCAUUUAAUAAAACUAAAAUCACAGCAUAUAUUAUUUUUCCUAAUAACUAAAUGACAUAAAUCAAAUGUUUCCGUUAUUUUAAUCUAAGAACGUUUAUAAUAUAAAAGUCUUAAAAAGAUUAUUAUGAGUUCUUAUUAUAUUUAAUUGAGUUUUGGUAUAUUACAUUGUCUUUUAAUAAAGUUUACAAUUAAAAUAGUGAGAUUUAAAAAUAAUACACAUUUGUACAAAUCAUUUUACUUCAGUUUUUUUUUUUUUUUUAAAUUAGUUCUAUGAAUAUAUGAAAUUAUUCUUUAAUCUUGAAAUAUAGAAUCUAAUGUAAAAGCUCACCAGAGCACAUGAGCAAAUAAUUUCUUUCAAGAAAAUAAAGAAGUUAAAAUUAGAACUUUUGUUAAGGAAGCUCUGACAUCAUUUUAAACAUAGAUAAAGAAAGAAGGAAAAAAAGAAAACGGCAGUGCCUAAAGAUUUCAGGGAUGACAUACCUUGCACCGAAACGAAGAGUGGAUAGAGUCUCGGAUGCAUUAAAAGCGCUGGGUGAGCAACAACAAAGCAAUGCAGUUCUAGCAUUUCCUCCCUGCGAAUAGGAGAUACAAUGUUUGGGAAACUGAUUUCGUGAAAAAUGGGUAUGUUUUGAUAAAUUAUAAAAAAGGGAGGGUGAACUAACAAGAGCAUCCUGAAGAAUUCGAGGGAGCUUGGAAUCACGAUACGGGAUAUGGCUUGUUUUUCCUUGCAGACCACAUGUAAGAGAAUUUAUUACAUUUCCCAGAGCAGACAAGGAUUUGUUUAUGGUUUUGGCUUCGUCUAGAACUCUUCCCUCUGCUCCUGUUUUCUCCACUUUCUCUGACCCAGCCAAGUCCACUAGAAUUAGUUUUCCGAACCUCGUCCUGUUCAAAGUCUCAGUGUUUGAGAAUGAUUCAUAAGCAGAUCACAGAUUUAUGGAAGAAGUAUGACCUUUUAUCUCUGGAAAAUUCUUGCUGAAUUGUCAAUAUAUAAAUGCAGUGACUUCUGCUGCUGGCCAUGUUCAUUUCUACAUGUUUUGUUUAGGAUGUUUGCAGAACGCAAGUAACCUUCUUAAUUCCUAUCACUGCUUUUCCUCCCUCAAGAAAACAGGGAAUUUACCCUAAUGUGUUAUGCUUUUUUUAUCAACUAAGAAAGAAAAUAACAUUAAACAGGCACAAGAAGUACCAAAAUACAUCGUCCACUACCAUGGGUAUGACCAUUGCUUUUCCUCCCAAAUGUACUAUGUAGUUUAACUAUAUAUAAAAAAUAAAAAGGUAAAAUAAAAACUGAACGAUGAGCUAAGAGUCAAAGCAGGAUACGGGUCUCACCAACUGUCCGGUUAGCUAUCCCCUUCUACAAAUUUGAGGUCACAAUUAGAAGCUGAAAUAAUUGUAAAAUCAUUCAGAAAAUGAUGUUCGAGUUGUUUAUUCUUACAGACAGGUUUUGCAAUGCUUCAACAGGGUCCAGCACAUUAAUCUGAAUGAAAAACUCAAAAGUUCCCGUUAGUCCUUUAUAGCAAUAAUUGAAUAAGAAUCUCCAAUUAUUUUCUUUUUUGUUUGUUUUUGGUUUAGUGUUUAGACAAAUAUUUUGUAGCAUACACAAAUACUGAAUGAUUCCACUCCACUAUACUUUUUGAAUCAGCUCAUGGAGAGAGCUUCGCCUAAUACUCUAUCAAGAGAAAUGAGACCUUGCUUCACACUAAAAUGUCAAGUCUAUUCAACUUUACUUUCUUGAAGCUUAAAGGGUGAGCUUGAAAUCACAUUUCUACUAUAUUAUAGGAUAUAAAUAUGUGCAAAUUUUAUUUUACAAAUAAAAUUAUAUUUAUUUGAAGUUGAUUUCUUAAUAAUAUUAGAAUUUAUAUUAAUAAGGUUUACUCGAUCUAUUAAACUAUUUAUAAAUAUAAAAUCUCAUACUAAGAUGUUAGUCCUUGAUCGGAAAAAUGUUACAUAUUUAUUACAUAUAACAUAUAAGAAAAAUAAAUCAUAACGUAAAAAUAACAGUAAGUUUUAUCUUAUAAAUUAACUUUUUGAGUGUAGUCAUUAAUAUUCUGUGCCGAGAGAUUAAGCACGUAAACUCACAUUUAAUCUCUUAAUGUUUUGGAAAAUAAAAUCAAACUUAGCAUGAUGAGAGAAAAGGUAAGUCCACGAGCUAAGAAAAUGCUAACCAAAUAAUCCAAUACCCAUGCCUCAAAAUUUAAAUUUUAAACAUGUUAAUCAUAAACAUAAGAGCAUAUAUGUAAUUGUGAACAGCGAAGUAGUUUCAGAUAGAUAAAGAAUAAUCAGAAUGGAACAAGAUAUAAAGUUCCCAAAAAACAGCUCACCUCUGUAACACCGGGCAAAAAUAUUCCUCGCGAUUUACUCUCCUUAAUUUGUAUAUUAACUUUUGAUAAAUCAAAUAGGUCCCUACAUAAGAGGAUAGAGUUAUUCUGAUGACUAUUGAAGAAUCCAAAUUCACAUCAAAACUAGCUUUUCCCAAAGUUAAGAAAAUUUCCUACCAGAAAAGCAUAUAAUAAUAUGCUCUAAGUACAGUGGGGGAGGGGAAAUACUUUUUUUUUUCUAUUUAUAUACCUCACUUUUUCCAUGUAGAUUUCAACCUGAACGAAUCAGAGACAAAUCAGAUACAUAAUUUACUAUAACCAGAUGAUUUUGUAAGACUGGUGUGGUUAAAUGAGUAAGUGUCUCAGUACCAUUGACAACUUAAUUGAAUAUGUUUUCUUUUCAUCAGAAGAAUUUAAGGAAUCAAAAAGUCCCUCUACAACUCUUGGAAGAAGUCCCUUCUUCUGUUCACUACACUCAAGUAUACCAGGUCCCUGCUUCAGAGAAGUAGUCAUUUAAAUUCCUGUAUUUGAUGUUUUAUAAGAUCGUUUUGAGAUACUUUUUAGGUGACAAUUUCCAACCUCCAUACUAUAUGUCUUCCCAGCUCCAGUCUGCAAUUGAUUGCAGGAAAACUAAAGGUUUAAACAAUUGGAGUCAAAAGAAAAAUGGAUUCGUGAAUACAGUUGACAAGUUCUUCUGAAAAAAAAAAUGUAAUAAUAAUUACGGUAGUCCCUCGUAAUGGAAAACAUGUGUAGCAUAUUUUCUUAAGCCAAUAGGCAGUAGAGAAACAUAUGUGGCAUAUAAUAAAAGACUAUAUUUACUAACAGGUAUGUUUAACAACAUUGUGGAUUUUGCAAAUUGUCGUCGCUAAAUAUUUAAAAGGGAACUGUCUAGUUUUAGCAUCAGGCGCCCUUUCCUUACUUCCAGAUUAGUUAGAUUUGAAUUCAACACGGAUACACCGUGAAAUAACAGUUCAAAUACUUCAUGCCUCAUCUACAUUUUUCAUUUCUUAUUUUCCCCCUUCAAACAUAAGCAAUAUAUACUCCAAAAGGGUAUUUCUGAGCUAUUGCAAGGGAUCAUAUUCAGCGAAGCUCGUAUGGUGCAAUAUACUGUAAUUGUGCACAACUCUCGAUACACGUGUAGAUGCCAUAUUUGAAGAGAAAAACCACAUAUGAUCUCGUAUUGUUGAUUUUAAAGUUUAACAAAAAAAAGCAAAAAGCUGUUGGCAAACUGGAGACGCGUAAGAUUUUACCUGGCCGUAAGUGAUAAUUGUCCCAUUGUAUCCAUCAACAACAUCUAUUUGGUUUAUAGGAAUACAUACAAAACGAAAGCCUGAUGUCAAUAAAAAAACUAAAAAGCAAACUACAAUUAAGGGAAGUGUCACUUUCCCGAAUUUGAUUCUUAUGAAACAAUCCAAAUUUUUAAAAUUUGAAUGUCCGACGUGUAGACGUACACUAGCAUUACACGAACUAUAAGGAUAAUUUUUUUCAUAUAACGGAAGUUUAUAUGCACUAUUUGGCCGUAAUGAAGCUGUCAUUUCAUAAGGAAGCAGGAGUCAUUCAAAUUAAGGAAGAUUUCAAUCUGCAUUGCGUUGACUGAUUGACAUAAAUUUGUAAUGAGAAUUAUGUAGCUGUACCUCUAACCAUGGGAAGAGCUAGGAACUGAUAGACAUCAGCUUGCUCAGACUGUUCGUAGAACACUCUAUCAAAGCUAAACACGGAUUCUUCAUCCUUUUCGUCCUGAAAAAAAAUUAAUUCAAAUUUAUUUUACUAUUCACGGUAAUGUGUGAUUCACUCCGAGUUUAAUAGAGCAAGAAUGGAAACUAAUAGACCCUUAAUCUGACGUAGAAAAAAAAAAAAAAAAAAAAAAAAAACCUUGAAAAUGAAAGUUUCGGUAUCUCUAGAUCGAAUGCAAACAGAGCUAUUGUCAUUUUGCUUCUCUUUUGAGUUCAAAGGCCUAAAGCGUGCGCAUACUGUAACAUUUGACAUGAUGCUUUACAGCAGACAGUACUUCGCUGCAGUCGUUGAUUUAAACCUGUCAAUGAAAGAGAUAAUAAUGCAUAAAAUAAUAAACCAGAGGAAUAUUUAGAAGCUAGCAGAAAUUUUAAAACAGAUCUGCGUUGUUUUCCAGAUAACAUCGAUCUAGAGUCAGGUUUCUCAGUGAGUUAAGGAAAGAAGGAAAACGCAACGUGAAUCUCUACUCCAUGAAUCGGUCAUUGCAUCAGGCAUUAUUCCAUAUUUUCGAUUCAUAUCAAUUGCAUUACAAGAGAUGAAUGACCGUAGAGGAAAUUCUCGAAGCUUCCUUGUUCCUUAAAAUCCUUUUUCAGAUGCAGAAACAAAUUUGAAAACACAUUGAGUCAUUAACAGAUAAACCUGAUCGGAAGUUGAAUAAUCGUGGAGAAGCAUGAACCUGAGUCAAUCUUCUCUGAAAUGCAACGUCAAUGAUAAUCUCACAAUGUUAGACUGAUUAGUCAUUCUCUUUUUCAUGAACAAUGUAGUAAGAAAAACAAUUUGAAAGAAUAAAGAACAGUGUUCGUCGAAGGGAAAGAGAGAGAACCACCUUUCCCACGGCGAUGAACGGAGAGCUUACAAGUAACGAAAUGAAUUUCGCGUGGUCUUUGAUGGCGGGAACAAAGAUAAUAAGCCAAUAUCUUCCUUUAUACGGGCCUAUAUCUGGCUCAAGUUUAUAGUUCAGCUUUUACUCCUUUCACCCCCCCUAAUUAAUACUCAACCCCCAUAACUACAAUUAUAAUGACAAUGUUUUAACUAUUUUUUUGUUAUUAACAUGAGAUACAGAUAAUAAUCAUGGCGUAGAGGAAGCAAAAUCUUAUAAUUUUGAUUAGAAAUCCAUUUAUUAAGACUACAACACAUUUGUUGUGGAAUUAUAGUUGACUUUACUUGCUUCAAUUUCAAAAUCGUUUUCUUAUUCUAUGAAUUUUAUAUUCAAAAUUAUAAAAAAAUGUGCUUGGAUAUCGUUAAAAAUUUAUUAAAAGGUUAAAAGAUAUUUAACUAAUAUGUAUUUUAAAAUUUUUAUUAAACAUUAAGUGUUUUAAAGUUUAGUAUCAAUUAACUUCGUAGCAAAAAAACGCAAAAACUAUAUAAUUCUAUCUCACUUUCUACUAUACCAGCCAGUGAACUGCAUUAGUCACAAAUGUUUAUCAUACUUAUACUAUUCUUGAAACAAAAAAAAAACAAUAAUUUGCUUAGUAGGAAAAUAAACAUAGGUUAAGGAUUGACAUAUGAUAAAAAGUAAAAAUAAAAUGAGUGGAAUAAUCUUAUGAAGUAAUAAUUUUUCACGCUUUUAUGCUUACUUGCACAAUUUUAAAAUCUUAGAACUUUAUACUGAUUUGUUUUUUUUUUUUUUUUUUGUAAUAAGUGAGCGUGUAGUUUUUAGAUUAUUGUUAAAUUCAAUUGUUUUAAUGAUCAAUUAUUAUUAUAAUAGACUAUAAUUAUAAGUUACAGACAUGUUGAAAAUUAUUUUAAGAAGAAUAAUUGUGUGAAUAAAAUAAUAAAGUUUACACAUGAAAAGAAAAGCAUGUGAAGUCGAAAGAAAAAUAAUUAAAAAGAAGUAAACAUAACUAACAAAAUUUCAAAUUCAAGUAAACAAUUUAUUUUUCCGGUUCUUUUUACUAGAUAUCAAUAUUUGGUGGUCCUAAGACGGCAGGAGGACGGCAUGAUAGUUGUCUAGAGUUUUUGGGUGUGUUGGAAAGAAGAUGAUAAUAUGAGGGUAGUGACAAAAAAUAGAACAAUUUAUUCCUUAAUUGUUUACAUUGGUUAACAAUUGAGAUGUUCUCAUAAAAAUGAUUAAAUUGAAUAAAAAUUAUGAAAAAUAUGACUAUAUUAAAUACUUCAAAAAAAUUAAUAAUAUACAAUAUCAAUGAGUUAUACAUUUAUUCAUUGCGUAGCACGCUUAGGUGGAUUGAGGUAAAAAAGUUAUAGACAAAAUUAUCUUUAGGUUAAAAUCAAUUCGUGAUUUGAAAUUGAAAAAUCUAUUAAAAUUGGUGUUGAAAUUGGGUUCAUGAUUCUUGGUCUUACCUACUCGUUUGUUAGUUUCAAUUCUUCGUGUUUGAUUAAAAUUAAUUAUAAAAGUUGUUUUGAUUCUGUAAUUUAUACAAUGUUGAUUAUUUGCUAUUCUUAGAAUAGCAUAUUAAUAUAUUUUCUUGCAUAAUAUCAGAAUGAGAGUUUCAUAAUAUCACUCUAAAUCAGAAAGAGAUAUUUACAAUUUUAAUUAGGAAGAAUUAGAAAAUGUUUUCAGAGCUUCAAAUUCUCCCCCAAUUUUCCCUAAUUUGUAUAAUCUAAUAACAUAAUAGAAGAACAAUUAAAUUUCUUUAAAUCAAUUAAGAAAAUAAGAGAGUAAGGUUCAACACAUAAUGGUGGUGCUCAACCUGAUCAAUGGCGAUGACGCAGUCUCUGUUGCACUUCUGUUUCAAUUCGCAAGUUGGGAUGAAGGUUGUUAAGGAGGAGAUGAUGGACAAAAUUGGGUGGCUGACAUUCACAUUCUAUGGUUCGCGAUUUUUGAUUUCUUACGAUGUUGGGGUUUUUGCAAUUUUAGGGUUUUCAAUGGUUGAUGUAAGGAUUGAAUGAGGGUUUACGACAAGCUUCACGGUUGAACAGGGACGCUCACGGUGACUUCGCGAAUCAGUGGUGAAAUUUAAGGAGAAGUUGUGAUGACGAGAUGAAGGCUAUUGCGAUGGAGGUUGUAGUGUCGCUCAAUAGUCACUGUGGUUGGUUAAUGGUGACAGGGUUACAGUGAUUGUGGAAAAAUGAGAAGUGUGAUGAAACUUCUAGUUUUGGAUGGGAAGUGACAAUCCCUCAUUGGCUGAGUUUGUCAUACAAUCACUAACUGGACAACUUAUUUAGUUUUGGUUAGGAAACAAUUUUACGAUUAACAUUUUUAACAUGAUAACCACUAACUUGAAUCACUUUUACAAAAUAUGAAACUAUGGAUAAACUUAUGAAAAAAAUGUAAGACCACUUUAAACAAACCAAUUAAAAUUAAAAUAAAGAUAAAAAUGAUAUUAAACACUAAAUAUUUAGUAGAACAGUAAUACAUGAAUAAUAAUAGAACAUUAUAAUUUAAAAUUUAUGUUAUUUGAUGAAUUUGAUAAUAAUAACAAUAGCACGAGAAGUAACGUGUUGUUGCCUUAAAGUUUCACAUUAAGUGGCGGAACUUCAUAAAACAUCGAUCCCUUGAAAGAAAAGUAAAGAAUCUGAAAGUGCUUCCGUUACUUGGAAGGAAAAACUUGUACAUAUUCUAAGCACACAGGGACAUUACUCUAUAGCUAUCUCUUCAACAUCUCCACAGAAUUUCUUUUGCAGAUAUGGACUCGGGAGAACUUCAUUCAAGCAUUUGCUACAAGCUCUAUCUUUUCGUAAUGAAAACUUUGGCUUCGCAAGCAAUGAAGACAGUGACUUUGGGGAGUUCUUCGCAUCACGGUUCAAGCGAUGAAAAGGAGCAAAACAUCGCAAAAGUCUGAAUCUCUGCCAUUGAUUCUGAAACUUGGUUCUCAUCUCAAUCACAAACCAAACUCAAUCUCUUGAUUUCGUUUGUAAUGUUCAUGUUAGAAUCGGUUGGGCGAGUGAGAGGACUCUUUUUCAUCUCACAUCUUUAUAUAAAGUUGUUUGUUAUUGUCAUUUAUUUUAUUUUUAAUUUAUUACGUUGAAGAUCAUAACUAGACGAGUGUUAAAGAUCAAUUCGGAAUAUAUAAAUAAUAUAAUUUUCCCUAAUUAAUUGAUUUUUAUUAUUAGAUUAGUUGAUUGAGUUUCUUUAGACAAUUACAUGACUGUUAUUAGGUUUUUAUUUAAUUUAUCAUUUUUAAAUAUUUAGUCUUAUGUAUAUAUACAUGUUUCAGUUGAGAUAACUCACUUUAUACUUACAUGUUAUAAAAUUUUGAUCAAAGUAGAUCAUUAAGACCAUCAAUCAACAAAGAACGCACAAGAACUCUAGAAAUGUGUACACAAUAAAAAAUCUUCUCGCAUACAUGAAAGAAGUUUCUAAAAAAUUGAUCGGAUGAUGUUGAAGAUAUCACAGUUAUAAUCAGGAAUUAAAAAACUUAAAAGUAUAUAUUUUAGAUUGUGCGACAAAUCUCUAAAUUUUUAAUUAUAUUAUUGAAUUUUUAACAUUAAAAUAAUUUAGUUUUAUUAAUUUAAAACACAUAUCAACUUUAAUACUUUAUUUUUUAUAUCGUAGGAAGAAUAAGUUAAUCUUAAAUUAAUUUGUUACAAAUGUAAUUUUUUUAAUAAGUUUGAUAUUUGAAAAUUACAAUUUUGUUUUUUUUUAAAUUAAUAUAUAAAUCCAAGUUAUCCUACUUAAUUCAUUUCAAUUAAAAACGAGUUAAAUUAGAAUAAAAUUAAUACAAAAGAAAAUUUAAUGUGAUUCACCCUAAAACUUUUUUAGUAAAUUAGAUCAAUAGCUUCUUGAAAUCUUAACUCAUGAACAACUUCUAACGAGAACCAAUUCAGUCCAUCUCACUUAGAAAUAAAAUAUGAAGUAUGUAAAGAAUCUUACCCACCCCACCAUAGUAAAUUAAAAUAUUACACCCUUAUAAUGAAAUUUAAUCAUAAAUACAAUUUUAAACAAACUAUUUCAAUUAAAAUAUUUUCAACAAAAAUGAAUCAGACAAACAAUCCAAGUUUUAUUUUUAUACUGAUUUUAUAUUUUUUUCAUCACAACAUUUAUAAUAUUUAGUAAAAGUUCUUUAACAUCUAAAAGUUUGCACCCACCUACCACCUUCUUUAUUUUUCUUGUCAUCACUUGACAAGUUAGAAUUUGUUUGAUGGUCUGAUUCAAAUAAUUGGAUUAAAAAGAAAGAACAUUAAACUAAACUAUCAAAUUCAGUUGGCACAACAUAUCUGAUCUUUCUAUAUACCAAUAAACUAAAAAAAGAAAAGUGUUAUUGAAAAUUCGAAUUUGACCCGUUUUCCUUCCUUCGUUUUAUCAGCUGCCAGCAUCUGACAGAAAUGUUCAGUUAUCAAAUCCAACUCCUACACCUGAGUAUGUUUGAAAUAUGAAACUAAAAUCAAAAUGUUCUACGUUGUUUUAUCCAACAACUGUAAUAACAGUAAUUUCUGUUAGGACAAUGAUAUAGAUAAUAUUUUUUGACAAUAUUUGAAUAUCAUCGUACAUGUCAUUGUAUGAUUGGUUCAAAUGAUACAAUAACACCAUCAUAAAUUAAUCACACAAUAAUACAUAUGAUGAUGUUCAAAUAUUAUAAAAAAAAUAUUGUUUAAAUAUCUUUUAUCUUUUUGUUAACACAUAUCUAUACAGCUCGUGUUCUCUUUCUUAGAGCAUCUUUGAUUCUCCCAAACUCAUCAUUUAAUGUAAAUCCAUUUUAACCACAAAAUCUAUAACCUUUUUCUUUGACAAAUAAACUAAAACAAAUAUUUAAGGGCAUGUUUAGCAUUCUGUUCAAAUGGAUGCCAAAAAAGAACAUUCCAGAGUGACAAAUCAAACGUUGUCAGAUAACAAAAAAAAAAAUCUGUCUUUGAUAUUAUUAUCAUUUUUUUUAGCUGGAGCUCUAUUUAUGAAAAAGAUGAAAAAGAAAAAAGAUAGAGCACUACCAGUGGCUACAGUGGUGAUUGCAAUAUAUAGGUAUAUAUAAAGGAAAUGAAAAGAGAAAGAGAAUGGGUGGUAGAUCUGGGUGCUUGUUUUGUUCUCCUUCUUUCACUGGGAUAAAGAUUCAACCUUUAAGUUCUUACACUUUUCCCUCUUUCUCCUUCACCUUCUCCCCCCACCAAAACCACUCACUUUCUUUCCCUAAACUCAUGUCUCAGCCUUUAUCUCUCAACUCUGCUCCUCUAGCAGAGGCUGACACUGAUUCUUCCGCCGCCCCUUCCCUCUUCGAUUAUCAUAGUAUCGACCAAAAACUGCUCCAAAACAUCGUUUACGAUGCUCUUGUCUGGAGCACUCUCAACUGCCUCCUCGUUGGAGAUAAAUCGGUUCAGGUCAAACUCUGCCACUGUUUUGUUUUCUCUCUGUUACUUGGAUUUGGUUCCUUUGCUUUCUGUAACUUAUGUUACUUCUGCUUAUCUCAAAACUCAUCAACAUGUGCACAGUUUUCAUAUUUUAACAUUUUUCUGUACUAAUGUUAAUGUAAUAUAAUUGCAUGGCUAGUAUAUAAAAGAUAUAAAAUCUUAAAAUAACAGAGCAAAUUAUACUAAAACCAUGACAGGUUUCUUGAGAUUUUAUUUUGUAUAAUGCAUUUCUUAGAUAACAUGAGUGACUGUAAUAAACAGCGAGCGCGAGUGUAAUGUUUCUGAGAAAGUUCAGAGAUUAGUAUAAAAGUAUAAAUGGAAACAGUGUCUGAGAGAUUUUGGAGAAGAUUUACUGUCUCAGUUGUAUGCUUCAUGAUUAAAGUUUGACAUUAAUGAUAAUAAUUUAUUAUUCAUUUAUUACCCUACUUGUUUUCUUAAUAUUGGUGGGAGAUUUCACAUGCAUUAUAUAAGUGGGGUAAGUUCUCAUUUUAUGUGAUAUUGAGUGAGACUUAAACUCGCUUUACAACAGAAAUCACACAUUACCUUGAGAUGAGGAUAAGUAAUACAUGGAAUUAAACCCUGGAGUUAUAAAUACUGAGUAAUUUAAUUUGCAAAAUUAUGAAAAUACCAUUUCAAUUGUGAUGUUGCUAAAUGCCUAUCGUUUUAAUCUUGAUGUUUAUGAUAUAAGAACUAAAUUUGAUACAGUGAUUUUGGGUACUAAAAUGAUAUUUUGAUGUUUACAAUCGAUGUUACCUUUCAUAGAGAUCAGGAACAGUUCCCGGUGUAGGCUUGGUGCAUCUUCCGCUUUGCUUAUUACCCGGGCCAUUUCCUGAAAGUCACUGGAAGCAAGCUUGUGAAUUAGCUCCUAUUUUUAACGAACUUGUUGAUCGGGUGAGUUUGGAUGGGAAAUUUCUUCAGGAAUCUCUAUCAAGGUAAUAUUUUCGUGUUGUUAUAUUACGAGGCACCGAAUGAGUCAACUUACUUUUGGCACCAUGAAAACGGGAACAUAAGGAAAAUAUAUAUUAUACUACAAUUUGACUCUGUAGGGUGAAUUUUGACUCAUUGUCCAAACUUGUGUGGGUAAGUUUGAUUUUUGGUCCUGCAAUGUCUAAAUUCGUUCCUACGUGAUCCAAUUGUUGGAAUCAAAAUAAGUAUGAAUUGAAGCUUCACAUUGGGUAGGAAUAAACAAAAUAAACAAUAUAUAAGGAGAAAAAACCACAAUUUCUUUUAUUAAGGUUUUGAGUAGGAAAAGGUGGCUCAGGCAACGAAUGUCCUAAGGAAUGUUGCUAAGCAGAUCCAACACCAAUUCUCUCACAAUCUUAUUCUUAAUAAUAUGUAAUUCUUAACUUAAGUAAUUUUUUAGGCUCUUAUGGGACUUUCAUAACCUUUUGAAGUACUUUUAUACUUUACUAUGACAAUUGGUUCUUGAAUCCUUUUUUCAACUUCACCUUUCAAUAAUUGCUUCAUUUGAUGCCACGAGUACUAUAUUUGCUUGGAUUCUUUUGUUCUGUCGUCAUACAUUUGUAACUACCUAUAGCUGCCUAGAUUCUUUUUUCACCUCAGUCUAAUUCUUGCCUUUAAUAAGAUAUGAUAUUAUCUGCUCAUAUCAAUGCAGAACUAAGAAUGCAGACGAAUUUACCUCCAGACUUUUAGAUAUUCAUUCCCAGAUGCUACAGAUUAACAAAACAGAGGUAAGUGUAUGUUGGUAUGAAAUUUGUACCACCGAAACUAUUAAGAGAGAAUCAGUUUUAGUUCCUACUCUAAAUUACUAUUCUUUACAAACAACUAAAAUACUGGUAGUCAAGGGAAUUUUUCCUGUUAUUGAUUUUUCUCUUGUCAUAAUUUUAAUAGGAUAUACGCUUGGCAAUAAUGCGUUCGGAUUAUAUGGUUGAUGACAAGACUAAAUCACUUCUGCAAAUAGAGAUGAACACCAUUUCCACUUCAUUUGCUUUGAUUGGAUGUCUUAUGACUGGACUUCAUAAGUAAGGAGUUGCUGUAUAUUUUACUUAUUGGGCUUUCAUCUCUAAUUUAUAAUCUCUUGUUUUUGAGGUCUUUGUUUCAUUGUUAUGGGUUUGUUUAGGAAAAUGUGUAAAUUUUUGUUCUCAAUAAAGAUAAACACACACGCACACACGUCUAGGAAUACAUUUGAAGUUUCUAGUGGUUAGAAAUCGAUGUAUUUGAAGACAAAAUAUUAACAUAUAGUCUGUGAAUCUUGAAAUUAUUUACCCGAACUCUAGUGGUAGAUUUUUAUUUGAAGAUAAAUUUAUGACGUUGACGUGUAUCAUGGUAUUAUUUUGUGUUUUCCCAGGAGCUUAAUUUCUCAAUAUGGAAAUAUCCUUGGACUAGAUUCCAAUAGGGUUCCUGCCAACAAUGCUGUCGAUCAAUCUGCAGAGGCCUUGGCUAAAGGUUGGAGUGAGUAUAACAAUCCCAGGUCAGUUUGGAGAAAGAAAAUUCCUUUUCACUUUCAUUUGCUGUUCUGCUAAUACUUUUGGUUCCAUGCCAUAUUUCUGAAUGGGUCUGUACAGGGCUGCAAUUUUGGUCGUGGUUCAGGUUGAAGAACGAAACAUGUAUGAGCAGCACUAUAUUUCCGCCCUUCUAAGAGAUAAAUAUCCUUUUCUUAUUAUCUAUAAUUAUGAUACUAAAGGAACACUCUAGCAGAGCAGACUCUGAUUUGUAUUAUUAGGGCUAUCAAAUGUGAUAUCAAAGGAUACAUAGAGAUGUUCUGUAAGGAAAACUACCGUAGUUUUAUGUUCAUUACAUUUUGGGUUGUAAGGGUUAUUUUCCUUAGCUUUAUAAUACGUAUCAUAUCAAAAGCAUAAGGAAAACAUUGGCAGAAAUUGAUCAGGAAGGGGAAAUUCUGCCAGAUGGAACACUUUCUGUGUAUGUAAACUUUAUCUUGAAAAUCUGACUUUCUUCUAAAGGUUUUUGGUUUAAUUAUAUUUCAUUUCUGACAUUAGAGAAGUAUAAUUUAUUGGAACUUGCAGGGACGGACAACCAAUUUCAGUUGUUUACUUCCGGGCUGGCUACACACCAAAAGACUAUCCUUCAGAAUCAGUGAGAUUCAUGAAUUCAGUUUUUUAGCUGAGAAAAACUGACUUUUCAACAUAGGAGCAUCUCUUUUUGUUUUCUAUUGACUAUAACUCCUUUUUCAAUAAUUAGUAAAGAAUUAAUUCACUGACCCAGUAUGUCUCACUACUAUUGGGAAAUGAUAUUGUAUUGAAAACUUCUAUUUGAUCCCCCUAUCUGGUAACCUAACUUCUUUUAUAUUAUGAAGAAAAGUAACGAUGAAUACUAUCACUUGGACCCUAUAACGUUUGUUUCAAAAGCAAAAUUCAUUUGAGAUUGGUCAGUGUAACAGUUUCUUCUUCAUUACAUCACAGUGUAUAGACUUUCUCUUUCAUUUUACUUUUUGUACAUCUAGCUCAAUUAUAUCUUAAACCAACAAUAUCUGUUUUACUUUUGUUUUUACCUUCCUCGUCCUUUCUAUUCCAUGGAUUUUCUCAGCCAUAAUAUUUUUCCUGCUAAAGUUGCAUUAUUUUUUAACAUUAACGAGUUCUUCUGUGUAGGAAUGGAGAGCUAGGCUACUCAUGGAACAAUCUUCUGCUAUCAAAUGUCCUUCAAUAUCUUAUCAUUUGGUUGGCACCAAAAAGAUUCAACAGGAACUUGCAAAACCUGGUGUGCUUGAGAGGUAUCUUCUGAUUAAUAUUCUUAUAUAUUCCAAGUUUAUUCCAUCCUUUAUGCUUGUAUAAAGCUGUUGAUUAAUUCACAGAUACUACGCCUAAAGGAAAAGUGUAAAAUGGAAUAUUGUAAGUUAUUAUUGUCUUAAGAUUUUAUCCUUCAGGGUGCUCUCCAAUCAAUGCCUUACUUAGUUGGCUAAGCAUGAUAUGAUUGUACCCUAAGGCUAAUAGGUUUUUGUUAUGGACAGUAGCCCAGUGGAACUCCAUUCCUUAGUAUAACAACAAAUUGCUCUUUCCUAGCAAAUAAGCUGAUCUGUGACUAAUUUUUUCCUUUUUUCUAAUGAUAUUUUGUUUCUAUGGUUGAUAUCUCUUCCUAAAAUCCUUGAUUCAAAACUCUAAACAGGUUUGUCGAAAACAAGGACCACGUAGCCAAAUUGCGUGCAUGUUUUGCAGGGUUGUGGAGUUUGGAAGACUCAGAUAUUGUUAAAAAAGCAAUUGAAAAUCCAGAGUUAUUUGUGAUGAAGCCGCAAAGAGAAGGAGGAGGUCUUAUAUUAAACUUUGAUUCAACACUUCAUUAGAAAAAACGCCUGGAAGAGAAACUUACAUAACGAAGUGUAAUAAUUACUUUUCAGGAAACAACAUUUAUGGCAAUGAUUUGAAGGAAAGCCUCCUUAAAUUACAGGAAGCUGGUUCUGAAGAAGAUGCAGCUUACAUCCUCAUGCAGAGAAUAUUUCCAGCCACUUUUCCAGCAAUUUUGGUGCGUGAUGGUAAUUGGAGUACGGGUCAUGUGAUUGCAGAAGCUGGAAUAUUUGGUACUUAUUUAAGGUACAUUGCUCAGCUACAUAUUUAUCAUUGUUCUGUGCUUAAAUUUACAAAUCCUUGAAACUGAUGAACUGAAAUUUGCAGGAACAAGGAUAAGAUUAUCAUAAAUAACGAAAGUGGCUAUAUGGUGCGUACAAAAGUAUCAUCAUCUUAUGAAGGUGGAGUUUUACCUGGUUUUGGAGUGGUAGACACUGUAUACCUAACUUGAUGGAGCCAAGAUCACUUCAAUUCAAAAUAUUAUGAAUGUUUUACAUGUAUCACCAUUAGUUUCUUCACUCCUGAUUGUGUUUGUUUCUCUCCUAAAACAGUAAAAGAAGAGAAGAUGCAUUGUUGUAUCUUUUAGCUCUUCCUACGGGAUGCUGUCUGAUUAUCAAAUGUACUCAUCUAUCACAUUAGUUCUAACCAAUAAAGUUAUUGAACUUUUUUAACCUGUCCUCUUCAAUAAUCUCCUGGUAUAGAUUAUUAAGUCAUGUAAAUUUUGUUUGAACACAAUCAAAUAUUGGUGUAUAUUAGCCAAUUAAAAGCUGUAUUAUAUUUUUUUAUAAAUUUGGUGCAGUAAUCUUAAGCAUUCAACUAUACUAAAAAAUGUUAAUAAAUUGAGAAUCCACAGCAUUACAUAUUCAGAAAAAUGGUUUGAAGUUAAGUUGUGAUGUGACUGCAAUAAGAUCACUCAUUAACCUCUUUUUCUGCAUUAAAAGCCAUUUUCUAAGAUCCGAACAAGCCAUUUUAAAUGUCAUUUUUUUUUAUAAUAAAUUUCCAAGUUAUGGAAAAUUGUAACUCGUGUGUUCUUUUUGAAAUAAAAAUGGUAUAAAAUAUUUUAAUUUUUUAUGUUCCUUUUUAUUUUUAAUUUGCUAAUGAUUUUAUAUUAAUGAAAUAUCGCUUGUCAUUUUCUUGAAUAUUUUUAUAAAUUGGGUCAAUUGAGUAAUUUUAUUUUUAGUUUUCAAAAUUUAGUUGUAUUUUGCUUCUUAUCCUGUAAAAUUUAUUUUCUAAUUUUGGUUCCUGUUAUUUUUUUAAUCUGUAAAAUAUUUAUUUAUUUAGGUUUUAUAGUAUUCAUUUCAUUUUUAGGUUUUAUUAUAUUCUAUGUAUCGUAAGGACAAAACAACACAAAAUACAAAUACUUUGGAGAGUCAAAAAUAAAAUAAGAAGAAAAAAAAAAGAAAUUGUAACAGCCAAAAGUAAAAUAUGACUAUGUUUCAUGAAUAAGAAAACAUCUUUAAAUUUAAACUAAAUUCAAUUUUUAUUAGAGUUCACAUAACCAGAAAAAACAUAGUAAAAAAAAAACAUUUACGAGCCAUGGCCCACUGAAAGGGACUCGAAAAGAACAAAUUGGAAAAGAAAAAUGCUCGCACAGAUUCGGAUUCUCCAAAAGGUGUCACCUUAUUACUAUACUAAUUAGGGAGAGUCAAAAGUCAACUUUCUGUUUUAGUAAGAAAUAAAUAAAAGAAAAAUAGUCUAUUACUGUUACUUUAGUUUCUAAAAAUAUUUAUUUUUAAAAAAAUAAUUUUUAACGCACCUAAUUUUUUAUAUUUAUUUCACACUAUCCAUUUUUUACCUGAGAAAAUAUAAAAUUUUAUAUUUUUUUUUACCCUCAAUGUAAAAGUAUUUCAUACUCUUAUUUUUAUAAUUCCUACAAGGAAAAAACAGGAAACGAGAGUGAAAGAGGCGAAAAUGAGCGCAGGCAUUGGUUGCGUUGCAUGUUGGGAGACUAUACCCUUGUUCUCUGCUUCCAAAUCCACCACCUUCCCCGUUCUCUCCGGCGUCCGCCGCCACUCUCUAUCGGUCCCUUUCGUCUCCUCUUCCCCCAACCUCGUCAUGUCUCCACCUAAACCUCUCACUCUAACUCCACUCCAACACUCUCCUCUUUUCGAUUACCACCGCCUCGAUCAACAACUUCUCCGCACCCUCGCUUACGACGCCCUCGUUUGGAGCUCUCUCCACGGCCUCCUCGUUGCCGAUAAAUCCGUCCAGGUCAAUCUCCACGUUUUUCAUUACGUUUCGUUAACUAUCACACCCUAAAUUGGCGUCGAAUGUUCUUUGUAACGGUCGACAUUACGAAUUCUUCGAUUUGAAUUUCAUUGCAGAAUUCGGGAAGCGUUCCAGGCGUGGGAUUGGUGCAUGCUCCGGUUGCCUUGUUACCCACGCCAUUUCCGGAAAACCAGUGGAGCGAAGCGAUUGAGUUGGCUCCUAUUUUCAAUGAACUCGUUGAUCGGAUCAGCUUGGAUGCAACGUUUCUCCAACAGUCUCUCUCCAGGUUACAUUCUUGCAAAUUCUGCGGUGCUAUCGUCUCUUGUUAGAUAUCUUGUGCAUGCAUGCAAGUGGCACCACUACUUGAGUUUUGGUACAGCGUAGUAUACUAGGGUAUGUGUACGUUGAGAUUCUUUUUCUGUUUCUCAAUGCAGAACUAAGAAAGCGGAUGAGUUCACCUCAAGACUUCUGGAUAUUCAUUCCAAGAUGCUAAAGAUUGACAAAAAAGAGGUAAUUGUGUCUAAUGUACACCAAUAUUAUCACGAGAUGAAUGAUCAGUGUUUAUUUUAUAUUUUUUGUUUUGUUUUAUUUUAAAUAUCUUUCAAAAGAACUCAUUUUGUGCUCAUAUUCUCUCAUUCUGAGAGAUAGGAAUCUUAUAUUUCUUAUUUGGAUAAAUAUAUAAAGGAAAAACUAAAUCAAAAUUUUUUUCUUCUACAUCUUCUACAGAAAUUCUGUCCUGUAAUUUUCUAAAAGGUGAAGUGGAUAAAGUGAUUUUAAUGUAUAAAAUAAUUUUUAUUCAUUUCACUUUUUAUUUUUUUCGUUGUUUAAGAAAAAAUUAUCUAAACAUGGCCAUAAUAAUAUUUGCCUUAGCAAAAGGUUGAGGAUAGGGUGCACAUGAAGUUUUCCACCUCAUCUUUACUUUUCUUGAUGAAGUGAGUCAAACGGAUUUGUUGAUGAAUUUUUCUCCGCCAAAAUUUUAAUAGGAAAUUCGAUUGGGGUUACAUCGUUCAGAUUAUAUGCUUGAUGAAAAGACUAAUUCACUUUUGCAAAUAGAACUCAACACUAUUGCCUCUUCAUUUGCCGGUCUUAGUAAUCUUGUGACUGAACUUCAUAGGUAAGUAUUGCUGCAAAUUACACAUACUAUGCUAUCAUCUUGAAGCACUUAAUUGUUUUAUUGCAGCUAUAUAUGGGUUUGUUUAAGUUAAAUACCGAACUCUCGGUGCUGUUACUUAUGUUUACAUGUUUUGUGGAAUAUUGGAAGCCACCGCGGGUGAACAGGGAUAGCACUGUACAAAUCAUAUGUAUUCCCCUAAACUAUAUGAGUUUUCGAACCUUUUUCUUUUAGGACAUUCUUGUGUGUUUUUGGUAUGGAUGAUGAUAUUUUCACUAACACUUUUUGACAACUUUUUUUAGAAUGGGACACAUGUCAUCACUUUAUUGUUUUAUUUGAAUUUAUAUUUAAAAAAUAUUAAAAACGGACCAAUCAUAAGUAUGUAUAAUUGUUAAAAAGUGUUGUUAAAGUUACUUUUUCCUUUUGAUAUCAGAAAACUUUAAGGUUUGAGAGCUUUUGCCAAUUAUUAGAGCAAAAUCCCCAACUAUUGUUUUGAACUCGAGUGGUGUUUGGUUGAGAUUUCGGGGAAGGAUGGGGAGGAUGAAAAUACUAAUAGGUAUCUGAGGAGAAAAGCCAUGUGAAAAAAUAAUUAGAAAAAUAGGUGGGAUUUCAUUUACUGUUUCCCACCAAUUUUUAUGCAUCCUUCUUCUCACCAAAGAAAAGCAUUGUCCUUCUUCUGUAUUUUUUACGGUUUUUUUUUGAUAAUUUUUUUAUAAUUGUUUAUAUGACAGUUUAUGAUUGAUCUGUUUUAAAUAUGCAAAUUAAUAAAACAGUGAUAGAUAAUCUAUUAUCAAAAAGUUAUUAAAAAAAAUUAUUAAAAUAUCAUUAUCUCUUCCGUAAUGUCCGUUCAUCGGUUGAAUCUGUUCAUUAUAAACUCGUAGGUCUUCUCUAUGUUCCUUUUCUAUUUAACUUAAUUUAAACUUUGGUGUCCUUAGUUUAAAUUACAGGCGAUCACAUUAAGUUUUUUCUCUUUUAAUGUUCUUCAUUUGCUUCAAAUAAAGCAAAUAUGAGCCUUUAAUGUGUCUUAGGAUGAAACUUUUAAAUGUUAAUUAUGAAUGUCUUCAGUUUUGGCUAAGUUUUUUUAACUACUUUUUAUGUGUAGUAUAAAUUAUUUAUCUUGUACCUAUGAUCCUUUAUAUAGCUACUUCUGUUAUGCACUUUUGGGGUUUUCACUUUGUGUUUUUAUACCGGAUUAAUAGCUAUGAUUGUAAUUACUUAUAAGAACUCUGGUGGAAAUAUAUUUUCAUUUUAAGGAAUUAUUCCUUUGUAGAAAUAUCUUUAUAUUAGUUGGUCAUUUUCUAGAUACAUACUUUCUCGCCAUGGAAAUUUGCUUGGACUAGAUUCCAAAAGCAUCCCUGCCAACAAUGCCGUCAAUCAGUAUGCAGAGGCCUUAGCUAAAGCUUGGAGUGAGUAUGACAACCCCAGGUCAGUUCAGAGAAAAAAAUUUCCUUUAACUUUCUCUAGCUCUUCUGCUGCUGGUUUCGGUUCCCUAAUAUAUUUUCUGACUUAUCCGUCCAGGGCGGUGAUCAUGAUUGUGGUUCAGGCUGAAGAACGGAACAUGUACGACCAGCAUUUUGUUUCUGCUGUUCUUAGAGAAAAAUAUCCUUUCCUUAGAGUUGUAUUUAAUUAUAAUACAAAAGGAAACACGUUUGUUUUAUUCCCUAUAUAAGGGCAGACUCUUUUAUUUGUAUAAUUACAUGUGAUAUCGAGGAUGCUUUUAUCAGUUUCGUAAAGAAAACCACUAGAAGUUUCUAUACUUAGUACAUACUAUUUGGUUGUCACUGUCCUUAACUAAUUAGCACGCAUAAUAUUUCAACUAUACGAAAGACGUUAGCCGAAGUUGAUCAAGAAGGAGAAAUUCUUCCCGAUGGAACACUUUCAGUGUAUGUAACAUUUAGCCAUAAAUUAAACUUUCAGCCAUGUUUUAGUGAUUUAAUCAUGUUAUGGUUCUAAUUGUUGAGGACAAUAAUUUCUUGGAACUUGCAGGAAUGGACAAGCUAUUUCAGUCAUUUAUUUCCGGGCUGGCUAUACACCAGAUGACUAUCCUUCAGAAUCAGUGAGUGAUUUGAAAUCACCAAUUUGCUGUUCAUAAGAACCGUGCUUUUUCGAUGGUAGAAACAUCUGUUUUGGUUUCUAUUACGUAACUUCUUUAUUUAAACAUUGAGAUAUGACCUAUGCGGCAUAAGCAGUGGCUCUCGCUUACUACUGUUAGGAAAUUGUACUGUAUAGUCAAUAAUUCAAUUAUUCUUCAUGCUACUAAACUUCUUUUAAGAUUCACAUGAUAAAAGGAGUUGUAGAACACAAGUGAAGUAAAGCUGGCGGAGAGGGCUGAGUGGAUUACAUUUUUCCUGAAUUAUAUAGGCACCUAUUUAUUGGCCCAAUUAAUACAAUGAGAAAUUCUUACCCGAGUUUACUAUUUCUUGGGGAUUUGUCUCAUUUUUGGUUUAUGCUUUGUCUGAAUGCAUUCCUUGCUUUCCAUUCAUUUCAUUUGCCCAAUUAACUACUCCUUUGUGAAGCUCUUACUAUAUUUACAUUAGGAUUUGCAGUUACUGCAAUUUGCCACAAAUGAUUCAUCGAAUGGGGCAGUUGGGGGUUGAAAAAUUUAAAUAUUUCAAAUUGGCUGAAUCCCACAAAAAUAACAAUCUAAUUUACUUUUCUUCUUCUUCACUUAAUUUCGAUUACAUGGAUUAUCUUUUACCGUAAUAUUGCUCCUUGUUACACGAUUGUAUUAUCUAGCAAAAUCAUGGCUUGGGAUGCUCAAUAUAUGUAGGAAUGGAGAGCUAGGUUACUGAUGGAACAAUCUUCUGCCAUCAAAUGUCCUUCCAUAUCCUAUCAUUUGGCUGGCACCAAAAAGAUUCAGCAGGAACUUGCAAAGCCUGGUGUGCUUGAGAGGUAUCUUCUAAUUCUUCAUAUCUUCCAAGCUAAUUUCAUCCUUUAUGCAUUAUUGAAAGCAGUUGAUCAAUUCAUCGACACUAUGUUUAAAGGAAUGUGCGAUGAAAAAUUGAAAGUUAUCAUGUAAAAUGGGAUUAUCCUUCAGGAUCUGCUUUCCCCUCCAUAUACAUUGCUUAGUUGGUUGGUCAUGAUAUCUUGUAUCCUCUAGGAACAAUAGGUUUUUGUUUUAAAUGGCCGGUAAAAAUUUGUUGGUAAAUUGAAACAGUAAUAUGAUCCAGGGGCAUCGUUCACGAUGCUGUUGCAAUCAUUGUUAGCCAAUGAUGUCAAGGAGGUAUAAUUAGCGAUUAUCUUUGGAUUCUUCUAAGUUUUGAAUCAUAACAAAGUUUCUUGAGUGAAUAGUUGAAGGUUUGGCAAUGUGAGGCUUUUUAAUGAAAAUAUUUGUGCAUAGGCUGGAGGGGUCUUGCUAUCAAAAGCUCAUGUUUUCUACAGAGCAGAUCCUAAUUCUAGAAGGUUUUGACGAAAAGAGAAGACAGUAGACUAGUCAAUUGGAAGAAGUCUUCUGGAUUCAGUGCACUAAUGGUAGAGAUGUAAAUUCAAAAAAUUUUCUUUUAUAGUGGCUGCAGGAAAGAUUAGAUGUUGAUCAGAGGGAUUGAUGGUUUCUGCGGGAAUUAAUGUGUCUUGUUGGUACUAGCUUUCGCUUUCACGUUUCAUUUUUACUUUUUAUGGAAGAUUUCCUAUCCACUAUUCUUGGACUUUUAUUGUCUUCUAACUGUACUUCUUCAGUUGAAGAAGGAAAUAAAUUAUGGAUGAUAGUCUUACUCAGAGCUACACUCAUACUUCAUAUUUUUUGUUAAGGGAAAUCAAAUUUUAUUAUAUAUGAUAAACACGUUCUGAUUAUAAUAAUAAUCCAAGCCUCCUCCCCCCGCCCUAAUUUUAUUUUAGAAAAUAAGCAGUUCUAUGACUAAACCUUGAGUUAAGCAGGUUCCUUGAAAGCAAAGAUGACGUUGACAAACUGCGUAAAUGCUUUGCUGGGUUGUGGUGUUUGGAUGACCCUAACAUUGUUAGAAAAGCAAUUGAAAGGCCGGAGUUAUUUGUGAUGAAACCCCAAAGAGAAGGAGGAGGUCUUAUACCACCUAAACUUUGAUUCAGCCUACUAAGUGGAAGAAACGUAUCUAACGAACCAUACCUACUUUUCAGGAAACAACAUUUAUGGUGACGAUGUGAGGGAAACCCUCCUAAAAUUGCAGCAAGCAGGUUCUCAAGAAGAUGGAGCUUACAUCCUUAUGCAGAGGAUAUUUCCAUCUGUUUCUGCAGCAAUUUUGAUGCGUAAUGGUUGUUGGCAUAAUGAUCGUGUAGUUUCAGAACUUGGUGUGUUCGGUACUUAUUUAAGGUACAUUACUUGGCCACAUGUCUGUCACUGUUACUUUAAAUUUGUGUAACACUUGAAUAUGAAAUCGCAGAAAUAAGAAUAGGGUUAUCAUGAACAAACAAAGCGGUUAUUUGGUGCGUACAAAAAUAUCAUCAUCUGAUGAAGGUGGAGUUGCAGCCGGUUUUGCAGUGCUAGAUAGUCUAUACCUGACCUGAAGGAGCCAACACUGUAUACCUGAAGUUAUCAGGGUAAUUCAAAACAUUGCAUCCAGGCAUGGUUUACAUAAUAUUUUUUCGGAUAAUGAUACUUUGACACCCAAAUUCUAACAAAUAUUUGACACUGGACACGUGUCAUAAGUCAAUUGGUCAGUGUGUUUAAUGUUUAAAAAAAUUGAAACACACGGACCAAUUAACUUAUGACACGUGUCCGGUGUCAAAAAUUUGUUAGAAUUUGGGUGUCAAAGUAUCUUUAUCCUAUUUUUUCUAGAAUAAUAAUAUUAUCACACACUUUUACGUUCAUUUGACACAUACUACAAGGGUAAAAUAAUCCAAAAAAUGUAAAGUUUUAUAGUUUUUCAAGGAAAAAAAGAAUAAAAAAUAAAUAAAAACAGUCUCAAAUAAAUAUAAAAAAUUUAAGUGUGUCAAAUAAUCAUUUCUCUUUUUUCUAUGACCCGACUUUUACAUAUUUAUACCCAGAAGAUCCACUUUCAAACGAGGAUAGAGCUUGUAUUCUUAAAGAAGCGGCUCCAAGGAAGAAGGAACAUCAACAUGAUCAAAUCCAUUAAAUAGUAAUUAGGGCAUGCUGACUAUUUAGCAUGUUUUCCUAACAUUCUGCUGUCGGGGAACCUCAUGUGUUGAUCUUUAUUUAAUUGGCUUGUUUUGAAAUUAGUCAAUGACGAGAUUCUUUAAAAAAAAAGUUUGAACACCAUGGUUAUAUGUUAUGAAAAAUUAUGAAAUUACAUAUUUUUUGUUUCGAGUUGGUUAUGUUUAGAAAAAGUAUUUUUUAUUGAUUAAUUUUUUGUAUAUUUAAGAAUUAUAUACAUUAGUGCAUGUGAUUUUUUUUUUAAAUAAAAUCAGACGAGUUCACCCGUUAUAGAAACGAUUGGCUUGUCUAAACCAUUUUUUCUUUAUUGGCUAGUCAUACACAUUCUACAAAGGUUGAAGAAAAUGAGAGUUUGAAUCUAUUAUUUUGUCUAUAAUAAUUAGGAUAAUAGUUCUUAUUCUAACAAUUGAGGUCAUACUUUAAAAUUUCAAUAUAUUUUAAAAGUGUAUUAAAUUUUAAAAAGUGCAUAUCAAUAUUUUUUUUAUGUAAAUGUUUAUAAAUAUUUUAACAUAAUUAUGAAUACUUUAUACACCAAUUAUUUGUUAUCAUAUGAAAAAUAUUAUUAAAAAAUAAUAAACAAAUGAGAUCAAAUUAAAUUUAGGUAAAAAAUACAUAAUAAAUUUUUCAAAAUUAAACCACCCUAAAUAAAAGAAGUUUAUUUCUAUUAUAAAAAAAAAAGAAAUCAUUCCAUUUAUAAUGAAUUUUAUAAAUCAAAAAGCCAAUUGUCCUAGAAUAAUACUUAAACACCAUUUCUUACAUAUCUUCAAAUAUAUUUAUCUUAACUCUAUAAAAGAAUAAAAAAAAAAAAAACUUUACAUAAUAAUUCAUAAUCAUUUUUUAAAUCAAACAAGUUUAAAGUCAAUUUUCUAAAAAUACUAACAAUAAUUCCCAUAAUUUUACCAUAUAAAUAUUUCUGCAUCCAAAACAAUAGUGAAACUACUAAUGUAUUAUUACAUAAGUUUAAAUAAGUUUAUAUUCUCGCAUGUUUUAUCUAAUUUUAAUUAUGCAAAAUGAUUACUUUAAAAAAAAAUACUUUUUCGUGAAUAUACAUGUGCAUAUACAACAAACAUGUAUAGCUAAAAUAGAAAUGUUAUCUUUAGAUAUUGUUAUCUUACCUAGUGGCUUAUUGUAAUUAAAAACGUGGUAAGUAAAUAAAUUUUAGUAUACCGAUAUAAUUAUAAUGUACAAAUGAAGAAAAUAAAAAUAAAAUAAAACAUUUUUAUAAAUAUUAUGAGAAUGAAUAAAAUUUAUUACAUUUUAUUUAAAUCACGCUCAAAAAACAUAAAUCGGAGAACGAGGAGUAAUACAACAGAAUAUCUAUAACCUUGCAAAGGAAUCUCACCUUAUUUAACUAAAAUGAAUGCUUCUGACAGCAUUGAAUAUAUUUAAAAGAACACACUAAAUAAGGAGACAGGACAAAUUUCAACAGAAGAAAAAAAAAAAUUGGAUAUUGAAACUUAGAAACUGGCCUGAGAUUACGAUCACUUUGGAAAGUCCACUUUAAAAGAAGGAAGAGUUGAAAUUUUCUUUAAUUUAUUUUUAUUCCUUGUAACAUUUUAUUUUACCAUAUUUUUUAGUUGGGUUAAAUAUGUUUUUCGUCCCCCAACUAUUGGUCGUUUUUGUGUUUAGUCCCUCUUUUAAAGUAGGGUACAAUUUAGUCUUUCAACUUUAGAAAACUCUGGUAUUAGUCCUUUUUAUCAAAUUUUUUUAACUUUAUUUGCUGUUUCGAACGCGUUUCUCAGUUAACAUUGAAUCAAAAAUGUGUCAAAAUGUGUAAACAAUCCAAAUGCUAUAAUGUAACGUGUUUAAAACAGCAAAUAAAGUUUAAAAAAUUUGGUAAAAAAGACUAAAACCAUAGUUUUCUAAAGUUGUUGAAAGAGGGACUAAACACAAAAACGGCCAAUAAUUGGGGGACGAAAAACAUAUUUAACCCUUUUUAGUUUAAAUAUAAAUAUGAAUUGAAAUGCAUAUCGAAAUUGAAAAUUAAAUUGAAUAAAAACAUGUAAUUGUAUUAUAGCUUACCAGUGAAAAAAAAAAAAAACCUUCGUUAUAUUUUAAGAAAAAAAAAACUAAAGAGUAAAAUAGAAAUAUUAAACCCUGCACCAUUCAUAUAUUAUUAUAAGUUUAUUUUUAUUUUAAAAUACAAUAAAAAAUAAAAUAAAAAUGUGAAUAUAAAAAAGGGAGAAUAUCUUUAAAUAUUGUUACAUCACUAAUGACUUGUUGUAUAUGUAUUUAUAUUAUCAGUUUUGAUCUACAAAUCAUUAAAAUCAUACAGAUAAUAAUAUUCUUAAGUACCAUGUAAUUAGUAGUGUUAAAUACAGUGAAUGAGAUUAAUAUCUUGUGUGUGAAAUAUAAACAUAGGAUAUUCUAUUUAUAAUAAUAAAAUAAAUAUGAACUAAAUUUAAAAUACAAAAAAAAAAAUAUAAAAAAUAAAUAUAAAAUAAAGAUAAUAUAUCAGCAGAUUAAAAAGUUAAUAAAAUAAAAUAAUAGACUAUUUUCUAAAAUAAAAAAUUAAUACAAUAAUUACCAUGACAAAAUACUUUUUAUAAUAUGUAUUACAUAUAAAAUAAAAUAUUCUGCAUAUAAAAUAAUGCGAUAUUAUUUAUAAUAAAUAAUAUUUAUCAUAUAUCAUGAUUCGAUAAUCUAAUGAAAAUAUGUAUUUAUAUUAUUGCAUCUACAAAUCGUAAAAAUCAUGCCGAUAAUAAUAUUCUUAAAUACUAUGUAAUUAGUAGUCAAAAAGAUGAAUAAAAUAAUAGGGAAAAAAUUAAUAUUAGCAUGAGAUAUUCUUUGGUGAUAAAAUCUUUUCUAUGAUAUAUACUGCAUAUAAAAUAAUAUAAAAUUGUUAAUUUCUUAUUUUCCCUUCCCAGUAUUUGAAUGGUGAUCACAAUUUCUCAGAGAAGAUUCUUCCUUGUUUGAGCCUUAACUCUGCCACUUUGAGAAUCAUUAGCCGUUAUGAGUCUCUUCAACUACCACCGUCUUGAUCAACAACUCCUUCACACCAUCGCUUAUGACGCUCUCGUUUGGAGCUCUCUUCAUGGCCUCGUCGUCGGUGAUAACUCCGUUCAGGUUACUCUUCCGUCAUUUUCUUUUGUAAUUUGUUCUAUUCCUUUGCUUGUUUGCAAUGUAUCAUGUAAUUUGUUCUAUUGAUUUAAAUCAAUGGAUACAGAGAUCAGGGAGCGUUCCCGGCGUAGGAUUGGUGCAUGCUCCGAUUGCAUUGUUACCGACGCCGUUUCCCCAAAACCAGUGGAGACAAGCCUCCGAAUUAGCUCCGAUAUUCAAUGAACUUGUUGAUCGUGUUAGCUUGGAUGCAUCCUUUCUCCAACACUCUCUCUCCAGGUUAACCCUUCCUCAACUCUUUUUCUUGCUACCUUCUUCAUGCAUUUUAGGGUUUAUUAUUCCAUAAUAUGUUACACAGUUUAUUUUUUUGGAAAAAGUCUCCUUAACAGUUGUUUUUUUAUAACUUUUUUAUAACGCAUACGUGUCAGUCUAUGUGUCAUAUGUGUCAGUCUAUGAUUGAUAUGUUUUAAAUAUUUUUUAAACAUAAAUUCAAACAGAUCAAUAAAAUGAUGACAAAUCCUGUUAAAAAAGAAUUGAAAAUAUCGUUAUCCUAUUUUCUUUUAUAUAUAUUUCCUGUGUUCAUAUUUUUUUGUAUUUUUCAAAACGCAGAACUAAGGAAGCCGAUGAAUUCACCUCUGGACUUUUGGACAUUCAUUCCAACAUGCUACGCAUUAACAAAAAAGAGGUAACCGUUAUUUAUAUUACAAAUCGAUUUUACGAAAUUAAAUUAAGUUUAAAAUAUACUUCUUUUAUAUAUUUAUUAUAAUUUUAUUGAUAAAUGGUAUUUUUAUUUGUGUGCUAUGCCAAAAAUUUUGUAGGAAAUAAGAUUGGGGUUACAUCGAUCAGAUUAUAUGCUUGAUGAAAAGAGUAAUUCACUUCUGCAAAUAGAACUUAACACUAUUGCCUCUUCGUUUGCCGGUCUUAGUAACCUUGUGACAGAACUUCAUAGGUAAAAUAAUAUCACCUAAUGUUUUGAGAAGUUUCAUCCUAUAUUAAUUUAUGGAUAAAAUAUUUUAUACUAAAAUGUAAACAAAAUUAUGACUCGAUUAAUUUUUCAAAAUACUUGUUUAUAUGAAAAUUUUAUUCAAAAAUGUGUGAAUAAUAAUCAAUUUAAGUAUUUUCUGAAAUUUGCCAACUCCAUAUUCAAUGCUCAAUUACGACCUUAGUCAAGACUACAUUAUUUUUUUUUAUAACAAUAAAUGGAGAAUAAAGGUAUUCCAAUCCUUUUUCAAGAAAAAAAUAUGUUUAAAAUGAUCAUUCGUCCUGUAUUUUGGUUGUAAUGAAAUUUUGAUGUUGAUGAAAUAUUUUUAUAUUAGUUGAUCAUUUUAUAGAUACAUAGUUUGGCGCCAUGGAAAAUUGUUUGGACUUGAUUCCAAAAGUAUUGCUGCAAAUGAUGCUGUUAAUCAAAAUGCAGAGGCUUUAGCUAAAGCUUGGAGUGAAUACAAUAAUCCCAGGUCUGUUAAGGGGAAAAAAAUUCCUUUAACUUUCUCCUCGAAGUUUUUAUGCUGCUUUUGAUUCCUUAUGUUUUCUUUGUAUCCAUGCAGAGCUGUGAUUAUGAUUAUUGUUCAAGCUGAAGAACGAAACAUGUACGAUCAGCAUUUUGUUUCUGCACUUCUCAGAGAAAAAUAUCCUUUUUCUUAUUCUAUAGUAAAUUGCAUAUUUUAUUUUUGUUGUCUGAGAAUCCUUAGCUUUAUAACACACACAAUAUUACAAGUAUACGGAAAACAUUGGGAGAAGUUGACGAAGAAGGGGAAAUUUUACCAGAUGGAACGCUUUGUUUGUAUGUCAUUAACCUUCGGCCACUAAAAUAAAAACUGCAUAUUCAGUUAUUUUUUUUAUUACAUUAUAUUUCUGAUUAAUUGUGAAAAAAUGUACAUAAAUUUUGCAGGAAUGGACAGCAAAUUUCAGUAAUUUAUUUUCGGGCUGGCUAUACACCAGCUGACUAUCCUUCAGAAUCUGUAAGUAACAUGGAUUCAGUUUUUGUCAUGCUCAUACGAAUCCUGCUUUUCACUAUGCAAACAUCUAUAUUUUUUUUUAAAGAAAAAUGUUUUUUUUUUUAACUAUUUACGUCUGUUGACAAUUUAUUUUAAGAAUAUUUUUUCAAAAAAAUAAUUUUUCGGAUAAAGUAUUAUAGAAGAAUUAAAGAAUAAAGUAAUGAAUGUAAAAUGUGUGAAAAAAACUUUUGGUGUAAAAAAUAAUAGCACUCUUUCUUAAACUUCAUUUUUAAGGUAUCAGGAAGGUUGAUCCCUACAAAUAUUAAAUUCUUUUCGAAAAUGAUAAAUAAUAUCAACUUCUUAUAGAAAACAUAUGAUUUUUUUUUUCUACAUCCCAUACUAAUAAAAACAAGUUAAAACCAUCCUUGUCAAUAUUAUAACUUUUUUAAGGACAAAACAGUUAUUUUAAAAUUAUUGGAGUGUAAUUAUCAAAUAUGGGAGUGCAAGGUGAAAAACUAGAACUAGGAGCCAUAAACUAUUUUUUGGGUUACAUUGGUAAUUGUUGUCUCCAAACUCCACCAUCAUUUGGGACUGUAUGAAUACUUCACGUCAUAUACUAAAAUUAAUUUAUAUCCAAAUUAAUUAUUAGAAAAAUUGUUAUAUUACUUUUUUAAAAAAAUGAUUUUUUAAUUUAAAUAUAAAGUAAGUUUAACUUAUAAAAAAAAUACCUUUUUUUUCUUCAGUAAAUUGUUAUUCAAAUAUUAAUUCUUUCUCAAUUCUUUUAGCAGAAGAAACACUUGUAAUAUAUUUUUAAAAUUUAUUAAAAAAAAAUUAAAUAGAAAAGAUAAAAAUAAGUUGAAAAAAAAAUACUAUUUUAAAAUUGUUAGUGUGAAAGCUCUUUUAAUAAAAAAUGUUUUUUAAUUAUAACAAAAUAAAAGUAAUAUCUGUUAUGUAAAAGCUUGCUUCCUUCUUUCAAUUCUAUGGAUUAUUUUCUGUCAUACAUAUAUCUUGUAAUAUUAGUGAGCCUUCUAGCCUCAGUUUGAGAUCUUAUGGUUUUGGUAUAUGUUGCUGAAAUGCAGGAAUGGAAAGCUAGGCUACUCAUGGAAAAAUCUUCUGCUAUCAAAUGUCCUUCUAUAUCCUAUCAUCUGGUUGGCACCAAAAAUAUUCAACAGGAACUUGCAAAGCCUGGUGUUCUUGAGAGGUAUAUCUUCUGUAAUUCUAUGGUCAACAGUUUUUAAGUUAAAAUCACAGUAUACUUAAAGGAUCUGUUUAACAUCCAUAAGUUUUCCAUCACAACGGAAAAUGUUUCAAUAAUUAAACCCUAAAAUCCUUGAAUUAAAACUAUGAACAGGUUCCUUGAUAACAAAGAAGACAUUGCUAAGCUGCGUAAAUGCUUUGCUGGAUUAUGGAGUUUGGAUGAGUCAAGCAUUGUUGAAAAAGCAAUUGAAAAUCCGGAGUUGUUUGUGAUGAAGCCCCAAAGAGAAGGAGGAGGUCUUGCACUAUACCUAAACAUUGAUUCAACCUAUUACCUUACUUUAUUGAAAAAAAAACUUACAUGAUUAUUUCUUUCUCAGGAAACAAUAUUUAUGGUGAUGAUGUGAGGGAGACCCUCCAAAAGUUGCAAAAAUCAGGUUCUCAAGAAGAUGCAGCUUAUAUCCUUAUGCAGAGGAUAUUUCCUGCUAUUUCUGCAACAGUUUUGAUGCGUAAUGGUUGUUGGAGUAAGCAUCACGCCAUUUCAGAACUAGGCAUAUUUGGUACUUAUUUAAGGUACAUUUGCUUCACUGUAACAGUUCUGAGUUUAAAUUUACAUUAACUUGACAUUGAUGCAAUGAAAUAUAUGCAGGAAUAAGGAUAAGGUUAUCAUUAAUAAAGAAAGUGGGUAUCUGAUGCGUACAAAAAUAUCAUCAUCUGAUGAAGGCGGUGUUGCAGCUGGCUUUGCAGUGCUAGAUAGUCUAUACUUGACUUGAGAGUGCUAACAAUUUUACAUACCUUAGUUUAUUUAUCAGGCUAAUUCAAAACAUUAUGCAACUAGCUUCUUUGACAUACUUUUCUUUUGUUUGGGGAAAUCUUGCUUUGAAUUUCUAUGAUGGAAGGAAGUGUCGUUAUAAAUUCAACCUCCUCUUCAAUUUUUUAAUAUCUUAUUAAAAUAAUAAGUUUAUGUUUUUUUAUGUAAUAUAUUUAAAUUUCGUACAUUGUUUCUAAUAAUUAGGAUAAUAGUUCUUAUUUCAACAAUUUAAAUCAUACUUUGUAAUUUCCAUAUAUUUAUUGUUUUAAAUUGUAAACAAAUGCAUAUCAAUAUUUUUUUUAUGUAAAUGUUUUAAAAUAUUUUAACGUAAUUAUGAAUAUUUUAUAUGGCAAUCAUUUAUUAUUAUGAAAAAUAUUAGACUUAAAUACUUACUUGGUUUCUAUAUUUAAUGGUAAUUUUCAGUUUAAUAUUUGAUUUUAAAAGUGUAGAUAUUGAAUCUCAAAAUUAUCAAAAUUGUAUGAAUUGGGUGCAUUAAACGAACGAAACGGAAUUAACUCCCAUAUCACGGGCCAAAAAAAAUUUUCAAUUUUUCUUUGGAAAAUGAUAUUUUAACACCUUUUUUUAUCCCAUUUUGACACUGCACAUGUGUCAAAAUGUGAUUGGAUUGAAGCAGGGGUAUAUUUGGAAGAGAAAAACCAAAGUUUAUUUUUUUAAUUUGAAAUCGUUCAACCACAUUUUGACAUGUGUGUAGUGUCAAAAUGAUGUUAAAAAAUGGUGUUAAAAUAUCAUUUUCCGAAUCACUUAAUAUUUGUUUCCUUGCCUCUUCCAAUGUCGAUUCAUUAUUUUGCCCAAAUGUGAAUUCACUUUACUAUGGAAGUAUGGAGGAAAUUAACGUGGGGUUUUCUAUUAUUAAUCAAAUUGCAUGUAUGAUCAUAAAACAGUGUAUUACAGCUUUUGUGUAUCGUUUACAGUUUUUCUGGUACAAGUAUAAUUUUUGCAGUUGAAACUAUAACUAUGUAGCAUUUUACAAAGAUGAAACUAAAUCCUGUUAAUUGUUGAUUUUUGUUUGAAAAGUAACUAAAGAUCGGAGCUCAAUGUAUUCGAUGCUUUUCAAAUUGGAAGAUUAUAAAAUUUCACUUUCACUUCGAAUAGUCAUGGGUACGAAGCUCAUGAGAUCCUGCCAUCUUUUCUCACGCUUUUAGAUUGAAGCCUUUAUAAAUACAAGACAAACUUCACAAAAUUCAACUACCCCUGUCUUAUGAAAAAAGAGAGAGAAAAAAAAUAUUCAUAAAAAUAUAGAAAAUUGAGAAAAACUGGGACAGAACACGGAAAAGCAGAAAAGAGAGAAAAAAAAAAGUAAAAAAAGUUUUCAAAUCGGAUACUAAACUAAAAAUUAUCAUUUAAUAUAAAGACCAAAUAAGUAUUUAAUCCAAAAUAUUACUAUAUGAAAAUAAUAAUAAAAGAAAUGGGAUCAAAUCAAAUUCAUGUGAAAAAUACAAAGUAAAUUUUUCAAAAUUAAACCACUCUAAAUAAAGGAAGUUUAUAUUUAUUAUAAAAAAGAUAAAAAAUAGUCAUUUUGUUUAUAAUUAAUUUUAUAAACCGAAAAGUCCAUUGUUCUUAAAAAUAUAUAAUACUUAAACUCCAUUUCUUACGUAUCUUUACAUAUAUUUAUCUGAUCCUUUUAAGAAAUCAAAAGAACAAUUUGAAAAAAAAAAAAACAUACAUAAUAAUUCAUAAUCGAUUUUCAAAUCAAACAAGUUUAAAGUCAAUUAUCUAAAAAUACUCAACAAAAGUAGUUCCUAUAAUUUCACUGUAUAAAUAUUUCCUCAUCCAAAACAAUAGUAAAACUACUAAUAUAUUAACUCAUUACCUGUAAUUAUCAAUUUUUUAUAUAAAUUAAAUAAGUUCAUAUUCUCACAUGUUUUAUCUAAUUUUAAUUAUACAAAAUGAUUACUGUAAUAUUUUUUUCGUGAAUAUACAUGUACAUAUACAACAAAUAUGUAUAGUUAAAAUAGAAAUAUUAGUAAUAAAAAGAAGGUUUAAUGUCUCAAUAGGUCCCUAUUUUCGUCUAGAAUCUUAAAUAGGUCUCUUUCUUUUUCGGCGUCUCAAUUAAGUCCUUAUUUUCUUAAAAUUGAAUUAAAUAGGACAUUUCCGUCAAAUUGAGAUGACACCGUUAAGAAGGGUAUCUUGACCGUGACAUUGAAAAUGUGACUGAAUUGUAUUUUUUUAAUUUUUGAAUUAAAAAAUGAAGUAUACUCUUUAUAUUUCAUUUUUUAAUUCAAAAAUUAAAAAAAUACAAUUCAGUCACCUUUUUAAUGUCACAUAAUAAAAAAUUACACUGUCAACAUACGACGUCAUCUCAAUUUGACGGAAAUGUCCUAUUUAAUUCAAUUUUACAAAAAUAAGGACUCAAUUGAGACGUCGAAAAGGGACAUAUUCGAAAUUUUGAGCGAAAAUAGGGACUUAUUAAGACAUUAAACCUAAAAAGAAUUUUAUAUUACACUUUAUAAUUAUUCAUUUUUACGUUUUAAAUACUUUUUUGGUUUUUAAUUUGAUCAAUUUUGUUUAAUGUGAGACUAUUUUUUUUAGUGUUAAUUUGUUUAAUUUUCAUAAUCUAUGUUGAAUAUGUUUUUGUUUUCAUUACAUCGUUUAGAUAGUUAAUAGUAUAUUGGGGAUGGAUUUUAACCACACUCGUUAAAUAAAAUUCUUGAAUGAAAUAAUUAUUUCUAUUCUCUAAAAAAUAAUAGUCACAUCACUUUAGUUUUUGGAAGAAUGAAAAUCUCAUAAACACCCAAAUACAGAGAUAUUCUUGAAGAGAAAAAGAAAGUUCUUAGAAAAGGUUGACCAGUAGAAUUACAAACUUAUUAAAAAUCAAAAGAACAAAGUUACCCAAUGAAUUUCUUCACUCGAUUAUAUAUAUCUGUCCUCAAUACUACACAGAGUCAUUCAACGCUAUAUAACAAGAACUUGAUUUUCUAAUUUGGUUACACUCAAAACCUAUCUGAGUGACUAAAUUGAAAAUGCAUAUCAAUAGUUUAUAUAUGAAUAUGAACUAAAAUGCAUUUCAAUAUUGAAAAUUAACUUCGUUAUAUUUUAAGAAAAUAAUAAAAAAUAAGAAUAAAAUAGAAAGAUUAAGCAUAUUUAUCUAUUAUUAUAAGAUAUUUUAAUUUUAAAAUGCAACAAAAAUUAAUAUAAAAACGGGUAUAUAAAAAGAGAGAAUAUCUUUAAAUAUUGUUAAAUGACCUAAUGACGUGUUGUAAUUAAAUAUGUUAUAAGUAACGAAAAUAUGUAUUUAUAUUAUUAGUUAGGAUCUAAAAAUCGUUAAAAUCAUUCCGAUAAUAAUAUUAUUAAGUAGUAUGUAAUUAGUAGAUUAAAAAGUGAACAAAAUAAUAGGCUACUUUCUAAAAAAAUAUAAAAAAUUAAUACAAUAUUAACAUGAGAUAUCCUUUGUCAUGAUAAAAUUUAUUCUAUAAUAUGAACUGCAUAUAAAAUAAUAUGAUAUAAUUUAUAAAAAAUAAUAGUUAUUAAAUAUCAUGAUUCGAUAAUCUAAUGAAAAUAUGUAUUUAUAUUAUUGAAUCUACAAAUCAUAAAAAUCAUGCUGAUAAUUAGGAGAUUAAAAAGUCAAUAAAAUAAUAGAAAAAGAAAAUAUAAUAUUAGCAUGAGAUAUUCUUUGGUGAUAAAAUAUUUUCUAUGAUAUAUACUGCAUAUAAAAUAAUAUAAUAUAAUUUAAAUAUAAUGUUGUUAAUUUCUUGGGUUUUAUAUAUUUGAGUGGUGAUCACAAUUCAUCACAGAAGACUCUUCCUUCUUUGUGCCUUUUAUCUCUGAAACUUUCAGAAUCAUUAGCCGUUAUGAGUCUCUUCGACUACCACCGUCGUUGGUGAUAACUCUGUUCAGGUCAUUCUUCCGUCAUUUUCUUUUGUAAUUUGUUUUAUUCUUUUGCUUGUUUAGAAUCGUAUCAUGUAAUUGGCUUAAGGUAAAAAAGAUCUUAAUUCUUUUUAUUAAUUUAAAUCAAUGGAUGCAGAGAUCCGGCAGCGUUUCCGGCGUCCGCUUCCAUUGUUUCCGACGACGCCGUUUCCCCAAAACCUGUGGAGACAAGCCUCUGAAUCGGCUCCGGUAUUCAAUGAACAUGUUGAUCGUCUCAGCUUCUCCUUCUUCACUCUUUUUCUUACUACGUUCUGCAUAAAUGUCUAUGUAAAGAUAAAUCAAGGAUGAAAAUGAUUGUGAUAAUUUGAGUAGAAUUUUGGCUUUUAUGAAUCAUACUCAUCAUUACAAAUUGUGUUUAUAUUAUUGUUAUCUUCUUCUGAAUUCAACGACUGUGUUCAAUUUUGGAAGUUUCAUUUUCGGAUUCCCUUAUCUGUCGGACCGAACUUAUGUAUCUGUCAGACCGGUAGAAGAAAUCGGAAAUUAAACUUUUAAAGUUGGACCAGUCUUUCAAUUCACAAGAAGAUGAUGAUAUAUAUGUAUGCACAAUUUAUCGUGAUGGAUAUAAUGCAAAGAAGUUAAAAUUAUACAUAAAUUCUCACCAUCAUUUCUAUCAUUGAUGCAUUCUUAUAUGGACUUGUUGUAAACUCUUGUAAAAAAUUUAAAUACAACAACCACAUAGUUUGAAAUUCCAAUGCACUUCUCAUAUCAUAAAGAGAUAGAGAGUUAUAGAGUUUUUUGUAUUCCUCUUUUAGAGAUAUAGAGUUAGAGUUUUUUUUAUGGGAAAUGAUAUUUUAACACCAUUUUUUGACACUAUUUUGACACUGCACACGUGUCAAAAUGUGGUUGGAAGAGAAAAACUAAAGUUUUUUUUUUAAUUUGAAAUCAUCCAAUCAUAUUUUGACACGUGUGCAGUGUCAAAAAAAUGGUGUUAAAAUAUCAUUUUUCUUUUUUUUUUUGUAUAUCUUUUGUAAUCGUACUUUUAUAGUGAAAAUCUUUUUACUGGACAAGGUCCCGUGGUUUUUCCCGAAAGGGUUUUCCACGUAAAAAUAUUGGUGUUAUUUUCUUCUCUACUUUUUAUUUUAUUUUAUUUCAAUAACAAAAAUUAUUAAUAUAAAUAGAAAAUUAAAGUAUUCCAAGUUUUUUACAAGAAAAAAAAACCUAUAACUCUCACAUUUUUUUAUUAAAAUAAUUUGGAGUUUAAAAAUAAUUUUGUAAAAAUUUAUCAAGUUAAGAGUGUAGACGGUGUUAAUAAAAUUUGAAUUUUUUCUGCAAGGAUUAAGGUUACAAGUUUUUUUUUUAUAUAAUAUGCUCUAUAGCGUUUCCUUUGUCAGAUCAUCACAUUCGAUUAUUUUCUUUACAGAUUUUGUUUUCAGUUCCAUCAUCUUUCUCCUUUAUAUCUUUUCUUUCCCUCUGUUAUUUCUCUCCCAUUUUUAUAAUUAUAUGCUUCACAAAUAGAAUUAUAUAUAUAUAUAUAUAUAUAUAUAUAUAUAUUAAAACUCAAAAUUCAAAAUUUAAAAAUAUUUAAAUUAUUUUAACAAACAUAACAUUUAAGAAAAUAAUUUUAGCUUUAUCCAACCAGAAUUUAAAAAGAAAGAAGUUCAAGUAAUUCAAAUAAUGUAUUUCAAAUGCAAGAUAGUCUGUACUUGACUUGAGAGAGCCAUCCAUUUACGUACAUACCUUUAUGCAAUUAGGUUCCUUAACAUACUUUUCUGUAGUGUGGGGAAAUCUUUUUUUUAAUUUUCUUUAAUGGAAUUUUUCACAUAGAUAUGUCAUUAUUGGAUAUAUCAUAUAUAUUUGAUUAAAAUUCAAUCCAGACUGACGUUGCUUUUAACAUCUAAAAAUAUGUGUUUGAGUUUUUUUUCUUUGUUAUAUAAAACGUUGAGAGGAGUAAAAUUACAGAUUUAUUAAAACCAAAAGAAUAAAGUUAUCAAUUUAUAUUGAAUGGUCAAAUUUUUAGUAUUAAAACGAAGUAUAAAUAUAACAAAAAUGUUUUCCCAUACAAGAUGUCCAAAAUGUUAAAACAGUGAAAAGAAUUUCGGUAGAGGUAAGUAACACAAAAUUAUCACAAGUACAAUAGUUGUAAUACUAGUGCAGUCUUUAACGUCAUCCUUUAAACGUUGGACCACAAAAUAUUCAACGUAAAUUAUUGACCGGUGGCAUUUUUGUAAAUAAAUGGUCAUAUAGACAUUGGUUAGUAGGGUCCCCGACGUCUAUAAUUUUAUAGACGUCGGGUCUCUCCUAGCCGCCGUCUACGGGAUUGAUAGGUAGGUGAAAAAUUCAUUUUUUUCUGUCAUAUAAACCCCGCCAGUAAGACGUCUAUAGUCAUAUAUAGACGUUUGGCCCCCUUGUAACCGACGUCUAUACGUCAAAUGGCCUAAGAGGGUAGGUGAAAAAAUUGUUUUGGAUGUCGGCUCCCCUUACAUUCGACGUCUAAAUGGCCUAACAGGAUAGAUGGAAAGUUGUCUUAGACAUCGACUCCCCCUAGAUCCAACGUCUAUACACACCACGAAUAUUGAUUUUUAAUUCGAAUGGACUUCACAUUAGUCAGGUCACCGACCUCUAGUCGGCCACUAGGGGAUCCGACGUCUAGAUUCCUGUUAAAUCAGAAUUCGCAAACCUGCGGUUACGCGCAUAUCAUCGUCUUCCUCCUCACCUUUUCUCUUCGCGACAUUGCAUCUCAGGUGCGUUUUAUCUCUUUUGAACAGUUUAAACUUACUUUUACUCCGAUUAAAGUAGUCUUUGAUGGAUUAUCUUCUAUUUGAACCGAUUAAAAUAAUUUUUUGUUGUGUUUUAGUACAGUUUUGCUCGUGUCUUUCUGUAACGUAGUAGCACCUUCUCCUUUUGCUAGCUCCCUCGUAAGAAAAGUUGCGUCUUUUGGAUCUCUUAUGCCAUUUCAACCCAAAAUCGAACUUGGGUCCUUGCCUAGUUCUCAUGUUACCAUACUUUUUUUUUAUUGGCAGUUGGAAUGGAACUAGACAAAGACCCAGGUUCGAUUUUGGGUUGAAAUGCCUUAAGAGAUCCAAAAGACGCAAGCUUUUCUUAUGAGGAAACUAGCAAAGGGAGAAAGUGUUACUAGGCUAUCCAAAGACGCGAGCAAAACUGCACUAAAACACAACAGCUCAGUAGACAUCGGUCGAUGCCAUUUCCGACGUCUAUAUGCCUUUUAAACGUCGGUUAGUGACAUGUCUGACGUCUUUAUAGUGCCCUUAGACGUCGGACAUGACACUAACCGACGUCUUUAUAGUGUCCUUAGACGUUGGUUAGUGUCAUGUCCGACAUCUUUAUAGACAUUAGAUUCUAUAAGUCUGAUGCCUCAUUAACGUCACCGAUAAAGACGUCAGAUUGGGAUCUGACGUUAAAAGUCCAAAAUAACAUACGUCUAAAGUCCUUUCUGUACUAGUGUAAUGUAUUAUUAAUAGAUAUGUUCAAAAUUAUCACAAGUACUGUAAUGUAUUUUGGUUGUAAUGAAAUUUUGAUGUUAAGGAAAUAUCUUUAUCUUAGUUGAUCAUUUUAUAGAUACAUAGUUUUGCGCCAUGGAAAAUUGUUUGGACUUGAUUCCAAAAGUAUUGCUGCAAACGAUGCUGUUAAUGAAAAUGCAGAGGCUUUAGCUAAAGCUUGGAGUGAAUACAAUAAUCCCAGGUCUGUUGAGGGGAAAAAAAAUCCUAUAACUUGUCUUUGAAAUUUUUAUGCUGCUUUUGAUUCCUUAUGUUUUCUUUGUAUCCAUGCAGGGCUGUGAUUAUGAUUAUUGUUCAAGCUGAAGAACGAAACCUGUUGUUGUCAACAUGAUUUAAUAACCCGGGUCCAAUCUUUAUUAGCGGAACAGUAUGAAAUUCAUUCAUCAAUAAAAUAAUGCAAUAUUGCUUAUAUCAUAUUCUUAUCUUUAAAGCUUCCAAUGAAGCAUCCACCAACCACCAUAAUAUCUGAACUGAAUGAAAUCCACUGGUUUUUCAUCAGUUCUGCAUCUGUUACUGUCAUUUGCUAAACAAGGAUUUGUGAUAUAUUGUCUUUUAUUUUGAAAAGCUUUGGCAAAUGGCAUUGUUAGUAUUGAACUGUGGUAGUGUCUUUUGUGAUCAAUUUAUGAAAAAAGUGAGGUAAAAACAAGAAGAAAGUGGUAAAACACUAAACUUGCUUCAAUGGAAUAACUGACCUUUCUGAAAUCAUCUCAAGAAAACAGUGUAUUGGCAAUGAAAGCUAUGUUACAAUUAUCAUUAGCUAAUGAUGGUUUUUUCUGUCACUCCACCCAUAUUCACGAGCUCGAUUUUCCCACAUUGUUGUCAGCCUUCGUUCUUCAAUGAGCUCUGCCUCUGCCCUCUGCCUUGCUUCUUCACAAGUUUCCAUUCCAAUGUUGCACUUUUCUGCUUCUUUCUUGUACUGUGAAAAGGUUUUCUUGGCAUCCAUUACUAACCUUUUCGUGUGUUCCAAGCUCUCCUUCGCCACUACUUUCUGCAAAUUUAGCUCCUCAGAUAGCAUUGCCAAUAGACCCUUAUUCAUUUCCUCAUUCAAAACAGGAUCACGUUUACCACAAUCUACACUUGCAUGAGUCAAGUUUCAUAUUAAAAAUUGAACCCUUUAUGCAUCAAAGUAAAUAAGCGUGGAGUAAAGCAAAUUGUUUUGUGAAACGUUUCAACAAGUAGAAAUUCAAGAGAUGAAUUUACCAGAAACUGAGCCAUUGGCGAGUCCUGCAAAAGUCAGCAACAUUGUUGAGAAAUAAACCAAUAUAUUAUAUUAAAGAAUUUAAAUACCAUACAUACAUACAUACAUAUAUAUAUAUAUAUAUAUAUAUAUAUAUAUAUAUAUAUAGAUUAACUAAAUAUGUGGCAACACAAGCUACACUUAUGACACUAGGCUUAAUAUUAAGUAUGUUGUUGGAUAUAUCGAAGAGGAAGUUCACAGAUAAAGAUACCAUGCUAAUGAGAUCUAAACCUAACUACAUAAGAGAUUAGAGAUUGACAACUUUUUAUUCAAAACCUUAAAAUAAUGGGUUAACGAGUCUUUCACUUAUAUUCAAUAUUAUACUUUCUUAUUUUUAUCUAAUGUGAGUCUUGAUCUAAGACUUGGAUUCCCAAGGUAAAUCCUCCAAUGCCUCAAUUUUCUUUGGUUCUUCCCUUUUAAGACCAAAGGUAGAACCAAGAUUUCAAGAUUUCCAAUUGAUGUAUGGAUGAAAUAGCAGAAAUAAGAAAAGUUUAGCUUUCUACAUUAUUAAGGAUUAAAGAUAUAGUGGCUCUAAUCCUUUAUACAAAGUCAGUAUUUUUCUGAUGAUUUUUUUCAAAAAAGGAUACAAAGUGCAGAAGGCAGUUCCUCUGCAAAUUGCUGCAGAUGUGGCAACUCCAUAUUCAGAAUAGCUCAGCACUGGAAACAAUAAAUGCUAGCUAAUUGCUAUACCUAUUCUCUAUGCCCACACCAUUUUCCAUUUUCAAACACACAAGGGUUACUUCUGUCUUUUUCUUGUAAUUGCAUCAAAUCAAACUUGUUUCUUUUUUUUGACUUGAAGACCAAAAUUGCUACAUUACACAGAAACUAAAAAAGGAAACUUCACUCACCCAAAGGAUCGAGGAGAUAUUCUGCUGAAGAGCAGUGACAAUCACAGGGAGGACAAGAAAAUUGAGGAGGUGCACUCUUCUUAACCAGCGACCGAGACGGCGGACCAACCGUAAACAGAAACAAACACACACUCAUCCAAACUAAAACCCACCUCAAAACACCAUGAGGACAAAGCUUUUGCUCUGGUAAGUGAACCCUCCACACCCUCAUUACAAACUCAAAACAGUUACUUCAACAAUUCUUGAUAGAAGGCUCCUGCAACAAUGCAACACUCACACUGCCAUUUGAAGAUCUGGGUCAGUGAGUUAGCAAGUAUGGAACAACACUUUGUUGGAUACCGAGAUAAAUAAAGGAUGUGACUUUGUGAAGUUGCGAGAGAAAACCACCUUUAUCAAGGGAAAAAUUUUACAAAACGAGAUCAUAGACGCUGAAUUUGACUGUAAAACACAAUGAUUGACAGAGAAACACUUCAGUUUCAUAAACUAUCACACAUAGUCUCUCUCUUUUCAAAGCGAGUGGAAGACACUGUCUACUUUGUCUUUCGGGAAAAUUAAAGGAGACCCAGAUCCCGGAAAAGUGUAAAGAUGGUGUCUUUAUGGGGUUUGCAAAACGGGAAUUUGCUGCUGAAGAGUGGGGUAGAAAUUGAAUAAUGAGAAAGAAAAAGAAUGGUGAUGUUGCGGCUUUAGGAUAAUCAAGAAGGUUGCUUUAAUGAUUGGUUUGGUUUGGUUUGUUUGUUUAAAUGAGAACGGUAACCUUGACAUUUUGAAACUUUGUUAACCAAUAAGGAGGAGUUAGUACUAGGUAGGUUAUGUUUUGUUAUGCCCCGUUUGGUUAUUCCGUAACACUCGUAUGUGAACUUAAACUAAAGUGAUUAACCAACCGUAUGUGCCCUGUAAGUUUGGAACGGUGCAACUGAAAGAUUCUUUGUUGCUACUCUCUUAGGUAGAUACCUUCCACUUGGUCUGUGUUGCGCACGUGCAUAGCUGCAAAAUUUUCGGGCUGUUACGAUAAAGACAAAGGCAAAUGGAACGUUGUAGGUUUUCAGUUACCAUGUUUGUUUAAGGAUUGGUUAAUUAAAAGAUUAACAUCAGAAUGGAAUUUUAGAUCGGAGGGAAAACAAACUAUAAAUGUUAUAUUUAAAAAUUAUAAUUCAAUUUAUAUUAUAUGUUUUGAUAAAUAUAAAUAUAUUGUGAUCAUGUUAUAAAUCAAUAUUUAGGAACAUGUUUAUUAGUAGUUAACUAAUUUUAAAUAUACAAUAUUAUAUUUAAAUAUAAUAAACUGUUUGGUUUGACUCUAUUUUCAAUUUAAGAAAAAUCUAAUGAAAACUCGGUAUGUUUUAUUUUUUUAUCUGAAUUUUAACCCAUCCAUUAAAUAUUAUUUACUAUGGUAGGAGUAUCAAAUAAUGGACACUGAUGCCAACACUGGAGCAACUAAUUAAUGUGUGUGAACAACGAACUUAAAUAUAACAGAGUUGAUCGAAUUUAUUGAACAGCGCCACCUAAUUACUUUUUUCAACCUCAAAACCCUAAGCAAAAACAACGUAACAGAACACCCAAUUCAAUUCAUUUUUACUUUAUCUAUUUUGGAAUCUCCAUUAAGUCCACCGGCCCACUUUUCUGCCUUUGGUAUCAAUGCUUUUUAAAAGUAAAUUCUAUUUUUAUGGAUUUCUAUAUAAAAGCCUACAAAGAAAGAUAAAAAUCAAUGAAAUUAGUUAUUUUUAAUAUGGUAAAUAUUCAUUAACUGUCAAAUACUUUACAUAUUAUGAAUUAAACAAAUUUGACGAAGUUAAAAAUAUAUAAUAAAUACAAAUACUAAGAACAUUCUUCCAUAUGUACAUGGUAGUUCAAAUGAUGCAUGGUAGUUCUGCUUGUAUCGAAGAAAAUAAAAUCGGCUGCAGUGGGACUCAGCAAUUAAAUGGAUAGAAGAAUUACAAUACCAUGUCAAUAUCAAAAUCAUAAUUAGUUAUCACUAAUAUACCAUUAAAUUUGAAAUAUUUUAGUUUUUUAUUAACAGACAUUGAAAUUGAUCUUUAAACGGCAAGAUAUACUAAAUAAAAAAUGGCAAGUGUUUAUGUUGUGCAAAUAUCACAUGACUCACUUAUUUGCAAUUCUUUCUUUUUCUGUCAAAUUGAUUCUCAGUGUCCAAUUUUGUAUUUUUCAGACAACCCUGCUCUUACAUGAUUUAUAGGUAUAUUCAACAAAAAAAAAAAAAAAGUGUAAAUCAGUACAAAUCCAGAGGAAAUUUUGACAUCAUGAAAGAUCCAGAAUGAUAUCCAAUAUUCACAAACAUCAAGAAUAAAAAAGUGAGUACAAAGUCGAGAAACACUGUAUAUUAGGCUCUCCUAAAUUCUGUCAUGAUGCAUUCAUAUUAUGCAUUCACAAAUCAACCAUUCAUUAUGCAUUCACAAAUCAACCAUUCAUUAUGCAUUCACAAAGCAACCAUUCAUUAUGCAUUCACAAAGCAACCAUACCUACAAUUGAAUGCCAAGCUUAUGAUGAUGAUGAAUGAAUGAUUAGAGCAGCUAACUAAGAAGGAACAACCGUUAAUCACCUGGUCCUUUCCCUUCUUAAAUUCCCUCUGUUUUGGAAAUGAAAUUUUCUUUCUUAAAACAAAGAACAACCUACUGUCCAAUAAAUGUUAACUACGAAACCCAACCCGGAAGCUAGCUAUGCACAGUCAAAGAAUUUGUCUCGUCAAGUUUAUCCACAUUGUCAUCAUCAGAAUCAGGAAGAGGAUCGAAAAAAGAAUCAAGGUACCAGGAACAUCGAUCGUUCCACUCACCCUUGUUGGCACAGGCUCGCCAUUUCUGAUCAGCUAUCAUAUCAGGAGAGAGACCCCACUCAAGCAGUUCUUCGUCUGCGUGAUGAACUGCCAAACUGUACUCUCCACCACUCCCCAACUGUAACACGCGGAACUCACCGUUUUCAAAAUUUCUCAGAAGCUCAAACUGUUCAACUGUCCAUUUGAACCACUUCAUCAUGAAAACACGAGAUGCCAGUCCAUGUGACACAAUUAUCAAAUUCAGAUCAUCAGAAGGAUCGUGGUUUAGUCUGUUCAUGUCAACAUCCCUCCACAGAGAUUCGAGGAAACCUGCAAAACAACAAAAUAUGUCUGAAAUCAUAAUGUCUUCUUUAGCCCCUUUCAACCAAAAAAUCACAAUUUGAACUAACAGCGGUUUAAAACUUAACUAUAAUCAAUCCAGUUUAUUCAAAUAUGCAUUUUAAAAUUUUCAUUCCCAGUGUGCACCACAAGUCCAAACCAACUAUUGUUUAGAUUUAAAAUCAAGAUGAAUCACGAUAGAGAAUAAUGAAACAUGAGUUUUUCACAUUGCAUGUACGACACCACCAUCCAAUAAAUAAAUUGCAACAGGUUCACAUAAUUUUAUCACAACCAAUUAAAAAUCAAACCUACUACUAUUCGAUUUCGAAUCAAUUGACAGUGAAGUUAAACCCGUAUUUCAUUCCAAUCCAUUUCAUCCGAACUCAAUUAAUCUCUUUUGCUCAAUCCAAACAAAUAACCUCCUAAAUGCUUAGCCUAUUUACCUAAUUCUUGUCUUCGAACAUUUAAUCAAUAAUAUCUGUACAUUCAGCCCUAACUAUUGCGAAAAUUGUAGUUAAUUCCAGGAAACGACGAGAAACAUUCAAUUUUGAUUUGCGACAGAAGAGACAAUGAGCGAGAGAGAGAGAGAGAGAGAGAGAGAGAGCAUACUGGAAACGCGAUCGAAGACGUCGGCGGCGGAUUCUCCUUCUGGAAACCGAUAGAAGAAUCUGCCGAAGCGUUGUCGAGUCUCCUUGAUGACGUUCAUGUGUUCCUGCACCUGGAAGUUGCCGAAGUCCUGUUCGCGUAUGCGGCACUCUUCCCUGACUCCGAUGACGCGCUUCCUAGAGAAGGAGCGACCAAUCUCCCGUAGCGUGGAUCGGGUGCGGGCGUAAGGAGAGACGUAGAAGUAGACGCGCCAAUUGGUGGAGCCUCCGCCAGCGAUGAGGUGGCGCAUGCGCGCCCCGGCGUGUCGCGCCUGUGCAAUGCCUUGCGUUGUCAACUGGAUCUUAGGGUCGGGCGUUGUAUCGUAUGCGGCGGGGUCGUUGUUCCCCUGCGACUCCCCGUGACGCACCAGAAUUAUUCUCUUCGGUAACACUGCUCUAUGACCAUCCCUCUCCCUCAUUUCCCCCUCACUGCUCUUUUCCCUAACUUUCACUGCGUAAUCCCCAAAUUAUGUUUCAUUGUGUUACCAUUCAAUUCUCCUCAACUACUUUUGUUCUUCUAUUCUUUUGCAACCAAAAUACUUCCCUGCAUUUCAAUCACCACUUCUUUCAGUGUGGGCUCUCUAUCACAUCUCAAACUAUCAUUAUCCUUUAUUAUAUGACCCACCUUUAGGUACCUUUACUUUAUACUAUUUUAUUUUUUAUAAUUAAGUAUUGAUUUAAAGUUAUUAUAAUUAUUGGAAAAAAAUGUUAAAUAUUGUUAAAUUAUAAAUUAAGUUUUUCUUUUUUCAUAAUGAUGUUCUUGAAUGCUCUCACCAUAUUACAAUUUAAUAGUUAUUUCCCCACUCAAUUUAGUGGUCUAUAAAUAUGGUAUUCAUAACUUAACAUUCUUUUUUAAUAUUCAGAGUCUUGUGUAUGAUUCCAAUUUAAUUUUAAAAUUGUGUUCUAAAAUGAACUUAGAAGAGAGUGAAUAAAUAGCUAUUACAAAAAAAAUCACCUUUCAAAUAGGAAAAAAAAUUAAUAAUUUUCUUUUACAACUUUUUUAAGUGGUUUGAUAUUGGUCUAUUUUAAAUAUUUCUAAAUAACUAUUAUAAAUAAGAAAAUGUAUUUUUAAUAAAAAAAAUUGACAAUUUUUUUAUAAUUGUUUACAUGACAAUUUGUGAUUUGUUCUUUUCAAAUAUAAGAACCAAUAAAAUAGUGAUACAUCUGUCAAAAAGUUAUUAAAAAUGUUGUUAAAAUACAUUAUGCUUGUAAAUAAACUCACCUUUCAAAUGAAUUAAAUACCAUUUUCAAUACACUUGAGCACAUUAUCCUUAACAGAUAAUGAUAUUUAGAUAAUAUUUUUUUUUACAAUACUUCUUUUGACAAUAUUUGAACAUCGUUUACGUGUCAUUCUGUGAUUGGUUCAUGAUAGUAUUUAUGAUUAUUAUUAUUGAUUGUGAAGUAAUUUCGGACCAAUCAUAAAAUAAUACGUAGAUAAUAUUCAAAUAUUAUUAAAAAAAUUGUCCUAAUAUCAUUAUCCUUAGCGAUAUCUCCUUCCGGGGCAAAUCCAUGAAUGGCUUCCAUUUGUCUGUAAAGGAAAAAAAAUUAAAAAUCAAUAUGCCUAUCGAUACUUUGUUCAUUCCAAAAACAAUACCCUUUUCAUGAUGAAGCAUCCCAACUACUGAGUUUUAUUAAUUUGUGGUUGUUCAAAAGUUAUUAUACAUCAACAAAUAUCUUAAUACUUGGUUUAUAUUAAGUUUGACGAUUUAUAACUUUCAAAAAAUCUUGUGAUCAGCUCAUAUAAUCCCCCAAAAAUGUUAAAGGAUUAAGGAAUUUAGUAACAGGUGAGGGUUGAUGAUUAGUGUAAAGACAAGGUGACGUACAAGAAAGAGGAAAUGAGACCUGAAUUGCAUCCUUAUUAAAAAUAAAUAUUUCAGAAGGAUUUGUAUUAGUAGUAUUAUUAAGUAAACUAUAGAAACCAUUCCAAAAAUAGGUGGAAAAAGUUCCCACUAAGAGAGAAUUACAUAGGAAGUAAUUGCGUUAAAUAAUUAGUUAUAAGAAAUAAAUCAUCAAAAAAAAGUUUAGUUCUUUACUCUCUUUUUUUCUCUUUUGAAGUCAGGUUGGAUUAAGAAGUUAAAUGCUUAUUAUUUUAUGAUAUUUUAACAGUAUUUUCUUUAAUAAAAUAAAGCAUGCUUUAUUAAGUAAUAAGAAGCUUUAGAAUAAAAAAUUGUUAAGAUAAGAUUGUUUGUAAGACUGAAUUUUCUAAAUAUCUUCAUAUAUUUUGAAGUUUAAAAAAUAGUAAUAAUUGAAAUGAGCAUAUGACAAAGUGUUAUUUUUGAAAAAAUAAUAUAAUUGAAAGAUAAAUGUUUUAUGAAAAAACUCUAUGAAAUUUAAAUGUUUUAAAGAAAAUUUUUAGUAAAUACACUAAUAAAUAUAUGAGAAGAUGCACUAUUAAAAAAAUUUCUCACAAAUUAUAUGAGAGUCUUGCUAAACACACUCGUGCUAUACUUUAAUAAGUAAUGUUAGACGAUCUCUCAUUAUGAUAUAAAAAUGAUGUUUGUUUAGUAAACGUACUAAACGGUACAAAUAUUAUUCGAAAGAUGUGUUAAAAGAUAUCUCAUUAAAUGUGCUCUUUAAUUAACGAGUAAUAACUAAACAAGACAUGGUUAGGAAAAGCCUAGCCUAGGCUAAAUGAUAUCAUGUGUUAAACAAAGUUUUCAUCUAACAAUGAAACUCUCAUGAAUUGCUUGGUAUCUUUACUGGAAUGCUUUAACAAUCAAAUGCUACUUUGACAAUGAAAGUUUUGAAAAACAUAUAGUUAUUCUGAAUGUGCAUUAAAUGACCUUAAAUGCACAAUGCUUAAGAACAAAAAAAGUGAUAAGAAAAAUGACAUAUAUGCCUACAUACAUAUCUACUCUACUAUGUGCAAAUUACCUAUUUCAAGCAUCCACCUGCACUAUCAUAUACAAGUCAAAAGUGAACAUUAGAGACAAAGAAGACAUUCACAGAAUGUUCUCUUUAUCAAAAGUCGCGCCAAAGAGUUCAUACAACCUACUUUUGAUAAAGUAAUGAAAAAACAUGCCUACUUUGAUAAGUUGACUUUAACCUGCGAUUAUUACCUACGACAAGGCUAAGAAGACCCAAAGAUCAAAGCAAGUACCAUCUAACGAACAUUUUCUUGAAGCCUAUAAAUUGAAGAACAUUGAAGAAAAGAACAAAAGGAUAAGCACAUGGACAUAAAAGAAAAUAUUUGGGAAGAAAAGCAAGCUCAAGAGAAAAGAAAAAGCUUCAUAGAAUCAUAAGCUUACUAUUGUAAGAAGAGAGAAAACUCUAAGAGUUUGUUAGAUUGAAUUGUACUGUGUACACAUCCUCUCUGCGAGAGUAAUCGUCUAAGGACUUGUAAGCAAUCUGAUUGAUUGAAAAUUUUGAAGAGAAUUCAAACUCUUAACGCUUAACUCAAUGGGGUUAAACGAUAGUUAGAUGGGUUUGUCUAGUGAAAACCAAGAGUGGAUGAAACUCAACUAGACAGUGUAUCGGGAAGAUCCUAGGAGUGUCUAGAGAUACCACUAGGAGUAGUGAAGAAUACUACACAACCAGAAGUGGGCGAAACUUGGUUAUAGUUAGAGUAACGGGGGUUAUUGGAUUGACUAAGUGAUGCUAAGAGUGGUGCGAAUAAUCAGUUGUAAACUUGUUAAAAAUUAUUACGGAACCUUCUAAAAGGUCUCAGAGGAGAACCAAACGUAGCUUAAUGGAGUGAACGAGUUUAAAAUAACUAUGUUUAUUACUUCAGUCUUGCCAAACGCUUUCCUUACAAACUCUACAGUUGCUUAUUGCAUUAACCGUUUACAACAACUUUCGUCACCAAACGAGAUUAAGAGUUAUCUUUCUUAAAACGUUGCAGCAGAUCAGUUGUAAAAUAUUUAUUUGUAAAUAUGCAGUUUGAACUUAACUUUCAAAGUCAAGUGUUUAACAACUUAUACAAAUCGUUUAAUCUUUGACAAGAUUAUUAAACUAUCUUUUCGACGAAAAGUAUUUCUAUAAUGCUAUUCAAUUCUCUUUUCUAAUGUUUUCCAAGUAUUUCAGAAAAAUGUUAGACUAUUAAUAAUUUAAUUGUUUAAUACUUAAUUAACACCAAUCAUGUAGAGUUUGGUGUAUUUAGGAUGUGUUGGCUUUAUAAAAUUUACUAUUGGCAAUAAAGUGAUAAUUACUCACUUAGAUUGAUUUUUUCAAGUUCAUUUGCACAUGUUUAGAAGAGAAGAUUUUAAGGAUGGAAGAGAAGAUUUUAAGGAUGGAAGAGAAGAUUUAAGGGAUGAAAGAGAUAAGAGAUCUUUGAGGAGGUAUAAGGGUGAAGAGAACCUAUAGUAGUGCUUUUAUCAAAGUAUUAAUUCCUUUUCCCCCAAAUGGUAUACUUUUUGUUUGCAAAUUACCAUAAUGGACAGGUUUUAAACAAAUUACAUAGGUUGAGGUAAUUUGUGUCCAACUAACAUAACUUCAACACUUUUUUUUUUUGUGAAUGUCAAGAGCUACGAUAACAACUUGGAAUUUCAAUUUUCAAAGUCAAAAGUAUUGCAAGGAGCAUGCCUUCAACUACUAAAAUCUCGAGCAAUGAAUAUAUAUAUAUAUAUAUAUAUAUAUAUAUAUAUAUAUAUAUAUAUAUAUAUAUAUAUAUAUAUAUAUNNNNNNNNNNNNNNNNNNNNNNNNNNNNNNNNNNNNNNNNNNNNNNNNNNNNNNNNNNNNNNNNNNNNNNNNNNNNNNNNNNNNNNNNNNNNNNNNNNNNNNNNNNNNNNNNNNNNNNNNNNNNNNNNNNNNNNNNNNNNNNNNNNNNNNNNNNNNNNNNNNNNNNNNNNNNNNNNNNNNNNNNNNNNNNNNNNNNNNNNNNNNNNNNNNNNNNNNNNNNNNNNNNNNNNNNNNNNNNNNNNNNNNNNNNNNNNNNNNNNNNNNNNNNNNNNNNNNNNNNNNNNNNNNNNNNNNNNNNNNNNNNNNNNNNNNNNNNNNNNNNNNNNNNNNNNNNNNNNNNNNNNNNNNNNNNNNNNNNNNNNNNNNNNNNNNNNNNNNNNNNNNNNNNNNNNNNNNNNNNNNNNNNNNNNNNNNNNNNNNNNNNNNNNNNNNNNNNNNNNNNNNNNNNNNNNNNNNNNNNNNNNNNNNNNNNNNNNNNNNNNNNNNNNNNNNNNNNNNNNNNNNNNNNNNNNNNNNNNNNNNNNNNNNNNNNNNNNNNNNNNNNNNNNNNNNNNNNNNNNNNNNNNNNNNNNNNNNNNNNNNNNNNNNNNNNNNNNNNNNNNNNNNNNNNNNNNNNNNNNNNNNNNNNNNNNNNNNNNNNNNNNNNNNNNNNNNNNNNNNNNNNNNNNNNNNNNNNNNNNNNNNNNNNNNNNNNNNNNNNNNNNNNNNNNNNNNNNNNNNNNNNNNNNNNNNNNNNNNNNNNNNNNNNNNNNNNNNNNNNNNNNNNNNNNNNNNNNNNNNNNNNNNNNNNNNNNNNNNNNNNNNNNNNNNNNNNNNNNNNNNNNNNNNNNNNNNNNNNNNNNNNNNNNNNNNNNNNNNNNNNNNNNNNNNNNNNNNNNNNNNNNNNNNNNNNNNNNNNNNNNNNNNNNNNNNNNNNNNNNNNNNNNNNNNNNNNNNNNNNNNNNNNNNNNNNNNNNNNNNNNNNNNNNNNNNNNNNNNNNNNNNNNNNNNNNNNNNNNNNNNNNNNNNNNNNNNNNNNNNNNNNNNNNNNNNNNNNNNNNNNNNNNNNNNNNNNNNNNNNNNNNNNNNNNNNNNNNNNNNNNNNNNNNNNNNNNNNNNNNNNNNNNNNNNAUAUAUAUAUAUAUAUAUAUAUAUAUAUAUAUAUAUAUAUAUAUAUAUAUAUAUAUAUAUAUAUAUAUUUUAAAUUAGAAGUGGUGUGCCAAUAACGUAACGAGUAAAAUCGUUACAUUAGAGCACAACUUUAUAAACCAAUUUUUGUUAGAAAUGCAUAACACUUCACCAAAUUCAUUUUGUUAGCAAACCUCUAUUAUGUUAGCAUGCAUUGUAGUGAGAGUUCUUCCAAUAUUUUCACUUUCACCUUUUUUUUUUUCUCUUUAAAUUAAACAAAUACAAUUUUGUGUUUUUUAUUCUCUCAAAUUAAUCCUAUUACUCUUUCUCAAAUUCUCUCUCAAGAACUAAAAUCCUUAAAUUUUCUUUAAAAUUACGUGAUGAAUUUGAUAAAUUAAAAAAUUAUUUUAAUUGAUAAUAUAUUAAAAAAUUAUUUUAAUUGAUAAUAUAUUAAAAAAUUAUUUUAAUUGAUAAUAUAUUAAAAAUUUAUUUUAAUAGAUAAUAUUAUAUGAUUAACGUUUUAUAGUGACUCAUAAAAUUAGAUUAUUAUUAUUAUUACUAUUUUUAUAUCAUUAUUAUAUUGCAUUACUAAUAUCCUUUCUAUUUUAUAAUUUUCUUUAAUAAUAAAAAUUAUUAUUGUUAUUACUUAUUAUUGAUUUUAAAUUCUCAUUAUUAAGAUUUUUUAUAUUAUUAUUAAUAUUUUAAUUAUUUCUCUUCCUUUUUUUUUUUUUCUCUUUGGUUGGUGUGUUUGUAUCUCAAUUGAAAAAAAGAAAAAACUAGAGUAAAAAUGUAAAUGUCAUAAAACUUACUUUAUUUCAUUAUAUUAAAAACUUGGAGACGCGGGGAAUCGAACCCCGUGCCUCUCGCAUGCGAAGCGAGCGCUCUACCAUAUGAGCUACGUCCCCUUGAUAAAAGUUUUCCAAACUAUACUUAAUAAUUUUUAAUAUAUUGAGAACAUGAAAAUGGCAAACAGAUUUUAAUUCGGAAAUUUUGGUUGAAAUCAAAUAUGUUAUGUAUAACAUUUAUUUAAUUUUAAACGCAUAUAAUUAAAGUAAGUCAUAAAAAUACUUAGCACGGAAGAUAAUAAAUAAAGCAUGCUUAGAUCAUGUUUACUUUGCAUCUUCUUCUACGCUUACGUUUGUUUAAAACUUAAUUUAUAUAAAAAAUAUUCUUUUUGUUUUUUAUAAAUAUCUUUUAACAAAAAUUUACUGUACUUCAAAUUUAUUCUGUUUUUUUUACUCAUGUUGACUAUUUUGAGUGGUAGAGAUAAUAAACAUAUUUCACUAGACAUUCUAUCAUAGUUUUGAUUAUUAUUCAUAACAAAAAUCUUAUGCCGAAUAUUAAUGUAGUUCUAGACUUAAAAUAUCAAUAUUGCUAAUUAAAUUUAAAUAACCUUUUGAUAAUUAGUUGAUAUACUCGAUUAUUUUUUCAUUACCUUAUGAAUCAUUUGAUAAAUUGUUGAUUAUUAUAUAAUUAUAAUUCAGUAUUAAUGUAUAAUUGAUUACAUGUGAUAUUCCUAAUCUGGGGACAAUUUUAAAGUAUGGUAAUCAAUUUAUCACACAACACAAUCAAUAAUUUUCAUAAAGAAAUGUUUGCAAUGUUGAAAUUUGGUUCAGUAAGUUUCAUAUAAUCUAUGGACAUUCUAUCAUAGUCUUAACAAUUUUUUUGUUUCAAUAUAUAAAAGUAAAUUAAUUUAUUGAAAGAUAAGAAAUUAAACCAAAUGCAAUCGAAAAUAUAAAAUAUCAAAUAUCAAAUUGAUAAUAUGACCAUUUAAACCUCUAAUAAUUAUUUUUCCUUCUCUUUUCUUUUCAGCAAAUAUUAUUCUUAAAUCAUGACACAUAAAAAUAUAACUACUUAGAGUAGUGAAUUAACUUUAUAAAUAUUAUAAAUAUGGGUAAUGAUACAUAGACAACAUUUUUUGACAACAUUUGAACAUCAAUCAUACGUGUCAUUGUGUGAUUGGUCCAAAUGACACAAUGAUACUACCAUGAACCAAUUACACAAUGACACGUAUGAUGAUGUUCAAAUGUUGUAAAAAAAUGUUGUCUAAGUAUCUUUAUCCUAUAAAUAUUUGUUGACUAAUUAACAACUUUUUUGUACACAUGAUAUCCUUUAUAAUGGCCCAAAAGUUUUAUUUAUAUGAUCUAUUAUUGGUAUUUUUUUUACAAAUUAAAUAGAUAAUAAAUACUUCCCCCUAGUUAUUAGAUUCUGUUGUCAUAAGACUAUGAGUAUUCAAUAGUAAUUAAUAUCAGAUCUUUUCCAUAUUAUUAUACAAAACAUAGUAAUAAUUAUUGUGGUAAAAAAAGUUGAUCACCAGAAAAAAAAAUUAAAAGUUUUAACCAAAAUAAAUAAGAAUAAUAACUUCAUUUAAAUAUUUAAACAAUAUAUUAGGUUUAGUAGAUAUUCAAUUUAAAGUAAAAAAUAAUUAGUAUUUAAAGUAAAAAAAACAUAUACAAUGACUUAAACUUAUUUAUGAUGAAUAAUGGAAUACAAUUGCCUCCAAUUCAGGAGGGAAGGAAAAACUGGAGCGCAAGGAGACUUUUGGCCCAGUUACGAAUAAAAAACCAUAAGCGUAGAACACGCUUUGUCACGUCUCAAAUCUCAAACCUCAAUCUUCAUUCCUCGCUGAUUCCAUUCACAUUCCAUUUUUCUCAACUCGUAUAGCACUUCUGUUUCCGUUUUGCUCCUCAGCAACACGGUGUCGUUUUCCGUUUCGAUUUCGCAAUUCACGUCGCCAUGAGAACCAACAAGCUUACCGCGUUAACUUUCUGGGUUUCAUGCGUGGAUUGGAUUCGAUCUCUCUAUAAUGCAUGCACUGACAAGAGUUUUCAAUCUUGAACAGUGGUAAUGGCGAGGUUUAUCCCUGGAUUCGCAUUGCCUAUGCUGCUCCUGUUAGGUUUGCUUCAUCGUUCCACUCUCUUCACGCAUCAUUUUGUUGAGUCUACGUUCACCUAUAGACGGUUUUUACUUGAUGGAAGCUACUUCAUAUUGCACUUCUAUAGAGUAUAUAUAUUAAAUAAUAGUAACCAACUUCAUAUGAAUUUGACCUUCAAUUGUGAAGAAUUCACAUUAUUCAUGUGAGUUUAGUUUUUAUUUGUUGCAAGUGUAAACAAGCAUGUCAAUCAAUUAUAAUCAUCAUUGACAUUAAGGUGUGUGUGUGUGUAUAUAUAUAUAUAUAAUACUAUUUAUUUACUCUAUUCAUUUUUACUAAUCACAAUGUUUUUUGAACUGGCUAUUAUGCAUGAUAAGUUUGGGCUUUUCGAAUAAAAAAAGUAAAGUUCCAGAGUAUUAUAUUAUUCGAGUAACUAUCUUUGAGUGUAUGUAUACUUGUUCUUAUGGUUUUGCAUACAAUAAGGCCACGCAACCCUUAUAGUUAUAAAAUUGAUCCCGUCUUAAGUUUGAGAGGGAUUGGUUGAAAUUACAUGAAGUCUAUUGUGUGGUCAUAGUUGUUUUCUUAGUAAAAAUUGCAACUGACAACUUUUCUCUUUUCAUGCAGCAUCUUUGCUUAACUGGAGUUUGAUAUCGUUGCUUGAUUUGAUGGCAUUCCUUUUCAUUCAGUACACUGCUUCUAGAAAGGGUGAGAAGCUUGCUCCAAUCCUUGUAUGGAUGUAAAUACUGAUUUUUCAUGCCUUUUCUUCCAUCAAAAGAUUUGGUGUCUAAUAGGAGAUUUGGUGUCUAAUAGGGAGUUUGGUGACACAUUCUCCAAAUUUAUGAUUCUGUUUCCAUUAUUUCUUCAUGACAUUGCUGUUUUGGUAUUUUUGGUGCUAAUAUAUAAUUAUAUAUUUUCUUCAUGUAGUUAACUAUUUCUUUUUAUGCAAACAGGAUUCCGUGUUCAUCAACAAUAUUUGAUAUCAUGGUCCGUUCUAAUGUUAUCGUCUCUGACCCUACUCUCCCAUGCCGUAUUUCAUAUUGUUUUAGCCAUUGAGGGGGAUCAUUGGAGUACUGCUGAUGCUCAGUGGGCUGAGCUAAUUGGAUUUAUACGGUAUUCAAACUUUCUCUGUCUUAUGGUUUUACCUUUUUUAUGUUAUAGAGGUUUUAUCCUGAGUGUUUUGUUCUUCAGAAUACACUACAAAAAAAUAGUGACUGAAAUGAUUUUGCAGAGUGCAUUCUUGGAGGACUUUGCUGGGAGAGCACUUUUUGGUCACACAAGUAUUAGCAACUUUUCUUUCUAUAGUUGAAAUCUAUGGAAAUUGGUUUCAUCAAAAUCUAUGGUGGAGAGAUUUUUGUUCUGGGCAUCUAUGUUAUUUUGUUCUGCUGAUAGGUUUGCCAUAAAAGCUUCUCUUUUUUUGCCCUAAAUUUUUCUCCUGCGUGCUGAUCAUCUUUGUUUAAGAGUUACUAGCUCACCGUUGCUGGUAUUUAAGGGACUUUUGCAUUUUCGAACCUUGAUUAUUUUGAGUUUGUUCAUGUCUUCUUUUUUUGUGUUCAAUUUUCACGGAUGGUUUAGCUUACCCUUUUUUGUAAUUGACUUGUCACCCUGAAUAAAGUUUAUUUUUCUAUAUUAUGAAAAAGGCAAGUGGCACAUACAAUAACAAAGGUUUUUCUUAGGCUCUUAGGAUGGCUAUUUGCGUGAUAGGUAGUAGGCCAUGGAAGGUCUAUAUGAGAAGGACUAAGAGCAGACUUAGAUAUACUUGCCUCAAAUUGAAACUGAUUGUGUGGUAAUUGUGUCUUUAGAUAGUUAUUUGUGAGGCUUUGACUCUAAGACUAAAUUAUUAUUUUUAUGUAUUAUGUCCAUCUUAGUGCUGUAAUUUUAGGCUGUUGGAGAGUUAAAAUGAGUAGUAAUAUAUCCAAUUAAAGUAUAUAAGUAGAGGGUAACCUUCACUUUUUAGUUGAUUUUGUGAGGUUAAGUUAAAUCUAAACUCGAAUUAUAAGAUAGUCUGAGAGCCUAUCCUAAUAGUUGUUGUUUGGUUUCAAACCGCUCAUAGAUGGCUAUCCUACAAACUUCACGUUCAAGAUGACGAGCUUUUGGCAUGGAUUGUGGUGUUGAAGAUCCUAUAUCAAUUAGAAAUAUGACCUAAUUAAAGUAUAUAAGUGGAGAGGUAACUUUCACUUUACAAGUUAGUUUGUAUGAUUUAGACUCAAAUCCAAAUUAUAAGGUGAUAUUAGAGUUUAUUCCAGCUAUUGUUGUUUCUACAAUUUCAUCCAUUAUUGAGUUGUUAUUGGAUCUACAAAAUUCCAAUUUUUGGUGUGAGGAAGGGUGUUGGGGCACAUCAAUUGGUGAUAUCUUUAAAAUCAGGGUAUAUAAGUGAGAUGUAAAUAAAAUUAUUACACUAAUUCUUUUAGUUACAUUAUGUUUAGCCAAUGAAAUUGUGAAUGACUGAAUACCAAUAACAAACUGAUAUACUUGUGCCUAAUAAUUAUAAACGGAUGUCCAUUUUUUGGUUGUAGGAUCUCAUCUCAAGGGUACAUGCUGCUUAUUGUUACCUGCCGUACAAUUAAUUGCUGGGAUUAGUCAUGUAUCUUGGAUUUCUUUCCCUUUUUUCAUUUGUAGCAGCAUAGGGCUUGUUGAUUGGUCAUGGACAAGCAAUUAUUUAGGUAUUUUUCGGUAAGCUCCCCCUUCCUCAAGCAAAAGAGUUAUGAUAAGGCUUUUUUUUUUUUUGUUACUUACAUAUAAUUUAGAAUUGGAAUUUUAUUAGUUUAUUAAAAUUCUGGUUCAUACAAACUUGUAGGUGGUGGAAAUAUCUUCUAUUUUAUGGUGGCUUCAAUAUCAUUUUUCUGUACAUAUAUCAACUUCCCAUUGAAUUCCCCGCAACUUUUAGGUGGAUUUUUUUCCACUUUGGGUUGUUCAAAAUUUCUACAAGUUCAGAAUGGUCAGAAGUUUGUUCUGGUCUUUCACUUCUACUUUUCUACAUUAUGGUAAGAAUAUUAAAUGCAUCCCUAACAUUGCUAUAUUAUUGAAAAUGGAGUCAAUAUGUAACAUAAAAUAAGAUAGCUAUUUAUCAUUAUGUGUUCGUGGAAUGGUGGCGGGAAUCAACUACAUGUUGACUCGUAUGCUUUUGAGUGUUAAAGUAUUAUACUCAGACUGAAUGGUUGCAAGAUUAGCUUUAUCCAUAUGGGAUUUAGUACUACUAGCUCAACCAAAUUUUUACAAUGAUAUUUUGUCGUUUACAGUUGAUAAUUCCUGUUGCUUAUUUCCAAUUUACAAAGCGAACUGAAUUCCAGAUACUUUGUAUUCAGAUAGCAACUAUCAUGCCUUUUCCCAUUUGGUGGAGUCAGCUACUUGGAUUAAACGAUUUAUUUGAUUCAUUAAUAGCUAGUCACAAUAGAGUAGUUACUCAUUUCUUACUUAUAUUAGUGAAUUAGUUAGUUAUGUGGACUUUAAAAGAGUGGCAAGGGGAUAUGGUCUCUUGAAUACCUCGUGCAUUAAUGUUAUUCAUCUCUGGCUCUGUUGCCAAAGUUUCUCAUUAAAAGGAUAAUACACAUUUUGUAAUUUCUACUCACCUAUUCUGUCUGUUUUCUUCUUGGUCGUGAUCGAGUUCUAUCAACAAUUAUUAGAGCACCGGUCCGGAUUUUUUUAGGGGGAAGGGAGGAGAUUGCUGUAAAAAUGACAUAAAGAUAGAUUCCAAGAUUUGAUGGCUGAUUAUGGCAGAGUAGUUCUUUGAAUUAAUGAAGGUAUAAAAGUAUAGAAGGUCAUGUUAGCUUUGGAAAGAUAAGCUCUUAAAUGGCUGGUUACUUGGAAGAAUAAUAACCAGUACUCAACCUGGACUUAUUACGAGGUAGUGUUCAAUACCUUCCUAUCAAAUGUUUUUAGUUAGAAUCCAAGAUUUAGAAACCAGGGAGAUGGAAAACGAAUAUAGAAAUGAAGUUCAAGAGAGGAGCCAAAACUAGUGGAAAGAAAGACAAGAGUUGAUGAGUGAAGGCAACAAGAAAACAUAACAAAAGAUGAAUGUUUAGAGAGACAAUAAUCAAGGGAAAGAAACCAAUACAAGAAGGGCACAAACAUUAGCAUAAACCUGACGAAAGCAGCCCACCAACAUUUUGGACAAGUUAUAGGAAAGCAAAAGAAAAAAAUGAAGUUCUUCAGUGAAGAAUUAUUGUGACAAAGAUGACAAAAGAAGUUUUUUUUUAUUUAUUUAUUUUUUUGUCGUAAAUAAGGCAAAUUUAAGGGGAACCCAACGAUUGACACAAAGGGAGAGCAAAGGACUCUUUUGAAGGCGAUAGUGGAGGUUUUAGGUUAAGUAUAGUACCAUGAACCCACCUCAAAGUACUCCACUUUUGCAAAAGUUGAAUGAGAAAUUCUAAGUAUAAAUACACAGGCUUUGAUGCUCAAUUUCACAACCAAAAGAACUGUUGAAAGUAGAGCACUAGAGAAGCGAGGAGACAGUCUCAUGUUUGUGUGAUUGGAUCUAAGAUCUAAGUUAAAGAUGAUUGAUUAUCAGGAGUAUUUGAUAUAAAAUAACAGAAUUUGUAAUAGCAGAUUUAUUUAAAAUCCUGCAAGUAUUCAAAAGCCUGUAUGUGUAGAAAAUAACAGUUAUGUAAUAGGAUUUAAGACUAUAUAUUAUUUGAUAAAAAUAUUAGAAAGCAAUUUUAUAUUCAAAACUACAUAAUGAGAAUAUGCAAUACCUUUUGAUGUAGCAAAGUGUGAAAAGUUCAAAAACAUGUUUGUAUUGGUUGCCAAAGAUGGUAUAGAAGUUAAGCCAGUAUCCCACCCAGAGGUUAGGGUGAAAUAUUUGAAGCAACAAGUUGAAAUACUCAACAUUUGAAGGAGCCUAGGAACAUUUAGAAGAAAACAAGAUGCACCAUAAUGACCAAUAGAGGGACCAAUAAGUGGAAGAGGACUAUACUUAACAUUUUCGUACAUAGUAUUAAGGAAAUUUUCCUUUUUGAAGUCAACUGAUGUAAGACAGUGAAUUUUUUUUUAAGAUGAUGAAUAAUGUUGUUCAGGAGAACAAGGAAGAGAAUACUGUCCAAAUCGUUACAGAUAGUGUAGAAAAAUACAAGGCAGUUGGGUAUUUGUUGACCUAGAAGAGAAAAAAAAGUUAUACUAGACACCUGCACAACUUGUUGCAUUGACUUAAUUUUGGAGGACUUUGAGAAGAUUACACUCCAUCAAAAGACGAUAGCAAUCUUCAAAGAUUUGACCUUUUAUCUGGAUUGAUAUGCGUGAUAAAUCUGAAGUUUGUUCCAAAUUUGAGAGGCGGGAGUGAGGUCGACCAUUUGGUUGAGAACCGAGGUGUUCAUAGAUGCAAGAAGCCAAACAACCAAGGGUUGAUCUUGUUGCUCAUAUUGAAGGAAGGCAGGAAUGAUGACGCUGCUGAUCGCAUCUUCAGAAGAUAGGUAUUUUGGUGGAAUGUCAUGACCGUCCAAGAAGCGGAAGAGUUGAAGCCCUUUAAUGGUGGCAAAAACUUGUUGCCAUAUCAAGAAAUUCAGGGGUGAGUUUUAGAGAGAUCAAUGUAUUGGAAGUGUGUGGGUGAAAGGAGGAAGGGACAACUGAGGUAUCAGAUUUGGGUGGGGAAGAAAAAUUUGGGGAAGCCAUGGCAAAGGAGCUUUGAUUACCAUGUAAGAAAAAGGAAACAGAGAAGGAGAUAGAAACGAAGAAACGAAGAAGGAAAUUAUGUAUCAUUAUCUCAACGUAUACAAAGAGAAGAGCAUUUAUAGAAACAGAAAGUAACUGAAUUAGUUAUUCUGUUAUGUUAUCAACAAGUGGUAAAAGAAUUACAGCUUAUAUCUAUUAAAAAGUUUGUCUUAUUUCCUUGUUGUAUAAAUUUACUAAGGGAGCUUAUUUGAUUACACCUAACAUGAUGACCCUUUUGCCCCUUCUUAUUUGACUCUAGGAUGUUCAAAUGACAAUACGAGAUCACUCGUGAGGAUGUUCGCAUCCCAGAAAUGGAACAUGUUGAUAAAAUGUUUCUUUCUUUUCUAAAUCAGUUGGCUAUUCUAAAAUUAUUAGCUAAUUAAAAUUUUAGAACGUGUUAGAAGUAGGUUUUAGGCCUAACUCAAUCCCACAAAACCAGCUUGUAAGUUGAGGUCUACACUCCACUUAUAUAUUAUAAAUUGACCUUAUCUCUAGUCGGUGUGGGACUUCCAACACACCCCUCUCACGCCGAGGUAUAUACAUCUCGAGCGUGAGACAAAAUAUUAAUGGGUGGUCCGAUAACGGCCCAAUAACGGGUGGAAUAAUCUGCCCAACAAAUAUCGCUAGGAUAGGAUCUAACCAUAGCUCUAAUACCAUGUUAGAAGUCGGUUUUAGGCCUAACUCAAUCCCACAAAACCCACUUCUAAUAGAACGUAUUUUUACUUUGCAUAUACUUCUCCCAGGCCAAAAGUUCCGUAUUGUUCUCCCUGGGAUUGAAGAAAAGAAUGGCUUGUUAGAUGACAAAGAAGUCCUAGCGCAUUCUUUUAAAUGAAGAUAGUUUAAACCAUAAAACCAUGAACAGAAGUAUAACAUGAAAAGGCCAAGAACAUGAGAAAUGACAGCCCAUCCAUACAUGCUGUCAACAAAAGGUCAUACACCCACUGCAUUUAAGGUACAAAUAUGACCAAAAUCAGAGUAAAUUCAUAACUAGAAGCUACCACCGACAAGCAAACUAACUGAAAUAAGUAAUUAAUCACGGCAGUUAAAAAGAAGAGUUUUGUGGCCUAUAAAUUUAUCACAUUCACACAUUGCACUUCUAUUGCAUUUUAAUUUAGCUAAACUUAAACUUGGUUAUGGAUUUCUUUCUUGAGUUUGGCACUUGUAUUGAGCAGAGAGGAAAGCGUUGAAGACUUGCUAUAAAAUCUAAUUACCAAUUAUGGCAUUAUAUGACAAUUUAUUGAGAUGAUACACUCAAAGAAGUAGUAGGCUAGAUUUUUUCUGUCUGUUUUAAGAUUUCCUUUAGGUUGGGUGAUUAUUCUCCAGCCUUGUUCCAGCUAUCUUGGAUUAGAAGCGAGCUAGCCGAAAUGGAAAUCAUCACAUCUACAAGAGAAAGUGACUUGACCGAGCAGCUUCUUCCUAAGAAGCAUUCUAAUUUUCUUCAAGAGUCCAGGUUACGCAGCUUCCUCAUUUAAUCCUUCUUUCUGUCUUGCUUUUGUUUUAUUUCUUUGCCUUCUAAAUAAUGAAGUUAAAAAAUACUGCAUAUUAGCAACGACGAUGGUCUGGUUCAAUGCCGCAAUAUGAUUGUUCUUCUACCUUGGUAUUAUAAUACUUCACUUGAGUUUGUCUGUGAACUCAAGUCAGGUAUUAGCGUACUACAAUAUUAUUAAGAUGAUUAUGGGUGAGAUGUGAAUGUUGUCGGUAUGUACUGGAAUUUUGUUGCAAGUAAUUAAUUUGUUGGCCUCUUCUCUCUUUUCUAUUUUACGUGUAUGAAGUAGAAUAGUUUAAAUAUAUUUUAGAUGAAAUGAUUGAAUUACUCCUUGUGCUUGCUAAGGAGUUUCUCGUGUUAGAAGAGAUGCACGAAUCGGGCACCUUUGCCAAAAUAAUCGUAUAUUAGAUCUUUUUUCUUUCUUUUGCUUUUCCACCUUGGUUUCAAACUCACGAUUCCAACAUUUAACUAGUUUUAUGUUUGAUUCGGUGAUCUUUUAUAAAUACAAUAUCCAUUAAAAACAUAUGCAUGAGGUCCCCUCAUCUAAUCACCUAUACAAGGAACUCUAACAAUAUUUAUUUCUCUCAUUUCUUGGUUUUGUAAUUUUCUGACAUGUCUGGUGUGAUCUAACAAUAUUUAUUUCUUUCAUCUUUUGGUUUUGUAUUUUCUGACAGGUCUUGUAUGAGGCACACUAAUUUGUUAUUGCGAGGAGUUGUUUCUCGGUCAUUUAGUAUCAACUUUCUAACAUACGGUUUUCCGGUACCCCAGAUAUAUCCAUUUCUAUUAUUUUUUUAAUCAUUACAUUGCUUAUUGGUAAAAUUAUGUGCAAAAUUUGCGUCUAAUAUGUGUUGGCCGUUUAAAAGAUUAUAAAAUCAAGGAACUUAUCAAGUGAUUAGUUGUAUAUUUGUAAUUUGUAAUUAACAAAUUAAUCAACCAUAUAACAUUACAACAAAUUCAUGCUUGGUGAUUUUGGGUGUCGAGAAAAAUGUGACAGUUUGUUGAUUACUAAAUUAAUCACGUGAGAUUAUCCCUCAAAUGUGUAUUGGUCAUAUCAACAUCUUUUGAUUUUUUAGGAGUGUUUGUUUCACGGUAUCAUCUUAUAUUCCCUGAAGUCACAUUCUUGGAAUAUUAUAUCCAUGAAUCAUAUUCCCAUAAGCAUGUUUGAUUGUUAUUUACUAAUUUAAAAAAAUAUAUAAAAAGGAGAAGAAUGUAAUGGAAAUAGGUAGUUAUAAUAGACAAUAAUUUCCAUCUCCAUCUUAAUAUUUUAUACCACCCUCUUCAGGGGAAUAGGAGCAAUUAAAACGCGAGGGACUUACUUUCCUGGUGAUAAAGAUACCGGAGAAUUUUUUUUUCAUAGCCACCUAUCAAACAUGGGAAUACUUAAUUUCCAUUUCCAUCUUAAUAUUUUAUACCACCCCCUUCAGGGGAAUACUUAUCCCCAUUUUCACGUUCCCAGGAAUGAAGAAAGAUAACAUGAAACAAACCCCCUUUGAUCAACUUGAGCCUAUUUUCUAGUGUUCUCUUGUGAUUCCUCUCUCCCUGUUUUGAUCCAUGACACAUGACAGAACUUUAUGAGUUGAUUAAUUGAAUUAGUUGGUAUACCUUGCAGAUUUCCUUGCUGGCUCUAUCAUUAUGGAGUUUUCACUUCGCAAGUCUGGGCUCAUUUGGACUGCUUGCUUAUGUGGGAUACAUUUUGUAUGCCUUCCCUUCCAUGUUUCGGUUGCACUAUUUAAAUGGCAUGCUUCUUGUUUUCAUUCUGUUUUGGGCAGCUAGCACAUAUAUCUUCAAUGUGGUACUUACUUUCUCUAGUAACAAAUCAUGGAAGGUAUACUUUGCUAGAGGUUUUGAGAUAUCUUACAAUUAUAUUAAAGAAUCUUUUGUUGACAUGCUCUAUAACUCAAUUGUAGGAUAUGGAAAUAUGGGAAACUAUAGGCUUGUGGCAUUACCCUAUACCAGGAUACUACUUGCUUGCUCAAUUUUGUCUUGGUUUUCUCUUUGCUAUGUGUAGUCUUGUGAACAGUUCAGUGUUAUCGUGCAUUGCUGGUCAAGUACAAUUAACAGCUGAUGAAGCUGUAGUGGAAGGUGACAGAACUAGACGAUCUGAGUAGACAAAGCUUACUACUGUGUGAAAUUAUGUUUUUCCAGUGUUUAACCAGAUACUCCUUUUUAGUUAGAUUUUAUGAAAUGAUGAUUGAGUUCCAUAGUAAAAUUCCCUUAUAUUCUACAAGGUUAGGAGAUAUAUGCUAAUGAAGGUGCAUAACGUUUGGCUAUUUUUUUUUUGUUACAAUUUAAUCAAGUUUUACUGGCUUUAGAUUCAUUUAUGAAACACAUUUAAAUUUGAUGUCUGCAGUCGCCUUCAGAAGGUUUAACAAUUGAAUCAGCAAGAAAGCAUGGCUGGGACAUUUUUUAAAUGAUAUAAAUCUUGUAUUUCUCAACACACAUUUCUUUAAAUAAUGUCUUCUUGUUUGAUUUUUAUGUUUCACAUCUAUAGAAAAAAAAUGUGUUUUGCCUGAGAUAAGUCUCUAUCAUGACACCUUAUCCGAGCAAAAUGUGCUGUUAAGUUUUUGCCAAUGGAAUAUCUAAUGCUAUUUCAUUUAUCUUUUUCAAAAAUAUAAUUAUUAUAAAUUUGUAGUUUAAGGAAUAAAAUAAUGCUUCUUAAAUGUGUUUUUUCAUUCUUCCAAUUAUUUUGGCAUAUUGCUUAUAGUGCUUAUAAAAUACUUUUUGCUGUUUUGGGUGAAAUAUUUUAUUUUUUAUUUGUUUAUUCUUUUUUGUGCAAAAUUUCUAGUGGAAGAAGAGACGACGCUGUCGGUUGUGGCUACAAUAGCAUGGGGACUACGCAAGUGCUCACAUGCUGCAGUACUGAUAUUGAUAUUUCUUAUUUCAAUAAGAUCUGGUAUCGUUCAUGCUGUUUAUAGUAAGUACAAUUGCCAACAAUUUCCUUCUUUGUUAAUUAUACAUUUGGUUGUUAACAUGUUAAUAAGGAAUUAUUUUUAUUUGUAUUUCCUGUUGGCGCAAUAUGUUGGUCCAGUUCUAACCAAAUUUUAUAGGAAUGAAGUUUUGAUCCACAAUUAAUGUAAAGAGUUUUACAAUACCCACAGGGUUCCACCUGAUUAAAUAGCUCAAGUAUUCAAAUCAAUUGAAAGACAUGAGUUACAAUUAUGAUGUGACAUUUUCUUUUAUAUCUAUAAAACCAAGAGUUUUACGCUGACUGUUAAUCAAAUUGAAACUUGCUUUGAAACACUGUCUUUAGAGUACUUUGAGAUGUAGCAGUGUUCCUAAUUUUUCUGACUGCUACCUUAUCUACAUGCAGUGAUUUUCUUUUUAAUUUAUCUAUUAAGCCGUGCAAUCGACUGUAAAUUACACCGAGCUAUUAUACUUCUAUGUGAGGCACAGUUUGCCGUUCAAUUCAUUCUACAACUUGAUUUGAUCUCCAAAACUUUGGACCAUAAGGGUUCAUAUGCUUUUGAGAUUCUCUCACAAUUAGGUAAAUUUUUUAUGUAAGAAUGAACUUUUCAUGUGCUUUUUUUGGUGCAAAUGUAAAAUAUCUAUUGCCUUAAACACAUUCAUUUAUGAUAUCUUUCUUCUGUUUUGUGAAUGUUGCAGGUCUGCUUAAUUAUAUCCAUUCAGUGGAUUUCUUCCAGAUAUCGAUUCUUGCUUGUUUCUGUGCAAUUCACAAUCAUGGGCUGCAAACACUCAUUUCACUGUCAGCUAUCGUGCAGCAAACAUCUUGUCCCCCAUUUGGCUUUAGCAUCUUGAGAGCUUUCUUGAUCAGACCUGUUUGUUUAUCAGGUUAUAGUCCAAGGUCUAGUGAGAACCAAGGAAAUCAUGGUAUAAGUUCAGUAAAUAUUGACUAUACUUGAGGAUUUCCAUCUCAUUUUACUUUGCUAAAUAAUUCCUCUUUGUGUUAUUAUAGUUUUGUUACUUUAUUGGUUUAAGCUACAUAUUUAGCCUUAAGUGCAUACUGGAAGUUAAUAUUCUAACCAUUCUAUUUAAUUACUCAGAGAGGAAGACUAAAUCAUAUUUGGAGGUCAUAAGACUGAGUUUCCUGUCUAUUUAUCGGUUGUGUGGCAAAUACAUUGCCUUCGUAACAAUUCUCUUCACUAUAUACCUUUGCACGCCCAACUAUGCUUCAUUUGGCUACUUAUUCUUUCUUCUACUGUGGAUAAGUGGGAGACAACUUACAGGGAAAUCAAGAAAGCAUCUUUGGUAUCCUAUGAAAGUGUAUGCUAUAGUUGUGUUUAUCUCCAUUUACGGCAUUGGUGUCUUUUCCAGCUCCGAGAGGUGGUUUCCUAGGAUUGUUGAUCUUCAAACUGCAUUUGGUUAUAACCCAGAAGCUUCAAUGUUGCAAAACAUUUGGAGAUCUUUGGCUGUUUUGAUUGUGAUGCAGCUAUAUAGCUAUGAAAGGAGGAAGAGCAAAAGAUCUGCAUCUAGUGACUUCAAUGGACCAGAAGUAGGACCCUUUGCUUUUGCCAGACGCCUUUUGUUUCAGCAUGCCGAGAAAAUACUAUUUCUUGCCCUAUUUUAUGCAUCUUUGUCGCCUAUAAGUGCAUUUGGUUUCCUGUACCUUCUUGGUCUAAUCAAUUGUUCAAGAUUACCAAAGUUGUCUCAUAUUCCUGCAAAAAUAUUUCUAGUUUAUUCAGGACUUCUUAUAACGGUUGAAUAUAUUUUCCAGAUGUGGGGAAAUCAGUCUGAGAUGCUCCCUGGUCAAGAGCACUUCCAGUUGUCAUUAUUUAUGGGUUUGCAGUUGUAUAAACCUGGUUUUAAAGGUAUGGAGGCAGGAUUAAGGGGAAAGGUUGUGGUUAUUGUAGCAUGUAUACUUCAAUACAAUGUUUUGCGUUGGUUGGAGAAAAACCAUGUUCAUGGAAAUGGAGGAAAAUGGAAUGAACCUUGUCCUCUGUUCAAUUCAAUAGAAGUUUCCAAUGAAAUUACGGCCUGUAUACAGAGCAAACAAUUGGAAAAUUCCACUUCACCAACAUUUAAAAGAAGUGGAAGAAGUCGUUCAUGGCCAACUUCUAAUUCUGCAUUAUCCCAGGGGGCAGAUUCAGGGCCUGAAAGAGACAGUGCAAAAAAAAUAAGAUAUUUUCAUUUCUGGGAGAAUUCCAAGGAUAGCUUGAAGUGGAAUAGAAAGCGGAUUCUUUUCUUAAGAAAAGAAAGGAUGGAGAUGCAAAAGACUGUUUUAAAAGUAUCCUUGAAGUUCUGGAUUGAAAAUAUCUUCAAUUUAUUUGGUCUUGAAAUCAACAUGAUUGCUUUGCUUCUUGCUAGCUUUGCUGUGUUGAAUGCUAUAUCUCUGCUCUAUAUAGCAUCACUUGCUGCUUGUGUUCUUCUUCAUCGGCUACUAAUUAAAAAACUAUGGUCUGUUUUUGUUUUCUUAUUUGCUUCCAUCGUCAUUAUUGAAUACUUGGCCAUCUGGAUGCACAACACUUAUACGAACCAAGAGGAAGAACAAGUACCAUGCAAUGACUGUUGGAGAAGAGUAUCAGAUAUACAUUUUAGCUACUGCAAAAAAUGUUGGUUAGGUAUCUCUCCGUUAAUUCAUGGCUAUCUGCGUUUAGAUGGUUGGUAUUAGGCAUAUAUCCCGCGGGUUAUGUGCAUCCCAUAUAACAAACCUGAAGCCUGAUUUCAAUACUAUAGUGUGCUUAUUAGUGAUAAUUCAGAGCUCCAUUCAUUGUAAAUUUUUGUUGUGGUUACUUCUCCCAAAUAAUUUAUGCUAAAUAUCAUUACUGCAGGAAUUAUUGUGGAUGAUCCUUAUAUGCUUAUUUGGUAUUAUGGUGUUUUCAUGUUUUCAUGUUUCAAAUUCCGUGCUGACCGGUCAUCUUGUCUCACUGGAUUGGAGAUGUACCAGAAGAUACUCUCCCAAUGGAAAUCUGCCUCAGUACUAAGUGAUCUAUCAUUUGAGACAAAAGGAUACUGGACAUUCGUUGACCACCUAAGGCUUUAUGGUUACUGUCACUUGCUAGAUUUUGUUCUCUCGUUGAUUUUGAUUACAGGAACUCUUGAAUAUGAUAUUCUGCAUCUUGGCUAUCUUGGUUUUGCUCUGGUUUUCUUCCGAAUGAGGCUAAAAAUACUAAAGCAGGGAAAUAAAAUUUUUAGAUUCUUAAGGAUGUAUAAUUUUGUUCUCAUUGUCAUGUCACUUGCAUAUCAAUCUCCUUUUGUUGGAAACUUCAGUAAUUUCAAAUUUGGUUCAAUAGAAUCCAUUAAUGGAUUGGUUGGAUUCCACAAGUAUGAUUAUGGGUUUCGACUUACAUCAAGAUCAUCAAUUGUGGAAAUCAUAAUAUUUUUGUUGGUAGCACUACAGUCAUACAUGUUUUCAUUUCCAGAGUUUGCUUAUGUUUCAAAACAUCUCGAGAAAGAGCAGAUUGGUGCCAUACUUAGACAGCAGGAGAAGAAAGCUGCUUGGAAGACUGCUCAUUUGCGACAUAUUCGUAAAGCUGAAGAGUUGAAACAUCUUCGGAGCUUGCAAGUAGAAAAGAUGAAAUCGGAGAUGUUAAAUCUUAAAAAUCAGCUACAUAAUAUUAACACUGAAGCGAAUUGUAGUAAUGCUUCUCUAAAAAUUGAUGGCCUAACAAAUAGAGGAAACUCUUCCCCAGAUUUGCAUCCGGAGAAUGGAUUCAGGAAGCAAGAUCUUGAUAUGACUACGGAGACAACAAGUCCAUUUGAUGGGAAACAAUCUCUACUGAGUGAAAAAUCAAAAUGUCCACUGAUAGCACAAUACCGGAAGCACCCAAUGGUUUCUCCUCAUGGAAUUGUGGAGGGAAAGGAAAGAACUAAAAACAAUAAUGUUUUGAAUUUGGAAAUAAGAAAUCGUGGUGAACUUCCAGGUAGGAGAAAUUCUUUGGUUUCAGCUAUAUAUUUCAUAGGAAGUGGGCUAUCUCAGUUACAAUCUCUUGGAAAUAUGGCAGUUACAAAUCUAAUGAACUAUCUAAAGAUAGAACGAGGGGAACUAGAGCCAACUGAAGAUUCUUCAGAGGAUGAGGAAUACUAUGAGAUUGAAAUUGAGAAUCAGAAUGUCGGUGCUGAACCUUUAGAAUCUGCAAUUUCUACUCACUCUUUUCACGAGCAUACUGUGCCUGAUACUGCAUGCCUCCAAAUUGGAAUUAUUUUACGUUUCAUGUGGUCCCGAAUGAGGUCAAAUAAUGAUGUUGUUUGCUAUUGCUGCUUUAUUCUAAUAUAUCUAUGGUACUUCAGUUUACUUUCUGUGGUUUAUCUAGCAGCACUCUUCUUAUAUGCUCUCUGUCAAAAUACUGGUCCCAGUUACAUAUUUUGGGUUAUUAUGCUAAUCUAUACGGAGGUAUGCAUUUUGCUUCAGUACUUGUAUCAAAUCAUCAUUCAACAUACCGAGUUUGAAUUUCAUGCUAGCUUACUUCAAAAAUUAGGAUUUCCUACUAAGCAAAUAACAUCAUCUUUUGUGACAAGCAAUUUACCAUUUUUCCUGGUAUAUAUAUUCACUCUAGUGCAAAUCUCCGUAACUGUGAAGGAUGGGGGUUGGACAAUUAAUGCAGACCUCACCUUUUAUAAGAGAAGAAAUCAGAGGUGCAUAGAGAAUUUAAAGCGCUCCACCUACCGGGGGAGAUUACCGAGAUUAUUUUUACCCGUGAAAAGUAUACUGAAACUGAUUAUCAGAAGCCUCUGUAGGUACUGGAAAUCAUUGACAUGGGAUGCAGAAACUCCCCCUUACUUUGUCCAGCUGUCUAUGGAAGUUAUCUCGUGGCCUAAAGAGGGAAUUCAGCCAAAGAAAAUUGAAUCAAGAAUAAAUAAGUUGCUGAAGAUCUUGCAUAGGAGGAGAUGCAAAGUGGAUAACCGUUUUAAAUUGCACUCGGCAAGUAGGGUUCGUGUACAGAGCAUUGAAAAAGGCGAAGAAAAUGAAAACUUGUGUCUUGUUGUUUUUGAGGUGUUAUAUGCAUCCCCUCCUAUUGAAUUUGCUUCUGAGGAAUGGUACAGUUCAUUAACCCCAGCGGAAGAUGUAUCUAAUGAGAUUCAGAAAGCUCAACAAGUUGGUAUUUUUAAAGAAAUUGCAUUUCCAUAUCGCAUACUAUCCGUCAUUGGUGGUGGAAAGAAGGAAAUUGAUCUGUAUGCCUACAUCUUUGGAGCUGAUUUGGCUGUUUUCUUCUUAAUUUCCAUUUUGUACGAAACAGUUAUGAAAGCUAAUAGUGAGUUUUUUGAAGUCUAUCAGCUUGAAGAUCAGUUCCCAGAAGAUUUUGUAUUAGUUCUCAUGGUAAGUUUUUUUUCUUUUCAGAAUGUAUUGAUAUAUAUGGCUUUUAUUUCAUUUCUAUGAUGUAUACUAUAAGUCUAAUAGUGAGAUGUAGGUGGCUGGUCAUUUUGCUUGAUGUGACUUGCCAUUUAUGUUCAAAUGCAUUGAUUAAAUAAUUUACUGAAAGUUCAUUGUAAAGAUUGGGUCAGUUAGAAAACUAUUCAGCAUCAUCUAGUUGAACAAGGUCGUCUAUUAAUACUCUGGUUGUCUAUUCUUUGUGUGUUGUUUGGUGAAAGAUCGUCUAAUACACCUAUUGGAGUGAAGAUAUUUUGAAACACUCGUCCACUACUACAGAUCGUCUUGUACACCAGUUUGGAGAAACAUUGUCUUGUAUGCUCGUUUAGUGGAGGAUCGUCUGGUACACUAGUCUGUGGAGGGCCAUCUUGUAUAGCCAGCCAUUUGUUUCUCUUCCACUAUCUAGGUCAUCAUAUGUUUUAUGCCUGUCUUAAGCAUGAAACAUGGGAAUCACAUGUCACGUUUCUGUUAAGUGAUAUGUGCCAUGAUUCGUGAGAGUGUUAUAGUUGUUUUGUAUAAAUAGGUACCUUUGUGUAAAACAUGACGUUGAGUUGUUGAGUUCUAAAGCGAGCGAGCAUUCACUGUCGUAAGAGAGACAUUUGAGUUGUAAUCUGUAGUUCUUUCUGUCGGUUUCUUAGAGAGAAGAACUUGUUCUAGUGAAUUUGUUUGGAGAUGUAGAUUAGAGUUUGUUAAUACUCUAGUUGAACCUUGAUAUCUUCUCGUGUUGUUAUUCUUUCAUUCGUACUUAAUAUUCUUCUUCAAUUUCUUGUGGUGUUGGAGUUGAACAUUCUAGUAUCCGGUGAACUUGACGUUAAUUCUACAACACACAGAUGUUUAUGUCUUGUUGGUUACUCAGCUUAAGAGCUUUAUCUUGCAGGUUGUCUUUUUCUUGAUUGUGCUUGAUCGAAUUAUAUACCUCUGCUCAUUUGCAACAGGAAAAGUUAUUUUCUAUUUAUUCAACCUUAUUCUCUUCACGUAUUCUGUCACAAAAUAUGCUUGGGAUAUGGAUCCUUUACACAGAUAUGCUGGGAUACUAGCACUCCGAGCCAUUUAUCUCACAAAAGCAAUUUCUCUGGUUUUGCAAGCCAUACAAAUUCAUUUUGGGAUUCCACAUAAGAGCACUUUGUACAGGCAGUUUUUGACCAGUAGUGUUUCUCGGAUUAAUGUUUUGGGUUUUCGACUAUAUCGUGCUAUACCUUUCCUUUAUGAAUUGAGAUGUGUGCUAGAUUGGUCUUGCACAACAACAUCUUUGACUAUGCAUGACUGGCUCAAGGUAUGUUGUCAACUGUCUUCACAUGUUCCCUCUUGAUAUUUUUUUUUUGCUGCUACUGCUUAUUAGUUACGCUAUUAGCAUGUUAAUAUUAUAGGACUUCUCUUAAUUGGCUAUUCUCGAGCACAAUAAACUGUAGGGCAAUGUCCGUUUUUUCCCCUAUUUAUAACACUUUAACUUCUUAUUUUCUAGUUAGAAGACAUUCAUUCAAGUCUGUUUCUUGUCAAAUGCGACGUGGAUCUGAAUAGAGCCAAGCACCAACAAGGACAAAAGCAAACAAAAACGACGAAGUUCACCAAUGGGAUAUGUUUAUUUUUUGUAUUACUAUGUGUCAUAUGGGCUCCAAUGUUGGUAAGAAACAAAAAUCCAAGUAUUUGCUUAUUGGUUAAAAUUUAAAAAUAAAAUUUACUACUUUGAGUCUCAUCUAAUUCCGAAAUCCUUUUUUACAAUUAAUGAAAUGCAUAAUAAUAUGGGAAUGGCUUGGUCUGAAAAGGUUGAAGUAAAUACCUUUCACGUGAGAAAGAUAAGAAAACAAUUUCAAUUUAAAGAAGCAAUUUGCUUGAAAAUAACUUUCCAUGAAACUAUACGGUAUAAUUUGUUCUUUCAUAACUUUUAGCUAAUGAAUAUGCCUGGUUAAUGAAAAGAAAUAUAUAAAAUCAUUGGCACAGCUUCUCUUCCCCGAAUCACUGUAAUGGCCCAAUACUUGUUAUCUACGUUUUAGCCUAGGUAAUUGAAUUAUUGAAUUAUCUCAAGUUGGCUUGUUUGCUCCACUUCGAUUAUCAUUUUUUGAUAGGGAGCAGAGAUAUAUUUUUUCUAGAUUUAAUAGAUGUGUUCAAGUCCCGUAUUAGAAUGCCAACCCGAAAAAUCUUGUCAAGUACUUGGACAUAUAUUUGCUGUGCUGUAGCUAGACUAUUUUCAGGCCUUCAAAGUAGCAUAUUAGGAGUAAAAAAAUCAUGGAAGCGCUAUAUGGUCAUGUCUGCUGUUUCAGAUAGCUCAUAAGUCAUACCAUAGGACUAUUACCGGCACUUCUUUUUCUUAUCCUUUUGGGGAAUGAUGUAGCACUGGUCGGUUCAACACAAUCCUGUUCUAAACUCUCGACUGUCAUAACCCUAUAAUACAUAUUUCAAAUAUUUUAUUUAUAUGCCUCUGUCAUUUUGCAGAUAAAAGCAGUUGAAUGUUACUUUUACAUUUUUGAGAUCACUUAUGAAGUGUAGAUUUAAUAACAUUGGAGGCAAAAAAAAUUCCUAAAUCAUUUACUGAAGUAUCACUUCCACCAUUUCCUUAAAAUUACAUUUUCUGGGCAGAUGUACAGCAGUGGUAACCCAACAAACAUUGCGAACCCAAUCAAAGAUGCAAGUGCCAGGGUUGCUAUAAAGACAUCAAGUGGACGGUUGACACUGUUUGAGACUACUUUGUGCGAGAAGAUUUCUUGGGAAAAUCUUGAAGCACGAACAAGUUUGGAUCCCCAGGGUUAUCUUAAUGCAUACAAUGAGAAAGACAUCCAAUUAAUUUGCUGCCAAUCAGACGCAAGUACAUUGUGGCAUGUUCCACCAAUUGUGCAGACCAGAUUUAUAAAGUCCCUUACGCGACACAUGGACAUUUAUUUCUCCUGGGAAUUUUUCAGAGAUAGGCCUAAAGGAAAGGAAGCAGUCAAGUAUGAAUUGACCAUAAUGGAGCCGAAUAUUUCCACAUCUUCAGAAGUGACUAAAGUUUUCAAUGGUACUUCUAACAGUUUCGCAGUAUUCAAUAUUUACCCCAGAUAUUUCCGAGUCACAGGGUCCGGAGAUGUGCGAUCCCUCGAACAGUCGGUAUGUUUAAGAAGAUAUAAUAUGCCUAAUCUAAGACUAAAAAUAUUUAUUAAGACCAAAAACAUGUUCCUAGUUUGCUUAGUUGAACUGCUACAUACAUUCCUUUACUAGCUAGGGCUCAGAUUAUAAUGGGCAUAUAUGGUCCAUGCAGGUUGAGCUGGUUAGUGGGGAUCUUGUUCUUAACCGUGGAGAUCCUGAGUGGUGGUCGUUUUAUGAUUUGGGCUAUUUAGGCUCACUUGGAUGUGGGAAGUCGCCAGGACCUAUGGCUAUAAUUGUAUCUGAAGAAACCCCGCGUAAGCUGAACUUAAACUUUAAUACAGUUCCCUGUUUAGUUUCUUUCAUAGUCCAAAAUUAUCUAAAUUAAAACAACUUUCUCUACUCUUUGUUUUCAUAAAAAUAAAAAUAGUCAGUUUUAUUAUUAGUAACUUGCUUUCUAGAAUCAUUACAUUAUAAUAUCAAUCACCUCACUUCAAAAAUUUUAUAAACUUUCCUCUAAACUCGCACUUGGUGCAUAAUGAUAGAAGACUAGGUUGACAAAGAAACCGAAGCAUUAGAAGCAAGACAAUAUAGCAAUAAUCAAACUACAUCAUAAACCUCAUCUUCGAUUUAAUUUUAGGAAGAGUUCAUGAGAGGCUGUGAUUAAUAGAUUCAUAAGAACAUUAGGAAAGAAAGAACAUGAUAUUGAAAUAAGAACUUGAAUAAGAACUGAAUGGAAAAUAAGUUUGGUGUAAGGAAAGAACAAAUCUACAAAUAAUAUAUGAAAAUAACCAAAUGAAAACAGGAAAAAAAACAAAGAGCUGAGGAUAUCACCUUGAAUAUCAUUCUCAAAAUAAGUGCAUCCCAGAAUGAUCACUUGAAUCAAAGAAUGAGAAAAACUCUCACAAGAAAUAAUGUUGUAAAAACUCUUCCAAUUUUUCAUAUACCCAAAAUACAUGUUUGAUCCAAAAUUUGAAUGAUAUUAAAGAGGGAAAAUUCAAAUUUAAAUUAUAAUUUAAAAGGUUCUCUCGCGAUUGAAUUUGAGUGCUGCUUUCUUUGUUUGUGUAACUUGCCCUCCUAGGCAAUAAUAUGAACAUUUGUUUUCCAUGUUUGCAUUGGACUUUCUUCUCUCCUUUUCUUGGUUGAACUGUGCACUCCUUAUUGAGAUUUUGUUGAGUCUUCAAUUGAAGCUCAAUUUCAAACUCAAUCUAAAAUUACAAAUUUAAAGAAAUUAAAAAACAAAUUACAAUUAAAAGAAAAUGUAGUAAAAUUAAAUUUUAGUCUAAAAUUACAACUAAAGUAAAUUCCUAUCUAGAAAUUCAGACAAUUAUUUUAUUUUUUUAAAAUAAUGCUACCAAAUAUCAUUUUAACCCUUACACUCAUCACAUAGUGUCCUAUGCAUGAGUUAGGCCGAAUUCAGACAUUGUUUCCUUCCAGAUUUUAUCAAUACACUGACUAAUACCAAUCUCCUUGUUGCUUAAGAGGGCAUUAUCGGUGACACUCUCAGCAAGUUUAGUAUCUGGGGGCUGUACAUUACCUUUGUCCUAGCAGUUGGACGUUUUAUCAGAUUACAAUGUUCUGACUUGCGAAUGAGAAUUCCUUUUGAGAAUCUUCCUUCGUGUGACAGGUGCUCGAGCAAUUAAUCCAUCUAUAUAGAUUGUUCAUAUGAGGCUCCCUUCUGUUUUAGUGAGGAAUAAAACGAAGUGGAUGCCAAAGGUUUCAAUAAGGGACCAAAUAAUUUGUUCAUUGAUGCAGAUUGAUGGCAAUAUGUGAAGAUAUAUAUGCUGCAAGAGCUGCUGGAGAGCUUGAAGUUGAAGAGAUUUUGUAUUGGACGCUUGUUAAAAUCUACCGUUCUCCACACAUGUUGUUAGAGUAUACUCAGGAUGAAUAAAUUCUUGAAAGUCUUGGAAGAUAUUCAGUCUCCUAUUGUAUAUUGCAGAAUCAUCGACAUUUGAGCAUAACCCAAUUCUCAGAUGGUUUCCGUUGGAAACACAAAACAGGAAAAGGAAGAUCACAUGCAAAGGCUGCUCAACCGAAUGAAUCUCGAGUUGUAUAUGGAGUCACUCGUACAAUCAGAACUCAUACAUUGACUGAGGGAUACUGCUUUUGAUUCUGGGUUAUAUCAUACUCUCUUCAGGAAUUGGUCAAGGUACCAUACACACACUUUAAGAUGUAAAUUUGAGUGAUUCCUACCUAAACUAUCUUAUAUAUGUGUUAGCCACUUGCUAAAUCAGUUAAUUAUUUACCACAAAUUAUACAUAAAAAAAAUAGACUUAUUCACAUUGAGACAUAUAUUGCAUGUUCAUUUUAGCAUAUUUUCUGCCGCUAAUCAACAUUUAUUAGAAAAAUAUGAUUUUUGUAAGUUUCACUUAUCUAAUGAAUCUUGCAUUUAUAAGAUGUGUAAUAUGAUAUAUUGUUUGCACCUAUUUUGUAUAAGCUUGUCAAAGCUUAUUUCCAUUUUCUUACACAUUUAAUCGGGUUUUGUAAGUAGUUGUUAGAUUAAAGAGUGAAUUAUUUCCAUCAUCCAAUGUCUCUCAAAUUUCAUUUUGAAUAUUGUCUGACGAUGUAUAUAAGAGUAAAUGCAUUGAAACUCUUAUUUUCAUUACAUUUACAUUUAUAUUACAUUUUCCUAGACUUAAUUAGUUAUUUGAUAAGUAUAUUUAAUAUUUUAAAUAAAAAUAAAUCUAAAUUUUAAUAUAUAAAAAAAAUUACUAAUUUAAGAUAUUUUUUUAUAAGUGCAUCCUACUGAAAAGAGUUAAAAGGCAUACUCUAAGUAUGAAGAAAAGAUUUGAGUGUCGGGGUGAAAAUACCGUAUAACGAUCCAGUAGUUCUCCCAUAUUCUUGAUCAACUUUUAAGAUUGAAUAAUAUAUUUUGAUAUAAAAAAAAUAGUAUUUAACUUUAAAUUUUUUUAAUUUAUUUGAUACUAACUUUUUUUAUUUUUUACUCUCAUUUUUUUUAAAAAUACAAAAAUUUAUAUUUUUAUAACUAUUUUAUCUUUAUAUUAUAUAUAAAAAAAUAUAUCAUGAUAUUAUUAUUUUUUAAAAAUAUUUUACACCUAUUUGAUAUUAUACAAAGUUUGACACUAUAAGACUAGUUCUUUAGCAUACUUGUAUAUGAAAUAGACCUGCUCAAAUUUUUUAUUGUUAUAUAUAUGAAAAAUAUGAAAAUUAUUUUAUUAAAAUAUAACAUAUUUUUUAAAAUAAAAAGACCUAUAAUUUACACGAUUUUAAUUUUUUGUACUAUGUUAUUUGAAGAAUGCAAAUGAAUUUAUUAUUGAAAUAAUGCCUCUUAAAUAAGUUUUCAAAUUUUUUAUUGUAAUUGUAUAAUUUAACAGAUAAAAUUAUUCUCUAAAUUUAUCCAUUUAAAUGUAUUAGUUAACCAGAUAUAUAUUUUAUAUAUAUAUAUAUAUAUAUAUAUAUAUAUAUAUAUAUAUAUAUAUAUAUAUAUAUAUAUANNNNNNNNNNNNNNNNNNNNNNNNNNNNNNNNNNNNNNNNNNNNNNNNNNNNNNNNNNNNNNNNNNNNNNNNNNNNNNNNNNNNNNNNNNNNNNNNNNNNNNNNNNNNNNNNNNNNNNNNNNNNNNNNNNNNNNNNNNNNNNNNNNNNNNNNNNNNNNNNNNNNNNNNNNNNNNNNNNNNNNNNNNNNNNNNNNNNNNNNNNNNNNNNNNNNNNNNNNNNNNNNNNNNNNNNNNNNNNNNNNNNNNNNNNNNNNNNNNNNNNNNNNNNNNNNNNNNNNNNNNNNNNNNNNNNNNNNNNNNNNNNNNNNNNNNNNNNNNNNNNNNNNNNNNNNNNNNNNNNNNNNNNNNNNNNNNNNNNNNNNNNNNNNNNNNNNNNNNNNNNNNNNNNNNNNNNNNNNNNNNNNNNNNNNNNNNNNNNNNNNNNNNNNNNNNNNNNNNNNNNNNNNNNNNNNNNNNNNNNNNNNNNNNNNNNNNNNNNNNNNNNNNNNNNNNNNNNNNNNNNNNNNNNNNNNNNNNNNNNNNNNNNNNNNNNNNNNNNNNNNNNNNNNNNNNNNNNNNNNNNNNNNNNNNNNNNNNNNNNNNNNNNNNNNNNNNNNNNNNNNNNNNNNNNNNNNNNNNNNNNNNNNNNNNNNNNNNNNNNNNNNNNNNNNNNNNNNNNNNNNNNNNNNNNNNNNNNNNNNNNNNNNNNNNNNNNNNNNNNNNNNNNNNNNNNNNNNNNNNNNNNNNNNNNNNNNNNNNNNNNNNNNNNNNNNNNNNNNNNNNNNNNNNNNNNNNNNNNNNNNNNNNNNNNNNNNNNNNNNNNNNNNNNNNNNNNNNNNNNNNNNNNNNNNNNNNNNNNNNAAUAUAUAUAUAUAUAUAUAUAUAUAUAUAUAUAUAUAUAUAUAUAUAUAUAUAAUUUGAGAAUUUGUCAUAUUUAAUGAACCAAUGGGUGAACCUCCCAUUGAGUAGACUCGGUAUGACUCUCAUAUUGUGCUAGUUAUAUAAAAGGUUAAUUCAACUUAAUAUAUAGAUAUCAAUGACACUUUUAAAGCUUUUCUUAACUUUGAUCUCUCUUCAACAUAAUAAAUAUGAUAUUAUAAAUUAAUAUAUAAAAGUAAAUAAGUCAAAUAUAACUGUUGAAGAAUAAACGUUAUUUUUAUUAAAAUAUUAAGUUCAUUACUUUGUCAUUCAAACAAGACAAUCUAUUUACUUCAACUUUUCUCAAGUUUCUUUUACUCUUUGACAUAAAAUACACAUUCUGAUGAUAUAACAUCAUAAUUUUCAUCUGCUGAAUAGCCAUUUUCAGCCUUUUCAAGAAAAAUAUUAUUGUUAGGUUCUCCAAUUUAUUCAUGUUAGAUUACAUUUUAGGCUUCUUUAUGUCAUUCUUUUUCUUCGUUCAUGCAAAAACUAACAUUAAUCUCUUUCUUUUCCUAUUUUCUCAUCUUUUUUUCUCAGGUUUAAUGGAAGGAAGACAAAGUUUUUUCCUAUCUUACUAAAAUUCUCUCUCAUCAAAAAGGUUCAUUUUUUUUUAUUCCAUGCAUAUUCAGGUUUUAUCCUUUGUAUUCAUUGUCCAUGAAUUUACACAAUCUGGUUAUUUCAUUUUUGUCAUUCAUAUGAGUAUUGACUAAAACUGGAAAUGGUUUGAUGUGAAUAAAAGGAAUAAGUGAUUUAAUAUUUAUAUUAGAAAAUAGUUGCGAAUUAAAUAUUAUAUUUGUUAACGAAGAAAAAACAUAAGAUUUUAUGUAUAAACAACAACAAAUGAAAUUUUUAAUUUUAUCUUAUGUAUUUUAUUGUUAUUUUAAAAUCAACUACCAUUCAUCUUUGAAAAAACAUAAUUAAAAAGAUGAUUUAGUUAUUUUAAUAUAUCAUAUAAUUUUUCUAUCUUUAUUAUAAUGUACCUUAUAGAAAAUGUUGGCGGUUCCUUUUCAAAUACUUUGUAAUUUCUAUAAAACAUUUAAUAGGAUAAUGAUAUUUAGAUAAUAUUUUUUUAAUAAACAUUUGAAUAUCAUCUACGUGUCAUUCUGUGAUUGGUCCAUGCAGAUGAUGUUCAAAUAUUGUAAAAAAAUAUUGUCUAAGUAUCAUUAUCCCAUUUAAUAUACCUUUACUUGUUUAUCUUUAGUAAAAAUAUUAAACAUUUUGUGUUUUGGAUUGUUCUUUAAUAAAGACAUGUGAAAAGAAUUUUGUUUAGAAAUCAUUUCAUAGUGUUAUGUGUGAAAUCAAUGUUCUUCCUCAAUUAAUUAAGUUUCUCAUUGUAAUAUAAUAUUUCCAAAAAUAUAAAAAUAAUUAUAUUUGACGUGUAAAUAUCUAAUUUUUAUGUUAUACACAGACCAUGGAUCAACAAUUUGGAAAAACAAAUGAUUACACAGAUGCCUACUUUGAAGGAAUAAUUCGUGCUUGUGAGGUAAAUAUUACUACAUAAUUUUUUUUUUGUAUAAUUAAUUUUCAUUUAAUAAUCAUAAUAUCUAACAUAGUUUAUUUUUGUAAAAUAUAAAUCAGAGCAGAGUAAGAAUUCCAAAAGGGUUCUAUAAGACAUGGAGUAAUGAACUGGGGAAAGCAGUUAUACUUGAAGAUGAUUAUGGCAAUAUUUUUGCUGUGGAAAUUGAUCUUAUUACAAUAAACAAUAAAGUUUGUGCUUAUUUUAACAAUGGUAUGAAUAGUUUGAAGGAUUUCUAUCACAUUGAGGUUGGAAAAUUGGUGCACUUUAAAUAUGUAGGACAAGGUACCUUCAAAAUAAGGUUCUCUAUUCCAAGGCCACCAUUAGAAAGCACUUCAAGGAUUCAAAAGGGCACUAGAAGAAUGUUAUGGGAAAGUAAUAUUUUUUAUGAACAAUUUGCCAAUAUGGAAAAUAAUUAAUUGUAUUUUUUUUUUAUUAUAAGUUUUAAUGUGAAAGAUGAAUUUAUAAAUCAAGCAUCAAAUAUUGGUGUGAAGUUACCAAACAAUGUGGAAGAAGAAAGAGAGAUAAUAUUCAAAAAUGGUGAAAGAGUAAAUGAAGUUGUUUUUGGGAGAGCUUGGUACAACUUUUAUAACAAUUUUGGAAAGAAAUGGAAAGGUUCAAUUUUGGAAAGUAGAAGGAGAUGAAAAGUUAAAUGUGAAAAUAAUGCAUUUAAGUUAGUAUUUUUUUAUAUGAUUAAGUGUUUUUUUUAAUGAGAAAACAUUUGGUAAUAUAAAUUAUUUAUACAAUAUUUAUAAGAAAAUUUAUAUUUUUGUUUAAAUGGUGAAUUCUUAUAAGAUUGUUCUUAGAUUAUUAUUUAUCAAAUAAUUAAAUAUUUUUUUCGUCUUUAAAUUAUUAUAAAAAAAUUAUGUUUUGUUUUUAAAUUAAAAUAUAAAAUAUUUAAUUUCUUUUAUUGUAUAAAAAUAUAUGCAAAACAUCUAACAUGUUAAACAAAAUUUCAUGAAUUAAAAUAUAACUUUAACAUAUAAUUUGUUGGGAAACAUAUUUUAUAAUAUAAAGACCAAAUUUUUAUAAUUUAAUUGAAGAAUGAUACACAAUUUUUCAUAAUAAUUUGAAAAUAAAAAUAUAUAUUUAACUCUUAAUCAAAAUAAAUUUUAAUCGAUCACAAUAGUUGUAUAAUCAUUUGAUAAUUAACCCAAUAGUUGAAAUUUCGAAGUUUACUAUAUAAUUAAGUUAAACUAUAUAUGUCAAACUUCAUCAAUUCGUUCUUCUUUUGUGGUUUCGAAUGACUAAAAACUUUUUAAAGAAUUCUAACAUCUUUUGCAAAUAUAAAUAUUCUAAUAACAAUCUUUUGUUAUAAUUUUUCUUUACGUUAAACAAGUCAUCACAGUAGAAAGAAUAUAUUUAUACUCUACGAUACCAAUUUAUUAUAAAUUUUAAUUAUAAUAUUAUAUUUUAUGAAAUUUAAUUUUAAUUUAUAUAUUAAAGAUAUUUAUUUAUUACAAUAUAAAACAUAAUAAAAUACUGGUAAAGUAAAAUAAACUAGAGUCAUUAAUAAAACUAAUUCAAACUUUGAUAUACAUAUCGAUAUUUAAAUUUCAAUUAUUUUGAAUAAAAAAAAUCUCAAGUAUUUAGUUUUUUUGUAUUAUCUCAAUCAUUAAUUUCAAAAGUUAAUAAUUACUUAACUUUUAAUAAAAUAUAUGAUGCAAACUUCCAAGAAUCGUCGAUAUGUCCGAGUGGUUAAGGAGACAGACUUGAAAUCUGUUGGGCUACGCCCGCGCAGGUUCGAACCCUGCUGUCGACGUUUUUAAUUAAUUUUCAUAUAACUAUAACUUUCAUUAUGAAUAUUUUGAUAUAUAUUCUAAAAAUUAAUAAAUAUUAGAGAUUUUUAUUUUAAUUACUUUUAAAAUAUCACAUUUUUUUUAAUAACUAAACCUGAUAGCCCAGGAUUGAAUUGUGGACCCAUUUCAAACCAAUCCCAUUUAAUGAGGUUUAUGAAAAAAUAAACAAUAUUUAGCUACAUUUUAACUACACGCUAACUAAUACGUUUACACUAAUUUUCAUUUAAAAAUAUUUUUUUAGCCUCUUUUAAUUUUUAUGCAUACCAUCUUCUAGAAGGUGAAUGAAAUAAUAAAAUGUAAACAUGGUUCUUGUAUCAAGUUGACCCAUAAUGCCUCAACAAUGUCGAUAUGUCCGAGUGGUUAAGGAGACAGACUUGAAAUCUGUUGGGCUUCGCCCGCGCAGGUUCGAACCCUGCUGUCGACGGUUUUGAUUUUUUAUAAAUUUUAAUGAUUGAUUUUCAUUGCAAACAUAAAGCAUCAGAAACAAUAAAAUGCAUAAAAAAAAGUAAUAUAUUAAAGUUUCCAAUAAAGAUAAGUUUAAAUAAAAAAUAAAUAUAUUUCAAACGAAACUAGAGAAAAUAAAUUACCUUCUCUAAAAUAGUUUGUAUAUUUAUUUCUUCAUAUAUUUCAUUGCAUUUGUAGUGAUGAUGUAGAUAUUUUACUUAAUCUCAUCAAUAAUAAAUCCUCCAUAAUUUACACGCAUCAAAUAUUGGACUUCAAAAGCAGAUUGUUUACCAAAGAGAAUUCAAGUAUUUAUGAUUUUUGAAAUUUAAGGUGAGUAAAAAUUUAAAAGGAGGAUAUGUUAGAGGAAGUAAAACAUGCCUUAAUUUUUUGAAAGCUUCAUUACCAGAUUGAAAAAUGGUGGAUGAAGAGAUGAAAUAGUCAAUGUCUUAGGGUGACAUGAUUGAAGUAAUGAAUUUUUUGAGUCAUUAGAAAUAACGUAUACGAGGUAGCUUUUUAAAUUCAAACAGAACAAGAAAAUAUUGAAGUAUGUCACCAUUAUUUUUUAUUCUUUCCAACUGUUUGUAUAUAUCUUGCACUGUUCACACUCAAGUUCUGUUGGUCGAGUGAGUGUCCACCCAACAAUCCUUCAUACCUAUUUGAUUUCAAUCAAAUCAUUUGAACAUCUUCAAGAACAAGCCAAGAAGCACCAACUUCUGCGAUUGUUCCAUUCAUAACUUUUCUUAUAUUCUCAUCAACUGAAAUUUUUUGGUGAAAGAACAACCACUUACACUUACUUACACUGUCUCCAGUCUCACUUUCUUCAAAUUCACAGAACCCAUUUUUCUUCAAAUAAAUCCUUCUAUAGAACAAUCAGAUUAACUGAAACCAGAGACAAGAAAACAUAUAAGCAGUUCAAAUCGGAGAGAGUGAGAUUACGAGAGUUCAAAUUAGAAGCCACUGAGUUGAUUAAAUGGAAAAUUUUCCGACAAUCUUAAAAACUGAAGAAAAUAUGUUCAGGAAUUGGUUUUGACAUCUAACAUAAAUCUUCAAAAUUUGGUAAAUACAGUACAAUCGCUCUCCGUGUGGAACAUUCUCUCUCUCUCUCUGCCUAAGAAUACAAAACGCAGUUAAAGUAAUUACAGCGUAUGUGGACCUCUCGGUGGUGUCGUUUUUCUCCGCAACCAAACACCACCGCAUGCAUGCAUGUUUUCUCUCUACACACAUCCAACCUUUCUUCUGCCAAUUUCCUCAGUGCAAAUUCCAACGUUCAAAUCAUUCAUUCACUGCAUCUACCUUCCCCUUCAAAACCCCAUGCCACGUGUCCCUCCAACCCUCACACAAUGCUGAUUCCACACAUGCGCAUGCUGCCAUGAACAUGGUGAUGGUGAUGAUGGUUCACCAUCUCGUGACACCUCCUUAACCCUUCACUACUCCCUCCCACGCCAAGGAGCCUCCACUCUCCGACAUUCUCUUCCUCUAUUCCUUUCUCUUCUUCUUCUUCUAUCUCUUCUUCUUCUAUCUCUUCCUCUUCCUCUUCAAGAUCUGACACCAGACGCAAUGUCAAACGUCCGUUCUCUCGCCACGCAUGCAGAAUCUCCGCCCGCUCUAUUCUCACUUCAGUCAACUCCAACCUCCCGUCUUUCCUCACGGGCCGGAGAUAAAAAUUCGGUUUACCGUUCCGAUUGAGCGACGACAGCGGCGGUGGAAAUGUCCUCACCUUCCCUCUCCCCUCCGUCUUUACCGUUCUCCUCCGAGAAAUCUCCUCCCCUUCGAUCACACCCUCAUCCUCGCAAUUACUGUGGAUUUGGUCGGAGCUCUCGCAGCCUAGAUUCUCCGUGCAUGAGGCCAAGCCGCUGACCACGCAAACCACGUCGUUAUCAAGGGAUCCAAUCUGUGUCUUCUUGGGCCGAGGAGCGUCGCUGUUGGGCUUCAACAUGGCGGACUCCAGAACGUUGGGAGGUCUGUGGACGUCUGUGGUGGCGAGUCCAAGGCCCAAAAGUGGAUGGUGGUGAUAGUGGUGGUGAUGAUGACACGUGUCAGUGGAGGUGUUUCUCUUGAACAAUUUGAUCAUGGCAGGGAAGACGAGGGAGAAAAGAAAAGGCGGAUAGAAAGAGAAACCGAUUGAGUUUGUCAUGGCAUAAUAACAAUAAUCAUAAUCAAAACGUAAAAGUAGUUGUAACAAUUUGUGAGAAGGGAUUCUGGAAGAUGAGAAGAAGAGAAAGAAGGUAUUAAUAAAAUAAAAAGGAAAAGCAUAGCAUGGGCAUGGGGUGGCAGAGUGAGAGUGCCAACCAAACAAAACGCAAGAAAAGGAAGGGCGUGUUUGUUUCGGGGUAUGAGCUGGAAUCCCUCUUGGAGCAAACGGUGCCGGGUCCCACGUUGGACUCCGCGCAAAUAGCUUUUUAUCUCUUUUUUUUUUUUUCUGUGGGUUAAAUUUUAACCAAACGCUAACCUCUUAUCUCCUAAUCCUACAUUCCACGUAUUAAUUAUGCGUUGACCUCUUUUUAUCACUUCGUUAAUCUCUUUCUUUUCUUUUCAUUUCUUUUCUACCAUUUUUAUGCUCAUACACGUUUUACUCAAUAAUUAGAAACCAUUUUUUAUUUUGGUUAUUCUCUUGUUACCGUUUGACCAUCUCUAACAAAAUUAAGAAAACGCGAUUCCCAGGUCUUCCAAUAAGCACGUUUGCAAAACACAGACAGACAUUGGCCCUCGGAGUUUGCGCGAGUUGUUCCUGCUCCCAGACGACCCAGGCAAUGAUCAUUUACACGUUCUUCCGAAAAUUAAAUUGCUGGUUAUUUGAAUCGUUUCUACAUAAGUUCUUAUUUGAAAAAGUAGUUUUCAGUUUUCAGAUCAACGUUGUAAAAGUUGUUCAGAAAUCACCAUUUGUCCGUGUCCUUCAUAAAUGUGCCGAAUUCAUCUCUUGAGGGAUUCUUGAAUUUCUUCUAGCGUACGCCCCUUCGUCUCCGGCACUAGUUUUGCCACGAACAGAACGGUGAAGCCACAUAUGGCAGAGAAGAUGAAGAAAGUUCCUGAACAAACAUGAUGUGAGUUUUUGCUUUCUUGGUAUCUUUUCUUUUGUGGUUCAUUUUGGUUUUCUCUUUUAAGGGUGGAGUAAGUAUUCUCACAAGGAAUUGAAAGAGUGAGUAUGAAUGAACCUACCUGCAGAACUCCAGCUCAUGAGAAAGUUAAAAGCAUAUGACACAAUCCAAGAACACAACCAGCUAACCAAUGUCACAACACUUCCUGCAGAGCCCUUCACAUUAAUGGGAAAUAUCUGGGAGCCAUAAAAAAGAUAAUUCAGUACACUUUAAGAACUUCUUAUGCUCCAUUUUUUAUUUCAUAUAAAAACUACCUCAGACAUUAUCACCCAUGGGAUUCCCCCCAUGCCAAGAGAGAAUGAUCCUGUAUAUACCUGAUCAUUGCAAAAAUUAAAUGCUCAAAAUAUCAGGUAUGUGGAUUUAUUUUAAUAUUUUCAAUAUUCUUCGUUAAAUAUAAAAUGCUAACUAGAAACAAAGAAAGAAGUCAGUAUUUGGUUUGAGUAUUUGACACUAGAGAACUCAAACUUCAUUACAUUAUCCACUCUAUAAGUACUUGAUCUUCGGUGAUGUUAUUAUUAACUGGGCAAAAAGAAAACACAGGUAACAUUCUGUCAUCUCAUUUCAAUGUCAUAAUACAAAGUAAUGAAUUCGAAUUUAUGUUUUGUUAUUGUUAUUAUUAUCCAAUUAAAUGCAUAAGAUUGCUGACUGUAAUCAGAGAUUCAAAACAUUGCCAUUGAAAAAUCAUCACCAGUACACCGACAAGUGCCAGAAUGGGACUGACUUCCUUCCAUUUAUGUAGGUCCUGCAUGAGCCAAGCUCAAUUAAUUGAUCAUUUUGAAAUAACUAAAGUGAAAAAACAAACUUGGUAGUGUAGGUUUUGUUAUUUAAAGAACCUGCAAGAAGAAUGAUAGGGCUGCAAGGAAGCAUCCUAAGGAUGUUCCCGAAGCAGAAACCUGCAUAAAGCUAAACAUUUUGGAUUCAGAUCUUACAUAUCAGCACAAAACAGAAGAAACAAAACAUCAUCUUUUCUACCAGCAGAAGUGGUCGUCUACCAGAUUUAUCCAUCAAAAGCACUCCCAGAGCUGUCAUUGGGAUCUAUGAAGAUACAAGUGAAGAGAAGACUCACCAAAGGAGUGGCAUCUAUCUCAUUUUAUACAACAUUAAGAAGGUGAGCGAAUCGACUGUAUGAAGAGAAUGAAGAACCUGAACUGCAACCAUUGCUAUCAUUCCAAUACUUCCCGAAAAUCCUGAGAUAGAUAAGAAUUUCUGCCUCUAUGACAAUUGUGUUAUAAGUUGAACAUUCUCAUGGCCAUCUUCUUUAUCAGUCAUGUGUUAGAAGCAUUAAAAAAAGAAUAUGCAUGUACCAGCAGAGAUGAAUAUAGAACUUGCAUAAAAAGCAAUGCCGUUAACCCCUCCAAACUGUUGCAGUAUCAUCAGACCAACUCCUACCUAACAAAGUAAUUAAAAAAUACUAUAAGAAUCUGCAAAAAGGACAAGACAGGCUACAAGAACAAGGAUAUAUAUCUUAGAAAGCUCAGCUCACAGUAAGUGACUUCAAAUACUGCAACUGAAAUAAGCCAAAAAUGGUAGCUUCUGUUUCGGUCUGAAGGGCUUCGGUAAAAUCCUACAAAAAACAUAACAUAGAAUAAUGUGUUAGACUCUUAAGCCUCUUCUACCACCCGAACACUGUAAUAAACAAACACUAUAUGUACUCUAAUUUCAGUGGCCUCUUGAGAAACAUCAGCAUUCUUUCCUCUAAGACGCUGUAGAACAGAUUCACUCCUUUCCCAGUGACCAAAUUUUGCCUACACAAGAUUUCAAACUGUCACAAACUUGCAAUGUGUUUGUCUACAAUGUAGUGAUUCCAAUUAUUUGGCACAAGUGACUGAAAAUCUCAGUUUCUUGUGUGAAUCGUGUCAUGUUCAACAACAGAUGAACAAAAAUAUCUCAAACAACUCACCAACCACCUAGGAGAUUCGGGAAUGAAGAAUAGACCCAAAAGUUGUACGAGACACGGAAUAGUUCCUGAGAUAAAGAAAGAAAAUGCCACUUACAUUGCAACCUUUCUUAAUUUCACUAUGUUAGAUGAAAACCAUGCAGAUGAGCAUUACCUAUUAGAGCCAAAAUCCUCCAAUUUAAGAACGAUCCAAUAAGAUAAGUUAAUGAUACCCCACAACAAAUCAUUAACUGUCAAAAGAAACUCCAAAUUGGAUUUUAAAUAAGCCUAUUACUUGCAAUGAGAGUAAAGUGAUACUAAGAAAAGAUUUAUCGUUUCUUUACCUGAUGAACUGUGGUGAAUCCCCCUCGGAGAUUCUUGGGUGUUACUUCUGCCACAUAAACUGGUACCUAUAAUGAAAACAGAAGAAACAAACCCAUUGUUUUUGUUUUGAGUGACCGAAUUCCUCUCGAACUGCACUUGUGAAAAACUAAGAGUCACAACAAUUACCACAUAAGAUAGAAGGCCCAUUCCACAUCCUACCAAAAAUCUUCCCACGUAUAGCCACCAACCAACCUUCAAACAAGCACCAUGUGUCAGAUAAAAACGACUUAACUUGUGUGCAAAUAUCAAGGUUUGUUUUACCGAUCAAGUUAAUUUCUCAAAAAGAUAUUUUGCUUGUAUAGGCUUAUAAGAAAGUGGCGUGUAAGGAUGGUAACCUUUGAGAAUGCUAUGGCAAGCCAUCCCAAGAUGCAGAAUACUUCGGAGAAACCCAUAGCCUGUUUUUCAAGAUGGAACAAAAACGAAGAUUGAAAUAAGAUUGUUAGGAAUUCAAGAUGACCAGUAAUUCAAGGUGGAGAAGAUUGUUAGGAAUUCAAAAUACCAGUAUACAAGUAGAAGAUUCCUAAACAUGUUGCUUGAAGGUUUUGGAUUAAAAGUAUUGUUACACUAUCUUGUAUGGACUGAUUCACGAAAACUUAUUGCCUAAAGUUAAGUUAAAAGUGAUGUUGUAAUUUCUUGUAUAGACUUUUUGAUAACUGAUUGGUUUCAAAUCUCCCGUGUCUUGAAAUACCUAACCUCAUGAAACUUUCAUUUCAAAACACAAACUGAAUAAACUUACAGCUCUUCGACCUGCGUAGUCUGCUAUUCUACCACUUAUGAUGGCCCCAAUCAUUGCUCCAAUCGUCAGUAUUGAUCCAAAAACCGAAUACUGAAUAAAACCAGACCAAUAAAAAGGUAUUAAAUGUGUUCCUUCCUUCCUCUCACCAGUUAAAUGGUUAAUACAUGAGAAACCAAAACAAAGGUCGUGAUUCAAAGUUCAAACCUCAGCCACGCCGAGAUUGAGAUCAUUCAUGAUUCCAUUUUGAGCAGGAGACGAAUAUCCAAUCUGCAAAAUUCAUACACUGACAAUGGUACUACUCUCAUAAAAUUGCCAAAGCAAAAACGUGUGAAGGGAACUUACAGCAGACCCAAAAACAUAAGAACCAGAAACCGCAACAAGGGUGGUAAGUAUAAGAAUAGCUGGUACCGACCAAGUUUCUUUCUGCCUCUUUUCCUCACACGCAACCCCAUCGUUACCAUGAUGAUAAGCUUGCAAUAUUUCUGUGGAAAGCAAUGGACUUGAACAUUCUCUCGGUUCAGAACUCUUAGAACUGUCGUCCAUGGUUCCCCAGAAGCGGAUUUAGGAGACACUACCAAUUUUAAGGUUGCUUGUGUGACAGUAAAUGAAUCUAUGAAGAACAGUGCUUUGUGAGGUCCAAAAAUGACUAAUGAGGACGACAGUGUUGGAGAUAAGUCUUGUGUAUUAUUGACUUUCGAUACUGCGUUUGAUGUUUUGAACUCAACUUCAUUGGAGGGACUGUGACAUGGUUUUUGUUACUGGGCAUGUGAAAUCUGAACUGAUAGGCAUAGAUUUUUUGUAGGAUGAUGUGUCAUCAUAAGCUUGCACAAAAGGCCAAGAGUUCCAAGCUGUGGCAUUCUGAAAAUCUUACCUUUUCUUGCAUGUGAUGACCAAGCCCUCAAGAUUCUUUUGUGUUGUCCUGAGUUUUAAGGUUUUUGUGAAUUUAGAGAAAAGUAAUUGAAAACAUUCGAAUUAAUUUUUUUUUUAUUUGAAUAAAUUUGGAAAUAAGUGAGAGUAGAUUUGAAAGUAAAAAUUUAUGAGAAUUAGUGUAAGAUUUAAUUUAUGUGAUAGAUUAAAAAAAUUUAGUUCCAAAUUCACUUUUACUUACCUCCAAAUCUAUUUAAAUAAACAGGAAAAAAAAAUUAUCAUCAAAUACUUCCAAAUCCUCCGAACUACUUUUUCUCAAAUGCACUGAAAUGGACAAAGAAUAAAAUAUGAGAUUGAUGCAUUAAAAAAAUUAUAUUAUAUUUUAAAAUAUCAAAAUUAAUAUCCAUCAAUAUAUUUUUAAAUUACAACAGAUAAACAGUACAAAAACACAGUAGAUAAUAUAAAUUGGUGAUGAGCGAUGAAAUAGUAACUUAGAUAUUCCUGUGUGAUGCUAUUUAUAUUAUAUUUUCAACCCACCAUUAUUAAUUUUUUAAUACAAAAUUAAAAUGUUACUUUGCCUAUAUUUUUACUAUUAUUGGCAAGUCUUUUUUUUUUAAUUAUUACAACUCAAACUUUAGUAGGUAUUUUAAUCCAAGACACAACUAUUAAUCUCUUGACCAUUUUACAUACUUUUAGAAUUUAACUUCUAACGACAUAAAAGACCAAACAUGUUUGUCACUUGAAGCAUGUUGGUCUUCUUUUAUGAUUAAUACAAUAUGAUACAUCGCAUCCACACAAUUAAAAUUCUUUUAUAUUUUUAGUAUCUAAUAAUCAUAAUACGAUACAAUAUGAUACAUAAUAUCCAUCAUUAAUAUUUUUAGAUUUAAAUAAAUUUUAGAUUUACUUAUUUUCGUCUUGAGUAUCCAGUAUUUUUUUUAAAAUUAGAUAUAUAAUUCAUCAUAAAAUUUUGGUUGAAGAUCCUGAAAAAAAAAAUCAUUUUCAUUUUGUUCUUAUUAUCACUUCACUCUUUUUAACUGGAUUUUAAGUUUUUUUUUUAAAAAAAACAAUCUCUUUUAGUAUUUUAACUUUAUUUUAUUAUAAUACUUGUUACCAUGUGAUAAUGUAUUCUGCCGGCAAGUAAUCAACUUAAUGUAAAUUAAUUUAUAUUAUACUAAGCUUCAACCAUUCCUAUUGUUUUCUGAAGUGUAUUUUAGUUUAGAAAACACUUCAACAUAUAAUAUAAAAUAUUUAGACAAAAAAUAUAAACUUUUUAAGUAUCCAAUUUUUAAAAAAAAAUAUUAGAAACAUAAAACAAAAAUUAACAAAAGUUAUUUAAGUUAUAUUUCUACAUAAUCAAUUUUAUUUAGUUUUGUUAUAUUUUUAAUGAUACAUAAUAGCAAUUGACACUAAAUUGUUUUCAUAUUUUACUCAUAAUAAUAUUUUUAAGUCACAAAUUGAAAAAAGAAACAAAUAAUGAGAUAGUGGAAAGUGACUAACAUGGAUUAUAAAAGUGUGCACAUUAAUUUCUUGUUUACAUAAUAUAAAUAAAAUAAAAUAAAAUAAAUUAUAUACAUAUUAUACAUUUUUAUUUAUAUAAAUUCUAAGACAGCAAAGAAAAAUUACAUACACAGAGUCUCUGUUUUUGCUAAUACUGAUUAAAUUGGAUAAAUAAUACAAUCACAAAAAAAAUAUUGUGACUUGGAGAUUGUUAUCUCCAUGAUUCAAACUUAUGUAACUUUUGAAUAAACUUCUUUACACGAAACCCCAUCAAUGUGCAACUUGCAGAAAUUCUGUUGCAGAGGAAUACCAAAUUCAUCUCUCAUAAGCUAUUCAAAGAAGCUUGAAUUUCCUCUAGUGUACGCCCCUUGGUCUCUGGUACUAGUUUUGCUACGAAAACAACAGUGCUGGCACAUAUGCCAGAGAACAAGAAGAAAGUUCCUGCUCCAACACAACCAAAACAUGACAAUGAACAUGUUUUUCAUAAAAUACUUCUUUAAAUUUUGAUGUUUUAUUGAUUUUUUUGUCUUGUCUCUUGAGGAAAUUAAUGUAUGUGUUAGAGUGGAAAACAGGAAAUAAGAGUAAAUUGAAGUUUACCUGAUGAACUCCAACUCAUGAGAAAGUUAAAAGUAUAUGCAACAAUCAAUGAACAUGUCCAGUUAACCAAGAUUACUAAGCUUCCAGCAGUGCCCUUCACAUUAAUGGGAAAUAUCUGAAACAUGAACAGCAUUCAUGUGCUGAGGAUUUAUUAUAUUUCAAUUUUGAUUUGAUGAGUCGAAGCAUAGUUGAACAAAGCUACCUCAGACAUUAUAACAGACGGAAUUCCAGACAUGCCUAGCGAGAACAAUCCCAUGUAUACCUGCUCAUUAGGAAAUUUAAAGCCAAAUUGCUUUUAUCUAUCAGUCAUUCAAUCCAUGAGUAAACCAGGCUGAAUAUACAACAUGAAUUGAAAUUUUGUCGGAGAAUUAAACUUCAGAGACAACAUUAAAGUCCUAAAUUCCAUUCGAUCUUACUAAGACAAAUACAAGGCCAAUGAAAAAUGAAAAGACAAGGAUAAGUACAAGAUGCAAGUGUUGGCAUUGUUAGAAAAGCAUUACCAGUACACCAACAAGCGCUAUAAAGGGACUUAUUGACUUCCAUUCAUGUAAAUCCUGUAUCAAGCAAGCCUAAUUGUUCUUAGAAAUGAUUCAAAAAGCAAAAAUGAUUAAAGCAAAGAUCUUCUAUCAAAAGAAAAGAACCUUCAAGAAGAAUGAUAGGGCUGUCAGGAAGCUUCCUACGCAUGCUCCUGUAGCAGAAGCCUGUGUAAGAGUCAAAAUUUAGGAUGAGAAUCAACAGAACAUGGAAACAGAUAAAAUUAUAAAUUAAAAAAGGAAGAAAAAAAUUGGCCAUUUUACCAGUAAAAGUGGUCGUCUUCCACAUCUAUCCAUCAAAAGUACUCCUAAAAAUGAAAAUGAGACCUAUAAACACAAAUAAAAGGACUAUGUGAAGAGAAGACCCCGGAAUGAAGUGUACAUGCAUCAUCCAAAAUGGCACUGAACUUGUAUUGUAUAGAAUUGAGCACACAGAAGUAAUGAAAUUGUGUAAACAGAAAUAAAAACCUUGAAGACACCCACUGCUAUUGUUCCAAUAGUGUCUGAAAAUCCUGUAAAAGAGAAGAAUCUUUGCCUUAAUGAAUCAUGCACAAAUCUAGUAUUCUCUGAUUUGUUUUUUCUUAUUUGGCAUAUGUUAGAAGGACCUGCACCUACCAGCAGAGAUAAAUAUGGAAUUUGUAUAGAAAAGAAUGCCACUAAUCCCUCCAAACUGUUGCAGUAUCAUCAAGCCUACACCUACCUAAACAAGUAACUAAAUACCAUGAGAGCCUGGAAAACAUUAAGAUAGCCUGAAUGAAUGGAAUGAAUUUAGAAUGCUCACAGUGAGUGUCCUUAAAUACUGCAACUUAAAUAAGACAAUAAUAUUUCCUUUUUCUGUGUGUUGCUGAAGGGCUUCUGUGUAUUCCUACAAAUGAAGGUACAGCCAAAAAAUGUUAAAUAUUAAAUUAUGUGUCCCCUAGUAAGAUCAUAACCCAAACAAGAACUUGUUGUAUACUCUGAUUUCAGUGGCCUCCUCAUAAACAUCAGCAUGCUUUCCUCUUAGGCGCUGUAGAGCAGACUCACUCUCUUUCAUCCGACCAACCUUAGCCUGCAGAAGAUUACAUAUAUCAGUUGUGCUGUGUUAUCCAAUGACAUGUGUUGACUCUAAUCAUUUGACAAACAGAAGAAAAAACUUGGUUGCUUGUGUGAUAUGUGUCCAACAUGUACUGAUCAAAGAGCAAAAUUCCAGAAGCUAAGAACAACUCACCAGCCACCUGGGAGAAUCAGGGAUGAAGGGAAGAGUCAGAAGGUGCACAAUACAAGGAACAGUUCCUGAGAUAUAGACAAAAAAUUAUGUGAGUUAUUUCGAACCCUUUUUAAUUUGGUUUUGUGAAAAAGAGCAACAUAAAGAAUAGUACAAGUAUAUUUACCGAUCAAUGCCAAAAUCCGCCAAUUCAAAAAUGCGCCAAUAAGAUAAGUUAAUGACAACCCACAACAAGUCAUUAACUGCCACAACAAUACCAAAUAGACAUUUAAAGUGAGCCUUUAUUGAGUGACACAAAAAAUAAGUGGCACGAUACACAAAAUAAGAGGGGAAUGACUGAUGUGAUAUCAUUUAUAGUAUUCCUUUACCAGAUGACCUUCGGUAAAUGCUCCUCUGAGAUCUUUGGGUGUUAUUUCUGCUAUGUAUACUGGAACCUGAUUUGCAAAGGGAACUGUGUUACAUGUAUUUCUUGAUUGACUGAAUAACAUUAAUUUGAAUUGCAGUCAUAACAUAUCAAACGUUAAAGCACUUACCACAUAAGAUAUGAUGCCAACCCCACAUCCUACCAACAUUCUUCCAAUAUAAAGCCACCAAGAAACCUUCAAACACGGAAUAUUCAUUAUCUUAGACUGAAUUUAAGGAAAUUGACCCUGUGGCUUUGGGCGUAGGAAGGAACAGAUAGAAAUAAACACGAAGUAAACCAUUUAACUAGAAGCAGUUUUGCUUGAAGCCUAGUUAAUAAAGAAUCUCGGAUAUCCGUAGACUUCAAUUUGAGAAAUAUGGGAAGAAAUUAAUGGCAAACCUUUGAGAAUGCUAUGAUAACUGAUCCCAAGAUGCAGAAAACCUCCGAGAAACCCAUGGCCUUCAUGGAAAAAUGAAAAAUUUAACCCAAAGUGAACAACAGUACCACUGAAACUAAAACUAAGUGUAAUCUGUCUCUGACUUACCAAUCGCCGACCCACAUAAUCUGCUAUUCUACCACUUAAAGUGGCACCAACUAUCGCUCCAAUCGUCAAUAUUGAACCAAAAGUUGAGUACUGGAAAAGUGACAUAAACGAUCAAAUAAACAAGAACCAAUAAACUAUGAGGAGUGAAUUUAAGAGAAAACUUAACACAACUUCUUAGGUAUUGUCAGUUUCAUCUAUGUAUUACACAAACAAUUGAGGUGACCUCAAAUAAAAUUAGAGAAUACCAGAAAAGAUAUACACAACUUAAACAUCAAAAUUUUACAUUCAAUUUCCAGUAAAGUCAACUGUUCUUACCACGCGAUACAUUUUAAGAAAGAUUACAAAAACAAAGAUUGUUAGGUCGUAACCUCGGCGACAGAGAGAUUCAGGUCAUGCACGAUUCCAUACUGAGAAGGGGAUGAAUAUCCGAGCUGCAAAAAGAGGUGUCUGAUGUGACGGCAAGAACAGAAGUGGUGAUUCUGAACUGUGAUGAACCAAAAUGUGUGAUUGAUAACUUACAGCAUACCCAAAAACGUAAGAACCAAUCGUAGCAGAAACGGCGGUGAAAACAAGCAUAAAUGUCAUCUCAGAAGCUUCACUUUGCUCAUCUUCAUGGAAAUCAACUCCAUCUUUGCUGGAAGACAGCAGAGGAGUUGAGUUUACACUUGCUUCACUGCCUCUGAUGCCCAUGAGUGAUGAUUCCUUCGCCCAAAAGUUUCCACCACACGACCAAACACUCCACACAAGUUGUUUUACACUUAACAAGAAAGCUUAGCAGAUAAUCAUGUGGUUCUGUAUCAGAUUUCUAGCACAAGAACAAAAUCGCAUAUUUAAUAUUUUAUUAUUAAAAUAACUGUCAGCCAGUUGUUGGGAGAAAAAGUAGUUGAAAAGAAAUAAUUUUUGGAUGUCUAUUCUACUCUCUAAAUCAAUACACUCUGAUUUUUAGCCAUUUCAUUAUUCUACGACUCUCUUCCUUCCACGUUAUCUACAACAGCAAUAAAUCUACGACCUUUUUAAAAAAAAAGAAAACUUUUUCAUAUUUUAUUUAAAUUCAUAUUUUAUUGAGGAUAUUUUUGGAUAAUUUGAAUAUAUUUUUUUAAAAUAUGACAAAUCUAAAUUCACUUAUUUUAUAAAAGAAACGUAAAUUUGUAAACCUUUCAACUGCUUCUUUGAAAAAAUCGAAGAAUAAUUGGAAAAUGGAUUACGUGAAUAUCUUUACAAGAUUUUCACUAAUAAAUUAGUACAAUAUAAUGUUUUAAACUUAGAAUAUAAUUUCGUAAAAUCACGGAGUGGGUUGAAGAGCUCGUCAGAACCCGUUGUCAUUCCCAAUAUGCUUAUUUAAAAAACUAACAUUCAUUUCACGUGGUUUUUUAUUUUAUAUUUUAUAAGAUUUUUAGAAGAUUAUGUAUACAACACAAAAGUAUCUUUUUUAUUUUAUAUACUUUCAAUUAUUAUUAGUUGUGGCGCGUAUCACAUGCUAAUUUCAACAAAAUAAAAUGAUUUUUACGAAGAGGGGUUAAAUUUAUUAAAUGUUAUGGUGAUUUAUGUAUGAUUGAUAAAAUUAAAUCACGUGCAAUUAUUGAGAGAAGUUUUAGUUGCGUGGGAAGUUUUCGUUAGGUGUCAUAUCAAAUUCGGUAAUGUCUGGUUUUAUAUUAUUAAUGAGUGCGAAGAAUUACUUAUUACAUGUAUUAUUUUAGUUAGUGUUUUUAAUCUUUAAAAUUUAGAAUCAUUUUUGUGACAUCCAUUUUUAAACUGUAUUGCUAGAACAAAUUACAUAAUUAAUAUUAUGAUAUAGUAAAUAAUUAAGAAAAUAUAAAGUUAUAUUACAGUUAUUUAAAUAUAACUAUAAUAUACCUUCCUAUAUAGAUUUUGUGCUUCUAAACCAAAAGAAAAAAUAACUACCAUAGAAAUAAUAUAAAAACUAUUAAGCAUCAUAGUCAUUUUUAUCUAAAGUCUAUUCUAUAGUCACUUUAUCAUCUUAUGUUCAUGCUCCCCAGAUGGCCAUAACUAAGACAACAGCAUACAAAAAUAUACCAAUAAUAUACAAACAACAAGAUAAGGUAGUGAUACAAAAUCAAAUCAUAAUAUACAUUAAUAUUCCAUACAUGAGUCAUAUUUCACAUAAAGCAAUACAAACAUCUUAAUCAUGUUCAAGACCUAGACUCGACUAUCCAGAUUUAGUAUGAAUGUCAAGCUAUGGUGGGUUGUGCACUUGUGAUAGUUUCUAUCACUUUGCAAAGUCAUUAUCAAUGGGUUUCACCUUACCAUACUCACAAGGUUAGUCUGUAUCGCGUCUUAGGUCAUACUGGAAACAGCUACUUAAGAAUGAAUGAUCAUUAAAGUGUCGGGAUAACCCCCAAGACUAAGCUCCCUGCAUUCAUACUAACAACAUUAUGAUACAACCAUUAAAAAUCCUCCUUAGAACUCUUACACACCAUAUUUCGUUCAAACAUAUAUUUCAAACCUUAUCACACAUAAUACAACAAACCAUUAUAAUUUUCAAAACCAUACACAUAAAAAGAAAAGAUUCAAAAACACCCAAGAACACAGACCCACUCACCUAACGAAUAGUCUCUACUGAGCUCGCUUAGCCUUUGCAACUCUUUGCCAAAAACCUUAAAUACUCGCCUAGCGAGUUCUAAAACAACAAGCUCCCCAAGAUGAACGAGUUGUUUCGCUUAGCCUCUGGAAUUCACUGUCAGAACUCUCCUAAACUAAGUAUGUAACUUUGCAGUACCAAAUUUGCAUAAUUAGCACCCCUAAACAACCCAUAACCUAUUGUAAUAUUUUUCACAAACUUUUAACACUCCUAGAUUGAAUUGUAAAGUAUUUUAAACCUAAACAAAAGUGUUAAACCCAAUUUAAACUAGUUAUCAAGUAUCUCACCAUAAGAUUUCACUUAAAAACAUCUAAACUCUUCCAUUUGAGACCAAAAUUUCAUUCUAUAAGUUCUAGCUCAUUUUUAAGUGACUUAGGAACUCUAACAAGUCAUAAAUGACUUACCAACACACCCCAGACCUUCCAUUUGGAAACAAAACCAAUUAUUCAAAAUUUCACUAGUCCAAACCUCUAAAAAUGCACUUAACACCAACCAAAACACCACAAAAGUACUACUACCUCUUUCUUGAACAAAUUUCAACUACUUCAUAACUCUAACAACCCUAAAAUCACAUCCAAAUAGACUCUAAGACUUAAUUUCCUCUUUUUAACCCUUAACUCAAAAACUCACAUACCAAAACUCUUUAUUUUAACCAAGAAUAUUUACCAUUAAACCUAGUCCAAUUCUCUUUCACAUUAAACCAAAUUCAACACCACCAAACAUUUCACCAACACAAUUCAUCAGACAAUCAGAGUUUAACAUACAAUCAUUCAGCAUCAACAAGCAUCACGUGAUCAAAUUCACCUACUUAACCACAAAAAUUUACAUUAAUUAACAUUUCAAGCGUAAGCAUCCAAUAUCUCCAAACUACACAUCAUAAAUACUAUCAAUUCAUACUUUAUAAAUCAAUAUAGAAUAAAAACUAUUUCCCCUCACCUCAUAGAUAACUACCAUAGCUCUAAAAAUGUCCAACCAUUGUUUCAAACAACAAACUCUAAAAACACCUACAAAUCACCAAAUUGUGAUCAGAGUGAAUCUUUAGGAUCUCAUAUUGACAAGAUACUAGAAAAAAAUAACCUGUCAUUUAUAUUCUCCAUUUGGACAUUAUUUGUCUUACGCUUUUGUGUCAUUUAAUCUAAUUAUAUAUGAUUUUUUAAUUAUUCCUAAUUACACUAAAAUUUAAUUUGAUUUUCCAUUUUAUUUUUGACUCUUUCUUCUUUUCUUCUCUAUGUGUGAAUAUUUUUCCCAUGUUUUUCAUUUACCUAAACAAUAGUGAAAAAUGAAUUCUUUUUUAAAGAAGAGCAAAAGAUAGCUUGAAAAAAAAAUAUAUACGAAAAUGGAAAUAGUGAAAAAUAACUGUAAGUGAGGAUUGAAACCAAUAAACAAGAUGAAAAAAUAGAAAUGAGAAUAAAUUGAAAUUUGUGACAGUUUUAUAAUUGCUUUUAAUAAAUAAGUUAAAAGUUAUAUUGAUGGGGAUAAAACAGAAAAGUAAAGGUAUACCCAAAAAGGUGUAUUCUUUUUUUAACGUAAAUAUGCGUACGUGGACAUGUGUGUAAUUAGUCUUUAUAUCUCUAAUUUGUCAAAUAAUUUUAAAAUAAAUAAAUAAUUUUCUUACUUACGCAUUCAUAAUAUGUAACCUAAUAUCAUAUCUAGAUUAAUAAAAUAAUAUCUAGAAUCAUCCUUACUAAGCUAAAAUAAAUAAAAGUUUAUGAAGUAACAUUUUUUUUAUUUCUUCAUUUAUUAAUUUCUAAUUAUAUAUACCCAAUCCCUAAUACAUCAUUCCUUCUUCAAGUUUACUUGGGGUGAUCGGAGGUAAUUGAGAGAGAAUGAUUGAGUGAAUUUGAAGAUAAUAUUUUUUUGUUGUUUAUUUGAGUGAAUUUAAAGGUAAAUAAGAGUGAAUUUUAAAGUAAAUUUUUUUAAUUUGUCAUAUAAACUAAAUCUUACACUGAUUCUUACAAACUUUAUUUCAAAUUUUACUCUCAUUUACUUCCAAAUUUACUCAAAUAAACAACAACAAAAAUUACUCUCAAAUCUAAUUAAUGACUCUUUUUCAAUCACCUCCAAUUAUCCUAAUCCUAAGUGAACAAACUAUAAGUCUGGAUCACAACAUUCGAUUUGAUAUGAGUGAGGUAAAUUUACGUGCAGAGUCAUCAAUCACGAAUCAAAAUUUAUUGAUUUAACAAGAGAGUGGUGAAUUGCACAGUGCUUAAUGACUUUCCAUUUUUAUAUUUAUAUAUGUUGUCACCAAUAUCGCUUUACUAUAUUUAAUUAUGCUUUUGUGGCAGAAGCAAAUGAAAGGAUAGAUUUGAGUGUCAGAUAAGACAUAAUGUGACAUUGAAGAAAGUGAAAGGGAGAAAAUGCUGCCUUUUCAUUGUUUCAUUUAGCCAACUUCUUCAUUCCAUAUUUGUUCACUGUCACAUCUUGCAUAAAAAAAAAAAAAAAAUCAUUUUUCUAACACUUUAUAAACAGUAUAUUGUUAUUUAUAUACAAACUUUCUUAUGAUACUUAUCCAGUUGCUCUCCUAUAGAUAAUAUAAUAAAAUGGAAGGUAUAUAUAUAGAUAUAUAAUUAAAUAUAAUCCUAGACCAAAUUUGACUAAAUGGAUUAAGAGGAGGAUAUAACAAAAGUAGAAAAAACUAUUUUGAAAUAAGUGAAAAAAAUUAAUACUUAAAUAACAAAAGAAUAUUUUUAAUUGAAUUUUUGUUAAAAAAUUAUAAUUGAUUAUGUUAAAAUCUUAUAUUUAUAAAUAAAUUUUAUUUAACUUUUUAUUAUUUAAAUUUAAGAAUUAUAAAAUAAGUCAACUUAAUUUGUUCUGGUUCAAUAUUUAAUUCGUAUAUAUAUAUAUAAAAAAAAAAAAAAGAGGAUAAGGUCAUAUUGUUCCGUCUUAAGAAAAUUGGUCCAAAAUUCUAUCUCAUCUCUCCAAAGACGGCCAGUACUUUGACCAACUUUUUUCUAAUUUUUUAAAAAAUUAUAUAUAUAUAUAUAUAUAUAUGGGUUUGUUAAUACGUGUACGCCUGUUUUUCAGUUGAUACGUUUUAACAAUGUGUACCGGAUUAUAGUAAACAAAAAUACCCUCAUUUAUCAUCCAUUCUAAGUUUUAAGGUUAAGAAUAUUUAUAUAAUUUUCAUUCUCAAAACUAAAAAAAAAAAACCCAAACUCUUACCUCCCUCAUUCCUCUCAAUUCUUUCUUUUUCAUCUCUCUCACCCCAACAUUUUCUCACUGUUGUCCCAAUUAAAAAAAAUCAAAAACCCUUUGUCAUCAGAGAUAUUUUCUCUCUCAUCUCAACUUUUUCUCUGUCAUCACUCUAACAUUUUUUCUCUCAUCUCAACCCAAUUGAAGAUGGUGGUGGUAAUUUGAAUCAGAGAUAUUUUUAAAAAUUGAAAAAGUUUAUUCUUUUAUAAUCAUUUUAUAUUUAUUAAUGUGUGUAAAAUGAAUAUAAACUUUGUCAAUUUAUGUUACUCUUUCCAAAUCUCAAAGGUAAAAAAUGAUUUUACUGUUUUUUAUCUUGCACCGUGGUUAAAGUUUAUUCUAAAAGCCUCUAAAAGUUGAUUCAAUGAUAAAAAGGAGACAUAAGGAAAUUAAAGAAAUAGGUAUAGAAGAGCUCCCUAGGAGUACAAUUCUUUCAAUUCUAGGUUGUAAUCUUACAUCAUGUAUCCCAUACCAAUAGAGAAAGGAAAAAGAAACACUUUGUGUAAAGGGAAAAAGACAAUAGAGGGAAAUAUCUUGUUCUUUAAAAAUAUAAUGAAAUAUGAUGUAAAUGAUGUAAAUGUGUAAAUAAUGUAUGAAAAUUUAAUUGAUUUAUGAAGGUUUUAUUUACAUGAUUUAAUUUAAAAAUGAAAUUUAAUAAUAAGAAGAAGGGAAAAUAUAUAAGACAUCCUUCAAAUGAACGAACAGAGCAAGAGCAACAAAUUACGAUGUCAUGGGUUGUUGCGUGUGGCUAAGGGAGAGUAUGGAGACGAGAAAGAAACAAAUUGGACAAGUGAGGAAGGUGGAUUAGGGUUAGGCAAGAGUUUCUGAUUUUUUUUUUUCAAUUGGGACAACAGUAGGAUGACAGAGAAAAUGUUGGAGUGAGAGAGAUGAAAAAGAAAGGAUUGAAAGAAACGAGAGAGGUGAGUAAAGGUUUGGGGGUUUCUUUUUUUUUUAGUUUUGAGAAUAAAAAUUAUUUAAAUAUAUAAAGAGAGAGACAGACAUUAAGAAUAUUUUUAAGUUUUAAUUAAUGAAUUGAUGUCUUUAAUCAAAUAAAUCAUAAUAUAAUUUAUAAGAUACUUAAUAUUCGUUAUUAUGUUGAAUGGUUACUACUUAAAAACAUAAAGUUUUAAUUAUAAUAAUUUAAAUUAUUUAAGAAAAAAAUACACUUUUUUAUUUUCUAAAUUGUGAGAACUAAUUAAAAUGCUUUACUUUAUAAAAAUUGUGAGAACAAAUUAUUUGCUAAAUUUUAUAUUAAAUUGACAUAAUUAACUAAAAAAUAUGAAUUAAUUUAUUUUUAACAUUACGUUAAAUUUGUUAUGAACCAUCUGUACUGAUUUUUUUUUAAUAUAGAAAUAGUUUUAUACAAUUAUUUUUAAUUACUAUAUUUUAUUUCAGUGAUUACUUCCUGAUAAAAAAAAUCUUGUUAAAGUUUUAAUUGUUAAUCUGAAAGUAUUUUAAGAAUCUAACAAUUGAAACCAUUUUAAAUUAUAAAUGAUUUUUCUUUUAUAUAUAAUUGUAUAUGAAUAUUUAAAUCUCAUGUUUCAAAUUGUAUACUAUCUCACUGUGACACUCGAUGGUGACAGCUAGUAACAACGUUGCCUUUAAUAAUUUGAUACAAUCAUUGAUGUUUUAUAUAUAAAAAAUUAUAUAAUUUUUAUUAUUGGGAUACAAUCAUUGAUAUUUUAAUACAUAAAAAACUAUAUAUUUUGUAUUAUUAAGGUUGGAUACUGUUGUCUUAUUUUACAAAAUUAUAUAUUAGUUGUAUAGCUAUCAUAUGAAUUUGGAGUCGGUGUAAAAUUUUAAUGAUGUUAAAGAUGUUAUACGAGAAUUAAUAUAAUAAAACUUUAGGUAUUAACUCAAGGUUGAAUAAAAUCACAAAAUAAUGAACAAACUUUUACAUUUAAAAGAAGAUAUUUUGUUUAUGGAAUGUAAUGUGAUUUUAUCAAGGACAAUUGUUUGAUAAAUUUAAGUGAUGAUAAAAAUGAAAGUUAAUUAUUUUUUAUUAGCAUCAUUUUAUUCAUACACUUACUAUAUAUUUACAUACACUAAAUUUUUAUCUGUUUAUAUUUUAAAAAUUAUAUUAUAAUUCAUACUAUUAUAAUUAAAAAUAUAAUUUGUAUAUUUAAAAAAUAUUUAUUAGAGUUGUUUAUAUCUAAUAUCUUUGUAGAGAAAGGUACUAGCCUUUUAUAUAUACAUUUCUCACGUUAUAAUUAAAUUAGUAAAUUAAUACUAAUCAAAUUAUUACUACAUUUUAUAAUGAUGCAUUAAAAAACUUUGCACAUGAAAUUCAAUUUUUUUUAUACUUGUCUUUCUAAAUUUGUAAAUUUAGUAAUGUAUAAAAAUAAUAUCAAUGAUUUCAUCUUCUAAAUAAGGGACACUAUUUUGAGAUCUUAUAAAGUUGCUUCUUUUUUAUUCCCUUUGUGAUUACAACAAAUGCAUAAUGACUCUCAAAAUUAAACAAUAGUGUACCUUACUCUAGAAUUAAGAUCCAAUCUUACUUUAGAAUCAAGAUCUAAUAUAAGAUAAAACAAAACUUGUGUAAUUAUUAUUAACAUUAUUACUACUAUUUUAUGCUUCAAUUUGCAUGCAAAUCAGAAAUAUAUCAAAAAUUAAUUAUCAAAUAUGUGUCAACUGUUUCAAAAAGUUAUUAUUGUUCUUUAUCUAUAUUUAUAUAUAAAGGAAAAUAUCCUCUUUGCUGCUCACAUUUAUUUUGUAACGUUACCUUUUAAAUAAAAGUUUUUUAAUUAGAAUAAUUAUCUAUAUUCGUGUGUAAAAUAUAUUUUUUUAUCAUAUUUAUUUUAUAAUUUUACCUUUUAUUUUUUUUAAAUUAAAAUAUUUAUUUUAAUCAAUUUCAUCAUUUUAAGUGACUAUUUCAUUUUUUGAUUUAACUGUUUUUUAAAUUUAAUCAUUUUUAAUUAAAAAAUAUCCACAAAAUAAAUAAAAAGUAUUUAUUAUAAGGGUAACUCAAAUGUUUUCACUGUGUGUAUAUAAUAAAGAAUAAAAGUAGAAAUGAAUAGGAAUAAGAAUAUGGUUAUAUUUAUUAUAAGGGUAACUCAAAUGGAUUAUAAUUAUUCUUUUAUCUCAACUUGAUCUUUCUUUUUAUUUUAUAUUAACAAUUCAUAUUAAUGAGUAUCAAGUUGAUAAUCAUUCACAUUAGAUAAUAAUAGGUUAAAACCAUUUAGGCGUCCCUAUUUUCGUAAGGUAUUUUCAAUUUGGUCCUUUUCUUUUAAACCUUCUCAAUUGAGUCUUUAUAAGUGUUAAUUUGAAACAAAUUAGCCUCUGCCGUUAAAAAUUGUUAAUGGUGUUAAAAUUAUGCAGAGGUGAGUAGAUGACGUGGUUAAAAUUCUCGUUUUGAAGUGUUAAAAUUGUGAGGUGUUAAAAUUGUGGAGAGGAGAAUGGGAAAAAUUUGAACACCUCUGCACAAUUUUAACACCUCAAAGGGAGAAUUUUAACCACGUCAUCUACCCACCUCUGCACAAUUUUAAUACCGUUAACGAUUUUUAACGGCAAGGGCUAAUUUGUUUGAAAUUAACACUCAAUUGGGAAGGUUUAAAAGAAGAGGACCAAAUUAGGAAUACUUUACAAAAAUAGAGACGCCUAAAUGGUUUUAACCAUAAUAAUAUUUAUAUCUUGAAACGUGUUCCUUAAUAUUAUAAUUUUUUUCUCCUUUUUACUAAUAUGUAUGUGUAUCUUUUCAUGACCUGAAGGUUGAAUUAGUCAGUUUUCCUUUCAUAAUUAUGCUAUUUAGUUAUAUUUUAUGAUUUAAAUCGUAAUCAAAUAGUUUUCAAAGUUUUUAAUUAUUAUGAUUAAUUUCUUUCAAUUUUAUUUUAUUUGUAUGAAACCAAAAAUAAAAUAAUUAAAUAUUUAAUAUAUGUAGUAAUUGAAAUUUAGAUAACAUUGAAAUUAUUUUAUAAUUUUUUAUUACUCAAGAGUAUCUCUCAUCAAACAUUACAUUGGUGGACUUUCGUUUCAAUUUUUUUAUAUUUUGAAUUAGGAUUUGAACUCUGGUCAUAAAAUCUAUUCAAUUAGUCGUGUUUAAUUUCUCAGAAAAUAGAAGUAUAUUAUAUAUAAUGUUUCAGAAAAUAUAUUUGAAAAGUGACUCAUGAUACUAUGAGUGGACAGGAUUUUGAGUGGAGUGAAUGUAACACGUGUCACUUCCCGGAUGGAAAAGAAAUCGGAGGGUCAAAAGGAAAACACAAGCUACUGUUUCCUAUACCUCAGAGAUUUUUCAUCCAUCCCAUCAAGAAGCUUUCAGAAGAAAAAAAUCCAUAAUAGAAAAGGAAAAUUGCUUUCAGGAAAAAAAAAAAAAGGAAAGAGAGAAAAAGUUGUUCACUGUGUUUCAGAACAUAAUUUUCAAAAGUGAUAGAGUGCUGAAAGAAAUCUGAUGGGUGCAGGAUGUAAUAGCCAGAAAUAUAUAAAUUGGGUUGUUAAAGAAAGUAAUUGGGCCGUACAUAAACAAAAAUCUGAUGUGAAAAAAAGAAAAUGGGGGUUACUCCCUGUACCUCCCCAAUUCUAACCCCCACCCCCCCAUUCCAUUUUUAAGAUUUGUUUUAUUAGUUUACUUUNNNNNNNNNNNNNNNNNNNNNNNNNNNNNNNNNNNNNNNNNNNNNNNNNNNNNNNNNNNNNNNNNNNNNNNNNNNNNNNNNNNNNNNNNNNNNNNNNNNNNNNNNNNNNNNNNNNNNNNNNNNNNNNNNNNNNNNNNNNNNNNNNNNNNNNNNNNNNNNNNNNNNNNNNNNNNNNACGAAGGAGAGGAAUUUGAGUCUGUGUGUUUUGACUGAGGCAGACUGUAAAAGAGUAGGUUAACUUUAGUAAAUAGGUGUAAAACGGUAAAAAUAAAAAAAACAUAAAGAUUAAUUUUGUAUUUAAAAAAAAAUCCAAAAAAAUUGGGGGGGUGGGGGUUGGAAUUGGGGAGGUACAGGGAGUAACUCCCAAGAAAAUUGAGCGCUACUCUCCACCACCACGUAGUGCUUUAUGUACUUUUUUAUUUUUCUUUUGUCCUUCAUUAAUAUCUAAUGUGGUGACUAAAAAUUAUAACUUUCUCCAAUUCCAACCACUUCAUUAGUGGUUUCCACCGAUCCCUGUCACUAUAUUAACUUUCUCCCUACUUUUGCAUCUUACUCACCACUUCUACCUAAAUCAAAUUCCUCUUUCUUUCCUUCUUCUGUUCUUGUUUGCUUGUUGUGAGUAUGGUAGUGUGGUGUUAUUGUGGUGUGCUUCGUUGGAGGUGGAAAAGCUUAAGUUGGAGGUGACAAAGCUUAGUGGUGGUGCAAGAAGGUGAUCCAGUGGUGGCAGAGCUUGGUCGUGGUAGUUGUUGAAGGUGGUCUAGUGGUGGUUGAAGGUGAUCCAGGGGUGGUGGCACGAGCACGACUUUCACAUGUGUGAAUACAUAAUUCAUACACUAAAACGGAUGUCAAUAUCCUUUCGAGUCUUAAACGAAUAUCCAUAUUCGUCAAUAAAUAUCAACAUCUCUUGAAGGGUAAACGGAGCAUCAGACUCUUUCAUCCUCUGAAGUUCUAAUUCUCUCAUUAAGUUAAGCUCUUGCAUGCUUUGAAAUUUUUUCAUCUCUAAUGUAUUCUAUCUUUAGAUAACCCCAAAUUGCUUUUGUUGAUUUAAGAAUCAUGAUCCAAGUAAAGAUGAUUGUAGAGAUGUCAUCAUAAAGACAUGACUUUGCUUUUGCUUUUCAGUUUUCUUCUCCUUGUGAUUUUUGAUUUAGGCCACAGUGGGAUUGUCUGGCAACAUAAGGAUUUCAUAAUCUAUGGACCGUUACCAGAAGAUGGUUCACUGAGUAAAGGGCCUCAAUCCCGAGUUAGCCCUUUAAUACAUCCAACCCACCCUUUAAGGACAAUGUUUGUCGAUGCCCGUCAAAGACUUUGGAAGAAUUGCGUGAGUGGGCGGCUGAUGAAGUAAGGGUGGAGGAGAUGAAGCAGUAUGAUCGAAAGGAGGCGCAGACGACAAGGGAGAAAUCAGAAGGAAAAAGGCACGAGGGAGUGCCAAGAAAGGUCGGGGAGUUCAAGCAGAAGGAACCUCCCAGGGGGUCGCAUUUUCACCAAUACACCCUACUGAAUGCCCCCCGCGCUAAAAUAUUGUAGGAGGCGUUGAGCGCCGAAUUGAUACAGACACCUAAGAGGCAUCCUACGCCGUUCGGGCCUGACGACAAUAAGCAUUACUUGUAUCACCAAAAUUUGGACAACAUCACCGAAGAAUGUGUGACACUCAAGGACUGAUUCAAGGAGCUAAUAAGAGUAGGGCAAUUGAAGAAGUAUGUCAAAAUCGAUUGUCAAGUUGACUCAUAGGUAUGAUCGCCCAGCCCGCGGAGGAGGAGUCCAGUGAGACAGGAUGACCGGGGCGCAUGUAGUACGGUAGGAAUGACUGCCCCAUAUCAGAGAGACGGCGUAGCAAAACCCGUAGCAGAAGUAAUGAUCGCCCGUUACGUGGUCAUAUUAAUACCAUUUCCGGAGGGUUCGCCAGAAGAGGAUCAUCCUUAACAGCUAGGAAGCGUCACGUCUGGACCCUCCGAUCGGUUAAUACCGUCGGUAGGCCUAAGAGAUCCAUGCCAGCAAUCACUUUUACGGAUGAAGACUUUCACACGCUGGACCCAUAUCAGGACGACCACAUGGUAAUCACAGCGGAAAUAGCCUGUUAUGGGGUGAGCAAGGUGUUGGUCGAUCGGGGAAGCUCUGUCAACAUCCUAUACUGAAAGACUUUCCAGCGCAUGGACUUGUCGAAAGACCUGAUCGUCUCGUAUAAUGAACAAAUAGCGAGCUUUGCCAGAGAACGGGUAGACACGUGCGACUAUGUAGACCUCCGCACUCGCUUAGGUGUCGGACGGGAAGGUGACGAAAGGAAGGUUUUGCUGGUAGACACCAACACAUCCUAUAAUGUCCUCUUAGGUCGCUCAUGUCUUAACACAUUUGGAGUAAUAGUAUCCACUCCCCCAUUUGACCAUGAAGUAUCCAUCAGAGAGGGGAACCAUGUGCACUAUCUGGGUUGAUCAUAAGAUGACCCCGAGAAUGUUAUGCAGUCAAUUAAAACUUCAUCCCUAGUCGACCCGACGAAAGACGAUUAGGUCGGAGGUGGUGAUGGCAGACCUUGACCCGUGCACUAAUACUGACGACCGGAUUGACUCACUCGAAGAGCUACGCCCUGUGAAGGUGGGACAAGGCAACCAACAAAUUACCAACAUGGUAGGAGGCCUGAAGCCAGAGAUGGAGGGGAGUUGCAGGCGGUCCUUUGGCGCAACCGUGACCUUUUUGCCUGGACGACAGCUGAUAUGCCCGACAUCCAUCCCACACUAAUGUCCUACAAGUUGUUCUGUUCAAAGAGGUAAGAUCGGUUGCUCAAAAGAAAAGGAGAUUGGGAGCAAAGAAUAUAUAUAUAUAUAUAUAUAUAUAUAUAUAUAUAUAUAUAUAUAUAUAUAUAUAUAUAUAUGGGUUUGUUAACGUGCGUACGCCUGUUUUUCAGUUGAUACAUUUUAGCAACGUGUACCGGGUUAUAGUAGACAAAAAUACCCUCAUAUGGAUUCUAAGUUUUAAAGUCAAUGGUAUUUGAAUAAUUUUCAUUCUCAAAACUAAAAAAAAAAAACAAGAAAUCCACAAACCCUUACUCACAUCCCUCAUUCCUCUUAACCUUUUCUCUUUUAUCUAUCUCACUCCAACAUUUUCUCUAUCAUCUCUACUGUAGCCCCAAUUGAAAAAAAUCAGAAACACUCGUUGUUAAACAAUUUCUUACAAAAAAAAUGACUUUAUAAUGAGUUUUCAUUUUAUAAUUUUUGUCUUAUCUAAUUUUCACAACAUAAUGACAUCAAAGGAAUUGGUAAUUGGCCUGAAGGUUUUUUAAGAGAUGAUGAUUCAACAUAUGUAGAUGAUGAAAUCAUAGAGGUUAUUGAAGAUGAUGAAAUUGAAGAGAUCUUGAAUGAACCUUUGUCUAAAGGCGAAUAUGUCAAUGACUCAACUAUUUACAAAGGUAAAUUGUUUAAUGACGAAUAUUUCUGAUUUUUUUUAGUUGGAUCUAUCAUUAGAUAACAGAGAAAAUGUUGAAGUGAGAGAGAUGAAAGAGAAAGGGUUGAGAAAGUUAGUAAGGGUUUAGGGUUUUUUUUUUUUUUUUUUUUAGUUUUGAGAAUGAAUACCUUUGACUUUAAAACUUAGAAUUUAUAAUAUAUAUGGGGAUAUUUUUAUUUAUUAUAACUCGAUACACAUUGCUAAAAUGUACCAACUGAAAAACAGACGUACGCGCAUUAACAAACAAUAUAUAUAUAUAUAUAUAUAUAUAUAUAUAUAUAUAUAUAUAUAUAUAUAUAUAAUUUAAUUUAAAUAAUAUAUUUUUAUAAUUUCUAUCCAACAAUUUUAUANUUAAUUUAAUUUUUAUAUUUUUAUAAUUUCUAUCCAACAAUUUUAUAUUAUUCAUUGUUUUUAUUAACAGAUAGAUAGUGUGCCAUUUACGUUUGUGGCCAUUUUUAUUAUUCAUCAAAGUAUAUCAUCUAAACAAUAUAUUUUUUUUAAAAUUAAAGUUAGAUUCUUAAUUUUCAUUAACUAAAUCUUAAUAUAUUUUUUAAAAUAGUUAUAUACAAUACAUUUUAUUGAAAAAUAUAUAAAUAACUUAAAUAUAUUUUUAUCAUAUAAAUAAUUAAAAUAUUAUUAUUUAAUUUUACAAUAUAAAAUACUUAUAUUAAAUUAUAAUUUUUUUUUAUAAAAUAAAAUUAAUAUAAUAAAUACAAUAUAAUUUUUAAAAUCUCGUAAUGCAAUUGCUUGUAUUUAUUAUGAUUUUAAUAAUCAACAAAUUAAAAUGUUAGAAAACCUUGGAUGGACACAGCUCCAAAAACUAAUUUAGAAAACAAAAAUGCACAGGGGUAAUAUUGUAAAUUGAACUACUCUCCCCCAGCAAAAACCCUAAUAUCUUGAUAUAUAAAAUCGAAACAAAGGGUUAUUCCUCGUUUACCUUGCAGAACCGAGAACUUUAGACGGCAGGUUCAUCUUAACUCCGAAUCUCUAUACUGCGUUGCAACAAUCAUGGUUCGUACAUAGUUUAAUCAAUGUCAUAAAUCCUAGAUUUUCUGAUUUUCUAACUGUGUGGUGUAAAUCUCAUUAAUCAAUCUCGUAAAUCUUAAAUUUUCUGAGUAGUGUUUUUGUUGUUGUUGUUGUGCAGUCGAGGAGAAAGGUUAGAGAGCCAAAAGAAGAAAAUGUGACUCUGGGUCCAGCCGUUAGAGACGGUGAGCAUGUCUUUGGCGUCGCUCGCAUCUUUGCCUCCUUCAAUGACACCUUCAUUGUAAGUAUUUGCGUUGCUUUAAAUUUUGUGGUUUUGAUUUGCAAUUGCUAUAGUUUGAUUUUUGAUUUUUAUGGUUGCAGCAUGUCACUGAUUUGUCUGGAAGGGAAACACUUGUCCGUAUCACUGGUAUGAUUGCUUUUAUUCACAUUAUAGGAAUUAGUUGACUGUAUGCAAUUGUUCCAUAGCCAUUUUUCUGGCUAUUAUAUAAUAGCUUCUAUUUUUUUCCGGUUUUUUUUUUUUUUUUUUAUCAAAGUUUUGUGAUGUUAUAAUAUUGAUAAUGAAAUUGGCCAUAUCCAAUUUCAGCGGAUGUUAAUAGGUUAGAUUGUUAAUACAUGUGCUUUUUUUAAUCCCUGAUCACCUUUCUUGUUAGAGUGUUAAUACACGUGCUUUUAUGAUCCUUAUCUGACACUUAAGUAUUUCCAUGUCUUGUGAUGGAGGGAGCUUUGUGAUUUGACCUGCACAGUUUUUACGAGUCUGUCUGGCUUUAUGUUGAGGAGUUUUGAGUUUUUAUUUUUAUUUUUAUUCACACUGCUUGCUAAAAUUUAUUUCUAUAUUUUUAUUCUUUGCUGAAAUUUUUAUUCACAAUUAAUUUUAGGUUGAGUGUUUUCUUUUUUAGUAGAUAUAAGAAAACAACCGUUCUUUACGUAUUUUAUGACUUUGCUUUUUCAUGUGCUUUACUUGUAUGUCUUUGCUUUUUAAUUUCAGGUGGGAUGAAGGUUAAAGCUGAUAGAGAUGAAUCUUCUCCCUAUGCUGCUAUGCUUGCAGCACAGGAUGUUGCUGCCAGAUGCAAGGUCAGUGGGAUUCACAUUAGUACAGUCAUUUUCUCUCUUCUGACCAUGUUGCAUUUUGUGAUUGUCAUGUCGUUCUUAUGUAUUUGUAGAAUUCCUAUUUGAUCACCCUGUUUGCUAAUCCAAUAUCAUUGGUCAAUUGAUUUUUCUCCUUUCUCUGAUUUUAAUCUGUUCAUGCUCUGUGAAUCUAUAGUGAGUAUUUUUUGUUUCUUUGAAGCUGCCUAACUUAAUGCAUUGUUUCAAAUUAUUUUGACCAGGAGUUGGGCAUAACUGCUCUUCACAUCAGGCUCCGCGCCACUGGUGGAAACAAGACAAAGACACCUGGUCCUGGCGCUCAAUCAGCUCUUAGAGCCCUUGCUCGUUCAGGAAUGAAAAUUGGUCGCAUAGGUAUUUGCCCAUUUAAGGGAAAACCACAAGUUCAAUUUGAUUGUCUGGUUGUCCUUUUUCAAUUGUUGUUUAUGUCAAUAGUAUGUAGCUAACUGGGUUUUUGCAUUAGUUUUGUAUUGAUUUCAUUUGAUAUUGUAGCUAAAUAUUAAUUGCUAUUUUUUUUAUUCUGUUUUCCAGAGGAUGUGACUCCCAUUCCUUCUGACAGCACGCGUAGAAAGAGUGGAAGGAGAGGUAGAAGGCUUUAAGCUUCUACUAUAUGAUUGGAGUCGCUCUGCUUUUAUUUCCAUGUCAAGUAGAAUUGUGCCAUUUCGAAAUUUUGAUUUAGUUUAAGAUCAAACUUUUAUUUUAUUUCUUAAGGUUUCUCCAACAUAAUUGAAGUUUACAUACAGACAUUAUUGUUAAAGUCUUUUGAAAGUUCUGAAUGUUGUUGUGUCUUAGAAAACUGCAAAUUAUCUGCUUGAUAAAGUUUUUUUUUUUUUUUUUUGUUGUUUAUUGUUUUUUUAGAUAGUUCUCCCUCCCUACGUUUAUCUACUCUUAACCCUGCGAAUAAGAAUGGUUGGAAAUUGGAUUAUUAUUUAUUAAUUGCAGGGUUCUCAAUCUGCAAGUUUGAUGAUGAAAAUUGAAGGGAUGUGUAAAAUUAAUGAAUUAAUUGUUGAGCUUUAAUUUAUUUAAUCGUGAUGGUUGAGGAAUUCAAACAAUUCUGUUGGAGAUAGUUUAGUUUUAAUUUUUUAACUACAUUAUGUUGUCUUUUGUGACAUAAUUUUGUUAACAAUCUCAACAAUCCUCCCAAAAAAGCUAGUAAUAAAUUCCAUAACCAUCAUCCGCAAAACAUCGAAAUCUUUACUCAAUAUUUGAAGUUGUAUACAGUUCACACCAGCAAUAAUCUGCAGUUUUCUAUCCAUUAAAUUCAAAAUAUCCUUCGAACUGUAUUUGCAAAUAAUCUCUAAGAUUAGACGAUAAAAAGAUAAUGUAUAUUUUGGAUUUGUCUUUGAACUUUUUUACCUCAGAUUCUAUCUUGUGCAUUAGUCUCAGAAGUUGGUGGCUAUUGAAUUCUGGAUUUAAAAAUUGCUCUUUUUUUAAUAGUAAAAAUACAAACAUGGUCAGAUAGUUUUAAUAACCAUUAACAAGAGAAAUGACAACUUGAACAAAAUUUGAAUUCUACUAAAGGAGGAGAUUUGAUUAAAAGGUUUGUACCAAAUUAAGAGUCCGCUACAUAACCUGGAACCAAAAUAUUAAAAAUUGUUUUUUUUUUUUCUGUAAUGUUAUCGUCUUCAAAAUAUAAUUUUUUUUAAUGUAUCAACUUUAAUGUAUUUUUAAUGUUCGGUAAAGGACAGCAUUUCAAUAACUGAAAAAUAAAUAUUACUUUAUUUCCUUAGCCGAUGCAAGAAAUGAUUGAAUAUUAAAUUAAUUUGGUAAAUGGCUUAUGUUUUUUUUUUUUUUCAUGUUUACCUUGAAUAAUCUAUUGCUGUAUUGAUAUAUUGUUUGUUUUUUGUUCUCAAUAGCGAAAUUGUUUCUUGUAUCGGGUUGCCUAUUAUGCAUCCUAAUUGAAGCAAUUAGAUACAUUAGCAAUAGUAACUUGAUUUUAGACUUUAGCUUGUUUUUUCUAUCCACUAUUUUAACCAUGCAAUUGCUAAAAUGAAAAUUUUCAUUGACUAAUUCUUGAUCUUGAACAAGGGGAAUAGAUUGUUUGGUUUACUAAGAAAAUUCUCAUAGACUAAUUUUCACCAUCUUAAUUUUUAUUUUCUUUUUUCUUUUUUAAGAAAGGAUGAAAGUACUUGGAGGUAUAGGUUAAUUUCGUAAAAUAUUGAAAAAAAAAAACUAAAUGGUUUAAUCAAUGGUUAUUUGAUUCUUUACAUAUGAAGUACAAGAUUAAUUUAAAAGUUUAAAUAAAAUAUAUCAUAAAAUUAGAUUUAUCAAGGAAUUACAAUAAUAUUUAAGGUCAUUAUAAAAAUAGAGAUAAUUUAUCAAUAGAAUUUCUACAAUUUAAAAUAUCAAGCAAUUUUGAUUAUAAUAUGUAAAAACAUUUAUAAACACAUGUAUGCGAUGUAAAUAUAGUAAAAGUUUUUCAAAAAUACAUGAGUAAUUACAUCACUUGAGAUAUAAAUAGAAAAUUCUUAUCACACAAUACAUAGUAUUCAUAUAUGACAUUGAAAAGAUUCUAACUUUCACUACAAUACACUCUCUCGUCUAAGAUCUAUCAUUCCUUCUGGCUGUAGGUUCUUCUGCUCACACUAAUAUAAUAAUCAUUGCAAGAGAAAAAUACAAACAAUACACAAAUUCAGAUAAAAGAGUAAGCUAAUGUAAGAAAUUUCUAGUUUACAUAGAAUUUAAGUUUACUAAAUAAAAUAUUCAUUAUCAAUAUUGUAUAGAACUUAUAAUUACCCUUAAGUAAUUCAAUCAUAAGCAUCUACUAAAUUCUUAGAUUCUUUAUCCAGAUUUAUGCAUUGACUGAGACAUAGAAACUUUCAUGCCGUCAGAAAAGUGGAUUGCGACAAAGGCUCUUGCUUCAUUUGGCUUAACCAACAUGAAUCAAUUUUCUUUGGACAAGGUAAGUUACUUAUAGCAUCACAGAUUAAUGGUCUCAUCCCUAAUCUAGUCAUAAGAAUCUCAUUCAACUCUCACCACCUAAGCUACGACACUCUCUAUGAGUUUGUAAGCCUAAUAAGAUAAUUGCUCACCAACACAUAUCCCUAGUCAAUGCAUAACACUACAUUAUAAAAGCAUUGUACUACUUCCUCAUAAGCACAUACUUCAAAUAAACAUACAAUUCCAUUAACUUCAAUCACUCCAUCACAUUACAUCCACUUUAUACUCAUAAACAUAUAUUUCCAUAAUCAUAAUUCUCAUCAUCCAGUAUUUAAGUUCCAUUCAAAGAUUUCAACAACCCAAAACUACACAGUAUGUACUAUUUGACGCCAAGAAGGACCACUUACCAGCUCUUGACAGAGAGCCCUUGGAAGAGAAAUUCAAACCCACGCCCAACGAUUUGAAGUUUCCGUCCAGUGGCGAGCUCUUGUACUUAGUGAUAAACCCAACGCCCAGUGUCCCCAAACCUUAGAGCUCUCUAGAACUUAAAUUCCAUAAGGAUGCCCAAUAAUACUUAGUGCCGCCCAAUGCGAGCCUCUAGAGUUCUUCGACUUGGCUUGUUUGAGGUGAAGCCUAUAACGCUAUUUAACUAAUGUCCAACGACAUAUCAGUCCACAAUAAUAAUCUGGUAUUUAAUUUGUGCAAUUAGCUUAAUCUAAUCUUCUCUAAUUCCUUUUCAAUUCAAUUAACAACUUUAAAUUUGAUUAUGACCUAAUUGCUCAACCCAAAUUCUAUGUCCUUAACAUUUCACAACCAAAUCUCAACUCAAAAGUAAUCAACACAUAAUUUAACGAUUAAUUUCCCUUACCUUAAAAAUGUACUCUUAAACUCCCUAAUGAAACUUUCAUGACAUCAACAAACAAAAACCCUGUCUAGACACAUAAGAAGGCCAAAUUAAUCAUCGGAGUACACAUUUGGACUCAUCCAACACAUAAUAUUUAAUUAAAGUAAGAAAAAAUGGAAAUCGUACUUUAUUCUUGAUUUGGAUAAGAUAGAGUUGUAGAACUCUCUAAAGUCAUUCUAAAAGUAGGCCUUGAUUGAGAAACAAAUGAAGUAAGAGCGAUUUAAAAGGAAAGUCUUUGAAGAAUGCUCUUUAUAAUUUAAUUCUAAAAUGAAAAAAUAUUUUCAUAUUAUCAAGAUUUCAUAAUAUUCAUCAAAUAAUAAACUAUAAUAAUAUCCAAUAAAAACAUAUCUAUUGUAUAACGUAUGAAUUAAAAGAGUCAUAAUAUUGAUACACGGUUCUUGUAAAAUUUUAUUAUUAGAAUAUACUAGUAUAAUUAAAAAAAAAUUAAAUCAUAAGAAUAAAACCAUACUUAUUUUAUUUAUUUCAUAAAUAUAUUUUUUAUCAAUAAAAAAUAAAAUAUAACAAAACCCUUAUGUUAAAGUAAAAAUUGAAAAGAAUAGUAACAUAAUGGAACUUACAAAAAUUAAAAUUUUAAAAGUUACAUGCAAAAUAAUAAAUAAUAAAUUAAUAUCAUGCAUAUAAUAUGAUAAUAAAACAUAAAAAAAUAUAAGUUGAUAAAAAAUAUUAAUUUAUAUGUUACGUUUAAACAGAAAAAAUUUAAAUUUUAAAUUAAAUUUGAAAUUUCCAAAAAUAAUUUCUUUUCAAAAUUAUUAAUUCAAUGUACUGGUUUUUUUACUAAAUCACAUAUCUGGCUUAUAAACUAACAAGUAGUUGAUAAAUUAACUUAUAUAAUAAAACUUUGUUACAUAAACUUUGUAUUCUGGGAAAAAUAGAUAUUAUUAUGCAAUUAUAAUUCUAUAAUUUUUAAACAAUUAAAAUUUUAUUAAAAGUUUUAGAACAGAAAUAAUAUAUAUAUAUAUAUAUAUAUAUAUAUAUAUAUAUAUUAUUUAUAUAUUUAUUUGUUGAUUUGUACAGUAAUUUUAUUUAUUCGAGUUAGAUUUAAUGAACAUUAAAUAAAUUUAUUUAUUUUUAUGUAUUUUAAAAUUUAAACUAUUAUUAUAUUUCAUGUUUUCAUACGUUUUCUUGUGGAUAAUUUUUAGGUGAAUAAAUUAUUUUAACUCAUAAUGUUAAUUUUUUAAUUUAAAUUAGAUAAAAAAUACGAUAAAACAUGUUUUUGGUUGAAAAUUGGAAUUUGUCUAUCUUCAAAACUUUAGACUAAUUUAGCCUUUUUUUAUAAAUGCGUGAAUUUACUUCUUUUGAUGAAAUUUUGUUAACUUUUUAUCAACUAACAUUGAAAAUAAAAAAUGUUUCAAAUAAUAUAAAGAAGUCAAAUAUUAUUCUGAAAUGUAUAUGAAACAUCAAAUAACUUAACAAAAUUAUAUUAAAUCCAAACAUUUAUAAAGUUUAAAGAAUUGAACUAAAGUUUGAAAGAAAUAUUUAAGAUCAUAUUUAAUCCAAAACAAUUAAAAUAAUAAUAAUAAAAUAAUUAAAUGUCUAUGUAAAAUUAAAAAAUAUGUAGUAUAGUAAUGACUAAAAAAAUAAAAAAAGUGUUUUAAAAUAUAAAAAAUGGAAAAAGAUAUAAUCUAAAAGAAAAUAUUUUUUAAACUUUUUCUAUAUUGAUUAAACUAAUUUAUACAAAAACCAAAUAAGUCUUAGGGCCAAUUCGUUAAUGUUACCAUAUAUUUGACCAAUUGUUAGCUGAAUAAAAAUAAUUCAAUUUCAAAUAAAACAGAAGUUCCUCAUUGGCUUGAAUCUCCUAACCUUUACAAAUAAACCACCAUUGUUUCAUACUAUGUAUUUGUAAUGUUUUCUUUAAUUGGAUUGAUUAGUGUAGAUGACUUAAUAUUCAAACUAAAUUAAUAACAGAUAUUCAUAUUUUUAUAACUAUUUUACGGUCGCUUGAUCAUUCAAUAUUUCAGCAUCACAAUGUAAUAUAUGAACAUUUUACAUGAUUGUUUGAUUACUAGAUAUUUUUGUAUAACCUAUACCUACAUUCUAUCAAUUACUUGACGUAAUCUUUGUGAUGUGACAAAUUCUCUCGUUUGAGAAUAACAAGUUGAGGCUUAACCUAAAAUAUUUUAAAUACCUCUAAUAAUAUCAUAUUAAUGUAAGAAGUUUAAGUUUAACUCACAUUUACAAAAUCAACUCAUUAAAAUAAGAUUGUCUCCAAUAAUAUAUAAAUAUUUCGAUUUGAUCUCCAACAAAUGGUAAUUUAUGUUGAUAAUAUUGUAAUGAACUUAUACAAUAUUUUAAAAAAAGUGUGCAUGCAGCAGAGAAUCACAUAUAGAAUAUGUAGGUUGAUUAUUCUAUUCAGAAUUGUAUUUGAAGAAUCUAACAAAUAUUCAAUAUACUUGAUUUAUUUAAAAACUUGUUAAAAAAAAUAAACAUUACAUAUACUAACUUCAGGUUUAAACCUUUUUUGUCCCCGAGUUAAGUUCUGAUGUUCAGUUUAGUCUCCGUUCUUAAAAAUGUCAACCUUUAGUCCUCGUGACAACACUUAAUGAACAAUAUAGGACUGAUUUAUUGUUCAUAACACCUUCCGUUAACAAAAUAUUGGAUACCUAAGUAUGAAAACUUGUGAUUUAUUAUUCAUUAAAUGCUGUCAUGAGGACUAAAGAUUGAUAUUUUUAAAAGUGAGGACUAAACCUUUUUAUUAUAUUGGUAAUACAAAUACUUGAUCCCUUUUCAACCAGAAUCUUCCUCCAUAAACAUUUAUUCAUACACGUAACAUAAUUUAUUUAUGAAUAGUAAAAAACAAACAGCAAAGACAUACAUCACAUAAACCAAUAUAAACUUUGAGUAUCUUCAUUCUUCAAUCCAACAAUUAUGCAUUCACAAUCAUUCCACCUGAAAAGAGAUGAAAACGAAAAGAGUUAGAAAACACAAAAAAUGAAAAGCUGUUCAUGAAUUUGGUUAUACAAAUUUUGUAAGUAUGAGCAUAGAGAGAUGCGUGACCAUUUGGGUGGAGAACUUGGCCUGUUAUGUAAGAGGAACACUGGUUGCUGGCAAGAAACACAUAAGAAGGAGCAACCUCAAUAGGUUGUCCAGCUCUUUUCAUUGGUGUUAAAUCAGAACCUAACACCACAAUUUGUUCUACUGUCAAACUUGCUACCUGUAAGGGACUCCAGAUAGGUCCAGGAGCAACGCCAUUCACACGAAUUCCCUUGCUCACCAGCUGAAGUGCAAGGGAUCUUGUGAACCCUACAAUGGCACCUUUUGUGGAUGCAUAGUCCACUAGUGUUGCGUAUCCUUGAUAUGCAACCACUGAUGUCGUGUUGAUAAUGCUGCUUCCUUCCUUCAUGUGCUUCAGAGCAUAUCUGUGUAGUCAUUUUCAGAAGCCAUUAGUGUUAAACUUUUAGAUCAUUUAUUAUGUAGUUAUAGUAUAUAAGGAGAUGCAAAGAUUUUACAAAAGUUCUGUGUAAGGUUAAAUCAGGUUCUUGUCUUACUUAGUCAUGAAGAAGUAGGAAAAGAUAUUAGUUCGGAAAACCAUGUCCAGUCUUUUAUCAUCAAUUUCGUCCAAGGAAUCACUCUGGAACUGCACAGCUGCGUUGUUCACCAAAACAUCAAUGCUGCCAUAAGCAUUAACGACUUGAUCGAUCACACUCUUGCAAUUCUGUUCAUAACCCAAAUCAACAGCUAUAGCCAUUGGAUCUUUGGCAUCGGCACUCUUAGCUUUUCUGAUGAUUUCAAGUGUGUCUCUGGCAUCUAUGUCUUCCUGUCCCUUCACAUAGGUGAAGAUAACAGUAGCACCCUCCAAUGAAAACAAGUUACACACUGCUUUUCCGAUUCCGGAGUCACCUCCAGUUACUACAGCCACCUUCCCCUGAAAAUAUAUAAACCGAUUAAGCACAGAAGCAGAUAAAAAAAACAACUUUCAGGUCAAUCACUCCAUGCAUAUAUAUACUUGAAGUUUAUUGGAUGGUUUGUAAUCUGGACUGCUAUAUUGGGGUGGUGGAUUCAUCAGAUACUCUUUGCCAGGCUGUGUGUCUUGCUUCUGAGGGGGAAAUCUGUAUUCACCGGAAGCCAUUCUCUCAAACGGGCUUUUGGGAACUGCGUUUUGAGUAGACGUCGAUUUGGAGAUCCUAAUUUAUAAGGACGUAGUGAACAAAGAAAGUGUUAAGGCUGUGUUGCAUGUGCAUGUGUUUGUGUCGUGUGAUGAAAUGAUACACACAUGUUCUGUUUUGAGUUUGACACGUGGCGAGACAUUUAUUGUGGAAAAUGGUUUAAUGGAUUAUGCUUUGUCGAAAUUUUUUUUUCACACAAUUUCUUUUAAAAUAUUUUAACAUAAUACAUAUAUUAUUUUUUAUUGAUUUAUUAUUUAUUUAUUAUUAUAUUGAUGUAUUUUAAAUUCAAUAAAAAAUAGUAUAUAUUAUGUAUCAAAAUAUUGUAAAAACAAAAUUAUGUUAACAUAUAUUUUUCUUUUUCUUUCUUUUGGUUUUCUUAUUUACUAACUCUUUCCUUUUUCAGGACUUUUUAUUGUGAAUGUUUUUCCCGAUUUGACAUUUUUGAAAAUGUUAUUCUUAUUAAUUCUAGUAGGUAGGGAAGGCUACACGUAAUAAUAACUAUCUGAUAUCCUUUUUAUCUAAACAACUUCAUCAUUUAUAGAUUUAUUUUUACAUUAGCAGAUAUUUUUUAUUUUAUAAUUUUAAAUACUUUUAUCAGAAUAUUAAGUUUUUAAUAUAUAUUCAUGUAAAAUUUUAAUUUUAAAUACAACUUUAAAAAAUUACAGAAACAAAAUUAGUCUAGAUAAAUUUGAUCUUUUUAAAAAUAUAAUUUAAAUAAAUAUUGUAAGUUUCAGAAAUGUAAUGUUCUAAAAAGAUAUCAUUUCAAUUUUAUAUUUUUAAAUAAAUAAAUAUAAUAUAUAAUUAAAAUUAAAUUUUAAAUAAAUCUAUAAUAGUUAAUAUUCAUUUCUCUACUAAUUUUAUUUUUAUUACUUAAUUUUAAAAAAUUAUUAAUGUAACAUUUAUUAAUAUUAAUUGCUGAGUAACGCUAUAUACUUAUACCAUUAUCAGCAUAUAUUCUUAUAUUUUUAAAUAACAUUUUACGUUAAUUAAAAUUAUAAGUUUAUUAUGUUUUUUGCAAGUACUUCGAUUUAGCUUUUGAAUGAUUUUUAAUCAUUAAUUUUAUUAAGAGUAUUUGUGCAUAUUUCAAUGUUAGCUUUUAUAAGUAACACAGUGAGAGUUUUAAUUUUAUUUUGAAUAGAACUGUGAAAACGGAUAAUUUGAUCUCAUCCGAUUCAACUCACCACGAGUUGGUGGAUAAACAGGUUGACUCACUGACUCACUCAAUUACAAUUUGUUCUAAAUAAAAAAAAGUUACAAAAUUUUAUAAUUCAAAUCUAAACAAUUUCACUCUCAAAUUUCACUUCCAACAUGGUUGUUUAACUAAUUUUUAAAAUUGAAAACUUAAAUAAUUUUUUCAAGCAAAAAAAAUAAUAAAUAUUUUUUAUAAAAUUAAAAUUAAAUUUUAAUAAAAUUAAGUAGGUAGGUUGGUGGGUCAAUCUGACUCACCAUAGGUUCAACCUGCAUGAGCUGGAUUUAAAUGAAUCAGGUUAAAAUCUGACCUGCGUAAAAAAAAAUUUAAUUUUUUUUACCCGUUGUGAGGUAGAUUGACCCGCGGAUUAUGACAAUUCUGACCGUUUUAAUUUUGAAUGACUCAUUAUAUCACUUUAAUUUUACACAAUUUAUACAGUAAGUUUUACUUUAAUAAGUAGCUUUUAUAAAAUUAAAUUCUUGUUGAUAAGUUACGUUUACUGCAAUUUUUUAUAAAUACACGUACUUUUUUUUUAUUGUUUUGUUAAACAAUGGAUAUUAACCUAUUUGUACUAGAGGUUUUAAUAGAAAUAUUAAAUAUGUUUAUGAUUCUUUAAUAAUUUUAUAUUAGAGUUUUUAAUAAUAAGAAUAAAUAUGUUUUUAUUUUUUAAUAAUUGAAAAUUGGAUUUGUUUUGAAUUUUGAUCUAAUUUAGUUUCUUAAUUUUAAAAAUGUGUAGAUUUUGUUAUUUUAAUGAAAUUUGAUUAAGUUUAUUUCACGUUCAAACAUAUUUUAUAAUAACAUUUGAAUUAUUUAUAAUAUUUAAUUUUUUUCUAAUAUUAAUUGAAAAAUGUAUUUGAAACUUCAAAUAAAUUUCAUAAAAUUUUAUUAAAAAAUUUAAAUUCACAUAAUUUUAAAGAUGUGAAACUAAAUUAGUCUAAAAUUAAAAAAAAGAAAAACUAAUUUUAAGUUUUACUAAAAAUUAAGGAAAAAAAUAUAUUUAACAAUUAAUAAUAUCUUACAAAUAUUAUUAUUAUUAUUAUUAUUAUUAUUAUUAUUAUUAUUAUUAUUAUUAUUAUGUUAGAUUAAAUAGUAUUUAUUACCGUGGUAUUUUUUUGUUUCAGUUAUUUAUAUUAUGUGUUAUUCUUAAAAUAUUUAUUAAAAUAUCUUUUUCUCUUUUUCUUUUUCUAACGUAGGUAGCUACAAUUUUUUAUCAUUUUUCUCUGUUCCUCUUCCACAGUUUAUUUCAUCAUAAAAAAAUGUAUAUUAUUUUUACACUUUAAGAUAUAUACUUAAAAGAAUUAAACUAAUUAAGGGUAUAGUUUUCAGUAUUUAGACUAAAUAGGACCACUAUUUUCAAGUAUAAACCUAAACACAAUCUAUAUAUCAUUGUCCAAUUUAAGUUAUAAGUAUCUUAACAACUCAAUUUAAUACCUUGUCACCAAAGUCAAACAGUUUAACACAAAUUUCAGUUCAUGAGUUCAUAUGAAAUGGACCCGAUGGAAAAUUCAAAAGCAUGAACCAAAAAUUAAGAAUAAAGAACAUGGUUUCAUACACGAAACCAACAAAACCAGUAUUCAAUAACUUGUAAACUUCUUGGUUUAAUUGAUAAAAGACUUGACAUGAUCUUUAUCGUGCCAACACACAAACUUGAAACCAUAUGUGAUCAAAUUUAGAUUAUUAAUUAGAUGACCUUUUUUUAAAAUAUUUAUUAAAAAUCCUUUAUUAAAUAUUAGAAAGUAAAAGAAAUUGAUCAUAAUGAGUUUAAAUCAAAUUCAUUUCUAUAAAAUCAACUUAUUAAGUCAAAAUUAUCCUAUUUAUAUAUAGGUUAAAAGUUCUUUUUGGUCCCAAUUUUGGUUUGGAAAAUUCGUUUUGGUCCCUGAGUUGAAUUUGUGUUCAAUUUCGUCUCAAAGAACGAAUUUAAUGUUCAAUUUGGUCCUUUUCAGUAACUCCGUUAAAAUUGUUAACGACAACGUGUCCAGCUCUGCAACUGCUGAGUGAGGUGUCAUUUCUUUGCUGACUGGAGUCCUUUUUAGCCGUUAGAAAUUUUUAAAUUGAAUUUCUUAAUCAGGUUUUUGAUUUUGGGAAUAAAUUGAAGAGAGUGGAUUCUAAAUUAGGGUUUUUAUUUCCCAAUCUUUUUCCCUUAGUUAACGAGCCAUGUCUGCUUCCCAUUCUUCUUCAUCUUGUUGGAAUACCUUGUGCCGCCGUACUUCUCAUCAUUCCCCUUGGGGUGGUUCAAUGGGGCCAGGGGUAAUCCCCAUUUGCAAUUGUGGUGAGAUGGCAGUAGUAAAAAUGGCUAGAACUCCAAAGAAUGCGGGAAGAUAUUUUUGGGGUUGUCGAAACUACAAGGUAAUGUGAAUAUAAACCCUACAUUCUUUAUGUGUUAUUAAUUAACACUGUGUUUGAGAUUUUUCUUGUUGAUGAAUAAUAGAGUGAAGCUGGUAAUGCGAUGUGUUGAAACUAUUUCAAGUGGUGCAGUAAAGAAAAUGAUGACGAAAGGGAUGUUAUUAUUGGGAGGCAAAGGGGGAAGAUUUAUGAUCUGGAAAACACACUCAAAGCUUCGAAGAAAAAGAUCCAAUUAUUAGUAGCAGUGACUGGUUUUCUUAGUGUAGUUAUCAUAGUUAUGUUUUGUGUAUUUUGGUUGAAGUGAUGAUGUUUGAAGAGGUGGUCCCAGUGUGGUUGAACGUACUGAUUUAAGGUCAAUGGAGUUGAAAUGUUGUGAUGUUUAGGUUAUGGCUAUAUUUCUUGUACUAAAUGAUGAAAUUUUAUAUAUUAAGUAAUUGUUCAAUUUAAUCCCAGUUUAUGUUUAUUAGUUAUAAAUUUGGUCCCUAUGUUGACUACUGAUGUGUUGUUAAAGCAAUAAAACACAACAUGAUUGAAAUUGUACAAAGCAUUAAAAUGAUAACUUUGCAUAAACAGAACCAAUGUAAUCNNNNNNNNNNNNNNNNNNNNNNNNNNNNNNNNNNNNNNNNNNNNNNNNNNNNNNNNNNNNNNNNNNNNNNNNNNNNNNNNNNNNNNNNNNNNNNNNNNNNNNNNNNNNNNNNNNNNNNNNNNNNNNNNNNNNNNNNNNNNNNNNNNNNNNNNNNNNNNNNNNNNNNNNNNNNNNNNNNNNNNNNNNNNNNNNNNNNNNNNNNNNNNNNNNNNNNNNNNNNNNNNNNNNNNNNNNNNNNNNNNNNNNNNNNNNNNNNNNNNNNNNNNNNNNNNNNNNNNNNNNNNNNNNNNNNNNNNNNNNNNNNNNNNNNNNNNNNNNNNNNNNNNNNNNNNNNNNNNNNNNNNNNNNNNNNNNNNNNNNNNNNNNNNNNNNNNNNNNNNNNNNNNNNNNNNNNNNNNNNNNNNNNNNNNNNNNNNNNNNNNNNNNNNNNNNNNNNNNNNNNNNNNNNNNNNNNNNNNNNNNNNNNNNNNNNNNNNNNNNNNNNNNNNNNNNNNNNNNNNNNNNNNNNNNNNNNNNNNNNNNNNNNNNNNNNNNNNNNNNNNNNNNNNNNNNNNNNNNNNNNNNNNNNNNNNNNNNNNNNNNNNNNNNNNNNNNNNNNNNNNNNNNNNNNNNNNNNNNNNNNNNNNNNNNNNNNNNNNNNNNNNNNNNNNNNNNNNNNNNNNNNNNNNNNNNNNNNNNNNNNNNNNNNNNNNNNNNNNNNNNNNNNNNNNNNNNNNNNNNNNNNNNNNNNNNNNNNNNNNNNNNNNNNNNNNNNNNNNNNNNNNNNNNNNNNNNNNNNNNNNNNNNNNNNNNNNNNNNNNNNNNNNNNNNNNNNNNNNNNNNNNNNNNNNNNNNNNNNNNNNNNNNNNNNNNNNNNNNNNNNNNNNNNNNNNNNNNNNNNNNNNNNNNNNNNNNNNNNNNNNNNNNNNNNNNNNNNNNNNNNNNNNNNNNNNNNNNNNNNNNNNNNNNNNNNNNNNNNNNNNNNNNNNNNNNNNNNNNNNNNNNNNNNNNNNNNNNNNNNNNNNNNNNNNNNNNNNNNNNNNNNNNNNNNNNNNNNNNNNNNNNNNNNNNNNNNNNNNNNNNNNNNNNNNNNNNNNNNNNNNNNNNNNNNNNNNNNNNNNNNNNNNNNNNNNNNNNNNNNNNNNNNNNNNNNNNNNNNNNNNNNNNNNNNNNNNNNNNNNNNNNNNNNNNNNNNNNNNNNNNNNNNNNNNNNNNNNNNNNNNNNNNNNNNNNNNNNNNNNNNNNNNNNNNNNNNNNNNNNNNNNNNNNNNNNNNNNNNNNNNNNNNNNNNNNNNNNNNNNNNNNNNNNNNNNNNNNNNNNNNNNNNNNNNNNNNNNNNNNNNNNNNNNNNNNNNNNNNNNNNNNNNNNNNNNNNNNNNNNNNNNNNNNNNNNNNNNNNNNNNNNNNNNNNNNNNNNNNNNNNNNNNNNNNNNNNNNNNNNNNNNNNNNNNNNNNNNNNNNNNNNNNNNNNNNNNNNNNNNNNNNNNNNNNNNNNNNNNNNNNNNNNNNNNNNNNNNNNNNNNNNNNNNNNNNNNNNNNNNNNNNNNNNNNNNNNNNNNNNNNNNNNNNNNNNNNNNNNNNNNNNNNNNNNNNNNNNNNNNNNNNNNNNNNNNNNNNNNNNNNNNNNNNNNNNNNNNNNNNNNNNNNNNNNNNNNNNNNNNNNNNNNNNNNNNNNNNNNNNNNNNNNNNNNNNNNNNNNNNNNNNNNNNNNNNNNNNNNNNNNNNNNNNNNNNNNNNNNNNNNNNNNNNNNNNNNNNNNNNNNNNNNNNNNNNNNNNNNNNNNNNNNNNNNNNNNNNNNNNNNNNNNNNNNNNNNNNNNNNNNNNNNNNNNNNNNNNNNNNNNNNNNNNNNNNNNNNNNNNNNNNNNNNNNNNNNNNNNNNNNNNNNNNNNNNNNNNNNNNNNNNNNNNNNNNNNNNNNNNNNNNNNNNNNNNNNNNNNNNNNNNNNNNNNNNNNNNNNNNNNNNNNNNNNNNNNNNNNNNNNNNNNNNNNNNNNNNNNNNNNNNNNNNNNNNNNNNNNNNNNNNNNNNNNNNNNNNNNNNNNNNNNNNNNNNNNNNNNNNNNNNNNNNNNNNNNNNNNNNNNNNNNNNNNNNNNNNNNNNNNNNNNNNNNNNNNNNNNNNNNNNNNNNNNNNNNNNNNNNNNNNNNNNNNNNNNNNNNNNNNNNNNNNNNNNNNNNNNNNNNNNNNNNNNNNNNNNNNNNNNNNNNNNNNNNNNNNNNNNNNNNNNNNNNNNNNNNNNNNNNNNNNNNNNNNNNNNNNNNNNNNNNNNNNNNNNNNNNNNNNNNNNNNNNNNNNNNNNNNNNNNNNNNNNNNNNNNNNNNNNNNNNNNNNNNNNNNNNNNNNNNNNNNNNNNNNNNNNNNNNNNNNNNNNNNNNNNNNNNNNNNNNNNNNNNNNNNNNNNNNNNNNNNNNNNNNNNNNNNNNNNNNNNNNNNNNNNNNNNNNNNNNNNNNNNNNNNNNNNNNNNNNNNNNNNNNNNNNNNNNNNNNNNNNNNNNNNNNNNNNNNNNNNNNNNNNNNNNNNNNNNNNNNNNNNNNNNNNNNNNNNNNNNNNNNNNNNNNNNNNNNNNNNNNNNNNNNNNNNNNNNNNNNNNNNNNNNNNNNNNNNNNNNNNNNNNNNNNNNNNNNNNNNNNNNNNNNNNNNNNNNNNNNNNNNNNNNNNNNNNNNNNNNNNNNNNNNNNNNNNNNNNNNNNNNNNNNNNNNNNNNNNNNNNNNNNNNNNNNNNNNNNNNNNNNNNNNNNNNNNNNNNNNNNNNNNNNNNNNNNNNNNNNNNNNNNNNNNNNNNNNNNNNNNNNNNNNNNNNNNNNNNNNNNUCAUCAUCCAUGUCCUCCUCCUCCAAAUGUACUUCUUCAACGUCAACUUCUUCCUCCACAUGAACCUCCUUCUGUUCAUCAUCCAUGUCCUCCUCCUCAUUAUGGACGUCAUCAUUCAACCCCUCCCUACCUAAACUUCCUUGACACAACAAAAGAACCUGGUCUUGUUGUUGUUCACUUGGUUCUAUAUCAACCAACUCUGGUUCAUCAUCCACACCGUGAACCACAUACAGCUUAACUUCCCCUAAUCGUUUGGCAAUGCCUACCAUGUUCAUUGCACUUUUAUCAUCCUCCAACUUAAGUAGCAUAUUAUCGAUGCAAUAAAAUAUGUCUCUCACAUUCAUAUACCCCAAUUCUUUAACAGCAUCUACUGCUUCGAAAUAACUCCAUCUGUCAGGGUCCACACUCCAAUAUGUCUUUUCCCCACCAACAUAUUUAAUAGGACAUUGGCAUACUAGGGUCCCACCAUGGUGGACCACAACAUUAAACCUCUCCUCAGACAUCUCAAAAGCAACCUUACAAAAGUAACUGUUAUGGGCAUGUGACCACUAUACAAACGCUACUGUUAACAUGUGACCACAUUAUCAAAAUCACUUAUCAUACGUUACACAACAAUGCCCUAUAUAAAUUUCAAACAUUGUUACAAAAUUGUAACUUUUCCAAAAUCAAACACUGAAACGAAAAAAUUUGGGGUUUUACAGUCUUCAACAACAAAACCUAGAAAUUAAUAUGCUACAAAAGGAACGAACAAGAAAUCAAACCUGAUUUCGCAGAUAUGAUUUCCCAAUGAUGGUUGCUUCCGAUUACAAAAGCAAGUUACUGGUGUCGAAGGCCAAACUUGUUCUUCUCAAGUUGCAGAAGUUCUUCUUCCCAAAUUCAACCACUUCUCAAUCUCGCAAGUUUCACAAUUUCCCUCCCAAAUACCUAACUUUAAUUUUAUUACCAGAUUAAUUAAAAAUUUAGUUUAAAAAGUCCUAAUUGUAACGGCUAGAAAGGAUUCCCAGUCAGCAAAAAACUGACAUCUCACUUAGCAGUUGCAUAUGUGGACACGUUGUCGUUAACAAUUUUAACGGAGUUACUGAAAAGGACCAAAUUGAACAUUAAAUUCGUUCUUUGGGACGAAAUUGAAUACAAAUUCAACUCAGGGACCACAACGAAUUUUCUGAACCAAAAUUGGGACCAAAAAGAGCUUUUAACCUUAUAUAUAUAUAUAUAUAUAUAUAUAUAUAUAUAUAUAUAUAUAUAUAUAUAUAUAUUAUAAAUUAACUUAUCUCUUAUUUAGCUGAGAUAUCUAACACAAUAAUCACAUUUAAAAAAUAUUUAAUUUAGUUUUUCAUCAUUUAAAAGAAACACUUAUACUUCCUUUUCUAUUAUAAUCUUAUUUUAGGCAAGUAUUCAUUCAUAAUCGGUUGUUACUAUGUUACUUUUUCUUCAAAACAUAAUUCACAUGGAUAAGAGUCAAAUAAAGCAUGUAUCACAUAUACUAUAAUCUCAUUUAAUGAGUAUUAAUGUUCCAUAUAAUGAUUCCACUUGAAAAAAAGGGAAAAAUAUGUUAGAAUUUAUCUAACAUACUGAUUUCACCUAAAAAAAGAGGAUAUAGUGUAGAGUGAAAAGUCAUACAACAAAUACUAGAGAUCGUGGUAUAAAGAUAAUACAAGAGUGUAAAUAAAGACACCGUGGUAAGAUAACUCAAAAUCAGGUUAUUAACCACAAGUUAUAGGCAAUGAUUAUCAUAUAUAGCUGACUGCCUUUUUACAUUAAUGCUGUAUUAAUUAUUUUCCAGUUUUCUUUUCCGAUUGAUUUCAUUUGUAUGACAUUUGAAUUUGUAUUGUAUGCUAGAUGUUUUCACAAGGUUUCUCGAACAUAAUUGAAGUUUACAUAAAGACAUUAUUGUUUUUGAAAGUUCUGAAUGUUGCUUCGUGUCUUAGAAAGCUGCUAAUUAUCUACUUGAUAAAGUUUUUUUUUCUUCUUCUUAUUAUUCUAGUGAGAGUCUAAAAAUAGAAUAAUAAGUUUAAAUGAUGAAUUAUUUUAUAUAAAUAAAUCUUUUGUUAAUGAAUCUUAUUAUUUACAACACAUAUUUUUUUAAAACUUAUUUUCUAAUAAUAUCUAUCAUUUCUUUAGUGUUAUAACAAUUGAAUCAUCUAUUUGAAGAUUAGAAAAUGUCUAAGUGAUUAUUAUGACAAGAUCUUUAUUCCUAUUCUAUUAAUUCUUGCAAAAGACCAAGUUAAUUUCUUAUAUUUUUUCUGUUUUCCAUGUUUUCUAAUGCAUGUGAUCUUAGUUCUAUCCACUAGUAAAAAAAGAAGCUUUUUAACACGUUAUAUACGUUUCGAUUUUAUUAAAACUGAAGCGUAUAAAAGUGCAGUGACAUUUUUUAGUUUUAGGUAACUUAUAUACCUCGUUCAUAAAGAACCGAAGCGUAAAACGCCUACUGCCUCGGUUAAAUCAGAAAUCGAGGCAUAAAGUGGAACCAGCGCACACUGCAAUCACGUGAUAGAAGUUGACAUAAUUUUUGAAUAAGGUGUACUGCCUCAGGUAUCAAUAGAACCGAGGCAGAAAAGCUUUCCAGCAUCGGUUAGGCGCCAACCGAGACAUAUAACGGGAAUAUGCUUCCAAAAUUUCUGACACUUUAGGCAUCGGGUAUGCUUGAAACUGAGGCAGAAAGCCUCUAUUACUUCAGGUAAAUCUGGAACCGAGGUAGUAUAACAUUUUAUGACCUCAGAAAUCUCUUUGCUUUCACGGUACCCUUCUCACUGUUCCUCUUUUUCUCGCUCGCUCAAAUCUCUUUGCUUUCACUAUUCUCCAACCACCUUGAAAUAGUGUCGUCGCUUCGUGGCCACCACUCAACCGCUCCGUCACCACCACUCUAUCGCUGUUAGGCUAAGAUGGAGCAGAAGCAAUGUUUGCUCCAAUAAGGAGAUUUUUCCCCAAUACUUGUAGGCUAGGAUAUGCAGGAGCAUAAGUCUUUCAGAAUAAAUUGUUUAAAUUCGAAGAGACACAAGCAUUUCAAAGAGAGAUACAAUUGAAGACAAAGUCGAAUGUAUGCUCACCAUGGGUGAGAAGCUGUUCCAGAUCGGCGAACUGAGAGGCUUUCGUGAUUUCUCCUUUCUCGCGAAGGAGGCCGAGCCACUCCCCGAAGCCUUCGAAUAGGUUUUCACUGUCGUCAAUGCCAUUCUCCUCUCUCAUAGGGUUUCUUCCAUCUUCUUCAAAUUCUACAACACUCACCAGGAGUAGUAGAGGCGUCGUCACAGUUCGAUCCAACGAGGCUCACCGUCGGUAGCGCCUGGAGUCGUUGUAGGUGUAGACAGUGUCAACGCAACGCCUCCUUCUUUGAUCCGCAAUGGUCGCCGUAACUCUAAUCCUGAAAUCGUGUUGAUGCGUGUCACAUUAUCGUCGUGGCUCAAUCUCCGUCAAGUUCGCUCCACCACUGCUAUCCAUUUCGCCCAAAUCAUGAAUUCCACCACCGGAAACAACCACGAGCCACCACCGUUGCGUGAUUUCGCUAUCCCCCCUAGCUUCCCCUCUUCGAUCGAAGGGAUGAGAAAUUAGGGAAGAGAUCGAAGGGAUGAGAAAUUAGGGAAGAAAUUGAAGAGAGAUGAUGCAGAGUGACUAUAAAGAGAAGAGAAAUUAGAGCUUUGAAAUUGGAGAGGCAAAAUGAACUUGAAUAAAUCCUCGGGACUAAAAUUGGAGAGGCUAGAUGGAAAAUUAGAUUUAGGAACAUAUUAUGAUAGAUUUUCCAAAAUAGUCAUAAUACAUUCUAAAAUUUUCCAUUAGUCAAAGUAUUAUAAUAUAUAUAUAUAUAUAUAUAUAUAUAUAUAUUACAGAUAUUAACUUAAUAAUCACAAUAAAUUUUAAACUUAUUUAUAAAUUUAUCAUUAUAAAUGACUUUUAUAAUGUUUAUUAUAAUACUAUCAUUCAUCAAUCUAUCAAGAUAUAUAAUAUUUAUAUGUCAUAAUAGAUUCGUCAUAUAAAGAUAUUUUUCUACUAAAGUGUACCAUAGAUUUAAAACAUAACAAAAAUAGAUUUUAUUACAACUCUGAUAUGAUAUUAAUAUAGUACGUUUUUAAGUUUAACUUAUUAAGAUUAGAUUUAUCUUUAAUAAUAUAUUAUUAUUUGGCCUAAUUAAUCUCGUUUUUGAUCUCUAACAAAAGGUAAAUUUUUGUUAAUAACAUUGUAAUGAAUUUAAUAUUGAAAAAAAAAACCGGUGAAUCUCAUUAAUUAAAUGUCAAAUGUCUUAUAUAUAAUGUAUGGUUGAUUAUUCUGUUCAGAAUAUUUAUUGGAAGAAUCUAACAAAUAUUCAAUAAACUUGAUUGAUUUAAGAACCUGCUUAAAAAAACCAUCAUUUAUAUAUAAACUUUGGUAUAUUUAUCACAUUGGCAAAAAACAAAUACCAUUGUUUGCUUUUCAACCAGAAUGUUCCUCCAUAAACAUUUAUUCAUACACAUCGAUACAAUGUUACUUUACACACGUAACAUAAUUUAUGAAUAUAAACAAACAAACAGAAAAGACAUAUUUUACAUAAACCAAUAUAAACUGAGUAUCUUUAUUACUCUUCAAUCCAACAAUUAUGUAUUCACAAUGGUUCCACCUGAAAAGAUGAAAACGAAGAGUUAGAAAACACAAAAAAUGAAAAGCUGUUCAUGAUUUUAUUGUGAAAUUAAAUAUACAAAUUUUGUAAGUAUGAGAAUAGAGAGAUGCAUGACCAUUGGGGUGGAGGACUUGGCCUGUUAUGUAAGAGGAACACUGGUUGCUGGCAAGAAACACAUAAGAAGGAGCAACCUCAAUAGGUUGUCCAGCUCUUUUCAUCGGUGUGACAUCAGAACCGAACACCACAAUUUGUUCUACUGUAAAACUUGCUACCGGUAAGGGAGUCCAGAUAGGUCCAGGAGCAACGCCAUUCACGCGAAUUCCCUUGCUCACAAGCUGAAGUGCAAGUGAUCUUGUGAACCCUACAAUGGCACCUUUAGUGGAUGCAUAAUCCACUAGUGUUGCGUAUCCUUGAUAUGCAACCACUGAUGUUGUGUUGAUAAUGCUACUUCCUUCCUUCAUGUGCUUCAGAGCAUAUCUGUGUAUUCAUUUUCAGAAGCCACUAGUGUUAAACUUUUAGAUCACAUCUUAUGUAGUUAGAGUAUAUAAGGAGAUGCAAAGAUUUUACAAAAGUUCUGUGUAAGGUUAAAUUAGGCUCUUGUCUUACUUAGUCAUGAAGAAGUAGGAAAAGAUAUUAGUUCGGAAAACCAUGUCCAGUCUUUUAUCAUCAAUUUCGUCCAAGGAAUCACUCUGGAACUGCACAGCUGCGUUGUUCACCAAAACAUCAAUGCUGCCAUAAGCAUUAACGACUUGAUCGAUCACACUCUUGCAAUUCUGUUCAUAACCCAAAUCAACAGCUAUAGCCAUUGGAUCUUUGGCAUCGGCACUCUUAGCUUUUCUGAUGAUUUCAAGUGUGUCUCUGGCAUCUAUGUCUUCCUGUCCCUUCACAUACGUGAAGAUAACAGUAGCACCCUCCAAUGAAAACAAGUUACACACCGCUCUUCCGAUUCCGGAGUCACCUCCAGUUACUACAGCCACCUUCCCCUGAAAAUAUAUAAACCGAUUAAGCACAGAAGCAGAUAAAAAAAUUACUCUCAGGUCAAUCACUGCAUGCAUAUAUACUUGAAGUUUAUUUGAUGGUUUGUAAUCUGGACUGCUAUAUUGGGGUGGUGGAUUCAUCAGAUACUCUUUGCCAGGCUGUGUGUCUUGCUUCUGAGGGGGAAAUCUGCUUUCACCGGAAGCCAUUCUCUCAAACGGGCUUUUGGGAACUGCGUUUUGAGUAGACAUGGAUUUGGAGAUCCUCAUUUAUAAGGACGUAGUGAACAAAGAUAAUGUUAAGGUUGUGUUGCAUGUGCAUGUGUUGGUGUCGUGUGAUGAAAUGAUACACACAUGUUCUGUUCUAAGUCUGACACGUGGCGAGACAUUUAUUGUGGGAAAUGGUUUCAUUCGUCAUGGUUUUCUUUUAGUUGUUUUGGUUUUCCUUGUUUAGGUUUUCUAUUCUGAAAGUUUUCUCAAUUUGACAUUUUUUAAAAUGUUAUUCUUAUUACUUGUAGUAGGAAGAAGGUAACACGUAAAAAAAAGCGGAUAUAUGCAUUCAUGCUGAAUCAUGGGUUUAGAAAAAGCUCAGUAAAAUGUGAAACUCCAAGAUUAAGCUAAUUUGGUGGUGGUGUGUAUUAUAAGUAUGUGUAUUAUUGAUUCAGCUACUCGAUAAGAUAUUGAUAUUGUCUGUUUUAAAUUAUGCUUUGAGUUUUAUAGAUUUGUUUUUUAUAUCAUUCUAAAAUACUUUUUAUAAUAUUUAUGUAUAUAAAUUUAUGUUUAUUUCUUAUGAGAUUUUAUUUAUAUCUUAACACUAAGUUAUUUUCUUAAACUGUUUUUUGGAAUUAAUUGCUAUGAAGUUAUUCUCAAAAUUUUAUUUUAGUUUCAUUUACGCACAACUGCAGAACUUGAUUUUAAAUAGAAAUAUAUAAAAAUUGAUUCUUAAAUCCAACAACUCUCGUAAAUUUAGUUGGUUUUUCCAUAUAUAAGAAUUUAACACACGUCGUAAAAUUUAAAAUAAUUGUAUUUAAGAUAUUCACUGCUUUAGAAUCUUAUGUUACGACGUUGUUCUUAGGAAACAUUUUGAAAAUUUUAAAAAUAUAUAUAUUGAAAUUAAUUUUUAUCUCUAAUCUUAAAAGAUGUAAAAGUGUUGGAUGUACUGAAAGAUAAUACUAUGCUUUUAUUGAAUCAGAUUAAGUUGGGUGAAGAUAUUAUGUUUAGUUAAAUAAUAGUUAAAUCCUUUACAUAUAUGUAUAUAUUAUGUUUCCUUCACGUCUGUAAUGUUACAAAUGAGGAAUAAAUAACUAAUCUCUGUUUUUUUUAAUGUUUCUCAUAUUUUAGGACAUUUUUUUACAAUCCUUCAAGCUUUUUUAUUUGGAAUGUUGUUCUUAAAAAAAUAUGAAAUAAUAUUUUCAAAAGACUACGUAUAAAAGUCACUUUACAGCUCUUCACAGAUUUCAAGUAGAAAGGACACGUGGACAAAUCAAACAUACACCAAACUAAAAAAGAUAUAAAAACUAUAUAAAUAUGAUAUUAUACAAUUGAAAAAUAACUUAAAAAAAUUAUUUGACUAUUCAUAUCAACGUAUGUCCUUUUCGGAUAACCUAAUCCAUAAAUAUUUCAUAGUUAAACAUCAAAUUUUCCUAGAAAGUGCUGUAAGUUGCGGCAAUGUUACAAACUUUUUUUUUUAAAAAGUUUUUGUCAUAUGUAUAACUCAUGGUAAGUUAACUUUGGAUUAUGCAUACAAAAUAAGGUUAUGAGAGCUUUGCGAUAAUACCAUAUUAAUUAUUUGUCAUCCAAAGAUAUGUACAUUACUUUUUUUUAAAAAAAAAAUAGACAUAAGUAUAUUAACUAAGGCCAUUAAUUAAUAUGAAUUUUAAUUUUACUUAUCGCGAUAAUCAAUUAGAGAAGUCAGUAAAUAUACACUUUGAUGUGACUUUUAUAUUUCAAAGGCCAAUUAUCAAAUUUUAGGAAUAUUUAAUAUUUUCAUAAUUAUAAAUAUGGUAACUUUUUAUCUACAAUAAAUAAUUAUGUCAUCUUAAAUACUAGUAUAGUAGUACAAUGAAUGAUGACAACAUAAUAUCGAGUAAAGGAUUCACAUAUUUUUUUAGUAUAUAGUAUACACUUUACAUAGAUUUUUUUCUUUAAAAUAAAAUAAAUGACAGAAACAUGUGGUGUAGAUAAUAUGAUAAGAAGAAAGUUUGAAAAAAAUGUAAUUUGUAAAAACAUAGGACAUGAAAAAAUGAAGAGAUUUCUGCAAUUUCAUUGACGAAGUGAAACAUGUCAAAUGGCUACAACAUAUAUAUGAAAAUCAAAUAUUCAACUCUACAUAUGACAGUCUCAAAAAAAUAUCAAAUAAAAAAUAUUGAAGUAUACAUACAAUCACUAAAAUUAUAGUGAUGCUUCAUGAAUGCAAUUUUCUUCAUUCAGUAAACCAGUUUGCAUUUGGAAAGUUUUUACUGGUUUAUCAUGAAUGGAAUUCAUUUCUUUGCAGAAGUGUAUGAACUCAUAGAAGCUUGAAUUUCUUCUAGUGUUCGUCCCUUGGUCUCUGGUACGAGUUUUGCUACGAACAACACAGUCAAACCACAUAUGGUAGAGAACAUGAAGAAAGUUCCUGGCCAAACAUAACAUCAAAAUAUGAAUAUUUCUCAGCUUUUUUGUUUUUGCUCUCCAGAAGAAGAUUGAAUUCGAACCAACCUGCUGAACUCCAAUUCAUGAGGAAGUUAAAAGCAUAUGAUAUAAUCCAAGAACACAACCAGCUAACCAAAGUCACAAGGCUUCCAGCAGAGCCCUUCACGUUGAUGGGAAAUAUCUGCAAAAUCAAAUAUAACCAUUCAUCAUGCUGAUGAUUUUUUAUGUUUGAUUGUUUCCCAAGUUCAGGUAUAGUAAACAGUAACUACCUCAGACAUUAUAACCCACGGAAUUGCUCCCAUGCCUAUAGAGUAGGAUCCCACAUAUACCUGGCCAUUAAGAAUAAUUAAUACACUUGUAAGAUGAAAUUUACACUCACUUAUAUACUAAGUAUAAAACCAUAUUAAAAAGUGGACAUUAAACCUAACUCAAUCAUAUAAUAUCGACUUAUAAGAUUUACAUCUACUUAUAUAAUGUAAAUUUGUUUUAUUUUCAGUCUAUGUGAGAUCCCCAAUAGAGUUAUGCAAUAUAGUAGUGAUCACAAUCCAUUCAUUUCAGUUAAAUUUAUGAGAUUGCACAGCAUAGUUGAAGAUCCCUAUAUAGGCAUAUAAGGGGAAGAACAUUACCAGUACACCCACUAGGGCUAUAAUGGGGCUAACUUCCUUCCAUUUAUGCAAGUCCUGCAUCAGAUAAUCCUAAUUAUUCUUAGAAAUUCUUUGAGAAAACCAACUUACUGGAUCAGAUUGUGUAGUUAAAAGAACCUGCAAGACAAAUGACAAGGCUGCCAGAAAGCAUCCUAAGCAUGUUCCCACUGCAGACACCUACGUGAGAAUCAAAAUUUCAGAUUCAGAAUUUAAAGCACAGAGUAAAAAUGCAGGAAUAAUAGUUCAAACUCUUUUACCAGCAGAAGUGGUCUUCUUCCAGAUUUAUCCAUUAGAAGUACCCCUAAAGUUGUCAUUGGAAUCUACAAACAUAAAAGAUGGAGUAGUGUGAAAAACAAGAAUGAACUCGUCAAAGAAUGCAUCUUAUUAUUAUGCAGGAUUAAAGCACACAGAAAUUAUGCAAUCGGAAGAAGAGAAUUAAGAACCUUAACGGCGACCAUUGCUACUGUUCCAAUACUUUCUGAAAACCCUGUCAUGGAUAAGAGUUUUUGCUUUUGUGUGAAUCUUUUCAUAAGUCUAGUAUUCUCAUUCAUUUUCUCUUACUUGCCAUAUAAUGGAGCAUAGAAAAGGAGCUGCACAUACCAGCAGAUAUAAAUAUAGAGUUUGCAUAGAAAACAAUGCCAUUAAUCCCUCCAAACUGUUGUAGUAUCAUCAAGCCAACUCCUACCUAACAAAGUAACUAUAAAACAUAAGAGCCCCACAUAAGGCUAAUAUUGGCCAUAUACGAAUAGAGAUAAUUUAGAAUGCUCACGAUAAGUGACUUCAAAUACUGCAUUCGGAAUAGGCCAAUGAUGCUAGCUUCUGUUUGCUUCUGAAAGGCUUCGGUAUAGUCCUUCAAAUAAAGGUACAAUACAAAAAUGAUAGAUUAAAUUCCUAGGAUUCUUCCUUUUCUAUUUCUCUUUUGCAUCCAAUAAAGAUAGUAACUAUAGUGUAACAAUGUAAGAACAAAAAACUAGUUACAUACUCUAAUUUCAGUGGCCUCUUGAUAAACAUCAGCAUUCUUACCCCUGAGGUGCUGUAGAGCAGAAUCACUCUCUUUUAACCGACCGACCUUGGCCUGCAAAAGAUUGCAAUUUGUGAUAUGUUUGUGUGGAAUGAAAUGUAUUGACUCCAACCAUCUGAUAUAAGUGAAGGAAAAAAUCACUUCGAUGUGAGAGCAGUGACCAACAUGAACAACCCAAGCAAUAAAAUUACAAAAGCUGUGAAAAACUCACCAGCCACCUGGGAGAAUCGGGAAUGAAGGGCAGACAGAGAAGCUGCACAAGGCACGGAAUAAUUCCUGAGACAGAUGAAUAAACAUGAGAGUUACAUGGAGCCCUUUUUGUUUGGAUUGUGAAAAGAACACCAGAAAGAAAAAUAUUACCUAUUAGAGCCAAGAUCCUCCAAUUGGCAUAUGCUCCAAUAAGAUAAGUUAAUGACAUCCCACAAGAAAUCAUUAACUGCCAAAAUAAGACCAAAUAGGAGUUUAAAAUAAUCCUGUACGUGAAAUAGUAAAACAUAAGUUGUAUGGUACAUGCAGUAAGAGUAAAAUUAUGUUAAAAGAUUGGAUCAUUACAGUGUUGCUUUACCUGAUGAACUCCAGUGAAUGCCCCUCGAAGAUUCUUGGGUGUUAUUUCUGCUACAUAAACAGGUACCUAAUAUUCAAAGUAAACUAUAUAUGUAUUUCUUUGAGUCAUUGAAUUUCAUAACAAAUUAUACAGUCAUAGCAGUUACCACGUAAGAUAGAAGGCCAAUCCCACAUCCUAUCAACAGUCUUCCAACAUAAAGCCACCAAGCAAUCUUCAAACAUGCAUCAAAUGUUAGAUAUCAACAACUGAACUUGUGGAAAACCCAUGGGAUGAGCAAAUUCAGAUAAUAAAAUCAUAGUGGUUCAAUCUAUCAAGUCUGUAGUCCUUACUCUAUCUAUCUAAUUCAUUCUGUUUAUGAAAACAGCAACUUAAGUUUCAAAUAAGCCUCAAUGUUAAUGCCAGAGCAGGUUUAAAUAACUUUUUAUGGCCACAAAUAUGCUAACAUUUUUCUUUUAGUGCUAGUCUGUAUUUCUUCAUAUCAAAUGGUAUUUAAGCCUACCAGGUCAUGUAUUUCAAGUACUCAAUAAUUGCAGUUAAAAAGUGAACUUUAAACUUAACUCAACCUUGCAAAUCUGGCUUAUAAGGUGAGGUCUACAAUCACCUAUAUACUGUAAUUGACAAUUGUUGUUAUCUCUAGUUGAUGUGAGACUUCCAACACCCCUCUCAUAUUGAGACAUAUAUACAUUUCAAGCGUGGAACUAGACAUUAAUAGGUAAUCUAAUAACAGGUGGAACAAUAAACUCAACAAAUAAUAAAUUUUGCUACGAUAAACUCUUACACAUGGCUCUCAUAUCAUGUUAAUAAGUGGACUUUAAGUUUAACUCAACCUCAUAAAAUCAGUUUGUAAAAUAAAGUUUACAUCCACUUAUAUACUCUAAACUUGUUAAGAAAGGAAUUUUAAAUCUAACUCAACCUUAUAAAACCAACUCGUAAGAUGAAGUUAUGUAAUUGGCAUUAUCUACUGUUGAUGUGGGACUUCCAAUGGUUACAAUAAAUUCUUUCCAUGAAUGUCUUUUUCCCCUACCUUAAAAUGUAGCUACCUAUUUUUCCUUUCAAGAAAGGUUACCAUCAUCACAAAAUUGUGGUUUUCAGACAUAUUCAACUAUUAGUGACAGUACAAGUUAAUAAAUUGAAAAUAAAGAGGAAGAAAUUAAUGAGAAACCUUUGAGAAUGUUAUGGCAAACCAUCCCAAGAUGCAGAAAAUCUGGGAGAACCCCAUGGCCUGCUCAGUAAAACACAGGAUAACUAAGGUGAAAACAACAACACUGAAACCAGAAUUAAGCAGCAAUGCUUUGACUUACAACUCGACGACCUGCAUAAUCUGCUAUUCUACCACUAACAACAGCACCAAUCAUAGCUCCAAUAGUCAAUAUCGAACCAAAAAUUGAGUACUGCAUAGGUUUGGCCGUUGAUAGAAGCAGUCAAUCAAAUGAUAGCCAGCAACAACAAUGUGCAACAAAUGUUAGAAAAACAAAGGUUCAAACCUGGGCCACUCCGAGGUUGAGAUCACGCAUGAUUCCAGAUUGAGUUGGUGAUGAGUACCCAAUCUGCAAAGUUAACAAGGUAAUUCAUCUGACUGUAGUAACUUUGAGUUAGAGUUUCAUUCCCACCCAAUUUUAACAUUAUCAGCCAAUGAAAAAUCAUUAUUCAUACCGUAAUAGUCAUUGUAAAAUUCAAUCAACCAUUUUUACGUUAUCAACCAAUAAAAAAUCAUCACUCACACUACAACUUAACAUAGUCAAUGCAAAAAUCCAACCAACCAUUUUAACAUUAUCAAACAAUAAAAAACCACCAUUUACCACAAAUUAAGAUAGCCAUUAUAAAAUUCAACCAACCAUUUUCACAUUAUCAAGCAAUAAAAAAUCAUCAUUCAUACCACAACUUAAGACAUUCAUUAUUAAAUUAAACGAGCCAUUUUACCCUAUCAAGCAACAAAAAAAAAUCCUUCAUACCACAACUCUAUGAUAGCCAUCAUAAAAUUCAACCAUCUUAAAAAAGACAACUUUUUUUAACUGGAUAACAGCGUAAGAUUUCUAAGGUAAAUACAAAAACAGUAACUCACAGCAGAGCCAAAAACGUAGGAACCAAAAACAGCAACGAGGGUGGUGAGUAUAAGAGUAGUUGGAACGGAAGAAGCUCCAGUGUGCCUCUUUUCCAGAAAGUCAACGCCAACAUCGUGGGCACCAUAACUUGUAGGGAGAAGAGGGCUUGUAUAAUCGCUUGGUUCGGUGGUUUUGUUGUCCAUAUUUUGCGUUCUAUGAGAAGCAGAGGAAAUAUGAGAGAGGUUCAUUCAGAGGGUUUAAAAGGGUUACACCAGAGAGAGAGAGGUUGGUGAUGAAUGGCGUUGACCAAGACGACGUGAUGAUGAGAAUGAAACGAUGUCGAAUUGGAUAUGAACGAACACCGUGUGUUGGACAGCGUCGCACUUCGCAGUCUACGUUGGCCAAACAAACACAUAGGCAAAUCUUUUCUGUUUUUUUUUUUUCAUUUUUAUGUGUGCACGAGAUUCUUGCGGGUUCAAUUUUAAAUUUAAAAAAAAAAAUGCUAUUCUGUCACGUGCUUAAUUAGGAUUUGGUUUUUAAAAAUUGUAAAAAUUAAUCCUUUUUUUCUAACUAUAAUAACAAAUGUGCUGGCAGUGGCAGGGUUAAAAAAAAUAUUUAAUUUCUCAACCAGAAACGCAAGGGAGAGUUUGCCUCCCAUCGCCUCUCACUGAUCCUCCACUGCAACUGGCCUCCACCCAACCAGCCACCGCGAGUUGUGGUGCAAGGCGUCGCCGGCGCUGACGUUCGUUGCCGGAGUCGUCGCCGAACGAGGUGAGAGUUCCCCUCUUCCGCCGCUCGUCGCGCGAGUUGGAAGCGCCCAAGCCGUCGCGAGCCAUCGUCCAAGGCUUUGCAUAGUGGCGCAAAUCGCCACCACAAUCUCUGCCGGCCACCGCACCAAGGUCCCUCUUCCUUCUCCUCUUCCCGCGAGGUUCUCCCUGUUCCUCGUCUUAAGACGUUGACGCCAGAAAGGGUCGCCACUCCAAUGCCGGCGAGAAAACUCCUCUUCCUCUGUUAUGCGAAGUCGGAAUCCACAUCCGCCGCCGACAAUCACCAUCUUGUUUGUACUGUAUUGUGCUGGGCGUGAGUCUUGGGGUGUGAAAAAUUGAUUUUCUGAUUGGUGUAGUGAAUGUUUUCUGUUAAGCAUUGGGUUGGGGAAAAAAUGGGUUUAUGUUUGGGUUGAACUUCUGGAGAUGAAGGAAAGGGUGUUCAGAAUUCUCAGGUUGUGAUGGUGAGGCGUUUUGCUUUGAUUUGUUGUUUGAUUUUCUUUCGGUGGUGGUUGAUUUGGGUGAUGGUGGAAGAUGAGGGAUAUGAGUUGUUUCAAAAGAUAAGCUUUAAACCUAUGGGCAUGGGAUUUGUGAUUUGGGUCCGUUCAUUCAGUUUGACACAGGUGAUUUGGGUUUGUUGAUUCUGGAAAUGCAUUUGAUUCUGCUUCUACCAUUUUCUGUGUUUUCUGGGUUGAGAAGCCAUAGUUUAAUGGAUUGAGACAAAAUUUUGAAAGAUUUAGGUGUUACAAGUUUGCAUAAAAAAAAUAAAAAUAAUAUAGUAAGUUAAAAGGAAACUACUUUUACUGUGCUAAAAUCAUUAUUACAAAUUUACUUAAAGAACAGGACAAAAUAACAUUAAUUAAUUGGUAAAUAUAUUUGUUUGAAAGCAACCCCACAGCUUUUGAGAAUCUUUUUAAGAAACGUUCUCAUCUGAGUGGGGUUAAGCCUCCCAGCAUAACUAGUUGCAAUGGCUUCACCACAGGUUGACACUGUUGUUACAUGAGAGAAACAAAGAUAUGUGAACUAUGUAAUGAACCACACUUGUUUCUCGAUUUGUUUCUGGUUUCUAUGUCACUUAAAAUUUGUAAUUGCACAACAUUCUGUGGCUGAUUAUAGAGUAAAAGGAUUUCUAUAAAGACGAACUUUCUCAGGGCAUCAAAUACCAUGUUCUCUGCUUCUGUCACCUUUAAUCGCCAAUGCCGUCGCCAAUGCCGGUGACCAGAGACACUGUUGUUUAACUUAUGCCUGCGUUUUAUCAUCUGGGUAUGUCGUUUUUUUUCUGCUUACGUGAUUAUCUUUCUACUUCCCCAAAUAUAUACGUGAUUAUCCCAGAAAUUCCCCAUAUAUCUUUCUACUUUCGUAAAAUUAUUUUACGAAUUUUACGGAGAAAUUCGUAAAAUCCUGUAAAUAACAAAGGAUGAUUCUUAUUGGAAUUGUGUUAGAUUUCUACCAAAUUCUGAAAAGGUGACAGAUCGUGUAUGAUAAUGGUCAUUUGUGUUUAAAAUUCUAAUGUGUUUAAGUUUUGGGACCUAGUUCAUGUUCUUGGGUAGUUCAUCUUCCAUGGCUUUGUUUUUAUUAUUUUUGCUAUUAUUUAUUAAUUAUUAAAGCCAGUGUCUGAUGUUUUAAUGGUUCCUUGUCAAAUAAUUAACAGUGACCGAAUUUCUGUUCCCAACUUUUGUGCUUUUUUUAGUUGUUUGUAACUUUUGUUUCUUUCGUAAUCUGCUUCUUUGAUUCCUCGACAGAGGAAUCAUGUAAUCAUGUCACACCAAAAGAAAAAAACUGUAAGGUUUUUCUAAUGUCUGUGAUUACUCAUGUAGUGCAGGAAUAGUAAAGAAAAAGUUCUGCAAACAGAUUAAAGAUGGUUCCAAUUGGUCAUGCUUCUGAUGACAAGCAUAAAAUACGAGGCAUUGUGUUUUCUAACCCUGCUUCUGCACAAUGCUUUGUGAUUUUAAUAUACUGUGUUUCCUUUUAGUAUUGUUUAGUUUCUCUUCCACCAACCUUUCCCUGUGAUGAAAAUGUUGAUUUUUAUUUUUCUCUUGCAGACUCAGGAGAAAUCGUUUUGGAGGAGCAGAAAAGUGUGGUAACUCUAAGAGAACUCUUGGACGAAUGCAUUAGUGACACUGAGAAAUCUCAUCAACCACCUGAAUUAGCUGGUGGUAAUCCAAGCUCAACGACUGAGCUUCACCGCAGGAAGUUACUCAGACCGUGCAGAAUGAGAUCAAUUGAGCACCUACCAUCUUUUCCUCCAAGUUGUUUGUCAAAAAUAACAAAGCCUAAAAGCAAAAGCAUUGGAAAAAACACUAUUCGAUGUAAUCCACACAGUUCCAGAACUUUGGUGAAUUUCAGUCUUUCUGACCUGAGAAAUGCAACCAACAAUUUUAGCAAAGGUUUGUAGUUUAACCUUGUUUUCAGACCAAUUGUUUUUCUAGUAGUUUAGCUAGUAAUAAUGUAGUUACAUUAGGACGAGGUAACAGGACAUACCAAACUAGAUAGAAUUAUAUCUCGAAAAUUACAGCUUUUGUUUGGUUUAAUGUCUCAUAUAUCUACAAAUAAAUUCAUGUCAAAAUUAUGACUAUAAUGCAGAAACAAGUGUUUUAUGCUUCCAAAUUGACGUGAGUCUAUUAUAAUGUUGCUUCAAUGGAUACACUAGACAAAAAAGUUAGGAUAACACCUAUUGCAGAAAGAUGAUAGAACUCCUUUUAGGUGGUUUAGGAAUGUACAAAGAAGACUAAUAGAAGCCUACUCACACUGGGUAACCCAAUUGCUGGAGGCAGAGAAAAACUAAAGGCAAAUCCAUUAGGAAAUAAGUUGUUUACCUAUACAUGGUUUGUGUUAUAGGAUUGUGUAUAUUUGGAUUAAAGUUUGCUGACACUAGUCUGUAUAAAAAGUAUGUUGUGAACAUAAGUUUGAUAAAAAUGAGUUUACUGUAACAUAAGUUGUAUAAAUAUUUGUUGUGUAGUUGCUAUUAGGGACUAUGUUAUUGCUUGAUGAAAACUGCAUCAAUUUGACCAUGUAGUUUUUGUUCUUCCUUUUACUUAUAGAGAAUAUAAUUGGAAGAGGUGGUUAUGCUUAUGUUUACAAGGGCAGACUGCAAAAUGGGCAACUAAUAGCAGUUAAGCAACUGAGUAGAGGGACUACAGAAGACAGGAUAUCAGUUCUUCUAUCUGAGCUAGGAAUUCUUUCUCAUGUUGACCACCCCAAUACUGCCAUGCUUAUUGGAUUUGGAGUUGAAGGGGGAAUGUACCUUGUGUUUCAAUUAUCUCCUCUGGGAAAUUUAGGAUCUCUUCUUCAUGGUGUGUACUUGAUUCUAAUAAUUGUACUGUUUUCCCAUGUGAAAGCUUUCUUCUUUUUUUACCACAUUACAAGUGUAAAGUAUUUGUCAAUGGGAUAUAUCUGUUGGAGAGUAUGAUGAGCCAUCUUUAAUGAAAUCUCUCUGUACAAACACUUUUUUUUUUUAUUCAGAAGAGUCAAAUUCAAGAUCUUGCUUCAAAAAGUUUUCUGUUUGAAUGUACUUACUGAUUACUUUUUACUUUUCAUGAAACAUUCAGGUCCUAAUAAAAAUACCUUAGAUUGGAGCAAAAGGUAUAAAAUCAUUUUGGGGAUAGCAGAUGGCCUCUUCUAUCUUCAUGAGAUUUGUCAAAGGCGAAUCAUUCAUAGAGAUCUUAAAUCAGAUAACAUUCUGCUCACUGAGAAUUUUGAGCCGCAGGUAUUUAUCAGUGAUUAUAAAGAAUUAAUAAAAGAAGGCAUUGUUAACCUUUGCUGGUGAAACUUGGGACAUUCUUCUGCAUUUUUUCUCAUUUUCUGAUACACAUGAGUAGUUAUCACUAGGAUCAUUCCCUGCUUAAAAGUAAUAUAUAAUGAUACUUCCUUUGGUUUAGCUAGAAAUGUGUGCAACUAAUGCAUGACACAUUGGAUGGCAAUGCUUUGGUCUGUGGACAAUCCUCUCACAGAGAAAAAUCAAACUAGCUAUACUUUAUGAUCCUUAGCAUCUACCUCCAGUUUAGAAUUUUGAAAAUAAAGCAUAUUCUCUGAAAAUCUUCAACCUUUGCCAAGAGAUCAUUAUGUAAAUUAAGCCAUCACAGCCUAAUUGUUCUCUUUCAUGCCAUGCUAUUACAUAUUCUGCUGGUGAAAUAAUUAGAAGCAGCAGCAGAAGCACACCUUUGCUUCUGGAUCCUCUACCAGUACUCUACUAGUGUACAAGUUCGAGGCUUAUAUUUCAUCUGAUCUAUCACUCUGACUAACUGAGAAUUUCUCCAGAUUUGUGAUUUUGGGCUCUCAAAAUGGCUACCAGAAUCCUGCACUCAUCAUAUUGUACCAAAAUUUGAAGGCACAGUUGGGUAAGCAAAUACAUACAUACAUUAAACUUCUAAACCUAUAUUUUGAGAAUUAACUAUCAUUCUCAUGACUUAACACUUCCCCCUCGUCAUUCAAUUGACAGGUAUUUUGCUCCUGAGUAUGUGAUGCAUGGCAUAGUAAACGAAAAAACUGAUAUUUAUUCCUUUGGGGUCUUACUUUUGGAGAUUAUAACAGGGCGUCGUGCUUUGGAUCAUUUGAAAGAAAGUAUUAUGCUAUGGGUAAGUCAUUCUCCCAAUUUUGGCUGUCAUAUAUUAUCUAAGUUUACAAGCUCAGAGGCCUCAGCACAUUGUGAUUUCUUGUGUUACAGGCAAAGCCUUUAUUGGAAGCUAAUAAUAUCAAGGACCUUGUUGAUCCUUCUCUGGGUGAUGAUUAUGACUGGGAACAAAUGGAACGUGUAGUUUUGACUGCAUCUCUGUGUGUUGAGCAGUUUCCUAUCUUACGCCCCAGCAUGAGUCAGGUAAGUAUGCAACCAAGAAAGUUGCAGUACUGUAAUCUUAGUGAUAAUUGGUCACUGUAACUGUGACUAUAUAUAUAUAUAUAUAUAUAUAUAUAUAUAUCAGUUAGCUUUGGUUUAAGAGAAGAUUGAUCAUAUUUUCUCUGUUUGAUGCAGAUUGCAAUACUGCUAAGAGGUGAUGACUAUGUCAUGGAACAUACUGAGAGGAGUAACAAGAUGCACAAGAAUACAACUCAAGGAGCUAUCUAAGUUUUGUCAGUUGGCAUAAUAAGGUUGCCUUGGAUUCUUGAGAACUAAGGACAUCAUAUUAAAAACAUUUGAUUGUUGAUUGUGUUACUCUGUCGGAUUUGUAUUCUCUGCUGAGUCUUCAAAAUAUUGAUUUUGAUGUUCUAAAAUAUAUUAAAAACUUUUUUGAUAUAUAUCAUCAAGUGUAUUUUGAAAACUCAGCAGAUGGAUCAUCCUAAAAUUCUGGCAAAAAAUUUGGACUCAAAUACACUAUUGAACUUUUUUACUUAUAGGAAGAAAGGAGGGAUAUAAGAACUUACAUUCAGUUCUUUGUUAUUAUUAUGAAAAUUGACUAUUAUGAGAAAUCAUCCUUAAAUGUAGAAUUAUUUUUGUCCAUUCUCUUUGCAUCCAAUUUAGGACAAUAUGUUAACUUUAGAUUUUUUUUAACAAAAUUUUAACAUAAUAUACAUGUCAUUUAUUGAGUUUAGAAUAUUUUUUUAUUGGUUUAGAUUACGUUAAGAUAAUAACAAAUAAAUAAUGAAUUAGUGAAAAAAUGACAUGUAUGUUAUCAAAAUAUUAUGGGAAAAUCUGUUAAAUAAUCUGAUUUUUCCAUAUCUCGUACAAUUUUGGUCUCAAUGACUGUACUCAUAAAUAUAAAAUGUUCAAAUAUAUCAACAGAAGUAUCUCAUAUCUCAUACAAUUUUAUUUCAAAAUUCAAACAUCACACUCAAGUUUUUUAAUGCUAUCUUUGUUAAACAUCUGAAUUCUUUCUUACCUUUUAAAAAAUUUCACAUAAUGUUUUAUUCAUUUCUUGUAAUUAUGUACAUGUUAAUUCCAGAAUAAUUAAAUCGCCAUAAUUCUUAGUUCAAAUGAUCUUGUUCUAACUCCAAAACUUGUUUUUCACUUGAAAGUAUUUUAAAUAACAUUUUCAAUUAUUUUGUAUAUUUAAAAGUCAUGUUUAGAAAUGAUAACAGAUCGGGUCGGAUAUAGAUAGUGUCUAUUUCUAAUCUAACUUGUUGGAUAAAACUAUAUCCAUUAUCUGAUUCACUAUCUGUUAGAUAUUUGCAUAAAAAAAAUUCGUGAAUUUUUUUAACUUGCAAAUACUUGUUGAAUAUCCUUUUUCAAACUACGAAUGUUUUAAAAAAAAUAUUUUAUAAAUUUUUAAAUGAAAUCCAAAUUAAAUUGUAAAAAAAAGUAUGCUUAACAUUUAAAAAUAAAAUAAAAAAGACUAUAUGUCAAAUAUUCAGUGGAAGAGAUUCAAUAGUAAUAAACAACCUCUUAUCACUCUAUAUAACAGAUAAAAUAAGAUGUUUUCUCAUUUUAUCAAACACAUGUAUUGCUCAAAGAAACAUGUAGGUUAGCUUAGUGCAUGACCAGUCAAUCAAAGAAGUCAGAAUAAAAUGUAAACUGAUCGUCCUUCUCAUAAAGAGUAAUAAACUAUCCAUAAUAAACAGAUUAAGCAUUAAUUAGCUUUUUCAGCCCAGAAAAUAUAUAUCUCCUUCAAAUUAAAUAAGAUCUACCACUUAGCAUUUUCCUUAUGAUCAUAACCAACUUAAUGAUAAAAAUAUCUUUGCUUAAAAUAUAAAAUCCGAUAAAUAUAUUUUUAAUACUUAUAUUUGGAUGCAGAGUUAAAUUUCAUGUUUGUUCCAAACUUAAAUAGAUUUCGGUUUCUAAAUUUUAAAAUAAAUGGAGAUAAUAUUUUUUAUUCGUCAAUGUUAACUUUCUUUUACAUUUUAAAUAAUGAUAUAAACUGACAUUUAAACUGAAAUAUAUUAAAUAGUAUAAACAAUUUAAAUAUAACUUAAAAUGUAGCUUAACAUGUCAAAAAGUUUCACAAUUAUAAAUAUUAUAUUUAUUCAGUUUUAAAUUUAAAGAUUAAACCGUUUAAAGUUUGAAAUAUGAAGAAAUCUAAAUUUAAAUUUUUAUAACUAAAGACUUAUUUAAGUAAUACACCAAAACACGAAAACAAGAUUUGAAUAUUUCUCUACUAAUAAUAUCCGAAAUAAGAGAGAUAACAAAGAAAUGUUAUACAUUAAGCUUUCUUUAAUUUCUUAGUUACUUUUGCAAUGGGUUAGCUCACAAGGCUAAAGUUGAGUAUUAUACCGAGUUAUUUUAUCUAGUGGGUAAUUUGUAGACUACCUUGAUUAGCCUUGAGUUUAGCUAAAUAAGUCGAGUUUAAGUGGGUUUUUUUAACAACUAAAAUAUGUUAUCAAAAAUUAUUUAAGAAUAUAAAUUUAUUCAGUAAUUAUUGAAAAUUAUAACACCAAAAAAGUAAUUAUCCACUGUACUAUAAAACUCUCAACAAAGAGUCUGUAUAAUUCAAAGUUAUACAACUUCAAUAUAUACAGGAUAAUGAUAUUUAGAUUAUAUUUUUUUGACAAUAUUUGAACAUUAUCUACGUGUCAUGAUUAGUCUAUGAUGGUGUUUAUGAUUAUUAUUAUUGAUUGUGGAAUAAUUUUGAACCAAUCACAAAAUGACACGUAGAUGAUGUUCAAAUAUUAUAAAAAGAAAUGUUGUCUAAGUAUCAUUUAUCUAUACACAAAAUAUAUAACAUACAAAUAUUUAUAAGAAUUAAAAUGUCCUACUUUGCUCCUGCCCACUCAUAGUAACUCAUAGUAAGUUAUUGCUCUGUUUGCACUUUGUAGUUCUAGUCAAUUUCAAUAAUAGAAAACCUUAAUCUUAAAGAAAAAAGAAUGACCAAUGACAGUAGGAUCAAUGUUUCUUCAUCGCUUUACUUUUGGUCAUGUGAAAUGACUUAUUAUGGAGCCAAUGUAACGUGAAUUCAAAUUUGUGAUUAUCAUACUUUUUGCUAAUGAUUUUAUAUUGGAGAUAUAGCACAUACAGAUAUUAGAGUAUAUAUAAAUACAGUAAAAUCUCAUACAAUAAAAUUAUUUUUAGAAAAUUGAAGUAGAUUUAAAGAAUGCCAGUUCUAAAAUAAAUAUAAAAAGUCAAACAUUUUUUAUAUUUUUUAUUCUUAUACAGAUUCAAAAAUUAAUAUAAUUUUUUUAAUUAAUAUAAACAAAGUUUUUCUAUCAUAGUAUUACUUAAAAUUUAUGUUUAAGAUUAAUAUGUUUUUGGUACUAAGAAAAAUAUGUAUAGGAGAUUCCUUAUUAAAGAUAGACGAUAAGCUGGUUUUAGAUAGGGUAAUGAUACAUAGACAAUAUUUUUUGACAAUUUUUAAACAUCAUUAUACAUGUCAUUAUGUGAUUGGUCUAAAUGACACAAUAACAUUACCAUAGACGAAUCACACAAUGACACGUCUAAUGAUGUUCAAAUAUUGUGAAAAAAAUGUUAUCUAUAUAUCAUUAUCCUUUUAGAUAUUGAUUGAGAUACUAUGUUGUUUGUUUUGUUGGGAUGUUCCCGUGGCAAUGUACAGUAGUAAUGGGUGGAAAUGUGUGGUUCGACAGUUGUUGUUGUCGCAAUGUGAUGGAUUGACAUGAAGAACAUGAGGUUGAUAGGAAGUUCAAGACAAAGAGUUGUCCUUUUGGAAGUGUCAAAAAUCUCUAAUUAUUACUUACAUGUUGUACAUCAAUCAUUCCACUUUUGCUACAUCCAAAUCUAACCAAUAAUGGUACUAACCCUCAUCUGACAUAAGUAAUGAAAAUUAUUUACCUAUAUUUUCAAUGUUUUUCCAAAUGACACUUUGAAAUUUUUUUAGUAUAUUAAUAUGAUCAUCUGAAUGACCAAUGAUCAAUCCUUACUUCAGUUGUUGUCAAUGAGUUAUUAGUGAUAUCAGUUUUUGGAAUUAUGAGUUAACAUAAUUAAUUUUAAUAUCGAUUAAUUUAGAAAUAAAGUGUGAUUAUUUAUUAUUGGAUUAUAAUUAAAUUAAUUAAAAAUUCGCUUUCAAACUUAUAAAUAAAAUAAAGAGAUAAUCUUUAUUUAUUACAUCAUCACUUUAACUCACAAUAUUAAACUAACUUUGAUAUUAAAAAGUUUUUAUAAAAAUCUUUUGAACGAUUUGGACAAAUAGUUAGAAUAGUCUUCAAACUUCAAACCACUGAAUUGUUAAUUUCAAUCCUAAAAACAUUAACUAAUUUAAAUUUAUUGCAAUGAAGAUAAUCGAAAGAAUAUUUUGUUUAAAUAUUGAAAUGUACUUCUAAGAUUUUAUCAUAAAUAUUUUUAUUAACUUUAUCCGUAUUUUAAUUUAAACAUGAGUAAAGAAUAAAUGAAACUUAAAUUUAACUCGAUUUAAGAAGGAUUUAAAAUCUCAAUAAUAUAAAAUCACUUUCAUGAAUGCUAAUAUCAAUUUCACUCUGAUAACAUCACGUAUGGUAAACAUACAAUAAACUUAGUAUUCUAAAAUUCAAAUUAUUCUUUUGUUCUCAAUUAAAUCAAGAUUAAUAUCUUCUGAUGUUCUAAAAUAUUUUUAAUUAUAAUAUUUUUAAAUAAAUAUAAUUUUUAUAGUUAUGUUGUUUUUAAAAAAUGGGUGGAUCACAUCCAUAGACAACAUAUUUUCCAUGACUUAAAGGUAUCUUUUGCAAUUUUUAUUUUCAUGAUUUUAUAGAACUUGUCUGGGUUUAUAGAACCCGUAUGAGUUUAUAGAACUCUUCUGGGUUUUUAGAACCCGUAUGGGUUUAUAGAACCCGUCUGGGUUAAAAAAACAACUAUCUUUUAUUUUAUUUUUUAUUUUAAAAAAUAACUACCUUUUAAAAAAAUAUAAUAAAAACUAAUAACUUUCCUCGAUCAAUCAGAACUUUUCAUAACUUUUUAUUUUUUUUAAUUUAAAUUAAAUUUUAAAAUUAUUAAAAUAUCUUGGAUUUAAAAUUAGUUUUUUUUUUAACAGAGACAUUUUUGUAACCUAAAACUUGAUAAAAUGUACCAACUAAAAAAUCACUUUACAUAAAUUAGCAAACCCAUAUAUAUAUAUAUAUAUAUAUAUAUAUAUAUAUAUAUAUNAUAUAUAUAUAUAUAUAUAUAUAUAUAUAUAUAUAUAUAUUAAUAUGAGUAAAUGGAGACCGUACAGCUUUGUAAGGUCGCAUGUUCUACUGCUUCUGUUUAGCAGUCAGCGUGCAGAUCUUUGCUGUUAUCUUGUUAUUAUCGACACACUCAUUUAUAUAUAUCUAUUUAUAUUUAUAUUUAUAUUUUUAUAUAUUGUGAAUUCCUAUCAAUUCAAUGUUACAUUUUUUGUAUUUUCUAUAAAAUACUACAUUUUUUUGCCGUUUGUUCUAUUAAAUAUUACAAUGUAUUAUCAGAAAAGUUGAAAAGUCCUUAAUAACUGAAGUAAAUUUAAUAUAAUGAUAACAAUAUUUAGAAACAAAAUUAAUUAUUCUCAGUAGUUUAUGUAAUUAUGGUAAUAGUUUCUUACAUUAAAAAUAUGAUAAGAUAAUGCUUUUUUAAUUGAUUAGAAAUUUCUAAUAACAAGUGAUAUAUAUAAUAGUAUAAUAUGUGAAUGUGAAUGAGUGAUGGGGCUCUUACAGACAGCUCGUGCUUAUUAAGGCACGCCUCAACAUGGCAACGUUGUCCAUUGUUUACUCUCUCACCUCAUGUCAAUUUCAUAAAAUAUUUAUUCACUAUAAUUUAUUAUAACAUUUUUAGAUACAAAGAUCAUGUUUCACUUUACAUAGUUCGUUUCCUAGAAUGAAUAAAAUCAUUUGGAAUGACAAAUUUAAAAAAAUAAAAAAUAAAAACUAUUAAAUAAAUGAAUCUCAUCAUAAGUAAUUAAUUAGAUUGGUAAGAAUUUGACUAAUAAGAAUUAGAAUCAACUCAAUUAGUUUAAUGAUAAUUUCAUAAAUUUAAUGGAUUUAUUUACUAAAUUUGAUCAUAUAUAUAUAUAUAUAUAUAUAUAUAUAUAUAUAUAUAUAUAUAUAUAUAUAUAUAUAUAUAUAUAUAUAUAUAUAUAUAUAAAGUAUUCGUACGUAAUCUAAGACUCGAAAUAUGUUAGAUAUCUAAUAAACUUUUUAUCACAUGAUAUCAUAUUAUAUAAUUGAUUAAAAGAGAAUUGGAGGGUUUAUUUGAUGAAUUUUUCAUGUUUUUAUGGUUUGUAGGAACAUAUAUAUAAUUUAUUUUGUUGGAAUUAUUCUUAGAUUCUUAGACUUGUUUAAUAUCUUAAUAGGUAAGAAAAGCUAACUAUCCAAUUUUAAUAUUGUUGAUCUUUAAUAAUAUUGUUUAUUUUGGUUUAAAAUUGGUUAAUUUACUAUAUAUAUAUAUAUAUAUUGUUGGUUUUGUGUUGAGAAAUCUUUUGUGUAAAUUUCCUAUUAAGUUAAAAUCUAUUUUGAAUGUGCAAGAUUAUGGUAGAACACUGAGUGAUGCUAGUAUGAUAUUGAAACUAACUUGAUUGUAUAAGUAUGGAAAAAAUUAUGCCUCAAAUCACUAAAUGUCAAUUUUCAUUAUUGAGCGAUUAUUUAUGUGAAUAGUCUGACUAAGUAAUAUUAAUAGUGAAUAUAUUAAAAGUAUUUUAUAAGAUAUAAAAUAAUAUGAUAAUAAAUUGUUAUAUCAUAUUAUAUUGACAGUGAAUAUAUAUGGAAGAUAUUUCAUAAUAUUUUAAAGAUAUAAAGAUAUAAGAGACUCUCAUAAUAUAUUAUUACAUCAUAAAUAUUGACAGUAAAUAUUUUGAAAUUAUUUCAUAAUAUCUUGUUGUAAAACAUACUAUCUAAGAAUAAACUACCCAUUAAAAAUUUAAUUAAUAAACCGUGUUAAAUUAAUAAAUUGAUAUAAUCUAUGUCAGACCUUAACCUAUCCUAAGUUAGAUUUUAGUUUAUUAUAAUCUAAUUAUAAAUUAUUAGUCAACGUUGGACACCUUACAUAAAUAAACAAUAAAUGCUUAAAUUAAAUUCUUAUUUAAUUAUCUUAAAUUAAACUUAAUUUAGUUUGAAAUUACUAAAAUUGAAUAUUUUAAGUAAGUUUUUAUUAUUUUUUUUAUCUAGUGUUGAAAUUUUUUUCUACUUUUUGAUUAAAUUUUAACUAUUUAAUUUUUUUAUAGUGUAUAAUGUGAUUUUUAUUUUAUUUAUUUAACUUUAUGUGUUACAAAAUAUAAAAUUUUGUAAUUAUAUUAUGCUAUUAUAACUAAUAUAAACUACAAGUGAUUUUUAUUGAUUUAAUUAAAAAUAUAUUUGAUAUAGAUUAAGACAUAGACUACAAAUUAAUAUAUAUAUAUAUAUAUAUAUAUAUAUAUAUAUAUAUAUAUAUAUAUAUAUAUAUAUAUAAAUGCAAUGAGGUAAAAUGUUUAUAUUUUUAGAUUUUACCUCUGUGUUAUUUAUAUUUUCGAUGCUAGAAAUAAUAUAAUUACAUUUAAAUUAAAAUUAUUAAUCAUUUUUAUCAUGUUAAAUUCUUGAAUUUAAAAUUGAAAUGCUAAAACUAACUUCUAUUAAUGAAGAUUAGAAUACUUGAUAGUAGAUUCAAAAAAUAAUGAAUUGAUCAAAUUAAAUAAAUUUAAAAUAAAAUUUUGACAAUAUUUAUUACCAGUCUCACUUUCUAGAACCGUAAGAAAACUGGAAUGAUAAAAGUUAUAAAAUUAGCUUAAUGGUAGGAACUAUUUAAAAAAAAAAAGUUGUUUAUUCAUUCGAAAACUAAAAUACAUAAUAAAGAAAAGUUAUAAUUAAUAUAACCAUUUUACCAAAAUUAGAAUAUAUAAUAAAUAAUGUGUUAAUUAACACAAUCAUUUUAGCUCAAAGAAAAUAUUUCUUUCUUUUAAUAAUUUUAUAUUCACAUUUUAAGUUUCUGUUACAAUAAUAAAUCUUAAAUUAUAAUGAGCAAUCUUACGAAAACAUUCUAUGUUAAACACUAUAAAUAUUUUAUUAUAAAACUCAAAUUAAUUACCAUGAUAAUUACUAGAUAUUUUAUUAUAAAAGUCAAAUUGUACACACAUGUUUAUUGGCAAAACAAAAACUACUAAAUUAUAUAAACUAGGUAGUAGAAGGAAGACAACAUAAUUGCUUAAGAUCUUGUAAGUUUAAGUUUGAAAGAAGAAGAACAACAACAAUGUAUGAUUUGUCUCAGCUUGAGAGACAAUUGGCUGAAUUCACUUCUUCCCUGUUUGAUGAGGUAAGUAUAUCAUUCGAUGAGCAAUUUGCAUUAAGAGAAGCAGAAAAUAAAGUUUCACAUCUCAUAAGCUAUGUUGUGUUACUGCUGCAUUUGUUUCCUUGAAAAGGGUUUCUUAGAUGAUCAGUUUAAUCAGCUUCAGCAACUUCAAGAUGAAAGCAACCCAGAGUUUGUGGUUGAAGUGGUGAAUCUUUUCUUUGAGGAUGCAGAAAGGCUUCUCAAUGAACUUGCAAAGACACUGUAAGGGCUCACCAAUUUCUUCCUUGUUAUUCAGAUCAUUGUAAAAAGUGCCUUAGGGAAUCUCUUUCUGAAUGAAUGUUGAUUCCUAUCCCAAACAGAGCACAGGAUAACAUUGAUUUCAAAAGGGUGGAUGCUCAUGUUCACCAAUUGAAAGGUAGCAGCUCCAGGUGAUAAUACUUCUUUACCUCUAUAGUUUCUCCAUUUCUUAAAACUCAACAGUAAAAAAGUGACAUUUUUUAUGCACUUAAGUACUUUUCGCAUUACUCUUCUCUCAUGAUUGAAAUUUCACUUUCGCAAUUUACAUGUAUUUGGUGGAAAUCUUACACGAAAUAAAGAUAAAGUAAAUCUAUUAUGUUUAAGUAACGACUAUUGGAUACAAACAAAGUCUCACAUUGAAUAAAAUAAGAGAUGAAUAUAGAUUUAUAUACAUAUAAGAUGAUAAGAGACAUUUUAGAGUGGUAAUAAAAUCAAGGUUUAAACCCUUUUUUGGUCCCUAAGUUAACUUCUGAUGUUCAGUUUAGUCCUCGCUUUUAAAAAUGUCAACCUUUAUUAUGAUAUGAAAAAUGUAUCAAAUCAGUCUUAUCCAUUAACAAAUCACAAGUUCAUUAAGUGAUUUGUUGUUCAUAACACCUUCCGUUAACAAAUCACAAAAUAUUGGAUACCUAGGUAUGAAAACUUGUGAUUUAUUGUUCAUUAAGUGCUGUCAUGAGGACUGAUUUGAUACAUUUUUCAUAUCAUAGGGACUAAAGGUUGACAUUUUUAAAAACGGGGACUAAACUGAACAUCAGAACUUAACUUAGGAAACAAAAAAAGGUUUAAACCUAAAAUCAAAUAAGGUGAAAGAAUAAAAUAAGAGAUGAAGAUGAGUUUAUAUAUACAUAAGAUACCUAUAAGUGGUACCAAAGCAAACAAUAUCUUACCAGUAUGGAGAUCUAUAUAUCUGUUGAACUUCCCUACAAGGACAUAUUUUAUUUUGCAAAUCAAUUUUGUAAGAUUGACUUAGAUUUAAAAUAUACUUAUUAAGAUGUUAUUAGAAUCUCUUAAAUUUAUCUUCACGAGUUUUGUUGCGCUUAAUUUAAAAUAUAGCAAAAUUGUAUUUACUUUUCAUCACUGUGUUAUCAUAAAAUAUACUUUCCUGAGGAUUAGACACAGAAGUUGCACACAAAAAAAAUGAGUGUUUUGAUAAGGUUAUUGGAUUGUUUGGAAACACAGCAUUGGUGCACAGAGAGUUCAGAAGGUCUGCAUUGCCUUCAGAGACUACUGUGAGGAACAAAAUGUUGAAGGGUAAGGUCUGAAUUAUUAACCAUCAAAGUGUUUCUAUAUACUAUGCAUAUAAGUCUUCUGUAAGAUUUGACAAUUUGAUUUAUUCAGAGUAGAUUAACUGAUACAUCUUGAGUUUAGCAGAUGACAGUUUUCUGUUUUAAUAUUUAGAGUAAUCUUUCUUGAAAUAAAAGAGGUCUAUUUAUCUUACCAAAUCUCUAUAAACAUCAUUGUAAAUUUAUUUACUAAUAAACCUUGGACAUGCUAAAUAGAAAAUACACGUUGGUUUUCAGGUGUCUCAAAAUCUUACAGGAAAUAAAACAGGAAUGUUCCUUGGUAAUAAGCAAGUUUGAAACUCUGUUUAAGGUAAGGGAAUGGAGGCAUGUAGUAAUUUUGCAUUGUGCCAUAUUUAUAUAAGUGCUUUUACAUACCAACUGAAUAGAACAAUUAAACCCUAAUAAAAGAUGUAAAAAAAAAAAAAAAAAACUGUUUAUGUCUCUGCUAAAGUUGUUUUAUUUUUACUUAUGUGAUUGUAGAUGGAGCAGCAGGUUUUUGCCUACAGGAGACUUGGUUAAUGGGUGGUGAUUGAUAAGGGAUACGGAAACAAUUUUUUUUGACAACGCAUACGUGACAGUUUGUGAUUGGUCUAUUUUAAAUAUUUUUUUAGAAUAAAUUCAAACAGAUCAAUAAAAUAGUGACACGUAUCCUGUUGUAAAAAAAAAUUGUUAAAAUAUAAUUUUCCUUUGCAAUAACCAUAAAAGUAGCAUGUUUCAUCAACAUUCUGUUGUAAUUUUAUCUUUUUCACUUUCUCCACUAUCUGUAAUAUUAAAUUAUCCUUUCUUUUUCUUUAUCUGCAACGUAAGAUGACACAAUAUGUUUCAUGUUGCAUUGCUUAACUCACUCUUUGUGGACAUCCAAAAAUUGUAUGGAACUUAUUUUAAGUAAAAAUAACGCAACACUUUAACAAAAUGCAUAUCUAAAUUUUAGUUAAUUAACGCUAAGUUUGGCCCCGAUAAGAAUUAGAAAAAUGAUAUUUGGAUAUAGAUAAUUUUUUAUAUUUAUUUAAUAUUAUUUUUCUAUAGAAAUAAAAGAAAAUAAUAUUUUUUAUGAUUAUUUUAUUCUUGUCACGAGUGUUGAAUGAAUAUAAAUAUUAUUAUUGUGUCAUUUUUCUAUGAAAGAAUUAAAUUGACUUCUUUUACCAUUACUUAUUCAUGUCCUAUGCUUUCUCUAAUAUAGUUGAAUUAAUUUACACCAUAACCAGAAUAGGGAACAUUCCUCCCCUCUUUCUUUGAUUCAAAAUGUCUAUAUUUGAAGUAGUCAUCUAAAUUUUUAAACUAAUUUAUUAAUAAAGGUUAAUCUAAUUUUAUAAAAAUAUUUGCAAGAAAAAAAUGGUUAAAUUUUUAAGUAUGAUUGGACAUAUUAUGAUGUCCAAAACUAUGAUGUCAAGGUAUCUGUCAUAAUAGAUCAUUUUUACUCGUCAUGAAAAGCAAUUUUUCUACUAGUGAGUGAUUUGUUUUUCUAUAUAAUAUCCCAAUAAUAUAGUAUUAAAUUAUAACAGAACUAUCACAUAAUUAAUAAAAUAGAAUAGUCGACAAAAUAACAAGUAAAGUCUCAGCAUAGUUGUACAAAACAUAACUAAAAAAUUUAAUUUUAUAUACAAACCAACUAGAACAAAACUAUAUAUAUAUAUAUAUAUAUAUAUAUAUAUAUAUAUAUAUAUAUAUAUAUAUAUAUAUAUAUAUAUAUAUAUAUAUGAUUAGUCUAAAGAAGACUAAACAUCUAACCUUCAUCCAUCCAAUGCUUGCUCCACAAUACCUUAACCACAAUGCACAUGAACAUACACAACAAUACAAAUAAGAUGGUAAGCUAGUCUAAACAAAUUUAUCCUAAAAUAAUUAAUAAAUCAACACAAAUUACAACUCCAAGCUAAAUAACCACACAAGUUAUACAUUUAAUCAAUAUAAACUUGAUUCAUCUGGAUAUAGUAAGAAUAUCGAACUAUGGUAGUUUAUGCACUUGUAGUGCUAAUACUAUUAGCACAACCCAAAUUAUCAUAUAAGGUUAGUCAUUUACAAAUGUCUUUGACCAAGGUAAAACUCCUAGACAAGAACCACCUGCUACUCUCAUCACAUGUCUCACUCUUCUUUACUUAAGAAUAGAUUAUUAUUAGAGUGUCAUGAUAAACUUCAAUACUUAGUUUCAUACAUUCAUAUACUCAAUACUUGAUAAAACAUUAAGAAAUUUCUCCUUGAAACUCUUUUCCACAAUCUUUCAUUCACAUAAGUAAACUCGUAUAAACACAGUAGGCAAUCACAUGAAAACUAUUAACAUCCGUCAGAGUAUAAAAAACAAUGUAAUAAAACAAAGACCUGAAAAAGACACUCAACGCCAGAAAGGGACGCAUAGGCGCUAGAGUCCAUUGAAAAGGGGUGCCUAGGGGACACUCAACGCUAGAGAUCUCGAUAAAAAGGACGCUUAAGGGGCGCUCAACGCCAACCCAAUUCAAUUACUCUAAGUUACCUAAAUUCAAACCUACACCUUUUAAUACCAAAUUUUAUAAACUAACAACAUGAAAAAGUCAUAAUAGACCCAAUAACACACCCUAAGACUUCAGUUUCCUCACAACCUCUCUGCUUUCAAUUUCAACUAGUUAAAAAAUAAAAUAAAGAAAAUAUAUCUAGCAGUACUAAAAUGGGUAAGGAAACUCAACCUAUCAAGCAAUUAGCACUUCCACAAUAGAUUCACUUAUUUCAAUAUCUAGACAAGUCCUAGUUGACCUAAUAAACAACCUUAAACUUCCGAUUUUCCUUUCUAACCCUUAUAUAAAAAAGGUUUAAACCUCUUUUUGGUCCUUAAGUUAUGAACGAAUGUUCAGUUUAGUCCCCACUUUUAAAAUGUAAACCUUUGGUUCCUAAGUUAUAAAAAAUGUAUCAAAUGAUUCAUUUUUUGAUGUUCAUGGUCAAAGUACAAAGAGCAAUCUAAAGUGCUGUUAUUAUUAAGAAACAAAUCAGAGCAAUUUAAAGAUGUAGCAGUUGUUAAGAAACAACCAAAAACAGUAUUUCAAGUCAAAAAAAGACUCAUUUGAUACAAUUUUUAUAACUUAGGGACCAAAAAGAGGUUUAAACCUAUAAAAAAAACUCACAUGUCAAAUCCCAUAACUUGAACUUAAAACUUUCUAAAACCACCACAUCGACUCAUACCUAUUUCCUUAUCAUAUUUUUAUCGACUCAAUAUACUAACAUGUAUCAAAUAACAUACAAUUAGACCUCCAACAUCAAAUUUCUCAAUCUAAACUUUGCCUCACCAACUUACCUAUAAAAACCUACCCCAAAAACCUCUGUCUUUCAUAACUCAACAUUCCUUAAACCUUGCUACCAAUUUCAGACAUCGGAACAACAGUAUACACACAAUUCAUGAAAACAAUAACAUCCAAAUUCCAUCACAUCAAAAUUCAAUCAUCAAAUAACCAACUACCCAUAUUUAAAUGACCUAAAACUAGCAUAAUUAUUGAAAUUGUAACUCAAUCGUUUUAACAUAAAUACAAGCACCAAACUUACACCAUAAGCAUAAUUUUAAGUUAGACUUCUAGCUUCUCUUACCUUACACUGAAGCUAUAGAGCUCUAAAAACUAAUACCCUUACUUUUGACUAAGGAAAUCCUAGAAACGCUUACAAACAGUAAAAUUGAAAACAAAGGAAGUCCUUAAAACCAUGGAGCAAUAAGGAAUAAGAAAAAAAACUGAAUGACACAUACCUCGCUCCUAAACCAAAGAUUUUAGAAGAGAUAAAGAAGGAAAAAAGGAGUAGAAACUUAUUUAUUCUAUAGAAAAAAUUGAUCGGAUAAAAACGUAGACCUUGCGGUUAUUGUCGUUUAAAAACCUUCAUCAAACAGAUAAUCGAAAAGUUAGAAAUAGAAAAAAGUGAGAGAACCUAUAAACAAAAUUUCAGAGAUAAAACGAGUACUUUAGAUAAUAAUAUAAAUUUAAGAAAUUUUAUUUAUAUUAUUAAAUUAUUUUUAAAAAAAUAUUUAAUUUCAUUAUUUUAAAAUAUCUAUCUAGUACUCUAUUUUAUAUAUUCUUAAAAUAUUUAUGAUUAACAUUAUUAAAACCAUAUGAUUGAAAUAUUAUGCCGUUAGAAUUGUGAGUAAUAAUUGUUAGGACACUCUCAAGAAACAAUGUAUAAAAAAAAACAAUACAAUUCAUGAAGUAACUUCUAGGUGAAAAUGUUCUCUUUUAAAACCCGUAAAAACACAAUCAAGGAUAGGUGAACAUAAAUAUAAGGAAAUUAGGGAGUUUGGAUUAUAUAUUAUUUUACUAAUAAUUUAUCUCUUUUAGUGUAGAAGUGUUAUUUUUUACUUAAUUAAUAAUUUGUUCUUUUAUUUAGUCAUUUAAUUUGUUUCCCUCUUUUUUUUAAUUGAGUUUUUUUUUUUAAACAAAAUUUAUUGUUUAAUAGUAUUAAAUAUUAAAAUCUAAAUUUGUCAAAAUAUGAGUUAUUUCUAAUUUUAUAAUUCUUUAAUCAGGAAAAUAAUUUAACAUAUUAAAAUAUUUAUAUCUGAUAUUUUUAAAAUAAUAUUAACGUUAAUUCAAAAAAAUAAAAUCAAAUAUUUUUAUAAAAUCAGAAACUUAAUUAAGUGUUUUUAUAAAAAUCAGAACUUAAUUCAGUCAAAAAAAGAAACUUAAUUAGUGUUUUGUUUUUUCAAAGUACUAAUUUCUAUUUUGGUAGUAUUUUUUAUUCAUGUAUAUCUUAUCAAAUUUAUUAAUUUUGUUUCGAGAACAGAUAUUUUGACACGCAUGUUAACAAGAUAUUAAUUUGACAUCAAUUUUAAUAAUAUAAUAAUAUUUAUUAUGAUUUUAAAUUAAAAAAUAAUAUAAUUAUAAUUAUAAUAUUAUUAUUUGAAUGUGUCGUAUGAAUCUAUUUUAUCUUUUUUCUAAAUCAUAAAAUCAGCACCCUUUUGUUUUAGGUAAAUCAAUAAAAAUAAAUAAAGUUUAAAUUUUAUCAAAGGUAAAUUAGAGUUAGUUGUUCCAUCUAAUCAUUCAAUGUUGAUAAGACAUUUUUUUUAUUUAACCAAUUUUAAUAACUCUAGAUUAAAUAUAUAAAUUAUUUAAUUAAUUAGAAAGAGGAAAUUGUUUUUAAACCAGUCACUGGUAUUAUUCUCAUUUUUUCCAUCUCACUUACAGAUGAUUGUCUUCUUUUUUAUAUUUUUUUAAUCACGUUAUGGAUUAUAUAUUUUUUAUUUAAAAAUGGAGUACAUGCUAAUCAAUUUCUUUUUCUACACUUGAUCAUGAUAAAAAACUAUUAUUUAUAUAAAAAUUAAAAUAAAAAAUUUAGAAGAACGUCAAAAUAAUUCUAAUAAUUUAAGUUGGAACUUGAAACACUAUUAGGUAAGCCUCUUUAGAGACAAUAUUUCAUGGUAGUAUUUUUAAAAUUUAAUAAUUUUGAUUAACAGCAUUUUAAUGUAUGUUCAAGUGACAUUUAGAACAAAUUGGUUAUAUAUAAAUAUUUUUUAUUUAUUUUGAUAAUUUGCUGUAUUAACUUUAAGACUCUCUGAUGUUAAUAUGUUCUAGAACUUUUUUUAUAACUUGUGCACAAAAAUACGUCACAAAUUAUAAUAUAUUUUUGAAAUUAAAAGUAUGCAAUAGCACAACAUUUUAGGGGUCAAACUUUCCUCCUCUUCUUAAGGAUUUUUAAAUUUUCUUAGAAAUCAAUCAUUUUUUAAUCAUGAAACAAUAAAAAAAAACAAUUUAUUUUAUCUAUCAUUUAUUAUCAUUAAUUUUAAUUUUUAUAAUUAUAAAAAAUUUAAAUGACAAAUAUAAAAAAGUUAAACAUGAUCAAAACAAAGGAAAAAGAAAUAAAGCUUAAAUAGGGUAUAUAUAUAUAUAAUUUGUUUACAAUUUCAUUAUUAUAUAAGUAGUUGCUAUCAUACAAUUUUAUCCUUUCUUAUCAUAAUAUUACAGUUUAUUUUAAUAAUAAUUAUCUGUAAAUUUACAAAUCAUUGAUAACAACCUAAUAUCACUUGAAAAUCAUGAUUAUUACCUUAAAUUGAGUUUUUUAAGUAAGUGAACUUAAAUUGUUUAUAAAAGAAUUAAGAGUAAUUUUUGUAUAUUUACUUUUUACCAUAAAUAAUUAAUACAUUUAUGUUUUUACACUUUUACACACCACUUAGCUUAUUAUGUAUGCUGUAAAAUUUGUACAUACCAUUGAUAAAAUAAGCAAUUAACCUAUUAUAUACCUUUGUUUGGUUGCUAGCUAUUAGAUAUCAGCCGAAAUUUACACUAAUUGAAUAAUCUAUUUUCUUCUUAAUAUUUUUUAUUAAAUUUUAUUAUUAUAACAUUUUCAACCAAAAUUAAAAACAAUAGUAUAAAAAACAUAUUCUUAUAUUAAUUAAUUAUUUGUGUUAAAAUACAUGCAACAAGAAACACUUGAACAUUUUGGUAGCGCGGCAGGGUAGAAAAUUCUUGAAAUGGAAAAAGCAGUUUCCCGCGAAUCUCAGUGGGGAUGCCACCUUGGCAAUCCGUGUCGUACCCUUUCAACCAAUCAGCGUGGAUUAUCGGACUCUAUAUAAUAACAUUCUACUCACAUCUCCUCUCAUCUGCACCUUCUGCCUCACUUCUAAUUCACUCUCCCAAUUGCAAAUUCUAGGGUUAGGGUUUUCAUUUCUAAGCAUAUUAGAAAAUGAGUUCUACUGGUUCAACCAAGGGUGGGAGGGGCAAGCCCAAGGCUUCCAAAUCUGUUUCUAGAUCACAGAAAGCUGGCCUUCAAUUUCCGGUUGGAAGAAUUGCUCGAUUUCUCAAAGCUGGCAAAUAUGCAGAGCGUGUUGGUGCCGGUGCUCCAGUCUACCUUUCUGCUGUGCUUGAAUAUCUUGCAGCCGAGGUUGGUUCCGAUUCUUGAUUAGGUUUAAAUUUUAAUCGGUUUUUGUUUUUCUUAUUGAUUGUGUUUGUUAGGGUUCUGAUUGACCUAAAAUCUUGAUUUUCUCUGUAACUUGUUUGUUGACAAUUAUUUGUUUAUUUAUUUAGGUUUUGGAAUUGGCUGGUAAUGCUGCCAGAGACAACAAGAAGAAUCGUAUUGUUCCUAGGCAUAUUCAGCUUGCAGUGAGGAAUGACGAGGAACUGAGUAAGCUUUUGGGGUCUGUCACCAUCGCCAAUGGAGGUGUGUUGCCCAAUAUUCAUCAAACUCUUCUUCCCAAGAAGGUUGGCAAGGGGAAGGGCGAAAUUGGGUCCGCUUCUCAAGAGUUUUAGGGUUUUAAUGGUUUUUUUUAGAAAAAUAGGUUAAUUUCGUUUUGGUUGUAAUAUACUUGGUUUCGAUUAUCUCUAUAUAUUUCCCGAGAGGUUAAGUAUUUCUCAGUCCGAUGAUCUAAAUGAUGUAUGUCUUUUUUUGGAUGUAUAUGAGAAAUGAAAAUUGGUGUUUUUGAUCGUUUUAAUGAGUUAUUGUUGACACUUCUAAUAUCGCCUUAUAAAUCCAUCUGUAUCAAACGUAAUGGCAUCAUGCAAUAGAUUGCCCGUAUUGUUUUUGAAUUUGGGAAUGUGGAAUGAUGAUUAUGGGGUCUCCCCAAAAUAACCGGGUUGCUUUGAUUCUUAAGUAUAGUGAACUUUUUUAACACUUUUGAUUUUAUAGUUUUUUUUUUUUAUUUUUCAGUAAGGGUUUAUAUGGUCAUCUUUUAAUUGAUCCUCUCUUCCUUGUGCGUUUUGUGAGGACUAUUGGCCCUGUGUCUUUGUGGGAAGUGUUCAUGCCUGAAUGUCCUUAGUGAUCAAUCGCUGUAUUCAUCCGGGGCAUUCGAUUGUUUGGCUGAGAUUUGGUUUUACUGGUUUUCAUGUUUUUGAGUGUCCUUUUGUUAAUUGUCGCAGAGUAAUAUUUUCAUCAUUUACUGUUGUCUUUUGAAAAUAAGCUUACGUCAAAUUGCCCAAUGAUUUCAUCAUGUUAAAGAGCAUUUGUGUCAGCGAGUUGCAACACUCAAUUUCAGCUAGAUUUUAGAUUCUUCUGAUAGGUGCUACAACGGAGGUUAUGUAUGAAUACUAGUGGGGAAAGUGCUUAGCGAAAUUUCGUUGCAUAUUUCCAUUUUUUUAGACACGAUGAAAAGGUUUUUGCUUGAUUUUAGAAGUAUUUUACAAGAGAGUAUUUUGGCGGUCUUUCAAUUGAUACUCAAUGGACGGGGAAUGAAAUAUAAAAUUGAUUAUUGAACAAUAGUAUCAAAUUAAUGAAAUUUGUAGUGUAUUUCGCAACCAAAAGGAAAGAGGGUCUAAAUCGAUCUUUGUUAAAAGGCGUCAACGUCAUCUGUUGGAAACGGCGUCGUCAUGUCAGAUUUACAAAAUGAAGACAUUUUUCCUUGAAUAUUUUAUCAUUAAUUUGUUUCUAUCUGGUUUAUUCGUUUGCAUUGAUGUUUAAGAAAAUCUUGGAAUUUAUCCCAAUUGUAUAAUAAACAAUAACCCUUGGUUAAAUGAUGGAAAAUUGUUUCUUGACUUUAAAAUUGGUUAUCAUGUAUUUAUGUGGUGAAGAGGGCAUGCAAUGAAAAAUUGAAACACUGGCCCUCAAAAGUUGAGUCCGUCGAAAACCAUCAAACACGCAGAGAGAGGUAAUUUCAUUUCACCCAUCCUAAUAAUUUCGAUGAAAUGGUAGGUUUUGGUUUGAUGCAGCGUGUGGGUGUGGUCUUGACACCGUGCCAUGGACAACACAAACCGAGAACUUGUGAAUUUAGGGUAAGAAUCCGAUGUUCCUCCAACAUUUAUGUGUCUAGGAAGACAGUGCUGGAGAAAGUGGACGAGGAGCUAGCAAAGGGAGAUGACAGAGCAGCGCUUGCACUUGUGAAGGAUUUGCAGGGUAAGCCUGGUGGGCUUCGAUGUUUCGGUGCAGGCAGACAGGUUAGCCUUGUGUCCUCUUGCGUCUUCUCAAUUUUCUAUGCUUUUUGGAUAAUCCUUCUCUAUGCUUAUUCUGUAGGUGCCUCAAAGGCUUUACACCUUGGAUGAAUUGAAGCUAAAUGGAAUUGAAACUUUGUCUCUUCUGUCGCCUGUGGACACGACUCUUGGUUCAAUAGAAAGAAAUCUUCAGAUUGCUGCUAUUCUAGGAGGUCUUGCUGCAUGGAAUGCCUUUGGAAUUUCCCCACAACAAAUCUUCUAUAUAUCACUGGGGUUGCUCUUUCUAUGGACACUAGACGCGGUACUUACUCAAACCUGGAGAUCAUUUCAUUUCACCAGAUUUAUGAAGUGAAGUUUUUCUAGAAGAGUAAUUUGUUCUAUGCUUGUUUGUAUCUUCUGCUGGUCCAACCAAUUGCUUACUCUUGCAUUUGCCUGUUUGGGGAGCUUAUUCUCUUUUCUCAUGCUUUGUCUGUUUAAACUUCUUAGAUAUGCUGUGUCCAUGUUUCGAUUUGUUUCCAAUACGCAUAUGAAUAAAAAGUGUUAUUUCCGUUAACCUAAUUGUCACAUUGCCAAUAGCAGAACUUUUAUUACUAUUUUCUGUAAGUAUCAAGGAUUGAAGUUUCAUUGCAUUGUUGAAUUCCGGAUCAAGUUUGUCUAUCAAUCUUCAUUAUAUUUGUGUUUUUUCAUUGACAUGCUAAUUGAAUUGCAUCGCAUGCUCAUCCAACCAAUUUCUUCUGCAGGUCUCUUUUGGUGGAGGUAUUGGUAGCUUGGUUGUUGAUACAAUUGGUCACACUUUCAGUCAGAAAUACCACAAUAGGGUUAUUCAAGUCAGAUUCAUGCCAUUCUAUUAUCGCACACUUACAAGUAAUUUUAUUUCAAUUAACUUACAUAAUCUUAGUGACCAUUAAGUAACCAUGUCGAAAUUUAAUUGUGCAGCAUGAAGCUGGCCACUUUCUAAUUGCUUAUCUGAUAGGAAUACUUCCUAAGGGAUAUUCUAUUUCUAGUUUGGAUGCUCUGCAGAAGGAGGGAUCUUUGAAUAUUCAAGCAGGCACAGCCUUUGUGGAUUUUGAAUUUCAAGAAGAAGUAGGCUGCUUUUUUUCCCCUUAUAUUUUAACGCAGUCCAAUUGCUUUUGAGGAAUUCUUUGGCUCAAAGGACGAGAGGGAAGGAAUUUUGAUUAGACAUUUUGUUUAGUUAAGAGGAAGGGAAGAUUAAUGUGCUUUUAUAUCCUAAUGAUUUUGGAUUUCAUAACGUGUAAGCAAAGAUGUUUAUCAUUAUAGUCAAUACACUUGAAAUGUUUAUAUUCCUUUCCCUCCCGUCCAAUAAAAAAUUUAACGAGAGAAUUUUGUUCCCAUCCUAAUUCCCUCUAAAAACUAAAUCAGAUAACAAAGAUUUAUAGCAAGAAUUACAACUGAGAAUGUGGCGUUGCAUGACUUUGUCCUAGUAAUUUGACUUUGAACUGUCACAACUUACCUGUAAGUCUGUCUUUGAGUGAGUGUUUCAGUUGCGUUUUUAACUCAUCAAACUGCUUGAUUAUCCAGAGAAUCACAUUUAUAUUUAGUUGACAACUAUAUUUAUUGAUUGGUGGCGCUUUUCACUUCAUACAGGUUAAUACAGGAAAAGUAUCAGCUACAGUAUGUUGCUAUCUCACCGACUUCUAAUUUUCACUGCUUACAAGGUUGCUUAAAUAGAUAUUCUGCACGUUACAAAAUUUUAGUAAUGUGACACAGCCUUGGUUUUAUGUUAAGACAUUGAACAGAUUUUCAUGUAUAGCAUUGGCUGGGGUGUCUGCGGAGUAUCUUCUAUAUGGAUUUUCUGAAGGAGGUCUGGAUGACAUAAGAAAGGUUUAUGCAAUUUUUUACUUACUUUCUUAGUCAUGACAAUUAGAAUGCUUACACAUAGCAUUGUCAUUACUAAUGAUAACUUUGUUAAAUGUAAAUAGUUGGAUUUACUGCUCAAGGGAUUAGGCUUCACACAGAAGAAGGCAGAUUCUCAAGUUAGAUGGUCUUUGCUAAACACGGUCUUGCUCUUGAGGAGGCAUGAAGCAGCUCGAGCUAAGGUUGCUGAGGCUUUGUCAAUGGGAAAAUCUGUAGGAACCUGCAUUGACAUUAUAGAGAGCUCUAUCGAUGAUUCAGAUCUUUAACGAAGCUUUUGAUUAUUCCCUUCUAUAUGUUGAUUAAUAUUUCUUUAAAUUUUCAUUUGGUAUCUCUGUCUUGCUCCGUUACUAGAGAAAAAUGUUAGAAGAUUGGCAAGUUGAUGACUAUAGAUGAGUGCACGACUAUGUAGCUUGAUAGACGUGUUUAUCAAAUGUAUUCGGGGUACUUUUGCCCACCUCCUAAGUUAGAGAUAUGUGUAUACUGUUGCGUAGACCAAGUUGGAUCCCAACCAAGCCACCCCAUCCUUUCAUCUCUCACAGAUUUUGCAAUGUAAUGCUCUGAUUGCAUUAUCUAUUGGCUUAAAUCCUUAAUUGGUCUCCAUGUUAGGAGGGAAUUUUCAGUUUAGUACCCGUUUUUAAAUGUGUAUACAUUGCGUCUCCAUGUUUUGUAAUUUGUGUCAAUUUAGUGAAUUAAUGACAUUUCAAACAAGUUUGUAACAGUAAUUGGAAGGUGUCCAAACGUUCAAACAGUUAAUAAACAUGCUGCAACUCAAAAUGACUUGUUCACUUGCAAUUUUCAAGCCAAAUUGAUGGUUCAAAGGGACUAAAUUGACACAAAUUGCAAAACAUGGGACCUAAUGUAUACACUUUUAAAAGUGGGUACUAAAUUGAAAAUUUCCUAUUAACAUGGGGAUCAAUUAAGGAUUUAAGCCUUAUCUGAGCCUUAGAUCGUUCCAUUUUCGAGACAAUUCUUAAGAAGGACACUGUUAAGGCCAUAUGGAAUUCUACGAAGUAGAAGUACUAAGGUUUCAUACCUGUCAAGUGCAUUCAAUUGCAAGUAUAGGAAGGAAUUUGAAACACUCCAUAUAAGAGUUGGAGAGACUGUGAAUGAUUAUUUUGCUCACACACUUACAAUUGCGAACACGAUGAAGGUUAAUGGUGAAAAAUAAAAGUGAUUUAGAAGUGGUGAAAAAGACAUCGUGUUUUAUGACUUAGCAAUUCAACUAUGUGGUUUAUUCAAUUGAAGAGGCACAAGACAUUAAUACUCUAUCUAUAGAUGAAUUAUAUAGCGGUUUGCUAGUGCAUGAGCAAAAGAUUAUUAUCUCAUACAAAGAACAAGCCUUGAAGUUGACUUAAGGGGACUUUUCCAAUCGCAGACGAGGUCACAAACGUGUCGAAAACAAGGAAGGACAAACUUCGACAAAUCUAUUGUUGAUUGCUUCAACUGUCACAAACUGAAACAUUACCAAUGAGAAUGUCAAAGCAAAGAAAAUAAUCAUAGUAAGAUUUCUAAAGAAAUAUUACCAUUGAUUUAGGUGGUAUGUACUUUUUAUUUGAGUAUGUUGUACUAACAAAAGUAUAUGAACUAAUGAAGAUGUCUAGAUAAAAUUCACGUCGGAUAGUUAACACUUAAAAAUAAUAAAUUCUUGUAAAAUAGAUUGUAAGUAUUUUAAUAUUUGUUUAUAAAGAGGUUAGAUAUAAGCAUCAUUAAAAUCUAUAUUACUUGUAAAAAAUUAAAAUUAAAUUUUAAUUUAUAUUUUAUUAACUUAUAUUUAAUUAAAAUUAAUAGUUAAAUUUAAUUCUUUUUAUAUAAUUUUUAUUCUUUUUAAUUUAUAAUUCCUUUUAAAUAUUCACAUGUUCAUGAGUAUCUACAAAUUUAAAAUAAUUCACAUAUUUUAUAAACGAAAAAUUUAACUAUAUAUAUUUUUUUUUGAAAUUUUAUUUUAAAAUUUUACAAUAUAUAUAUAUAUAUAUAUAUAUAUAUAUAUAUAUAUAUAUAUAUAUAUAUAUAUAUAUAUAUAUAUAUCUACAAGUAUCUCUAAGCAUCUAUUUUUUUCAUUAUAAUAAAUAUUAUCUGUACCUUAUUCUUAGUUUCAAUGUUUAUUUUUUUCAUCUCUUCUAACUACACUCAUCGUAAUAUUCUCAACAAAAUUAGAAGUGUCUCGCAUUUGACAUGCCAUAAUCAAGUUGACCGGACCUAUUCGACGCUGAAUGUUGACCAAUGUAACAAGCAUCCCAAUUCACAAAAAUUAAAAAAAAAAAAAACAGAAAUUCUUUUUCAUAGAAAUCACGACAACCAAAAAUCCUAAUCAGCAAAACUUAGAUCAUAAUCCCAAUAAACAAAAACGGAAUUAAGCAAAUUUAUCUAAAAUUUAGAAACGUGAAGACACAUUUAAAUAAUAAUAUUAUUGUAAUAUAUUUUAUAAUUUAUAAUUAAUAAAAAAAUUCAUCCCUUGGAUCUGGAGAGGGUUGUAAAAAUGAUGAAAUGAGCGUAAGCACAGAAAAAAGGAGUAAUGGGCGUAGAGUGGUUGUUGGUCUGCCAUGGUUUGGUCACUGCGGUGGUCGUUGUUUCUUUCCUCUGCGGUCGAUGGCCAAUUUUCGAAGGCACUUUCAUCCAACGCAUACACCAUUUUCUCACUUUCGGUGCUUACGACUAUUUCCUGUAACUCUCUCUUUCUCUCAAAUUUCCUUUUUCGCUUCCUUCAAUUUCAAUGGCUUCAUCUAUCACUCUCUCUAUUGCAGACGUUUCGUUGGCGCAGUUUUCGGCCAUAAGUGUAUGGAUGCAGUUCUUUCUGUCGAAUAUUACUGCUGCGAUCGUCCCAAUCCUCUUCUACAGGUACUACUGUUCUUUUCUAUUUCAAUUCAUUUCUUCAACUUCUCUUACAGUGAAAUUGUUGGUCCUUAUUACUUUGUGACCUACCACUAGCAUAACAGUGGAAUCCGUAAGCAAUUCCUCUAGUUUUUCAUUGGAUAAAUUGCUUCGUCUAAUUCAUCACGGAAAUCGUUUUUUAUAUUAUCUAGGUUACGAUUUGCUCACUUCUGACGUGUGAAUACUUCUUACUUGCGUCAUUUGUAUGCCAUAAUUACGAAAGGGAUGCAAAUGCCUCCAGUUCGUAUAUCCUUUUAGGAUCAUGGCGAUAUCCUUAACUUGCACAGUCUUGAAUGUCCGUAUAUUUUAAAAGUUCUAGUUCCUGUACGAUAAAACUGUAAGUUCCGGUUCCCAUGUGGAUACAAGAUAAUUCGGACUAAAUUUAUAACAUCAUUAUAUUUAUGACAUCAUUGAAAACUUUGUGAGGACCAGAACUUCGUAUUUUCUCGUAUAGGAAUUAAAACAUAAAAUGGGGACAAUUAUAGGAAAUAAAAGAAUAAUUUAACUCAUUGCAUAUUAUCCUAGGGGUGAGAUCGUGGUUUUUCUUUUCUUUUCAGAAAUUCUUGACUGCAAUUUUUUAUGUUCUCCAUUGCUUUGAAUAUUGUUUGUGCAGAUCGUAUACAUUGUGAUAAUCAGUGUUACCUAUUAUUUCGUUGCCAAGUCUUGCUUUGCCUAUAUCCCCGGUUACUAUUUAAGUGGAAUUCACAGGUAGUGUAGUGCUUGGCCAAUGUUGUACUCUAUUUUACUUAAUGGUUCCUUCAGCGUUAUUCUAUCCUGAAUUUUGUUAGAUCUUAUAUUUUUGUUUAGGUACACAAGCUUAUUGGCAGUUGCUGUUGGAAUUCUGCUCUUUCUUUUGACCAGCUUUUCUGAUCCUGGGACCGUAAACGCCGAGAAUGUUUCUAAUUAUAUUUCUGCUUAUCCGUAUGAUAAUAUUAUUUACUCAGAGAAAGAAUGUUCCACUUGCAAAAUUCCAAAGUGAGUGUGACACUGUUGUUGAAUUUUGUUGAAAUGUUGGCUAUGUCAUCUAUAAAACUGUCUUAAUUUUUUUCUGCAGACCUGCUAGGUCUAAACACUGCAGCAUUUGUGACCGGUGUGUUGCUCGAUUUGAUCAUCACUGUGGAUGGAUGGUUAGUAAUCUUUGAAACUCUCCUCUUGAUAAGGUUGCUCGUGUGGUUCUCAUUCUCAUUUAAUAUAUAUCAUAUACUUUUUUGAAGAUGUACUGAAGUUGUUUAACUCGCAGAACAAUUGCAUUGGGGAGAAAAACACACGGUAUUUCAUGGCAUUUCUAUUAUGGUGAGUUCAACAUGUAUUCUUACAUAAGUAUCAUUUUUGUUUAGUCUAAUCUAACUCCAUUACCAAAGGAACCCCAGAAUGUACAAUGCAUUGAGAGACUAAGCAAUUUUUUUUUUGAAGUUUCCUCUCCUUAAAUAAAAUUAGAGGUUCACAAAAAAUAUUCCAAGAGGUAUCUGUUGGUCAUUUGGCUGGUAUGGCAAAUAGGCAAAGUGGAUAGUGAUAAGUUAAAGUCGCUUGUCAUGGACUUUUGUGAUAUAAUUAUUCUUAUAUUGUUUCUGUUCAAGUAAUUGAUGAUUUUCUCCACAUUACUCACAAGUUUUAGUUAGCUUGCUGUAAGAGAGUACAAUUGAUUGAAGAACUAACUACAAAUGAAGAAAGUUUAACAAUAUUCACAGCAUUGUUGGGAUCAAACUUCACUAAUCUCCUUCUCACAACCAACCGUGAUUGUAUAAGUUUUCUUCUCUCACUAUCCAAUGUUGUAAUAAUUGAUAAAAAUCACCAAUCAUUAAUUCCUUAAAAUUUGGAUCGUAUGUUUCUUUAUCAAUCAUCAAUUUUUCAACCAUCAACUGAAUAAAUCUCUGUUGCAAUAUAGAGACAAUCAAUGAGUUAAAUCCUAUUUCUAGAAGCAUGAUUCAUUUAGUGAUUUAUUUUCAAUCGAGAUCAAUACAUUAAUUUCCAAUCAAUCCUAAGACUACUACUGCAAUAGAUGAUAUAUAUUAAAAUAAGACUGUGAUUGAUUAUAUUUGAUCCCAACCAAAAAAUGGCUAAUGCCAGUAUAUUUUUGCACUUUGGAUAGAAAUUUCUACAUGCUUAAACAUCCUUCCUGUUCCUUCUUUUUUGGCUUUUUCCUUGGCCUUUGGAACCCUUGAGUUACCAGUUCCUUUGUAUUUUUUCUUACUGUUGUACUAUAGGGCAGAUGGCUACCACCAAAUAUGAGUGGUGUUCGUAUUUUCCAUUUCCACAAUACUAAGUUCUAUCCAUUUCCUUAGCGUACAGAGUGAUUGGGCAGCCCUACUGCAUUCCAGUUUCUUUUUUUAUCUUUUAUCAUCUCUUCCCUCUCACUUUUCUUUGUCUUGUUUUAGAAGAUAACUUAACUUCAUCCUUAUCGUAUCUUUACAACAGGUAGCCAAAUCGUGUCAAAUUAUAGGAUUCUAAUUGUGAAUUUACAAUUCUAAUAACUAUGUUGUGUAUCUGUUUUCUGUUUGAUAAAUUUUAUUUGUACUUUGAAAAGAAAACUUCAGUUCCGACAUGGUACUUAACUAUUUCUUUACCAAUUCACUGUUCCAUUAUCACUUUAGUCUUAAACUUUUCAAAACAUCGUGAGGAUGUGUUUUUUAAUGUGCUAUUUUGCAAUCUUUUUCCUCCCCUUCAAUGAGAUGCAGUAUAGAUAACUAGAAAAUCUUAGUAAUAAUCAUUAGUCACUGAUUUCAACUUUACCUUAGAUUGGCAAUAGGUUAUACAUUCUUCAUCUCUACUUCUAUUUGUAGUUGUGAUUCUUUUACAUCUUGUAGGCAUUUCCUUAUAUGCUUGUAUGGAACAGUUGCCAUUGGCUUGGUUCUUGCUGGAAGACUAAGAGAAUUAAGAGUUGUUGAUAUUCUAACUGGUAAUAUAUAUUUGCAACUAAUACCAUCCUCGGAUUAAUUUUUUGUUUUUUACUAACUUUGAUACUUCUCUAUCCUUGUCAUAACCAAGCAGUUUAUUAUGGAAUAGAAAAUUCUUUUCUGGAUUUAGCUCCUAAUAUUGUGCAGGUGAGGGAUUUGGUGUCUGUACAUGCUGAUUAUGUUUUCUAUUUUGAUUCCCUGUUUUCCUUUUAAGUGGUUAGUGAUAUUUUGUUAUCAUACAGUGGUUGUUGGGUUCUUACAACACUCAGAUACUUCUUAUGGUGUUCCUUGCAAUCAUUGGGAUGCUGUUAGCUGGUUUCUUUGGUUACCAUGCAAAGCUUUGCAUUACCAAUACCACCACUAAUGAGGUACCUUAUACCUAACCUUCAAAUGUAUUUAGUAAUUUUUAGUAAAUUAGAAGGAACCAGGUCGUGUCAAGGAAUUCUUUAUCUUUUUUUUUCUUAUUUGAUAAUAAAAAUUCUCAUAAAGGGAGAGAUCAGAAUGCUAUGCAUUUAAAUAAUUGAAUUAGAGAUGUAGAGUAUGGAUACCUUGUGUACGUUCCCAUUAAGUUAGAAGAAAAUGCUGUACAUAAUAUCUAACUUGAAGUUUACAUGAUCGCUGGAUAGUAAAAAAAUUGAUGUGGUAUGAUGUUCUAGAACAAGUUUUGCAUCUGGACAAAAUGACAGCGUUGUUAGAGGUUUUCAGUUUUCAUAAAAUUCUUUUGAAACAAAUCGAUAUUAGGUAGCACUAGAACGAACCGCCUUUUGUUAGUGUCCUGUUGGGUCUAUUUGAUCUUUGUAAUGCCUGCUUGUUUAUCUUCCUGAGACUGAUAAUUUAUAAUCUACUACCUUUUUGAUGAAAGGAAUGCUGGUGAAUAUAUUACAUUUGAUAAAUUUAUUUUUUGUUCUGUGAGUGUUUGUUUCCAAUGAGUCCUUCUGGUUAAUGUGCUCUGAUAUUUAAGUCAGUUAAGUUGGUGAGUGAGCUAUGCGUGAGUUCAAUCCCCUGCAAUGUGUUCUGUCACUUUCCCAUUCCCUUACCCCUCUUCCCCUCCCCCUUGUAAGACGUAUUAUAAGUCUCCCUUGGACUUAAAAAAGGCAGUAGCAAAAUCCUUGCACUGACAACCCUACAUGAAUUGGACGGUUGCUUCAUCAACUGAAAUUAAAAAAAAAAAAAAGAUCUAGGUCUGGCAGCUUAAAUUUCAACUUACAGUUAUUACUGGUUUGAGAAUGCAGAAUUGUUCACAAGUACAAUUGCUCUAUAUUGUUUAUCACUGUUCAAAUUGUGUCCUAUUUAGCCAGAAAACUGCAUGCUUAUGAGAGAUGCUAAUGGCCCCCUAAUGCUCAAUGAAACUAAAGGUUUCUAUAUGGAUCACAGACUUUUAAGUGGCAAGACUACAUUGAGUGGCAAAGAAAGCUAAGAGAAGCAAAGGUGAGCGCUGAAGCCCUAAAGCAAAGUAUCGAUGGAAUUCGCAGUGAAAAACAGCCCUCAUCGAGCAAAUGGAGAGCCUUCUUUAAAAAAUCACCUCUAGAAGAUGUGGUAAUUGUUAAGAAUAACGUUUACGAUAAAGGUUUCUUCCACAAUAUUCUGGAGGUUAUUUCCCCUUUCUCUGCAAGGUGGUCCUUUACACAAAACAAAUUGAAGUCCAGAUGAGUAUGAUUCUAACUAACGUGUCUUUGAAGAGCUUUUGUGGGCUAGUUGCACAUAUAUUGAGUGGAUAGUAUGUCUAUGCAUUUAUUUAGAUUACCCAAUAAAUAUUUUGAAAACCAGUAAUAUGUUAUAUUAAAUGCUAUUGUCUAUUAGGGUUCUAGACUAGGUGUAGACUGAAUUGAUUGGCUGUACUUGAUAACCCUCCUUGUCUGCUUUUUUGGUUGUGUUGUACUAUUUGUUUCUAGUAAGAAAGAUAUCUGUGUACUCACUGCACUUAUUUUUUAUUUUUUGUGACACUGCUCUUUGUUAAUUUAUAUUGGCUGUAAAACUCAUCAAUGCAGUGUGUAGUCCACAGUUUGGCUAUAUUGCUGCCAAAAACUGGACGACGGUUGAAAACCUGUUUUAAAUUCAAUAAUUGACUUAAAAUGUUUUUUAGUAUAUUUGAUCUUACUUGAUCAUAAACAAUUUCUAAUAUUAACGUUUAAAACAUAUUCAAUAAAGUGGGCAUAUUAAAUUUCUCUCUCUCUCUCUCUCUCUCUCUCUCUCUAUAUAUAUAUAUAUAUAUAUAUAUAUAUAUAUAUUCUUACAAUUUAUAUUAUUGUUUGCACUAUCAGUUGUAGGCAUCAAUAGAAAUUGGUAUUAUGUAAACCUGAAAAGACAAGGAGUGGAUAACCCAGGAGGAGGAUAUAUUUCACUAUUAAUACUAAGAUACACUGUUCUUCUCCCUCCUAAAAAUUCUAUUGCAUGGUGGAAGUUGAUGCCUGAGGCUUCGCAUAAAAGACAAAAGUUGUUCAGGUAGAUAUAAAGUCAAAAGUUGUCCCUGCUUCCAGAAGAGUUUGCGCCGCUGAUAUCUGCCCACCUCCCAAAAACUCACGAGUUAGAUGAUAUAAAGUCAUUAGAGAUAAAUAAAUAGAUGGGUUUUUAGUUUUAUAUAUAAUUGGGCUGGUCCAUUUGUUUUUCCGUGCUUUCUUUCUGCAUCUCCAAUUUUUCUUUCUGCACCUCCAAGUUUCAUCUUGAAGACAAAUUUAACCUUGAUCAAUAUAUAUAAAAUAAAAAAAUUAGGUAAUUACCGCUGUUUUCUGUGGAUAGUUUUCCGUCUCAUUUUUUAGGUACUUGCGUUUUUGUUGAUUAAUUUUGGUUUGAAAUUUUAUAUUUAUUCUUUAAAUUUAUAUUUAUUUUUAAUAUAUUUUGCAUGUAUUAGAUUUCAAAAAUUAGUUAAAAAUAUUUACUGAAUUUCAAAAAUUAGUUAAAAAAAGUUAUUGGAUUUUAAAAUUUGAUUAAAAACUCUUCGAUUUUCAAAAUUCAACGUAAUUUAAAAAUCUGAUUUAGGAAUGCAUUAAAUUUCAAAAUCCAAUUUUAGCUUUAUAAAUAAAUCAUGAAUAUUGAAUUUCGAGACUUGAGAGAAUUCUUCAGAAGGAAUAAAUAAUUUAAGAAAACAACAGCACAUUAAGGUAUCUGAUAUUCCAAUUUUCUCCACUAAAUUUUUUGAGUUGUGUACAUGUUCUACCAAACUAUUUAGGUUUCUUUUGACCUUUCCGAUACCUUCACUUGCUCUACUGAACAAUCUGGAUAUUCAAAUUGUUCUAUCGACUUAAUUCAGUUAUGUAGCCUCUCACCAAUUUAACUGAUCCUAAUGUUUCACCAAGUUAUCUGCAAGUUCCAUUAAGCUUCCCUCAUGUUCCAUCGAGCUUUUCUUCUACUUCACUAAGUUUUCCACAUACUUCAUUGAAUGCUUGACAUGCUCCACCGAGUUCUCCACAUACUCCACCCUUUGAAUUUUGAAAAUAUAAUCUCUUAAUAAGAUUUCGAAAUCCAGUAUAUUCUUUAAUGAGAUUUUGAAAUUUGAUGAACUCUUUAAUUAGAUUUAGAAAUCCGUUCAAUCACUUAACAAAGAAAAUAUCUAAAAGAAAUUGAUAAUAAACUGUAGAAAAUUGGGAUUCAAAAUGGAAACGCAAUAAGCCAUGCUAAAAAAGUUGAAAGCAGUUUAAAAAGUGUCGAGGAAAGGAUGUGACACUACGAGAAUUCUUUUGAUCAUUCCCUAUCUCUAGCCUCGGAUCCCACUGCCAUGUUGAUUAAAUUACGUCAAACAAUUACAUUUUCAACAUAUUAUAACAUGUUCAAGGAACUCAGUGUGAAGUGAAAGUAGGGUUCAAGACUAAAGAUAAAAAAUAUCAAAAGAUUCUACAUCCUUUACGAAAAACUUUUUAAUCUACUUUCAACUUUUUUUAGCCUGGGUUAGUGUCUUUUCAUUUUGAAUCUCAAUUUUCUGUAAUUUAUUGUCAAUCUCUUUAAAACAUUUCUUCACUCUGAACAUAAAUUUAUGAAUGUUUAUAAGUGAUUAUGUAUCCAUUUUCGUUUGUUGGAAGCUUGUACAUUUUGUAAGAUGGAAAAAAUGUUUAAAGAGAUUGACGAUAAACUGCAUAAAAUUAGAAAUCAAAAUGAAAACAGAUAGCGCAUGCUAAAAUGGUUGAAAGCACUUUAUAAAGUGUUGAGAAAAGAGUGUGACGCGAAUUCUUUUGAUAAUUUCCUAUCUCUAGUCUCGAAUCCCACUGUCAUGUUGAUGAAAUUAUGCCAAACAACACGUUAUAAGAGGUUCAACGAACUUAGUGUGAAGGAAAAGUAGGGUCUGAGACUGGAGACAGAACAAAAGAUUCUCGAAACGUCACAUUCUUUCUUCGACCACGAGAAUAAGAACAAAUACCUUGUGGGUGGGCCGUAAUGGUAAAAUCUAUUGCAUGGUGGAUGUGGAUGCUUGACGUCUUUGCUUUGCAUGAAAGACAAAAAUUGUUCAGGUAGUUCUUCCAAAAGAGCUUGCACAACAGAUACUUGCCCACCUGUUAAAAUAUACAUGAAAGAGACUUCGUUUAAAUGAAAUGAAUAAAAACAACUUGGAGGAGUCAAAAGCAGCAAGAGAAUAAGAAACAAAUUUGUGUUUAUUAUCUACUCAAAAGGCAAAACAACUUUUACUUACUCUGUACUUCCCUCAUAGAGACAAACUGUACUAUAUCUCGUGUAGCUGCACGACCAGUAGAGCUCUCUAAGCGACGCCCAUUAUCAGCAUCCAGCGCCUGCAAACAAACAAGUUAUCUAUUCAUUCUCGCUAGCAACAAAGCAUUGCCAUGCUACUGAGUAAUUAAAAGGGUAUAAGGAAAACCACUUAGAUAAGGAUUAGUAGUAAACCUCCAUGCUUGUGAAGUCAGCAUUUCCAACUCCAACUAUGAGAAUAGAUAGGGGAAGAUCAGAUGCUUUAACAAGAGCAUUUAUUGUUUCUUGAAAAUCAGUGACAACUCCAUCCUGUAAGAAGAUGAACCACUUGAUCGAUUAUUCAUUAUCAUCUAAUAGAAAAUAUCAUCACCAAUUCAUUAUCUUCUUACCGUGAUGAUAAGCAAUACAUAAUACACUGUGUUAUUGUGUGAUGUGAGGGACUGCCCAUGUUGAUAACUGGACCAAAUAAAGUGGGUCCUGACAGAGUAACACUGCGCAAAGCACCGCCAUAAGCAUCCAUCCAUUAUGCCUUCAACUCCUACAACCUAAAACACAAAAAAGGAAAGUUAUGUUAAUCUGAUAGAACACCAACAAUUUAGUAGCUGUGGCACGGCGCACGGACAUAAAAUACUGCAAAUAAUAAAAAUCUUUUCCUAAAAAACAGAGAAGGGAAGAAUUUCUAACCUCAGAGCCACCUGGGCUCCCGUUUAGAUUAAAACAGUGGGAUAUGGUUCCACCAGGUAUCUUCCCUCCAAAGCCCCAAGCAGGAAAUCGCUUAUCAGAAUCAUAAAACUGAAUAACUUCUCCAACCUCCAUUAUAGCCUACAAACAAUACUAAUGCUGGUUAGACAAAACAAUGAUUCAGAUAAUGCCGCCCUAUUAUUGAAGUUGUUCAAUGCCAUAUAUAAAGAAGUAAAAANAAUUANAGUGUNCNGAUUNUGUACAUAANACAUGUUCAUAAGCUGCAAAACGNGGCCGAUNUAUNGUACCUUUUGGUANNAAUUUAACCGACCAUGNGGAUCAAUGUAAUGCAAGGAAUCUGAAAGUUGAGNAUUUCCAUUUGAAGCUGGACAAAUUUUGAAGCACUUAAUAAACUAUAGAGAUCAAAUUCAUAUUCAUCUUUGGGAGUAGAAGAACAAUUCUUACUUACCAGUGAAAUCUACAGUAACCAUGAAGUUCAGUUCAAAACCAUUAGAUAUGUAGUCGAUAAAACUGAACCGCUCCUUUUCACAAUACUGAUCCACAAACAGUUGACCCUUCAAAACCUAAAUGGAAGAAAUUGUAAAAAGUGAGAUUGAGUAAAGGAGUAGUGCAAAAUAAGUAAUUCUUUUGAAUGGAUCAAUACACACCUUCUCUUUUAUGUGGCUUUUGGAUGAUAUGACAAAAUUUGCGCCCGUAUGCUCUUUAUAUAAUUUUUCAAGGUCCGCUACCGACUUCUGCAUUUUUUUAGAUGGAAAAACUUCUUUUAACAACACUUUUUUAACAAUUAUUUGAUAAUAUAUACGUGACAGUUUGUGAUUGAUCCAUUUUAAGUAUUUUUUAAAUAUAAAAUCAAAUAGACCAAUAAAAUAAUGAUAUGUGUCUAUUCUAAAAAAAGUUAUAAAAAAAAAUAUUGUAAAAAUACGAUUGUCCUUUUCAGAUUCAAUCAAUCAAUUUUGACAUCAAUAUAUUUUGCAUUCAUGAACUAUAGAAGUAAAGGCCCCACAGAAAUAAGUUAAAAGUACGAUUUUGGUCAGUAUACUUGCACAUUUUUUAUUGUAAUCUUUAUAUAUAAAAGUUCUACGUUUUAGUUGUAAUACUGUUGUUUUCAUGACAAUGUAAAACCUCAAAACAUUAAUAGAAAUAUUUAAGAAAAUAAUGAAUAAUAAAAUAAAAAGUUAGUAUAGAUAAAAAAAAAACCAAUUUAUAAUAGUUGCAUUAUUACCCUAUAAGUACAUGAUCGCCGCUGCUAUUGAAAUCAAAACACUCUAUCAAUAAUGGAUUUUCCUGCACAGAAGUAAGAAAGUUUGAAAGCUGGAUAAUAAAAAGUAAUUAGAAUGUUAAAUUAACAUAACUUCAAAUGUUAAGCCGAAAUAUGGCUGGCUUACUUUACUUUCAAACUUGUGACCACCAAGACAAACUGGUCUCCAUUUUGGAUUUAAAUUGUCGUUGCUAACUUCAGUUUUGCAGAUAGGAAUAUAACCUCCACUCUCGACCAUUCUUGAUAUUCUUAGAAAAGGGUCCUAGCAGAAAAACAUAUAUGAGAGAUUUUUCAAAUGCUAAACAAACAGAACAAAAUAAAAUGCAUUCAAAUAAAAAAACAUGAAUAAUAAGAAUGUAGAAUAAGUACACUUUUGGAAAAAACAUCCUUGUUGUCCAAGCGAGAACAACGCAGGACCAUCUCAACUACACUCCUUGAAGCAACCGUCUCCUCAGCAUGAAGCAUAAUUGCUCCGAGGUUUCUUAAACCGCCAUUCCCGCUUUUGUUUUCGAGCCUUAAUGUUAACCUCCUACUCGGUUUAGUCACAAUCUGCGUCUCACAAAAACAGUUUACACCAGCGUCAGUGUACACAAUCACAUUUCUCAAUGCAACAGUAUUAGUUUAUUCUCUCAUAAAUUUUCACUCACACCUUAGUAAUGCCUGUUUUCUUUCUCGUUUUAUCUGAUCUAUUUUAGUGACACACUUCCCUUUAUUUGCUUUUCUAUCCCUCUUGAUGUUUGAGAGUUAAGAUUAAUAUUGAGCCACUGUGAGUAGCAUUCUUCAACAGGAAAUGUUUUCCGCCCAAUCUUCUACAUUUGUUUUAUUUGGUUAAAUUUGGUGUUAACAUGUAAACUAAGUGAUUUUGGAUAUUUAAUAAGGCCAACAUAUUAAUUAAUAAUAAAUAUAAGACUAAGAGUAAUGUAUGAUUAUUCUACCAUACCGGUAACUCUCUUAAUAGGAUAAAUACAUUUGACUGCUGUCAAUUUUUCCAAGAACUCCUUUUAUCCCCUGUCUUCAGCUCCCCGAAUUCCUAUCAGUUCUGAAUUUCCAAAACCUCCGAAUAAUUGCCGCACCUUGCAUUGAAUGACCUUUUUUUAUUGCUCAAUCUUUUACCUACUAUGUAUAACCAUCAUAAUAAUUAUUAAUCGUAUCAGUCAUUAUCCUAUCAUAUCUAUCUAUCGGUACUGGAUUCAUAGAUUCAAUCAGGUAUUGGGCUUAACGCCACCUAACCCCUUCACCUUAGUUUUAUCAAACUAAAGUUUCAUAAAAUCUAAUCAAUACCUCAAUGAUAUAACAUCAAUGAUAUAAUAAGUUAGGCUGUUACACUAGUGGCAUAUGUAAUUAUUUCACUUUUCCUUUUAGUAGAAAACUACUAAAUUUUGUUUGGAAACUUAACUACUUAAUUUAAUGACGGUAUUUUUAUUUAAAACUGACACUUCUUACAUAAAAUAUAAAAACAUAUAUCAUAUAUUGUGAUAUAUAAUUGGAUAAUGAUAUUUAGACAACAUUUUUUUGACAACAUUUGAACAUUGAUUACGUGUCAAUCUGUGAUUGGUCAUAAAUUACUCCCUACUCAAUAAUAAUAAUCAUAAACACUAUUAUGGAGUAAUUUACGACCAAUCACAUAUUGACACAUAAUCAAUGUUCAAAUGUUGUCAAUAAAACAUUGUCUAAAUAUCAUUAUCCUAUAUAAUUAUCUAUGUUUUGCCUCUUCUUUUAACAUUUUCUUUUCAUCUCUUUAUUUUUUCCCCACCUAAAUAUACAAAAAUGAGAAAUGUAUACAUUUAUCAGAAAUCACAGUUGAUAAAAAUCUCCCGUGUAAACCGUGAACUUGUUUAUAAAAAAUGAGAAUUAAAUAAUGUAUUACGCCAAAACAAUCAUGUUUGUCAUCAAUGAUUUCAAAUGAAAAGAAUGGUGCUGACCUCUGAUAAAGUGCAACUGGCCAUUCCAAUAAAUUCUUGAUCUCGCAAUUUUAGUGUCUGCAAGAACAACUAAUGAAACACUUUCUUGGUUUUCACAUAUAAACUUCACAAGUCAUAGGCUAGAGAAAGUAAGAACAUAAAUUUGGAAUGCAUAAAGCUCGUAUCUGAACAUUCUAUGUCUCAUUAUGCAUUUUAAUAUAGGAUUCUACCAUGACUUAAAUCAAGUUUAUAUAAAGUAGAAGGGAGCUGAACAGGUCGAAUUUUCAAAUUUAAUAACGAACGCUAGUACUCCUUUUAGCUAAAUAACCAAAUUACUAUUUAUUUAUAUAUAAGUAUUUGUCUAAAUUAUUUAUAUAAUUGAAAAUAAAUAAGAUAAAAUUAUUUUCUUACAAGGUACUAAACUGUUUUAAUGACCUCUUUAAAAGAGAGCCUAAUAAAACAAAUUAAAAACAACUUACAGGCAUAUAACAGAUAAUUUUUGUAAAUCCUCUAAAACACUUAUAAAUGCUUAAAUUCCUGGUCACGGAAAAUGGUCAGUUAUCUCCAAUGAAAUAGUUGGCUUUUUCAUAUCUACAUUCUAACAUUUUCAUUUUGUAAAACACUAGAUAGAGUAAUUGACAGAUUUACAAUUUACAAAUUAUAACAUACAAAAUUUAAAAGAUUUACAAUUCAUAAUUACUUCAGUGCGACCUAAUUCUUCCAAUUGACCGUCUGUUUUCUUUGUAAAUACCACAACCAUGGGAUCACUCUGAAAUAAAAUAAGAAAAACAUGCGCUAAAUUAUACUCAAAGGCCUAUUUUGAACAAUGUACAAGUACCAUAAAUACUUGGUAUUCACACCUAGGCUGCCACCGGCAAAUAGUUUUCAGUUUACAAAAAAAAAAAAAUUGUAAAUAAAGUCGUCAAUCAAGACAUUUACAAGAAUUUGAGGAGGAUCAAAGACACUACGGACAAUAUUUUACAUUCUAGUUUGUAAACCAAAUAACUUCAAAUCAUGGCCUGGUUAGCGUAAUUUGAUUGUUCAGAACUGUUAUCGGUUUGCAUAGCAUAACAAACUGCAAUGAUAUAGAUUAAGGUAAAUGGAAAAGUAUUUCAUAAAAAAAAAGAACACCAAGUCACACAUAAAUAAGCAUGAAACAUCGAGAUAUUAAAGAAAAUGACAACCCUUUCGAAUUUUUGUAGUCCAUUUUGCACCGUUAUCUAAAAGAAAAUAUACCUUUGAGGUAAUGUCCCGAUCAAGUAGCUUGGAAGCUGAAAGAGAUAACUGCAUAAAAUCAAUAAUACAGUGAGACUAUAAACAUGUGUCCAGUGUUCCAACAAUAAUAACAAAAAGCGUAUUUAAAGAACCAAAAGAAAAAAGACAGAAAAUAAAUUAGAAAACAAACAGUAAAAUACUUAAACAUGUUUUAUCAUGUAAGAAAAAUAAAUAAAUAAAUAAAAGAACAUUAUUCAUUUUGGUGGACGGGUUUAGUCAAAGCUAUCAAAAGGCUGGGUUUUUUUUUCUAGAGCUUAUGUUUAUAGAAAACUAAAGUCUGAUCCCAUGUUUCUUUGGAGGAAAUUCACCAUUACUGAAUUAUAAACCAUUGCAAAUGAAUAACAUCAAUUUCAACUCAAAAUGGUAACGAGUUUGUUGAAAUUUUCUUCUUAAAUAUUCUUUUUCUAUUUUUUAUAUUCAUUAACUCUUCUUAAUUGUGAGUCACUUUCACAUUUAUAUACACUCUCUCAAGAUUUUUUUUUUCACGGAUAAGUUAUCAAGAAUAGGUUUUGUACUAAGGAGUCGAAUCACAACUACUAAAUCCAGAUUUGUUAGUCUUUUCUUUUUAUAUAUUGACUUCUUUUUACUUAAUAUAAAACUUUCAAUUCAUUUUAUGAUUUUUGGAGACAGAGAGAUUUUAUUUUUACUUAAUAUAGAACUUUCAAUUAUCUUUCGAAAAAAGACAUAAAAAAUUUGUUAAAAAAAAAUGAACGAACUUAUAUAACCCACUAGUGCAAGAUGAGUCAUUUACAUCACUAAUCUAAUAUAUGACCACAAAGCACAUUACGGUAGUAAUUGUCAUAAUUUUGAUAAUGUCCCACAUAUAAAAUAUUAAUGUGAACGGACAAUAAUAUAAUCUUUUAACUCAAAAUUUCGACACAAUAAUUUUUUUAUACAAACUAAAAUAUAUAAAUUUGAAUAAUUUUAAUAAAUAUUUGAGAAUUUAGAUAUUUGAAAUGUUAAACCAACAACUGCUCCUAUAUUUGAAUUUCAGUUGGAAUUCUAAAAUAAUAAUCUAAACAAAUAUACUACAUGAGGCAAAAAAAUUACUUCGAUUUGAAUAUUUUUCAAUGUAAUUUCAAACUUAUAAGGAGAACAAUCAUUCUUCAUUUCGUUUUAAGAUCUUCAUGAAAGAUAUAAAAAAAAAAUUAAAUUAAAAUUUUUACCAUUGUUUUUUGAAUUCAUUCGGUAGAAUGAAAAUAAAUGAUGAAAAAUAAAAAUAUGUAAAUGAUGAAGUGAAAAUUAAGAAUUUUUGUUUAAGAAAAAAAAAAAACUAUAAAAAAACAAAGAGAAAAAUACAAGUAGCCUUUAACAUAUCUUUUCUUUAUUCCCAUCACAGAUGUUUCCACUCUCCCCAUCUUAUUUCCAUCCAACUAAACAAAACCUUUAUUUCCCUCCCUCCCUAGACCCUAAAAUCCAUACAUACAUAUACAUACAUUCCUCUAAUUUUUUUUUUCUCUUGUUUAAGACCGUUGCGUUAAUCUCAUUGUCCAGAUUUCGUCAUUUGUUUUGAAAAAUGUUUUUGAUUUAAAAAAAUCUUUUAUCUGCUACACAGAUUAAAUUAUAUAUACAAAGAUAUUUCAAUUCAAGCUUUAAAAACAUGACUGUGUAAAAUUGGUAGUCCUGUUUUAAUGAUUUUAAAUGUUAUUUUUUUGUUUUCUAAUCCAUCAAAAAGGUUACUUUUACUUUUAAGGGGUUAAAUAUGUUUUUAGUUCCUAUAUUUUGGGGUGAUUUUGUUUUAGUCCAUUUUCAAACUAAAGUAUACUUUAGUCCUUUAACUCUAGAAAACUCUGGUUUUAGUAUUUUUUACCAUUGAAGUAAAAAUGUGUCAAACAGGAUAAACAAUCCAAAUGCUGUAAUGAAACGCAUUUCAAACAACAAAUAAAGUUAAAAAAAAAUUGGUAAAAAAGACUAAAACCAGAGUUUUCUAAAGUUGAAAGACUAAAUUUUACCUUAGUUUGAAAAUGGACUAAAACCAAAAUCGCCCCAAAGAGACUAAAAACAUAUUUAACCCUACUUUUAAGCUAUGUAAUUAUAUCAUUUUUUAUAUAAAUAUUUCUAUGAAAUAUUUUCAAGAUAAUUAUAAAUAACUUUUUAUGAUAUAGUAAUUUAUUAUUAGUUUUUUAUUUUUUAAAAAUAUUUUGACAAUUAAUUAUUAUAUAAUGAGAUAAUAUAUCAUAAUAUUUUAACAACAUAAAAUCUGAUAAUAAAUUAUCAUAUUAUAAGAUAUAAUUGAUACGUAUUUGAAGAUAUUUUAUAAUAUUUUUUAUCUUAUUUAUAUUUUUUAUUUCUGUUAUAUAUAUAUAUAUAUAUAUAUAAUUUUUUUAUAUAUGAAAAGUGAUAUAUACUCAGUAAGAUGAUAAACUUAAUGGUAGAUACCAAAUAAUUAAAAAAAUAAAAAUAAAAAAUCAAGUAUUCACAAAAAAUAAACCUGAACCAAAUAUAGUAAAACAAGUGGCAAAAUAUAGACCAUAGCAAUAAUUCAAAAGUCUAAAAGUAAAGCACGAUUACUUUUCCAUAAGUCAAUGACUCCAAUUAAUGCAGAUAUAAUAUUGUUGGCUUCAGUAAAGAAAAAAAUUAGUUUCACUUGAUGAUCGAUAAAAAAAAAAAAUACUCAUUUUGAUUCAUAUAUUCAUUUAACUUAAAAAAUUAGUUUAAUAUUUCUAUUUGUCAAUAUACAUAUUUUUAUAAUAUGAAACAUUAAUUAACUGAAAAACCUUCUUUGCUUAUAAAGGGUGUUGAUAUGUAUAGGUUAUAAGCAAGGAGUUUAACAAAGCUAAUAGUUAAAAAAUCGAAAAAUAAAAUUGAAAAAAUAAUGAAAUAUAUCUUUAGAAGUUAUCAUAAUUUGAUAUUUUCAUAUAUAUAUAUAUAUAUAUAUAUAUAUAUAUAUAUAUAUAUAUAUAUAUAUAAAGUAUUGGUAAUUUUGUUCUUUGUUCCUAAAUAUUAAUAGUAUGUAUAUUUUUUAUUGAUCAAAAUUAUAAUUAAAUUUAUAUAUAAUUAAAAAUGAGAUAAAUUUAUUACACCGAUAAUUUUUUACUUAUUUCUAUUUUCAUGUUUAAUAAUGUUAAAUUUUAAGAUAAUUGAUAUAUUUAUUUUCUCCCAUUUUAAUAAAUAUUUUUUAUCUUUCUUUUUUAAAUUCUCUCUCCUUCAUCCCUUGAAACGCUCUUUUCCAGGUUCACAUCCGUUUUGUUUGACUGGAGGAUACAUACAGUAAGAGUGAAGCUAACUUGUUCGCAGGGGAAACGUCAAGCAUGCAACAACGAUGAUUAUGAUAAUAACAACAAUAAUAAUAAUAAAAAUAAUAAUAAUAAUAAUAAUAUAAUUAAUAGUUAACUAAUUAAGAAAAAAAUUAUCCGAAAUUUCUAUGCAUUUUUUUUUUCCGAAAACAAGGUGAACUGUGAACGGAACAAACCAUAGCAGUAUGCGAAAGAACUGAAGAAAAAUUGCAGCGACAGUGAAUAGGUUGAACGAUAGAAAAGAAGUUGAGAAAAAAUACCUCAACUCGGGUGAACAAUUGCUGAAACCCUUGAGUCUUGUAAAAGAAAUCAACGGCGUCGUUUUGCGGUUCUAUGCCGGUGGCUGCUUCACGUAUCCCUCCCACCGCUUGCUUCCCUCCUUUCAUAUCCGAAAAACACCCUCGCAUUUUCUCUCUCUGCAAAACUCUUUCUAAUUUUUAUAUUCUAAUGAAACAGUGAGUGAGUGAAUGGAUUAGGGUUUCUGUGAUUUUACAGUGCCUAUUUGUCCAAACAUGGCUAUGUUUGAGCUUCACAAAGAGAGCAGCGCGUUCGUUACCUUCUAUAGCUCGUGACAGAAACGCGUCGUUCAAUUCGUAUUUUAAUCCUUUUCGAUGAACUAUCACUUCAAGGGAGACAUACUAACCGAGAGAGAUACCGUGUAAUAUAAUAGUAUCGAUAUUUUAUUUCAACAAGCAUUUAAAGAAGGAAAAAGUUAAUUUGACACUCUUUAAAAAAAAACAUUCAUUUGAUAUAACUUUUAAUAAUAUAUAUUAUGAUUUUAAAUUAAAAAAAUAAUAUAAUUAUAAUCAAAAUAUUAUUAUUUAACUGUGUUAAAUGAAUGUAAUUUGUCGUUGUGCUGAAUCAAAGUGGCACUGGUCCUUAAAGAACUUACAGAUGAAACGAGGGACAUGAUGAAAAUCUAAUAUAAAUUAUUUUUCGAAAAAAUAUUAUUAAAGAAGAAAAGUCAUUCUUAGUUAUUACAUGUGUGUUUUCCAUAUACAAGCAUACACUCAUAGAGAUUCCUCGAGUGUUUAAUUUAAAAUCUACUAUGUGUAUUUAAUAAUAUUUCCAUUUAUUUUAUAUAGUGAAUAUUUGUAUAUUUAUAUGCUUUCAUCACUUUAGGUAAAAUUAUUUUAAUUUUUUGUUUAUUGUUCUCGUAAAAGUUUUUUAAUUUACAGUAUAGGAAAUACACAAUUAAUUUUACAUAUUUCUUUGUAAACAUCUUAUUUUAGAAUGUCUCAAAUUCUCUUGUGUGACGUGUUAACUACUGAAAAAUAAUUACACUUGAGAAAUAGUGUCCGAAAUUGAAUUGAAAGCUUUGUACACCCCUUCAAAUGGACAUACAUGUCUCAAUCAUGACUUUCUUUAUAUAUAUAUGGAACCAAUAGCUAUAAAACGAUGGAACAAUUUAUUUUAAAAUAAUAUAUAUAUUAUCAUAUAAUAUAACUUCUACUUUUUUAUAUUAAUACGAGUUUAUUAUUUAAUAGUGGAAUCAAUAUAUAACUUUAGAAUGUGUAAAAAAAAUAAAAAGCUAUAACAUAAUCAAUUACAAAUUUAGAAAAUUGAAGGAAUGAAGUGCUACAUGUACCAGUCAAGUGAUAAACCUAAAUAUUUAAUUACAAAUAUUAGAUUAAAAACAACGAUUUAGAUUGUAUAUAAAUAAGACCACCGAUUAAAAAAACACGUAUAGUUUGUAGUCAUAUACAAAAUUAUGCGUAUUUUUGUGUUUUAAUUUUAGAAAAAUAGGAAAAAAAUAUGUUAUGAUGUCAAUAAAUAUUUUAAAUUUGUAACUAUAUUAUUGCAAACUAUAUUAUGUCAAAAUAUAGAGAGAAAAAAUAUAUUCUAUGCUUUAAAAUGAUUUAGAACAUAUUUAUGGUUUACAGAAAAUCAUACAUGCAACUUUGAUCCAUAGUAAUCACAAAGACUAGUAAAUAAACUAAGGUCAAAUAAUUUAUUCAAAUCUCUCACAAAUUAAAAGCGGCAUAAUUCAUAUUAUAGUUUUCGAAAAUGUCCGUCUAAAAACAUUAUAUUGUAUGAAUACAAAAGAAACUUUAUGAUUAUUCUAAUAAGGUUGAUAAAAAUAAGUUGACGAUAAGUUACGUGGUAAGCAUGAGGCAAAGGAUAAGUUUUAGAAUUAGUAUAUAUACAAAUGUAUGAUAUUGACAUUCAAUGAAAUCAGCAACGGAAAAUCUACGAAAUGUCGAAAGAAUACAGACGAAGAAAAAGGAGUAAAUCACCCAAGAAAAAACCUUUACACUGAUAUACCUGAGCUUUUUCAUGCUUCUAUUUACAAUCAAAUUUCAACAAAAUGAAAUUUGAAAAAAUUCAAACUAGUUUAGCUAAUAGAAUUUCGGCCAUUUAAAUUGAACUGGUUUCGUGAGCAAAAAAAGCUUGUGGGUGGUCUGUAAUAGUAAAAUCUAUUGCAUGGUGGAUGUGGAAGCUUGAGAUAAGUGAGAAGGGCGUGGCUGAGGCUUGACGUCUCUGCUUCGCAUGAAAGACAAAAAUUGUUCAGGUAGUUCUUCCAAAAGAGCUUGCACAACAGAUAUUUGCCCAUCUGUUAAAGUACACAUGAAAGAGGGUUCUUUAAUGAUAUGAAUACAAACAAAUUGGAGGAGGCAAAAGAUGUAAGAGUAUGAGAAAAAUGGUAGGUGUAAAAUUGUCACUUUGACAACAUUUUUUUUAUAAUAUGUUAAUACUACGAAUCAUUCUGUGAUUAGUCUAUGUUGAUGUUUAUGAUUAUUAUUAUUGAUUAUGAAAUAAUUUUGAAUCAAACACAAAAUGACAUGUAGAUUAUGUUAAAAUGUCGUCAAAAUAUCGUUAUUCAUGUAAAAUAUUUGUUUGAUAUAUUGUGUUCAAAAGGCAAAGCAAGUUAACUUGAGAAGCAACUGGUACUUACUCUGUACUUCCCUCAUAGAGACAAAUUGUACUAUAUCUCGUGUAGCCACACGACCAGUAGAACUCUCUAAUCGACGCCCAUUAUCAGCAUCUAGCACCUGCAGAAAAAUAAGUGUAUCUAUUCAUUCUCUCUAGCAACAAAGCAUUGCCAUGCUACUGAAUAAUUAAAAGGGUAUAAGGAAAACAAUUGGAUAAUGAUUAGUAGUAAACCUCCAUGCUUGUGAAGUCAGCAUUUCCAACUCCAACUAUGAGAAUAGAUAGGGGAAGAUCAGAUGCUUUAACAAGAGCGUUUAUUGUUUCUUGAAGAUCAGUGACAACUCCGUCCUGUAAGAACAUGAACCACUUGACUGAUUAUUCAUCAUCAUCAUAUAGAAAAUAGCAUCACCAAUUCGUUCUCUUCUUACCGUGAUGAUGAGCAAUACAUAGUACAUUGUGUUGUGUGAUGUGAGGGACUGCCCAGCUAUUUGGGCUGCCAUGUUGAUAACUGGUCCAAAUAAAGUGGGUCCUGACAGAGUGACAUUGCGCAAAGCACUGCCAUAAGCAUCCAUUAUGCCUUCAACUCCUACAACCUAAACACAAAAAAGGAAAGUUAUGUUAAACUGAUAGAACACCAACAAUGCAGUAGCUGUGCCAGAGACAUAAAAUACUGCAAAUAAUAAUUUUUUUUUCUUAAAAAUAAUAAAUAAAAAAAAAAAGAGAGGGGAAGAAUUUCUAACCUCAGAGCCACCUGGGCUCCCGUUUAGAUUAAAACAGUGGGAUAUGGUUCCACCAGGUAUCUUCCCUCCAAAGCCCCAAGCAGGAAAUCGCUUAUCAGAAUCAUAAAACUGAAUAACUUCUCCAACCUCCAUUAUAGCCUACAAACAAUACUAAUGCUGGUUAGACAAAACAAUGAUUCAGAUAAUGCCGCCCUAUUAUUGAAGUUGUUCAAUGCCAUAUAUAAAGAAGUAAAAANAAUUANAGUGUNCNGAUUNUGUACAUAANACAUGUUCAUAAGCUGCAAAACGNGGCCGAUNUAUNGUACCUUUUGGUANNAAUUUAACCGACCAUGNGGAUCAAUGUAAUGCAAGGAAUCUGAAAGUUGAGGAUUUCCAUUUGAAGCUGGACAAAUUUUGAAGCGCUUAAUAAACUAUAGAGAUCAAAUUCAUAUUCAUCUUUGGGAGUAGAAGAACAGUUGUUACUUACCAGUGAAAUCUACAGCAACCAUGAAGUUCAGUUCAAAACCAUUAGAUAUGUAGUCGAUAAAACUGAACCGCUCCUUUUCGCAAUACUGAUCCACAAACAGUUGACCUUUCAAAACCUAAAUAGAAGAAAUUGUAAAAAGUGAGAUUGAGUAAAGGAGUAGUGCAAAAUAAGUAAUUCUUUUGAAUGGAUCAAUACACACCUUCUCUUUUAUGUGGCUUUUGGAUGAUAUGACAAAAUUUGCGCCCGUACGCUCUUUAUAUAAUUUUUCAAGGUCCGCUACGGACUUCUGCAUUUUUCUGAUUCAAUCAAUUUUGACAUCAAUAUAUUUUGCAUUCAUCAACUAGAAAAGUAAAGGCCCCACAGAAAUAAGUUAAAAGUAUGAUUUUGGUCAGUAUACUUAUACAUUUUUUAUUGUAAUCUUUAUAUUUAAAAGUUCUAAUUUUUAGUUGUAAUACUGUUAUUUUCAUGACAAUGUAAAACCUCAAAACAUUAACAGAAAUAUUUAAGAAAAAUAAUGAAUAAUGAAAUAAAAAGAUAGUAUAGAUAAAAAAAAAAAUAAACCAAUUUAUAAUAGUUGCAUUAUUACCCAAUAAGUACAUGAUCGCCGCUGCUAUUGAAAUCAAAACACUCUAUCAAUAAUGGAUUUUCCUGCACAGAAGUAAAAAAUUUUGAAAGCUGGAUAAAUAAAAAGUAAUUAGAAUGAUUAAUUAACAUAACUUCAAAUGUUAAGCCGAAAUAUGGCUGGCUUACUUUACUUCCAAACUUGUGACCACCAAGAGAAACUGGUCUCCAUUUUGGAUUUAAAUUGUCGUUGAUAACUUCAGUUUUGCAGAUAGGAAUAUAACCUCCACUCUCAACCAUUCUUGAUAUUCUUAGAAAAGGGUCCUAGAAGAAAAACAUGAGAUUUUUCAACUGCUAAACAAACAAAACAAAUAAAUAUGUACUCAAUUAAAUAAAAAAAACAUGAAUAAUAAGAAUGUAGAUGGGAUGUAGAAUAAGUACACUUUUGGAAAAAACAUCCUUGUUAUCCAAGCGAGAACAACGCAGGACCAUCUCAACUACACUCUUCGAUGCAACAGUCUCCUCAGCAUGAACAGUAAUUGCUCCUAGGUUUCUUAAACCACCAUUCCCGCUUUUGUUUUGGAGCCUUAACGUUAAACUCCUACUUUGUUUAGUCACAAUCUGCCGCGCGCACAAAUGUCCAAAAUCUCAUCUCUCAAUGCAAAGUAUUAACAAGUAGAACAGGAAAACUAGAAAAAGUAUAUACACAAGCAUAAAAUCUCAUUCUCUUUUUUAUAACUGGUAUCUUCCUACUCCUUUUAUCCCAUCACCCAUGUUAUCACACACUUCGCUUCUUUUUUUCUUUUUGCUCUCUAAAUUUACGAGUUGUGACAAUACUUGUGAUAGAAUCUUUUUACCAUCUCAAUUUUCCUUUUUAUAAAAUAGCAUUUUAAUUUUUCUUUUUUUAAAAAACUAUAUUGGGUUAGGAAGACUAUGGAGAUUUGAUAUAAAUGAACUGUGAUUACAUUUAUAUAAAAUUGGGUCCUUCAAAGAUUAAGAAAAAUUGAGAUCAAUGAAUUCUAAAUAAAUUUAUAUAAAAAUUAAGAUAAUAUCUUUCAUCUAAAAUCUUAAAUAAUAUAUUUAUGAAUCCUUUUUUCUUAUUUAUGUCUUCUAUUUAUGACAUGUGAGAUUUUUAGAUUUUCUAGCUCAAAUUCCUAAGAGCUGUUUCAUGAAACCUUGUAUGAAUACUCUCAAAAUAAGUAAUCUCAAAAUGAGUUAAGUUCAAAACGUUCUUGCAUUUCGUAUAUUUGUUUGCGAAACUUUGUAUCCUUCUUUCUCUUCUGUAUUAAAAGCUUCUCCUUUUAUUUCUUCAAUUUUUUUUCCACCUCUAUACACUCAUUACUGAUUUGUACUUUAUCAGAAUCCAUUAACAUAAUCACAUGACCGAAGGGGUGUGGAUAAAUUUAUUGUUUAUUAAAACAUGAAAAUUACGUAAUGGAUUUAUAUUAAGCCCAAAAUAACACGCAUCAAAAAUUGCAAAUAAAUACAAUGAGACUGACCUCUGAUAAAGUGCAGCUGGCCAUUCCAAGGAAGUCUUGAUCUCCCAGUUUUAGUGUCUGCAAGAAAAGCACAUUAUAUUUUUUUUCUUAGCUUUCCACUAUAAACUUCAUGAGUCAUAACCAUUUACUAAUUCGGCAAUAGGAAGUGAAUAUAAAAUGUGGAGUAUUACAAUGCAAAAACACAUAUCUAAACUUUACAAGUAUACUUUCAUUUUAACAAAUUGGACCCCUUUCACUCUCAUUAUGCAUUUUAGUGAAGCAAUUAAAAAUUUGAUUUCUUUAUCAUUGAAGAUCAUAUAGAAACAUUUUAAAAAAUGAGAACAAAUUUCUUAGAAGUUACUUGCUACUGUGUAUUGGAGCAAUCAAACUAAAAAUAGCACAUUAAUAUAUUUAAGCUCUUUUCAUAAAAUAUUUUACAAUAUUAAAGAAAUGCUUAUAUAUAAUGUGAAUUUAAAUUCAAAUAAGAUACAAAUAAUUAUCGUAUAUAGUUAUAUGAUUUAUCCUCUGGUUAUAAAAAAAUUCGAAAAUACAAUACCAAAAGUAUAGGUAAAUAUUUUUCUUUUUAAAAAUUAAGAAAGCAGCAACGAGUUGACUGUUUUCUUUAACUCAGUCGAAUAGUAUCACUGUUAAGUCUUUAAUGAGCAAAACAUACAGGAAUAAUUUAUGCUCCACUUAAUUAAGCAUAAAAAUUUCGAGGUAGAGUUAUUAUGGUUACAAACCUUGGUGGGAAUACCAUGAUAUUUUGUAUCAAUGUCAUAAACAUGAAAUCUGGAAAAAAUGUAAAAUGAGGGAAAGGUUGUAAGUUAUUAUUGCAAUACAUUGUAUGUAUUGGAAUAGAAGCAAGACACAUGAAAGGAUAGCUUACUCAAGUGGUUGCACAAUUUCGAAGUGAAAUGCAACACUAAUUUUCUCUAUCCACUCUGGAUUCAAACAAUUCAUAAUUACUUCAGUGCGACCUAAUUCUUCACAUUUACCAUCUCUUUUCUUUGCAAAUACUACAACCAUGGGAUCACUCUGAAAUAAAAUAAGAAAACAAAACCAACUAAAUUAUGCUUGCAAAGGCCAAUUUUGAACAAUAUAUAAGAAAGAUUAUAUUAUAUUUUCAAGUUUAUUUAUAGACAUGUCCAUGAGUUUGUGGGGAAACUGUGACUCUAAUAAUAAAAUUUUGCAUUCUAUAUUCUAGUCUAUAGAAAAAUAGUACAUGCAUGCACUUUUUGAAAAAUAUUACUACAAACAUCUAAUAAUAAAAACUAUUUAAGACAAAUAGAAAGGUAUAGAACAUCGAAGAAAUUGAAGAAAAUGACAACCAUCUGGAAUCUAGGUAUCUAAAACAAAAUAUACCUUUGAUGCAAUGUCGCGAUCAAGCAAGCUGGAUGCUGAAAGAGAUAACUGCAGCAAAAAAUAUUAUAUGAGCAUAAGUAUUUGUCAACCUUGUCCAGGUUUAAACAAUAUAUAACAAAAUAGUAUAUUGAAAAUGAACAAAAAAAAAAAAGUGAACAGAAUAAAUUGAAAAACAAACAAGAGGUCAUGAAAUAAAAUACCUAAACAUUGUUAAUGAUAUGUUUAGAUUUAUUUAAAAUUAUCUAAAUGGAUCUCUUGAUUGCAAAAGAAUUUUUUUAAUUGUACACUAAAUAAUAGUAACGACACCAAACAGUGUAGGAUAAAAACUCAAUUUACACAGUCAUAGAAAAAAUAAAUAUGACUUUCAUAUUUGUAAAAUGAAUAAUGUUUUAUUUUGGUCACUAUUUGCUUCAUCUAUCUAAAAUUUAAAAAAAAAAUGUUAUAUUUUUCCCUUAUGAAAUGAAUUUUUUAAUUCCUUGUAAAAAAAAAAAUUAACCACUAAUUUUUAGUUCUCAAUUAAUAUUCAUUUUUAAAUAAUUAAGUAAUAUUUUGUAAAUAUUAAAAGUGUGUAAAAUAUCACACAUGUUGAUAUGUUAACAUGUAGUAUUAUAGGUACGUUUGUUUAUUUUAUUUUUAAGUUCUUAAUAAAAUAAUUAUUUAAUAUGAUCUUAACAUGUUUUGGAAAACUUCAAAAGGUAAAAGGAGGGAAAAGAUUAUUUCUUUUUUAUAAGUAAUUUUAUGAUUGCUUAUCGUAAAAAAAAAUACAAGAGCCGUAGAAAUAAAGUAAUUUAAAAAAAGAAGAAAGACAAACGCAUAAUAACUUUUGUUUAUAUAAAAAUUUCCUUAGCAAUUUCUUUUUUAUCACAAACAAAUAGAUCAUGGUAUCAAUAGCCCUAUUUGAUAUUUAGAUAAGUCCAAAAAUAAGUUGAAUUAUAUAAUAUUAAAAAAAUUAAGGAUUGACUUGGGAUCAACAUAUAAUAGGAUGAAAUAAAAAUGUAACAUGAUAAAAGUAUUAAUUCUAACUAAUGUUUAGAUUCUUUUAUGAUAAGGAUAAAAAUAAAAUGAUACAAAUCAUAACAAUGAUAACAUUGGUAACAUCAUCAUUAAUAUAUUGAUGGUGGAAACAAUCAUGGGUAGAAUUACCUACAGUUAUUAUUUUAAUUAUAAUAUUAUUAAUAAUGAUAAUUGUGAUCAUAAUAAAAGUAUUAAGUUGAUAAUAUGGUAAUUAAUUAAUUAUAACAAUGGAAGCUGUUGUGGUUCGUAUGUAUAAGUCACCAACAAUAACAAACUUGGAAAAAGUAGUAAUGACAAUUGGGAGAGGAGGAUGUGGAUGUGGUAUAGAUGACUCAUCCUUAUUUUAUUAGAAGUAAAAAAUUAUCUCAGAAGAAAUUGUUUUUUAUAACAUUUUACUAUUUUAUAUAGUGAUUAAAUAAUCUUUUACCAAAAAUAAAAAUCACAUAAAAACACAUGAUAGUAUAAAUUUUAUUAAAAUACACAUUUCUUUACUCUAAAGUCAAGUAAUUAUAUAAAAGAAUAAAAAUUAUCAAAUUUAUAUUGGAAAUAAAUCCAAAAACUAAAGAAAAAGAGAAGGUUUAUAAAAGGUGUUUUAGUAAUUUGAAACAAAAGUUUUAUAUAUAUAUAUAUAUAUAUAUAUAUAUAUAUAUAUCGUGUAGUUCUAUUCUUUUUACUAAGUAAAGAGUCAAUUUCUUGCGUUGAAACUCUUCUUCCUUCGUCCCCUAUCGUUUAUGUUAAGUCUUUUCCGUGCCGUUUCCCUCUCUUCCACGUUUGGUUUGACAAUACAAUAAAAAGACUGAUCUCCUUAACAAGGUUUAAAGCACAACGAUAACUAAAUAUAGUAAAAAAAUGGAAGAAGAAGAGAAGUUCAUCACAACAUUUUCUUCCAUUUUUUAAAAAGACAAAUUAAACAAAUCGAAGUAUACCUAGUCAAGUCAACAAAAUAAAAAAAGAAAACGAUGGCGAUAGUAACGAGGUAGGUUGAACAAUGGAUAUCAAUGUGACAAGAAUUUAUGAAAAAAUUACGAUAAUGAUUUUAUGGAACUGAGAAAAUUAUGAAGAAAAAAAAAAUGAGUACCUCAACUUGUGUGAACAUUUGAUGAAACCCUUGAGACCUGUAAAAGAAAUCUACGGCGUCGUUUUCUGCAUUGACGGCUUCACCUAACCCUCCCACAGCUUGUUUCCCUCCUUGCAUAUCAGAAAAACACCCUCCCAUUCUCUUAUCCUCCCUCUCUCCCUCUCUGAAAUUUUCUAAUUUCCAAAAUGCCAACGAAACACUGUAAAAGGGAUUAGGGUUUUGUUUCCUGAUAUUAUAAUUAUUAUUUAUUAUUAUUUAUUUAUUCACAAAAUAAUAAUAAUAACAAUAAUAAUAACGGUCUGCUAAAAAAAUGACUAUACGGUAAAACUAACAAACUUUCUGCAUUGCCUUCAUACCUUGGCUUUUAUAGCUAAACAUAGCGCGUCUCAUAUCUUUCUUUUCACGAAACUUUCAUGUAAUUCCUUCACGGAGUCAAACAAAUCCCGCGGACAAAAUAAUAUUCUUAAAAGAUGAACAGAAAUUCAAAUCAUUUUCGAAAAUAGAUAUAUCAGAAGAAAAGUUCAAUCUUACUCAUUUUCCACUGUGAUUUCCUUGCAAUAGGAUUGUAGGAUACAGGUUCCCUUAUUUGUUUUUUUUUUAAAUAAUCUCAUUUAUAUUAUAAUAAAGCUAAAGAUAGUUAGACACAGAAAUAUAUGUUAUGCAAACAAUAUUUCUUUUACGUGUGUAUCGCUGUGAUUAGUUUAUGUUGGUGUUUAUGAUUAUUAUGAUUGAUUAUGAAGUAAUUUUAGACUAAUUACAAAAUAAUAUGUUCAAAUCUUGUCAAAAAAAUAUUGUCAAAGUAUCAUUAUUCGCAUACAAAUUAUUGUUUGGAUUAUAAUUACAUCUUUUUAACAUUGCAUUACUUUCAAAAAUCUAUACUUUAAUUUUUUAACUUUACUAUAUAUGUACAUUUUUUAUUAUAUCUUAUAUUCUCGUUGUUAAUAGGUAACUUUAUAACUCAUUAUUCACUACGCGUACUCGUUUUAUUGUAAAUUUAUGUAGUUAAAUAAAACUUUUUAGAACUGUGUUUUAUUUUUUAAAGAUUUAAAAUGAAUGAGGGAAAUAGGAGAAGAUUGACAAUAAUAAUAAAAAUAUAUCAUGACAUCAUCAUUUACAUAACACUUAUGAGAUAAUAAAUUUUUAAAUAUGUUUUUCAUAUAUUAUUUGAUUUUAUUAUAUUUUAUUUUAAUGUGAAAUCACACAAUUGAAUUUAAAUGAAAAUAAAACAUUUCUUAAAAUGAUUUAAUUAGAAUAUAUAGAAAUCUCAAAAAAUUUCUUACAGUAAUUUGAUUUACUAUUUAUAUGGUCAUACUAUUGAUUUCAUGAUUAUUUGAAAGUUUAAAUCUAAGUUAAGGAAUGUUAGUGAGUCUAUAUAGAGUUAAUUUUAUUCCAUUUAAUUUUUUAUGAAGCAAGAAUUUUGUGAUUGAUAGGCUAUUUAAUUCACUCAUUUAAAAAUAUUUUGCUAUUCUAAUCUACUCUAUAUACUUAUUAUAAUACAAGGGAAUUGACUCGAGUCAUUUUUUUUUAUAACAAUACAAUAAAUUAUUUCAUAUUAAAAUAUCAAUUUACUUAAUUUAAUAAAAAAAUUAAAGAUUUAAAUUAUUCAAAUAAUAUUUUAAAAUAUAAAAUUAUUAACUUUUAUAAUUAAAAACAAUUAUAUUAAUAAACUUAUAAAAGAAAUUAAUAAAGUGUUGUUCACUUUCAACUCAGUUUCAAAUCUAUUAAGUAAAUUGAACUUAAAUAUUUUUUAAAUCUUAAAAGUGUAUAAUUUAAAAUUUUGAUAAUACGUUUUUUAAUAUCUUAUUUUAGAAAGACUUAGAGUCUACUUCACAUGUGCUGACUGUAAAAGAAAGAAAUGAAAAAUGGUAGUUGAAUCAUGAAAACAUCACUAUACUUUACAAUUGUCUCUGCAAACACUUGACAACCCUUCCAACGGGCAUGUCAGAAACAUAAUUGACUUCUGAAAAUAUUUAAUUAUAAUUAUUGGUGAUUUAAAUUUUAUUUUUUAGAAAUUGGAUUUUUCUUUGUGAUCAUUGUUACCUUAAUUUUUUAAUAAUUACAUUAUUUUCAAUCCAUUUUCCAUCUUUAAAAUCAAUAUAUUCUUCCAUAUCCCGAUAGUUUCAAGAAUAAUCACGUAUCCUAUUAUCAAUUAUAAUUAGUUAAUAGUCUUGUUAAUUAUAUCAAUAAACUCAUUAUAAAUAACAACUCAGAUACAUCUUUUCUAAUUAAUUUAAUAUAUUAGCACUAACAUAUAAAUAAUUAUUACAAUUGGUUGUGAAAAAACUUGCUCACAUAUUUUAACAAAAUCUUUAAUUUUAUAACGGAUCUAAAUCAGGAAUAUGUUGAAAGUCUCACAUCCAAUAGAGAUUCAUAAUAUAUAAAUGGGUGCAAACUUCACUUACAAGCCGGUUUUGUAGGAUUCAAUUAGGCUUAAAGUCUAUUCCUAACAUGAUAUGAGAACCAUUGUUAAAGUUUGUCCUAACAAUAUUUGUUAUUUGUUGAGCAUAUUGUUUCAACUACCAAACAUGAUAUAUAUUUUUUAAUUAAUUCAAUAGAUUAAAUUUACCUUAAUAAAGAAUUUAAAAAUAUCACAUAACUAAUUUAUAAACACUUACAUUUUAAAAUGAUUUUUUUAGGACAAUACCAUGAUUACUAAACUUAAAGACGACAAAUAUACUUAAAAUUGUAAUAAAAUAUAUUACAAAACAAUAACAGUAUAAAAAAUACAACAAAACAGUGCAUAAAUAAAAAUAAUAAUUGACCAUAUAAAAAUCUCAUCAAUUAAAUAUUAAAGUCGUAUUAUAUUAUAUACUAUAACAUAGGAAAAUUAAGUAGAAACUAAGAAAUACAAACUAAUAACAUGGUGGUAUCCGUUCAUAUUUAUACUACAAUUUCCUUUUUAUGUAAAUAAUAGCAAACAAUUGUCUUCUACGCGUAGUUCAAACUAAGAAAGAGUAAACAAAGAAUAAUAAAUAAGACAACGUUUUAUCCAAAGACUAAUUGGAUAAAAUAAAUAUAAAUUUGGCUUGCUUCAUCAAAUGAAUUUGUAAAGACGUGGAAGUUUUCAAUUUCUUGUUUGAUUAUAUAUAAUCAUAGUUUUUACCAAGCACAGUCUAACAACACUAUCUGUAAUUUAAUUAUUUUUAUAUGUUUCUGACUUAUAUCAAAGACUAUCAAUUUGCUAAAUAGGUGUAGGUGUUUAAUUUCACUAAUUAAACAUGAAUAAUAUGUUUCUAUUAAAAAGUCCACUCUAAGUUUAAUGGAUAAUGAUAUUUAGAUAACAUUUUUUUGACAACAUUUGAACAUUGAUUACAUGUCAAUAUGUGAUUCGUCAAAAAUCAUCCUACAAUCAAUAAUAAUAAUCAUAAACAUUAUUGUGGAGUGAUUUUUGACCAAUCACAGAUUGACACGUAAUCAAUGUUCAAAUGUUGUCAAAAAAAUAUUGUCUAAAUAUUAUUAUCCAAGUUUAAUUGAUCCUUCUAAGAUAAAAUUAAUUUCUUAUACUGUAGUUUAACUUUACCUUUAAUUAAUAUAAGAUUUUCAAUAUAUUUUUCAUACUAAGGAUUGAACAUCUUCAUUACAAUGAAGGAUUAUUUAUUUGUGGGAGAUUAAUGCAUAUUCGAUCAUGAAUGAUACAUAAGCUCAAUAACAAAAUGUUAUUGGAAUGGAUUCUGAUAUUAUAUAAGGGAUAAACUUUAAACUUUAUUUCAUUUCACAAGUAAAAUAAAAUUUGUUAUAGUGUAAUUUGAUAUUAUCUUAAAUAAUAAAAAUAACUAAGGGAUCCAAAAUUAUUAUGUUAAAUAUCAUCUAGUAUCUAAAUCAAUUAAUUAAAAAAAUUAAUCCGUCAUUUAGAUAUUUGAUUUUUCUGAAUGAAAAUGCAUUAUAAAUAUGAAUUGUUCACUUAUUAUACUCGACUUUUACAUAAUAUAUAUAUAUAUAUAUAUAUAUAUAUAUAUAUAGAUAUAGAUAUAGAUAUAUACUACAGGUUUUGUUAAAGAAAAACGUAAAUACUUUUAAAAUAUUAUAAUAAUCAAUUUAUUAUACACGUAACCUUUUAUUUUAAUAGUACAAACAUUUUAUUAUGAAUAUUCAUAAUAUAAAUAAUCUCAUAUAUAUUAUAUAUCAGUACAAUAUUAUAAAGAAGUACUAUAACAACAGUAUUCGUAUACAAUUUUAAGUUAUUUUACUAUGAUUUUAUUACAAGAUUAUAUCUAACAUGAUUUAAUAUCGUUCAACUACUCAUAUAAUUGACUUUUCAACCACAAGAGUUGUCUCUAUCACAUGUAUCUUUCUCAACUACAAUCAUCAUACACACUCAUAUUAAUUAACAGGUCUAUCAUCAUCACAAUUUCAUACAUCAUUAUACACAUGCAUAUUCAUUAAUGGAUCCAUAAAAAAUUCUAUAAACAACCAUAUACCUUCUUUCAUUCCAAGACCAAAACAAUAAAUAAGAAAUGUUUUUCACAAAAAAGAAACAAACAUAAAAGACUAAUUUUCCUAACAAGAGAGCUCAAAUCAAAGAUUCCACUUGCCAAAGUAACAAUUCACGUGUUUAGAAUCUUGUUGCCAGAACUUCAAUUCUAUCCAAUAGUUAAUGAAGUAGGAAUCCCAUAUUUUCCAAGAUGACGUAGAUAAAAAAAAAUUAGGGUGGCACCCGAUGCUACAACACCCCCCUAACCCACUGAUUUAAGUGCUUUUGGUGGUCUAAAAGUGGCAUCCAAUGCCCUGAAGUUAUUAUCCAUCUUCUUAGUACGUCCGAUGGUGCUACAAUGUUGUCCAAUGGUGUAUCAAUACUCAAAACUCCAUCUUUGAGCUUUAAUUGAGUAAAUUGACUCUUCUUGAGUUAAUUCUCACUUAGUAAACUUUCGAACACUUAAAAUUUAAUGUUUUUAACUCGAGUCGGGCCAGAUUACUCAAUUAAAGAAUCUCACAUAGGCUUUACAACUCUCCACAAACCAUAAAACUCAUUAUUUCAACAUAUCAUAAUACAUACAAAAAUACAUAUCUAAAACAUAUUAAAUCAAAGUUCAUAUCGUAGUAAAUCACGGUUCAACACACAUAUAACUAGAAAAAUAAUUUAUAAAGAGAUGUUAUAUUUUAAAUUAAUGAAACUCAUUUAUAAUUCUUUUUAUAUAAAUCCUUUUAAUAUUAAAAUAACUUAUUCUCAUUAAUUUUAAAUCAUUAUCAGUUUUAAAAUAUCAUUUUCUAUAAUUUAGUUAAAUAAAAGACCAUAAAAGAUAUAUGUCAUUAGUAUAUUACAGUUAAAUUAAAUUAUUUAUUUCAAAAAAUGUUUUUUUUUUUGGUAAAAUUUGUUAGGUGGAUGUUAAUUUUAAACUAAGUAUUAUGGUCCUAGUCUAAUUGUUAUUGUAGGUAUGGAUUGAGUGACGUUAAGGACUAGUUAGUUGUGGGUUGUUUCUUGGUGAACAACACUCCUUUCAACUAUAUAGGGAUCAUCUCCUAAAAUAUUGUAAAUAUAAAUGUUAACAAAAACCCUAUUUAAUUCUUAUAAUUUAGAAUACACUUUUAAUUAUCAACAUUAUCAUAUUAAAACGAUUUUCCUUUUUGUAAAUGUCACUUUUUUAUUUAGUAAACCUUAGUCAUAAAAUUUAUAGUUUUUAAUAAAAAUGUAAUGAUAAAAGGCAUGUAUAUUUGUGAGUGUACUGUCUUUGUAUUUACUAAGCUAAUUGAACUAAAUAUUGGUUUAAAAAUUAAAAAUAUAUUUUCGAGUUUAUUAUUAAAUAUAUUAUUGACUAUGAGUAUUGAGAGAAAAUAUCAGGUAUUUGUGGGUUGGUUCAAUGUUAGCUAUAUGUCUACUGAAUCAGUUGAAAAGAAAUAUAUAUAUAUAUAUAUAUAUAUAUAUAUAUAUAUAUAUAUAUAUAUAUAUAGAUAGAUAGAUAGAUAGAUAGAUAAAAUCAUCAUAUUGAAUAUGAUAAUUUUACUAAGAAAUUGCCAAGUUGACUCCCUUAUGUCUUAGAAAUAUUGAAGAUAGUAUUGAAUAGUGUCUCUUGUUGGCAGAACAGAACAUCAAUAUCCAAACUCAUCCACGAAUGAUAUAUAUAAUAAAGUUAUUAGUGAGUUUUACUUUUCAAAGUUAAAUUGUAAGAUUGAGUUAAAUCAUAACAUGAAUAUUUGUAAGUAAAUUUAGAUGAACUUUUAUACGUAAUUUCUGGUUGAGAAAUCUCGAUUCUGAAUAAAAAAAGAAUUUGAACUAGAAACAAUUUUGGAUAAUUUUUUUUGUAUGAAAUGAAACAAAAAAGUAUACAAAAAUUUAAUGAAAACAACAUUAAUUUAGAAUCAAUUUUGCAAACGUGUAUAUGUAACAUGAUAAAGAUACUUUUAUUUUGAUAUGUUUGUGAUUUAUUUAUAUUGAUAUUUAUGAUUAUUAUUAUUAAUUCUAAAAUAAUUUUAAACUGAUAAAUAUUAAAAUAUUAUUAAAAAUGUUGAGAAAUAUCAUUAUUUAUAUAAUAUUCAACUGGGACCACCUUAAUGGAUUAGGGAAUACGUAGGUAGUCAACACGUUUGGAAUAAAGUAUGUCUGAAAUUGACCACAGAAAUGCAAUAGUGACAGAUACAUUAAAGUACAAUGCACAAUGAACUAUAUUCCGCCAUAGAAAUUGGAACAUAAAGCUCAAAACGAUGAACUCAUCAUGCUGAGAGGGCGUAGCAUAUAUAUGCAAUGUGACGCAAUCAAUUUUCUAAUUUUCUUCAACGAGUAUUCAAAAUUCAGUCAAACUUGUAUUCCUUUUUAAUCUGUGUGGAAAAGACAAAAGAUACAGAUAACUAUUGCUCAGAAUGAGGAUAGAAAGGGUGAGGAAAUGGAGGUUUUAAAUAGAAAGAUUUAACAAAUAAAUUAUAAAGAUAAAGUAAUUAUAAAUAAUUUUUUUAAAUUAAAAAAUAAAAUAUUAAAUUAAUAUAAAAAAAUUUAUAUACAUAAAAGUAUAAUUUAUUUUCAAACAAUGACCAUAUAUCACCCAAAACCAACAGCUCAAUCACUGCGUUCUGCUGAUACAGGGUGCAGACCCUAAGGAUAAACACAUUGUUAUCUUUUACUAGUCAAGAUUAUUAGUAUAGUCGAUGAGGAUUAUUCUUAAUUUGAAAAUUUUCGAACCUGAUUAUUAAGGUCUGAUAUAACACCAGUAGAUAAAGAGUGUUUAACUUCACACGCGUUUAACGAAAGAAAAUUCAAAGUAAAAAAUAAUCAAUAACUCUUUUGUAAAUAAAAUAUCAUUAUAAAAGUCGAUUCCUCAGAGUUACACGUCAAAUAAGGUAUAGACGUCGGUCUCCCAGAUCAGACGUCUAUGUUAGUCCCUUCAAAUCAGACGUUGACUACCUCAAAUCCUCCUUUAGACGUCGGUCCCCCUGUAUCAGAAGUCAAAAAGGACCAAAAAUAUCUCAUUUUAAGUGUCAAUAUUAAUUUUUUUUACAACAUAGACAUUGGCCUCCCAAAUCAGACGUCAAAUCAUCCUUUAGACAUCGCCUCCCAAAUCAGACGUCAAAUAAUCCUUUAGACAUCACCCCCAGAUCAGACAUCAAAAAGGUCCGAAAAUAAACGAUGCCUCCCAUAUCAGACGUCAAAUCCUCUGCCAAAAGCUACAAAGUCAGAAUUGAAAUGUCACUUUUUCAGACAUUAGAUGUCGAACAUAGAGGGGGUCGACGUCUAAUACACAUUAGAAGUCGGAUCCCCUUUCCCAAACAUCAAUAAGCUACAAAAAUAUCCAAAAAGUAGUGCUAAAAUGGAUUUUUUUAGUAAUUAGAUGUCAGAUGUGGAGGGGGGCCGACGUCCAAUGCCCUUUUAAACCUCAAACACUUAGAAUGCGAGUUUCACUUUCUUUCGCGUUUUUGUUUGGGUUUUUGCUUCGUUCGCGUUCGUCAUUGCUGCUAUAAGGUAUCUUUGAUUAAUUUUCUUCCAAUUAAUUUAUUUUGCAUCGAUUAACUUUAGUUUGCACCGAUUAAUUUUGGCUUAUGAUGUAGUUUUGCUCAUGAGUUGAUGAAUCUUGGCAGCGACAAUGAGUCUCCAAUGUCCAUUACUUGAAACUGAUAGUAUAUACAAUUUUAUGAUGUGCUAUAAUGAUUUUCUAUAUUUCAGGUGUGAAUGUUGUAGAAACAAAUUAAUUUAAAAACACAAAAAACAAAAGAGACUCGAUUUAGGAGAGGUCUAAAGUCAAAAUUAACGUCCGGGGAAGGGGAUGUGACGUGACGUCUCUCAAUAAGAUAUUAGAUCUGGAUUGGACGUUGAAUGUUUAAAAUAAUAGAUGUCAAAAGCCUUUUUACAGUAGUGUAACCUAUGUUACCAAUCAAGUUAUAUCAAUAUAUAUGUAUUUAAAAGAUUUUUAUGAAUUAUGGAGUAAAAUCACUUACUUAGAGGACUAUUAGGGAAUUCAUCUAGUCUUCAAGAUAACUUUGAAUAAUCUAAGUAAGAGACCUCAAUCCUUGUCCAAAACACCUACAUUGUCAAGUUAUAUCAAUCUAUAUGAAUUUCAAAAGUGAUUUUAUCAGUAAUAAACUUUAAAAUUUGUAAAAUUGAAAAUAGAAAUUCUUACAUGUAAAACUAAAAUUUAACAAAAAAAAAAAGACAUAAACUGAACGUCACAAACAAUAAUAUUUGAGCCUUAAGGAUUGUCAUAAUAAGAAUUGAGAAAUUUUUUAUAAGAUCAAAUGAUUCACAGAAUAACUCUAAUAAAAAAUAGUUUUUUAGUCUCAAAUGAUAGCUAAAACAUUAUGUUUGUUCUAUCAUAUGCAAAUUAUUUAUGCCUUUUUACAAAAGAAAAAAAAAACAUAACUAAUUUUAUAAAUUUUUAUUCACAAUAUAAUGAUUGAGCUUCUACUCUCGUUCAAAACAAGCAAUACAAAUGAGGGUGUUACUUUCUGCAAUCCUAUUUGUUCUUCUUGCACCGCUAAACUAGGAACUGUCCCUUUGACCCUUAUAAAUUUAUAAUAAAAUAGGAAAAGUUAAUCUCCACUUCACAGAGGAAUGAAUUUUGUAUUUGUUUUCGUAUUGUAUGUGAUGUCUCCGGUUGAGGUGUACGUUAGGAUUGAUAAAUCCGAAAUGUGUCGUCAAAUGUAUCAUCAAAUCUGAAAAAAUGCUUGUUACAAUACAUUUCUGAACGAGCAAAAAUACAUUCUUAAUUAUUUUUAUUUGACUCAAUAUAUAUUAAAGAGCAUAAUUAAUAAAAUUAGUUAAAGUUCUAUUAUGAAGUAAUUACUAGAUCAUAUCUGCAUGUUAUAAUUAAACUCUGAUCCAUGGUUAAGAAUGGAUAAGAUCAUUUAGUGUUCAAAGUUAGGCUUAUCAUGGGACUAAUAAAAGAACAUUGAGUCUCCUAGAACUCAUAAUGAAACAUUUGAUUCAUAGUGUCAAUAAUGGAACAUUCUAUCGUUGGAACUUAUAAUAGAAUAUUGGGUCCUUUAAGUUCUCCAUUAGGGAUAACAAAACAUUUCCUUUAUAUUUCAAUCGGGGAUUUAUGUUCCUAUCACACAUAAUAGUUUCACAUCGCUUAAAAAUUAAGGUCAAUUACAAUUUAAAUACUUCUUCCUCCUUUCAUCCUUUGAGAUGUCAUGAUGAAGUUUAGCUUUAACGUAGAUAAUACUUUGGAUAUAUGAUGAUUGACCAUAACAAUGUCACUCAACAAAUUUAGGAUCAAUCCUAAUGAUGUCACUCAACAAAUUUAGGAUGUAUGGUAAUUGACCCUAAUGAUAUCAUUCGACAGACUUGGAAUUAAAACAGUAAUACUCACCAUGGCCUAAAUUUUGGAAUACUGAUAUGAAUAUUAUUGGAUUUUUUAUUUUAGAUUUUCUUUUAUUUCAAAAUCUGGUUCUAAAAUUUUUCUUAUUUUUUUUUUUGUGGAUUUUCAGAAAUUAGAUUUUGAAAUCUAAUUUAUAUAUCCAAGAUUUUGAAAUCCUUUAUAUAUUUUCUUAGAUUUUUAAAUUCUUUGAAUUUUUACAAAUCAAAUUUCAAAAUUUGAUUAUGAUUUCUCCAAUUCCAAAAUCUAAUUUUAGAUUUUUAAAAGCUCGAUUUUGAAAUCAAAUUUUGAAUCUUUAGUUCAUCAGAAUUCAAAAUCCAAAUAAAUUUAAAUUGUUUUUGUUAAUCACAUUUCGAAAUCUUCUUAUAUUUUGAGUUUUUUUAUUUACUUAGAAAUCCAAGUUUUAGGAAUGCAAAUGGGUUUUAAAGUGGUAGAGGUGAAAGAUGAGAGGCAAUAGGGGUGUCAUGGCAUGCUGAAGAGUCUCAAAUAGGAUUUUAAACUCGAAUCAAUGUCAAAACCUAAAAACUGUUAUAAUUUAUAGAUAUGAACAAAUUUAAGGAUGCAGAAAGAAACUAGUAAGAUGCAGGAAGAAGCCCCCUUACAAUUUAUUAAAUUGUCCACCCUUCUUAGCAAAAUCUUUUGAACCAAUUUAUCUCUUUCCCUUAUCAUACGAAUCUCUAGAACUUGCGUUGAGCAUUGAACUGUUCAUGAUUUUGAAAUAUCUUUGCCUUCUCAAUGAUUCCCAUGAGCUAAUUUGAAAACCUAAAACAAAAUAAAAGGUUAGAUUAAACUAAAAAUUUGUAAUCUAAAUUGAAUUGGAUAAUCUUGAACCUGUUGAAUUUAUUACAUAAAAGAACUCCAAUUAAAUAAUUUUAAAAUUAUGUAUUAGUCUGUUUUUUAAUGUUAAAGUUAUAAUUAUUAAAAAAUAAAUUAUUUUAUUAAAAUAUGUUAUGAUUUAUAUAUUAAAAUGUUAUAUUUAAAAUUAUAAUUAAUUUUUAAUAUAACUUAAAUUUAAACCAAUUAUUUUAUAUUUAGAUUCUAUUUAUUUAUUUAUUUUAAAGCAAGUCAAAAUAAUUAAUUAUCGGAUAAAAAGAAUAGUCUAAUUAAAUAUGAAUUAGAUCGAGCUAACGUAUUAUCUAACCUGCUAGAACAAAACUAGACCAGCCGUUUAAGACUCUAAUUUAGAUAACUUAAAAAUAGAAAUAUCAUUUGUUAAAUUAUAAUAUACUUCCUCUUCAAAGAAUAACUAUAUUUGUUUCAAUGUAACUCAAUUUUUUGUAUUAUCUCUUUAAUUGAGUACCUUAUUUUCAAUUAUUCUAAUUCAAUAUGAUUCUUCUUUCGGUCAUCUAGUUUGCAUAGCAUGUUUUAAAAUUUAAUAUUUUUCUUUCUACAUUUGUACCAUUUUAAAAGAUUUAACAUUUAUCAGACAACCGUUGUUUUCCACUUCAAAUCUGAGCCGUUCAAACGCCAUUUUUUAUUUUAUUUUAUUUCAAUUGCAUUAUCUGUUUAUUAAUAGACAAUAAACAGAUUACAUGAAUAAAUUAAACAUUAAAUUAGAUGUAUAAAUUAUAUUCAAUCAAAAUAAGAUAUCAGAUAUAUAAAUUGGUGUCACUUGUAUAUUAAUAUUCUUAUCCAUUCGUCAUCCAAGACCCCAAUUUCCAAAAUGAAUCUUCUGCAUGUUAUUUGCUCCAUAUUAUGUAUAAAAUGAAGAAAAAGGCACAACACCACACAAACUGCAAAUGGUUAUAGAAUCUCUUCACUUUUGAUUCUCGUUCAUCCAAAUUACCUAAAUCAUGAUCUGAAUUUAGAACUCGAAGAUAACAUAAUUGAAUCAACUUAUAAUUCAAGUAUGAGUUUGGUAAUAGAAAAGUUCAACAAUGCUAUUGAUUUGUGAUAAUGAAACCCAGUUAGUUAAGAGAAUCCAACAAUUAACAUCAUAUGUGAUCAAUAACAGUGGAAUAUUCAAGUACUAUGAUUAUCAAGAGGGGAAAAAAAACCAUAAAUUUAUUGUCUUCAGAAAAAAAAAUAUAUUUUCAAUUGAAUAUAAUAUCAUGUUCACUUGUGUGAUUAGUUCAUAACCCCAUUUCCACAAGAAUAACCUCAGUUCUUCCUCCGGAAAAAUCUGUUUACCAAAAUACUCAUAUUCUUCUAGCUGGUAGUGUUCAAUUAAUUCAUGUCAGAUUCCCAGUAAGUGAAAAAAAACAUAUCAAUCGCGUGUGUCAAAGAGAAGGUGAUUAGUAUAGAUUAUGAUUUUUAAAUAUGAAAAUUUGUCAGGUGAGUGCCAAAAGUCCCCUUGGUGCAAUCCAAACUUUACAAGAUAUUGCAGAUCUAACUAACCUGACAUGUAUUACCUUGGGCCGAAUUACCCAAGAAGGUUGACAGUGUCGCUUAUAUUAUACUGGUAAAUAGCUGCUCAGAACCCCAAUCGCCAAACAUCUCGGGUAAUAACAUAGAAAAAGGUAGAAUUAUAUACUGAUACAGUCCACCAGGAUCAAAGUGUAUUGCCAGCAUAGAUCCUGCUUCAUCCUGUAAUGAUGUUAAAAUGAGGUGAACACAAGACAUCAUAACAAACGGGACAGUAGACACAGUUAAGGAAUGUCGAGUUCCAACCCAAGAUAACCCAUCCUGCGCACACAGAUGAAAACAAAAUAUAGCCAGAAUGCGUUAACAGCUGCUUUAACUAAUGUAACUCAAAAAACAUGAAACGAGGAUCCCUUCAACACAAUUCGAUACAUGGCUGCUUCACAGUAUAGCUGGUUAAACAAUAUAUAACAAAACAUAGAUUCCCUACCACGAACAAAGUGUACAAGAGGGUAUAGAAAUACUUCAGUUUAUUGGUACGAAAGAACCAGGAACUGAAGAAGGAUCAAGCUCCCAACACCCUCUGAGAUGCACAUUGUCCCUGUGCUGAAAAGCAGGAAUCUGAUGUGAAAAUCUGCCAACCUCUUCUCUUAAUAUUUCAAUUACACCAGUUUUAGAUCUCUGAAUUCUAGGAGCUCUGAAAAUUGUCUUGGAGUUGCUAUGUGGCGUCAGAACAACAACCUGUAUACUCUUCUCACUAUCUGCUAAUACUUCUACUAUAUCACAUUUACCUUUGCCCUGCUUUGAAGAAGCCAGCUCAUAGUUCUGGUCCCCGUACAGAGCCCAAACCUCACCUUUUCUAGGGUAAAUUUCAUAUCUAUUAUUUACCGAGGGUUCAACUUUUAACUGAUGAGAGAAUGCAGAGAGAGAGAGAAUCUGUAAUUUGCCUUUUUUAACUUCGAAGGUGCCACAAGAUAUUGUUCUUUUAAGAUCACCUGACGGUGAGCACGGUUCAAGCAUGGAAACCUGCAAUCUAAAAUUAGGAGUGAAUUCAAUCUUCUUAAUUUGAGCGUAAGUAUUGGGCAUAUAAUCCCCAUCACAAUAUAUUGCCCAUAUCUGACCACACUGAAAAGUCUUUUCAGAUUUUUCCUUCUUAAAGUCGUAACAUGAUUCUCCAAACUGAGGAGUGUUGCUACUCUUCAGAUUAUUGCUGUUUUUUGAAUGAUUAACAGUCAACUUACAUGUCCUUUCAGUUGCAUCUCCUAGAACAUUUUUCUUGCUUAGAUCUUUAUGCAACUUAUUCAAUGUCUCUCCAUCAUAACUAUUUUUCUCGUGUUUCUGAGGUUUCUUGACCUUCCUCUCAUUAGUAUGGGUCGAAGCAGCGCUUCCUUCUGGGGGACUGUAGUCCCUGUGGUCAAUGUUUAUGUCAUCCUUUCUGACCGUGAAUUGAACAGUGCUUGCUUGGCCAUUGUCCAUAUUUUUUUGGCUCGAUCUUGGAGACCUUCUGAGAAUUUGUGCUGUUCUGUCGGCAUCAAUAGUCUCUUGCAACUUUGAUUUGUGAAUACUAUCAUUAGAAGUUGCCUGUUCAACUUUAGAGUUUGCAUAUUCCUGGUGGGAACAAUUGACUCCAUCCGUUUUCGCAACACCAGUAUCACCAACUUCAAAAAGACAAGUAGGCAGACCAGCAGGAUCAAGUUCAAAAGAUCCACUUGGAACACCUUUCCUUUCAGCACCUGUCAUCUUGUAAGAAGGAAUCCGAUGAGAGAACCUGUACAUCUCACGAGGUGAUACACAAAAUAAGCUAAUACCAUCUAAUACAGUAUGUUGAAAGAGACUAACAAACCCUGCCACUUUGCCAAGAUAAGCAACUUCAAUGCCUAAAUUUUCAUCAAAAUCUGAUAGAACUUCCACAUAUUCAAAUUCGUACUCAAAAUGCUUUUCUGGAUUUGAACUCCAUCCAAGAUCCCAAUGUCUGAAAAUUGCCCAAAUUUCUCCCUUCUUUGGGUAUAUCAGAUAAGUAGUCCUACUUCCUUUUAUGCAAUGCAUCUGAUGAGAGAACAUAAAACGAUCUGUAGUACUCUGAGAAUGACCAAGUCUGAACUUACCACAAGCAAUAGGCAAACCGGCUUUAUGCCAGUCAAUCUCACCUUGGUCAUCUGAGUCAGCUUCUAGCCAAGUAAUCCGCAACGUGAAAGGGGAGUAGACUUUCUUCACAAGAGCAUAGAAUCGUGGCAUACCAUCAAUAUUGUCAAAAAUAGCCCAUAAUUGAUUAACAGCAAAACAAUCCUCUGCCUUAUCUCUCUCAAAAUCACUGAAAUCUGCAUCAGGACAGACAAUCUCUGAAUUGGGAGAUAAAUUUGACUUCGAUGGAGAACAAUAGACAGCUUUAGACUUUCUAUCAUUGAGAUCUGAGUUCAAUACCUCCUUUCCUUGCACAUUAGUCUGCUCAACUUUGGCUCUAUUCCUUAUAAUUGUUUCUUCAUGUAGUGCACCUGCUUUAUUUCUUGUCUCCCCAUUCUGAUCACCAUCACCCGUUGCUGACACUUCUUUUUCCUCUACUCUAGGGAUGGUAGAUGAUUCAUGAUGUUGUGUACUUUUGGAUGAGCUUCCAAAAUCACCAGCUUUAUCAGUUUCUGGGUACAGAACAUGCUGUUUUUUCCUUGAAGUUUUCCUAGAAGGAUCAACCGUAUUUUCUUGAUCCUUGGAGUCUUUCAUGCCUUUACCAUCUCCAGCUUUGUUAUUAUUAUAUGAUCCUGACUGCCUUGCUCUUUUACAACCAACCUUCAUUGAGGCUCGCGAUUCCUUGGUUUUCGACGCUUUAACAUCAGCCUUUGUCACUCCUGCAGCCACAUGGCCAUUUCUGCCAUUUGCAACUUUAGAAUUGGCACCAACUCCCGCAGUGGAUUUUGACAUGGGCACACCCUCUUCUUCUCUACCACGAGAUUUUCCACCAUUGCCUUUUGAUGCUUCUUUAGACGAUGCAUGUUUUGCAGACCCUUCGUGAUUAUUGAAAGGUGACCAAUAUGUUUGUGCCACAUUGGGGUUCCCCAUAUCAUGAGCUGUAAAGGGUUUAGAACACUGUUGACAGCGUAUGGUCUGAUUUAAAAUAGUUUUGUAGUAUUGAUAUCUAGUAUUACAAUGACAACAACAUGUCCAGAAUGUCGAACUUUCAAACUGAUGAUAUGGAUUCCAAGCAUGAGACUGUGAAUUAAAAAUGUUCUGAUAAUUCCUUGCAUUUCCAUUUGGGUGACAAGGGGCGACCUUAGCUGCUGUAUUUCCCGCUGAAACUCCAAAUUUUGAAUCAUACAGAGUACGCUUUGAUUGAUCGGUUAACACUCUGUUAGCUUCACCAACCAACUUGAAAGCAGCCUCUGCACCAGCAGAUUUAUUUUUAUCAGGAUGAAGUAGCAAUGCAAGCUUUCUAUACUGUUUCUUAAUGGUUGCUUCAUCAGCAGAUUGUUGAGUCUGGAGAAUUCCAUACCAGUCCAUGUCAGACCCAGAGGGUUUCUUCUGAGCAGCACAGUGGACCUCACAAACUGCAAGGAUCUGAACAAUGUUUUGAAUAUCAGGAAACAGCCUUUGGGCUUUUGUAGCAAAUUUCAGCCCCCCUUCAUAGUCACCAGCUUGCAUCUUAUUUUCAGCAAUCUGCUUAGCCCUCACAGCUUCAUCUUUGUUGCACUCCAUCAGUUAGUUGAAAUCAAAACCCAAUUCACUGCAGUUCUCUGAAUUUCGUGACAACACAGAGAGGAAAGAACACCUGCCGAUUCAGAAAUUCACCACCCAGUCAGUGUGCAACAUUUUCACCUGACCAGCGCAAGCCAAACUGCAAAUGAACCAUUUAAUAAGAACUUCAUUCAUAACUUGAAUAAAGUAAAUAAAGACACAUUUAAUAUAAUAAUAUGUUUAAGUAACUAUCUAUCUCAGUAACAGCUAAAAAAUAGAUAUGAUGUCUAAACCAUUAAAUCCAGGAUGAAUAAAUUUUCAUUGCACCUCAAAUACUACCAAUCAGGUAAAGUUCUGCACCAUUAACACCCUGUAUGGCACAGCUUACAAUGCUAAGUUUACACCCUAUUUUGCUACCUCAACCCCAAAGCUUUUGCAUAAUCGUUUGGUCAUGUUGAAGACGAUAGUUCCUAGUCUUAGAAAACUUCAAGCAUUGGAAUAUGAAUCACACCGCCUAAGAAAACAUGUUAGGUCACCAUUUUCAAAACUAAGUGAAAACAAAUGUAACUCAGCUUUCUAAACCAUUCAUUCAAAUAUUAGGGGACCAAGGCUUGUCACAUCUUUUGAAUUUAGAUAUUUUGUAACCUUAAUUCAUGAAUUCUCCCAUUGUACUAGGGUUUAUUUAAUGAAAGACUUUUAAACUUUUGUCCAUAUUUAUGUCCUUUAAUUAAAUUAAGAACCAAUUUGGAAAAGUAAUUAAAUUCUCCUCUAGUAACAAUGCUAAAGAAUAUUUUUCCGUUAAACUUACUUCCUUCUUAUCCGCAUAAGAUAUUUGACAUAGUCUACUUGUCCUCUCACACACAGCUACAAAAUGGCAUUGUUGAGAGGAAAAAUAAACAUCUCAUUGAAACUGCAUACUCUCUAAUGUUGAAUAAAAAUGUUCAUCUACAUAAUUUGGGAGAUGAGAACAAGUUUUUUAAUAAAUAGAAUGCCUUCUUCCUCUCUUAAAAAUCGAAUUCCUCACUCUACCAUUUUUCCAAAUGAUCCCUUAUUUCAUGUUUCUCCUAAGGUAUUUGGUUGUACUAGUUUUGUUCAUAAUAUAUCUCCAAGUUCAGACAAACUCUCCACAAAGGCUAUUAAAUUUGUUUUUAUAGGAUAUUCUUGUCUUCAAAAGGAUACAAACGUUAUUCUCAAACUAUUAGAUGAUAAUAUAUGUCAAUUGGCCACCUUUACUUACAUACUGACACAGAACAGAAAGAGUUCCUCCCACUCUUCGAGAAGUCUUUACAAAAAGAGCUCCCUCCCACUCUUCGAGAAGUCUCUCAUGAUUUAGAACCUCCUCCUCCAGCUUCCCCAACCAUGGAUCUUUUUUCAUCAACUCUUUCACAUAACUCUUCAAAUUGGCCUAUUGCUCUUAAGAAAGGUAUUCAGUCUACUUGUAAUUCAUAUCCUAUUUAUAAUUUUUCGAGUUAUCAUUGUCUAUCUCCAACUAUUCUUUUAUUUAUUUUCUGUCUGCCACUAUUGUUCCCAAAAUUAUUCGAGAAACUUGAUCAUUCUGGUAACAAGUCAUGAUUGACGAAAUGUAGGCUCUUACAAGCCAUGGCACAUGGAAGCUUGUUCUUCUUCCAUCAGGAAAGAAGAUUGUCAGUUGUAGAUAGGUCUAUGUUGCUAAAGUUUGACCAAGUCAAGUGGUGAAGUUGAUCUUCUUAAAGAUCAAUUGUGGCCAAGGGAUAUACACAAAUAUAUGGACUUGACUCCUGUAAUACUGUCUCUCUCAUUGCUAAAAUUUAAACCAUUUGGUUUUUUCUUGCAAUUUGCUACUCAACAUUGGCCACUUCACUUACUUGACCUUAAAAAUGUUUUUCUUCAUAGUGAUCUUGAAGAGGAAAUUUACAUAGAGCAACCUCAUGGGUUUAUCACUUAAGGGGGUAACCUAUUCUAGUGUGCCGCUCUCUUUAUGGUCAAAAGCAUUCAUCCCAAGCUCGGUGAUAGUUUCCUAGAUAGAGGAAUCCAAGAACACCACUGCAAAACACCCAAACUCACUGAAAAGAUCAUGUAUUAUUGAUUUUAGGCACAAAGAACAGCAAGAAUGCCUCCAAGGGACAAUGUUCCCUUCACACAGGAUGCCAAUGAUCCUGUCAACAAUUCUCUAAAACAUCCAAAAACAUCCCCUGCCUACAAAGAAUGAAUGGUAUAGAAGCAAGAUCUGCAGGUGUUAUAACAUCAGGAAAUUCAGGAUAUGAUAUUGUAACUGCUCUAGUGGAUGCAGCCCUGGACACCAAGGCCUCAACUGGGUCGCUCCCUAACUCCACUGUUUUAACCCCAGGCCUCGACAAUUCUGCUCCCUCCUCAUCUGGUUUACUACUCUGUGCAGAUAUAUCCUCCUUCUUCUCUUCAUCAUUAGCCAAGUACUCUCCUUCUUUAGAGAAUUUCUUGCCUUUCUUGCUGUUUUGUAGACUAUCUUUCUCAGCAUCCAAUCCCGUUUUUCCCUUUUUCUUUCCUUUCAUGAGAUUUCUCACUUCCUUUUGAACCCCUUCCAUGAUUUAUGCGUUUCUGCGGCGUGUCUUUCUUUUCUUGGAUGAUUUCUCUUAUUUCUUGCACACUUUUUCUUUCUUUUCUGUCAUGGCUCUUCCUUGUUGGCCCCUUUCUCCAAAGUAUUUACUCUUUCUUCCAUCACCUCCGAAUACUUUUCAUAAAACCUCUGAACAUCUCCUUGAGUUCUUGAUCACCCUCUUUUAAUUCCUUUAUCGCCCUUUCUACUGCCCUAAUUCUUCCUUCCACUGUUUUCCCUUUUCUAGAUCUGGCAGGUGGGACCAAAUUGAUAGGUACCUAGAUAGAGGAUCCAAGAACACCACAGCAAAACACCCAAACUCACUAAAAGAACAGCAAUAAUGCCUCCAAGGGACAAUGUUCCCUUCACAUAGGAUGCCAAUGAUCCUAUCAACAAUUCUCUAAAACAUCCAAAAACAUCCCCUACCCAAACAAAAUACUCAAAUUAUAGGGCCUUAUGAUGUAGUUUGAGUUGUCCUAUUAAUAGAAGAUCUACAAGAUAUUGUCUAUUCAAUGGGCGAAAUAUUGUCUACUCAAAGAGCAAGAAACAAAAAUGUUGUUUUUUGAUCCAUAAUAAAAGCUAAAUGUAGAUAUAUGGUCCUAACUACUUAUGAACUUGUGCAGAUCAAACAACUCCUUCAAGCAAGGUUGUCAAACUCAAGAGUUUUUGUAAACUCAUGAGAGUUCGAUAAACUCGACUCGUAGACUCGACUCGUAGACUCGACUCGUAGACUUGUAAGAGUUUACUUUAUAUGAAAAAAAAAUAAAAAAUAAUAUUUUAAUUUAAAUAAAUCCACAAAUUUAUAUAAUUUCAAAUAAAUAAAAUCAUAAAAAUAUUGUUCAUAUAAAUAUUAUAAAACAUAAAUUAAAAUGUUGAGUGUAAUCCUUUAAUAAUGAAUUUGAUGGCUUUCAAAGCAUAAUAAAAUAAGUUUUUUCUCUACAAAACAUAAAAACCAAGCAGCAAAGGACUUUCUUUAGAACUUAAACACACUGCAACAUUGUACUUAACAUAGACACACAAACAACUAAACAAUGCAGAGACCAACUUGAAAACAAUGCAUAGCUAAACUUAAAAACAUAAGAAUUUGAGACAAUGACCACCACUAAUAAGGGUGAAACAGCGGCAUGCAAAGGAGGCACGCGACCACCACUGACAGUGAGAUGGUGGGCGACGACAAGCAAGGCACUCGCGACGGCAAACGAGUGAGCUCGCGAAGGCUCGAGCUAGGGCACAAAUGAAACCGCAAGGAACGAAAAAGAUGAAUUGAAAGAACAAAAGUAAACCCUCGAUGAAUCACAAGAGAGGAACGAAGAAGAUAAGCUUCGCCACUAAUCCUAAAUCAGAAAACCUAAUCAACCUAAUCCGAUGAGCCAAAAAUGACUUCCUUUUACAUUUUAAAAUUUUCUUCUCAAACUCGCCAAAUCAUAAGCAAGCUCGCGAUUUCAAGCGAGUCUAUCAAGUCCACCAAUGAAUCUAUCGAUUUUACACCAUUUCCAAGUUUGUUUCCGAGUUAACUCGAAAGCACUGAAUGAAGUCGUAAACUCGACUGAGAGUUAACUCGAGAAUUUGAUAACUAUACCUUUAAGUGAUGAAAUUUUGCAAAGCUAAGAAAAUGAAAUUGUGUUGUGAUAAUCAGGUAGCCUUUCAUAUUGCUUCCAACCCUUUGUUUCAUAAAGUACCAAACACAAUGAUUGAUUGUCAUUUUAUUCUCUCACCAAGUCUUUGAGAAGACCUCAAAUUCGAUGUUCAAAGCUUAGUGCACACAAUUUGUAUACUUCAACUUGAAUGGGAGUUUUAAAAUUAUGACAAUUAUAGUAUUGUACAACUUACAUUAAGUUUUCUAUGAGUACCUAGUUUUAGGUUAGGGAACAUAGAUCGAACCUUCCUCUUUGAGAUGGACUUGUACUCAUCCUUAUAUAUAUAUAUAUAUAUAUAUAUAUAUAUAUAUAGACACACACACACUAGCUAAAAGUAUACACUCAUUGAUUUUUUAAAUCACUUCAAGUAGAAUUAAGAGCAUCACAGAGAUGCUUGGAGUGUUUCUUUAAACAGAGAAACACUUUCUAGAAGAAACUUUACUCAUGGAGAUAGCGUUACCAAGCACCAAGGUUUCUUAUUAAAGGCAUGAUUGCUUAUGUGAUAGUCCAAGUAAUUAAGUUAACAAAUCUUAAUAGUUGGUUCCAUUCAGUAAUGAUAUCUUUGGACAUACUUUUUUACAUCAACUCCUAAGCAAUGUAUAGUCUUUUGAACAUAUGAAACAAGUUUAUACAAACUUCUCUAAAAAUACUUAUAAGAGAAGAGAAUAAAAAACAAUAAAUAAGUUACUUUCUAAUCUAAAACUAGUUUUUAUAUCAAUAUCAAAAACAAUAAAAAUAAGACCAAGCAUAUAAUAAUUUAUUGAAAUUUGCAGACAAGUAUCUCCUACCCCAACUUAUAACUAACUUAAAAUCAACUUUUUGGAAUGAGAAAUUCCACAAACUAGCUCACAAAUAAGCGAUUUUAUCCAAAAUCAGUUUACUUAUUAUUCUUCUUCCUACAUAACCUUUAUAAAUUACCCACAUUUAGCUUCUGAAGAACCUAAAUGACAGAUAUUCCAACGUCACCUUAUACUUAAACUAUUUUGAGUUACCUUAGACAAACUUAUUUUAUUUUUUUCUCCUUAUGUUCUUCUUGGCUGCUGUUCAGAUGCCUAUAUAAAUAAAACCUCAGAAAAAGAAAAGAAAAGGAAAAACGCGUUUCCCUAAGCUAUAAAGAAAAACAUAUCCUUGCACAAAAUAUGAAAAAAAAAAAAAAAACAAAGUUUUACAUAGACAUGAUAACGAUAAUGAUGAUAACAACACACUGAUAAUGUAAAUUUUAGACAACACUGAAAUUUGCAAAGCUGACAAAAAACAUAACCUAAACCCUAACAGAGGAAAUGAGUGAACAAAAUAAAGAGUAAAUAAAGGAGCAUAAGAAAUCGUUUUGUUUGACCUAAAACACUAAGGCACAGCCAGAUCGGUGAGGAAACUCGCUUGCACAGCAACCGCUACGCCAUUGAAACGAGUGGGAAAGAGAUAAACAGUUAACCUCACUGUAUAUAGUACGCUAAUCACACUCACUCACUCCCAGCCGUAGAGAUAAAAGCGGGAAGUGAAAAAGUGAGAAUAGAACAAAGGGAAAAAUUCUGACCGUUUUUUAUUAUCAGAAGAAACGGGCCCUUGUAAUCUCCUCUAAUUUUAUAUUUCUCCUACUUCUCGGAAACUUCCAGAGAAUUAUAGGAUAUCGUCGAUAAUUUUAACAAGGAGAUGAUAAAUAAAUACCUCAUUUAUAAAUAUCAACAUUAUAUUAAGUAUAGAAACGGAUAGGAAAAUAAAAAUAAUGUAAUUUAAUUCUUAUUAUUUAAUUAUAUAAUUUAUUUCAAUUUUUACAUUUUUACUUUUAAUUAAUUUUUCUAUGUAAUAUUUUGGUCAAUUUUAUCGAAAAUGUUUAAGUUUUAGAAAUCUAUUAUCUAAUUUAUUCUUAACUGUUUAUACUAAAAGUACUUAAUUCAACUCAACAAUCAAUCUAACAUUAUAUAUAAAGAAACUCUUCAUCGUAUCUCCCAUAUAACUAUGAUCUAUGAAUAGUAUUUACUCGUUCUCACAUUUGUAAUAAAAAAAUUUAUAUUCACUUUAUUAUUUGUUUAAAAUGUUUAUAUGUAUUUUAAAACAUGUGAGUAUUAAAACAGAUAUUUUAUAAACUUUUAAUAAAAUUAAAAAUACAUAAAAUAUAAUAUAAAUUAAAUUAAAUGAAUUAAAAUUUAUUUUAAUUAAAUUUAAAACAAUAUAAUAUAAAUUAAUUUUAAAUAUAACUUAAUAUAUGGAUACUCACAUUUAAUUUUAGGAAAAUGAUAUUUUGACACUGCACACGUCUUUGUUUCAGUUUUUUUAAUUUGAAAUCGUCCAACCACGUUUUGACAUGUGUGCAGUAUCAAAAUAAUGUCAAAAAUUGGUGUCAAAAUAUUAUUUUUCUUAAUUUUAUAUCUAACCCAUUUACAAAUAAAUAUUAAAAUAUUCAUUGUUCGAAUAAUACAUACUCACAUAUACUAAUUAUUCGUCAUUAUCAUAAAUUAUUUGUUAUAAAUUUUAUGUGAAUAUAAGACAAACACAAACAUUUACAUCUACUAUUUAAUUUUAUUGAUCCUAUUUAAUCCUAGGAUAAUCUAUCAAAUACAAAAAUAAAGUAAAGAAUUAUAAAUAUAAUUACUUUUUUCUUUAUAAGUAAUAAGAAAAAUUAGUUUGACAUAAAUUGCAAACAUUUUAGUUAUUAAUUACUAUUGAUUUAACAAAAGUUCUCUCCAAUUUUUUUCUUUGCAAUAAAAGUAAAAUGACUGGUAUUAAAUGAGGAUUGGUGAUAUUAAAAUUAAUCCUAUUAUAAGUUUAGUAAUAUAAUUUUAAUGUAAGAUAUUUUAUUUAUGUAAUGUAUAUUUCAAAGAUGCAUGAUAGUAUAUUGGUGUAACAAGUCAAUGAUGACAACUGUUUGAGUGGGUUGGAUACACUAUGUAUCCCAUUCACCUAAAAAAUUUAUUUCGCUUUUCAUCUCGUUAUUUGUGUGGCAUGUGAAAAAGAAUAUACGGUAUUUAAUACCUGCAAAUAUUUUUAUAUUUUAUUUUUUAAUUUUAAAUAUAAAAAAAUUAUUUAAAAUCAAACUUUUAAAAUAAAAAUAUUUUAAAAUAUUAUUCAAAUCAAAUUAUUUACAAAAGUGUUAAUAUAAUAUUAAUAUAAAUGAGUUGAGGCCCGUAUAAAUUUUCACAAAUAUAUCUUUUAAAAAUAGCUUAAAUUUUAUAACCUACAUAAUAAAUAAAAUAUAUAAAGUUCAAUUUUAACUCAUUCUUCAAUAAUUAUUAUUUGUUACUAAUAAUUUUAUUUUGAUCAUUUAAUUUUUAAAAAUAUAUUAAAAUAAAACUUAAUAGUAAUUAUUAUUAAAAGAAUAACUGAGUGAGGAGCAUAUAUCUACGAAUAUUCGCAAAUGAGAUAUCACUACUCUAUUCAUUCCUUAGUAAAUCUUCAUUAUCCACGAAUAUUUAUUAAAGAUAAUUAUUUAAUAUCAGUAACGAAUUUUAUCAGUAAAUAUUCAUAAAUACAAGAUUCUUUUUUAUCUUUUAUGUAAUAAUAGAAUUAAUUAGUUGUUUGUAACGAAUUGUUUUGUUGUCAAUUAAUUAUGUUUUCUAAUAAAAGCAAUAUCUAAUGCAUAAUAAUUGAUAAAAAGUAAGUUUUAGCAUCAUCUAAAUUUAAGCACAAUGUAAAAUAAAAACAAAUAGCUUACAAGUAAAAAACAAAACUAAAAUGAUUAUAAAAGAAAAGAAGUUGAAAAACUUACCUUGAAUUUGACAUGCCAGUCUUCGCUUGCAGUUAGAUUCACUUAAAUAAUUCUAACAUUGUUUAGAACAAAGUUUUAUAUAAAGGAAUAGAAAAUUUGAAAACUGAUAUAUUCAAUGUGGAACUUCAAGAUAUUCAAAACCACAUCCUGACAUUAUAUUGUGUGCAAAAGAUGUUAUCCAAACCAAAUUCAAAUGCUAAAAAAAACAUAUAAGCAUAAUUUUCCAUUGACAACUACUCGGAUACAUUACGUGUGUACUUUAUAAAUCCAGUCUGCUAUGCAAAAAUGUAUUUUUAGCAUCAAUAACGUAAAUCUCCACUAUUAGCAAUGAUGGAACGUGGAGUAGAGAGAAAACAGAACUUAAGGAGAUAACAUCAAUCCUCUUCUUUAGUAAAUCAAAGCUUUCAAUCUUCCAAGCCUUUGUAAAAAUGUCAGCUAUUUGCUCUUCAGUCUUGUCGUAUAUUAAGACUGUACUUCCUUUGUUCACUAAUUCUCUUAAGAAAUGGUACUUAACUUUUAUAUGUUUUCUUCUGCUAUCAUUGGGUUCUUGGACAAAUUUAUGGUAGAAAUAUUGUAUAUUCUUAGCUGUAGUGGAAGUUUUUAUAGGAACCAUCAAUUCCUUUAGUAAUUCUUCCAGCCACACUCCUUGACAAGCUGCAAAACUCUCUGUAAUGUACUCUGCUUCACAACUGAAUAAAACAACUACUGGUUGCUUUUUAGAACACCAAGCAAUAGGUGCAUUAUUCAACAAAAAUAUGUAUCCAUAAGUGCUCUUCCUUUCCAUUGGAUGACCACCAUGAUCCGAAUCAGUGUAGCCAACCAAUUCUAACUCGGAUUUAUGUCUUCCAAUGGGAGAUAGGAUUCCAUGAUCAACUGUGCCUUGAACGUGGCUCUGAUACCAAUUUGAUGGAACGUGGAGUAGCAGAGAGUAGGGUUGGGCAUAAAUAACUAAAAUGUACCAAAUUAUAUCAAAUUACAGUUAAGUGUAGUUUUAAUAAACUACAAAAAACUGAACUAAUAUCAGUUAACUAAUAACUAAACUUUUUUCACAUUAUAAGUUUAAGACAAUUGCUCCUUGAGACUGUUGCUCAUCUGCGAGAUCGGAGUGAGAGCAUGACCUCAUCCAAAUGAGAUCUGUCCAAAUUCAACCAAAGAAAUAAUUGAAGAGACAAGUCAAGCUGGUUAUGAAUUGAAGCAUGGAAUGAAGUGAAAAAAUAAUACCUUUGAGACGCUCACUCCAAAAAGUGCUUCAACUUUGGUAGACACAAGAGCCUCGGUGAUAUUUUCACCAAGCCCAAAUUGAUCGCGUUUGGACUUCUCCCACACCCACACUGAAUCGUCAUCCCAACGACGGCAGAAGCAACACCAGAAGCAAAAGCAACACACACUUUCACACUCUCUAAUCCCUGCACUCUCUCUGGUUCAUGCCAUGAUUCUCUACCAAAUACCUUAAAAAACUGCUUCUCAAAAUAACCAACAAAACUGGACUCACUUUACUUUACUCUUCUUUACUUUACUUACCUGGAAGAUGGGUUGUGCCCGAGUUGGGCCUCGUUGUUUCGGCGACUGGCAUUUUUUGUUGCAAGAGUGAGAGAACAGUGAAGGGGAAUUUGAAGAUUAACAGUUAACUGGUUAACUGCACUGAAAGGUGUAAAGUUCAGUUUCUUUUAACUGAACUAUAAAAUAGUUUAAUUAGUUUGUAGUUAAAAUAAGUUUAAUUGUUUUAAGUACAUUAUAGUAUGGUUAACUGUAGUUUUAGUACAGUUUAUUGAACUAUGCCCACCCCUAGCAAAGAGAAAACAAAACUAGAAUCUUGACUCCCUUCUUCCUUCUUUGCCUCAAUCACUCUGAUCGACUGCAUUGUAUCGUGAUUCUGAAGCUUCUUAGGUCCUCACUCAACCGGGCACUGAUACCAAUUUGAUGGAAAGUGGAGUAGCAGAGAGAAAACAGAACCAGAACCAUAAAAAAAUAGAGAUAAAGACAGACUUUUAAUAUUGAACUAAAUGUAUAGAAUUUCAUAUUAACUAAAACUGGAACAAGUAAAAAGGUUUUUAUAAUAGCAAUGUACAAGUGUUAAGAUAAUUUAUUUUAAUGACAAUUGUCUUGGCUUAUUAUACAUUAAUAAGUAAAGCAUGACAUGUGACAUAAGAGCUUAAAUAAGUUUUAUGUAAUCAUUUUUAAUGAGUUCUUGAUAAAUUAUUUUUUUUAAAAUUGAUUUGCUAAUAAAUUAUAAAAAUUUAAAGUCUCUACAAAAAUGUAUUUAUGUUAUUUUUAAUACUAUAUUAUAUUUAUUUAUAGAAUGUAGGAGAUUGUUAUUAUAUGAUCAAAUUAUAAUAUAUAACUGAAAUCCAAAUUUUGUGUGAUAUGUUAGUUUUUUUAAGUUAAGUUACACUUAAAAAUAUAUUUACAAGACAAUACUAAAGUUUACCAAAUAUAUGUUUUAGCGAUGUUCGUUGAACUUAUUAUGGUACUUGUAUUGAAUCUCAUUUAUUUUCACAUCCAAGAUAUUUAAUCUUUAGUCUAAGGUGUGUAUUGAAAUUUAACAUUGUUUAGAAAUAUGAUCGUAUUAUGAUAUAUAAGUAAGGGUGUAAAUCUUAUCUUUGACAUUGAGCUAAACUAAAGAAUUUCAUUUUCGUAAUAUAGUAUAAAAACUUAUCCAGAUUUCUACUCACAAAAUUUGUUUGGCUUUUUAUAUCAUAUUGUUGUGUCUCUUUCUAUUUUCACUGUGUAUGUCCUUAAUGUGAAUAAUUAUAUGGUGAAAUUAUAAUAUAUUAGAGUAGGGUACACACCUUGUCAAGAGAGAUGUUGUAGAAUCCUAUAUCGGCAAAUGAUAAAAUAACACACACACAUUGUGAGAUUGAGCUAGACUAAUAGUUUCAUUUUCAUAAUAUAGUAUUAAAACUUAUCAAUGCUUAUACUCACAAUAUUUGUUUGACUUUUUAUAUCACAAAAUCUUAUCUCUCUCUAUUUCCACCAUGUAUGUCCUUAAUAUGAGUGGUGUGUUACACACCCUACAGAGAAUAAUGAUAUAGUGAAAUCAUAAUAUAUUAGAACAUGGUACAAACCUCGUCAAGAGAAAUGUUAUAGAGUUCCAUAUCGACAGGUGAUCAUGUAAAAUUAAUACACACAUAUAAAUAUACAUACAUACAUGUGCGUGUGUAAAAUUAAUACACACAUAUAAAUAUACAUACAUACAUGUGUGUGUGCGUAUGUGUAUAUGUAUGUGUGUUUAUACGCAUACAUAUGUAUAUAUGUAUGUAUGUAUGCAUAUGUGUAUGUAUGUAUGUGUGUAUGUGUUAGCCUUAGUUUGCUUCUACAAUUACCAUACACAUAAAGAAAGAAAAGUGAGGGAGGUAGUCGUUUGUUUCAAGGGAUUUGCAUUAAUUUGUGAGUGCAGAUUUAAGGAUGAGUAUAAAAUACGCACCCUCCCAUGGAUGAGAAGAAAAGGUGAGAAAGUGAUUGAAGUUACAAAAUUAUCCUUUCAUAUCUAGUAUGCAUUUUCAAAUGUGAUUGAAGUUACAAAAUUAUCCUUUCAUAUCUAGUAUGCAUUUUCAAAUUUCACAAUGUGAUGGUAUGCUCCUAAUGCAAAUAUUAAUCAUAAAACUCCACAACAUAUUAGAACAGGUUACACACCUUGUCAAGAGAAAUGUUGUAGAAUCCCAUAUCGGUGGAUGAUAAUAUAUAUAUAUAUAUAUAUAUAUAUAUAUAUAUAGAGAGAGAGAGAGAGAUAUAUAUGUAUAUAUAUAUAUAUAGAUACAUAUAUAUAUAUAUAUAUAUAUAUAUAUAUAUACAUACAUACAUACAUAUAUAUAUACAUAUAUAUAUAUAUAUAUAUAUACAUAUAUAUAUAUAUACAUACACACACACACACAUAUAUAUAUAUAUACACACACAUUGUGAGAUUGAGUUAGACUAAUAUUUUCAUUUUCACAAUAUAAUAUUAAAACUUAUCAAUGCUUAUACUCACAAUAUUUGUUUAACUUUUUAUAUCACAAAAUUGUGUUUCUCUCUAUUUCCACCGUGUAUGUCCUUAAUGUGAGUGGUGUGUUACACACCCUACAUAGAAUAAUGAUAUAAUGAAAUUAUAAUAUAUUAGAACAUGGUACAAACAUCGUCAAGAGAAAUGUUACAGAGUCCCACAUCAGCAGGUGAUAAUGUAAAAUUAAUAUACACAUAUAAAUAUACAUACAUACAUACAUACAUACAUACAUACAUACAUAUAUAUAUAUAUAUAUAUAUAUAUAUAUAUAUUUGUGUGUGUAUGUGUAUGUAUGUGUGUGUGCGUAUUUGUAUAUGUAUAUGUAUGUGUAUGUGUAUGUAUGUAUGUGCGUGUGCGUAUGUGUUAGCCUUAGUUUUCUUUUACAAUUAUCCUAUACAUAAAGAAAGAAAAGUGAGGGAGGCAGUCGUUUGUUUCAAGGGAAUUGCAUUGAUAUGUGAGUGCAGAUUUAAGGAUGAGUAUGAAAUACGCACCCUUGCAUGGAUGAGAAGAAAAAGUGAGAAAGUGAUUGAAGUUACAAAAUUAUCCUUUCAUAUAUAGUAUGCAUUUUCAAAUUUUGCAGUGUACUGACGUGCUCCUAAUGCAAAUAUUAAUCAUAAAACUCCACAACAUAUGCUAUAUGGGAGUGAGAAUGUAUGCAUUACCCAACCACUAUAGGUUAAUACACUUAUAGUCACACUGUAGACGUUUUAUUUUCUAUUCUCAUAGUUGAAAUUCCUCUUUAAUGUUGAAAUCAUUUAACACUCUACUACAAUAGUUGACUUAUUGGGAUUACAAAUCUAAUUUUUAUAACAAGUGCACUGGAUUCAAUUAAAGCAUAACAAGGUUGCAUCCACAUAGAUUUGGUUUGUAUAAAACAAUAACUUAUGAACUAUUUGAAUUCACAACUGGCAAGAAAAAAAAAUUGCUUAAUGAUUGAUGUAAUUGAUGAUGAUAAGAAUAUUGGGAUUGAAAUAUUCUUCUACUGCAUUAUUAUUUAAUCACUAAGUUAUUUUCAUUACUUUAGUGUUUUUGAAAGUGCUCUUUAUAAUAAUCCAAAAUCUAGUAUUUUCAUUUAAAACCAAAGGUUAUCAAACUCAGUGUGAUUCCUCAAUCCCUGAUUAAAUGACCCCUUUCAUUAAGAACAUGAUUAUAUAUUAAGCUAAAUUAGUUAAAUAUAUUCCUAGCAUCUAGCAAUAUUAAGAUAUUUAAUGGGAUACUUAAACCAAUUUCCACUCUAUUUAAGUUGAUGAAGUAAGAUGAGUGAUCAAGUAGUAAUCAAACAAUGAAAAUAAAACAAAUCACCAACAUAUAAAGCAAACAAGUAACACAUAUUAAAUAAACAACAAUGUAGAGAAUUAAAGAAGCUUACAUUCAAUCCCAAUAAUAUAAAGUCUAGAUGCUCAUGAUAAUGAAUUCAAGUUCAAGCAUUUAGAAUUGGUAUCCUCUUCCCAUGGUUCUUUUAACAUUUAUUACAAAGAGUGUAUGAAAAUCAACAUAGAAAUAACAGAGUAAGACUAUGUUUUUAUAGAAAUUAAAAGGUAGUAAUAGCUCCAAUAAUGGUGGUCAGCCUUUGAUGUUUCCUUCCUAUGUGCUUUUCUCCUAGCUUGAAACUCUAGUCUGGUUGUCAGUGUGGAAACUUUCUUUCCUAAGAGAGUUUCCUUUUAAGCUUACUUGUCAACUAUGGUGCUUGAAGUUUCUUUACAGUGAAGGUUUCUUCUUUGAGGCUUAACGCAAUAGGGGCUAUAUUUGAAUCUUUGUUAAAUCACCUUUUGGUGCUCAAUAUCUACAAAAUCAAAAACACAUUAGUUUUCCCAUUUUCUUACUUCUUUACUCCUCGUUAUGUAAUUCUAGGUAAAAGGGGUAUGAUUAUAAUAAAAAAAUAUAUCAAUUUCAUGCAUGAUAGUUGUCAAAAGUACAUGUGAAAUUAAGAAAGCUAGACGAUUAAUAUACUACUAAAAAAUAUACAUUUUACAUUCAUUAUUUAUAGUAUGUUACAUUGGUUAAGUAAUUGAUGUAAAGGUAAAAGAUGAAAAAGGUAAAACACAUUUUACAUCGAUUUUUAUGUCUUUACGAAUUAUAUCAAUAUUGCAACAGUUUCAAAUUUCAACUCAUGUAAAGGUAGAGUGACAAAGCCAAAAUAAAUAAAUAAUUUGAGUAUUUAUUAAGUUGGUUGUUUUCAUUGACCAAUGUAAUAUACCUCAUAAAACUAUCUUUAAAUGUGUAUAUUACAUGGGAUGACCUUCUAACCGAUAUAAUAUGCAUGUUUUUUUUAUAUGACUACAUUUGAUUCUUUCACAACCUCUUAUUGUCAAUAAUAAAAAAAGAAAGCAAUUGAAAAGAGUGGAAAAUUAUAGUAUGAGAGUGGACAUUCUGAAAGAUGAGGGUCCAUCGUUGUUAAUGAGAAGGUUUAUGGGAUGCCAGAAAAAUUAGCAAAAUAUGAAAUUGUUACAAUUCAAAUUGACAAAUUUGGAGGCUAGUUAUAUAUGAUGAAGGUGGAAAUUUUGAAAAGUGAAUUGAAUAUACCGAAACUUUUAAGGACAAAAUGAAAUGACAAUAGUUUUAAAGACGUUUUCUCUAUAACUUAUUUUAAAGGGACUCGCCACUCUAACUCAUUUAUGCCAUGAUCAUUCUUGAUAGACACAUAAUCUUCUUUUUACUACAAAUUAUAAUUGUAGAAUUCCUUUUGCAAAAGUGUUUAUCAUCAACCAAACAUCUUCAUUCAAUGUUUGAAGGCUAAAUUCUAUUGUCUUUCAAUUGAUAACCCAAUGUAAAUAGUAAUUUUGUACACCUAAAAAUUAUUUAGCACAUUAUCUUUUAUAAGAUAAAAUUGAUUACACCAAGGUAGUAGAUACAUAUUGACUUUCGGCAUAGAUCGACUUGGCUUAACUUUCAGCUAGGGUUAGCCCGAGUCUACUCAACUCGGCUCGACUUUUAACACUUACAAACUUGACUUGACUUUUGGUGUUGGCAGACUUGAGUUGACCUUGAGCCCAAACAGACUCGAAUGAACCCAUUGUCUUUUUCACUUAGGCUGACUCAACUUGACUCUUGUGUUGACUCAGCUUGAUUCUUGGCCUAUACCAACUCUACUCGACCCUUGGAUCCAAGAUGACUUUGUUUGACUAGGUCAAGUCAAGUUAGUCUGAAUCCAAGUUGGCUUAAGUUAUCUUUUGUCGAGAUUGAGUUGAGGUGAUCCAAAUCUAAGUUGAGUCAAGUGAGCCGAACCUAGGUUGACAUAAGUCAAUCUAACUUCAGAUUGAGCCGAGCUAGUUCGAACCCAAAUUGAAUUGAGUUAGUCCAAGAUAAAAGUCGAGCUGAGUUGGGUUGAACUAAGUUCGUUAUUACCUAAAGCAACCUAAAUCAGCCUAAAUCCAUUUGUAAUCAAGUCAUUUUAGUCCAUGUCUAUAAAUUUAAUAGUUAAUUUUAUUAUAUUAAUUUUUUUAGAUUUAAUUUAAUUGACAAAGCAAAUUAAUUUAUAUUUAAUCCAAUUUAAAUUGAAUUGAAAAAAAAUCCAAAUAUAGUAUGUAUUAAAAACAUAUAUAAAUUAUAAACUUGAUGUGUAUUAUAUUUAGAUUUGGAUCUUUAAAAUAUAUUAUUUAAUUAUAAUUAUUAGUUAAUAUUACGGUUGAAUAAUUGAACCGAGCAUCAUUGCGUUCAUUAUUUAUAAAAUUUUACAAAUAUUAUUUAAUCUUCAUAUUUUUCUUCUUUCUUAUUAGUUGACAUGAAAAAACACUUUAAAAUUCGUUUGGUAAAAAUAAAAUAAAAUAAUAAGAUAAAAAUUAGAUAAACAUUAUUUUUAUCUAAUAAUACGAUCACAUAAUAAUAUAUAUCGAUGACAAUGAUAAUAAUUAUAAUAAUAAUAAUAGCGAUGAUAAUAAUAAUAAGACUAAUAAUAAUUAUGAAUUUACAAUAAUAGUAUAAGAUUAACAAUAACUUUCACAUGUCAUUUGUUGAAAAUUAUAUUAUACACUACUUUCAUAAAGUAUAAAAAAUGAGUUGUAAGAGAGUUUAAUGAAAAAAUACGAGUUUAACUUAUAUAAAGGAUUAGUAUCACUUCUAAAAUAAAAUAAAAUAAAAUAAGACAAUGGAUUAAAAUAUAACUUUCACACAUUGUUUGUCGAUAAUGAUGUUUUACAUUACUUUUAUAAAAUAUAAGAACAAUUAGUCUUUAGAGAGGGAGUUUAAUGAGGAAAUAUAACACAAAUUGAGUUUAACCCACAUAUAAGAUUGAUAUCGCUUUCAAUCUAAAACCUUAAGAUGAUUGACUAAAAUAUAACCUUCACAUGUCCUUUAUUGAGGAUGAUGUUUUACAUUACUUUCAUAAAAUAUAAGAACAAUUUGUCUUUAGAUAUGGAGUUUUGUGAGAAGAUACAACAUCGAAUGGAGUCUGACUUCUAUCUUAUAUGUUGCUCAAUUUUUUCAUUUUUAGAGAAAACAUCACCAAUCAAAUCUGACUCUAGACAAAUAAGUAAUUGACAUUACUCUUUAUCUAAAACCUUAAAAUAAUAAAUUAAUGGGUAUUCAUGUUUAUAUACUGUUUCACUUUCUCAUUUUUACUCAAUGUGGGAUUUAGACUUAUACUUUAAUUCUCAAUACUACUUGUAUAAGUUUCUCACCAAGAUCCAUGAUUUCUGAUAUCACUAAUUGGUUUAUCAAGAAAAAAAAUUCAUCGUAAUAAAUAAACAUAAAUUUUUAUAAUAAUUUAGAAACUAAAAUAUAUUUAACUUUUAAACAAAUAUUUAAAAAUAAAAUAUUUUUUUUUCUAGCAAUUAUGAUCUCCAACAUUCGAAAAUAAAAUUCAUCAAGAGCUUCUCAAAUAAGCACCAAAUUUAAUUUAUAUUAUAAUAUUUAUAUUUUUGGUAAUAUAAAAAACACGAUAAUAUUUCACAAAAUAAUUCAUUUAUUAAAUUAAAUAUCCAUAUCAAAUAUAAUAUUUUCAUAAAAAAAAAAUCAAAACAUUUGCUUGUGUGAUUCCGUAAGUUGAAUAAUACUAACUGAGCAUAAAUAACAUUAUUCAAGACAACUCAAUUCAAGUAUUGAUAAAUUCUUGUUUGUGAAUUAGCGUAAUUGAUUUCAUUAUACAUAAAAUUAAUAAAAAUAGUUAAAUUCAUUAAUAACAUAAAUAAUAAUUAAUCUCAUACUUGAAGAUGUUUUUGGGAAAAUAAAGCAAGACUUGUGUGAAAGGGGUGUACUGUCCCAUAUGCUGAAGAAAAUCUCAGGCCAUCAUAAAUAUUUUACUUCCUUUUUAUUAAACUCAGAAAAACGACUAAAAAUUAAAAUACAUUAAUUUAUCACACCUUUUGUAUACUUUUCUUACAAAAAAAAAUGUUUUUUUUUUCUUUUAUGAAGAAAGAAACAAUGCAGGGAAUUCUUAGAGAAAUGAGAAGCCUCCACCAAGUCGUAGCAUUUUAUUGAAGAAACAUCUUCAAAACUUGGAUAAAACAAUUUCUCGCAUAAAUUCUAUAGGAGCUGCACACAAAAAAAUAAGAUCACAUAAUGAACUUUACACCAGAUUCAUACAUUAAACUCAACUAAUACACCAAAUUCAAUUGCUGCAAGGUAAUCAAUAAUGCUAUUUUUUAAGUUAAAUAUAUUUUCCAUGUCUAAAUUAUUAUAAAAAAUUGUUUUUUAAUCUUAUACUAUAUAAAAUUUACGCAUAAUAUAUUUUUGGGUUAAAUAUGUUUUGGUCCUUUAACUUGUGAAAAUUUGAAUUAGUCCAUCCUCAAAACUUUGACCUAAUUUAGUCCCCCAACUAUAGAAAUAUAUGAAUUUAGUCCUUUUAACUAAAUUUUGUUAGAUUUAUUUCAUGAUAGCAUUUGGAUUCUUGACACUAUUCGACACAUUUUUGUUUCAAUUUAACUAAGAAACGCAUUUGAAAUAUCAAAUAAAGUUAAUAAUUUUGGUUAAAAAGACUAAAUUUAUACAUUUCUAAAAUUGGGAGACUACAUUAUGUCAAAGUUUUGAAAAAAAAUUAAUUCCAAUUUUUACUUAAAGCUAAAGAAUCAAAACCAUAUUUAACCCUAUAUUUUUAAACAAAUAAUAUGUAAAAGUUAUAUAGUUUGGUGACGAGAAACUUUAACUUUUUUAUAGUUAACAAAUAAAAAAAAAAAAGUUUGAUGAUGCAGAUAACUCCUUUAAAAGAAAAAGAAUUUUGUACCUUCUAAGCCCGUGAAAAGAUUAAACUGACCAAUAGCCUGCCUUAGGAACAUUUCUACCCCACCCACAGUUUUUGCUCCUGCAGCAUCUGCUUCCUUCAAUAAUCUUGUUCUUCUUGGUGUAUAUACAGCAUCAAACACUAACAAGUAAUGUUCCAAAGUUGACUGCAAGAAGAGGGCAGCAUCAACAAUUUUUAAUGACAUUAAAAUUGAAGUUUCACUUUUUAUAAAUUGGUUUAAACCUCUUUUUGGUCCCUAAGUUAUAAGGGAUGUUCAGUUUAGUCCUCGUUUUUAAAAAUGUAAAUAUUUGGUCCCUAAGUUAUAAAAAAUGUAUUAAAUGAGUUCUUUUUUGACUCGAAAUACUGUUUUUGGUUGUUUCUUAACAACUGUUAUAUCUUUAGAUUACUCUGAUUUGUUUCUUAAUAAUAAGAGCACUUUAGAUUGCUCUUUGUAGUUUGACCAUGAACAUCAAAAAAGGACUCAUUUGAUACAUUUUUUAUAACUUACGAAUCAAAUGUUUACAUUUUUAAAAGCGGAGACUAAAUUGAACAUCCGCUCAUAACAUAGGGACCAAAAAGAGGUUUAAACCUUAUAAAUUUGAUGAAAACUUUUGUUAAAAGAGAUUAAUCACAUGAUGAGUUCUAACCAUAGGUUUAAUAUUAUAUUAAGAAAGAUUUUAAAUUUAACUCAAUCUCAUAAAACUAACUUAUAAAAUGAGAUUUGCAUCUUUUUAUAUAUAUUUUAAAUUGGUUUUGUUUCUUUUGUUGAUAUGGAACUUUAAAGAAAAUUUGUUUUUUUUAUGACAUCACAAAAACCUAUCAAAAUAAGAUUUACUAUGAUAGGUAAACGAGUAGUCGUGGUUGUAAUUCUAACUUACUAUGACAAAUUUUUGAAAAUUUAUAUAAAUUCAACUUGCUAUAACAUAUUCUUGAAAACAUGUUCAACUUACUAUAACAUAUUUUUGAAAACUGAGAUAAUAAGUUCAGUUUAUUAUAACACAUUACUAUGACACAUUUUGGAUCUCUUCAAAUAACGCUUCAAUUUUACUAGAAAAUAACAUUAAAAAAUUGUAUCUAUGUUUUUGUGAUAAUUUAGUUGAAUAAAGAGUGUAGAACCUCUGCCACCGGAAUUCUGUCAGUAUUUGGAUGCAUUCCUAUAGGUGUUGCAUUUGCAAGAAUUGCCCCUUUCUCUGGCUCAAAGUUCACCAACUCUUUGUAAGGCUGAGCCUCACCAGAUACAGCACAGGCAAGAGAUUUUGCUCUGUCUUUUUAAACAAAAAUAGAGAAUAACAGAACAUUUGUCAAUGGAAAAAUGAUAAUAACAACGUGCAAUAGAAACGCAGACAUAAGAGUGAACAUACAAACUAACAUAGUAAAUGCCCUUAACAAAACAUAAAGAUGUUGGUAAAACUUAUUAGAAGUGGAUUUUAAGUCUAAUUUAAUUCUACAAAACUAACGUAUAUGGUAGGAUUAAAUCUUGUUAGAAGUCUCACAUCGAUUAAAGAAUAACAAAACAUUUGUCAAUGCAAAAAUGAUAAUAACAAUGUACAAUAGAAACACAGACACAAGAGUGAACAUACAAACUAACAAACAUAGUAAAUGCCCUUAACAAAACAUAAACUCCAGGGCAGAGGAGAUGUUGGUAAAACUUAUUAGAAGGUGGAUUUUAAGUCUAACUUAAUCCUACAAAAUUAGUGUAUAUGAUAAGAUUUGCACCUCACUUAUAUAUUAUAAAUUGGACUUAUCUCUAGUCGACGUGGGACUUCUAACAAAACUUAAGCUCUAAGAUGAGAAAGAAUAAAAGGAAAAUUAAAUUUAUUAUGGAGAAUAUAUCCUUAUUUUUAUACCAAAAUCAAUGUCAAAUAUUACUAGACGAGCUCCUCUGCUUUUAGCACCAAAUGCAAGUGCUUUCCCUGCACCUCCCGCACCAACUACCACAAACAAUCGACCAGCAAGGGCUGAACCUAAAGAUGCUCCACCAUCAUUGCAACCAUGUUCUGACAAAUUUUGAUUUAGGGAAUCAGUAAAAUAGUAUUAGUAAAAAUUACACAAAUUGUAAUUUGAUAUGGCCCAUUGGAAGAAGGAAUUUAGUUAGAUAAUAAAUUGAAAAAGAUUACAAAACUUAGAUCAAGAUAUUUAUGUUCUAGUUAAAAAAAAUCCUCUAAUCAAAUGACAUGUAAAAAAAACUGUAGGCACCCGACAAUUCAAGCUUUUAAGAAAAUUAGUCCUUGAUGUUGUUUCACAACCUCAUUUGUUAAAUGAUAAAGGGUUUUAUUUUUCACCUUUAAGACAUUCAUGUAGUCUAUGUUAGGUUUAUAAAAGAAGAGAUUCACUCGAGAGAUAUAAUAUUAAUGAGAAUGGAACCUUAUCAUAUAAGAUAUUGACAUCAUCCUCUAUCCAAAACCUUAAGAUUUUGAUUUUGGAUAGAAAGUAGUGUCAAUCUCUUGUAUGAUUAAAAUUCAAAUCUUAUUGAUGAACCUCCUCGAUUGUAAACAUAACCGCCUCCUUUUAAUUUCUUACAAUUAUAUCUUUUGGCAAGGUCAAGGAAACUAAACUAAGCAUAACAGUGCGGAAGAAUUACCAAUGAGUGCAUCCUCAAUUGCAGUAAUUGCAGCCUCACAAUCUGUAUUGUAACCAACAAGCUUCCCAUCUCCUGGUCUUCUUAUGAUAGUAUUAACAGCUCCUAUAGACUGGUUGAACAUGAAACAAAACAAAUUGAUUAUGCCUUAAUAAAAAUUAAUUAUGGAAGAAUAGCCGCAUCAUAGGUCCAGUUUAAAAAGCACCAUUAAUUUCAACUAAUAGCUUACCUUAAUUAAUUUUCAUUGAACUAACGUAGACAGACUAAUCUUUCAGAAAAACAUCAGUGUCAUUUCAAAUUAUCAGUUUUCAACUCUAAAAUAAAAAUACAUAAAAACGCUCAGCUAAUGCAUGGAAAGGCAUACUUCAAUUAUAUUUAUAUGCACCACCGAAACAUAUGGUCAUGGAAUCAAGUUACUGGAAAUAAUACAUGAUUCCAUCUACCAAAUUUUGUGUUGACAUUAUAAAACUAUCUUAAGUUGUUUAAUGAGCUUCUAAGACUACAAUCAUUGAAAGUCAAAUAUUUAAGGUUUUGUAUUGAAGGUAAUGUCGGAUAUCAAGUAAGACUAGGUAUCUGACCGAGCAAAUAUCAAAACUAAGAUAGGUGUUAACAUGACUUUGAUACCAUAUUAAAAAAGUUGACUGUAAGUCUAAUUCAAUUUUAUAAAACAGUUUUGUGAGAUGAUGUUUGCAUUCACUUAUGUAUUGUAGUUUUGUCUUAUCUUUAAUUGAUAUAAGAUUUCCAACAUUUAUAUCUUAACAUAAGGAAGAACUACUAUGGAAAUACAUGUUCAGCCGUGAUGUUGGAAAAAGACAUCUACUGUGGAACACUUUUAUAUGUUGAAUGGAAGACUAAGCCAACCUGAGCAAGCGGAUGGACUUCAUCACAAAACCUUAGAACUUCUUCCUUAUAUGGAAUCCCAACACUGCAAUACAAAAGUCGAUGAGAAUUUUCCAAAUAAGAAGUGAAUACAAACCUUUAAAUGGUUGAAGUGAUAACAAAACUAUCAAACAAAUUCAUUCAUGCUAACUGCAACUUCAAACAGUAUCAAGUCAGGAUGAGGACCUCAAAGUGAAAUAUAUGAUUCCAAAUUGUAAGUGGAUGAAUAGCAACAUGUGACAUACCUAAAACCUGAAAAAUCAGGGCUUGAAUAGGUGCUAAAGAACUCUUUAAGAUCGUCAACAAACAUGGGGACAUAGAUUCCAUUGUAGUUUACAUGUCUGAAGGAAGGAUUAUGCAAUAUAGGACCUUUGCUGUGGCUAACUGGUUUUGAGAUGAGCCCAAAAACUUUAGUAUCUUCAUUGACACCCUCCAAUUUAUAGGCUUCCUUGAGACUAUCAAGAGAAGGGAUACCAGGGAUUGGAUUUCCUGCCAAUGAUCCAUAUACAAAGAACCCACCAAAUUUUGGACAUAGAAGCUGGCUUAUAAGUCCUCUUUCUCCAACAGAGUAAGCAAUCAAUGGUACCUGCAGAUUCUAACCAGAGCAGGCAAACAUUAUAAAGUAGAAACAAAGAUGAGAAAAUUAAUUUUACUAUAACACAAAAAUAUUGAAAAGAUCUGAACAGAAGAGAUAACAGCUUGUCAGAUUUCCAUCCUUUUACAUUAGAAGCACCCUUCUUCACAAAAAUCAUUUUUAUUCCACACUGAACAAACCAAGAGAACAAGAUUUCUCCUGCUGGCCCUGUCUAGUGCCAAAGUUACUAUUGCUUUAGUACAAUUUAUACUGGAAAUACUAUCAUUCAAGAGAUGUAAACUUAAAAAAAGAGAAAAAUCCAUGCCUGACAAUGAGGAAACAAGCUAAAUAUUCUUGUAAGUUCUGUUAUAUCAGCUGCAUGUGUAACAAGUUUGAUGAUAUCUGAUCCAGUUGCUUGCAUGCGUGCAACAAGUUGAAGGAGUUCUUCUUGCGGAGGGGUGAUGUCAUCCACAUAACAAGAAACGAUUAUUUUUCCAUGACUGUUAUGAUUUCUCUUAUGUUCCAUCAAGGUAGGAAGACAAGAAGCUUCCUGAACAACCAUACAGUGUAAUGAUAAGCACCUAAGUGGAAUUUCACUCUCUAAGAGUGCAUCAUUCAGUUGCUAUUUAUGAUAAGCAAAUGCAUGUGAUAAGCUUAUUUCAAAAUAACAUGAUGCAAUUGGUGAUAUAUAUCUUUUUACAGAUGUAUGAAAGUUCUUCAAACAUAUAAAUACAUAACUGCGAUUAUAGGGAUGAAAAUUAGAAUUACAUUAACGAGAUAUUGUAAGAAAAAUUUAUAAGCGGUACCUUCAGCUCAACCUCUAUGAAAUCAGCUCCCAAUUCCAGAGCUAAUUGCAAUGCUUCCAGUAGCAUGCUGUCAUCGCCUUUGGAUAAACUACCAUCCCAUUUUUUCCUAAGUAAAUAGAACAAACACGUUGAAUACAAAGGGAGUAAGAUAUAAUAAUAGGAGGAUAAGUUUGUUGUGAAGUUAAAAAAGAGGCGAUGAAAAUAAAUGAUCUAGCGUGAGACUAUUCCCACUUAAUCAGUUGUCUCAAGUUUGAAUUUUAAACAUGAAACUGAUACUGUUUCAACUUAAUCAGUAAUCUAAAAUUUAAAUUUUGGACUAUCACUUUAAACACUGCAAAGGUGAGUUAUGUCACCAGUGAUAAUCCUAUCAUGCUAAGACAAAAAAUUAUCAAAAGAUGAUCGGUUCCUUUAGGGAAUUCAAACACUCUCUCUUCCAACUCUGUAGGAAGUACUACAUUAGGAAGUACUACAUUAGAUAAGACCAAUUUAGAAUAUAUGAAUGUAAAUCUCAUUGGAUUUUAUGAAAUUAAGUUAAAUUUAAAAUAAAUUCUUUAACACGGUAUCAGGACGAUGAGUUAGAAUGUAUCUUAACAACUUUAUCCAAAUAUUUGUUGAAUAUAUUCGGAAAACCGAACAAAAACAACGGCUAUAGCUUAUGUGAGUUCUAAGAGAUGCACCAAGAAGAUACAAUACUGAUAAAACAUCACUCAAAUACUCAAACUCAUAUAAAGGAUCGAUAUCAUCUCAAAAUCAAAAUCUUAAUAAAUUUAUAGAUUUUCUUCUUUAUUUCUACUAAAUAUGUGAAUUAGACUCCUCCUUAUUAUAUUCCCAACAAAACAAACAUAACAAGAGAGUUGAGAUGAAUUACCUGUUAGCAAUAAGCACGGGUAGUGGCUUAUUUUGAAGGAUGAUUUUGAGGUGAAGGAGAGGGUGAAAGCUGGUGAUGCAGUCCAGCCUAACCUCUACUGUAUCAGCACCUUCUGCCUUUGCGUGAUUCAUGUUAUUCACAAUCUGCUCAACAGAUACAGAUUGCUGUUCAUUUGUGAUUGGAGCACAAAUGUUGAACACCUGGUUAGCACUACCCAUUGCUUUUGAUUUCUCAAACAAUUCAAAAACCACACGGCAGAUUUAUUGUUAAGAGAAGCAAACGUACAGAACAAGAUCUCUUAUAGUUAUCAAAAGCUGACUGGGUUCCCACCUAAUUCUUUUAAAACUCAAUGCAAUUCAACUUUAUUACCUUUCGGUUUUAUGAAGAGCAAAAUGUCUUAUUAACAAUUUUUUUUACUGUAAUUACAUGAUAAUUUAUGAUUAAUCUAUUUUAAAUAUACGAGAUAAUAAAAUAGUACACAUAAUUAUUGUUAAAAAAUUACUAACAUGUCAUAAGACACAUUCUUACCUUUUUUUAUUUUACAUGCAUUAAUAUGUUCUAUAAGAAUAAAAAUAUCAUAAAAAAAAUAUAUUUUAAAAAAGUUAAUAUUAAAUAAAUGUAAAAAAAGUUAUGUAUGUUAAAUUAUUAUUUUUCUUCGAUUUUAUACAAAUACACAUUUUUUAAACCAGAACGUGAUUAAAUAAUAUUACUACUUAAUCCAGACAAACAAGAGUGGGUUUUAUUAGAUUCAAUAUAAUAAAAUAAAGUAAGAUAGUGGGUUAUCAAAUCUAAUUCCAAUAAUAAAAAAUUAGGCACUCAAUUAAAAGUUUGACAAACUUUAAAUUCUCGUGCAAAAGGUCAAAUGUUCUCUUAGAACUUUUUGGGGUCUGUAUCAUAAUCUUCAGAUUUGGAUCUUAUUACAUUAUCUAUUAGAGUAAGCUGAUAUAUAGUAUAAAAGAAGGUAAGAUAUAGUAUUUUAAAUAAGAUUUUAAAUCAUGUCAUUAAUAUAUAUAUAUAUAUAUAUAUAUAUAUAACUUUUAUUUGUGUAAACAAUCAAAUAAGGUAUUGACGAUAGUAGGAAUCUUACAAAACUCUUGUGCUGGAAGAAAAUGAUAAAAACAAAAAAAAUAUUUUUUAAUAUUUAAUUUUUUUAUAUUUAUUUGACAGUAUUUUUCUUUUUUUAUUUUUUCUUUUUAAAAAAAUAAAAAAAAUUAUAAUUUUAUUAUUAUUUUAUUUUUAUACUUCAUAUUAAAUAAAUAUAAAAAUAUGUUACGAUAUUAUUAUUGUAAAAAGGAAUAUCCUAAAUGUUAUGAGAAAUAAAGAAAGCAUUAAAAACCAGUUUAUAAAAUUAUAUAUAUAUAUAUAUAUAUAUAUAUAUAUAUAUAUAUUAAGUUGGUUUAUACAUUAUAUUUCCAUAGUUUGGAAUAUUAAAUUUAUUGUAAUGUCAAUUUACUAUUAUUUAUUACAGAUAAAAAAGUUAAAUAUUAUGCACAAAAUUCACGAAUAGGAAGAAAAAAGUUAUGUGAGUAUUUUACUUAAUGAAUGAACUAAUUCAAUGCAAACCAUUUAAAUUGAGUUAAAACGUAUUAGACUGAAUUAGUAUAAAAUAGACGUGUAAGAGAUUAUGACAUUAAUUUGUUUUAAGAUACUGUAUUUAAUUUUUUGUGGUUUAAACGAAUAAAUAUAGGUCUGCGCACUAUUGUUGCGCUUGACUGUUUGCUUUAAUAUCCAUCAUCACACAAGAGAUUUGGACUUAUAUGUAAAAGAAUGACUGAUUGAUUUUAGAGUUAGCUUUUUUCAAGAGUGUUCUUUUCUGCACCUCAUCUCUUUUUUCAUGUAUCUCUAAUUUUACCAUUUUAUCCUUCAUUAAAUAAAUUCAAAACUUAUUUAUGGCGUUAUUGAAGAAGAGUAAACACUCGCCAUGGGUAGCUAGAGGAAGCAGUAUGUAAAGAAGAACAAUGAAUAUAUCAGAGAAACUGUGGAAGAAACGAAGGAGAGAGUUUCUAAAAAGUUGGGGGUGACUGUGAUGGUUCUUGUGGAGAGUGAUAUUGUUUCUGCAAAGAGGGCAGGUAGAAUGGUUGUGGAACCAUGGAGCAAUACAAUGAAGGUGAAAACAGUGGUGGCAUCCCGGCAAGGUCCAUAUCUUCCCUCCAUCAAAGAUUUGGCACGGAAACACUGCACAACAAUCUCCUUCACUUUUCUUCCCUCCAUCACCAUUGCUAUUGCUACGAAUUUUCAGAACAAGUGCAAAGGUUGUAACAGUGAACCUUCCUUCAUUUUGUUGAUAUAGCCACUCAAACACCAGCGCCUGCAAUCGAAUUAGAAGUGCAAAAUGGAAAAAAAAAAAAAAAAACGAGACUUAACCGCAUUUCGAAGUGCGACAACUCUUAACCGCAUUUCGAAGUGCAACACCCCUUAACCGCAUUUCGAAAUGCGGUUAAGGAGUGCCGUAAUGCGUUUUCACUGUACUGCUUAUCGACUUUAUGUUAUUUUUCAUUAUAACCAUGGACGCCGACAGCAAAACCAAACAAGAUAGCAGUUGUAUUUUCAAAACUUGAUCGUGGAGGGGUGGAGAGCAAGAAGGGUAAAGGUAGAAUGAAGAAAGGGGGUGUAGGGUUUUUUAAACGUGAGAUGCGGCAGAAUCAUUUAUAGAGGUUAGGAGUAUGCUGAGAAUUAAACUAAAAUUGAGAGGUGCGAUCCUGGAGGUGCAGGGAGGAACACUCCUUUUUGAAUGCAUCACGUUUGCUCUGGUCAUACUUGUCGAUUCCCACGUUUUGAAUUUAUAUCCAAUGUUCCCAAUAUGGCUAACAUUAUUAUUCUACAAGUGGGUAUCGGGGUUGAUUUUGCAUUGAAUUAACUCCGAUUUAAUUAACUAUGAAUUAGUUAGUUAUUUAAUGAAUCAAUCAUCUCGUUUAUUUAUCAGUGAAUUAAAAAAUUUGAUUUUAAUCACUUUAUUACAUAUCAGUGAAUCAAAAGAGUUACUUUACUUAUUCCUUUAAUUAUAAGUUUUUUUUUUCAAUUAAAAAAAUAAUAAAAAUUUUUUAUUUAAAAUUUAAAUAAAUAAAUAAAAUCUUAAAAUAUAUUUAUGAUUAAUCAAAUAUAAAUUUUAUUUAAACAAAAAUAUAACAAAAUCUUCUGAACAAAAUUUUUAGUAACUUUAUAACGAUCCAAAUUUGUUUUUGUAUAAAAAUUGAGUUAUUAAGUAUAAAUGUGUCGAUUUUUCUUGUAUAAUUAUUUCAUACAAAAGUAAUUUCAUGUAAACAUAAAUAUUUAAACACUUAAACAUAUUAACUAAGUACAUUAAUAUAAAUAUGUACAAUGUUAUGUAUGAGGACUUCUAAUAAUUUGGAAAGUCUAUUGAAUUUUGUGUUAUCUUAUUUUAUUUUAUUGUGUACUCUGUUUGAGUACAUAUUACUAUAAACAUUUUUGUUCCAAUAUUUUAUAAAAUGACUAAUCCAACAAAAAGUAUUUAUUAAAAGAAUUAUGUGGAUUUGUAAAUCAGUCCGAUCCAUCAGAAGUUUAACCUAAGUGAGUCGAGUUCACUUUUAAACCAAGUUCAAAAUUGAUCUUCGAAAUUUCAAAAUUUUUUUCAACUCAAUCCAAACCUGUGAUGAACUAAGGUAGCUCACCACGUUUUAACAACACUAGUUAACUGUGUAUUUAGAGGAGAGUUGCUAAAUGUUAGCACAGAUGUGAAGAAAUGUUAAUGACAUUCUUUUAUUACUAAUCCAAAUAAGGUAUGAUUUUUAAUAAUAAGGUUUGAAACAAAUGUUAUAAAAAUACAAUAAGUUGUUUAAAAAAAAUUGAUACUAAGACUUGUAUAAAAUAUAAUAUAAUAAGACAUUAUCUCAGUUUUUGUUUUUUCAAAAAGUCCCUGUAAAAAAUGUAGAUAUUUUAGGUAAACAAACUCAUUCCUCAUUUAACUAGGUAUCGUGUUUUGGUGUAUAAAUUCAACACAACUCAUCUAUUAAUAUAUUAUUAAUUUCAAUUUAUUAUAUAUAUGUGGGUCUUAUAAAAGAUACAAUGGAAAAAGACAACAUAUAUACGAUGCUUAUUCUUCUUGCUUUAAUAUCUUUGCCUAAACGUUAUUUACGUCUUCUUAUCUCCACUUUUUUUUCUUCUUCUUUUAAUCUAAGUUUUGAUUUGAUUUAUUUAGAUGAAUUAUUUAAUAAAUAUACAAAUACAAUAUAAAUAUGCUAAACUAUAUCAAAAUGCAAAAGAAAAAUAAAAGUAGUUUUUUAAAUUUAUAUUAAUUUUUAAUUUCUUAGUAUGUUAUCCAAAUCAAACCUAAUUUACAAUUAAUCAAGUGGGUUUAAUUUGCAUUUGAUUAAAAAAUGACAGAUAUCCAACCUAAUCUAAUUCAAAUUAUUUUAAUUGGUGUAGACAAUAAUAGGAUAGGAUAAAAGGUCACAUGAAGUGUAACUCAAUUCUAUCCAGAGUUGUAUCUUUAAUAUGUUUUGGGCAUAAAUAAAUAAAAUGAGCAAAAAACUUAACUUUUUUAAUCACUCUUUAGAUAUUUAUAACAAAAAUAUUAACUCUUUUUUUAAAACCCAAUUCCACAAAUAUAGUUUUUUUAGGGAAUUCUAGCCAGUUGUUUUAAGUACCAAUACACGCGCUUAACAUUCUUUGUGUGAAAAUUAUUAUUAUAUGAAAACUAUAAAGAAAAUAAAAACUUUUAUUAAAAUUAAAUUAUAUAUAUAAACGUAGACGGUAUUUCAGUGUAUCAUUUUUGUCUACGUCAGUGUUGGGAAUAAAACGUUGCUAUGCUCUCUGUUUAGUAUUAACAUCCGAUAACAAUAUUUCAAAUUAAAAUGAACUGAAUAAAAUAUUAUUAACUUUUUAUUUGUUAAAAUUUCCAACCAAUUUGAUCUAUUUCAAAAAGAUUCAAUCUAAUUCAGCUACUAAUAACUAUUUUAAGGAUAAUCGAUCCAAUAAAAUGGUAUAUAAAAUUAUGAAAUAUGUAUAUUUAAUUACGAAAAAGUAAUUGAAUUAAUUGUAAUCGAUUAAGUAUUAGGAGAGUCUAGUGAACUUCGGAAAAUAAUAGAUGGAAAAUUAAUUAUCCAUAAAAUUAAAUGGAUAAAUUUAUAUUUUUAUAAUUGGUAGAUUUACUCGUGAUUGUAGAUAAAUCGGAUGCAUAAUAGUAUGCUUUACCAUUUGUCCAUCUUCAUGUAAGCAUUGUAAGAGUUAGAUCCAAAUUCUUGGAGGUGGGUAUAGGAUCCUAUAGAAUAUGGCAAAAAUUUACAUUAAAUUCGUCGUAAUCAAACAUUUAUAUCGUAAUGAAUUUAAGAUAGACUCAUAAAGAAGUCAUGUUCAAUUAAAUUGGCAACAAAAAAAAAGUGAUACAAAUUUUAAAAUUAUGAGGUUAACAACCAUUCCAUACAAGAGUAACAACAUUACAAUGGUGAAAUUCUCCAUGUUUUUCCACACAGCACAGUAAUUCGAUACUAUCAUACUCUAUAGAAUUUGCAUCUGAAAGAACCAAAUCUAUCUCAGUAGCCCUUCCUACACAACCACGUCGAUAACAUUUGAUAUUGUUCAAUUCGGUAAAGAAACAUUACCCAGUCGAUCAUUUCAUGACAGAAGCGCUUGCAGACAUCAAAGCAACGUCUGAACAGUGUUAAUGCUUCCCCUCUCACCAGUAAUACAACUAUGAACUCAUCAUGCUUUUAUACGGACCACAAACGAACCUGCUCAGUGAUGUAGAAAAGGAGAUUGAUCAGAGCAACUCAUGCAGAGAAGACAAAUUUUAUAUAAAAAUAAUUGUAUUUGAGUGUAGAGGUCAAUAGGUGAUAAAAUUAGAGAGAAAUAAGAAUCAGAACGGGAAUGCAUCCAUAUCCUUAUUGAAGAUAAUUGUUACAUACAGGUUCUAAAUAGACUGAUAGUUGAGUGUAACUUCCCAGCGACUAUUGCCCAUGACUAAAUGCAUUUUAUCUCGUGGUACAAGGAUGUACUAUUUUCUAAGUACCUUAAGUAUCAUUAUUCCAACCCAUUAAUGUUAAUCGGUUCACAACUUACAUUUCAAACAAACAGAAAUUAUAACUGCAUUGUUGACUCAAAAUAAAGGAAUUUACGCACUGCAAUGCUGGUAGUUUUUUUGUUAUGUUGAGUGCAAUGUUGAUAGUUUGACAUAAUUAAAGGGAGCAAAAGAAGCAGAUAAGAUAAUGAAAGCAUCAUUUAUCCCACAUUAAGACUAAGAUACGUACACCUGCAACAGUGAUAUUCAGGGCUUAUGAACACACAGCUAGAUAAUGUUUACAUUUUACAAGUACGGGGACAAACAAUCAUGUUUAAAUUGUCCUAAAUUAACAAACACUGGUUAAGAAAAAUAAAGGUUAACAUAAUUUUUUCUAUAAUCAAUGCAAAAAUUAAACUUCUUAAACUGAGGCAAUAAUAGCACUAUUUCCACUUUAUCAUCAGCACCAUAUAGUACUUUUAUUCGGUAAUAUAAAGAUCUGAAAAGUACGGAUCAUAAUAAUUUGAAAGUAAACAACAAGGUUAUCAUCAAUCAGGCCCUUAUUAAACUAAAACGUUAAACAAAGAUUCAGGCUUGGUUGGCACACAGCAAAGCUGUAGUCUUGUGCUAAGAGAAUAGCAAUGUCUAAUCAAAGAAGCAAGUUCAUGAGCCUUUUAAGUCCCCACUUACGAGGGUAAGACCAAGUACAUAUAGGGCCCCUUGUUUGAGCUGUUUUGAAGGAAAAAGUUAUUCUUUAAUUAAAAGAUGAAUUUAAAAAUUUGUAAUAACUAUGCAAGUUUUUCUACAGCUAAUCAGUCAAUGAUGAAAGGUUUGUAUAUGACAUUGAUGUAAAAGCAUACAAAUUAGGAUGUAAUAAUAAAAAAUAUACAUACACACUUGCACAACUUCACCCAACAUGAUUUGAUCAAGAUACUUGAAAAAUUAAGGAUGCUCUCACACUCCUAAACUUGACUAUAGACCAUUAAAUAUCAACUAGACUGGAAACCACUUAAACUUCUCUUUCAAACUGAUCAAAUUCUUGUCACAUUUAUUUUGCAACAAAUGCUAGAUAAUCACAGUUACCAAUCCCAAAUAGCCCAUGUAGAAUUUCCAACCUCAAAAUUGCUAUAUGGGAUGGCAGAAUAAUGACUACUAAAUUAAACUUUUAUUUAUAAGUCUUUUAAUCUAUAUCAAUAUGCUACAAAUACAAAUGUUUAGAUAUAAAAGUUUACAUAACAUUAAAAACAUAUUCAUUAAUAAUAAUAAAAAGAUCCAUAAUCAUCCAAAAACCCAGUCAACAAAACAACAAAGAAAGAGCAAAGAUCUGUCUACACAGAGAACACAGUAGGGACCGGUCAGAAAACAAAGACAGGGUCGGAAAAGGUCUGACUUGGGUGGAAACUAUGCAAAUAGCAGUGAAUGGAAUUGAUUUUGUCCAAACAGUGGGCAGGGAAUCAUAUUUCCAUAUUCUGAACAUGAAACAAGGAUUCAAUUUUCAAAUCCUUUGCCCGAAUGAAAGGGAUCAAAAUUGUGAGAUUUCCCCCUAAGCACACAUCAAACGAUGCAACAAAAUGGCAUGGUGAAAAAAUAUAGAAGCCAGAUGCCAGAACACAACACUGAAUCGACAUGGCAUCGUGAUUACACACUAUUGAGAACUAUGGAUAACCUUUACCAAACUAAGAAAGAUAAAUAAGUUGUGCAUCCAAAAAACAUUCAUAAUGAAAAUGAACUCUUCUCUAUCCCUAAAAGUACUUCUCUGAUCUGUGUUAGAGAAAAAAAAGAGAAAAAGAAAUACACACAUGCAGGAAGGUUUGAUAUAUCCGCAGAAACUGCACAAGGAAUUCCCAAGUUGGAAAGAGCUCCUCUAAUGAUCCCGCAUGGGAAAUAAAGAUGCAUGCUCAUUGCAUGUGCCGCCUUGUUUUCAGCUGUAGGUGAAUUGUUAUCCUCAACCGAACCAGCAUUAUCAGUGGAUGGAUCAACUGACAUGCGUGCCAGCCAGCGAAAUUUAUUAUCUUGCAAUACAAAUGUACCCUGCAACAGAACCAAAUACAUCCAUCUCAGUCAAAAACUACAUAGUAAUAAAUAAACAUUCCCACAGGAUUCAAUUCCGAACUCACCCUAUGGUUUGUCUUCAAGUUGUCUAUCUGCUUCUUAAAUAGCUCAGACCAAAAAUCCUUGCAGAUGAACUUGAUUGCUUCCAGAUGAUCCGUGAACCGAGGCCGCUCCAUAGUAUACCUACCAACAAAUCACAUUUUCACAAAUUCACUCAAAAUUCAUAGUAAUUCCACCAGAAAACAACAACGAAGAAUUAUUACAUUACAUACGAAAACAAUACAAAGUUAACCUACCCUAAAUUAUCACCACCAUCCAGUGAUGUCAAAGGUUUACCAAGCAGGUAUGCAAUAAGCCUAGAUAUUAUCUAAGAAACUUAGUUUAAUUUGAAAUUAGGGAUUAUUCGUAUAAUUGCGUAAACUAUCUAAAGUCAGUAGCACUAUGGUGUUAUUCAGCACAGAUCUCCACGAACAAUACAGAAAUUGAAAUACAAAUGAAGGUACAAAGAUCAUACAUAACAGGAAUUUGAUGAUGUUAUCAGGGACUGGAAACAACCUUUCAGAAAGCUGGUGACCGACCUGAUAUCCAAUGGCCUCGAUCCUGCGUGCAGCGAGUUCAGGCUUGUUGGCGUAGAAUCGAUUGCAGUAACACGCCACCAUCUCCGUCAAUAAGCUAUCAACGCAACUCUCUGAAACUUCACGAACCAUUUUCUCUCCUUCUCUCUCUCUCUCUCUCUAACACGCACUCGCUAACAAUGGAAAACGAAGGAAUCAGAAUCACUAUACACUCUGAAUCUGAUUAGUCCUACUCGUCGCUUUUGCUCCCUUGCCUCACCCCGAUCCACACCAACACAUCUGAAUUGAAAUUACUGCACUUGAAUGGGCUUAACUGUGUUACCUACUUUGGGCCUGUGGUCCAUGAUUAAGUCGAUUCCUUUGAUAAUCGGUACUGGGCUGAUUCUUUCUGCACCUCCACAAUUUCAUCCUAGAACUCAUACAUUUCAAAUAAGAAACUGAAAGAAAGAAGAAGGAAUAUUAAAAUAAAAUUAGAUGGAUAAACUUGUCAAUUUAAAAGUUACAACGGUGCAGGUAGAAAACUACGGGGGUGGAAGAAGCAAAAGCGGAAUGUAGAAACCCCCAGCCCAAGAAAAGAGGUGUGGGUUCCGAAUUCAAAGAGAGGACUCUUUCCUACAGCCAACAAUCACGGUAUUGCUAUAUAUAUCUUCUCCAUCACACUCUUCGUGUUCUCCGCCACCUUCUACCUUUUCUCUCCAUUUUUCUGCUGCGGCUUUGUACCUUCACGACUCACCACAAUGGCCACCAAUACACUCGCGGGGACAUCACUCUCCAUGCGAUCUCUCACUCCCCAAACGCAGGUAUCGUUUUCCAUUUCCUUUUCCUUUUCAAUUAUAGCUGCUGCUCCGCGCUUUGUUCCCUUCUUGAUCUGUUCAUUCCUCGUGGGAAAGUCCUCGAUGCGAUCGUUUACAUGCUUAUUUUUUUGCUUUAUAAGGCACGAUUUGCUACCAACACUCCUGAAUCUUAAUUUUUGUUUAUUCCUUUUAAUUUUUUCACUUACUGUCACUAAUCGCCAGUUCCACUCAUUUUUUUUUUCAUUUAAUUUAUGUCUAUUUUAACUGCGAAAGACUUUUAGAUAAAAAAAUGUAUAUGUGUUUUUUGGGUUUCUCAAGUUUCAUGCCAAACAAAUGUAUAAUUUUGUGUUAUUUUUUUAAACGGUGCCAGCUUAUUAGUGAUAGGAGCUGGGCAAAAGUUGAAAAUUUUUGGACAAUAUCAUGCCAUGCUUUCUGCACAUAUCAAUGGCGGUCAUUAAAUUUUUUUUCACAUGAAAAAGAACCCGGAAAAACUUUAAUGUAUUGCAAUUAGGUUUUGUUGUUUUAUUUUUUAUUCAUUAAUUAAUUCUUUAAUGAACUUUGAACUGGUGAAUUUUUUGAACAGGCCUUCACCUCACUUUCUGGCCGGAGAUCUGCUCUGAUUUCCAGCUUUGGGAGAAAGAACGUUUCUUUCAACUUGCAGCCGCGUCAAAUUCGCCUUCAAAUUUCUUGUGCUGUAAGUAGCUACUGCAGUGUGUUAUUUUUCAUAUUUUCGUAAUUGACUAUUUCUUGCGUGGGUAUCAAAUCCCUGUAUUUUAGACUUCUUAAGUCUAUUGCGUGUAGGAGUUUUCUUCUUCACGAACUCUCUUUGCUCGAAGCAGGGUGCUUGAGAAAUAUGAUUGAGAAUAGAUGUUAUGUGAAAAGUGAAAUAGUAUGCUAGUUUAUAACAUGAGAACAAACAUCCUUACUUUGGUUGAUCCUUUGGCCUCAAUUAACCCUUUUUGUUCCACACAGUGUAUUGAUAUCCAUAAAUUUCAUGUUUGGUAAGAGAUGGUUUUAAAUGAAGAAACACUGAAAACUACUAUUGUGAGCUUUUAUGUGGAUACUGCUGCAAAGGCCAUUAACCGUACUAUUAUAAUCGUAAAUUAUACACACUGAUCUGUUUCUUUGAAUCUUGUGUUUCAUUAAGUUUGUAAAGGGUUUUACAUGCAGGACACUGUAUGCCUGUUUAUGUGUACCGGUCUUUAAUUAGUCUCUAUUUAACACCAUUUGAUCCUCACAAAUCACAAGUUGAAAAAUGUGAUGCUAUUAACAAAAGAAUAAUUUUUCUAUCCCGUCUCCACCAAUUUAAAUUAAUCCAUUAAUGCUUCGCUUUCUUGAGAUUUACCAACGGGUGAAGAACAUGUGAUGAAUGUAACAGACUUUGGCUUUCAAAGGGCUUGAUGGCAUAUUUUGUCAUAUUUGAUUGGAAUUUAACUAAAACAAGCCAUAAAUGACCAGGACCUGCCUUCUCCCUUUGUCUGCUUGUAUAUGUAGAUAUGUUUAUGUAUUUAUACUUUUUACGUGCUUAUGAAAUAACCUUUGAGCAGGCUAAAGCAGAGACAGUGGACAAGGUUUGCGAAAUAGUAAAGAAGCAGUUGGCCGUGGCUGAGGGUGAAACUGUGACUGCAGCAUCAACAUUUCAAAAACUUGGAGCUGAUUCCCUUGACACGGUAAUGAGAAAAACGUCACGGCAUAGUACAGUAUAUUACCAGAUGGUACCUGUAUCUAGCAUCCUAUAUUACAUAUGCCAUGAAUAAUUGUGGAUUUCAUUUAAAUAUCAUACCUUGUAGGUUGAGAUCGUGAUGGCACUCGAGGAAGAAUUCGGUAUUUCCAUUGAGGAAGAGAGGGCACAGUCCAUCGCUACAGUUCAGCAAGCUGCAGAUCUUAUCGAAGAUAUCAUUCAAAAGAAGAGUUCUUAGAAUAAACAUGUUCCAGAAGGUUUGAGUAAACAUGAACUCAGUCUCCAUACCGGUCAACAUUUAUGGUGUGGGGCAAUUUUGAGUCUCGAGUGUUUUAGUUGUGAACUCUGUUGCUUGAUAAGAUAGUCUGGGAAAACAAGUUAGUCCAGUGGAAUUAGUUUUAUUAAGUCGUCUUUUUUGCAUUAAGUGGUUUAAUGUCAGUGAUAUGUUAGUUUUACCAGAGAUAAGAUUAUUUAUGUCAAUGACAUUUUAUGUUAAUUUUAUUUAGUUCUCAAUUCUUGCUGGGGUAAUUAAGAUGAUAAUUUGGCUGCUACAAAAAUUAGGGGAAGAAAUUUAACCUGAACAACACCAAGUGGAUGAGAACUCCGUAUACGUUAAAAGUCAUGUUCAUUAAAUAACAGAACACUUUGAGGUUCUAUUUGUACAUGAUAUUGCAAUCUGCUAGAAUAGUUAUUUCAUUUACAUAAUCCUGAUACUGAUACAACCUUAAUUUAGCUACUGCUGAUAACAUUAUUCCCAAUCUGUGUCGAAGAAACCCGCAUCUUUCAUCUCGGAAUAAUACACGUUUUCCAAAUGAAAAUUUUCUUCCUGAAAUUUCGAAGCAAAAAUCAAGAUUACAAGGAAAGCUAGCUGUCUUUAAACAAUAGCCAAAUGCUUGAAAAUAAACGGCACUAACCUGAAAGAAGUCUGUUUGGAAUGUUGUGAACAAAAAAGGAAGGUAAAAUGCAUGAUAAAAGACAACCGCGACACGAUACAACCUGUGAAAAAAGUAAACAAGGCUUUAAUUGCCAAAGAAGAACAGCUCAAAACGGUAUUCUCAGUUAAAUUAGGAUCUGACCAGAAGCCAAAUGCAACACCGUUUCCAGUGAGGCCACAAGCAAUUGUUGCAAUCGCAUUAAAAAUGAACAUGACAGCAACAUACUUGUAAAAGGCAAUUUUCGCUGCAUGAAAGGAAGGAAAUUAGGCAGUCAAAAACAGUUAAAAAAACGUCAUGUUCAGAGAAUACUCACCAGGCAACGUUUCUCUCCACCCGGAAUGGUACAUAAACAUUAGGAAGCCAUAAGCAGCAGUGAGCAACAGGUUGUGGACAAUCAACAAGUUCCAUUUCACAUGAUUCCUAUUUUCAUUGCUGUCGACAAAUAAUGGGAUCCCAAAAACAAGAACAUAUAAAGCCUAACAAGAAAACAAGAUGCAAUCAUUCUUCCAUUGCCACAAUAAAGCACAGAUUCCGAUAAGAAAACUGAAAUUGCAUGCUUUUUCAUUGGCUCAGCAGAAAUCCAUAUUUCAUUCCACAGUGGCAUGAAAAAUUAAGUUGAUUUGACAUGUGAGAGAGCACUAAUGUGUUUUUUGUAUCUCCAUUAAGAUAACAUGAUUUAAACAAGGACACAAACUCUGUAUUUUGGUAAAAACCAAAGAAAUACCUUCAGCAGUAUAUCCAAGCCAACAACAAGCGUUGAGAUUCCAAAAGUCCGUCUCAUUGCUUCUAAACCACCUGCAUUAUUUCCUUGAAGUAAAAAAGCCACCAAGCUCACUUCCAAAAACAGCAUUCCGGAAGUGGUAAACAAGGAUAGCAAGUUCCAUGACAACUCUCUCCUAGAUGUACACUCCCAUGCCUGGAGUCACCAAAGAUCAAAUAAAACAUAUAUUAACCCACCACUCUAGUCUCAAGUGAAGAUACAGAAAAUCCUAGUAAGCUAGAAAUGAGCAUCAGAUAAGCAAAUUCCAAUGCAUAUGGGAAUUCUGUCCUAUCUGAAUAAACUUUUUAGGUUUAAUUUCUAAUGUGUUUCUUAUAUUACGCUAAACACAUGCACUUUUGAUAUCAUUUUGGUUCUCGAUGUCAAGCGUCUAAUUUCAUUACGUGAAAUUGAUAAGGUAUCUCAUAAAUUUUCAGACAAUAUAAAAUAACCACAAAUAUUGUAUGUUUUUUUUUAAUUUUACAGGAACAAUAUGUGACGGAUUAAUAACCGCUGUAAUAGUUUUGACAGUUCCGAACCACCAAUUUCCAUAUUUUAACUAAAGAAAUUAUGUUAUAGGCAUAAGAACCGAAAACAAGAAAUGCCUAAAUAUACGUAUUAACCCAAUUCCAUAAAAUGUCAUCAUAGCCCCUUGAGAAAUAAAAGGAAAAUUACCAGUUUUCUCAAAAUAAUGGAAAGAUUCAUACUAACAUAACUUAAAAUUCAACCAACGAAUCUAAAAGAUUGAUAAAGAUUGAAAAGAAGAUUUUUUAUCUUUUUCAGAAUUUAUCGUAGAAUAUGACUACUUGUGUUGAUCGUAGAAAUAAUAUACUCACUACUACUUUCUAUCUAAUUUAAUUAAUAAUUAAAAUUCGGGAAUGAAAAAUACAGCAAAAUUUGACUCUUUUUUUUAAAAUGUAAAGGUCAGGGGAAAAGAAACAAUAAAUCAUUUUUUUAAAGUGAAUCUAAGGAAAAAUAAAUAAAUCAAAUUAAAAUCAAGUAGCUUCUCCAAAAGAUGAUCUUUAAUUUAUAUUAAUUUAUUUAUUGUAACAAUAAAUCAUGGCUUUCUAUCCCUAGUCAAGACAGUAAGUAAUUAGUAUAGUCAAAUCCCAAUCCUUAGUUAUGACACUCAAAUAAAGAAACAUUUCUGCCAACAACCAUUGCUAUAUUUAUGAACUAAUCUUUAAGCUUAAUUCACCACUCUGCUACACAAAAAUCUGAAGCAAAAGAACACUUCCCAUAAAAUCAUUUUAUGGAAAAAGGCAUAGAAAUUGGUGAUUUCCAUCUGAGCAGACCAGUCUUUAUACAUGAAUCAGAACAAACCUGGAAAAAGCACCAAGCAAGAUUGAGAAGUGUGGCGAGCCAGAGCGAGGCGUUAUACGAAAGGAUGAUGUAUGAGCGAGAAAGAGAGAGUUUGAGGAAACUGUGUCUGGCUUGAAGUAUCAGGUAAAGGACGAAGAGGAAGGAGGGAAUGAUGAGAAUGGCAUUGUGCCAGAACCCGUGACAUUCGAAUAGCCAAUCGUAGAACCCGUGGGUUGAACCAUUUGAAAUGACGCCACGUGAAUCAGAGACUUGCGUUAUCACUGUCUGUGGAACCAUAGUCUCUGAAAGGGGAAUUGCACGGGAGAAGAAAACCCUAAUUUCUUGAUUUUGGCAUAUAUGGAGCUCGGCUUCAAUUUGUUGCGUGACUUACUGGUUCUAACAACAUCUUUGACCACAACAUGACUUACGUAUCAUUAAUUUAUUUAUUAUUACAUAAAUCUUCCAUAGUUAAAUUAAAUGUAUCUAUCAUCCAAUUAUUAUGGAACGAAUUUUAUUAUUUUAAAAUGGUACAUUAUGCAAUGAAUAUAUCGUCUACAAAAAUACAAAUAAUAACUUUAUAUUGUAAAAUAAUUUUAUUUCAUAUUGCCACGUAAUUCAUUUGGUAAAAUAUAUAUAGUAAGUAAAUGUUAUCAUACUUUUCUUAAUAAGAAAUUCAAGUUAAAUUUGGUAAACAAAUUUAGUUAAUCUUUAUAAAUAAAAGAAAAAUUAAUAAACUUAUAUCAUCUACAACUAUUACUAAAGAUUAUUGCUUUUCUAAAACAGUUUGUCAUUAUUUUUAUAUUAAUAUACAUAUUUUAUUAUUAUAUUUUAUAAUAUUUUUAUUUAAAUUUAAUUAAUAUCACCAAUAAAAGAAUUAUUCAUAACUGUAAAAUUGAAUUAUUUUAUAAUUACUUUUAAUUUAUAAUUAUCUUUCUCUUUCUCUUUCUCUCUCUACGUAUAUAAUAACAAUUUUAAAAAACAUUUAAAAAUGUGAGGUGGAUGAUUUCUUGAUAAAAAAAUAAAUUUUUUAACUCUGUGUAAAAUUAUAAUUAUUUACUAUAUAUAUUGGUUUACGAAGUAGAUUGAUAAGUUUUAUUUCACAAAUUGAUUCUAAAUUUCAAGUUUAGUUAAGGUUUUAUCUAUGUCAUUCAACCGAGUUGGGUGGCUGAAUUACAUUUCAUAGAGUAAUAAUCUAGUUUUAAAUUAAUGUAUUGUUAAUUUUGUUAUUGAUAUGACCGAUCAAUUCACCGAUUUUUUCUCAUCAGAUCAAAAAAUUAUUAACAACUCAAUCAUUGCUAAUCGAGUGACCAUACUGUACAAUUAAUAUAUAUAUAUAUAUAUAUAUAUAUAUAUAUAUAUAUAUAUAUUAAUAUAUUAAUAAGCUUUUUUUUGUUAAUUAUCUUUGUUUUCAUAAAACUUAAAUAAUAUAUUAUUCAAAAUUCCAUCUUAUUCUCCCUUAAUCCAAUUAGUUAUUGAUCCAAAAACACGUUUUGCUCACAAAACUUCAUUGUUGUCACCUCAAUUAUCUUCUUUUAUAAUAAUAGUCUCUUGAUACAUUUUUAUAUUUAUUUAAUACAAAAUAUAAAAAUAAAAUAAUCAUUUAUAUGUGUCAAAAAAUUAUUUUUCUUCAUUUUAUCUAUACAUAUAAUUUUUUAGAAAAAUAACUUUUUACAUACUUAAAUUAUUUAUAUUUAUUUUACACUAUUUUUAUUUAUAUUUUACUCUAAUUUUUUCUUGAAAAACUAUUUUAACUUUAUACUGUCUUAAACAUGAACGUUAAAAGUGUUUGAUGAGAUAUUAUAACUUUUUGCACUGUCAAAAUUCUGUAAAAAUAAAUAGGAAAAGGAAAAGAGGGAAACCGUUACAAGAUGUAAGCGUUAAUGGCUGCAACCAGGUCACAUGCAGCACCUCCAAAGUUUCCAACCUAUAACGUGUCUCCCUUUGGGAACAGAUCCUCAACUCACUCCACAAUAGCAGGAUACCACUCCAAGACCCUUCCACUACUCAUUUCAUUUUCCUCUUUCUCCCUUUUCUUCUUACACCAAUGCCUCUCUAAUGCAAAAUCAAUGAAUUUGGAUACCAAAUUUUCCUGAUUCUUCCUAUUUUGAAAUAAAUUCCUGUUUCCAGACACAGAUCAAAGCAAGUUUUACCAUAUCUUUAUAAUACAUGUGUGAGAAUGUGAUAAUUUUUUCUGGUAUUUAUUUAUUUCUGUUUACUUUUCUUGGAUUCUAGAUGGAUAGGCGAAGAGUGUACGAAAGGCAGAACAGCUCUUCCGGGACGCCGACGACGCCUUCCUCGCCGGGGAGCACGAUAACGCCAGUGAACCGCCACGCGCGUACAGGUUCCACUGGCUCCGCCAUGGCUGGUAUCCGAAGAGCACAGAACAAUGCCACCAAGGCCGCCGCACAGAGACUCGCACAGGUCAUGUCGCAAACGGACGACAAUGGGGAAGACGACGAUGACGUUCCUCUCGACUACUCCUCAAUCACCGGCGCCGGAGGCAUUGGCCUCGGCGGUGGAAGACCGAUGCCAAGUCGCUCUCCCAUGGUAACUUAAUUAACCACUUUCACCGCUUUGGUUGCAUAUAUUUCCUCCUUUUCUAAUAAAACGUGAUUCGAAUUUGAUGUUGUUGUUGCCGCUGUUCUAUUAGGCAGUUCGUAGCGUUCAGGACCCAGCAGCGUCUGCAAGGUCCCGGUCACCGAUGGUAAUUUCGCUUGAUGAUCUGAUCGCAGUGGUUUAUUUGAAAUUUGUCCCCGGUGUUAGUUUACGUGUUAAAAUUGUUCUGUUUCUUUUAGUCAGUUCGCUCUCUUCAAGAUAAAAAUCCAUCUGCGAGAUCACGUUCUCCUGCGGUAAUUGGAUUUUUCGUUGCAAUGAUGUAUAUAUUCAUAUUGAAGGCUGCUUAAUUGGAAUCACACAAGUUGAUGAACACUUUUGAUUUUGUUUCUCUCAGCCAGUUCGCCCCACGCAAGAUCCUACACUAUCCGCUAGAUCUCGAUCCCCAGCGGUAAUUAGCUUCUCUGCCUACCAUUUUUAUGGGAAAUACUUUCGACACAGUCUCUACAAUUUACUAAUUCUUGUUAAAAAUUAUUUAAUUAUUUGUUUCACUCUAUAUGAUGAAAUUUACUUUAGAUUUUACAAUAUUUUAAGAAAUCUUAAGAUUAUAACAAAACAAAAAAAAGUGUAUUAGAAGAGUGUAGAUUAUAUUAGUAUCACUCAUUAGUUUAAUUGGACGCAAGAGUGUGAAAGCUAUUUCAAUAGGUAAGGUUUUAAAGAGUGUUUAGGUAGUUAUUUUUUAAUCUACCAAGUUUGGUUGUUAGUCGGAGUUUGAAUAAGAAGAAGGGGAAGGCUUUUUCAAUGUAAGAACCAGAUGACACAGAUUUGUAUAUUUAUAUAUUUUUUUAAAUAGUUGUUAUCCUUUUUCUACUAUUCCUUUGUAAUUAAAACAUGCAUUAUUUUUUUUUCUAAUACAUUCUUAACUAAUUAAAAUGUUUUAGUAAAAACUUAAUAGAAAUGUAAAAUGAAUGAGAUAUAAAGUUUUUAAUCUAAUUUGAUAGUACAAAGACAUACUUAUAUUUAAAGCAAUAUUAUAUUUUUUGAGUAAUUUAUUGUUUUAAACUGAUUUUACUAUAUAACGUGAAUUAGUUAGUUGUUUUUUUUAUUAGUUGAAUGGAGGGACUACUUUGUUAGUUUAGAAAUGAGUAGUAAUUUGAUAAAGUUGAUGAAACUUUGAUUUUUUUUUUUUUUUAAUUUGCCUUAGUCAGUUCGCGCUGUUCAAGAGCAGCCACAAUCUUUGAGAGCCACAUCUAACGUUCGAUCAUCUCCCGUUUUAAAUGCUCUUCCUGCUGAGCAGACACCCACAGUACUGAGUAACGCAGAACAACCACCUUCUGCUCGUUCGGCGUCGGGAAACCGAUCCUUGGACUUUUCUCCCUCUUCUCGCGCUAUGAUAUCGACACGGUCAACUCAACCCAGUAGCGCGAGCAUUGAUCAACCUCCCUCUGCUCGCUCAACCGCGGGUCGUCCCAGUGGACUUUCUAAGGUGGUUCCCAUGGUGCCUCCCAGUGUACCUAUCACCCUUAGACCAGCCUCUUCUGCUGGUGUUCCACCCUCAGAGCCUCUUACUGAUGUUAGAAAAGACAGAAGGUAUGCCGCUACUUCUGCUCUUUCUUUUACAUUUCCUUAACAAGAAAAUAUCAGACACUGUGAAGUCAUAGAAACUGUUGUUUUCCACUACUGAAGCUCCCACAUACGACAGAAAGACAAGUGGAAUGUGUGGUUUCUCAUACUGGAGUUGUCCAGUAGUAAAGAGAAUUGUGCUCGGAGUGAUAUACUUCCUGAUAGUAUUUCUUGCACUCUCUUUUCACAACUUGGAUUUCAUUUUCUAAAAAUAAAAAAGGUUACUUUUGAAAACAUAGAGUAAAGUAAUAAUCAUUAAUUAAAAAUGAUUGAAAUUAUAAUUAAUUUCAAAUAUAUAGUUUGUUUUUCCACGAUUUUAACCGCUGAUUGGAAAUUCUAAUCAGCGAAAACUUUUCAUUUAUUAACUUGAGAGGUUUGGUCCAAUUGGAAUUCGGGUGAAAAGUCAUUUCAUGAUUGUCCACCUAAACUAACAAAAGAUUAAAUCUGAUAAUGAAUCACAGUUUUACAAUCUUAGUUUUUAAAAUGCACGUCGUAAACAAAGUCAGGGAUGACAUUCAGAUCCAAAAUUUGAUCUCCCACGCUAAUCAUCCAUAUAAUGCUAUAUGUUUUUUUUUUAUGUCCGUGUAGAUUGUCUCUUGAUCUGGGUAGUAUGAAGGUAAGAGAGGCCAAUCAGCAGCAACGUCCUACUAAUGAGCUUGAAGACGAGGUAGUACAUGGAUCCAUGCGUGAUCUAAUUAUUAGGGUCAUAUGCAUGCUUUUGAUGUCCUUUUUUUCAUAUCAGUGGCACUAAUCAAGUUACACGUUCUGUAUUUUGCUUAUUCUUUCCUCCCUUUUAACUUUACGGCCUUGCAUUUCUUAAUCUUCAACGGGUUCGGCCAUACAUGGCUGCUGUCUCUUUUCAGGAAUCUACUAAUGCGAUGUGAAUUUUAAUGCAGCUUGAUAUGUUACAAGAAGAAAACGACAAUUUGGUUGAAAAGGUGAUAAAACGCAAUAGUUUGAGCAUGUUUUCGGUAAACAUUCAAGUUUUGAGAUUCUAAAUGGAUGUUUGUAACAUUGUAGAAGAAAGAAUCGUGUGUAUCUCUUUUUUCUUCAUUCCAUCUGUUGUUCGGUUUAUAUUUAGAUAAGAUACAAUAGUUUCUUUUUAGAUUCAGAUAUAAUUUGUGCUAGAUUAUAUAUAAUUCUAGCUUAACAUUCUCAUGCGAAUGUUUAUAAUUUGGCUGAAUGCAGAUAACAUGGACUUUUUUUCAUUAUUAAAGCUGAUUUUGUUUCUAGACAUUCAUUAAUUGAAAAAAUUGUGUAUAUAUCCUCUGCAGGUUCGACUUGCAGAAGAGAAGUUUGAGGAAUCUGAAUCAAGAGUCAGGCAACUAGAACAACAGGUAAUACUUUUGAGGACUGGCUAUAGUGUCCAUCUCCGGCAAUGUUUGUCUCUUUGUUAACAAGCAAACCAUUAGGAAUGUGCUACUACAAUAUUUUAGAUGUGGCUAUAAGUUUACAUUAGUAACCUUUUUAUCUAAAAUGAAAAAAAAAAAGUUUUAAUGCAGAAUCAUACACCUGAUGUUCAUAUCAACCAGGCAAACGAGAGGCACAUUUUUUUUUUACAACGGUUAUUUGUGCAAGUAAAUAUGAUUUAGAAGUGUGUCAUCUCCGGUUAGAAAAAUUAUAGGGAUCAAUAAGUUGUUUUUGACAUUCACGAUUUCAUAUAACAUAUAACAUGUUUUUGUACAAUGGUAUUUUAACAAUUUUUUUAAUAAUUUUUUGAUAAUAAAUUUUGUAUUAUUAUUUUAUUAAUUUUCACAAGUUAUGCAUGUUAAAAAUAAAAUAAAUUUAAUUAAUAUUUUAUUAAUAUGUUAAAAGUUGUACAUGGUACAGACAAUAUUUAAUUAUUUUGUUUAAAUCGAAGUCAUGCAUUAUGAAUAUGAUUAAGUUGUUUUAUUUUUAAACUGAAAUCGCAUAAAUAUGACUUCAGUUAUUUUAUUUAAAUAUGUUGUAUUUGUAUAUAUAACUUCAAAUUAAAAAAAAAUAACUGAAAUCAUUCUCAUUUUAAAUAAAAAGUUGGAAAUUGUCAUUGUUAUAUAUAAAAAUUUUAACAGAAAAUUAUUCAAAUUAAAUACAUUUUCAACAUUUUUAUGAAAGAAAACAACCAUCAUCCUUUUUCUUUUAAAAAAAAAAAUUCAUGUGUUAUAUUCUUUAAGGAAUUACGACUAAAUGGUAAAAAUAAAAAUCCUCUAAUAUGCUAAUAAAUAACUAAGAAAAAUCAAAUUUGUAAUUCGUUGACAGAUUUUAUGGAUAAUUAUCACUUCUUGGAUGUAGAAUUGUAAUUUAAAAAAUAUUUUUUGACACAUCUAAAUUUUUUACAUUCAUUUGACAUUAUCUUUACUUACUUUUUACUCUCUUCUUUCUUAAAAAACUACAAAAAAUUAUAUUUUUUAAAUUAUUUUAUCCUUAUAUUUCGUGUCAAAUGAGUGUAAAAGUUUGUCAUGAUAUUAUUAGUCUUGUAAUUUUAUCAGUCUUCCAAACGCACCUACUUCUGCCCGUUUGAUCUUUAGAUAGAUAUACUAGUAAUAUAUUAUUUUAUUCUAAUUUAAUUGCAUUAUUAGUGGAAUUUUCUAUUGACAUUUAAUACAACUAGUUUUCUUGAGGUAGGCGUCCACAAUUUUGAAUUGCAUGGUGGGAUUCAUGACCAUUAGUAAAGAAAGACUCUUACAUUCGCAUCAUCUCAUGUUUCUAUGUCUGUAUCGCUGUAUGGUUCUACUGGUCAGAGAGCAUCAAAGACUACUAAUUAUAAUAGUCUUGCACAUCCUUUCGUAUAGGUUGCUAAUCUUGGCGAAGGUGUAACUAUGGAGGCUCGCCUUUUGGCCAGGUAAGUGGUAUGCUGGCGAAGGUGUACCUAAUAAAUUCUCUCCUUACAAAUUAUACACUUGGAUACAAUUUUAGAUCAUGAAAGCAGGUACCAAGAAAUAUGAGUUAGUAUAGAAAAAGAGAAUUGAGAAACAACUUAUGGACCCUACUCAAAUAAUAACGGAUCUCAUUUUGGCAUCUUCUCCAAAUCAAACUAACAUGAGAGCAUUUUGAUAACUUCAACACUGGUGGUUUGCCUUAAAUUUAACUCCACUUACCAUUUAGAUAUGAUUUAAAAUAAGAGCGUUGGUUUCCACUUAUAAUUUUCCUAAGUUUUUUUUUUCAUUAAUCAUUUUAUUUAUUCAUUAAUGAUUAUUUUUCUACAAUAAACUUAACAUUCACAAUUUAUUGAAUCCAUUUUGAAAGAUAGAAGCUUUUUCUUGAACAGUGUAAGUGGAUAGAAUGCAUUAAACAAAUUUAUAAUGAGUCAACUAUGUUUUAAGAAGGAGAUAAUGCACAGAAACACAUUCAUUGGGAUGAUGAUGUAACUUUUGUUAGUCUAUGUAUGCAUAUGUAUUCUCUUUGGCUGACUAAAACGAAGAAAUUCAUAUAAAUUCAAUGUGAGGUGUCCUUCAAGAAAAUUACCUACCACAGCUGAAAAAAUAGACUAGAUUAACAAAAAGAUACAGUCAAAUCAAGAUUUUAUUUUUUUUCGUUAAGUUGUACAAUAUAAUCUUAAGUGAUCGGGUAAGUUCUCUUUCAUCACUAUUGUUCGUUUUGUUCUUCAGGAAAGAGGCAGCACUGCAGCAAAGAGAGGUUUAUCCUACUUUCCUUCCCUGUCUAAAAUUUUACUUUGAACCUUUAGAAAUUAUUCUUAUAAUUCUCACAAUUCUUAGAACUUAUUAAGAGAGAGUUUCUUAUUUAAAGACAGCAUUUUAAUAGUAAUAAAUUGCUAAAAAUUAUUCCAAUAACGAAGUUGCAUAAAAGCAGAUUCGUAAGUUUAUGAACCUCUUUUUUUAUCAUUGGAGUAAAGCUUUUAUAAUUAACUUAAGAGAAUAAAAUACCACCAACCGUAAUUCUUUUUACACAUAUUUUACUAGGCGAUCCGAGCCAAUUUCACUGACAUGGAAAAUCAAUACACUGAACAUCUUAUUGUGUUUAAUGUAUGUAUAUAUAUGGAAACGUGUCGGGAACACGUGCAUGCGGAAGUCAUGUCAUUGUGACCCAAAUUUCUCAUUAAAGUGAAAUUAGGAAGUCGAAUGAUGAAUAUCUUCCCAUUUUCAGGCCGCUCUGAAAAAUGCUUCAAAGAAGCUUGAAGGUUUUCAAGCGUCGGAUGCUGAGGUAUCCAGCAAUUUACCUUGUACGUUUCAUAUUACUGCUUUCAAAUCUGCUAUUUGAAUGCGUGGGGAAUAUUUUGUUUAUAGAAUUCAAUUUAAACUUCUCAUAUUUGGCCUAAGGACGAGGCGACGGUUGCUUUGGAAAAGCUACGGCUUAUGACUCAACGAAUGAUACUCAACGCGGAAGAAAUGGUAGGUUUAAUGUUAAUCGUAAUGUGUUUCGUUUUAAUUUUAAUAGCCUUCUGCGUUGCUAUGUAGUGGCUUUCCGUUUUGUUUCGCAGGAAGAGGUUGCUUUAAAGAGGUGUUGGCUAGCUCGGUAUUGGGGUUUAUGCGUUAAACAUGGUAUGGUCAUCUCACCAUUUGUAUCAUUUACUUUUGUUUAAAGUCAGAAUGAACAUUUUAAAAUUGAUGGUUUCUGUGUGUGGUGACUCAAAUUUAUUCUACAUAUAUAGUUUCACGUUUUUUUUUACCAAAAAUAAAUAAAUAGAAAGAAUGAAUUCAAUUGGGUUGUUUGGUGUGUGUGUGUGUAUAUAUAUAUAUAUAUAUAUAUAUAUAUAUAUAUAUAUAUAUAUAUAUAUAUAUAUAUAUAUAUAUAGACACAUAUAAAGGUGAAAUUUCAAAAUAAUUAAUAUCUGUAUUUUUUUUAAAUUAAAAUAAUAAAUUACAUAAAUUAAAAAUUAUUUUAAAAAAUUAUAGGUGUUGAGGAAGUACUAUUCCAAAAACUUCUUAAUAGUAAAAAAAUCAAUAACUAACAAGAUUAAAAAUUAAUCUAUUCUAAAAUCUAAAUAUUAUACAGUUCCAUUUUGAAGCUAGCUUUAACAAAACAAAAAUAAAUGCAAUAUAAAAAGAAUAUAAAACAAAAUUAUUUUAGUUCAGCCAAAAUUGGGCAAUUAAAUUUGUGGAUUUUGUAUACAAAAUAACAUGCAACUUCAUCUUAACGAACUUACUUUCUACUUAGGAUUAACUAUGCUUUUUUAUUCAAAGAAAAAAUAGGGAGAAUAAAAGUACAUUGAUGGCACUUAAAUAUAUGCCAGGUAUUCAUGCGGAUAUUGCUGAAGCAAAAUACAAAUACUGGUCUAUGUUCGCCCCGAAUCCCGUUGAAGUUGUAUUAGCAGCAGGAGAGAAAGCUAAAGCGGAAGCAGGUAACAUUAAUUACUUUCGAAUUUCUCGUGUUCCCUUUUUAAGUUUUUCCACCGUAUCUCUUGAAAAUAAAUUCGGGUUAUUAAAUUUCCGUGAGUUUUAUUCUACAUGGUAGACCUCGAUGUAGAGGAUACAGAAAAUCGACGUGAUAUAAAGGAACUUUCAGGAGAGGGAAACAUUGAGAACAUGCUUUUUGUCGAGCAAGGAUUGCGACAAUUGGCUUCACUAAAGGUUUCUAUUGUAUCCUUAUUGCUUCAAAUGUAGUAGAUAAUGCAAUACUGAAAUGUUUUUUCGCCUGCAUAUACAAUGUUUUGUAUUAUUCUGUGAGAUGUUAACUCAUUAGCAAUAAUCUACUAAUUAAGGUCGUCAGAAUAAGGAGUAAUUGCUCUAGGUCCGAAAUUAAAUCUAUUUGUUACUAUUUUACAAUUAAAAAUCAUACUAUUAAAAAAGGUAUCUUUAGUGAAAUUUUCAUUUUAUUAACACAGAUUUUUUUAAUAUACAUGUGAUCUUUUUACUAAAUUUAAAAUAUAUUAGUAUAAUAAUAAAUAAACAAUGAACUGGUAAAAAAUUAAUCUGUGUCGUGUGAAAAUUCUUCUUUCAGUCUAGAACACAGAAUGGAUCGAAUGUAUGAUAAUGUGUAAGCAAGCGCGUGUUUAGUUACUAUCAUUCCUAUCUUCUCUGGAAGAGUGUGCUAACAUAAGGUGCUAGAAUCAGGUGUCAAAAAGACGUAAAACUAAAGUGUUGUUUGAUUACUAUUAUCAAAGAAAUAAAAUAAAGUAAGAAUGGAUAAUUUGGACAUUGAAAAUGUAUGAAAUUUUUAAUUUAAUAAUAAAAUUUAAAUUACUAGUCUAUACGUAAAUUUUUUUUCUAGGUAAAUUUUAUUUUUACCAUCCAUCUUGUGCACGGUUUUCGGUAAGUUGGGUCUUUAUUGAAUAGAAACAUAUAGGCUUUUAAUCGCUUCACCAAGGAAUUUAAAAUUUAGAAGUACCCUUCUAUCCAUAUUUUUAACUUUUGUCGGAAAGUAAUUUUAGAAAUACUUUGUUUCUUUUAUUGAUACUAAUUGUGUUAUUUAGUGAAAAGACUACUAACAGCCAUACUAUUUGUAGAGCUAAUUUUGCCAACAACAUUGCACUUAUGACAUUUAAUUCAUUUGUUAACAUCUUAUUUUGACUGCUAAAAAAAUUAUUCUAUCUAUGACCUGAUUUAUUCUCCAUGACUGUUUUGAAGGUAGAGGAAGCAUUGGCGUUUGUAUUGGCUCAACAUAGGCGACCAAAUGUGUUAAGAUUUGGCUUUUCAGGUGCCCGAUUCAAUAGUAUUCACUCUAAUUUUAUAAUUUGUUUAGUACAUUCUCAUCAUCUUAUUUGAUAUCGUAAACAUUAAUUUGUCUCCAUUAUUCAUUCAACGUUUAUCUCGUUUUACAUAUGCACAUGUCAAAAGCAUUUCAUAAAAAUCGAAGAGAGACAUAGGAAUGUUAUUGCGAAGUUGUUGUCGGAAGAAAAAAAAGACGUUAGCUUUUUCCGCAAAUGCUGUUGUCAUGUCAUUUAGCUUCUGUUAUAAAUUUUGCUUAUGAAAUUAUGAAAGAUGAAGCUUACAGAUAACAUGCCUUUUUUUUUAAUGAAGGAUUCAAAUUUAGUUUUUAAAGUGAAAAUUUAAUGGCAGAAUAUUGUUGUCUGAAAUAACUUUAGUUUUUGUGACUAUAAAUUAGUUUUGGUCCUAUAAAAUUUUAUUUUACAAUUCCUACUGUUCAUUCUUGAAAUGACAAUUCAUUGAAAACCAUCUUUGAUAUUAAAUAAAAUUAUUUAAUAUAAAUAUAAAUAUCUUUUAAUACAAUAGGGAUAUCAUAAAUUUACAGUUGUGUCAAGGCUAAUAACAAUAAAUAUAUAUGAAGAGACUUAAAACUUAUUUAAUAUAUAUAUAUUUGUGUGUACAUUUUCUAUUUCUCUUUUUAUGCUUGUUCUAAUUGGUGUAAGUUUUUCUUAGUUAGCAAAAAAUUACAUUACAUUUAAAUCCAUGUACAAAAUAUAUAUAACAAAAGCCUUGCUGAAGGCGUACUCCCUCUCAUAGUGUAGAGCAUUGUUUGUUCAUUGUCCUUAAUACUCGUCAUAGAAAUUUUGUUUGCUAAAUAGGAAAUAAAAGAUGGAAGAGAAUCCGUAUAAUCAUAUUGUUAAGAGUUAUUUAAAUCCACAUAUUCAUUUACUCAAAGAUUGAUAUAUGAAAGUUCUGACUCUUUCUUAUUUUUUUUGGUGUAGAUGACCUAAAACUACCAGUUGAAGGGCAGUGUGAUGCAUUUGGUAAGUUUUUUGGAUUUCAGAUUCCAUUUUCCCCAAAAUGACGUGUUAAAAAGCUGAAACUUAAUGCUAUAGUGGAGUUAUAAUGUUAGAUGGCAGUAGUAACUGAACCCUGAUUUGAAACUUUUGAAGUAGAAUAACUUUAGGACUUUGAUUUAGUUUACUGUAUUUUUUUUCUUUUCAAAUAUGAGAUAUGGAGUAUGUUAAGUGAGAAUUAUAGAGGUGAGAUGCAUACAUAGUCUUCACCAUUCAAUCUGAUGGUUACAUGUUUUGUCUACCUUAUACCUUAUCAUCCUCACCACAACUUGCUCGUCUGUAGCUUUAUUAUUUAUUUUGUUUAAUUGGAUUGAUGUUAUUUAUGUAUAAAUAUUUUAUUUUCAGAUUUGAGUAAGGAGGAGGCUGAAGAUGUAUCUUUUAAACAGGUAUUUAGCAUUUUCUAAGUAAGUGAAUAAAAAAAAAGGAGAGAUUUCAUAUUUUUUUUAAGAUUGUUGUAAAUUAAUAGAAGAAUGAUAAAUUAAUAUAAUAUCCUUUUAAAAAAUCAUACUUUUAUAGCAUUUAUUUUCCUAACUGUUCACUUCAUUCUCAUUUUGAGUAUACAUGGAGUCUUAUCAAUCAUGUUUGUUUAGGCUUGGCUUGCUUACAUUUGGAGGAGAGCAAAAAAUCAUGAAAUAGAGCCUGACAUAGCAUACGAGCGUUUGCAGUUUUGGAUCAAUCAUAACUCAAAGAUUCCUAAUUCACAAGAUGCCGUUGACGGUAUUGUCCACCCCUUUCCUACUUAUCAGUUGUAAUUUUUACCUGCAACAACCCUAUUAAACUUUUCGUGAAAAUUAAGUUUUUGCUAUUAUAGUUCUGCACAGUACUGUCACUUUUAUGGUAUAUUUUAGCAUGUAAUAAAAAAAACAGUAUUAUUAUACGAAGAUAUAACUGUUAGAAAUCUUAUAUCACAUGUUAGACAUAAAAUCAUUUUAUAUAUAUUAUGUUACCCUAAUCUUAUAAGUCGGUUACGAUUAAAAUCUACUUUCUAAUAUGAUAUCAGAGUCAUUAUUAAAAUUUAUUCUAACGAUAUUUGUUGUUUGUUGGACAUAUUGUUCUACCCCGUUGAAUUAGACUUAAAGUUCACUUUUUAACAAUAACCAUAAGUUCAUUUUUUAUAUAUUUUGCUAACUUUGGUGAUUGAAAGGAGUUCAUUGAGAAGAUAUAACACUAAUGAAGAUCUAAAUCUAAUCACAUAUAAACACUAACGAAGAUCACAUAGGAAUUGACUCUACUAUUUAUCCAAAACAUUAAAAUAAUAAAUUAAUGAAUUUUUUACCUUUAUAUAAUAUUCUUCUUUCUUAUUUUCAUAUCAUAUGAAUCUAAGACUUGCAUCCCCGACAGAUUGCAGCAGCUAAAAGAUCCACUGUUAUCAUUCUAUUUUUUGUUAGUAUGUAUUAAGUGAAUUAUAAUCUGAGUAAUGAUACUUUCACAGGCAACAAACUUUUACGUUCAUUUAAUAUUAUCUUUUUUUUUUAUAUAUAUACAAAAAAUUGUGUACCUUGUGUGAGAGUAUCACUGCUGUGUUAUAAACCUUCUCUUGCAAAUAUAUGUCAAUGUCCUACUUUAUCGAUCUUAGUACUUUAUUCCUUUUUGGCAGUUGAACGUGGACUUGCCGAAAUCAGAAGGUUGGAUAUUGAAACGCAACUAUGGGAUGAAUCACGCAGAGAGCUGGAGCAAGAUGCUGACAACUCCAACGUGCCCGGUCGGUCAGACUUUUAAUAUAUUUAAAUUAGGUUACAACAUUUACUUUUUCACAUUUUUAAAUGGGUUUUGUAAUUUAGUUAAUCAAGAGUUGGAGUAAAAUAGGCUUUAAUUUUCACUGUAUCAUAUUUUACAAAACAAUGUUAUCAAUUAUUAUGAUAAUUUUAAAAAAUUAUAAUAGAUUCGAUUUAUAUUAAUUUUGAAUCCUGAAAUACUUUUCGGAAAGGCUAUUCCAGAACACAAUUUUAAAUACAUUCUAAAAUUUUUAGAAAGGUAUUUCCCAGUUUAACGACUUCCAAAAACAGCCUUAAAAGAAAAGUUUUUUUGAAAUGAUUAUUCCGAAAGAUAAUUUUGAAUUUGGAAAUACAUUUAAGAAUAGUUACUCUAGAAUAUAAAAAUAAAUAAGUUAUGGAAUUUACCGUUUUGGAAGUCAUUUUCGAAUAUGGAAAUAUCUCCCAAACAUCCAAUUUGAAAUGUAUUUUCUUACGCAUUUCAGAUUAAGUGUUUCUGAAAUACCUUUCGGAGCACCAAAUCCAUAAAAUAUUAAAAAUAAAGAGAUGUGAGGAUUUUUAUUUUUAUUUGGUUUAAACCAUUUAGUUGUCCCUAUUUUUGGGAAGUUUUCCCAUUUUGAUCCCGUCUUAUUAGAAUCACCAAUUGAGUCCCUAUAACUGUUAAUUUCAAUCAAUUAAGCCCCUGCCGUUAAAUUUAGUUAACGGGGUUAACUCUCUUUUGCACAGCUGGAAGGAUGACCGGUUAAUUUCUGUAAACGUGGCCUAUUUAGAGUUGAAACGUGGCAUGAAUUAGAGUUGAAAUUGAUUGAAAUUAGCACUUAUGGGACUUAAUUCAUGCCACAUUUCAACUCUAAAUAGGCCACGUUUAUAGAAAUUAACAGGUCAUCCUCCCAGCUGUACAAAAAAGUUAAUCUCGUUAACUAAAUUUAACGGCAGGGGCUUAAUUGAUUGAAAUUAGCACUUAUAGGGACUCAAUUGGAGAUUCGAAUAAGACAAGGAUCAAAAUGGGAAAACCUCCCGAAAAUAGGGACAACUAAAUGGUUUAAACCUUUUUAUUUUAAUAAGAUGUAAUUUGGGACUUACAACUUUUGGCAGUGAAGAAAAAAAAGGAAGGUGUAAGCACCCUAUGAUUCAAACCAAAUUUACCCACAUUGAUGCAACAAUAUUAAUCUCCUUGCGAUUUCCCUCAAAAUCUCAUUCACUGGAGAUUUUAGCUUUAUUUAUGGGUCAUGUCGAUCUUCUUUUAAAACAAUUUCGUUGACAUUUUUGUCAUACAAUUCAUUACAUCAACACGUCCUUACUAUAUAUCAAUAUAGUUUUCAUCUUGAUCCUUCAUAAUCCAAAAAACAAAAAAAUUAGGGUACAAGUAGUCCUCUAUGAAAACUUUAUCUUGUUGAUUUUCUUUCUUUAUCCCCAUGAAUAACAUCAAUUGUUGAGUUUGGACAUUAUAGAAACACAAGAACAAAAAAAAUGAAAUUAAAUACUGCAAAAUAUUUUAUACACAUAAAAAUCACAUAUCUCAUAGCAUACUCUAAAAGAGUUUAACAUGAUUAUAUGACAACAAUUAUGAAAACAGAAAAAGAAUACGAUAUAAAAAAUAAUCAUGAUGGCAAUAGGGUGAAAUGAAAACGAGUUUUAUUAUCUCACACACACAUAUAAAGGAAAUAUCAAUCCUCCUAUUCAUAGACAUAUCUAACGGAUAUAUGUUCGUAUCGUUUUUAAUACUAUUUCAAUAUCAAUUGAUUAUUUUUUACAUAAAAAGAAUUACGGCAAAAAAAAAACAUAAUAUUAUAUUCAAUAUCAAAAUUAUGUAUUAUUAUUUUUCUAAAAUCAAGCAUUUUUAAAAAGUUAUAAUCAUAAUUGUAUAUAUCAAAUUAAAGUAUAAGAUAAUUGCCUUAUGCCUUUAUAAAUAUAAGGUAUUAAUGAUUAAUUAUUGGGUUUGAUUGUCUAAAAAUAUUUUGCGUUAAAAGUCCCAUAAAUAUAUGAUCCACGUUUAGGUACAAUCAUCUUGAUCUAUCCUAAUAAAAAUAUAUACCUCUUUAUCAAACAUAUAUAACUUGAACGUGAGUGUCUUCUGUAGGUCAACCACCACUCGGAAAGGAUUACUUGAAGAGUUGGACGAUCGGAGCAUAGCAAGGAAGGACGACCGACCCUAGACAAAUGUAAUCGAAAUAGUCCUCUUUAUAGCAUCUCGCAAUCUUUUAAAGAUUUGCGAUGAUUUAUAACGAAAAGUCUUGUACGCCCCUCUACUAUUGCUGCUCAUUUGAGGAGUUUGCCAUGUGCCUCGCCAUGCUUUUGCAGCGUAGUGCAGUCUCCCCAGCUGGCGAGAUUCUCUGGUUGAAGACAUGUGGUUCCGGUGAAGACGAAGACAGGGCAUGAGGAAGAAGACGCUUGAUGAUGACGACACAAGCAGAGACGAAGGUUGAAGCAGAUGUAUUCGGAUCUAGUAAAAAGCAUAUCCGGAUAAGAUUUUCCAUGAAUUUGCGAAGCAAGCGUAUCCGGAUACAUGUUUAGCGUAUCUGGAUCCACGUUUUCCAUUAUUUUUCGAAGGAAGGGUAUCCGGAUACAGGUUUCGCGUAUCCGGAUCUAUGAGACAUUUUUCUUCGUAUCCGAUUCUUUGGAUGACAGCUCUGUCUUCUUUUCGGUUAUAGUCAACCCUUCGCCAUACCUUCAUUCCUUACUCCAUCGCAACAAGUGGGUUAGCUGAAGUGUGUCAAGCUUCGUGCAUGGGUGAUGCGGUUAUCAUCUUCCUCGCGUCGCUGUCAAACGUGUACAUCCCCCAUGGAAGCUAUGGUGACUUCGGGUUGAGGAGAAUGACGCAGAGGUGGAAGUGUGUUCUUACGAGCAGCAUAGAGACCUAGACCAAAUGAACAGUCAAGGAAGGGAGGAGGGAGAAGAGGUACAUGUCUACUAUGGAGAAGAAGAAGAAGGGUAGAGGAGAGGUUGAUGGAGAUGAAGGCUUCAUUUUAGAACAUUAUAAUUUUUUUUAUAAUUAAAAAUUAAUUUUAAUAAUUAUUAAUAAAUUUGCUCUUUACUUUUAUAUAUACAAAAAUGAUAUUUUGACACGCCAAUUUAUUUAUUUUUGAAAUUGAAAUGACAUGAUGGGUCCCCCCUUUUUAAAUAUUUUUUAAAAGAAAAAGGGUAAUUUUGAAAGAAAAAAAUAAAGAAAACAGUGUCAUUUGAAUGUAAUUGACAUGUGUAAUUGUAUCAACACUCUUAUAUAACAUUAAAAAAUAACAUAUUUUUUACUUUAAUAACUAAUUAGGGAUAUUUUGGUAAUUUUCAAUUUCUACCAAUUAAACUAAUUUUUUAAAUCUGUCACAUCAAUCAAAUCUUACAUUAAUUAACAAACUUUACCCUCAAAUCCAUUCUCAAUUAUCCACAAAUCCAGUCAAAAAACAAUAAAAAAUUAUCCUCAAAUUCACUCAAAUUAUUUUUUCCAAAUUAUUUCUCCUAAAUCUUACAAAAAGAACACAGCUGUAGUGAUGAUAGAAAGCUAUGAAUUUUCUUGUUAGAACAUUAAUAUCCAGACCAACUACAUUAAAUUUUAUUCACAACAAAUUUGUGGUCAUCUACUGAAAUUUUAAAGAUAAUUGGAAUUAGAUAUGUCACAAAAAUUUUAUGAUGUUAAGAGGAAGACAUAUAAUUAAGAAAAAAUUAAGAUUGUUUUGAUAAACAAAUUAAUUAUAAAAUAUUUAUUUUCACUCGUUUAUGUAAAUAUUUAAAAUAUUUAAAAAUAUAAAAAUUCAUAUUGAUUAAUAUAAAAGUACACAUUGAUAAAACUGGGUGAAAUAUUAGAGUCUAACCUAAGAUCUUAAUCUUAAUGAUAGGAAUUAUAAGAAAUUUAUAUUGAAUUUACGAUGCGAGUUUUUAAAAAAUUAAAAAAAAUCAAUAAUAUUAUUAUUAAAGGAAAUUUACACGAGAGUUUAAAAAAUAAUAUAACACCACGUGACACAUUUAACAUAAAAUAACUGAUGAAAAAUUUUAUAAAGUCUUUAAGGCUCUUUAAAAAUUAUAUAAAAAUUAAAAUAGUCCUAGUGAGCACAAUUAAAAUGAAAUAGAUGUACAAAUUUUUUAAUCAAAAUUUUGCAAUAUAUAUCUUCUGGAAGCAUCUAAAAUGUAAAGUUGUUAAUUAUUAAAUUCUAAGAAUUAGAUUUUGUAAAACAUAAUGAUAGUUAAGAAUAAUGUUAUAUUACCAUAAAUUUUAAAAAUAAAAAUAUUUAAUUACAAUAAUUAAAUAUUUACAAAUUUGUAAAAGUUAAAAUAUAAAUAAAAAAUAGAAAAAUACGUAAUAAAACAAAAUCCUCCAAAUUUUAGAGAGAUAAGGUCAAGAGGUGGAUGGUUAGGUGAGUGAUAUACUGCAACGUGUUACCUGUGUUAAGUCCCAACACGCCUCAAUGGCUAUAAAUAAAACAAAAAGACCUUACUGUUUCUAUCAUCACUCUCCUUCUGCUACUUCUAGACUCUUCUUCUCUUCCCACACUUCUUCCUUGGGGUGCCCUGAGGUAUGCAUGCUAUUUUCUCUCUCUUUUCUUCAUCUCUUUAUCAAUUUGUGUCCGAUUAUUGUUCUUCAACAUCUCUUCCAUGUUCUCUCUCAAUAUUCUGGAUUCCUGAUUUUUGUUUCUGGUUAUUGUUCUUCGACAUUCCUUCAAUUUCCUCUUUCAGAAUACUCGAUUGUUGUUUCUGAUUACUUUUCCUCUCAAAUCUCUAUCUCUCUUUUUUGUAUUUACUCUCACUCGUGCACAGAUCGAUUACGUUAUGUUAAACGCUGUUGACCGCAUAUUUUUUACUUAUUUUUUUAUUUUUUUAAUGUCCUUUGGUUAAUUUGGACGAAGGAAGAGUUGAAAAGCGUAUCUGUUAAUCUCCUGGCUUCGGAUUCGAUUUUAGAAAUGAAAUUAGUUUUAGGAAUUUUCUAUGUUUUUUGUUUGAACUCGUGCUAUUACUAUGAGAUAAGGAAGGAUUUGUGUUCGUUGUAGAUCUGUCCGUUUUGUUUAGCGUUGGCAGACAGAUCUACUGAAUAGGUAGCUUGUUUCUGUAAUUGGACAUUGAGGUUAUGUUUUUUUUGUCGUGAUACUCUAUUUUCUUGUGGUCAACACAAUAUUUUCUUUCUAUGUUUGGAACUAACAUAAAAGGCUUCAUCAAGUGAAUUUAAUUGUACUUGGAUCGGAAGUUUUGAAGAUUUUGAAAUGUCUUUUACUGUUUAGUUUGUCGUGUUACACAGCUGACUUUGUUGUGUGGGCACAUCAGUCGUGGAUUUUUAUCUUUUCGAUUCUGACCAUUUGAAUAUGAUCUACUGGUCUAUAUUUACUGCUCUUAUUUUACCAUAAUUACUACUAGUUGUAACUCUGGAUGAGAGAGAUGCCUUCUUAUUUUAUUUCACCACCAUGAUAACCAAGACACUGUAUGUGCACACGUCACGCAUGUUGAUUCUAUGAGCUUGUACAUGUAUUGUCUGUUUUAUCUGAAAUGUCUGCUUCGUUGUUCAGAUCACAUUGUGCAAUGGUGAAGGCUGUGGCAGUUCUUGGCAGCAGUGAGGGUGUCACUGGAACUGUCUACUUCAGUCAGGACGGAAAUGGUGAGUCUCAACAGUGAGCAUAACCCUCAUCGUUAAUAAACUUCACAAUAUGCAUUUAUUAAGGAGGAAAAUAAUAAAUUAAGAUGAAUCAAGCCUCUCUAUUAGGAAAAAUUUAAAUUAUGACUUUUAUUACAAAAGUGCAUAUUUUGAUGGUAUAUUAUGACAUGAAACUUUUUUCUUUUUCUGUACUAACCAUUGAGCCAAAUCAAGUAAUAUAUAUUGUCAAUUGUGCAGGUCCAACAACUGUAACUGGCACUCUUGCUGGUCUUAAGCCUGGUCACCAUGGCUUCCAUGUCCAUGCCUUGGGGGACACUACCAAUGGUUGCCUUUCAACUGGUAUAGUCUUUGGACAAUAACCCGAAUAAAUUUUUAAUUCUGUUGGACAUUAAUGAACUGGAACGACACUUGAAUUGAAAGCAAUGAACAUUUAUAUGCGAGAUUCUUCAAAGUUUGAAGCAAUAAAAUCUAUUAUAAAGCAGCUGGAUUAGAUUAAAAUCCUGCCACUUAGUAACAUAUUAGAAGACUUAAUUUUUAUUUUCCCCCAUUUUUACAGGACCACAUUUCAAUCCUAAUAACAAGGAGCAUGGUGCCCCCGAGGAUGAGAAUCGCCAUGCUGGUGAUCUAGGGAAUGUAAAUGUUGGUGAUGAUGGUAUGAUCGAUAUGAUUUUUUCCUGUCUCAUUUAUUUGAUUUGUGCUGAAUCCUAUCAUUCCAAGAUAGAUAAUAAUGCUACUUUUCUGACUCGAAUUCUUAAAGUUCUGAUUAUUUUUAUAAUACCGAUGUUUAAUAAUAGUAAUCUUUUACGCAUUACACGGAUGUAAUUAAUAGUUAACAAGCAAUCUGGCGGUUUUAUCAGAAACUUUUCCAUUUUUUGAACAAAUGGCUGGUAAUCAAGAUUACUUUCUUUCUGUUUUGGUGAUAGUCUAUCUCUGAAAGAACUUCUCAUUUUUAAUUUUUUAUACAUACCGCAUGCUUGUUUGGUCCUUAUUUUGAAAUGGAUUACUCUCGUUGUCUAACCCAGGUACCGUCACCUUCAGUAUUACUGACAGUCAGGUAUGUUAUUCAUCUCCUGAUCAAAUUCUCUGAUUAUUUCUUCUAUGUUGAGAGUUGAUUGACACCAUGAGAAGCUUCAGUUUUUAAUGAGUUAUUGAAUGUGCACAGAUUCCUCUCACUGGACCAAACUCCAUCAUUGGGAGAGCUGUUGUUGUCCAUGCUGAUCCUGAUGAUCUUGGGAAAGGUAUUCACUAAUCUUUUUUACACUUUGCCAUCUUUGGUAUCUGAGGCAUCGGUCAUCAAUCAUGACUUGUCACAUUCCGUCUUAAUUCGGUUGGAUUUGUAUCCUGUCGUGAUUUUGCCAUAUAAGUAGAAAAGUUAUUGUAAGUGUCACCAUCAUUUGCGGUUGGUUCAUCGAUUUAAAGUGUCUUCCUCUCGUUCAUUUUAUUUGCUAACAAACGAUGAUCUUGGUCAUUUCUCCUUCCUUGUAUACCAAAUCACAGCUAUUCAUUAUUCUGUUAAAAAGCGUUCGUUGUUUUUCGGUUUACUGCAUGUUAUAGUUCCUCCUCCUUUUGUGUAGGUGGUCAUGAGCUUAGCAAGUCUACUGGAAAUGCUGGUGGCAGAGUAGCAUGUGGUAAGCAGAGACUGUGAUGUUAAAAAUACCGUAUUUCUGAUAUUCCUUAUUACCCAUGCAAUAUCAAUGGUAGAUGUGGUAAACAGGUUUACAUACAUCUUUAUAGAUACUAUCAUGUAUCAACCAAUAACAUAUAAUUUGACAGCCUUUGCUAAAAUGUCUGCUGUCUCAAUCUUUGUUUUCACUGUCUCAUGGCUCCU